RNAcentral lists this long non-coding RNA (455717 nucleotides) under Coffea arabica (coffee). The record is from RNAcentral. Lineage: Eukaryota; Viridiplantae; Streptophyta; Magnoliopsida; Gentianales; Rubiaceae.
UACUUUGAUGGCUGGUUAGGACAGAAGUUUCGGCCCCUUUGAAGCUUGAAGAACCGUGAAAGCUCCUCCCUUUUCCAGCUAAAUGUGUUGUCCAAGACUUAGAGCUAAGUGGUAUGUGAAGUUUUGGUUGAAUCUAUGGAGGUUUGGUUGUGAUUUUUGUGAGAUUGUUAGAAGGAAAUGGUGAAGAGCUGCGGCUGUGCUAUCCGUCCAUUGCAGUAGCAGAAAUGAAAUGUGAUUCGGAUCCUUUGCGUACAAAAGACGCUUGACGUCUAAUAUUUUAAAUACGUAAAAUUUUAAUUGCAACUAGUGCCCUACGCGCGCGUUUUGUGUUCGAUUUCUCUCACGUUUGUUGCACUAGUGCACUAAACCUCUAGGGCACUUACAUUCAUAUAAAUAUUAUUCAUUCUUAAUUGUCCCAAAAUAAUGGUCCAAAAUCCCUCAAUUAAGCGCGCACGUGAAAACGCGUAUUUCUAAUUUAGGCGCAAUAAAAUUGAAACCUUUGAGAAAAUCUUAUAACGAUCGUACCACUAACUAUCACUUCAAUAUUUAAACCUAAAAUUGCCUAUUUUAGGACCAUUGUAUAUGUCUUAAAUUUUUGAGCUUAUUGUACUCCUAAUUGGCUAAAGUUUUCAGACACGUUUUCACUUUUUCACUAAACAAACUUCUAAGAAAAUAAUUUUUUUUGAAACGAGACACUUUAAAAAUAUAACGAAGCUAUAAAACCAUAUAUUUAGGUCUAAUAAGCAUAGAAAAUAAUAUUCGGGCAAAAAUCCAAAUAGAUAAUUAAUUGAGCCAAAAUUAGGGGUUUAAAAAUAAUAAUUUUACGAGUCCUCACGUGAAUUGAGUAUUAAUUCCUCAAUUAUCCUUUCUUAAUCUAUUAUUGAUCGUUCUUAAUUCUCCAAUAUUAAUACACUCUCGAUUCAAAUAUAGUCUCGAAAAACGUGCACUCGUUGUUUCGAACUAAACGAGUUUUCGAAGAGUGAAUUUUUCCAACAAAACUCUUUUAAAAAUAUAAAAGAGGCGUCGUUCCAUAUAAAUGGAUUUUAAAUGAUGGAAAUAAAUAAUUUGGAGAAAAAUGAGUAAAUAAAUAUUUAAACAAACUACUAAUAUUCGAUAAAAUAAAAUAAAAAAUUUCGGGUCCUCACAGAAGGAUAGAAAAUAAAAUGAAGGCACACCAAAAAAAAAGGGCUAUCCUAUUUGUGCUCAUUAAAUAGGAAACAUUGCUAAUGAGUAAAAGCAAUGCUUGAUUGGUUUCAUCCAAUGGUGUACUUUAAGGAAAUAAUGAGAUACUUGUGGAUAUAGCAUAUUGGCAAUAUUUAUAUCUUGUGCGUAAUGCCUUGAAAUUGAAGUAUAUUCUUAAACAAUUUCUUCCAAAAUUAUUUAAACGCCACUUUGAUUAUGAUAUGGAUGAAAAUCAAGUUUAAGAUAUUAUGUUUAGUUUUGUGAGGGUGAUCAACCUACACAUAAAGAAACUAUACAAAAGAAACAAGACUAUCUUGCUCCAAGAAAUUUAGAUUCUUUUACACUUCAAAAAUUAUUAGAACUGAAGAUUUAAAUUUCUUAAGAGCAUGAAGUAAGUGGGAGUGUUUUGACUCUGGAAUGGAGUAUUGAAAAGGUAAGGAUUCAUAUUUGACUCCUUUGAAUAUGGAAAAUUGAUAGCUUUUCUCAAAAUUAUUAUUUAAUUAUUUUAGAUAAGCAAUCGAAUGAAAAAUUCCUUGUCAAAUAAACACAUGAAGUAAAUCUACAUUGAACCCACUGGUUGAGUUAUCUUAUAGACAGCGGGAGGAAAAAUGUUCUCUAUAAAAAAUUGAAGUUCUUUAAUUACUAUGUUGUAUAUCUACAAGAGUUUAAGGAUGAAUUGUGUAAUGUUUUCAUGAGGUGCAAAUGGAGAAAUCUCCGUGUUUCAAGAAUAGUGUCACAAAUUACCACAAAAUCUCUACCAAAUUUGAGAGAUUAUAUUUGGGGUAAUUAUGGCACUAGUAACUCACUAUUAGAGAUACAUUAGAUAAAUAUGAAAAUGAAUGUCCUUAACGCAAUUCUUGAUAAUUAGGCAUAUACAUGUGUCACCAUGGUAGAGAAUGUAAUUUAAACCAAAUUAUUGCUCCUCAAUAGUAUAUUAAUUUGUUCUUCAUUUGAUCUUAGAAGAAUUUUUCUAGUAAAUUAAUAUACAUUAAGGUUAGUGGGAGUAAUACUAUGAGAGUUUUUCUCAAUCAUGAUAUUUGUGAAACCCUUCUAUCAUUAAUAUUCACAAAAUAGAAUGUAAAAGAUAGUUAAUCUGUCUUAGAACCUUCAUGCAAGAGUUCCUUGGUAAUAAAGAACAAAUAUUACUUUUAAAUAAUAAUAGUGAACAAUUGCAUAAUGUUCACAUCAUGCAUUGGAAUGAAUAUAAAUUCACCAAGAACGCUAUGAAGUUGUACUACAGGCAUCUAUUGUUUGGCCUAAAGUUUGUCGAUAUUGUAUUUUGGCUAAUAUAGAUAUUUGAUUUGAUUAUACCCUUUCAUUAUGUAUACAUAAAAGAGUGGAAGUCAAGACAUUCAGGUCGACACAAGGUAUUCAAUAGUUAUUUAGAAAGUAAAAUGUAGCUAUUGAGUACACAUCAAGGUGUUAUUAUUGUUGAUCAACAAUUAAAGGUUGCCGGGUAAGUUGUUAAUGAUCAAAUAACUCAUAUAGAACUCACUAGGUCAUUUAGUAUUUUGCUAUCAUUCUAAAACUAUUGUUGUUGUCUAGACACUCAAAAUACUUAUGUUUACAUGAUUUUGUGCACAUUAUUGUUCAUGUAUAAAGUAAAGAUCAUGUGAUCCAUAAAGUUGAAUCCUGAAUAACUUAUAUGAAGUUAUUCAUAAAAUUUUUUUAAAGCACUUGAUUAGAAAGUAUAAUAUAUUGUAAUACAUAGAAGGAAGUGUUUGUCAUGAGAACAUAAUCGCCAUGAUUCAUGUAUUAUUAUUUUCUGAUUAAGCGACUAUUACAUAAUUGUUGAAUUUGGUGAGUGACAAACAAAACUUAUGGCCAUUUUAAGUAUCUAAUCACUCAUAUGUUAACUGACUAUUUCAUGUGGGUCAAGUGGAAGAAAGUAAAACUUGCCUCUUUUAGAGGCAAUUGUGACCCAUAUGAUUGAUUCUAAAUUAAUUGAUAUCCUAAUUAAUUGAUUGAUAUUUUCAAUAAUUAAUUAGUAUUUUCCAUUUGUUAAUGAUUGAUUGAUAUCUUUUGCUAAUUGAUAUAUGAUUCAAUCAAUUAACCAACCAAAUCAAUCAAUUAGUCAGAAAAGAUUAUGGAUUAUGACAAGAUUUUUUUGAUGGAAGGAAACCCUAGAGAUUUUGAUAAUUGCUAGUAAGGGUUCCUGGCCUAACCUAUAAAUAGCCUAUGGUAUCCCAUCAACACUACACUCUCUGAUUAGGUAUAGACUAGAAACUCCUUACUCUAACUUUUUCUUCUAUAUAUAUAUAUAUAUAUAUAUAUUGGAAUAGACAAGAAAGAGUCAAAGAGAUGAGGAGAGACCAAUUUGUACUUAAUAAUGAUGGUUAGAGGUAAGUCUAUUUAGAUUUUCGCUGCAUAGUACAUUCAUAUGUACAUAAUUAGUAUAGCAAGCUCAACCCUAUUGACAAUUCUAUUUUGUAUGUAUAUAUUCUUGCUGUGACGACUCUCAAUAGUGCACAAGUACCGCGUUUACUCUUGUCAAACUGUGUCUGCAAUUAGAUUGAUUUUGAUUACAGAGCUCAGGGGACAAUGCGAAAGAAAUGCUGUGUAAGGGACCUCUGUAUUUUCUCAGUGCAAAAUUCAUCCAAAAUGAGCUCGUGCUAGGCUCCUGCUUGAUAGGAUCUUGGUUUUGAGCUGAAAUUUAACUCAAUUAGUUGGUAAGGCUAGCUGGAAUCAGUUAGAGCCAUUUAUUGGGUAAGCAAAGCUCAGAGUUUUCUAACCAAGACAUAAAAAGCAUGAUAAUGCAGCAGAGGACGAUGUGUCCUGGCCUCCUUUUGAUAAAAUCCAACUUUGGUGGGGUAGGAGGUUGGCUAAAAUGUAAGUUGAAAUUUUGGAAAAUGAGAAUAUAGGAACAUUCAAAUUUCAUAGGGAUAAUUUUAGAAACCUCCCCUAAGGUUUCUGAUAGUUUCACUGUCUUCCCCUAAAGUUUUAAAUAUAUCACUAACCUCCCUUAAAACUAAAUUUUCUUGUAACAAAUUAGCGCAAUUCAAAAAAAUUAAUAAUAAAAAAAUGAUUUCAAGAGUGAGAAAAAUAUUUCAUACAAAAGUGCCCCUCAACUAAUUACUAGUUGGUUGACUUAGAAUCAAAAGGGAUUAUUAGUUAAGAAUAGAAAAUAAAAACCAUAGUUAGAAUGUGUCAGUGUAAGUAAGGCAAAUUACAAUACUAGCAUGAGCCCACUAGAAUUCAAUAACAAUGGCUCGCAAAAUCAAAGAAUUGGAAGGAAAUUUUAUUAAUUUAGAAUCAAUAUUUACACAUUGAAUUCCUCAAUUCUUAGUGGUGAAAUUUGGAAGAUUUUGAGUAAGAAUUAAAUAAGACUAAGUAUGACCUUUUCAAGAAAAAUGCCACAUUAAAUAAAAAAUAUAAAAUAUGAUCAAAUAUUGUUUUGAAUUAUUUCUUUUACUUACAAGGUCCAUUAUUUCACAUGAUUACUAAGAAAUUUCUAUCAUUUGUAACAAAAAAAACAACUCUCAGGCAAUGUUUGCAUGAAUAGAAUGGAAAUGACUUUAAUGGAAAAUAAGUAAAUCAAAGUGGAGAAAAUCAUUUUAAACAAUCUUUUUGGAAUUAUGUAUACAAAGAAAAAGAAAAAAAAUUGAAAAUAGGGAGAGAAUAGAUUAUGUGCAGUUACACUUUAUCUAAACUUAAUAAAAUUUAUUUGUAAACAUAUUUUAACAAUUUAUCCUUUUUGUGCAUUUUUGUAUUCAUCUUGUUAUUUUUAUAAAAAAAACUUAUGAAAUAAUAAUCUCUCAAUAUAAAUUUUAAUCUUUUUUGGGGGAAGAAAUUACAAGAACUACUAAAAUUAGAAAAAGAAUUUAAAAUGUUAACAAUUAUUGUUAUAAAAUUUGGUAUUCAAGAUUUUCAAGCUUUUUUACAUUCCAAAUUAUGGGAGUACAAGUGGCUCAACUAUCUCUCCAUACAACUAUGUAAAAUUUCCCAAGUUGCAGGGUAAUAAAGUCAUUUGACCAUUGAUGUGGUAAGCAUUGAAUUCCAAUUGGUUGACCGGGGGAGGGUAAGUGAUAUUUUAAGAAUCUUGGGGGAGGGCAGUAAAAUUGUCAUUGAAAUUAUCCCAAUUUCAUAAGUAGGGCGAAACUUUUAUUAAGUUUGUGGAUGGGGUAUGGGUUACUACUAUUCACCAAACGAACAGAUUUUUGGCUAAGUAAUUAAAUCACACUUGUAACAAUGUACACUUUGUCAAGAGCAAAAAAAUUCUUUUUUGAAAUGUGCAUCUUAUCGAACAAUAAUAUGCACCUAAAUGAUAAAAAUAUGUAGUUUGGUAAAAUGUACAUAAAUCCAAAUAUGCACAUCUAAAUUGAUACAGCUGUGUAUAGGUAUAAUCAAAUUACACACAUACAAGUCGCAAUAUGUGCACAUAAGGGUAAUUUUCUUAUUAUACUUACAAUAUUUCUUUUAAUAGUUCAUGACCAUUAACUCGCACCUCAUGCAAGGGGUAGGGAUGGAUUGGAUGUUAGAAGGAAGGGAAUGUAAGUGAAAUGUCCUGGAAUCGAGACAUCCCGCCUAUAUUAAAAAAAAAGAAAAAAAAACUCAAACGUCAUUCAUAAAUUUUCCAAAACUUACACCUUCUUUUAAAUUUUAAAUCUUUCUAUUCCCUUUCUCCCAAUUAUCCCAAAAUUUAAAUUGGCUGGUGGGAACAUGAAAAAAUAACUACGGUAGUAGGGAUCUAGACUCCUUCACUUGAAUGGGCCAAAUUUGAGUGAUGUUAUUUUCAGCAGCACGAAAGACACCGUAACUUCUAAAAUUAUAAACAAACACAAAACUCCCUCAGUCAUUGAAAGUUAUAAACAUAUAUAAAGGUCCCUUGGUCGUUACAUGUAUUGUUCGGGAUUUUAAAUAUUCGUGAAAGUGUAUAAAAAUCACAAGUCAAAUAUCUAAGCUAUAGGGUUAACGAUAUAGGAUGACGAUUGAGAAAAAUUACAGUUAAAGAGUUUUUUGUGGCUUUCAAAAUUACAAUGGUUUUUCGCAUUCCUAUUUUCCUUUUAUUAUACACUUAAAUCGAUGUUGUUUGCCAGGAUAAAUAUAAACGUGGCCCAAAAAGAGUAGGAACUAUCUCGUGCACCAGCAUACGUAGUUUUAUUGUAUAACUGAUACUAAUACGUAUAUAUUUGUUGGUAUCCAUUCCGGUUCAAUAGAAAAAAGUUCUACAUUCUUUAAGGAUUUGGUGCUAAGGUUUCCAAGGCGCGGCUUGGGUAGUGGUGCGGCAGUCCAUGGCUGCCAUCUGCCCACCUGAUGGAGGGCAGCCUGCCCCUCCUACCUUUCAACGCAAAUCCUUUUCAGAGUUGUUCACGAAGAAUUCACAGCAGCCGACGCUAUCCUUUGCGGCACAGGAGGCUACACACAAAGGGGAACCUGCGUUGAUUUUCCCACAGGCAGCGGUCGAAGCUCUAGCCAGUCCAUUUCGUUUCGCAUUGAUUGGGAAAUUCUCUAGACGUAGACCGAAGUUGGAGGAGGUGAGGAAGUUCAUUGCAUCGCUGGAUUUACGUGAGAACCCGGUGGUGGGCUUGUUGGACGUAAGACAUGUGUUAAUUCAGUUGAACAAUGAAACUGAUUUCCAUCGUGUAUGGUUUAGGAGGAUCUGGUAUGUGUCUUCCUUCCCCAUGAGAGUAUUCAAAUGGACCACGGACUUCCAUGUUGACAGGGAGUCGUCGGUGGUUCCGCUCUGGCUUCAAUUACCAAAACUCCCGCUGCACUUUUUCAAUAAGGAGGUGAUUUUCCAGAUUGCGUCUAUGGUAGGUAACCCUUUGCUAGUUGAUGCGGCUACCCUUGCAGUGUCACGGCCAAGUGUUGCACGGGUGUGUGUUGAGAUGGAUUUGUUGCGUUCGACACCGUCGCGGGUUUGGAUUGGCAAUGGAAAUCACGCUGGUUUUUGGCAAGAGCUGGUGGUGGAGAACCUUCCAAGGUACUGCUCACAUUGUUUCCGCCAAGGUCACGAUGUGGAGACUUGUCAUGUUUUAAAGCCCGAGUUGCGAGGAGCAUCUGGUCACCAUACCAAGACUACUGGAACAACACAACUACGGUUGGCAGAGACGUCGAAUACAGACAUGCCUGAUGGCCCUUUGGAGGGUAAUGGAGAAAGGCCAUCGGUAUUGAUACAAGAUGCGGCAGUAAUUGAUGGGGCAAAGGGAGAAGUUAAUGAGACUGUGACUGGCAAAGCGCUAGUUGCUCACGAUCAGUUAAUAGGUGGUACGCCUCACGAAGCUGAGCAAGGUGACCAGGUGCAGCAGUCCUGUGCUACUAUACCAGCGCAGCAGGAGAGGAAAAUGGAGGAGAAUUAUGGGACGGUGGCGGUAGAAGGUAUCGAGGUGGUGCUGCCACAUGACAAAGGAGAGGAACGUUCUGAGGAUGUGGGGAGUGGGUUGCCCGCGAGGGUGGUCGUACGUUCUGCUGAGGGGCAAGUUGAAGACAUACAAGAUACUCAACGAAGGGACGGUACCCUCUCCCCUAGGGGCAAGGAUCUUAUCCGACAAGAAGAGUCAUCACUAGAGACCGGGCAUAUAGACACGGGGGGUACCCUGGAACUAGAAGAAGUUGUUCGUAAGGAGCGAAUGGAUGCAAGGUCGCGUGGUCUCCGGGUUGGUCUCCCGUCAGAUAGAACACUACGCUCCAUGGUUAGUUCUUCAACAAAUUCUUUUUCUGUCCUUUCUGAUGAUUAAGUUACUUUUUUGGAAUAUAAGAGGGGUAGCUCGUGCUCCUAAUUUAAGGCGGUUAAGGAAACUUAUUAAAUUGUAUGAUCUUCAAUUGGUGGUUGUUGUUGAACCUAAGUUGAGGGUGGAGUCAAUUACUGAUAUUAGAAUUAAAUUGGGGAUGGAUUGUUGCAUGUUCAAUCAUUGGGGUUCUGUUUGGAUUUUCUACCGGUCAUUGUUUACGUGUCAGAUUACAGGGGAGUCUCCCCAACAUAUAACUAUUAGAGUACAAUCUCAUCUUUUCCAAGACUCCAUUAUUUUGUCUUGUAUACACGCGAAGUGUACGCAGCAGGACAGAGAGGAUUUGUGGAAUGCACUUUUGCAGGAUAAACCCGCCUUCAAUCCUUGGUUUUUGGUGGGGGAUUUCAAUGUGGUCACAAAUACAGAGGAGAAGAGGGGUGGAUUGCCAUUUAGACCGUCGGAGGGAUCAGACUUUCUGAAUUUUAUGGCGCUAGCUGGUGUCAGUGAUGCGGGAUUCUCUGGGUCAAGGUUUACAUGGUGUAAUAAUCGUUCGGGAACGGCGCGGAUCUGGAAGCGUCUGGAUCGCUUACUUCUGUGUGGGAGUGCAAUGGAGCUACCGUACCAAUUCAUGGUGCAACAUUUAGGCCGUGACCCGUCGGAUCAUGCUCCCUUGUUGCUAUCGGUGGAUACGAGGCUAGACAAUAAACCCAAGCCGUUUCGUUUCUUAAACAUCUGGACCACUCAUCCUGAUUUUCUGGGGGUUAUCAAGGACUGUUGGGUUCAUCCAGUCAAUGGCUCUCCUUUGCAAGUAUUGGCAUCGAAGUUGAGGAAUGUUAAAAAUGCCCUCAAGCAGUGGUCUAGGACGACAUUCGGGGAUAUUUUUGAAGGGGUACGUAGUGCAGAGCGUGUGGUAACCGAGUCUGAGACAGCAUACGACCUCGAUCCUACUGAGCAGCGACGGAGCGAGUUACAUCAUGCUCGGGCUCGAUUGCGCCGAGCGCUUGUAGUUGAGGAGGGUUUUUGGAGACAAAAGGCGCGGGUUAAGUGGCUUUCGGACGGAGAUAGGAACACCAAAUAUUUCCACUCCUUGGUUUCGGAAAGGAGACGUAGGGCAGUAAUUCAUCGAGUCAGGGGUACUGCUGGAGAAUGGAUCGAGGGGGAAUGCCAAAUUGGGGAGGCAGCGGUGGGUUUCUUUAAGGAACUUUUCACGGCAGAGGGGGAUCUUCCCUCCCUUACCGGUCUGGAGAUCAUACCUAAACUGAUAACAGACCAGGAAAACUCACGGUUAACGGACAUUCCAUCUCUUACAGAAGUUAAAGACAUAGUCUUUGCUAUGGAUGGAGAGAGCGCAGCCGGCCCGGACGGGUUUACAGGGAAAUUCUUUACCUUUGCUUGGGAGGUAGUGGCAUCGGAUUUAUACCGGGCGGUUGUCAGCUUUUUCUGCGGUGCUGAACUACCUAGGAGUAUCACGGCUACCUCAAUUGUGUUGCUGCCAAAAGUGGAGAACCCCCAAGAUUUUAAGCAUUUUCGUCCAAUCAGUCUGUGCAACUUUACUAACAAAAUCAUCUCCAAGCUGUUAUCGGCAAGGUUGGCGAUGAUAUUACCCCGGAUUAUAUCUCCACAGCAAAGCGGGUUUGUCCAAGGGAGGCAGAUUACAGAUAAUUUCUUGUUAGCUCAGGAGUUAGUAGCCGAUAUCGGGAAAUCAAAUCGGGGUGGCAAUGUGGUCAUCAAGUUAGACAUGAUGAAGGCUUAUGAUAAAGUCUCAUGGCCCUUUCUCCUACAGGUGCUACGAUAUUUCGGAUUCAGUGAGACCUGGAUAGACAUGAUUUGGCGAUUAAUAUCGAAUGUGUGGUUCUCGGUACUUGUUAAUGGUGGUUCAAACGGCUUUUUCAGAUCUUCACGGGGUUUACGGCAAGGGGAUCCAAUUUCACCAGCCUUAUUCGUUAUCGGAGCUGAGGUGCUGUCUAGAACCCUCAACACGCUACCCACACAAAGAGGAUUUACUCCGUUCAAAGUUCCUCCUCAUUGUUCUAUAAUUACGCAUUUGGCAUUCGCCGAUGACGUGAUUAUCUUUUCCAGUGGGGCCAAGUCAUCCCUACGUCUGAUUACACGGGUUUUGGAUGAUUAUAAUGAGGCAUCAGGUCAGCGAAUCAACCCUCAGAAGAGUUGUUUCCUUACUCAUCCACGGGCACCAUCUCAGAGGGCAGCGGUUGUUAACCAGAUACUAGGGUAUAAUAAACGCGACUUUCCAAUACGGUACCUUGGUUGUCCCUUGUAUACCGGAAGGAGCAAGAAGGUUUACUAUACGGAUAUAUACAAUGCGGUGGCGAAUCGGAUUUUGAGUUGGAAAAACCAGAUUUUAUCGCUAGGAGGCAGGGUGGUGUUGAUUCAGAGCGUGUUAUCCUCUAUGCCAAUUCACUUGCUGGCAGCCGCGUCCCCUCCAAAAGGGAUGUUGAUGGUCAUAGAGAAAUUGUUCGCCAAGUUCUUGUGGGGAUCUUCGAAUUUCGGGGAUAAAUUCCAUUGGAUACGUUGGGCAGAUUUGUGUCGGCCGAAGGAUGAAGGGGGUGUAGGCCUGCGGGGUUUGAAACAGGUCUACGACUCAUUUUCCAUUAAACUCUGGUGGAAAUUUCGACAACAACAAUCAUUAUGGGCAAAGUUUAUGUCCCAGAAGUAUUGUGCAGGUCAUCACCCUUGUCUUGCUGAUAUUGGGCAUCCGGGAUCCCAAGUUUGGCAGAGGAUGGUCACAAUGCAGCGUUUUGGGGAGGAUAAUAUUAGCUGGGUAGUUCGGGAGGGGGCUUUGGACUUUUGGCAUGAUAAUUGGAUGGGGUCAGGUGCGCUUUGUGACAAGGUUGAGGUCUUCCAUGAUCAUUCGGUGGUUGAUUUUGUAGAUCGGCGGGCUUGGAAUGUGGACAUGCUCCAUCAAUUCUUGGAUGGAGAAUUGGUUACGCAGGUUUUGGAGAUUGACCCUCCUACCGAUAGGGGAAAUGAUACAAUGGUAUGGGCAUUGACGAACUCGGGUGUUUUUUCCACUGCAUCGGCUUACUCAUUGAUCCGUCAAUCCAAUGACAAUUCUUGGCUUUUUGGUCGUAUAUGGCAGCAGGGUCUUCCAGUCAAGGUUUCUUUCUUUAUGCUGCGACUACUACAGGGGAGGCUCCCUCUUAUGGAUCGCCUAAAGAGGUUUGGGGUUUGUGGCCCAUCUAGAUGCUUGUGUUGUCAGAAUCCCCAGGAGGAGGAUUUGAAUCAUGUGUUUUGCUCAGGAGAAGGGGCACGAUUGGUCUGGCGACACUUCGAGAGUACUGCUGGUGAGUUUAGUGGGGUGCAUACGGUGCGUCAUAUGGUGUGGUCUUGUUGGUUAAGGAGGGGGACUAAUGAUCGUGUAAAGUUUUUGCAUAAUAUACUUCCUUCGGUGGUAUGCUGGGUUUUAUGGAAGGCUAGGAAUGAAGGGGUGUUUGAAGGUCGGAAGAUGAGGAUCAGGCCUACGGUGAAUCGGAUUGUUCAGUUUCUGCAUGAUUUCCUUCAGUCACGGUUCCCGGGGGUGCAGCCUUCUGCCCCUACAUGGGAAGGGUUGCUUCUCGAAUUAGGUAGUCAUCAAAGGCGGAUGGUUAUUAGGCCAGUUUACUGGGUAACUCCACGUAGAGGCUAUAAGUUGAAUUCAGAUGGAUGUUCUCGGGGGAACCCAGGAAGGAGUGGGGGGGGUGGGCUUGUGCGGGAUAGUCGAGGAAAUUUUGUAUUCGGCUACGCGGAGCCCUUCGGGGUGAUAACCAGCAUGCAGGCGGAACUUCGAGCGUUGCUAUGGGGCGUUAGACAUUGUGUGAUUCGAGGGUGCUUGGAGUUACACUUAGAGGCGGAUUCUCUCACCCUGGUUCACAUUGUUCAAGGGACUAGUGCUUGUCCUUGGCGUUUACAGAGAGAUCUGGAUGAGUUGAUGAUGUUCAAGCAAUAUUUCACAUCGAUCACACACUGCUACAGGGAAGCAAACGCACCUGCAGAUCGUUUGGCAAAUUUUGGUGCUGAUUCUAGUACAGGUCAUGUGUUUAAUACAUUCUCAGAAUUGCCGCAAUUGGUUAGGGGGGCUAUUAGAUUAGAUCGAUUAGGAUUUCCUACGUUUCGUACACGGUGUCUGGCAUGAAUUGGAAUAAGAAGCAGAAAAGGCCAAUGAAGGUGAAAAUGGCGGUUAGAAGGACAUCAAGGGAGGAAGAUUGACUGCUAAAAUCUUCAAAGAUCAUCCUUCAGAUUCACUGGAAGACAUCCUGAUAUGGAAAAAUGAAGAUUUAAUCUUAAUUUCAGUUUUUAAAUGCUUAAACUUUCACUAGCUUGUAAAUUUAUUGUCAAAUUGUGGUUUGAUGGCAGGGAGUUUCGUCCUUUUUUAAGGGGAAACUCUGCCGAAAUUUUUAUAAAAUAAUAAAAUUUCAAUUAAAAAAAAAAGUAUAUAUUUGUUGGUAGUGAAAGUAGAGAGAAAUUUAUACUUUUAUUCACUAGUUUGUUUGGAGUUCACAAGAUUGCAAAUGAGGUUGGAAUAACAUCUAUUUUUACGGAAAGCAGAAUGAAUAAUACAUUAACUAACUUUAAUACUUAUACAUGGAAUAGUACAUCAAGAUGAUAAAAUUGAGUUGUUUCAUGAGAAGAUAAGUGUAUCACAUUAAUCUAGGGGGAAAAUACAUGUAUUAAUCCUCUAGGGGAAUUGAAUGGACAUCCACAUCUAUUUGUAUUUGUUUCAUAACAAGUUUGGUGUUUUUGCCAUUUUUGUUUUGGGUAAUCAUGAAAAGUUUUAAGUCUCACAAAAAAUGAUAACUCUUUUUGUUUUAAUCCGUCGAGACAUUGGUUUACACUAUUAUCUCGCUGCAACAUAGUUUCAACAUAUUUCUCAAAAUAUUUUCAUCUAACUUUGAAUUCAUGUAUAUUCCUGUUUGGUUAAGUUACACUAAAUUUCUUUAACAAUUAUCAUUCAAUUCAAUAUACUUUAAAAUAAGUUAAAUUAAAAGAACCGUUUUCUCUUAGUCUUAAAAAGAAUUAAGUUAGUAAUAUUCAUAUUUGAGAACAACACGUUACCCACACUAAGUCUAGAAAAGAAUUACUGAUGUAUCAGAAUUAUCGUUUUCGAAAAAAAAGAUGUACCUGUUUAUUCAAAAAAAAAAAAUCAUUGUUUCACUAAUUUAGAUAAAAAAAAUCAACAAAAUUGAGAUGAUGUACAGAUUAUUGAAAAGGGGCCAAUUUUGUCAAGACUUCAUGUUUUCUCACCAAAGCUAUUGAGCACCAAUCUCAAAAAAGUCAUAAAGAGCCAAGCCAAAGCAAAAAAAAAAAUCAAUAAGGAAGGCAACAAACUGGCCUGUACGGUGACCUUAUCCUUUUGGAUUCAUUUCAGCGGAUAAUGAUUCAUUUACACUUGAUAGUGAUGUAAAUCUGCAUCCAUCUUCAAAAGCAAAAAAUACCUCCCUUGUUUCCUGUUAAUGAUCAUGGAAGUCAUCUAUAGCAUCCUAGUUCUCAGUUUCUUGGUAGUCUUAGUUGCUAUAAAACAUCUUCAAGAAAACAAGAGAACACUAAAGCCUCCAAGUCCACCAGCUCUCCCAAUUCUAGGCCAUCUGCACCUCCUGAAAGCUGCCCCUCACCGUGCUCUUCAACUUCUCUCCAUCAAAUACGGCCCCCUGAUUUCCCUUCGAUUUGGGAUUCGUCCUAUACUUGUUGUUUCCUCACCAUCUCUUGCAGAGGAAUGCUUCACUAAGACUAAUGAUGUUAUCUUUGCUAACCGACCAGGGUCCAUUUCUGGCAAAAUCCUUGGCUACAACAACAGUACUAUCGGAUUCUCUCCUUAUGGAGACCACUGGCGAAAUCUCCGCCGUGUUACCACCAUCCAUAUUUUUUCUUCCGCUAGUCUCCACAACUUUUCCUCAAUCUGGACAGAGGAAAUCCGUUUCAGUGUCAGGAAAUUGUUCUCAAUGAACUCUGAUGACAAAGUGUGGAAAGAUGUAAACAUGAACUCUGUGUUCUUGGAUUUGGUAUUCAAUGUGAUCAUGAAAAUGCUUGCAGGAAAAAAAUGGCCAUCUGAUAAAACAGCUGAUUUGUUUUCGCUGAUCUCCUUCAUGGGUAUUUGUGAUUAUGUCCCUGUCUUGAGAUGGAUUGGAUUUCGAGGGUUGGAGAAAAAUUUGAGCAAUUUACAGCAAAAGAGGGACAAAUUAUUCAGGGAUCUCAUUGAUCAAACUAGGAAAAAGGAAGGUGAAGGUGGCUCAUGCUCGACUGAGCAGAGAAGAACUGUUAUCCAAGCAUUGCUGUCCCUUCAAGAUGCUGAACCUGAAUUCUUAACUGAUGAAACUGUCAAAGGGAUCAUACUAGUAAGCCAACUUGCCAUUUCUCUUUUCUCCUUAACAUAAUAUUUUUUGCUUUGGUAAUUAUUGCUCUUUAUAUCCGGUUUCUAUUUUCAUAUUUCAUUUUUUUUUAAUGCAAAUCAACCUUUUCUCCAAUUAGUCAGUGAACUCCUCUUCUAGCUGGUAAUCUCUUAUGUUGGGCUUUACAUUCAUUUUGACAAUACAUGCCUUGUUGUUCUUCUAGAUUAUGUUCACUGCUGGAGUACACACUUCAGCUCUGACCAUGGAGUGGGCUAUGUCCCUUAUGCUAAACCACCCCCAGGUAUUGAAGAAGGCAAGGAGUGAAAUAGACAACAACGUUACACAAUCAGGGCAAUUGAUUGAGGAUUCAGAUCUCUCCAAAUUGCCAUAUUUGCGUUGCAUAAUCAAAGAAACACUUAGACUUUUUCCUGCAGCACCAACUCUUUUGCCUCAUUAUUCAUCUGAGGAUUGCACCAUAGGAGGCUUCAAAGUUCCUAAAGGCACAACUUUGUUAGUAAAUGCUUGGGCUAUUCACAGAGAUCCGAAGGUUUGGGAAGAGCCAGCCAAGUUUAAGCCAGAAAGGUUUGAGGGAAUUAAUGAAGGGGCUUGCGAUGAAGGGUUCAAAUUUAUUCCAUUUGGAAAAGGUAGGAGGGCUUGUCCAGGUGCUGCCUUAGGCAUGAGAUUUAUUAGCCUGACGUUGGGAACAAUGCUACAAUGUUUUGAUUGGGAAAGAGUAGGGCCUCAAUUGGUGGAUUUAGAAGAAAAAUCUGGUAUAACUUUGGACAAGGCCAAGCCUUUGGAAGCAUUGUUCAGGCCACGCUCAUCCAUGAUUGAAUUGGUUUCUCAGCUUUGACUAAAGAACAUGACUGGUGGCUUUUGAAGAUUGUAUCAUAAUACUAUCUGAAAUACUUAAAGCUCAAACUACAAAGGUGCACCUAUUGCAAAGUGUGAAAAAAAGUGAAAAUAAGAGGAAGGAGAAUAUAAGCAUGAAAAUCUUUCAGUCUAUGCAGUUAUUAAAUAUUAAAUAGGCUUUGAACUAAACCGUGUUUGGCUUUUUCUUUUUGCUUUUAAUAUUGGUCUUUUCAAUUCACUGUAAGUGCAUCUACUCGAGGUCUUUGGUUUUCCACAUUUGUAAUUAUAGAAAAUCUUCAACCUUAACUGCGUUUCUUUGUUGUUACAUAAAGUGGUUUUGGGGCUUCAACAAAACAAGCAAAAAGAAUGUCUUAUGAGUAGAGAUGUCAAUCAAAAUCCAAUUAUAUUGGUUCGUCCAAAUCCGCCCACCAAUGAUCGGCUCAAACUCACCCACUAAUUUUGAAUAAAUUUAAAUGAGUACCCAAUUAAAUUCAUUUAAUUAGUGAAUAGUGAGUUGACUCGAUUCAUCCAUUUGUAUCCAUUUAAAAAUAAUUAGACACUUAAACUCAAUUUUUAAUUAGUGUUAAGCAAAUAAAUUUGAAUUUCUAAUCAAUUUAAUAACAAUAAAUACCGUUAUUUCUUAUCAAAUAGCAUGCAAAAAAAAGUAGAAUUGUAAGUGACUCAUAAAUAGAUAAUUGGGUAUAUCUAUACUCAUUUAUUAAAUGGGUAUAAAUGAAUUGACUUAAUUAUACCAACUACUUAAUUAUGACCACCCAAAUCACUCAUUUUAGCACAUCUACUCAUGAGUAGCGAGGUUACCGAGCUAACUCGAACCCAAUUAUGGGUAACUCGAGCUAGACUUCAAAGAAAAUUAGCUAAGCUCAAAUUCAAGUUUAAGUUCGACAGUGAAUUUCCUUUCUAUGUCAUAACUCAGUGUAUCACCAUCUUCAAUUUAUCCACCAAAACCGUUGCUAAGUUAGCUUAAGAACUCUUUUAUUGGUAUCAGUCUCUUUUAUUUCACAUUCACUCAAAACUUUUACAUGUUUAACUUCCUUUGGCAUACUUUUUUCUUUGUCAAAUUUUUGUUGGCGGUGUAUAAAGCUUUCAAGUUUUUCAUAUAUCUGUUUGAUGUAUUAGAUAUGCAUAAUUUUGAUGUUGCAAGUAAAUUUAUGAAGAUACAACUCUUUUCGUGAGUUACAGGUACACAUUCACCACUUCGAAUCCCAGAUUAUUAGAUUUUUUUUUUGUUUUGCAUUUUUUUGAAUUUUCAAUUUAUUUGUGAACUUUUCAAAUUUUUGCAAAAAUUUGUUCUUUUAGAAUGAUGACAGGUAUUUUAGAAGAUGUCUGUAGGUAAUUAUAAGUUCAAUUUAUCCACAGUCUCGUGUAGGGAUGGCAAUGGGGGCGGGUGCCCGCGAGGGGCUCUCGGGGCGGGGGGUGGGGCGGGGGCGGGAGGGAAUUUUUUCCCCCCGCUUAGAAACGGGGCGGGGGACGGGGGAGUAUACCCCCGUCCCGCCCCCCCGCCACCGCAAAAAAAAAUAAAUAUAUAUAUAAUUAUAUAUAAUAUGUAAGUUAAUUAGUUAUAAACUUAUGAUAAUGAUAUUAUUAGUUAGAUGUAUUAUAUAAUGUAUAUUAGUUUAUGUAAUAUAAUUGAUAUUAUCAAUUAUAUGAAUAAUUAUACAUGUCUACUAAUAAAAUUUAUUAAUUAGUUAUACUAAAUUUACUAAUACAUUUAUACUAAAUUUCUAAUUACACUUAAUAGAAUAACACUUUUUUCUCAAAAAAAAGCACAAACACAAUAAUGAAUUAGUGAUUGCAUUUGUACUAAAAGUGAAAACUUGACUAUUUUAGUUAUAUUUAUUUCAUCAUAUUGGAUUGUAUUCAAAUAACUUUUGUUUGAUUGUUUUUAUGAGUUUCAAUUGUAAAAUUACAAUGAAUAAUAAUUUGGUGAUGUGUUCAUAUUUUAGUACUUGAUUAUUUAUUAAAAUUUAAUUAUAAUAAAAUUAUAUAAUAAAAUUUUAUUAACCCCGCGGGGGAAGCAGGGCAAGGCGGGGCGGGGGCGGGGGACGGGGGAGGGUCUCCCGCCCCAACCCCGCCCCGUUGCCAUCCCUAAUUUCGUGAACGUUGAAGGACCAAUACCUAUUAAGAUCGCAAAACUAAUUUUGGAGUCUCCAGAACACAUAAUUCUUAAAGAAUAUUCAAGCCAUUUUUUUUUUCAGGGUUCGUUUUCACACUCUAAUUUUUUAACUCUACAUCAGUUAAUCAAAUGACUUCAAUUUAUUAGUGCCACUAAUUUCAAGGUCAAAUUUGCUUAAAUUUUCAGUUUUGCAAGUCCCUGGAAACUUUUAUCAUCUUCAUCUCAAGUAUCCCUGUAUUCUUGCUUUUAUUAUUCACCCAUGUAAACUUGAUUCUAAAUGCACAUAUGCCUCGUUGCUAAAGUUUUUAUUCAAUGUUACUUGAUAACAACUCAUAAGUAUGCCCUUAUGAAACAGCAACAAGGAAGAUCUUGAAUGCGCCUAUUCGCAACCCAGGAAUAAAUUAACCUAAGUACAUCCCAGUAACAUGGAGAAUCAAAUCAUGGUUUCACAUAAAAUAUGAUGGACCAAACCUUUUUUCACAUAUCAAAAUAAAGAAAUAUAACUUGAAGCAACUUGACAUAAGUUACCCUGGAAUGAUAAUGCAAUAAUAUCUACUAUAGGGGGAGGGUUGGGUUGGGUGGUACGGGGGAAGGAGUGUAAGCAAGAGGCCUCGGGUUCGAAUCCUACUGUUUACACUAAAAAAAACAAUAAUAUCUGCUACAUAAACUUCUCAAUUAUGUCUGUUUUUUUUUUAACUUCUCAUUUAUGUCUAACUGCUUCUAAAAAAUGUCAGUGUCAAUAUAAUCAUUAAGAAGAAAAAUAUUGGACUGCAAAAGUGGACUUUAAGAGAAGGUUCAAGAAAAAAGGAGACUGUGCAAUUAAAUGGCAAACAUCACUUUGAUAACAAUACAUAUUUACUUAAGAAGAAUUGUAUAAAAGAAUAAACGCAAAGACUAAGAUUGUAAUUUUUUUUUAUUUUUUUUAAAUAUAAGAAUCACCUAUUAAGCUCUAUAAUUAAUAUUAAAUCUAAAAAGUCAAUUAUUUGGCCUUUAAAACUGUGUUCACAAACUUUUUAUCUCUUCAUACUCAGAUUUUAUAUAAUGUUUUAGUAAAAUCAAUAAGAACACAUGAGAAAACUAUCUCUAAAAGGCUAAGGCCGUAAAAUAAAGAGAAUGACCAAGGCAAACAAAGAGCAAAAAUGAGCAAAAUAUGACAUGAAAUAUUUGUCUCUAAAAAAGGACAAGCUCAGUGCUAAGAAAGAUAUAAAAGCUUCUUAGAAAAAGAAGCUUAGAACCAUACAAUUUUAACUAACCUAUAUUACAUUUGAAGUUUGAAUAAUUAAAAGUUCAAUGGACCGAACUAUUGUCUUGAAAUAAUAUGAGUUUUGCAAUUCUACGGUAGAUUCAUAAAAGUGCUUAAGAAACACGUGGGAUAACACUGUUGAGAAUGAUGUGUUCACUGAAUAACGAAAUUGACGGGAUUUUUAUAUAUCAAUGCAAGUUUAAUUCCGAUUUUACACCCGUUGGACUGCAAGUAUACAGGUCGCAAUUGUAGUACAAGAUGUGUAUCGGGUCGAUCCCACGAGGAGCUAUUAAAACAAUUAUUAGACACUAAUUUACUCUAUUAUUUAGACUCACAAUAAAUUUGAGCAGAAAAAUUCAGAAUUUAAUUCAACUACAAAAAUUCUUAACUAGAUAAAUGCAAUUUCACAAAAGGAAUAGAAUUCACUAAAUAUUAAGAUCUAGGGAUGUAGAUUCCACUUAUGACUCAAAAGAUCUAAAAUGAAUUAAUUCAACACUUGUUAUUGCUCUUGUUUAACCAAGGAUUCAUUUCCAGAAAUACCAAAAUCACAUUCUCAUGAUAAUAAUGGGUUAAAACAGAUUAGUUUUUCCUAAUCUCUUGGUAAAUACUAAAUCUGUUCUUAUUCACACAUGAAAUGCAGAUUUCAUCCACUUGAAUGUAUUUCUAUUCUCAUGAAUAUACAACUCAAGUUCUACUUGUGUCAUUCCAUUAUUUUUACCAUUUCUUAAUGAAUAAAAACAACUAUAAACCUGUUAUUGGUGAUCAAACAACAACAAGUAAUCAAGCAUACACAAGUAGAUAAGUUAAUACAAGAUAUAACAAGUAUAAAUCACAAUCACUUCAUAUCACUUGGCCAUAAGCUUCAUCUACUCCCUAGAUAAAGGAAAUUAGCUACUCAUGAAUGAUGAAACACUCAUAAUUUCAUUAAUGCAAAUCAUCAUGAAUUUACAAAUACAAAAAGAGUAAAGAAAGUCUUAGCCAAGAUAUGGUGAAGCCUUCCAAAAAUCUCCUUGUCUUGAAUUUAGAUGAUUACAAGAUGAAACCUCAAUUGUCCCUUUGCAAGUACCUAGCUAGAGAGAAUAUGUUUUUCUGUAAGAAACUAAGCUACGUAUGGCUCUCCCAGACCUCUCUCAAUGUCUUAGCAUAAAAACUACUCAAAGGCUCUAUUUUUCCAAGUCAAAUUCUAACCUUUGAUUCCCCAAAUCUGCACUUUGUUAGCAUAGUCAAAAACCAAUAUUUUUGACUUGAAAAUAAGCCAUCUUUAUUGCCCUUUUGUCUUCUGAGGCAUGUGCACCGAAUUCUCUUGCAGAUUGUAGCUGGAAAGUAGUUUGAACAUAAGAGAAUUGACUGAGCAAAUUGCAGAAUUACGGCCAGAAAACGCGCCUACACAAAACGCGGUUACAAGUCACGUUUUGUGUACUCGCGUAUUCACUUUGGCCUUACUUCAUCUGCGAUUUUCUCUAUCAUAAAGGCCGAACUGGCUUUUGUGCAAAACACCAAAGUUGUAGCUCUUUGAGUUAGCUUUCCAAUGCUAUAAAAAUCAUCCAAAUCGGAGUUGUGCAGCCUGAGAUAUGGUCGAAAUAGUCUCACCUGGUCAAACCUCUGUUUCCAGUUUCGACCACAGAGUGCAGCUUCUGUAUUCCGACUUUUUUUCCAUGAAAUGGGCAGAAUUGGAUUUCGAUGUCUUCAUACGAAUUGUAGGUCUCUUUCUUAGCUUUAAAAUGGUAUAAAUAUCACCUUAAUCCGAUAAGUGUAGCUCCAGAUAUGAUCAAAAUACUGAAGAGUGUUAAAACUGAUUUGUAUUGCAUUUCCUCACUUGAACGUUUUUCACUUCAUUCUUCUUGUUACCACUUGAAUUCAUCACCAACUUUCUAUUUUUCAUCUCAUUUGACAUCCUUUGGUGAUUGAAUCAUCAUUCCUGCAUAAAAAUGAAGUUUUUAUCAUUAAAAUCACUAAAAAUGCAAUAUUAUCCACUUUUACCAACAAUAUAUAAUUUUACCAAAAACCUCUUUAUUUUAUUUAUAAAACUAGAUAAUCAACUCAAAAUUAACUAAUAAAAUGCACUUAAAAAUACGUAAAAUAAACUCUUAUCAGAAAUAUGAUUUCAUCACAACUCCAAAUAUUAUCAUAGAAAUUUAUAAGUAAGAUAAUUAAGUAGUAUUAUCUUAAAACUAAAGGGAGAAAUUUUGUUUCAAUGUCGACAAAUGCAACGUGCAUUUUCUUAGUCUAUUAUUAAAAACUUGUCCAAGGAUUCUUCCAUUUUUAUAAUAGGUGUUAUCUCAUUUUAUAUGCUAAAAUUACUAAAUUAAUUUUGAGAGGUCGUUAAGUCUAUUCUAUAUCUAAAGUACCCCUUCAGAUGAUAAACUAUUUAGGGGGAAAAAACUGUGAAUUUGAACAUGCCUAAAAGAAUUAAGAAAUAAAUUUACAAUAAGGAAAGAUAGACUUAUUAUCAUUAGUGGUGACUGAAAGCAUUUUUUGUUUGAGUGAGAAUGGCCCCUAUUUUUUAUUAGAUAAAAAAUUUAAAGAAUUAAAGAUGCUCAUAAAAUAAGAUGAAACAAUAAGGGAAGGAAAUAAAUCAAUCCAUUAAGGCUGUAGGCGAGGAGCUUUAAAACUUCCUACAAAGAUAUUCUAGAAUAAGUCUGAAAAUAAUAGUAACAAAGUUGGUUUACAUUAAUAGCUUGAACAACACAAGAAAAUUAUUAAAAAAUUUUUAGUAGUUUGCCAUAGAACACAAACCACCUUAUGAAUUAUACUUGUUUGACAAUAUCAAAACUCUUUCCACAAAGCACUUAAACACCACAUACAUCAUCACACUUGAGCUCGAAUCUAGCUCAAAUCUCGGAUCGUUUACACCUAAUACAUGAGUGGUUGAGUGAUCUAGAAGUGGGCCGGAAUUUUUAAACUGAAAAAAAAUCUUUUUAUAUUUGUAAUGAUUUGACUAUUUAGAUUGAAUCAUAUAAUAAGUCCAGAUUUGGAUGUAUUGGAUGGUACCGGAGAAGCGAACGUAGAACAAGAUUUUAAAAGAAAAGGUCCUUAGUUAAACUGCAAAUUAACUCAUGUGAUUAGCUCGUGAUUGUCCACACGGCGGAUCGAAAGUGGUAAGAGAUGACACUAAAGUAUCAAAUAUAUGUUGUCCCGUACUAUUUGGAUUUCAGUGAGGUUUAUGGAGUAAUGUGAAAUCUCAGCGUGCAAAAAGGGGCCGCAAUCAAGAAUAUUUUGACUGAUCAAGCGCCUGCAUUUUGUCUUCUUCCUAUUAUUUGUUUCUAAAAUGCCAUCCUAAGGUGCAUUACUAAAUAAAGGCUCAUUUGGUAAAUAAAUUUUUUAGGUGUUUGUUUAAAAUUUUACUGUAAUUUACUGUAAGAGUUGUAGAAAAUAUUUUUGAAGUGUGUAAAUUUUUGGAUAUUUUGAUGUGCAUAGUUUUAAAGUUUUAAGAAAUUUUUUGAGAUUAAUAUAGUUAAAAUAAUUUAAAAACUUGUAACAGACAAAUUUGACAAAAAACUUGCUUGCCAAACAUGCCCAAAAUUUGCUUUUGACCACUUUGCAGAUCAAAAUAGUCUUCGGAUUAGUAAACAUUAUUAGUUUAAAGAAUUACUCUAGAGUGCAAUUUAGAAAUCCAUUGUAAACGAGAGCAAGCCAUGUAACAAGAUGUCAAACAAACUGUAAGGAUUCAAAUACGGAAUAAACAACUAUUGAGAUAUCAAAUGUAUAACAAUUUAAUGAAAAACAAGCCACAAGUAUGAAAGAUAAACGACACACAACAUUUAACGUGGUUUGACUCCACCAUUGAGCCUACAUCCACGGAGAGAAACUUGUUCUUUAUUAUGAGAGAAAAAUCUUAUACAAGAAUACAACUUGAACCCAAAUCCAACCCUUGUAUACCAUCUCUCAUGUCCCAAAAACCCUCUCUCACACCCCAUGUAUAAGGUUACAUAAUACCCCUUGUGUUUGCUUGUGUAUCUUUGUAGUAUGCCAAUCUACCUAUUUAUAGAGAACAUUACUGUCAAAAAAUCAAAUAACAAUUGGAAACCAAUACUAUUUUCUAAACUCAUAUAAAGUAGAAAAUAGUAUCUAAUUCUAGCUAAAUAGGGCUUUACUUGACUACUAUUUCAAGUAACUAAAUCCAAUUAGAAAACUAGUUACUUCCCACACCAAAUAGGAAUCUUGACUAAAAGAAAUUAAGCCAAUUUCCUAACAAAUCUCUACCUUGGCGAAUAUUUCUUUUAGCAAACACAGCAAACCAUCCAAAAACUCCAUUUGCCUUUAACUAGCAAAUAAUAUGGUACCAAAUUACACACCCGAAUCAAUACAGUCCUGCCACCAAAUUGAUUCAAUCGGCAAAUGAACAUGUGUAGUUACCAUGAGUCCAACCUGCAGUUGACUCGUGAGAAGGUGCCUCAAUUCACCAUCUCCCUUUGCAGGAUUUCUUCUCACCACCACUUGCAAUCUGGGAUCCCCUUCUGUGAGCUCUAACCCUAACCAUUGAGGCAAUUAAGUGGUAAAGUCGCCAUACUUCUUCCCAUCCUCAGGACUGUCUCGCCACAUAUAAUUUCCAAGACUCCACCUAAAACAAAAAACUCGUAUCUGUCAGAGUCUUCUGGCGUAUAGAAAUUAGAUCUCCUUGUUUCUUUGGGACACGUGCCACACCAUCCAAAAAACAUAACCAAAAUUUAAAAUCCACCGGGAUGAAGUAUCAACCGUUGGAGGUGUGAAAAGUCUCCACCAAUUCACGUCUAAAAUCAAUAUUGGAUUCCAUCUUUUCCUUGACCCUUGAAUCACCUGCCUAGAUUCACCGUCAAGCAUCUCCAUAUUUUUCGACUUUUCAUCCUUUACCAUCAAUGCUUUUUGUCAAGCUAUUGAAACAAGGAUACUACCUAUUAAAUUGUUCAAUUGAUGACAGCUACCAAUCCACUUGAUCUCAAUAGUUAACUAGGAUCCAACUACGAAUCUUGAGCAGCCCAGUCUCGCAACCAAGCUCUGAUACCACUUGUUAGGAUUCAGGCGUGGAAUAAACAACUAUUGAGAUAUUAAGUGCAUAACAAUUUAAUGAGAAACAAGCCACAAGUAUGAAAGAUAAAUGACACACAACAUUUAACGUGGUUCGACUCCACCAUUGAGCCUACGUCCACGAAGAGAAACCUGUCUUUAUUAUGAGAGGAAAAUCCUAUACAAGAAUACAACUUGAAUCCAAGUCCAACCCUUGUAUACCAUCUCUCAUCUUCCAAGAACCCUCUUUCACAACCCAUGUAUAAGGCUACAUGAUGCCCCUUGUGUCUCCUUGUGUAUCUUUGUAGUAUGUCAAUCUACCUAUUUAUAGAGAACAUUACUGCCAAAAAACCAAAUAACAAUUGGAAACCAAUACUAUUUUCUAAACUCAUAUAGAGUAGAAAAUAGUAUCUAAUUCUAGCUAAAUAGGGCUUUACUUGACUACUACUUCAAGUAACUAAAUCCAAUUAGGAAACUAGUUACUUUCCAUACCAAAUAGGAAUCUUGACUAAAAGAAAUUAAGCCAAUUUCCUAACACAAACUAAGAAGAAUUUUUUUCAACAACAGUCCUUUAUUCAACCUUUAAAAUAUCCUUUUCAUUUGUUCCAGUUGAAAAGAAUUACUCCACGAUCAAUUUUUUACAAAAGUCCUUUUGAAUAUCUGUUGGUGCAUACAAAAUUUAAAGUUGUAUUGUUAUGUUAGGCUUUACUUUCAUUUUGACAAUAAAUGCCUUGUUGUUUUGAGUGAUUAUGUUUACUGCAGGAAUACACACUUCAACUCUAACCAUGGAGUGGUUUAUGUCCCUUAUGCUAAACCACCUUGAGGUAUUGGAGAAGGUAAGAAAUGAAAUAGACAACAAUGCCACACAAUCAGGGCAACUGAUUGAGGAUUCAGAUCUCUCCAAAUUGCCGUAUUUAUGUUGAAUAAUUAAAGAAACAGUCGGACUUUUUCCGGCAGCACCAACGCUUGUGCCUCAUUAUUCAUUUGGGGAUUGCAGUAUAGGAGGCUUUAAAAUUCCUAAAAGGCAAACUUCAUUAGUAAAUACUUGGGUUAUUCAUAGAGACCCUAAUGUCUGGGAAGAACCAAACAAGUUUAAGCCAGAAAGCCAGAAAUUCGAGAGAAUGAAGAGGUAUGUGAAGAAGGGUUCAAAUUUCUUCCAUUUGGAAAAGAUAGGAGGGCUUGUCCAGGGACAGCCUUGAGCAUGAGAUUGAUUAACCUGUCAUUGGGAACAAUGCUACAAAGUUUUGAUUGGGAAAGAUUGGGUCCUCGGUUGGUGGAUUUGGAAGAAAAACUAGUUUUGACUUUGGGCAAGGCCAAGUCUUUGGAAGCAUUGUGCACAAGUCAUGCUCAUCCAUGAUUGAUAAUCAUUCCGCAGCUCUGAGUUAGCUUCCAAGGUAACUAAAGAAAUAUUUAUUUAGGGGCUGCUUGUUUCACAGAUUGGAAUCGGAAAUGGAAAUGAAAUCAUAGACUCUGGUUUUGGAAUUAAAACUUUUCAUUCCAAUAUCUUGCUUGGUUCACACAUUGGAAUUAGCAUUGUUCCAAUUCCUGAUGCUGGUUUGAUGAGUGUUUCGGAAUUAAAUGCAAUUAAAUUCCAAAAUUACCCCUGAUAUAACAAUUCUUCUAAAACAAAAGAAUUACACAUACGACAAAUUAACAUCUUCAUAAUUGUAACUACAAUAGUUAUUAACUUUUUGAUAAAACAUAAGAAAAUCAUAAAUAAUAAAAAAAUUAAUACCAGAAAAUAAAUAUAGUGGCUGCAUUAACAAGGAGUAAAUUCCCAGAAAAAGGAGUUUUUAAACAAUCAUCCAAAAGGUGACAAUUUUUGAGUCUCUUCCCAAAGGGUGAAAAAUGCAUCCAAGGAAUGUGUUCUUCCAAAUAAAAACGCAUCUUUCAAAUACGUUAUUUUAUGUUUUGGAAAUUUGUUUAAAUAUGAAAAAUUGGUUAAAUAGCCCAUAAGAUACCAGCUCUUUAUGAGAAAUUGGCAGGUUUUGUAAUAUGUUUUGUACCAGUUUUAUGAGAAACAUACAUUUAUGGGAAAAAUUGAUUAAAUAGUGCCCAAAGGAAAACUAGUAUGUUUUGUAUUUAAUAUAAAUUAAAUAUGUGAAAGUUAAAAAAAAAAAAAAGAAAUUGCCCAUAAGAUACCAGCUCUUUAAGGGAAACUGGCAGGUUUUAUAGUAUGUUUUGUAGCAACUCUUUAUGGGAAACAUACCAGCUCUUUAUGGGAAAAAUUGGUUAAAUAGCGUCCAAAGGAAUACUAGUAUGUUUUGUAUUUAACAUAAAUUAAAUAUGUGAAAGUUAAAAAAAAAAAAGGAAAUUACCCAUAAGAUACCAGCUCUUUAUGGAAAAUUAGCAGGUUUUGUAUUUAAUACGCUAUUUAACCAAUUUUUUAUAUUUAAACAAAUUUACGAAAAUUAAAAUAAUGUAUUUGAAAGUUGCAUUUUUAUUUGGAAGAACGCAUUUCUUGAAUGUGUUUUUCACCCUUUGGGAAGAGACUCAAAAAUUGUCACCCUUUAGGAAGUUAGUUUAAAAACUCUUUCUUUUUGGAAAUUUACUCUAUUAACAAGUCGUUUGUAGUUCCUAAAUUAGAUAAUGAUAUGAAAUAGAUCUCUCCUUACAUAUAUGAAUAAAAGAAGGAGACUCAAAUCACAAAAGCUAACCAUACCAAAUACAAAUCAAUUGUCUAAUCCAGUCGAGAGUGCCAGUCAAUGUCCACAAUCUCCAAAAGACUAAUCAUAUCACCAUAACAAAAAGAAAUUGCCAUCAAAUCAUCACUUUCCAGCUAACAAUAAUUUUACUUCAGCGAGUAGAUGGAGGACAAAGGAGGUUAAUUACAUAUUGUCAUUUCAUUUCUGCAGGAAGAUUGUAGAACACAUGAAGCUUGGAAAUCUGCUCCGAAAGUAUGUCGGCUGCAUUCAUUACAUCUCCACUCGGUAAAGCAAGUUUCAUUAACUCAGCAACAACUUGAUCUCUUCUAUCGGAGACCAAUUGCUCACGUUUAUCGUCAUUUGACAUGGCUGCUGCCAUAGUUGUGAAAUUAGCUUGAAUUCUCUCCACGAAAUCUCCAAAUUUGCUGGUGAGAAGUUGCAAUGAUGCAUCAAGAUCACCCCUUGUUGUUGAUGCAGAUUUUAUUUUUUUUGACACAUUUGCAAUGGGAGGUGAUUGUUUCUUUUGUUUCUUGGAAUUUCUUGUGCCUGUUGAGCUUGGUUGAGUUGAUUGCUCCAUGGAAUUUACUUCAUCUUCUUCUACCUUAUCAUUAUCCGAGUUUGACAUAGCAUCAAACCCUUCAUCUCCUUCCUCCAAAUUUUGGACAUCUUCCAUAUCUUGGACAGCUUGUGCAAAAUCUUCAGCAACAUUUCCAGUGACUCUGUCUCUUCCAUAUACAAUUUCAAGAUCUCCUAAAUAUGAAAAUUUGACAUCCCAAAAGCCCUUCGCAUCCUUAUGAGUCUAGGGGUAAGAUAAAUGAUAAUCCUAAUAAAAGGUUGAAAAAGAACAUAUCAGAAUGUAAAAAGUAAUCAAUUUCUUACCUUGCACCAAUCAUCAUACCACUGUUUUUCACAAGAAAUCUUUUUCUUAGCAUCAUUCCAACUACAACCACUUUCUUUGCACAUUUCAACAAUUGCAUGGAACCUAUUUUUGAUUCAAUAUGUGGGCUGACUUGUUUGGUACAAGUAGGUUGCUUACUCAAGAUAAUUUUAAGCAAUUCGCUCAUAUAAUUAUUUUUAAAUCCUCCAUCUGAUUUUCACAUUGGAUCACAAGCCAACUCUUGCAAUGCUUCUAUGAGCACUUUUACCUCUUCACCAGUCCAAAAACAUUUAUUUUUCCAUCUUCCACGUACAAUUUCAUCAUUCUCCAUCCUAUCAUUUAGAAGUCAACCCAUAUAUAUCAAUUAAUUUUGAUACACAAUAGCAUAUAAACUGAAAUUUAUAAUAUAACAAAACACAUAAAAGAACAUACAAUUAAAAGUCAAUCCAAAUUUAAAAGAACAUACAUCAAGUGUCAAUCUAAUUCACAAAUCCACUACAAGAGUACAUCAAAUGUCAAUCCAAAUUUAAUGAGUCUAAGAGCUAAACAUCCAUUCAUAGCUAAAUACUAAGUCUAGCCCUUCAAUUGUCAAACAUUUCAUGUGCUAAAUUAUUUCUAGAAUUUGCCCAUUGAUCACUUGGCAAAAUAGUGGAUAUGUACUCUACUUCUUCAUCACUGUCUUCAUCUUCACUUUCAUUUUCUUCACUUUGUAGUAAUUCUUGUGGAUCAAAAGUCAUGAACUUCCUUAUCAAGUUGUGCAGUAGACAACAUGCCAUAAUUAUUCGCACUUGUGUUUGAAUUGGAAAAAAUGAAGGGGAUGCUAGAAUCUUCCACCUUCCUUUUAGCAAUCCAAAACAUCUUUCUAUGAUAUUUCUAGCUUUAGAAUGUUUCAUGUUGAAAUAUUCCUCUGGUCUUUGUGGUCGAUAACCAUUGAAUUCAUUAAGGUAAUAUCUUUGCCCUCGAUAAGGGGCAAGAAAUCCAUCAGCAUUACAAUAUCAAGCAUCCACCAAGUAAUAACAACCUUCAAAAUUCAAUCAUGCACAAAUUAAUACUAGACUACCUUAUUUUCGAAAAAAAAUUGAUUGAAUGGUAUUGAAUACUGCAAUAUAUGUUUACCUUGUGGGACUCUAAGACCAUUUGGUCUAGAGAUAGCAUUUCGAAGCACACGACCAUCAUGUGCCGAACCUUCCCAACCAGGCAAGACAUAGAUAAAUUGCAUAUUAGGAGAACAAACCCCUAAUACAUUCGUUGCAAUACUUCCUUUUCUCGUUCGAUAUCUUGAUUUUUGUUCGGUGGGUGGUGUCACAUCUAUUAAUGUCCCAUCUAAGGCACCUAAACAAUUCUAUUUUAAGAAAAAUAAAAAAUAUAACAGAGUUAAAAUGUCUAUAUUGGAUAGUUUAGAUGAAAAUAUAUAUUUUAUUAAAUGAUUGUAUUUUAAUGUUUGAAUUACCUUAAAACAUUUCCAUCUCUCAUCUGUGCAAUCUUCGGUAAUAGGCUCAGGCUUCUUAAGUAAUAUAGUAUGCAAUUUCAAAACUGCUAGGAGGCAAAGAUUAAAUUGACGACUCAUCGUUUCUCUCCUUCUCCAAAAUAGACCACAAAUUGUUCUACUUUUCUUGUGGUGAGCCAAAACAUAUACAAACAUGGCAACAAUUUCUUCUAUUGACAUGUUUCUUGUAGCUUUCAAACCUCCAGUGUCUCUAAUCAUUUCACAUAAUAUCCCAAAUGUUCGUCUAUCCAUACGAAGUUCGCUAAUACAAUAAGCAUCACUCUCCCUAGUCAAAUUGAAUAAGUGUUGCAUGCGCUCAGUGACUUUUUCUUCUUUUGAUUUUAUUUGGCGUCUUCUACUUUUGAGAUGAAUAAAUAUUAACUGGUACCACAUCAUAAACAGUGCAAUAACAACCAUUAUCAUUCCUGAUAAAAUCUGGCUUUGCCCUUGAUAUUUUUUGCUUCUUCUGUUUUCAAUAGGCAAACGUGGCAUCUUUGUCUACAUAACAAUAUGACAACCAAACGUAAGUAUUCACAAUAAGACAGGUUUGACGUUGUUUGGCGGAAUGAACACAACUGAAGCUACACUUAUUGGAUUAAGGUGUAAUUUACACCGUUUCGAAGCUAAGAUAAAGGGCUACAACUUUGAUGAGAACCACUCAGUCCAGUUCAUAGUGUAGCAAGGUCAAAUUUCAAGAUACCAAACCAGAAUUGCACAAACAGGUUAGCUACCGUAUUAUGGUUAAACGACCAUAACUUAGGCUACCAAGGUCCAAUCGGGGCGUUUCCAGUGCUGUUAGAAAGCUAAGACACCGCACUAAAACUUUUGUGUUUUGGCCAAAUUCUAAUUCGGUAAGGAUCAGGGUGAAAAGUCUCGGUCAGAUUGGGUGAAGUGUCAACUCUGUCCACCGAACUCUACCUAGGGCAAUCUGGGGGUAUUUCUGUCUUUUUACAGGCUACGGAGCUUAGAUUGGGCUGAAAAUUUACAGAAAACUAUAAAACAUCAUUUUCUACAACUUUUAUGUUUUAACCUAAGGCUGAUUUGGCCUCCAACCUAGCCGAAUAGAACCGGGCAGAAUAGGGGUUAAUUGAGACCCUAAUCUGGAAAUUUCAGUACAAAGCGGAAAUUUUCCGCAAAUAGCUACAAUUUACGCAUCAAAGCUUCAUUCUAGACCAUUCCAACCCAUCAUAUAUGGCCAACCAACAUUAAACAUAUAAAAUAGAAAAAUCAUAGAUAAAAAUAAAAAUUUCACCAAUCUCUACCAAAAGUCAAGAAAUCUUCCACAAAAUCACAUCUUUAACCAACACAAGUCAUUAAUUUGACAUUAUCAAGACCAAAGAAAGAAUUCCCUAGCUACUCACCUUGCAACCUCAAGAAAGGAAGCAACUUAGCACCAAUUUCUUCCAAACCACUUCACCCACUACCUCAAAACCACCUAGCUAAGGGUUUUUAUGGAAAGAUUUGAGGUUUAAACGGUUAAAUUGCAAGAUUAAGCAAGGUUAGUUGAAGAAGAUUGAAGGGUUUUCUUUUCUUUUCUCCCUUGUGAGAGUCGGCCAAGAGAUGUAUGAAGAAGGUGAAUUUUUGGGUCAAUUUCUUGGUUAUUUAGUAAAGUUGGUAAAAUGGUCAAAGUCCAACUUUAAGUCACCAAGUGACACUUGUCACCUUUUUAGUGCAACUCUAUCCUUUUGUCUCUCCAAUGAUAAUCCAUCUAGGUAAUCUCUAAUUAUCUCUUAACACUUGAUAAAUUAAAUCCGGUAUACCCAACUAAACCUAAUUGGCCGAAUUUUACCGAACUUACCGCACUAGUGGGUCCCAUAUCCGGUAUAUACUCUUAAAACCUCAUGAACUAACUUAUACUAGAAAAAUAAUUUAAAAACCAUAUUUGCUCAUAAAAAUUAAUUUAAAAAUUUUUCGAAUAAAGAAAAUGUGAAAAGCGUGCAAUUAGAAUAAAAUAAAAUCUAAAAAUUAAGAAAAUUACGGGUUCUCACAGAUGUCAUGCCAAGAAUUUCACUUUUACAUUAUAUAUUUGGGAGUAGCCACAGUAUCCCAAAUAUUUGAUGUGAAAAGUUUUUCAUCAUAUACAGUUUGGUGAUUGAAAUUAUGGAUUUUUAGUCAACAUAUUGGCUAGUUGACAAUUUUUCUUAUAACGCCAUAUACAUAGGAGUAGCCAUAGCAUCUUAAGUAUAUUAGUGUCUGGAGAAAUUUUGUAUUUUUUUCACAUAUUGUUGAGUGAGUAAAGAAAUUAAAAAAAAGGAAUCUAUAUAAAGUUGCAAUUAAUUCACUAAGAUAGUUAUUCGGCCCCACAAGGAGGUAAUUAUUUUGCUGAGAUUAAUUGACAUGAGAUGGUAAAUUAGAAAGUAAAUUAAGAGAUAUUUCUAUGCCCACAGGUACUAAUUAUUUCUUGAAUUUAUUGUUUUAGAUUACUAGUCUUAUGAUUAAGGAAAGUAAAUUAUAUGCAUUUUUCAACCUUUGGCCAUAGGAAGGUUUGAAAUUACUAUUUGAAUUGACAUAAGGUUGAUUAAAAUCAAGGUACAAACUUCAUAGCAUUUUUAUAAUAUAGUUUUUGAUUGUUAAUUUAGUGUUUCAUUCCAAUGAUUUUAUGGUUCUUAUUAGGUUGACUUUAAAUUCGUUCUCCUUUGUUUUGGGUGCAAGUUUUAAAUUAGCACUUUUAUGAGAAUGAACAAACCAUUCUCAUAAUAUGGAUAUACUUGCUAAUAUAGAGGUUGAGUAUGAGAAUUAGAAGCAAUUUAGUAGUUUGCUCAUUCUGUCUCAUAUUCACAUAAAAUAGGGUUCAAAUCCUAAUUAUUUAUAGUUAAAUCUUGCAUGAAAGUCAUAAAGAAAUUAUUGCAAGUUUUAACUAGCACCAUUAGAAGGCUUUCUUUUGUGACACUUAAAUAUUAAAGUGUAUUUUGAAAAGAUGAGAAUUUUGCUAUAUCGUGAAUUAAAGUCCCAUCAAGUUGAGAUUGAGUUAUUUCUGUUGCAUUUCAUUCUUGAUUCUUUCAUAAAUAAUUUCUUAGCCAUUCAAACCUUUAUAAUACACAUAAAGAUAUAUGGUUAAUCACUUGUUUAACCAUGUGUAUUAAAAAAGAAUAAAGAGGUUAAGAAAUAAGAGAAACUUAACCUUCAUGAAGAAGAAAUGUAAAAAAAGAUAAUUUUGUUCUCAGUAAGUCAAACAACAAUAAAGACCAAUAUUAUUUGUAAGAGAGUGAUACUUGAUGCUUUACCUUGAGAGAAAGUAACUCAAAAGAAAAUCUCAAUUGUUGAGUGUUAUAACUUGUGAUAUAUUCGUGAAUUGGCUAAAGUUGUGAAUUUGCAUUGCUAGUAUAAUAAGUUUCUGAUUAUAUGCAAAGUGAACAAAAGUUUCUUUAUAGAAACUAAAAAUAUUCACAUAAAGUGAUGUAUUAUUGCUCAUUUCAAGAAAAUUUAUUUUUCUAAAACAUUAUUUUCUUAUUACUUUAAAAUUUUUAUUUUCAAAUUAAUUACUAUCGGGUAUGAUUACGAACCUCAUUAUCCAGUAGUAGAUUUUGAAAAUAGUGAAGUUAUUAAUUCUAAAGUUUCCAGUACCAUCUUUUGAAUUGAGCAAAAUCAUACACUUGACCACAAUAAUUAUAUUGGCAGCAAAUAUGUUUAUCACUAGGGGAAACUCCUUAAAUUUUGGCAUAGGAAAUUGAGAUAUAUCUCAAUAAAAAAUAAAGAGUUGAUAAAUCAUAAAUUUUUAAAGAUUUUAGAUUUAUUAACUAUGAUAUUUUAAGUAGACUACAUAAGUAAAGAGACUACUCAACCUGGAUGCCAUAAGAGUUUCAUUAUAACACUAAAAUUUUGUGAAUUAUUUGCUACCCUUUUUUAUUGGUGAGGGAUAUUUAUCUCAUUAUUAGAUAACUAUUCAUCAAAUACAAAGCUCCUUUCUUAUUUGAUAAAGAAUUAAUAUUUGAUACCUAUGCAAGUAUUCAAACGAGAAAGGAAAUUUGAAAUUUGAAGGAUAGAAAAUAAAAUGAAGGCACACCAAAAAAAAGGGCUAUCCUAUUUGUGCUCAUUAAAUAGGAAACAUUGCUAAUGAGUAAAAGCAAUGCUUGAUUGGUUUCAUCCAAUGGUGUACUUUAAGGAAAUAAUGAGAUACUUGUGGAUAUAGCAUAUUGGCAAUAUUUAUAUCUUGUGCGUAAUGCCUUGAAAUUGAAGUAUAUUCUUAAACAAUUUCUUCCAAAAUUAUUUAAACACCACUUUGAUUAUGAUAUGGAUGAAAAUCAAGUUUAAGAUAUUAUGUUUAGUUUUGUGAGGGUGAUCAACCUACACAUAAAGAAACUAUACAAAAGAAACAAGACUAUCUUGCUCCAAGAAAUUUAGAUUCUUUUACACUUCAAAAAUUAUUAGAACUGAAGAUUUAAAUUUCUUAAGAGCAUGAAGUAAGUGGGAGUGUUUUGACUCUAGAAUGGAGUAUUGAAAAGCUAAGGAUUCAUAUUUGACUCCUUUGAAUAUGGAAAAUUGAUAGCUUUUCUCAAAAUUAUUAUUUAAUUAUUUUAGAUAAGCAAUCGAAUGAAAAAUUCCUUGUCAAAUAAACACAUGAAGUAAAUCUACAUUGAACCCACUGGUUGAGUUAUCUUAUAGACAGCGGGAGGAAAAAUGUUCUCUAUAAAAAAUUGAAGUUCUUUAAUUACUAUGUUAUAUAUCUACAAGAGUUUAAGGAUGAAUUGUGUAAUGUUUUCAUGAGGUGCAAAUGGAGAAAUCUCCACGUUCAAGAAUAGUGUCACAAAUUACCACAAAAUCUCUACCAAAUUUGAGAGAUUAUAUUUGGGGUAAUUAUGGCACUAGUAACUCACUAUUAGAAGAACAUUAGAUAAAUAUGAAAAUGAAUGUCCUUAAUGCAAUUCUUGAUAAUCAGGCAUAUACAUGUGUCACCAUGGUAGAGAAUGUAAUUUAAACCAAAUUAUUGCUCCUCAAUAGUAUAUUAAUUUGUUCUUCAUUUGAUCUUAGAAGAAUUUUUCUAGUAAAUUAAUAUACAUUAAGGUUAGUGGGAGUAAUACUAUGAGAGUUUUUCUCAAUCAUGAUAUUUGUGAAACCCUUCUAUCAUUAAUAUUCACAAAAUAGAAUGUAAAAGAUAGUUAAUCUGUCUUAGAACCUUCAUGCAAGAGUUCCUUGAUAAUAAAGAACAAAUAUUGCUUUUAAAUAAUAAUAGUGAACAAUUGCAUAAUGUUCACAUCAUGCAUUGGAAUGAAUAUAAAUUCACCAAGAACGCUAUGAAGUUGUACUACAGGUAUCUAUUAUUUGGCCUAAAGUUUGUCGAUAUUGUAUUUUGGCUAAUAUAGAUAUUUGAUUUGAUUAUACCCUUUCAUUAUGUAUACAUAAAAGAGUGGGAGUCAAGACAUUCAGGUCGACACAAGGUAUUCAAUAGUUAUUUAGAAAGUAAAAUGUAGCUAUUGAGUACACAGCAAGGACUUAUUAUUGUUGAUCAACAAUUAAAGGUUGCCGGGUAAGUUGUUAAUGAUCAAAUAACUCAUAUAGAACUCACUAGGUCAUUUAGUAUUUUGCUAUCAUUCUAAAACUAUUGUUGUUGUCUAGACACUCAAAAUACUUAUGUUACAUGAUUUUGUGCACAUUAUUGUUUAUGUAUAAAGUAAAGAUCAUGUGAUCCAUAAAGUUGAAUCCUGAAUAACUUAUAUGAAGUUAUUCAUAAAAUUUUUUUAAAGCACUUGAUUAGAAAGUAUAAUAUAUUGUAAUACAUAGAAGGAAGUGUUUGUCAUGAGAACAUAAUCGCCAUGAUUCAUGUAUUAUUAUUUUCUGAUUAAGCGACUAUUACAUAAUUGUUGAAUUUGGUGAGUGACAAACAAAACUUAUGGCCAUUUUAAGUAUCUAGUCACUCAUAUGUUAACUGACUAUUUCAUGUGGGUCAAGUGGAAGAAAGUAAAACUUGCCUCUUUUAGAGGCAAUUGUGACCCAUAUGAUUGAUUCUAAAUUGAUUGAUAUCCUAAUUAAUUGAUUGAUAUUUUCAAUAAUUAAUUUUUUUGAUGGAAGGAAACCCUAGAGAUUUUGAUAAUUGCUAGUAAGGGUUCCUGGCCUAACCUAUAAAUAGCCUAUGGUAUCCCAUCAACACUACACUCUCUGAUUAGGUAUAGACUAGAAACUCCUUACUCUAACUUUUUCUUCUAUAUAUAUAUAUAUAUAUAUAUAUAUUGGAAUAGACAAGAAAGAGUCAAAGAGAUGAGGAGAGACCAAUUUGUACUUAAUAAUGAUGGUUAGAGGUAAGUCUAUUUAGAUUUUCGCUGCAUAGUACAUUCAUAUGUACAUAAUUAGUAUAGCAAGCUCAACCCUAUUGACAAUUCUAUUUUGUAUGUAUAUAUUCUUGCUGUGACGACUCUCAAUAGUUCACAAGUACCGCGUUUACUCUUGUCAAACUGUGUCUGCAAUUAGAUUGAUUUUGAUUACAGAGCUCAGGGGACAAUGCGAAAGAAAUGCUGUGUAAGGGACCUCUGUAUUUUCUCAGUGCAAAAUUCAUCCAAAAUGAGCUCGUGCUAGGCUCCUGCUUGAUAGGAUCUUGGUUUUGAGCUGAAAUUUAACUCAAUUAGUUGGUAAGGCUAGCUGGAAUCAGUUAGAGCCAUUUAUUGGGUAAGCAAAGCUCAGAGUUUUCUAACCAAGACAUAAAAAGCAUGAUAAUGCAGCAGAGGACGAUGUGUGCUGGCCUCCUUUUGAUAAAAUCCAACUUUGGUGGGGUAGGAGGUUGGCUAAAAUGUAAGUUGAAAUUUUGGAAAAUGAGAAUAUAGGAACAUUCAAAUUUCAUAGGGAUAAUUUUAGAAACCUCCCCUAAGGUUUCUGAUAGUUUCACUGUCUUCCCCUAAAGUUUUAAAUAUAUCACUAACCUCUCUUAAAACUAAAUUUUCUUGUAACAAAUUAGCGCAAUUCAAAAAAAUUAAUAAUAAAAAAAUGAUUUCAAGAGUGAGAAAAAUAUUUCAUACAAAAGUGCCCCUCAACUAAUUACUAGUUGGUUGACUUAGAAUCAAAAGGGAUUAUUAGUUAAGAAUAGAAAAUAAAAACCAUAGUUAGAAUGUGUCAGUGUAAGUAAGGCAAAUUACAAUACUAGCAUGAGCCCACUAGAAUUCAAUAACAAUGGCUCGCAAAAUCAAAGAAUUGGAAGGAAAUUUUAUUAAUUUAGAAUCAAUAUUUACACAUUGAAUUCCUCAAUUCUUAGUGGUGAAAUUUGGAAGAUUUUGAGUAAGAAUUAAAUAAGACUAAGUAUGACCUUUUCAAGAAAAAUGCCACAUUAAAUAAAAAAUAUAAAAUAUGAUCAAAUAUUGUUUUGAAUUAUUUCUUUUACUUACAAGGUCCAUUAUUUCACAUGAUUACUAAGAAAUUUCUAUCAUUUGUAACAAAAAAAACAACUCUCAGGCAAUGUUUGCAUGAAUAGAAUGGAAAUGACUUUAAUGGAAAAUAAGUAAAUCAAAGUGGAGAAAAUCAUUUUAAACAAUCUUUUUGGAAUUAUGUAUACAAAGAAAAAGAAAAAAAAUUGAAAAUAGGGAGAGAAUAGAUUAUGUGCAGUUACACUUUAUCUAAACUUAAUAAAAUUUAUUUGUAAACAUAUUUUAACAAUUUAUCCUUUUUGUGCAUUUUUGUAUUCAUCUUGUUAUUUUUAUAAAAAAAACUUAUGAAAUAAUAAUCUCUCAAUAUAAAUUUUAAUCUUUUUUGGGGGAAGAAAUUACAAGAACUACUAAAAUUAGAAAAAGAAUUUAAAAUGUUAACAAUUAUUGUUAUAAAAUUUGGUAUUCAAGAUUUUCAAGCUUUUUUACAUUCCAAAUUAUGGGAGUACAAGUGGCUCAACUAUCUCUCCAUACAACUAUGUAAAAUUUCCCAAGUUGCAGGGUAAUAAAGUCAUUUGACCAUUGAUGUGGUAAGCAUUGAAUUCCAAUUGGUUGACCGGGGGAGGGUAAGUGAUAUUUUAAGAAUCUUGGGGGAGGGCAGUAAAAUUGUCAUUGAAAUUAUCCCAAUUUCAUAAGUAGGGCGAAACUUUUAUUAAGUUUGUGGAUGGGGUAUGGGUUACUACUAUUCACCAAACGAACAGAUUUUUGGCUAAGUAAUUAAAUCACACUUGUAACAAUGUACACUUUGUCAAGAGCAAAAAAAUUCUUUUUUGAAAUGUGCAUCUUAUCGAACAAUAAUAUGCACCUAAAUGAUAAAAAUAUGUAGUUUGGUAAAAUGUACAUAAAUCCAAAUAUGCACAUCUAAAUUGAUACAGCUGUGUAUAGGUAUAAUCAAAUUACACACAUACAAGUCGCAAUAUGUGCACAUAAGGGUAAUUUUCUUAUUAUACUUACAAUAUUUCUUUUAAUAGUUCAUGACCAUUAACUCGCACCUCAUGCAAGGGGUAGGGAUGGAUUGGAUGUUAGAAGGAAGGGAAUGUAAGUGAAAUGUCCUGGAAUCGAGACAUCCCGCCUAUAUUAAAAAAAAAGAAAAAAAAACUCAAACGUCAUUCAUAAAUUUUCCAAAACUUACACCUUCUUUUAAAUUUUAAAUCUUUCUAUUCCCUUUCUCCCAAUUAUCCCAAAAUUUAAAUUGGCUGGUGGGAACAUGAAAAAAUAACUACGGUAGUAGGGAUCUAGACUCCUUCACUUGAAUGGGCCAAAUUUGAGUGAUGUUAUUUUCAGCAGCACGAAAGACACCGUAACUUCUAAAAUUAUAAACAAACACAAAACUCCCUCAGUCAUUGAAAGUUAUAAACAUAUAUAAAGGUCCCUUGGUCGUUACAUGUAUUGUUCGGGAUUUUAAAUAUUCGUGAAAGUGUAUAAAAAUCACAAGUCAAAUAUCUAAGCUAUAGGGUUAACGAUAUAGGAUGACGAUUGAGAAAAAUUACAGUUAAAGAGUUUUUUGUGGCUUUCAAAAUUACAAUGGUUUUUCGCAUUCCUAUUUUCCUUUUAUUAUACACUUAAAUCGAUGUUGUUUGCCAGGAUAAAUAUAAACGUGGCCCAAAAAGAGUAGGAACUAUCUCGUGCACCAGCAUACGUAGUUUUAUUGUAUAACUGAUACUAAUACGUAUAUAUUUGUUGGUAGUGAAAGUAGAGAGAAAUUUAUACUUUUAUUCACUAGUUUGUUUGGAGUUCACAAGAUUGCAAAUGAGGUUGGAAUAACAUCUAGUUUUACGGAAAGCAGAAUGAAUAAUACAUUAACUAACUUUAAUACUUAUACAUGGAAUAGUACAUCAAGAUGAUAAAAUUGAGUUGUUUCAUGAGAAGAUAAGUGUAUCACAUUAAUCUAGGGGGAAAAUACAUGUAUUAAUCCUCUAGGGGAAUUGAAUGGACAUCCACAUCUAUUGAGCACCAAUCUCAAAAAAGUCAUAAAGAGCCAAGCCAAAGCAAAAAAAAAAAUCAAUAAGGAAGGCAACAAACUGGCCUGUACGGUGACCUUAUCCUUUUGGAUUCAUUUCAGCGGAUAAUGAUUCAUUUACACUUGAUAGUGAUGUAAAUCUGCAUCCAUCUUCAAAAGCAAAAAAUACCUCCCUUGUUUCCUGUUAAUGAUCAUGGAAGUCAUCUAUAGCAUCCUAGUUCUCAGUUUCUUGGUAGUCUUAGUUGCUAUAAAACACCUUCAAGAAAACAAGAGAACUCUAAAGCCUCCAAGUCCACCAGCUCUCCCAAUUCUAGGCCAUCUGCACCUCCUGAAAGCUGCCCCUCACCGUGCUCUUCAACUUCUCUCCAUCAAAUACGGCCCCCUGAUUUCCCUUCGAUUUGGGAUUCGUCCUAUACUUAUUGUUUCCUCACCAUCUCUUGCAGAGGAAUGCUUCAGUAAGACUAAUGAUGUUAUCUUUGCUAACCGACCAGGGUCCAUUUCUGGCAAAAUCCUUGGCUACAACAACAGUACUAUCGGAUUCUCUCCUUAUGGAGACCACUGGCGAAAUCUCCGCCGUGUUACCACCAUCCAUAUUUUUUCUUCCGCUAGUCUCCACAACUUUUCCUCAAUCUGGACAGAGGAAAUCCGUUUCAGUGUCAGGAAAUUGUUCUCAAUGAACUCUGAUGACAAAGUGUGGAAAGAUGUAAACAUGAACUCUGUGUUCUUGGAUUUGGUAUUCAAUGUGAUCAUGAAAAUGCUUGCAGGAAAAAAAUGGCCAUCUGAUAAAACAGCUGAUUUGUUUUCGCUGAUCUCCUUCAUGGGUAUUUGUGAUUAUGUCCCUGUCUUGAGAUGGAUUGGAUUUCGAGGGUUGGAGAAAAAUUUGAGCAAUUUACAGCAAAAGAGGGACAAAUUAUUCAGGGAUCUCAUUGAUCAAACUAGGAAAAAGGAAGGUGAAGGUGGCUCAUGCUCGACUGAGCAGAGAAGAACUGUUAUCCAAGCAUUGCUGUCCCUUCAAGAUGCUGAACCUGAAUUCUUAACUGAUGAAACUGUCAAAGGGAUCAUACUAGUAAGCCAACUUGCCAUUUCUCUUUUCUCCUUAACAUAAUAUUUUUUGCUUUGGUAAUUAUUGCUCUUUAUAUCCGGUUUCUAUUUUCAUAUUUCAUAUUUUUUAAUGCAAAUCAACCUUUUCUCCAAUUAGUCAGUGAACUCCUCUUCUAGCUGGUAAUCUCUUAUGUUAGGCUUUACAUUCAUUUUGACAAUACAUGCCUUGUUGUUCUUCUAGAUUAUGUUCACUGCUGGAGUACACACUUCAGCUCUGACCAUGGAGUGGGCUAUGUCCCUUAUGCUAAACCACCCCCAGGUAUUGAAGAAGGCAAGGAGUGAAAUAGACAACAACGUUACACAAUCAGGGCAAUUGAUUGAGGAUUCAGAUCUCUCCAAAUUGCCAUAUUUGCGUUGCAUAAUCAAAGAAACACUUAGACUUUUUCCUGCAGCACCAACUCUUUUGCCUCAUUAUUCAUCUGAGGAUUGCACCAUAGGAGGCUUCAAAGUUCCUAAAGGCACAACUUUGUUAGUAAAUGCUUGGGCUAUUCACAGAGAUCCGAAGGUUUGGGAAGAGCCAGCCAAGUUUAAGCCAGAAAGGUUUGAGGGAAUUAAUGAAGGGGCUUGCGAUGAAGGGUUCAAAUUUAUUCCAUUUGGAAAAGGUAGGAGGGCUUGUCCAGGUGCUGCCUUAGGCAUGAGAUUUAUUAGCCUGACGUUGGGAACAAUGCUACAAUGUUUUGAUUGGGAAAGAGUAGGGCCUCAAUUGGUGGAUUUAGAAGAAAAAUCUGGUAUAACUUUGGACAAGGCCAAGCCUUUGGAAGCAUUGUUCAGGCCACGCUCAUCCAUGAUUGAAUUGGUUUCUCAGCUUUGACUAAAGAACAUGACUGGUGGCUUUUGAAGAUUGUAUCAUAAUACUAUCUGAAAUACUUAAAGCUCAAACUACAAAGGUGCACCUAUUGCAAAGUGUGAAAAAAAGUGAAAAUAAGAGGAAGGAGAAUAUAAGCAUGAAAAUCUUUCAGUCUAUGCAGUUAUUAAAUAUUAAAUAGGCUUUGAACUAAACCGUGUUUGGCUUUUUCUUUUUGCUUUUAAUAUUGGUCUUUUCAAUUCACUGUAAGUGCAUCUACUCGAGGUCUUUGGUUUUCCACAUUUGUAAUUAUAGAAAAUCUUCAACCUUAACUGCGUUUCUUUGUUGUUACAUAAAGUGGUUUUGGGGCUUCAACAAAACAAGCAAAAAGAAUGUCUUAUGAGUAGAGAUGUCAAUCAAAAUCCAAUUAUAUUGGUUCGUCCAAAUCCGCCCACCAAUGAUCGGCUCAAACUCACCCACUAAUUUUGAAUAAAUUUAAAUGAGUACCCAAUUAAAUUCAUUUAAUUAGUGAAUAGUGAGUUGACUCGAUUCAUCCAUUUGUAUCCAUUUAAAAAUAAUUAGACACUUAAACUCAAUUUUUAAUUAGUGUUAAGCAAAUAAAUUUGAAUUUCUAAUCAAUUUAAUAACAAUAAAUACCGUUAUUUCUUAUCAAAUAGCAUGCAAAAAAAAGUAGAAUUGUAAGUGACUCAUAAAUAGAUAAUUGGGUAUAUCUAUACUCAUUUAUUAAAUGGGUAUAAAUGAAUUGACUUAAUUAUACCAACUACUUAAUUAUGACCCGCCCAAACCACCCAAAUAACUCAUUUUAGCACAUCUACUCAUGAGUAGCGAGGUUAUCGAGCUAACUCGAACCCAAUUGUGGGUAACUCGAGCUAGACUUCAAAGAAAAUUAGCUAAGCUCAAAUUCAAGUUUAAGUUCGACAGUGAAUUUCCUUUCUAUGUCAUAACUCAGUGUAUCACCAUCUUCAAUUUAUCCACCAAAACCGUUGCUAAGUUAGCUUAAGAACUCUUUUAUUGGUAUCAGUCUCUUUUAUUUCACAUUCACUCAAAACUUUUACAUGUUUAACUUCCUUUGGCAUACUUUUUUCUUUGUCAAAUUUUUGUUGGCGGUGUAUAAAGCUUUCAAGUUUUUCAUAUAUCUGUUUGAUGUAUUAGAUAUGCAUAAUCUUGAUGUUGCAAGUAAAUUUAUGAAGAUACAACUCUUUUCGUGAGUUACAGGUACACAUUCACCAUUUCGAAUCCCAGAUUAUUAGAUUUUUUUUUGUUUUGCAUUUUUUUGAAUUUUCAAUUUAUUUGUGAACUUUUCAAAUUUUUGCAAAAAUUUGUUCUUUUAGAAUGAUGACAGGUAUUUUAGAAGAUGUCUGUAGGUAAUUAUAAGUUCAAUUUAUCCACAGUCUCGUGUAGGGAUGGCAAUGGGGGCGGGUGCCCGCGGGGGCUCUCGGGGCGGGGGGUGGGGCGGGGGCGGGGGUGAAUUUUUUCCCCCCGCUUAGAAACGGGGCGGGGGACGGGGGAGUAUACCCCCGCCCCGCCACCCGCAAAAAAAAAAUAAUAUAUAUAUAUAUAUAUAUAAUUAUAUAUAAUAUGUAAGUUAAUUAGUUAUAAACUUAUGAUAAUGAUAUUAUUAGUUAGAUGUAUUAUAUAAUGUAUAGUAGUUUAUGUAAUAUAAUUGAUAUUAUCAAUUAUAUGAAUAAUUAUACAUGUCUACUAAUAAAAUUUAUUAAUUAGUUAUACUAAAUUUACUAAUACAUUUAUACUAAAUUUCUAAUUACACUUAAUAGAAUAACACUUUUUUCUCAAAAAAAAGCACAAACACAAUAAUGAAUUAGUGAUUGCAUUUGUACUAAAAGUGAAAACUUGACUAUUUUAGUUAUAUUUAUUUCAUCAUAUUGGAUUGUAUUCAAAUAACUUUUGUUUGAUUGUUUUUAUGAGUUUCAAUUGUAAAAUUACAAUGAAUAAUAAUUUGGUGAUGUGUUCAUAUUUUAGUACUUGAUUAUUUAUUAAAAUUUAAUUAUAAUAAAAUUAUAUAAUAAAAUUUUAUUAACCCCGCGGGGGAAGCAGGGCAAGGCGGGGCGGGGGCGGGGGACGGGGGAGGGUCUCCCGCCCCAACCCCGCCCCGUUGCCAUCCCUAAUUUCGUGAACGUUGAAGGACCAAUACCUAUUAAGAUCGCAAAACUAAUUUUGGAGUCUCCAGAACACAUAAUUCUUAAAGAAUAUUCAAGCCAUUUUUUUUUUCAGGGUUCGUUUUCACACUCUAAUUUUUUAACUCUACAUCAGUUAAUCAAAUGACUUCAAUUUAUUAGUGCCACUAAUUUCAAGGUCAAAUUUGCUUAAAUUUUCAGUUUUGCAAGUCCCUGGAAACUUUUAUCAUCUUCAUCUCAAGUAUCCCUGUAUUCUUGCUUUUAUUAUUCACCCAUGUAAUCUUGAUUCUAAAUGCACAUAUGCCUCAUUGCUAAAGUUUUUAUUCAAUGUUACUUGAUAACAACUCAUAAGUAUGCCCUUAUGAAACAGCAACAAGGAAGAUCUUGAAUGCGCCUAUUCGCAACCCAGGAAUAAAUUAACCUAAGUACAUCCCAGUAACAUGGAGAAUCAAAUCAUGGUUUCACAUAAAAUAUGAUGGACCAAACCUUUUUUCACAUAUCAAAAUAAAGAAAUAUAACUUGACAUAAGUUACCCUGGAAUGAUAAUGCAAUAAUAUCUACUAUAGGGGGAGGGUUGGGUUGGGUGGUACGGGGGAAGGAGUGUAAGCAAGAGGCCUCGGGUUCGAAUCCUACUGUUUACACUAAAAAAAAACAAUAAUAUCUGCUACAUAAACUUCUCAAUUAUGUCUGUUUUUUUUUUUAACUUCUCAUUUAUGUCUAACUGCUUCUAAAAAAUGUCAGUGUCAAUAUAAUCAUUAAGAAGAAAAAUAUUGGACUGCAAAAGUGGACUUUAAGAGAAGGUUCAAGAAAAAAGGAGACUGUGCAAUUAAAUGGCAAACAUCACUUUGAUAACAAUACAUAUUUACUUAAGACGAAUUGUAUAAAAGAAUAAACGCAAAGACUAAGAUUGUAAUUUUUUUUAUUUUUUUUAAAUAUAAGAAUCACCUAUUAAGCUCUAUAAUUAAUAUUAAAUCUAAAAAGUCAAUUAUUUGGCCUUUAAAACUGUGUUCACAAACUUUUUAUCUCUUCAUACUCAGAUUUUAUAUAAUGUUUUAGCAAAAUCAAUAAGAACACAUGAGAAAACUAUCUCUAAAAGGCUAAGGCCGUAAAAUAAAGAGAAUGACCAAGGCAAACAAAGAGCAAAAAUGAGCAAAAUAUGACAUGAAAUAUUUGUCUCUAAAAAAGGACAAGCUCAGUGCUAAGAAAGAUAUAAAAGCUUCUUAGAAAAAGAAGCUUAGAACCAUACAAUUUUAACUAACCUAUAUCACAUUUGAAGUUUGAAUAAUUAAAAGUUCAAUGGACCGAACUAUUGUCUUGAAAUAAUAUGAGUUUUGCAAUUCUACGGUAGAUUCAUAAAAGUGCUUAAGAAACACGUGGGAUAACACUGUUGAGAAUGAUGUGUUCACUGAAUAACGAAAUAUGAUUUCAUCACAACUCCAAAUAUUAUCAUAGAAAUUUAUAAGUAAGAUAAUUAAGUAGUAUUAUCUUAAAACUAAAGGGAGAAAUUUUGUUUCAAUGUCGACAAAUGCAACGUGCAUUUUCUUAGUCUAUUAUUAAAAACUUGUCCAAGGAUUCUUCCAUUUUUAUAAUAGGUGUUAUCUCAUUUUAUAUGCUAAAAUUACUAAAUUAAUUUUGAGAGGUCGUUAAGUCUAUUCUAUAUCUAAAGUACCCCUUCAGAUGAUAAACUAUUUAGGGGGAAAAAACUGUGAAUUUGAACAUGCCUAAAAGAAUUAAGAAAUAAAUUUACAAUAAGGAAAGAUAGACUUAUUAUCAUUAGUGGUGACUGAAAGCAUUUUUUGUUUGAGUGAGAAUGACCCCUAUUUUUUAUUAGAUAAAAAAUUUAAAGAAUUAAAGAUGCUCAUAAAAUAAGAUGAAACAAUAAGGGAAGGAAAUAAAUCAAUCCAUUAAGGCUGUAGGCGAGGAACUUUAAAACUUCCUACAAAGAUAUUCUAGAAUAAGUCUGAAAAUAAUAGUAACAAAGUUGGUUUACAUUAAUAGCUUGAACAACACAAGAAAAUUAUUAAAAAAUAUUUAGUAGUUUGCCAUAGAACACAAACCACCUUAUGAAUUAUACUUGUUUGACAAUAUCAAAACUCUUUCCACAAAGCACUUAAACACCACAUACAUCAUCACACUUGAGCUCGAAUCUAGCUCAAAUCUCGGAUCGUUUACACCCAAUACAUGAGUGGUUGAGUGAUCUAGAAAUGCGCUGGAUUUUUGAAACUGAAAAAAAAUAUCUUUUUAUAUUUGUAAUGAUUUGACAAUUUAGAUUGAAUCAUAUAAUAAGUCCAGAUUUGAAUGUAUUGGAUGGUACCGGAGAAGCGAACGUAAAACAAGAUGGUAAAAGAAAAGGUCCUUAGUUAAACUGCAAAUUAACUCAUGUGAUUAGCUCGUGAUUGUCCACACGGCGGAUCGAAAGUGGUAAGAGAUGAAACUAAAGUAUCAAAUUUUUGUUGUCCCAUACUAUUUGGAUUUCAGUGAGGUUUAUGGAGUAAUGUGAAAUCUCAGCGUACAAAAAGGGGCCGCAAUCAAGAAUAUUUUGACUGAUCAAGCGCUUGCAUUUUGUCUUCUUCCUAUUAUUUGUUUCUAAAAUGCCAUCCUAAGGUGCAUUACUAAAUAAAGGCCCACUUGGCAAAUAAGUUUUUUGGGUAUUUGUUUAAAAUUUUACUGUAAUUUACUGUAAAAGUUGUAGGGAAUAUUUUUGAAGUGUGUAAAUUUUUCAAUAUUUUGAUGUGUAUAGUUUAAAAGUUUUAAAAAAAUUUUUGAGAUUAAUAUAGUUAAAAUAAUUUAAAAAUUUGUAACAGACAAAUUUGACAAAAAACUUGCUUGUCAAACAUGCCCAAAAUUUGCUUUUGACCACUUUGCAGAUCAAAAUAGUCUUCAGAUUUGUAAACAUUAUUAGUUUAAAGAAUUACUCUAGAGUGCAAUUUAGAAAUCCAUUGUAAACGAGAACAAGCCAUGUAACAAGAUGUCAAACAAACUAAGAAGAAUUUUUUUCAACAAAAGUCCUUUAUUCAACCUUUAAAAUAUCUUUUUCAUUUGUUCCAGUUGAAAAGAAUUACUCCACGAUCAAUUUUUUACAAAAGUCCUUUUGAAUAUCUGUUGGCGCAUACAAAAUUUAAAAUUGUAUUGUUAUGGUAGGCUUUACUUUCAUUUUGACAAUAAAUGCCUUGUUGUUUUGCCUGAUUAUGUUUACUGCAGGAAUACACACUUCAGCUCUGACCAUGGAGUGGUUUAUGUCCCUUGUGCUAAACCACCUUGAGGUAUUGGAGAAGGUAAGAAAUGAAAUAGACAACAAUGCCACACAAUCAGGGCAACUGAUUGAGGAUUCAGAUCUCUCCAAAUUGCCGUAUUUAUGUUGAAUAAUUAAAGAAACAUUUGGACUUUUUCCGGCAGCACCAACGCUUGUGCCUCAUUUUUCAUUUGGGGAUUGCAGUAUAGGAGGCUUUAAAAUUCCUAAAAGGCAAACUUCGUUAGUAAAUACUUGGGUUAUUCAUAGAGACCCUAAUGUCUGGGAAGAACCAAACAAGUUUAAGCCAGAAAGCCAGAAAUUCGAGGGAAUGAAGAGGUAUGUGAAGAAGGGUUCAAAUUUCUUCCAUUUGGGAAAGAUAGGAGGGCUUGUCCAGGGACAGCCCCGAGCAUGAGAUUGAUUAACCUGUCAUUGGGAACAAUGCUACAAAGUUUUGAUUGGUAAAGACUGGGUCCACGGUUGGUGGAUUUGGAAGAAAAAUCUGGUUUUGACUUUGGGCAAGGCCAAGUCUUUGGAAGGGAAACCUUUAUGGUAGGAAGGCGUUCUACCGUAGGUAGAGGAGCAGAGCAUGACACGUGUAUUUGGAAAUAAAGGUGCUAACGGACCGGUUAUGUUGUAGUCCUAAUGCGCGUGGAGAAUGUCAGCCAUAUAGAAACAUUGUAUGUGAUUUGGUAUAUUUUAAUACUGUAUCAUUUUCAAGACAUUGAUCAAACAUGAUCAGUUCAAUUUCUUUCAUUUUCUCCAAAAACUCUCAUUUUUUUCUUCUCGUAUCUUUUUCGUUUUCAAUAGAUCAGUUUGGACCAAAAAAAUAAAAUAAAAUUGAAACUAUGUAAAAGAUUCAUAAAUUAAUUGAAAAACACUUAAUAGACUACCCAAAACAUUAUCUUUGUAACUUGCAAAAACUUCAAAUAAACAUUCAAGUACUAACUAUUGGUAUUUAAAAAAUGCACUAUAUUUUAUCGAAUCAGAAUAAAUCCUUAUACUUUUUUAUUUUUAUUUGUUUUUAAUAUACUCAAGUUUUGGUAAUAAAAAGUAAGACAACAAAAGGGUAAAUUUGGAAUUACAUAAUUUAAUGUACUCAAAAUGAAUUUUUUAAAUAUUAUAUUUUAAAAUGAGCUGUAAAUAAACAAAUAGUUUAAAGUAAGGGAGGCAAGUGAGUUUCACACCCAAAAAAAAAAAAAGAGAGGCAAGCGAGAUUUUUUAAAAUUUGUGAGUGCCAAGUAAAAUUGUUAGAAACCUCCGGGGAGGUCUAUGAAAUUAUCCCAAACAAAAAUUUAGAAUGAAUAAGUUGCUUUUUAUAACGGUUCUAAAGGUUGCUUGAGACUUUAUAAAUUAGGUGUCUUGAGUUUGCAAAAACAAUUUCUUGCAUAUCUAUAGCUAGUGGAAACGGAGUUUAAACUUGCUAUAGGUUAGUUUCUUUCUUUCCAUUGUAUCCUAAAGGGUAAUUUGCCAUUCAACCUAAUUUUAUUCUGAUUUUAUCCAACUAAUAAAUUAGCUUAUGGAAAAAUGGGUAAAUGGAUAAUUUAUGGAGGAAAACCAUAAAGAGCUGGUGUUUUAUUGGAAAACGGGUUUUUUUUAUUUUAUCCGAUAAAUAAAUUUGUUUAUGAAAAAAUAGGUACUCUGUUCCUAUAAUGGAGGAAAUCCAUAAAGAGUUGGUGUUUUAUUGGAAAACGGAUUUAUUUUUAUUUUAUCCGAUAAAUAAAUUUGUGUAUGGGAAAAUGGGUAUUCUGUUUUUAUAAUAGAGGAAAGCCAUAAAGAGUUGGUGUUUUAUUGGAAACGGGUUUAUUUUUAUUUUAUCUAAUAAAUAAAUUUGUUUAUGGGAACAUAGGUACUCUGUUCUUAUAGUGGAGGAAAGCCAUAAAGAACUGAUAUUUGAUGGGAAAAUGAUAUUUUAGGAUACCAAUAGAUAACAGUUAAAACACAUUCACAGAUUUGGUAUUUUAAAUAAUGAGAUUGUUUUUAGAGGUGUUUUUAUGGUUGUAUUUUGGGAUAUUUUUAGAAUUUAAGAAUUCUUUGACAUAUUUUAUAAAAAUUUCAACCACCCACUACCACACAUUGGGACCACGGGCUAGCGAUUUUGUACAUUUUGCACACCGACCCAUAAAGAGCGGGUGCUUUGUUCAUAUGUUGGAGGAGUGCCAUAAAGAGCUGGUAUAUUAUGGGUAAAUGGGCACUUCAUGCAGCAAAACUGUAAAUUGGUAGCAUUUCUAUAAAGAAUAAAUGAAAAACGGGUAUAAUUGGCAAUUUGCUCUGAUUUUAUCUAAUAAAUAAAUUAUUAAUCCUAUGAUACCCUGCAUAAUUAAUAAAAAAUUUAUGAAAAAAUAGGUAUAACAUGUUAAACCCACAUAUUCGCCAUUUACUCUGACUGUAUUUGAUAAAUAAAUUAUUAAUCCUUCGGUACCCUAGACUUAUGAAAUGGACACUGGUGGGUUAUGCAUGCAACAUGAAUUAAAUAAAUAAUUCAUGGAGGAGUGGUAUAAAGAGCUGGUAAUUCAUUGAAAAAAGGGGAAAAUAAGCACUUUAUGGAGGAAAGCCAAAAAUAAAUAGUAAUUAAUGGGAACAUGGGUAUUACAUAUUAAACCCAUUUAUUCACUAGAAAUUUUACUUUGAUUUUAUCCUGUGAAUAAAUUAGCAUUUUUGGAAUUUAUACAUAAUUAAUUUUUUCUUUUGCAUUUCUAUAAAAAAUUAAUCGAAAAUUUUUUUUUGAGAGCACAAAAAUUCACAAGUCAAAAGUUUGGUCUAAAAGGGAAAGAAACAACUGAAUAUCAUUGUUUUAAGUACUAAAUAAAUAGAUGUAAAAUACUCGUUAAAAGUUGGUACUUUGAUCAUAUAAUGAAGGAAAGCUAUAAAGAGCAGGCCAUUUACGGGAAAAGUUUUCAUUAAUAAAAAUACGUAACGUGAGGGGGAGAGGAGGCCAAUUAGGGUGAGAGUGGCAGUAGCAGUGUGUGGUGGGUGGUGACAGGGGUGGUGGUGGGAGAGAGAAGAAAAGGGAGGAAGGAGAGGGAGAAGAGAGGAGAGUGAAAGAGGAAGAAGAGAGAGAGAGAGAGAGAGAGAGAGAGAGAGAGAGGGAGGAGAAGGGGGGUGGCAGUGGGUGGGAUGAGGGGCAGGAGUGGUCAUCAGAUGGACCGCUCUUGAGCUGUUCACGGGCCAAGGUUUGGCCCAAAAAAAUUGUACGGUUCAGAUCACUUCUUGUACCUCGUUUUUAACGAAGUGUGUGGGGCCCACAAAAAUUUGUUCUAAAGUUAUGCGUUGUGUAAAUAAAGCUACAUUGUGUGCAAAUAAAAUUACGCGGUGUGCAAAAUAUACAAAAUCGCUAGCCCGUAGUCCCAGUGGGUGGUGGUGGGUGGUUGAAAUUUUUAUAAACUAUCUCAAAUAAUUCUUAAAUUCUAAAAAUAUCCCAAAAUACAACCAAAAAAACACCCCUAAAAACAAUCUCAUUAUUUAAAAUACCAAAUCUGUGAAUGUGUUUUAACUGUUAUCCAUUGGUAUCCUAAAGUAUCAUUUUUUCCUCAAAUAUCAGCUCUUUAUGGCUUUCUUCCAUUAUAAGAAUAGAGUACCUAUGUUCCUAUAAACAAAUUUAUUUAUCAGAUAAAAUAAAAAUAAACCCGUUUCCAAUAAAAUACCAGUUCUUUAUGGCUUUCCUCUAUUAUAAGAACAGAAUACACAUUUUCCCAUGCACAAAUUUAUUUAUCGGAUAAAAUAAAAAUAAAUCCGUUUUCCAAUAAAACACCAGCUCUUUAUGGCUUUCCUCCAUUAUAAGAACAGAGUACCCAUUUUUUCAUAAACAAAUUUAUUUAUCGGAUAAAAUAAAAAUAAACCCGUUUUCCAAUAAAACACUAGCUCUUUAUGGCCUUCCCCCAUAAAUUAUCCAUUUUUCCAUAAGCUAAUUUAUUAGUUGGAUAAAAUUAGAAUAAAAUUAGGUUGAAUGGCAAAUUAUCCUUUGGGAUACAAUGGAAAACAAGAAACUAACCUAUAGCAAGUUUAAACUCCGUUUCCACUAGGUAUAGAUAUGCAAGAAAUUGUUUUUGCAAACUCAACACACCUAAUUUAUAAAGUCUCAAGCAACCUUUAGAACCGUUAUAAAAAGCAACUUAUUCAUUCUAAAUUUUUGUUUGGGAUAAUUUCAUAAACCUCCCCGGAGGUUUCUAACAAUUUUACUUGACACUCACAAAUAUUGAAAAAUCUCACUUGCCUCCCUUACUUUAAACUAUUUGUUUAUUUACAGCUCAUUUUAAAAUAUAAUAUUUAAAAAAAUCAUUUUGAGUACAUUAAAAAAUGUAAUUCUAAAUUUACCCUUUUAUUGUCUUAAAAAAUGUAAUUCUAAAUUUACCCUUUUGUUGUCUUAUUUUUAUUACCAAAACUUGAGUAUAUUAAAAACAAAUAAAAAUAAAAAAGUAUAGUGCAUUUUUAAAAUACCAAUAGUUAGAAUUUGAAUGUUUAUUUGAAGUUUUUGCAAGUUACAAAGAUAAUGUUUUGGGUAGUCUAUAAAGUGUUUUUCAGUUAAUUUAUGAAUCUUUUACAUAUUUUCAAUUUUAUUUUAUUUUUUUGGGUCCAAAUUGAUGUAUUGAAAAUGAAAAAGAUACAAGAAGAAAAAAUGAGAGUUUUUGGAGAAAAUGAAAGAAAUUGAACUGAUCAUGUUUGAUCAAUGUCUUGAAAAUGGUAGAGUAUUAAAAUAUACCAAAUCACAUACAAUGCUUCUAUAUGGCUGACAUUCUCCAUGUGCGUUAGGACUAUAACAUAACCGGUCUGUUAGUACCUUUAUUUCCAAAUACAUGUGUCAUGCUUGCUCCUCAACCUACGGUAGGACGGUCAAUGCCCUUCCUACCAUAAAGGUAUCCUCUUUGGAAGCAUUGUGCACAAGUCACACUCAUCCAUGAUUGAUAAUCAUUUCGCAGCUCUGAGUUAGGCUCCCAAGGUAACUAAAGAAACAUUUAUUUAGUUGUUUAUGAAGAUUGUAUCACGAUAAGAUCGAAAAUCGAUGCGCUCAAUCAUUCAACAAAAAAAAUAAAAUAAAAUAAAAAUAGAUGCGCUCAAACGAAAAAGGUGCACCCAAUGCUAAGCGUGUGCAACCGUCAAAAUGAGAGCAAAGAAAUAUUUAUGGAUUAAAUAAAAACAUUAUAGAUAAAUAGGCUUUGAAUAAAACUAUAUCUGGUUUUCUUUCAUUUUUUAUUUUUUCGGCCUUCUGAAAUUACUGCAAAUAUCAUCUAUUAGUUCUUUGGUUUCCAAAUUUGUGAUUGUAGAACUCCCAUAGUUCAAUAACCUUAAAUGAUUUUCUGUUGGUAGUCAUAAAUUGGUUUUGGGGCGUUUUACAACUCAAGCAACUGAAAAUACAUAUCUCAUGUGUAGGAUGCUAUCAAGUUGAGUCAAACCCAUAUGUACAAGGUUCUCGAGUUCGAGUUCAAAAAAAAAUUAGUUAAACUUGAAUUUGAACUCGAGUUCAACAAAUAUCAUAUAUUAGUGCUCAAUCUUGAUUAAAGAAAAAUAUGAGGAGCUCAAUUAGCUUGUUUAAGCAAAUUGAGCUCGGCAAAAUAAAAUUGUAAUUUGUCCUAAAAAAACUAUUAUGUAGAUAAUUUUACAUUUAUAUUAAAAACAUGUACACAGACACACAGAUUCACACAUAUUUAUUCAACAAGCUUGAUGAAAUUUUGAGUAGUAUUAUGUGGAGAUCUUGAUGUGUUAAGUUCAUGAGUAAAGAAUUGUAUCUCACCUUGAUUUCAACGAAAGAGAAAGAGUCCUUAAUAUGUUAGUAAGGGUUCAGAAUCUAAUAGUUUAAGUUUUUGGGUUAGCAUUGGAUUUCUGACUUAUAUUAUUGGGUAUCUUUGGUGAGCUCUCACGAGUGUUUCUCCCUAAUAAGUUGUAUCAGAGUUUCUAGUUACGGAACUGGACUACUUAUAGGCAAGUCGACUCUUCUCGGAUUUGGACCAGUGAAAUUCUCAUCUUGGUGGUGGAUCAAAGUGCUAAGGAAUUUGAUUGAUGUUAGACCAGAUGCACUAGGAGUUUGGUAAGGAUCUAGUUGGUGUUAGAUCAAGGAGUUAAGGGUUGGUAGGGUCUAAGAUCCGAUUUGGAUGUUGAAGAAGAGUCGGUCCAUGAGUUGAGAAGAGGUGACCUUGAGUGUUAAGGUGCAAGGUCCACUAAGAGUUUGGUAGGGGAUCCAGUUGUUGUUAGGCCAAGAUGGUAAGGGUUGGUAGAGUUCGAUAUUCGAUUUGGAUGUUGAAGAAGUGUAGGUCCAUGAAUUGAGAAGAAGUGAACUUGAGUGUUAAGGUGAGUUUUUAUUGAGUAUUAAAGUGAACUCAGUAGAACUUCUAAACUUGGAUUCAAUAUAAGUGCCAAGGGAUUUGAUUGGUGCUGGACCAAGUGCAUCAAGAGUUUGGAAGGGAGUUCAGUUGGUAUUAGACUAAGUAGGUAAGGGUUGGCAGGGGGUCCAAGAUCCAGUUUGGAUGUUAAAAAAGAGUGGGUCCAAGAGUUGAAAAGAUGUGAUUUUGAAUGUUCAAAUGAGUUUGCACUGAGUGUUAAACCAAGGAGCUAAGGAUUGAUUGGGGUUGGAGAUCUAGUUUAGAUGUUGAAGAAGAAUGAGUCCACGAGUUGAAAAGAGGUGACCUUGAAUGUUAACAUGAGCUUAUAUUGUGUAUUAAAGUGGAAUCAAAAUAGAUCUUGUAAACAUGGAUUCAAUGUGAGUAUCAAGGAAUUUGGUUGGUGUUGGACCAAGUUUAGGGGAGGUUCGAGAUCCGUUGUAAAAGAGUAGAUCCAUGUGUUGAGAAGAGGUCACCUUGAUUGUUAAGGUGAGUGUACAUUGAGUACUAAAAUGGGUCAAAGAAGAGUUUGUAAAUUUGGGUCCAAUGUAAGGAGCUACACAUGAAGGGGAAAAUUAUUAGGUUCACGAGUAAAGAAUUUUGUUUGACAUUGGUUUGAAAGAUGGAGAAAGAGUUCUUAAUUUAAGUUCAUGAGUAAAGAAUUGUGUUUAAUAUUGGUUGAAAGAUGGAAAAAAAGUCCUUAAUAUAUAAGUAAGAGCCCAAAAUCUAGUAGAUUAAACUUUUAGGUUAAUCCCAAAAUCUAGUAGAUUAAACUUUUAGGUUAUCGUUAGAUUCCUAACUUGUAUAUUAGGUCUCUUUGAUGAGGUCUCGAUUUAUGGAUCAACUUGAAGUACUUGAAUUCGACUUGACUUUUGAAUUUCACUGAACACUUUUGAGUCUUUGACUGAGCUGCCUGAUCUAUUGCCUUUUUUUUUUUUUUUUAAAUCCUAGCAAAAAGUCAAGAUCUCUAAUUUCUGGGCCCUCAAUUUUAACCACUACACUAAACCAAGGCAUCUUUGACCUUUUUUUUCUAAUUAUUUUCGUAACAAAGGAAGGGUAGAAUUUAAGAAACGAGAAAGAAGCAAGUGACUAGAAUUUAGAACCUCUAACUCUUGGGGCCUCAACCCACUGCCUACUUGCGAAAAAUGAAAAAUGUGAUAGAGGCAUGUAAAUUAUUCCCAAUAAAGAUAUAAAAAUUGGUCAAAAAAAUAUAUAAAAAUUUUAGAAAAUAUUAUUUACACUUGUGUUGGUGUUAGCGGUACUCUUUUUUUUUUCUUCCAUGUGCUUUUGCAAAGAUUUGAAACAAAAUGGACCGUCAAUCGUCAUUAACAAUAAUUGGACAAUUCGUCAAUAAAAUUAGCCAAAUAUUAAUUCCUUUCAUUGAUGAAUUGGACUGAAGUGUUCAUUGAAUUGUUACUUUGAAGCUGUAUAUUGUCUUCUACCUAGACGCAAUGAGGUAAGACUACUUACUCCUUCCGCAAAAGAUUUGCAGCAAUCUUAAAAAUGUCAAAAGAGACAAAGGUAAAAACAAUAAAUUUAAAAGAACAAAAUUGCCCUGCGUAUUGCACUUAUCAGUUAAGUCUUCUUGUAACUUUUAUAACCACAUCAUUUACUAUUGAUUGAGACAGAUAUUAAUCCAUCCGGUCAUACACAAUCUAUAUCUAUAUGUAUUCACGAAGGGGUUUUUAGCAGAAACCCUCUCAAUGGCUUCUAAACUUCUCAUUAUUUUUUCUAGAUUUUUGUAUUUAUUUUAAUCAUAAAAGUAGUGGAUUAUAACCCACCUUAUCACCAAUCAAAUUUAAAUUUGAAAUAUUCCCACUAUCCUCCAAUUUAAAAAUUUCACUCCAAUUAAAACUCCUCCAAACAUAGCAUCCUCCAUCAAUUUAAAUAAUUAAUUAAUAUGUUAUUCAAUAUUUAUAGAUAUUUGAUAUACACCUCUGAUUUAUCUGGACCUUCAAAGAUGUACAUGGAAUAUAAAGGUUAGAUUAUUUAGAUUAAUUGAUAUGACGAUAUCUGGAGUGUUUUAGCGUUCAAGGUGCAUCAAAAUGAUUUUUAUUAAUGAUCAGGUAAUCAUUCAAAUCAUAUCUUAUUUAUUAUGUUGAGUUUUAAUAUUUACUAACUUUUUAAAAAAAUUAUCAGAAAUUUGACAUGCAAGGAAUAAUAAGAGGGAGUAGUAUGCUUAGUAUUUUCGGACAACACCUCCGUGAAGGUAAGAUAUAUUUGUUUCAGAAUAUACAUGUAAUCCCAGCAGAUGCCAAGUACCGGAUUGCACCACAUCAGUUCCAGUUAUCAUUUGAGAAUGAUACAAAAAUAGUGAAGAUUUUAGAUAAUUGUGCAACCAUCCCCCGUUUCAAGUUUAAUUUGGUCAAAUUGAGACGUAUAGAACAGUACAUGGAUAAUGAUAUGCAAUUGAUAGGUACGUCCUCACAAUUAAUAUCAUUUUUAUUAUAUUUCUGCAAAUCACUUGCUAUUAAUUAAAAUUUUUUUAUUUAUUACAGAUGUAAUUGGUUUAGUUGUAUCUGUUGGUUCAUACUAUCAGAUAUCUACUAAUAACAAAAUUGGUCGGGAGAUACUAUUGGUUGACAAAAGGUUAGUUAACAAAUCUCGACAUCUUUAAAACUUUUUAUUUUUAGAGAAUUUAGAUUUGCACUUAUCAAAAUUUUGUUAACACAGUUUGACAGUAGCUCGAUUCAUAUUGUGGGAUAAAUUUGCUAAUGAUAAUGGUGAAUAGUUAUAUCAAUCUGCUACAAAAAAUAAUAUUUUACUAGCAUGUGGUAUUUGCGUAUGAAAUUUCAGAGAUAAAUCAAUUGCUUUUAGUUAUAUUCUAUAUAUUUUGAAUAGCUUUUGAGCGAACAUAAUCAUACUAUGCAGGACCAUCACUGUGCACAAUUGGAGCUAGCAAAUUGUAUAUUAAUCACAAUUUAAAUUUUGCUCGAUACCUGCGCAGUUAGUGAGUUCCUUAGUAACACUAUAUCAAACUAUUAAUAUUGUUUCGUACUCUUAUUGACAUGUAUUUCAAAAAAAUUGCAGGUUUGAAAAUAAUACAUUUGCUUGCAAGUUAGUUACGUGGUUGAGAUCAAGCAAUUUCACAACACCACAAGCACUGUUGAUAGCAAAUUUAAAGAGAAUAUGGAUAUCUGAAUAUACAAUCAUGCCUACGGUAAGUUUACUCAAUUUUAAUUAAUUACUGAACGAUUUUUUUAAAUUUAUAAUCAUAACCUAUAUCUUCUUUCAUUCUUAUUAGGUUAAAUAUUUUCGAAUACUUGAUUAUAUUCAGAGCAUUAACAUAGAAAAUAUGUUCAACGAGCUAUGCAAAAAUUGUGGACAACUAUGUGAAGAUCAUUUUUCAAAGACAGUGUGUAUGCAUUGUAAUGACGUGGUUGAUACUGUUAUUAGGUAAUUAAUUUCAUGUAUAUUUAACUUCAAUAUAUUUUUCUGUAUUGCAUAUAAUAUUUUAUUUGUCAAACAGGUACAAUGUUAACAUAUAACUUAGAGAUUCCAGUGGUAACAUACAUAUUAAUCUACAAGACAGACAUGCACGAUUUGUAUUUUGUUGUGAUGCUUUUUAUCUCAGAGAAUUACAAAGGAAGGUAGAAUUUCUUAAUAUAUAUUUAUUUUUUAUAAUACUAUUUAUAAACUAUGUAAAAAAUAUACUAAUUUUGUACGUUCUUAAUUAUCAGGAAAAUGGUGAUAGGUUGUUCGGCCAAUGAAUUAAUUCAUGCAAAAAUCGUGUAUUUUCAUUUGUAGUACGCACUCCACAAAAUUGAACAGAAUUAAUUAAAUCACCAAUUUUGGAAUUUGUAAUAAAAGUGGAUUGGUGUGAAGAGUGUUCACACCUUCAAGCAAGAUUAUCAAAUCGAAUGCUUAGUAUUUGUAAGUAUUUCAUUUUAACAACAUUCAAUUACAUUCAUUUGUAGAAAUAUAUCAUUCCCUUUUUUAAUAUAAAUUUUUUUUUCAGGAUCCAUCUUCCGAAAAAAGACAGUUCUUGAAUGAUAUACACAUUCGAUUAUAUUUCAAACUAUUAUUAAACAGAUAUUACAUUUUGAUUUUGUUGGUACAAUUUUUUCACCUUUAUUUGUUCACCAUUUUAUUUUUAUUAUUUUCAAUAAUGUUAGCACCGUGCGUAGCACGGGUGUUCACACUAGUGUAAGAGUAUUGAAGUGAAUAAUCAACACCAAAAUUUCCCUCUUGCUUCUUGAUCAAGGAGGUUCUCUUCAGCAUUCUACUUUUGAGCUUCGCCAUGUUCUUGACUCUGAAGCAUUCCCUGGAGCAAAAGAAGAACAAACAGCCUCCAAGUCCACCAGCCCUUCCAAUUGUAGGUCAUAUACACCUCAUGAGAAAUACUGCUCCUCGCUUGGCAUUCCAUAAGCUCUCCAUCAAAUACGGCCCCUUGAUUUCCCUUUAUUUUGGGACCCGCCGCAUCCUUGUCGUGUCAUCUCCAUCACUUGCAAAGGAAUGCUUCACCAAGAAUAACGAUAUUGCCUUUUGUAAACCGGCCUGAUUCCAUUUCCGCUCAGCACCUUGGCUAUAACUACACUAGCCUUGCGUUUUCUCCAUAUGGAGAUCACUGGCGUAAUCUCUGCCGUCUAACGGCCAUCCAUAUAUUUUCUUUACUUACUCUCCAACAAUAUUCAUCAAUCUGGAGAGAUGAACUACGUUUUGUUGUCAAAAAACUGUUCUCAAGUAGCUCUGAUGAGAAAACAUGGAAAGUUGCAGACCUGAACUCUUUGUUCUUGGAAUUGCUUUUCAAUGUGGUAAUGAAAAUGGUUGCAGGAAAAAGAUGGCCAUCCGAACAAUCAGGGGAUAUAUUUACACCAAGAUCGUUCUUGGAAAUUUGUGUGCGUUCCAAUUUUAAGGUGGAUCAGUUUUGGAUGGCCGGAGAAGAGUAUGAUUUACUUGCACAGGAAAAGAGACAGAGUUCCACAGGGUCUGAUUGAUAAAAUGCGAAAAAAAGGAAGGUAAAGAUGUUGCAUGUUCAACCAAGAGAAAAGAUAUUAUUCAAGCAUUGAUGUCUCUGCAAGAAGCUGAUCCUGAAUACUACACCGAUGUAUGAAUGUAAGCCCCUUUUCAUUUCAAAAAUUUCAAUUAGAAUUUCCCUCAGUUAUGUUUUUUAAGCAAGAUGAUUCACGGAGUGAUAAACCUUGUGCCUUGUAACCACAUCCAAGGUCAUAUAUCACUUUCCAGCCUGUACUGUCUGUCAUUGCAGUUGCAGGUUCAACCGCAGAGAGCAAUUUCUGGUUUCAAUCAGUAGCUAAUGUGGCCGGACAUAGGCUGCUGAUCCCAAAUGUUCUUUUAUUUCAUUUGCUAAAUUAGAUUUGAUAAUCAAGCAAACAUUUUGAUGGGGCCGGUGAUUAACUUUCACAGUUGCACCUAGUAAGGAUCACAUUCACUGUGUUGAAAUUUGGGGGCAUGACGUUAAAAUCAUUGAGUUUUACAAAAUUUCAUCUGCAUUAACGGACAAAUCCUCGUUGUUAGGUGUUGCUAAUGGUCACUAGCUCAGCUUUGAACAACUAUGUUUCCUAUAUACCAUUUUAUAAUUCAUGAUUUCUGUUUCUGCAUGUCUCAAAUUUUUUUUUGGUGGCUCAAAAGGGAAACAGAAAAAUACUAAUAUCCUUGUUUUUACCCUUAUAAAAUUUUUAACAAAGAACAUUAAAAUCAUGUUUCAACAAUAAAUACUCCAAUAAACCACUUCAGACUUUAACACUCCAAAUAUAACUACAAAAUCUUUUAGAUACAAAUUGAGGGACAAUCAGGAAAAAAAGUAAAUUGCAACUCGUCAAACAUCAAUUUCUUGAACUGUGAGCAAAAUUAAGUAUAACUAACGAAAAGGAAAGGAAAAAUUAUCCGUAACCUUGGUCGCGUAAAAAGAGUCAAGACUUCAACUGCUGAGGUUCCAGAUUGAUAUGACUUGAUGAAAGAUCUCAAAAACUAGGCAGAUGAAAGCGUCCAGAAAAGAGCUUCUGAAUUCUUAGUUCCAGAUUGAUGUGUGCUGAUGAAAAGGGUAAAAAGAGUCAAGACUUCAACUGCUGAGGUUCCAGAUUGAUAUGACUUGAUGAAAGAUCUCAAAAACUAGGCAGUUGAAAGCGUCCAGAAAAGAGCUUCUGAAUUAUUAGUUCCAGAUUGAUAUGUGCUGAUGAAAGCUCUCAAAAUCUGGGCAGUUGAAUUGAAAGUGUCUAGAAAAGAGCUUUGAAGCAUAAGGAGUCGAUUAAUUUGGUGCACUAAAGAAUUUUUUUUUUAAGUGGUGACAUGUAUAAGCAUCUAUAUUAUAGUUUAACUGUUAAAAUGGAUAGAUUUUUUUUUCUUUUUUUUUUACGCAAAAAAUAUCGUAAAGAUCUUAAUCAUAGUUUUCACAAGAGGAGACCAUCAAAUACAUCAUAGGAAUUAAAAACAUGGAUAGUUGAGAGAAAUUUCCAAAAUUAUGAUGAUUUUUAAAAAAUUUCUGUAAAAGGGGCAUUUUGAGUAUGCAAUUCCAUCCAAAGAGUCUUCGCAUUCAGCGAAUGUGAGCCAUGGAGCUCACAUUUGCUGAACGCGAAGUCACUCUGAAUUUUUAGACCCACAAAGUCCAAAAAAAAAAAAAAAAAAAAAACAGAAAACCAGACCUCGCAUUCAAAAAAUGCGAGGUCUGGCACCUCGCAACAAAUUGAAAGCUUUGGUAUUUGCUGAAACGAACUCGUGUUAAGAAGUAGAACCGCUAAAAUUUUAUUGGCAUUGACCUCUCAGUUUGUUUUCUCCUCAUUUGCUGUGUUUUAUGUUCUUUGUGGGAAUUCUUUGCUAACAUUAGUAGUUCCUCUAGAGAACGUCCACUUUUGAAACCAGUUAGGAGAUUCUAAAAAUUGACCAUUACUACAAUUGGUGCAAGCCAUUUUGCUAAACGUGAGAUCUAAAUUUUUUUUUUUUAUGUUAGAGCUAUCAUGAUAUGAAAAAUAUAUGUUCUGUCAGAGAAAAUAAAUAUUUUUUAAAUAUUUAUUGUAACUGUGAUCAUUUUGCUCUUUUUGACGACUUUGCAUAUUGUCAUUUACUAAAUGCAAGCUCCUAAAAAAAUUAAAUUUAAAUAAUAUUUGUUUUCUUCUAGCGAGCUUCUACAAAAUUAAAUUUAAAAAAGAUUUGUUCUCUUAACGGUACUUAAUGCGAGCUCCUAGCGAAUUAAAUUUAAAAAAUAUUUGUUUUGCAGAUCUCUCAUUUACUAAAUGCAAUCUUUAAUAAAAUCUUAUUUUUUUUUUAAAAAUAAUUGCUUAUGCAUUCAUUGAGUGCAAGGAGUAAAUAUUUUGGAUCUCGCAUUCGAUAAAUACGAAUUCAUAGAAAAUUCCUUUCAAAAAUUGGGGUACCAAAUAAAUGCAAAUUCGAUAAAUGAUUUAGGAUGUAUUUUGAGUAAUUGGGGGUACCAAAUGUGAUUUUCAAAAGUUAACAUUUCUGCAAAAAUUCGCAUAAGAAAACGCAGUUUGCAGCAAUACGUGACUUCUAGUCGCGUAUUACAGAAAGUGCAUUUUCAAUUCUGGAAGCUUAAGGCAUAAAACGCGACUUGAAUACGCAACUUGAAGGUGCGUAUUCAUGAUGGCGCAUUUUCAAUUCUGCAAAUACAACAGAAUACGCAGCUUGAAAACGCGACUUUAAGUUGCGUAUUCUUGAAGUCAUGUUUUGACUUCUACAAGGAACAUGAAGAAAACGUGACUUAGCAAUAUGUGACUUGAAUGCGUGUUUUGUGAAGUCGUGUAUUGUCUCACUUGUACAAAGCUUUAAAACGCGAAUUCUCUCUCAGUUUUCUUCUUCAUCUCUUUCUUCCAGCCGCGUUUUCUCUCUACUCUUCACACACAAUUCACCAAUUCUAUUUUUGCUCCAUAUCUUGGUUAAAAAUCAUUAAGCCAACACCUUUUGAGCAUUAUAUAGUCUUUCUAAUAUAUUAAAAUCCAAUAAAAACACCUCAAAAUCGGUUUUAAGGAGAUUGAAAGCUAGGGUUUCUAGUUUUAAAUUUCUUCAAUUGGAGGUCAAUUGGAGGGCGUUUCAUAGGGCUUUUUACACAGUCAUCAUCUCCAAAUAUCCUUCUGCAUAAUUGAGGUAAGUUUCUUCAUCAAAUUUACGUAUUUUAGAAGUUGAUAUUUUUCAAUUUCCUGAGCUUUUUGACAUGUUUUAAUUUCGAAAGUUUGAUGAUGUUUAUAGAUGUUUUUGGCCUCUAUUAUGCUUGUUGAUGGUAAUUAAGUAUGUUUACAAAUUCAAAUGUAGAAAAUUGAUGAUUACUAGUUCUUUAAAUUUUUAAGUUGCUAUAUUUGGCUAAAAUUGGAAAGUUGGUUUGGAAUGUUGUUGAGCCAUUGGUGAUCAAUGAUUAUGGUAUAAAAUGGUUAGUUGAUGAUGUUUUAACAUGUGCAUUGUGUAGAGAGAGUGAUUUGAUGAAUUUUGUGAGUUAUUAGAAUACAUCUUGCUUAAUCAUGUUUAUAGCUAAAUGUGUAUUAUUGUUGCUAAAAUUUGGCUGCUAUUAUCUUGAUUAGUGCUAAUUUCACUGAUUUUGAUAUAUUUGUGGCCUAUUUUGAUAGAUUGAUGAUUUUAGUAAUUUUUGACAUUUUGACUAUGUCAUUUCUCUUAUGUCAUAAUAAUGAUUGUUUAACUAUAUGUAUUUGAUUUCUUAUGACAUGGAGGGAUGUAUUUGUGGUCAUUUGAAUCAAUUCAUGUUAUUUAUUGUCAAAAAUAUGAAAUAUGUCUUAGUACAUGUGAAUAAUUGAAUCCUUCUUAUUAGGUACUAUGGCUAGGGGAAGACAGGUUGUAUAUUCAUCCUCUAGUAGUGAUGAUAUGGAUGUUAGUGAGGAGGUCGAAGUAAGUGAGGAGGAGAGGUCACCUUCUCCUCAACUGGUUAGAGGACGACCAGGUGAGGGUACUUCUCGUGGUGCCGAAGCGUCUGUCUUUGAUAGUGCUAGGUUUUCUACCCUGAGGAAUCAAGAGUGGCAUGAGGCGCACGCUAAUUUGGAGUUCCUUUUUGAGAUGCACGUGAGUCCAGGAGUUGAAAUAGUUUAUCGCAUCUCGGAGGCUUCAAUCAACUUGGUUGGGCGUCAAUUCUCACCUUGCCGAUUCACUACUACCUUGACUUGGUGCACGAGUUCUGCGGCAACAUUGAUUAUAAAGCGCGCCACAGUGGUGAGAUGGUGGAGUCAUGGGUGUGUGGGAGACAUGUUGUCUUGUCGAGGGAGCGCCUAGCUACCAUUUUGGAUUGUAACAACCAGGAUCGAGCUAUCGACUUGCAAAAGGGAUUCGUCACACUAAAUAGGCGGUGGGAUCCAUCACAUGACAUGACUAGGUUUGGUCUUGAUUACCAACCUUUUCGAUCCUCGAGGAAGGAGACAAUGUUGGCGAGUAUUUUUGAAUCCCGCCAUCAUCUCAUUAUCUAUAUGAUGGCCCACAACGUCAUACCCAAGAAGACGGGGCAUACGAAGUCCGCAAAAAUUACAUCUACUUUCUCGACUACAUGUUUCAUAAUCGGGACUCCUCCUACGCUCGAAUUCCCUUGCCGAACAUCAUUAUUAGCCACAUAAGGUCUACAGUGAGGUGGAGAAUGACGCCAUUCAAAUUGGCAUUUCCUCGUUUGCUUUCCUUGGUGUUCGAGAAUUUUGAGGUUAAUUUGCAAGGUAUACAGCAGGAAUUUGUUACACCUAAAACCAAAUUGUAGGUUUCUUCCCUUUGUCGUCUCAGUAUUGGCACGGAGAACAUUCCUCGACCUAUUCGAGAAAGUGGACAAAAGGCAAGACAUGCCCGAGAGGAAGUCGGACCUUCUACUACGGAACCUCCUCCUCCACCGUCACAAUCGAAUUGGCAGCGACUCUUCACUCGCUUGGACGAUAUCGAGUAUCGGUUGGGACGGAUGGACACUUGCCUGGAGCGGAUCGAGUAUUUAGGCAUUCCUCCACCUCGUGAUGGUGAUGAAGAUGAAGAUGACGACUGAAGCUGCACCUUUAGGAUGGCUAUUUUGUUGCUUCAGGAUUUAAUUGUCAUUUUGUUUUUAAUUUGUUGGAUGUAGAGUGUUUAACUUGACCUUUUCUGUUUUCAAGUUUUCUGUUGGAAUAUGAAUUGCAUUCAAAUGUUGUUAAUCUUGAGUCUGCUGGCAGGGUAUUUAGUCCAGUUUUAAGGGGAAAUUCUAUCAAAAAUAUUUCAAAAUCUUGUCCAAAAUUACAAAAUUGCCCUAAAAGGUUUCAAAUUUUUUCGAUUUUAUCCAAAGGGCAACAAGUUCCCUACAAGUAGUAACUCAAAUUCAUUCUACUUUUGAGAUAAAUAUAUGUGACUUUAGAACUUCCUCAUCUGUACCCCAACUGUAAUAGAGAGUCACUAAUAUCGCACUAAAAUCAAUUGUGCAAAUGAUUACAAAUGAGUUCUGAAGAAAAUUUUAUCUACUACUAAUCCUUUGUAUAUAAAUUACAAAAAAGUUAUAUUUCUUCUAUAUUAAAAGAUUUGAUAAUUAUACGGUUGGAAACACUUAAUUUUAUUAUUAAAUAAUUUUGUAAAGAAAUAACUAUACAUGUAUAAUUCUUUAUUUUCACAGGUCAAUAUAAAAUACAAUAAAAUUGUUAAUAUGUUAAGUCUUAACUUUUGAUGAAUAAAAUUCUCUUUUUUUAUACUUCUCAUACGCAAGCAUCAAAAUUUUUUGUCAUAUGUUUAAUAGAAGAAAUUUUUUCUCAUACAAGAGCAUCAAAAUUGUUCGUGGGAAAAGAGAAUUUCUUUGUAAUUUUAUGAAAGUUUCUAGUUUUGUAAAAAAGGAUCGAUAAGAUAUACGUGAUUAAGUUUUUCUGCUAAUAUUCGGGAAAGUAAAAAAUAUAAACAGGAAAUGACACAAUAAAGUAUGUCAGCCAUAAUUAGUUAGUUUAUACAAUAGCUACACAAUCAGGACAUCAUCAAUGAUGUCCAAAUUUUUCAUGAGUACUACAUCCUCUGGGUUUGCGUACUCUUUAUGUUCGACGUGACUAGUUUUGCAUUACUAUAUCGACUUGAGUAAUCUCUGACUCAAGUGUAAUAUCAUGAUAUUGGGUACUUUGACCUUCAUCUAUACCUCCUGCAUAUUGUGCAGAAGUGCCAUGAUGUAAGUCUGUAUAGGGCGUAAACUGUAAAAAAGUCACUAGAGACCUAGAAUGGCCAAUGGAUGCACUGUGCAGUUGCAUGACUUCAGUCUGAGGUAUGACUAAAGAAGAUGCGUCAACAUGGUGCUCAGUAGCCUGUGACCCUUCAUCGAAUCCAGUUUGGAUAGUGGGUUCUGGUGAUCAGAGUCUACGAUGUCGUCCACCGCCAUGCUGACCUCCGUGAAUAUUCCUAGGAGCUUGUUGAACACGACUUGCAUCUGCGUGUUGUGGAAUGUCCUAUGGUACUUGUGGACGGCGAAUGCAAGUCAGGAUGACUCCCCGACAUGAUGCAAUGUUAUUGAUGCAAAGUCCUUCAUUGUAUUAAAAUAAUUCCUGUGCUGUUCGUCACUAUGUGCUAGAGAGUCCUCAGCCAUAUAAUAUACCUGAGACAUAGCAUUCAUCUGGAGUGCAAAUAUUGGAAUGAAUAAGUAUUAAUAACGUUAAACCUUAAAAAAUUCACUACUACAAAAAUAUCCUUUUAUGAAAUUUGAAAGCUCAUUAUAGCUCCAUGUUAUGACGUUUUAACUAUAAUGACGCUCUGUCAGAAGUGUCAUCCAUUCUAACGUCACUAUAAGUUUUAUGACAGUUUCUAUGCGUCCUAAUUUGUAGUUCUUCUGGCACUUAUAAAUGUCAUUAGUUAUCGCUAUUAUGACACUUUGAAAUGACAAGAAAUGCCAGGGCACAGUUGAUGUUAUAUAAACUUAAGUGAUGCACAUAAUUAUCAUAUUUUGAAACUAUCUUGACACUUCUGCCAUGCAAGUAUAAUAAGAUAUUAUAAUACACUCACAUAAGUAGAAUAAAGUAUUAUGACACUUUUUGGUGUAACUAGAUUAAGUUAUUAUGACACUUUUUAACAUGAAAUUUUGUGAAUAUUAUGUAUAAUAAAAGUCGAAGUGAUGACCUUUUAAGUGUUAGAACUGCAUGUUGCAUUACAGCGGGCUCUAUUAAAGCAAGAGGGUCUGUGAAGUCUGCUGACGAAGAAGAAAUCGGAUUCCGUUGAUGAAGAGUUGAUGAGUCUGGAGGAAAAGGCUCACUCGACAAUCAUGAUGUGCCUGUCAGAUGAUGUCAUCACUGAGGUCGCCGGUGAAGAAACUGCUGCGGGUUUGUGGGCUAAACUUGAAAGUCUCUAUAUGACAAAGUCUUUAACCAACAAGUUGCUCCUAAAGCAACAUCUAUUCGGUCUGCGUAUGCAGGAAGGUACUCCUUUUCGAGAAAUUUAAAUCAAUUAAAUACAAUUCUUCUUGAGUUACGUAAUAUUGAUGUUAAAAUUGAGGGUGAGGAUGCCGCGUUGAUUCUGUUAGUGUCUCUAUCGUUAUCGUAUGAGAAUUUCGUUCAGUCGUUUAUUGGCGGCAAAGAUACUGUGACUCUAGAAGAAAUAAGAUCAGCACUGCAUACUAGAGUGUUGCACCAUAAGGCGGUUGGUAAUGUUACAGAUAAUCAGGUUGCUGGGUUAGUGGUCACCAGUGGUAAAGGAAAAUUUGGAAAAAAGAAGCCUGGAAAUAAGAAGCAGUUCUCUAAAGGUCCCAAGCCGGAUGAUAUCUGUAACUACUGCAAGAAAAAGGGUUAUUGGAAAUCAGAUUGCCCUAAGAAGAAGAAGCAGCAGGAAAAACAACAUGCUUCAGUUUCAGUUUCAGAAAAAGAAGCGAUAAAUUCAGAUAAAAAUCUAGCCCUAAUUGCAAACGAACCAACACAUCACUCUGAUGUGUGGGUUCUUGAUUCUGGGGCAUCCUAUCACAUAUGUCCAAAUAGGGAAUGAUUUACAAAAUAUGAGCAGAUAGAUGGCGAAAAUGUCGUGAUGGCUAAUAGCGCUAUCUGCAAGGCUUUGGGAUUGGUUCUAUCAAGAUCAGAACACAUGCUGAAAAAGUUGCCACACUGAACGAAAUUAGGCACCUUCCCAAAAUGACGAAGAAUCUGAUAUCACUUAAUACUCUUGACAGUAAGGGUUUUAGGUUCAGCGGAGGAAGUGGAGAUUUGUGCAUCAGUAAAGAUUCAUUAGUGGUUCUCAAAGGAAUUAAGCAUGGCAUCCUGUACAUCUUACAGGGUUCAACGCUAACAGGUUCUGCCACUGCUGCUGUUGCAUCUUUUGAAGAUCGUAGGUCUAAUAUGACCAAGCUGUGGCAGAUUAGGCUUGGUCAUAUGAGCGAAAUGGGGAUGCAGAUUCUGUCUAAACGUGAUCUUCUAAAAGACCACAAGGUCACCGAUCUUGGAUUCUGUGAACAUUGUACUUUCGGUAUACCACAUCGCAGAAAGUUUGGGAAGGCAAUUCACAGGACAAAAGGCACACUUGAUUACAUCCAUUCUUACUGUUGAGGUCCUUCACGAGUUGAGUUUUUGGGAAGCUAUCAAUAUUUUUUUAUCCAUGAUUGAUGAUUAUUCAAGGAUGACUUGGGUAAUCGUUAUGAAGAAAAAAGGUGAAACUUUCAAGAACUUCAAGCAGUGGAAGGCCUUAAUGGAGAAUCAAACUGGAAAGAAGAUCAAAAGGCUGAGAACUGAUUAUGGUCUAGAAUUCUAUUCAAAGGAGUUUGAUAAGUUCUGUAAAAAUGAAAGAAUUACUCGGUAUCACACAGUUCGACACACACCACAACAAAAUGGUGUAGCAGAACGCAUGAAUCAGACACUUCUAGAGAGAGCACGGUGUAUGCUCUUCAAUGCUGAGUUGCCAAGGAGGUUCUGGCCGGAAGCAGUGAGCACAGCCUGCUUCUUAAUCAAUCGUACACCUUAUACAGGUAUAAAUUACAAGAUACCUUAUGAAGUGUGGUCUGGUAUGUUCCCUACUUACUCAAAUCUGAAGGUUUUUGGUUGUACUGCAUAUUAUCAUGUCAGUGAGGGCAAACUAGAACCAAGGGCUAAAAAAGGAGUGUUUCUGGGAUAUGGAGACGGGGUUAAAGGGUAUAGAAUCUGGUCACCCUCAGAAAAGAAAGUUAUACUUAACAGAAGUGUAAUUUUUGAUGAAAACUCGAUAUUUAACCACCCCUAUGAAGACUGUUGUUGAAGAAAGUGCAAGUGUUGAUAAACAGGUAGAGCUACAAAUCAUUCAAAAUGAUUUUGAAUCACAGCAGAAAUUUGAUGAUCAUCAACAACUAUCCUUUGAAACUGAACCUCCUGCAGAAGUAGAGUCUCCAGAACCUACAUCAGCAGAAAGGUUGGCACCUAUAUCCCAUACUGUGUCAGUAACUCAGCAACACGAUAUUGGUUAUGAUCAUGCGGGGAGAGUGGGAGUACGACUUCCCAGCAGGUAUCGAGAUUUUGUAGGUUAUGCAUUUCAGGUUGUUGAGGAGGUGGAUUCCCCUGAACCCUCUACCUAUAGAGAAUCUAUUUCAGGCAGUGAGUCAGCUCAAUGGCUUGCUGCAAUGGAUGAUGAAAUGGAGUCGUUACACAAGAACGGCACUUGAGAAUUGGUCAAACGGCCAGCAGAGAGAAAGGUUGCGACUUGCAAAUGGGUCUUUAAAAGGAAGGAAGGUAUUUCUCCAGCUGAGAGCAUCAAGUAUAAAGCACGUUUUGUUGCAAGAGGGUUCACUCGAAGAGAAGGAGUAGACUACAAUGAGAUUUUCUCACCAGUGAUCAGACACACUUCUAUCAGGGUGCUACUAGCAAUGGUUGCACAUCAGAACUUAGAACUUGAGCAGUUAGACGUGAAGACAGCUUUCCUACAUGGAGAGUUAGAUAAAGAGAUUUAUAUGACUCAACCAGAUGGAUUCCAUGUUCCGGAAAAAGAAGAUUAUGUAUGCAAGUUGAAGAAAUCCUUGUAUGGAUUAAAGCAGUCCCUAAGAUAGUGGUACAAAAGGUUUGACGGCUACAUGAUUGAGCUCGGCUACAACAGAAGUCAGUGCGAUUGUUAUGUAUAUCACAACAAACUUGAAGAUGGUUCGAUGAUCUACUUGAUUCUGUAUGUAGAUAAUAUGCUUAUAGUUGUGAGGAACAAAGCUGAUAUACAGAAGUUGAAAAGUUUUCUCAGUGCAGAAUUUGAGAUGAAAGACUUGUGUGCAGCACAGAAAAUUCUGGGAAUGGAGAUUUUUAGGGAUAGAAGUCAGAAGAAGCUUUUUUUAUCACAGAAGAGUUAUAUUGAGAAUGUACUAUCCAGAUUUGGCAUGUCUACAGCAAAUCCUUGAAUACUUCGAGUGCAGUGAAUGGUCAACUAUCAAUUACACUCGCACCACAGUCAGAAGCAGAGAUAGAGUAUAUGGCUAAGGUUCCCUAUUCUAGUGCAGUGGGUAGUUUGAUAUAUGUCAUGGUCUGCAUUAGACCUGAUCUGGCACAUGCAGUCAGUGUUGUUAGCAGAUUUAUGGCUAAUCCUGGGAAGGAGCGCUGGCUGGCCGUGAAGCGAAUUUUUCGUUACCUGAGGGAUGCGUCUGAUGUUGGUCUCAUCUAUGGAGGUGAUAUAGAGUGUUUGAUUACAGGCUAUUCAGAUUCUGAUUAUACUGGAGAUAUUGAUAGUAGAAGGUCGAUGGCUGGUUAUGUUUUCACUUUUGGGCAUUCUGUAGCUAGUUGGAAAGCAACUCUACAACCUACAGUGACUCUGUCCACUAUUGAGGCAGAGUAUAUGGCACUGACGGUGGCUACUAAAGAGGGAAUUUGGUUAAGGGGACUGGUUGGAGAUCUUGGCCUACAUUAGGAUCAGGCUAAUAUAUAUUGUAAUAGUCUCAGUGCAAUAUGUCUAGCCAAGGAUCAAGUUCAUCAUGAGAGGACUAAACACAUUGAUGUUCGAUAUCACUUCUUGAGAUCCGAGACAAGGAUCAAGGUGAAGAAAAUUGGCACUGCUGACAGUCCUGCUGACAUGUUCACCAAGCCGGUUCCUCAUAAUAAGUUCAAACAUUGUUUGGACUUGCUAAAUGUCCUAAGUUUUUUAUAACCCUUAUGGGCAUUCUGAUGGUACUUAGAGACAAUUCUGAUAGUAAAAGAAGACUCUGAGUACGUCUGGCACUUCAUCAGUGCUUCUGUUACAUUUGUUUCUGAGAAGAUUCAAGUCAAAGUGGAGAUUUGUUGAAAUGUCUUGAAUCAGAUUUUCGACCUCCACUGAGUUGUUCAAAGGUCUUGAUUUUUGGGCCUAAUUUUUGGGUCCAGUCCGUUUUGAUUAUUUGGUUGUAUAUAUAUAUAUAUAUCUUAUAUCCAUUCUAUACAAAAAUAUUUGAUACAUUCCGAACCCUAAUAGAAAAAUCUGAUUUUUUCCAAAUUUGUUCUUGUUUGUUCUUCCGUUCCGCUGCAUCUGUUUUAACACCAUCCGUGUUUUAUACUUAUAAGCAGAAAUCACAUUUCAUCCUGCCUGCAUAUUGUAAAUCCUAAUUUUUGGAAUGAUAAAGUAGUUAGUCCCAUCAUAUAAAGGAAAACCAAAGUUAUUUACAUCUUCAUAGUAACUGGUGCAAUACAAUAAUCCAAACUGGUGCAAAAAUAUAUCAUCUAAGCAACUCACCUUAAAACUAUGUCAACAAAUUACAUGCUAAUUCAAAGAUUUUCCACUAGUGAGGAGUAUUGCAGUAGCAUUGUCAAUAUAUAUAAUGGAAGCAGUAGCUUGACAGGAACUCAACUAAAAAGCAUUAACAAUGUCUACAAAAAAUAGCCAUUUGAUCCAAGGAUCAUUUAGUUUUCUUCAAGAUUCACCUACAUGUGUCAUAAACCAAGCAAUUGGAGUUACCAAUCACACAGCUCUGCUUUUACAGUUUUAAUCUUAGAAAACAAAUAAAAACUAAGUUAGAGUAAAGAUUACCAAGUUUAUUGGCCAAGUAAUGGCCACUCCAAUUGCAUCUCCAAUCUUGUGGAAAUUAUGGUAUGGCCUUAUCAGCUCUUCAUCACUCUCCACAAACACAUUCACAUGGAUUUCACACCAAUGUAAUCCCAAAGGCGUGUCACCAAGAUAAAUCAUAGUUUCUGUGAAUGCAUAUUCAUGACAAAUAUUUAAGUAGGCUCAUGAUUAAAAGAGAACCAAAUGUUAGAUUAGGUAUGUCAUUAAAGGUAAUUUUCUAGUAGUAAGCAAUGUAGAUUGACCCUUAAGUCACAAGGAUAGCUAUGCACAUAAAUAACUUAGAAGAGCAAACACAAGUCAUGAGGAUUUAUGUAAAGUUUUAUUAAAGAAUUCAGUAAUAUAAAUUUAGACAUUUAGCGACGAUAAACAAUUCCAAAAUUAGAGCUACAAGUACAUGGUUUUGGUCAAUCAUGUUAAUCAGAAUAAUAAUUUUCAUCUAUGUCUUGUUGUAAGAUUUCAAUUUAUGAAGUUAAAUGUGCACUAGUGUGUAGUGAACAUAUAUUUAUUACAUUGGACUUACAUAACAUUUAAUAGCAAUUGGAAAAAAAGAAAGACUAAUAGUAACUGAAACAAGGACAAAACAAGAGGGGAAAAGCUAGACAAAUAUUAGGACCAAGAGUUUUGCCAUUUCCUGUCAGUAGUAUUCUGGUGACCCUAAUUAACAACGUUGCUAGACAAAGACCCAGUGAAAACUAAAGUCAUUAGAAAUUAAACUAACCACUGGAAUUUAUAAAAGGUGUACACUUCAUCACUGUCUUUGUACCUUGUGCAACGAGAAAUUGAAAAAAAGAAUAGAACAAAUUUCAUAGUAUAAUGCACUUUGUCCCAACCAUCUAAAAUGUCUCUGUCACCUAUUAAUUUUGUCAAAUUAAACUUAUGAGAUAUUUUAGUUGUACAAACACAUCCACAAGUAGGUCUAAUAUAAUCAAUGAAAUUAGAACAACACGAACAUAAAUGUAAGAUUAGCCCUGCUUAUGUCAUGCUCCAAUUUAAUAUAAAUGUAACAUGAGCCCUAAAAGCAUUAGCUUGACACCAAAUAGUAGAAGCUUCCUUAUGCUUUUCUAUAAGCAACAUGUUUUUUUCCUCAUUCUUGAAACUAUAAUAUCCAAAUCUUUGAUCAGUAUCUGAAUAAAAAUAGACAAAGUGAUUUCCUAAGUGAAAUGAGAUUGUGAGAGUGUCCAAACUUUUUAAAAGGCAAGAAACAACUUUACAUAUUGUCUUCACUCAAUAUAUAUCAUGCAUAAAUACUUAAUGAACAAACAAUAAUAUCACAUGACAAGAGUUGCCAAGCUACUGCUUCAUUAGGCAAUGGUCUGAGACAAAAGUAGCUAAAUACCUCAAAUAGAAAAUGCAUGUUCAAACUAAAGAUCCAAAGAGAAAACAUAAAGACACAUUCAACCAUGUUGCAAUAUUUCAGUUCUCUAUUCAACUCAAGAUUAGUUUAUAAAAUUGAUUUCAAGAAAAGAAGGCAGAGCCUUGGCAAAAAACUAAAGGGCAUGCUGCUUGGAAGAAUUGAGUAAACUAUAGAACAAAUCCAUUUGGCCCGCAAUGAAAAACUCAUUUAGUCAAUUUAUCAAAUAUGUGGUGGGUCACGGAUGCUACCAAACCGAUGCUAAAGAAGGCUAUAACAUUUACUUGGAAUCUUUCGACGGCAUCCAAUCAUCAAGAAACUUCAGUAUAACCAUCAAGAACCUUCUAUUGUUUGCUAAAAAACAAAAAGAAAAAAUUCCAAACAUGAGAAUAAAUCAAAACAAUGACACAUCAAAUCAACUAACAUUUUGAUGGCAUACUCAAAUAGCUAAGUAGAAGACAACCCUAAAUUGUUGAUGCCAUCAACCUUUUUGCUUAUUUUAGACAAAAUUGGAGAUGUAUAUGUAGACCUAAAGUUAAAAUUAUCUCUUAAAUACAAGAAAUCAAAAAGAAAACAAUCUUGAUGUUAACAAAAAAUUGAAUAAUUGAUAUUCAAUAAACUAAAAAAACAUCUUAAUCAUUGUACCUCCAUCGGUGGGAUGAAUCCCAGUUGCUUCCUCCUUGAAAAAUUAGUUGAUUGGCAAGAAAAUUGGCUAAAUUUACCCUAAAUUGAGAGAAACAAGAGAGGGAGGGAAAGGUCACAGUACAAAGAGAGAGAAAAUGCAGCGGGUGAGCAGAGAAGUAAUGAGAUGUGGUAAGUAAGAAAAGGGAGGAAAUAUUAGAAUUUUGGGUGAAAAUAAUCACGCGCUAAAGCAUAGCACCAACUUUCAAAAUUAAGGGUGAUACGAUAUAGUUUUGUCUACUUUUGGCACCUUUUUAAUGACACUCCUUACUGACUGUUAUGUUAACACCCUAUUAUGACGUUUAGGAAAUAUGUCAUAAUACAAGUGUCAUUAAAAGCUAUUUUUCUAGUAGUGAUUAUUUAAAUAAAUUUUUAUAAACGGGUAGUGGUUAGGCAAAAACUUACAAGAUAUUGUGCUCUAGCGCUAUCACCUUGAAAGUCCUCUGGAAAAGUGGGAUACCUACUUGGAUUUGAAAUAUAAAGCAUUGUCUGCUCUCGAUACUAAUGACGAUACUCAUCCGAUGGAUAUGUAGGAUCUUCAACUACAACAAUAUCUUGUACAUGCACACGCCGAUCAGUCCACACAUCUAUAUAUGCUCUAUGCGUAGUUAUCCAGUCUUGAUUCUCCCUUACCACGACGAUCUAGAGAAUGUAGGGUUACUUGAUUUUCAGUCAACUUAAGAUCAGGCAGGGAUUGAUAAUAUCUAAAUUGUCAUAUACCUAGAUGCGGAAGAUGCGGCUCGACAACUUCCCAACAUAUAAGAUACUGUCACCUCCAAAUGUCACGACCUGCAGUAUAAUAUGCAGGCAGAAAAGUGAGAACAUCCUCCGAAUAUGGCUACCAUAUGAACUGCAAAAAAGAUAAAUGAAUAUGCACAGACCACUAAGUUAAAUUGGUCUCCACAAACAAUUUACUAUAUGCACCAUUGAAUAUUGUCAAAUGCAAAAAACACAACAAAUUUAAGCAAAUUUCUGUCAUUUUUCAUAUUUUUUAAGAAAAUUUCGACAGCAUCUCCCCUAUAACUGGAAGAAAACUCCCUGUCAACAAAUCCAAGUUUGAAAUAAUCAAAUACAAUCUGUAUCUAUUCAUCUAACAGUUACAUAUUUUAUUAUCUUAUUCAAAAAAGGUAAAGUAUUAGAUGUUCAACGUCAUUGCACAAUUACAAUACCUCUUGAGGAUGUAGACCUAUCAACUGAUCUCGAAAUAUUGACACGACAUGUCUUACAACUCUGUGUAGAUAAAACCCAACAUUCCACCUAAAUAGAAUAAAUGAAGAUUUUUUUAAAACAAAUGAUUGUUAUUUAAAUUACAAAUUAUGGUCACAACUACAAUUGAUUUAUACACACCGAACUCCAUAUGGACCAGGAUAGUGCUCUAACGGCUGCACUCGAUCGGAACGCAUUAUAGGUAUACAUUCCCAUACCCAUAUCUGUAAUAAAAAUUGGAAUCAUUUCAUAAUUGUAAUAAAAUAAUAAGUAAAUAACCUUACUUUUAUUGAGUUUAAUGUAUCUGUAGCAAAACUAAUGGUCCUACAAUAAUCGAUCUAGAGGGUGAUGUGACUAUACACAGGGAUCGAUAGAGAGUCACUAAUAUCGUACUACCCCAAUUGUACCGCCCAACAAUUUUCAAGUCUCAUAAUAAGGGAAGAUAUAUUAACGGGACUUUAUUAUCAGAUUUAUCGGACAAUAAAUGACCACCUAAUAACAGGAGGAGGUAUAUGCAUGCUUGCUGUCUACAUUCGACAUCCGAAGCAUCAGUUGGCAACUCUGUAUCUAAUGCCCUGGAUAAACACCCCAAUUUUAACCUUUGUUCAUCAAAAUCCGACAGGGACGGAGAAAAACUAAUAAGCUCCUCACAUAUGAGUCCCCAUUCCUGAACACUAUAAGAUGUAUCUAUCCCUGUAAUUGGAGGACUAUUGAUCGGUAAUCCCCAUAGGACCUCUACAUCCUGUAAGGCAACUGUAACCUCUCCAACGGGUAGAUGAAAGGUAUGAAUUUCAGGCCGCCAUUGCUCCAUUAAACUAGUGAUCAGAGCAUGAUCAAUCAUCAUAUAUCCACUCUCGAGCACCCCUUCAAACCCAACCAAACGAAAAUAAUGCCAAACAGUUUCGGGAAUAGGUGUAUGCUCCCAAAAAUCCUUAUCACAUCGUCUGACAUCGAGCUAAUUGUCCAAAAUAUGCCAGAAAAAUAUGAAAUGUGCCCAUUGUGCAGUUCUUGCAGAGAUAAUAUCGUACAUGAAUGGCCCCAGAUGCAGAUCUGUUGGUGCAAGAAUGUCAAUCAUAUCGAUGUGAAUAUCUGCAAGAAUAAGUACAAUAAUGCAAAAUUUGUCAUUCCUUAUAACCAUAAACCGAAUCAUCAAAUACAAAAUAUUGAAAGAUUCAACUAAUAUAUAAGACUACACACUAUAAUGCCUAGAAUAGGAGUUUGAGAACCCAUACUAACUUGACACUUUAAGAACUAAGACCCCUUCAAACUAAAAAAAAAACAAAAAUAUUAUUUUCAUAAUUUAUCAACAAAUAGUAUAUAGCAAAAUAUACUAAUUUCAUAAUGCCUUCUAAUAGAAUUACAUGGGUUCCUAUCUCUAAAUUAUUUCAUUCAAGGUUUAUAAUUUGAGCAAUUUCUUCUAUUGUGACCCGACUGAUGAUAAUUUGUACAUUUUCUUGGUUCUUCUGGAUCUCUCUCAUCCAUCUCAUUUCGAAUUCUUCUUGCUCGUACUCUUCCUGCCCGAAAUGUAAUAUAUUUACUUCUAUCUACAUGUAACUCCCAAUCAGGUUGGAGCCAAGUAUUUGGAUGCGGUAAAGGGUUAAACCUUUCUGAAUACUGUACCGGCCACCACUUUUUUAUAAAUUGGGGCCUGUACUGCUACCACUUGGCACAAGAGCAAGUUUUAUCAAAAAAUUUGACCGUUUGUGUAUUACCCCCUUUGCCAUCCAUACGUCGGCCUGUCACAACUUUGUACACCCCUGUUGAGACAUCAAACUCCACAACCCUAUGGAGUUCGGCUUUCUGAUCAAAAAUUUUAAAUCGCCGCCAUAUCUUUGGAGGAAAAGGGUUACAGUAAUGUCUGGCAUUCUCACUUCUCGUUUCAAACAACUCAACUGUCCCGAUGAAAUGUCAUAUUGAUACAAGCCCAAAUUGGCAAAUGGCGUGCCCCUCUAAGUACAUUAUUAUAGCUUUCGGAUAUGUUGAUUGUAAGAAUACCCCCAACGAUGGCCACCGUCAUGUGUUAGACACCACUUUUCAGGUCCAAUAUCAGACAAAUAAGUUCAUGCAUCAGAAACAUGUUUCUUAUUUCUCGUUUGAACCCCCGCCACUUGCGCAAUUGUCUAGCUUUUUCCAUUGCUCAACACAACCUUUUAAGAUGCAGGCCUUUGAAGUGUGUCAUUAGUUUGCUCCUAACGUGUCGUAGGCAAAACUUAUGAAACGCCAAAGAUUCUUUUCAAUAAUCAAACUGUGUCAUGGCAUGAAUGAUACCAUUAUGACGAUCCGAAAUGACAAAAAGAGGAUACCGGUCACGAGCCACAUGGUAUCUAAAUUGCUCCAUAAAUCAUGACCAACUAGAAAUAGUCUCUUCAUCACCAAUGGCAUAAGCAAUUGGAAUUAUCUUGUUGUUGGCAUCUUGCGCAAUUGCAACAAAUAGUUUGCCUUUAUAUUCACUAUGCAAAUGAGCGCCAUCAACAUAUAUAACCGGUCUACACAUGCAAAAUGCAUCAAUAGCCGGUCCAAAAGCCCAGAAUACAAACUUAAAUGUUUUUACUCGAUCUGUACUUUCCAAAUGGUGCUACCACUUGACCACAGUUCCCGGAUUUGACUGAACAAGUGCAUCAAUAUAUUUUGGUAGUUUAGCAAAAUUGGCAUCCCAAGAUCCAAAUAUAAGUUCAAUAGCUUUGUAUCUGGCAUACCAUGCCUUUUUGUAAGAAACAUCCACCUUCAAGCCUUCCUUAACAUGACUCAUUAUAUUCUUAACUUUAAAUCUAGGAUCAUUUUCAAUGCUACAAAGUAUGUGUCUAGCAAUAACUGAAGAUGUGAGACUUGUAUUGCUAUUACUCAUCAAAUCACCUAGACAAUUAUUGUCGUUGACCCAUUUGAUUAUUUGCCACAAACUAUGAGUCUUCUUUUUCACUGCUCUAACACACUAGUCGCAUGCCGAAUACGAUGGGGUGACUGUAGUGCUAGUACUCCUAUCAAAUACAGAUUUGCAUUUGACAACCCACGUGUUACUCUCGCUCUCAACCACCCUGAACUCCCUGUUAUGAUUGAUAGACUACAUCCUAACAGCCCUACUGAGCUGUUGUUUGCUCUCAAAUAUUAUAUGUAGGCGUAUAUUAUUAUUUUUCUCACUGAAUAUAACAAUGCGCUCUAACUUACUUUUAUCAGUGAGUUGGUCAUCAUUAUGUAUGUUUCCAAGGUCAGAGAAAAAUCUAAGACCUCUUGGAACAUAUGAGAGGCCCACAAUUGCAUUGUUUGACCUACUAUCUCCUCGCUCAGUAUUCGCAACGCUCAUACCAUUAAAAGGCUAUUGGGUCUCGAGAUCCGGGUGAAAACCACAAGCUUCAUGUUCGUCAUCUGAGCCACUGUCGGACACAUCAAUUGACUCAGAUACUUCUAUGUCUUCUGUGUCAUGUUCCGAAUCAUCGUCUCCUCUAAAGCAGGGAGCUUGUCAUAUCCACUGGCAUACACAUUAUCUAUAGUUGUUGUUGGACAACUUAGACCAGGGGUGAAAUCUAAGCCAUAACAAGAUAAAUGAUACAGUGAUCCUGGAUCUCUACAACUUGGAAUCGAGUCAAGGCCGUGAACAUAUUCAACAUCACGCCUUAACCCUGAUGUGAUGCUUGACUCUGACGAGUCCCUAUCCCAAUCUCCAUGUGUAUAUUGGGAGGCCGAUGCAGUCUCUGAUACUACUGUACUAGAGUGGGACCGGAAUCUUGUUGGAUUCAUGCAUGCAUGGACAAGUGACAUCAUCGGACCAACAUUGGUAGUUGAUGAAAUGAAUAUGCUACUGACUCGAGAAUUUUGGAAAAUUUCGUCCUUCUCGAUAUAAAGCUCGGCUAUGUAUGGAACAAUUUCAUUCCAUAUAUCGUACAUUAUCUCCAGAGUUUCAUCAUCCACCACUGUGGAGACAUUAUAAGAGGUACGGCCACACGAUUGACGGAGAAAUAAAUUCAACUUGAACGUCUCCCGAUUAACCCCCAUAUAUUGAUAAAUUAUGUCAACCAAUUCCUCAUAUCCAAUUCUAUGCCGCAAUGUGAACGUACGGUUGGAGGUAUGAGGCAAGUAACAAAUUGACCCAUCCUCGUAAUGUAUUUUACCUCCCCAAUAAAGAGACACUCGCAGAGGUCUUUCUACAAACAUAUGUGUGAAAUGAUCCUUAUUUUGGGGAAAAUAAAUUAGAAUUUGUAAUACAAAAGUAUGAAACAAAUGACUAUCGGAUUAGGACUCUCUUCAAAAUAAUUUUCGCAUCAUCUCUCCCAAAUAUUAGCUCAAACUUUUCAUUAACCAUUGACCAAUUUUUUUUAGCUAUCAAUGCACUGUAAAUAAUUACUAUUUCUUAACUAGCUAAAGAAAAAACUAUAUUAAUUAUAUGAUGCAUAUAAUAGAAUGUGAAACUACAAUAAUUUGGAGGAGAAUCCCCUAUCUCAAUGUUAGAAGCAGCCUGCUUGUAAAAGUUAAUAUUUUUAGUUAAUUUUUUAUAGAAUUUGAAAGCAUAUUUUAAGUUAAUAUUCCCUCUAAAUCCCCUAUAAAUUUCGAUAGAAUGUUAUUCAUGAAUUCUUAUUCUGCAAAAAAAAAAAAGAAGAUAAGUUGAUUAAGUUCAAUAGCUUUCCUUGUUUUAUUUCACGUUUCAAAACACCCCCUUUGAGUCACUCUUGUCACCACUCCUCAAAAAAACUUUUAAGUUAAUAACUAACCAAAAAAGCCCAAAAUUAUAUCUAAGCAUGUAAAUGUCAAAACUUUUUGAAAACUUAGUAGAAUUUUUGAAAAAAUUUCAACAGAAUCUCCCCUAUAACUACGCUAAAACUCCUUGCCAACCAAUCCAAGCACGUAUCAAUUUUCAAAGCUAGUUUAUUUAAUUGCCUAAAAUAUUACGAUGCAUUCGCUAAAUCUUUCUACAUCCACCAAAUUCAUCAAAUUCGUCAUCUUUAUGGUUCAAAAGUAAAACUACAUAAAAGACCAUUCAAAUAAAAUAAUAAAGCCAAAACAAAAUGGCCAAUCAAAAUUUCCAAAUCCCUGAUAAUUUGGUCAAAAAAAGAUGUAUAUCUCAUUUUGUCAUGUUCGAGACAACCGGAGGGAUCAAAUAAAACCUACUUGUUCAAGUAAAAUGAACUUGUUCAUAUAGUUGGACAAAUAUCAUAAAUAUAAAGAGAGGCAACUUUGUUAAAGUUGUAAACUUAUAAAUUUACCUAAUAAUUAGUCUCAGAUUCCAUACAUGCACUCCAACAGAGAUUUGAUCCUACUAUUAUCAACCAAAGCCUCUUCAACUGAUAAUGUGCUCGUGUCACCAACUUUGUGCGCAUCUGUAUGAACAUGAUGGAAUUAAUGACAAAACAAAAAAAUUUAAAAAUUAGUCGUAGCAUGUAUUUGUCAAAAAUUUUUAAACAACUUUGAUAGUUUUUAAAGAGAUUUUGAUAGAAUCUCCCCUAUAAAUGGGCUAAAACUCCCUGCAGCUGAACAAAUCACAUCAAUUUAGAACACUGCAAACUAUAAUCUCCUAUUUUGCUAUAAGAGUUUAUUGCAAGGGUUAAAACUGAAAAUUCUGCUAAAAUGUCCGGGUUUAACAACAUUGCCCCCUCCAGCUUUUAAAUUGGACUUGAACUUUUUCCAUUAGCAUAAAAAUGAAAUUUAUAAGUAAAAAUUCAAUCUACUCGAAUGAAUGAAUUCAAUAAACACUCAUUCGGGUCCAAAAUCCAACUUAUUUGAAAAAUUAUAGCCUUUGGUCAUGUCUUUCAUAAUAUCUUCCAAUUUUCUAUUUUUAUUUGUACUUUGGUCCAAUAAAUCUGACCUUUUAUAAGUCCAUUUUAGAGAUUUUUGAGUUAAAGUCUUCUUGUUCCUUUUUUUUGUUCCCCCUCGAGGAUGAUCCUUUGGUCAUUGUGGCUAUCUUAUGGCCCGUUCAAUUGGAUAACAUCCACAAACAAGAACUUGUACCAAGCAUUCAUUACCAGUUUGUAUUUGUUUAUCAUAAUAUAAAGUUGAAUGGACUUAUAAAUGGCCCAUAUUUUUGUCAAUUCACCAUUGUAUUGGCUACCUAAACGUCCUGCAUCUCCUCCCACAUAUUGUAGUAUUAGUUAAUUGAGUUAAUAAAAAAUUGGGCCCUGCUUUGUGUUGCCUAAUGCUGGAUUAGUGCAAAACAACUUAAAAUCCAAAGAUGUCUGUAAUCUCUAUGAUGCAUUGUAUUUACCUUCAAAUCCAAGUUCAUGUACAACUUACAAAUCUAUUAAAUUAGGAUUGAAUGUCCCAAACUCAAGAUUUAAUUGAAUUCCUAAUCCUCAAUCCAUUUUCAUCUACUAAUACACUGGUAUCUCAAUUUGUCAUUAACCUUUUAUGUUUGUUCUCAAAAUCUCCUUCAUUAAUUGUCACUCCAGCUAACAUUUUCAUCAAAUAUAACCCAACUCAGCAGUCUUGACCCCUUAAACCACUUUCCAGGCUAGGAUAUACCACCACAAUUAAUGAUACCAAAACAGAGGGAAUGUAUUAAAUGUCAAUGUUGAUUUGUCAAAUUUCCUCCACCAAGGCAAAUUAUGCAUCGGACAAUUAUCUAUUGAUGGGACCAAAUUAUUGUCGGCAAUUGAAAUUCUGAGCAGUCAAAUUAACUGCUGUGAUUCUUGAGAGGGCAGGCCAUUAAGGAUAGUGAUUAAGAACUAUAUGUUGACUUUAGUCCCUAGCUUUUGAUAUUUACAAAACAAUGGAUGAUACUAAUACCUCUUCAAGAAAUAUUUUCAGCUAUGAAGCAAAUCUGAUUCAAAGAACAAGAGCAUUUGAAAGAGAUAAAAGAAAUUGAAAGCUGUCGGACGCUCGCGAAAACAACAUCGGACAUCCGAAAAACAAUGCAGCACUUCGGACGCAUGAAGAACUCCAUUACUGGAUGUCCGAAAGAAUUAACAUGAUUUCUCAAACUCACUAUUUAUAUAAAUAGUGUAUGGGCAGAAACUUCAAACAACUUUUGCACACUGAAGAUUACAAAAGAUAUAGAGUAGUUUUAGUGAGAAAACACUCUCUAAGGAAGAUUUGUAGUCUUGGUGGUGUGAAGUUUGUUGUAAGCUUUUCAUUUGUAAGUGAAUACUUCAAUAGUGUAACUCUGUGAGGGUUGUCCUGAGGGAUAAUAAAACUUCCUAACUUGAUCGAGUGGAGUUUAGGGCAAAGAGGAAGUGAGCCUUCUUUUGUACACAAGAUUGGUUGUAUUUCAUCAACUUGAAGAAGUUUGUUUGAAUUGAUCUACAAGCUCAAGAGGGUAAUCAAAUAGUUUGCAAUUCUUCCUUUCUUAUUUACUUAUUGUUAUCUUGUGAUCUUUAAAUUGCUUAUAUCUUCUACUUUUCUCAAGUGAUUUUGUUCAUUCAUUGAUUGAUUCAUUAUGUGAUCACUUAGAAAAGAGGGUAAAUUUCAUAUUGAGCAAAAAGUGCCCAUAAUCUGAUUAAUUUCUUAAUCAACCUAAUUCACCCCCCUCUUAGGUUGUCUUCGAUCAUUACACUAUAAAUAAGUGGGAUUUUGUAAUUUUAACUCCACAAUAAGAACAUUUGUAUUCUCUUCAUGUCCUUAAGAACAUCUGUACCAUGAAUGAACAUUAAUGUUUAACAAAAGAAAAAAAUAGCGAUUAUUCGUAGCAUUCAUUUUCACCAGAAAAAGAAACAAAAUCAAUAACUACGGGCAUUUCAGCAUCUUCUUCCGUCACUGGCCAUAGCAUCACAAAGCUUACCUUAUUCACCGAAAGAUGGCUGUACCUUCAACAUUUUCCGGUCUCCAUUUUGCAGCUUUUCGGGCCUUCAACUUUCCGAUCUCCGUUUUGCAGCUUUCUGGUGAGAGCUUCCGAGAUGACCAGAGUUGGACUCCUUCCCUCCAACGGCUGCACUCUUGAUGAAUGCUGCUGCUUCCGAGGAUUUCAAUGGCGGAUUUGGGAUGCAAUUUCCCCUCAAUUUGUAUUUCCCAAUUUUGUUGUUUCUUACGGUUUUCUGGUUAAAUGAGUCAAAGAGAGGACUGAGGUUGAAGGAGCUGGGUUUUUGUUUUUGAUCGACAGACAAAGGACCUCGCAUUUCUCAAAUGCAAGGUCUAUUUAAAAAAAAAAAAUGCUACCUGGCUUUUUGUUAGCUCGCAUUUGCUGAAUGCGAACUAAGCUAGUUCGCAUUCAGAAAAUGCGAACCACUUGAUUUUAGAAAUUACCCCACAAAUACCGUCUCUUGUAGAAAAAUUUUUUUCCAUAAUAAUUUAAGAAUUUACUCGGAUAGUUUAUUACUAUUAUAAGAUAAAUCCAUGACGAAGUAAGGGAAGUGGAGGUCAUUCCAUGUCAGUAGUUAGGCAGCGUUGAAAGAUCCCCUAAUACUUCUUUUUAUAGAGGAAAUUCUUAAAUUAUUAUGGAAAACAAAAUUUUUACAAGAGAGGCUAUUUGUGGGGGUGAUUUCUAAAAUCAGGUGGUUUGCAUUUGCUGAAUGCGAACUAGCUUAGCUCGCAUUCAACAAAUGCGAGCUAACAAAAAGCCAGGUAUAAUUUUUUUUUUUUUUAAAUUGACUUCACAUUUCUCAAAUGUGAGGUCCUUUGUCUGUCAGUCAAAAACGAAACCCAGCUCCUUCAACCUCAGUCCUCUCUUUGACUCAUUUAACCAGAAAAAUCCUAAGCAACCACAAAAUUGGAAAAUGCAAAUUGAGGGGAAAUUGCAUCCCAAAUCCGUCAUUGAAAUCCUCGGAAGUAGCAGCAUUCAUCAAGAGUGCAGCCGUUGGAGGGAAGAAGUCCAACUCUAGUCAUUUCGGAAGCUCUCGCCAGAAAGUUGAAUCCCCGAAAAGCUGCAAAAUGAAGACCGGAAACUGUUGAAGCUACAGCCAUCUUUCGGUGAAUAAGGUAAGCUUUCUGAUGUUAUUGUCCAAUAACGGAAGAAGAUGCUGAAAUGCCAGUGACGGAAGAAGAUGCUAUUGUCCAGUUACGGAAUCUCGCAUAUGCAAUGCUGACCUCGCAUGUGUCAAACGUGGGGUUGCCUAACCUUUUGACAAGGUAACCUCGCAUUUGACAAAUGCUUGAAGCAAUUUUUUUUAAAAUUUUUGCAAAAUCAGAAAUUCAAUAAUAAAUCGCAUUUGCGAAAUGCGAACUUAGUGAGCUCGCAUUUUAUAAACGUGAACAACACUUAAGCAGAAUGCUACACUCAAAAAGCUCCAUUUAUAGAAAAAUUUUAAAUUUCAUCAUAAAUUUAGAAAUUUCUCCGUAAAAUCAAGAGCAAUUUUUAGUGGAUGUGACGAGGCCGUGACGACAUUUUUACUCAAUUCCUAGGCUGCAGCAAGCAGAUCUAAAGGACCGUUCCAAAUCCCCAAAUUUGGCCUGGAAAUAUAGCAAUCUUGACAAUUUUCUCAAAAAAUCUGGCAAAUUUCACUCAUCAGCUAGCAACUCCCAUAAUAUAGCAACCUUGAUAAUUCUUAUCCAAAAAUUUACUAGCAAUUUUUACUCAUCAGCUUGCAACUGUUCCCCAAUUCUUGACAUAGCUUAUACGACAUGAUGCUACUUAACCAAAACUGAAUGAAGCUGACAGCAUUUACAAGGAACUUGGGUCAGACUUCGACCAAGAUCAAGUAAACUACGAUCUCGGUUCUAUUGUGUCAACAACAAAUUGGAACCUAAGCACUUGGAACAAAUAUUGAACAUCCCAAUAUGCUCUGCCCAAUUAUGCUCUGUCAAAGGGAUUACUGACCGCAUCAAUGUGUACGGACCUGGAAUGCUGGGAUCCCAACCUUCACCACUUUUACUGAAACCUCUAUAGUACAUGAUAACAGCAUUACAGUAAAAUAUUUGUGCUCAAUAUAGCUAGUCAAGUUGUUUCGUCCAGUCAAAUGGAUCCCAAUCUUGGGCAAAAGCAGCAACAGCUUGUUUCUGCAUCUCCAACGAUAUAUGCUUCUGUCGACAGUGCAUGUCUUCAGCAGGCAAGCGUAGCAUACCUCUUAUCACAUUUAGGCCAAAGUUGCUCUUAAAUUGCUUUUCAUCAUCAAUCACAUGAACGAAUCCCUUGUCUAGGCCAAAUUCGACAUGAAAGUAAGGGAAGUUCUUUGGAACUGAAGCACGGAGGCCCUUCUGACUGGUAUCAAUCAGCUUCUUGGCAUUAUGUUGACUCCACUCCUCCUCUGCCUCAUCAAUUGCCUGUGACAUAUCAAAAAGUAGCCAAAUGUUAAGUAUCCAAGCAUGAAACUCGAGCAGUUUUUUAUUUUAAAGACAUCAACAUGUUAAACCAAAAUAAUCAAUCAAAAAGAUCCGAUUCAUCAAUGACUAACUAAUCUAUAAACAACAAACAACAGGAGUAAGUACGAUUGGUUUAGUAAGGAAAUUCUUGCUCUAAAAGGACACAAAAGAGAAUUUACUCUCUUCAGUUUUCAAGUACAAUCAUAAGAAUAUAGAUUUACUUCCAACAUGUCACAAACAUCUCAUAUGUCUCCUUCUAGCUGAAUCACAACUAUCAGAGUUGGAUAGAACACCUGCACCAGAUCAUGACAAAUUAUUUUUAAGGUUUUCUGAUGCACAAACUGAGUAAUUCAUAAUCAUCAUUGCUCUCCAUACAAAUCAAUCAAUUUCUGCUUUUGCUUUGCAUGCCUUGAUCAAUCAACAAUUUCGUCAAGAACUCAAAGGACUACUUUUACACUUGAUUCAGGUAACACCUAGAAAAGCUAUUGCAAGACUUCUUAAACAGUUAACACUGUCAAUAAUAAAAAUGAAAAGUGGACACCACCCUCCAUGCCCUUAUCUACGCAGCAAACUCCAUAUCGUUAAACACUUUAUCAUACCAAACUAAACACCACAAAAUUUUGGUCUAGAAGGAACCCCAUGAGCUCCAAUUUAUAUUUUUCUCCAAUCUUCAGCAAGUACUGAUUGGUCAAAAUUGAAAAAGAAUUAAAAAAAAAACACAUUCACACACACGGAUGGCCUCCAGAGUCAGGAUCACCUUUAAGAUUAACCAUCAGAAAGAUGCAAAAAAAAGAAGAAACUGAAGAAAACUAACCUUCUUGAAAUACAAAGGUGCCUGUUUUGCAACUUCAUGGGGCAGCGGAAUGCAAUCCAGCAAACAAUGGCGGCGUUGCUGUGCCAAGCCCAUCACUGUUUCAAGAAACACAACAUCCUUAUCCUGCUUAGCAAACAUCAUUAUCAGGCACUUCUUGAAAUUCCGGAUUUCGUCCCAUAUAUUGUUGUCUACAGUUCUUGUCCGAGACUCAUGCUGCACAUGUCAAAAACCAUUGUUAGCGCUGUGGGAUGAUGACAAUAAUUACAAGAUCAACUCAGCAGCAAAGUUAACUUUCUUUCGUUUCCUUUUCAACACUAUUAGUGCGUAAAAACUUAAAUGUCCAUCACAAAGUUCUACGUGGCAAGCAGAAACGAUAAUCUGGGUUACCAAGGUUUCACAUUUUUCAGCAACUAAUGAAAUGUUAAUUUGGAGUAUAUUACCUUUUGCUGCCCUAUGGAUUAAGCACAAACACUUGUAAGAAUAUACCCUGAACCCCAAUUUGGUUUUAAAGAUGCAAAUGCACAACCUUCACUAGGGCAUACAAGUAGCUAUAACAUAUCAUGAAACAUCUGUAAUGCAUAUCCGUUUUGGUUCUCUUAAUUGGUUGUUUAACUGAAGAAUGCAGACCUAACCACUUUUUUGUAUACAGGGUACCUCUAAAAGAAAGGAGAAAGCAAUUCCUAUGAGUCUAAGUUUGUGAAGCACAGUGCUGAGAUAUCUCUAAAGGAUUAGGGAGAUAUCUCUAAAGGAUUAGGGACAUGCAUCUUUAUCAUAUAACAGACUAGAAAAGAGGCAUUCGUCGUACACGCUCAAGCUCCAGAAUUACAGUGGAGCAAUCCUGCUCUGGCCUAGAUAUAAACUGUAAAUAUGGGGAGAGAGAGAGAGAGAGAGAGUUCACCUGCAUAGUUAAAAUGCAGCAAUGACCAGGGACAACAGGCUGCCAAUGAGGUCGAAACAAAAUUGACACCUCUCUUUCUGUGUCAAGAGGCGAUUUGCAAUCCUAGUUGCCUGACUUAUCUCAUUUGGUUUUUGGUCUGUACCCAUUCCUUUGUGCCGAGUCUUUUUCCUUGGACCAUCAUCAUAAUCAUACUCAUCAUCUGCCUAACCAGAGAUGUUAUACUGCUGGUUCCACAUUAUCUUUUGAGCCAGAUACAAGUCAGCGUCGUCCUCCUUCAUCUUUUGUCGAGCAGAUACACCAUGAAUGAUAUAUCUGCUUGUGCUCCCAUCAAUCCGUGGUCUGUGAGACUCAUCCUCAGCAUCUGGCUUUGCCUUUGUGUUUUCAGCCUCCUUCACAAGUUUUUCAGCCUCUUCAUGUUUCCCUUUCAUGCGAAGCUGCAUGACUUUGGCAGCCAACUGGUUUGCCUUCAAUGCUGGCUUCACAGUUGGACCAUCUUCACCAUGUCUUUCAACCAAAUUUGAUUCCACUAGUCUGUCAUUUUUUGCAUUUGAAGAACUGACAGGAUCAUUUGAACUAUCAUUUUUCUUUUGCAUAAAGUCACGCAUAAAGCUUCCAUCAUUGGAAAACUUAUUUAAGCUAGACACUGCAGCAGAGAGGUUGAUAUCCUGAGCAGGCAUCUUACGCUUUCCCCAGGAUAAAGAAUCCUGAACUUUUGGUAUUCUCAUAUUAGCAUGGCACGAAGACCCAUCCUGCAAAAAGUUACUGUUAGGAUUCUAAAACUUAUCAGGAAAGGGAAGAAAACCAUCCAUAAAGAAAUAUGACUGGGAAAGUCUGGGAAGUUUUUGAAAAAUUACCAAAAACUAAUCACAUACUUCUUUUGAAAUUGGAAAAUUUUGUAUCAUUAAGCCAACGUCUUUCAGAAACAACACAGUCUGGAGAAAUCAUACCUUCUCAAUAAAUAUUCCCUUGUCUCUAUCUGCAUCUGUUUGUUCUCCGUCCUUUAGCCUUCUCCUCCGACUUUUUAUCGCAUGAAGAUGAGCAUGAUUUGGUGCCACUCUAUGGGAUGCCACAGAAACUGCCAGCUCUCCAAGAGAGCCCCACCGAUCUUCAACCACCUGUACAAAGUUAGUUCAUUACACAAUACUAGCUUGAAUGAAGAAUCUAAAUAAGAAACCUAAGACAAUCCCACAUACCUCCUCAAGCUUCCGUCCUUCACAGGCUGCUUGCUCCUGAGCUCGUUUCAAUGCUUUCAACCUCCAGCUUGCACCUCCAUCACCCACAAGUGAAGAAAAAAGAACUUGGUUCUGACAAGCAUUAACAUCUGAAUCUUCUGGAUACCCACUACCAUUAUUCUUCAAAUAUGGAUUCAAGUCCCUGGGAUUCAUCUUCUUAGUCUGAACCAAAAAAUAUACCAGGAAAUAGAAUAACCAAACUGUAUUUGAAAAUGCAUGAUAACAGCAAUUUGGCAUCUACAGAUAAAAUCAGCCCAGAGAACAAUCCACAACAGGCAAGAUAAACACUCUCAACGUUGACAAGAAAACACAAGUAUUGGCAGAUCGGUCAAACCAAUCAUAUAAAAAAUUACAUGAAGGCACAACUCAACUGAACAAAAGCCACAGGGCAAUGCUUCCUGCAAGAACAUGUAGUUUUGUGCAUAGACGAGUUGAUUUCAGACCCAAAAAUAAAUAAAUAAAUCAAUAAAGCACACACACACACAAGUUUGGAGAAAAGAACUAAAUAAAAAUGGAAAAAAUCCAGAAGGGAAUUUAGAUUAUCACUUUGAAUUGAGAUUGACUCAUUCAAGGUCAUCCAGGAUUGAAAUGUUACCAUUGCUACUAAGCUAAUAGCACGUGAGAAUAUACUACAAAAGAACCAAGUCCUUAAUCCAAUUACUCCAAGAGAGCCGUUAAAGCCUCUCCAAGUGUCUCUAGUCUCCCCUGUCUCAUUUUUAUUGAUCCUAAAUGCUUGUUCUGUCUAUUAUCCAUUAACACCAAAGUUCCUCAAACUCCAAUUACCAACAGGCAGCCCCUAUCCAUUUCUCGUCUUUUCUUGACAAUCAAAAGAAGAAAGCGGGGCAAACGAUUGAACCCAAAAAUGUCAAUCGCAGCCUUUUUUUUUUUGGGGGGGGAACCAAAGCACAUAGAAGUUCCUUUACCAACUGUUGUUCCCAAGGUUUCUCCAUCACCAAAAUUCUGGCCUUUUUAAACUAAAACGUUGCCGCUACAGUAUGUUCAAUGGUAGAGAACAAACAUCAGAUUUACGCGUUUGCAGAUUUUACAUUAAAAAAAAAGUCUAAAUAAUUUGAAAGCUAACCUCUUCACGUUCAACCUGAACCUCCUGUUGCUUGUCCGAAACCGUUGCCGGAGUCUUUUCCAUGGUAUCCUUCGGUCGCAGCAUCCAGUCCAAACCCAUCUCUUUCCUUGAAAUAUCUCUCAAGUUCUGGGAUUCAGAACCUCCACCAUUAUCUGACCAAUUUAGCAAAAGAAUAGACAGAUUAGUGGAGUCAAAUAAUUUCAUCAAUGAAUGGACUUUCACCAUGAUUUUCAGAUAUUUUCAGGGUAUAAACAAAUUUUUAAAAAAAGGGGAAAAAAACCUUACCCGUAUCCCAUUUACACAAGAAAUCGCACAGAAAGGCAGCCAUAACAAAUCAAUCUUUAACCCAAAAUUAAUUCUCUGUUUGAAGACUCUUCACCAAACAGCAAGUCGGUAGCAGAAGUUCAAGAGAAGGAGAAGGAAAAAUAAAAGGGCGAAGAAAACGAGGAGGCUUUCAUAUCAUAUGCGCGGUGGGUGGUGGUGAAAUUCGAAGCACAGAGGGAGAAUAGAAUAACAGACUCGAGUCGGAAACCUCCCUUGAAGAGGUUUCUGGCGGUGCUUCACAAACCUCCCUUGAAAAAGUUUCCAACGGUAUUAGUAUUUUUUUUUUCAGAGAUAACAAUUAUAGUAUAACCUAUGUAUCCUAAAUUAUAGGGAAUGAGAGUCGAAAAAGGCAUUGUAUUAGGAACUAAUAGGUACACAAAUUUUACUAAAUCAAGGGAGUGCUUUAGUAUAAUUCUUCAAUUUUUUUUACCGCAUAUGAGAUUUAAACCACCCAACUACAGCACAAGGAGGUGUUAAAGGGACUUAACACUAUGCCACUUAGCCAAGCACAGUAGUUUCUAACGGUAUUAGUGGUACCCUUAAUUCUGAAAAAUCUCACUUCUCUUAAUUAUUUUUUUGGGAUAAUUUCAGAAACCUCCCUUUCAUGCAGCCACGACCAAAUAUCACCAUUAGAAACCUUCAAAUGAUCAAAUUGCCCUUAAAAACUUGUGCCAACAAAUAUUGAAAAUAUGAGAAAAAGAAAUUAUUUUAAAGUAUAAUUUUUUUCUGCUACUUGGCACCAAAUAGUUGGAGGUAUAUAUAUGUUUAAAGCGUCAAAUAACACUUAUAAUGGCAUUAUCUAAGAAAAUCCAAAAUAGCUUUAAAAAAAAAACAAGGAACUAGAGGCUCAACCGUUCGUGAUACUUCACUUGGUGAAGGAUUUGUGCUAAAAGGUGACAAAUAUACCACAAUUUAGGUUGCAGCAAAUUCACUAGAUGUAAAAAGAUCAAAGCUUUUUUUGGUUUAUUAAACCUACUUAUAAGUUUUCUAAGUAUUGAUUGUUAUUUGUCAUAUUAAUGCACCUAAUGCUUGUCAUGGAUAUAAUUUAAAUUAGAAGAUUAUUAAGUUUUCCAAGUAUUGAUUGUUAUUUAUCAUAUUAAUGCUUGUCAUGGAUAUAAUUUAAAUUAGAAGAUUAUGCUAUACUUGUGAAUGUGCCUUUAUGCUAUUUUAUGAUGGUUACAGAUGACUUUGUUUAUAGAAUAUUUUCAACUAAAGUUCCCAUGAAUUUUUCUUUUGGCAAUUUUGCUAGCCUUAUAUGCUGACACCAAAUUUUUUAUUUAAUUUUAGCUUUACUUGUUUUCAAUUUUAGGUUUAUUUUAUUUUUAUUUUUAUUUUAUUAUUUAUUUUGCCUUCAUACCAAAUUUCAAAAAAAAAAGAAAAGAGAAAAAAGAGAAGAAAGGAAAAAUCCCCACAAAAAAUUAAAUUUGUUUUAGCCCUUUAGAUUUGGAUUUAAAGCACUUUAAUAGCAAUAAAUUUUCUAUUAAGAAUUAAUUUCUGUUGUUUAAACUUGAAUAAAAAAAAAGAAAAAAAAGAGAAAAAAGGACACACGUUAUUUCCUCAUUUUUACAGGCUUCGGACAACACAGAAAAUUGCAGCUGGCCAUUUCUUCCAUUUUUUACUCAUUUUCCGUUGCAUUUUUUUUUUCCUCCAAGUACUCUCAGUACAAGGCCAACGCAUCUUGGUGUUAAGUUCCAGGAUCAAUGCCCAUCUAAGGGCCCAAAUUCUUGCCAAAAAUGCAGCUCCAAUCUCCUCCCUUUGUUCUAGGUUUUGGAGGGUUUCGGCAGCUAUAAAAGCUAAGGAUAACAAGCAAAGAGAGGGGGGGUGGUGACGGCUGAGAAUCGAAAGGAAAAACAAAUGGACAGGAGCGGCUAGGUUUAGAGGAAGAGAAUUUGGUGAGUAUAAGAGAUAGAGAGAGCGUGGGAUAGAGCAAAAAGAAAACAGCAAGAGAAGGAAAACAGGGAGUGAAUAGCAGCGGAGAAAAGAGCGAGAGAGGUAGGAGAUCGAGGGUGGCGUUCGGCUGCACAAGAGGAAGAACCAAGCGAGGAAAACUGAGGGAAGGCAAGGUGAAGUGAGGUUUCGGCUAGAGGAAGGAAACCGAGAAAACAAGAAAGAAGAAACUCAGAGCCUAGAGUAUCAAGCUUGCGUUUUUUUUUACUGAAGACUGCAAUUUCAUCUCCUUCGAUCGCUGGUGGAGCGUAUUCAAUCUCUUGCGGAUUCUCCAGCGCCGAAAUUUCUGUAGUAAAGACUUUGGCUUGCAACCUCAGAUUUAAAUCUUGCUAUCCUCAGAUCCCUCACGUUUAACUAGUGUUUCCCAGCAUUAAAGGUAACCCUUUUAUCUUUUUCCGCUUAUACCUCAUCAGACUUGAAAAAAUAUAGUUGAAAUCUUUGCUGCCAUGCCUGCUGUUGCAUUUUUCAGCUUUCCUUCCUUCCUGUUUGUGAUUUGGUAGGAAAAGAGGAUUGUUGAAUCUUUGAUCUUGUGUCAUCGCUUGUUUAUUUUUGUUGGAUUGAGGCUCCUAUGGGGUUAGACCAUGAAUCCGUGAGUCUUGCUUUGGAUUAUUGCUGUUCUCAUGUGUUGAACAAAUUUCUGAAGUUGCAGAAUAUGGUUGAUUCGUUGAGUUGCAUAGUUUUGGUUUGUUGCUUGCUGUAGUGUCGACAAAUCCUUUUCCUUUCUUCGGUUGCUGGGGUUUUAGCUUGUUUGCGGUUCUUGACUUGCUUGCUGUUUGAUUGGGAUGGCCUGUCUAUGUGUACCGCAAGUCUCACUCCUUUCUUUGCUGCAUUUCUGGUCUAAUUGAUUUGAUUGGAUCUUCUAGGAUAGAUGAUCAUGUUAAUGACAAUAGGAUAAAAUCCUAGCACUUGGGUUUGGUUGUCCAAUAGAGUUUGUUUCUGAGUUUCUUGCGCACAAACAUAUCCAAGCUGAAAUAAAAUAAAAAGCUGCGUUCAUCCUUAUGACUUGCUGUGUUCUUUCCCGCAACAGCCUCACCAAAUGGGUUUGCCACCUAAUUUGCUAUGUGAUCUUGUGUUAGAAAGAGGAAGUUGAAUCGCUGGUGUUGAUUUUGUGUGUUGUUGGUUCAAAGGCACAUAGAUUAGGCUCGAAUAUUUGCUGGAAAUCAAGUUCCCGUAAUGGCUGGAAAAUGCAGAAUAUUGCUCUUCGAUGCAUGCAUGAUCAUGUUACCAAAAUUGCACUUUGCUCCCCUUAGCUUCUAUCUAUGCUUCUAUGGCCCAAAGAAUGGGAAAAAUCAAUCAAAUUGCCCCCUCAAACUUUCUUUUUCCUUUUUAAUUGGAUCCUAAUUUUGUGAAUAUGGACUGUUUAGUUAUUUAAAUGCUUUUAAUGAUUCAAUUUCAUAUUUAUGUGAUUAUUUGUGAUGCCUUGACCUUUUCUUUUAUUUUUGGAGAGUAAAUAAGCAAUUUCACUCCAUUAAGGCUCCAACUCAAGGGAGGUACAUCAUAUCCCUUAUUUCUUACUUUAUUUGACGUGCCCUAUGUGACUUUACGUGUUUAAUUGCAUGCCUCUUGGAUGUUUAUUUAUUUAUUUCAUUUAUUUAUUUAUUUGAUUUAUUGGCUUUAGCUUUGUAUAUUUAUUUUAGUUCAAUUUUGAUCAUUUGAAAAGCAUUUGAAUGCCAAAGUUGUAAUAGCUAGGUUAUUAUUAAUUAUUUUGUUCCUUUCCCUCCUAGAUUGUAGUAGGCUUCCCCCGAAUGUAAUAGUUAGGGUCUUAUUUGUUUUAUUUGCCUUGUGUGUUUUUGCAUGCCUAUGUGUUAUGUGUUACUCGCUUUCCUAGGGUCUUGCAUCUAGAUACCAUACUUAUGUGUUAUGUGCUAUAUGUGAUUUACGUGUUUACCUACUUUUAUUAGGUCUUACAUGAUUUAUUUGAUUGUAACUGAUGUGUGACGUCACCACACUAGUCCAACGCUAGUUGUGGUCAAUUUCUCGAAUCCACACUAGUCCAACGCUAGUUGUGGCCUUUUGUUCCGACAUUUCUCACUGGUCCAAUGCUAGUGAGAAAUUGUAGACAUAGGCUAGUCCAACGCUAGACCCUUAGGAACAAUCCGCACGUUAGAUCAUGAUUGUAUGAUAAAUCACUUCAUCUCAUGCAUAUUUUCACAUUUUAGGGCCUUUUAUCAUGUUUUGCAUGACAUCCCUCUUUAUACGUAUAUCCCUUCCCCCAUAUUUUUCCUUAUAUGUAUAUUACUUACCCCUUUGUAUGAAACAUGACAUUAGACUUGCAUUCCAUUUAAGCAUUAGACCUAGGUUAGUACAUUUGCUUGGUUAGACUAGAAAAAAUCCCUUGGAUAUGGGAUAUGGACGAGUUUGGCUUCUCUAACCUUAGCACGCUCGUAUUUCCUCUAUUAAAGGGAACAUUGGAGUCACGAACAUUAGUUCCCCCGUACCCGACAUGAUGCAUUCCUUUAGGCCACGUAUAUUUGUAUAAUUACUCUUAUUUUCCUUUUCUUUCUUUCGAGUCUCAUGAUUUGCAUUAUUUGUGACUUUUUCGAAGAGUCUUUAUUGGGCGUCACAAUUAAUGUGAUUGGUACCAAGUAAGUUUUGAAGAUACAUUUCGACCCUCCGAUACCCUAUUAGGUUUAGGGUUUGCAUUCAUAUAAAACAUCCAAAAUGUGAUAAAUCUUAAGGGUAAAAUAAGAAAAUCUUUGACUAAAUCGCGCAACUAGCCUUGGCUAGGUUGAAAGGGUGCCUUGGAUUCUUAUUCUUGCCUUCCCUUUUUUCAAAUGUGACUCCCGAAUCUUUUUCUCUGAUUUUCGUAGACUUGGAGUCGUUUAAAAAGCGUUUUCUACUUUUCCCUUUAAAAUUCAUUUUUUAGGUGACUUGGUACACCUUAACUCUAUACCAAGUGGCGACUCUAUUUUUUGUUCAAAAAAAAAUCCUUUUUAAACUAUAUUUUGGGUCAAAUCGUCGCAUUUUCAAGUCCCAUUUAGACCCACAUGUUUUUCAUUUUCUUUUUAAAUCAAAAAUUCAUUUUUUAAUCAAAAAUUGAAUCAAAAGCCAUUUUCCUAAACUCGUCUUUUAUUUUUCUCUAUUUAAAAAUGGAGCGCGACAAUUGGCGACUCCACUAGAGAUUUUGAGAGUCCGAGCAAAUUUGAUUUAGUCAAUCUUUUUUUUCUUUUAACCUUUUCAUAUAUCAUAUUUGGAUGUUUAGGGUUGCAUUUUUCCUUUUUAGGAUUUUUGCAUUUCACGCGUAUCAAUUCACUCCAUCACCCUUUGCAUACAAUUGAUUUUGAUGGAUGGAUGGUUUAUUUAUGUGAUCCCGUGCAUUGCAUUGCAUUUGGGUAGGGGGUAUUUCCCUAGAGUCUCGCGUUGAUUCUCGAUCCCUCCUCUCCAAACGAGCACUGGCAUACGUGCAUACGCUUUAUUUUUUAUCCCUCCUUUAUUUUUCUUUUAGUGGCUUGUCACGCCACUCUACUCUAUUAGGAUUAGGCGACCCACUUGGACGUAUGAUCGCGACACGACGUGUGCGUAACAUGAUCCGAGGGGUCACUCAAUCUUCUGCUUUAAGCUGUGGGUUAAUAACCUUUAGCUUUUAGUCGAAGGUUGAGGAUUUUUAUAGAUUCACUCAGACAUGUAGCUCUGAUACGACGUGUGCGUAGCAAUGUCUGGGGAAUCGCUCGAGCCACCGACAAAGAAUCUUGGGAUUGAUGACCCUUGGUUUCCCAGUCUGAAGGCUCGGGGACCUAAAACCUGUCGAGUUUAGAUGCAUUAGUGAGUCAAUACCUCAUGCAUCCAUAAUAGUUCAUCUAGGACAGAGUCUGUCUCACCCUAUUAGGGACACCAUUUGUUAGGAAAUUGGAUUAAUUUCUUUUAGGUAAAAUUCCUGUUUUGUGUGGAAGUAACUAGUUUCCUAAUUGGAUUUAGUUACUUGAAGUAGUAGUCAAGUAAAUUCCUAUUUAGCUAGAUACUAUUUUCUACUCUAUGUGAGUUUAGGAAAUAGUAUUGAUUUCCAAUUGUUAUUUGGUUUUUUUGGCAGUAAUGUUCCCUAUAAAUAGGUGGGUUGGCAUACUACAAAGAUACACAAGAAAGGAGCGAGAGAGUUCUUAGUAGGUGAGAGAGUUAUACAAGAGUUGGGGUUUGGGAAUCAAGUUGUAAUCUUGUGGUGUUUUUCUCUCAUAGUAAGAACAAGUUUUUCUCUCCGUGGAUGUAGGCUUGGUGAUUAAGCCGAACCACGUUAAUUCUUGUGUGUUGUUCAUCGUUCGUGUUAGAUAUUGUUUUCUAUUAAAUUGUUGGUCUUUUCUUUUUCAAAUAAUUGGCCUGAUAUCCCAACAAGUGGUAUCAGAGCCGAUGGUUCGGCUGGGCAGUGACUCCAGGAUAAAAAGCCAGUGGGAGUGGUAAGGCGUGGCUUGGAUAAGAGCGGGGAAAAAAAAAAUCAUGCAGACCUGCAGUGAGGUAAGGGCAUGUGGGCUCUUGAGCAAGAAUCGUACACUCUAGAUUGAAAUGGGCUUGAUGGAGUGGAUGGACUAGGGAGAGAGGUCCGAUGUGAAAAAGAUUCACAAUUGAGGGGGAGAUUGUUGGGAUAUCAAGUGUGAAUCAAUAUCCCACAUCGGAAAAAGAUGAGUAGAAUGAGGAACAUAUAAGAGAUGAGUAGAAUGAGGAACAUAUAAGUGGGAACGAUCCAUAGACCCAAUGCCUUAAGGUUUUGGGUUGGAUGUGGUGUCAAGCCCAUGGUUGUGGUUCCCAUUCUAGCUCAUGGUUAAAUUCUCCCCGGGUUUGGCUUUCUCCGAGCCCAACAAGUGGUAUCAGAGCUCCGUUGGGAUUUUGGUUAAUUAUUUGAAAUUGGGUGGUGGUAUACCAUGGGGUUUGGAACUAUACAGUUUCCAAUUCAACCAUUUAAUGGAACUACAAGUUUCACUCUUUGGCAAAGAAGAGUGAAGGAUGUUCUAGUUCAACAAGGUUUGGCAAAAGCGUUGAAUGGAAAGAACAAGAAGCCAGAGAGAAUGAAUGAUGAUGAGUUUGAAGAGUUGGACGCAAGAUGUGCGAGCACGAUUCGGCUCUAUGUGGCGGACAACAUCAUAAAUAAUGUGAUAGAUGAGGAAGAUUCUGCAGCAGACCUCUGGAAAAAGUUGAAAAAACUUUAUCUGGCUAAAAGCUUAUCCAAUAAGUUGCAUCUAAAGCGGCAACUUUAUGCACUAAAGAUGGUGGAGGGUGGCAGCCUCAUGGAUCACAUGAAUACAUUCAACGGAAUUUUGGAUCAACUCCAAAAGGUUGGCAUAGAUAUUGAGGAAGAAGAUAAGGCCCUUUUACUUCUUACCUCAGUCUCUGAUUCUUACGAAAGUGUCGUGACAACCCUGUUGUAUGGGAAGGACACUUUAGAGUUCGAGAAUGUGUAGUCUUCUUUGUUGGGUCAUGAAAAACAAAGGAAGGCAAACUAGGAUGUGACACAAGAAGUUGCGUUAAUUGCUCGAGGUGAGAAUAAAAGAGGAAAACAAUUUGGCGGUGAAUCUAAGGCAGGUGGUUCAAAGGCCAAGGGAAAGGGUGGAAUCCAGUGCUUUGGUUGUCAUGAGUUUGGCUAUAUCAAAAAAUAUUGUCCUCAUCGAAGGAAAAAUGAUGAGAAUGACUAUGAUAAUGUUGCUGGAUAUGCAUCGGGUGGAGAUAUUCUCACAAUCUCCAAAGGUAAUAAUACUUCUUCUCGUGAUGGUUGGAUUUUAGAUUCUGGAUGUGUUUCACAUGUUUGCUCCAGGUUAGACUAUUUUGAUACUCUCCAAAGAAAGAAGGCAGGUUUUAUGUCCUUGGGUGAUGGAUCUACUUGUCAAGCCAAAGGUGUUGGAGUGGUGAAAAUCAAAAUGUUGAAUGGAGAGAUUCGUUCUUUGGGUGUGUGGCUUAUGUCCCAAAAUUACGAAGGAAUCUAAUUUCUUUGAGCCAGUUAGACUCCGAGGGUUACCAUUUUUCCGCUGCAGGUGGAGUCUUGAAAAUCACACAUGGCGAUACGGUCUUGUUGAUGGGGAAGAAGUAUGGUAAUCUGUACCAUUUGAAUACCUCAAUGAAUUGGGAGCGGCAGGGGAUCCAAGAAUGCUCUCAAAUUACAAAUGGUGGUGAGAGAAAAAAUCCUGCUAUGGGAGAGGGUGCAUUGAGGCCCCUCUCGCGAGUCAACUAGAUGUUGGACUCGGUUAACUACGCACGUUCAUUUGCCGAUUGAAUCAAUUGAAAAUAAGACCGUAUUGAUUCGGGUGUGUAGUUAGGCACCAAGGUACUUGGUGGGAAAAAGCAAAUGGAGUUUUUUUGGAUGGUUUGCUGUGUUUGCUAAAAGAAAUUUUGCCAAGGUGGAGAUUUGUUAGGAAAUUGGCUUAAUUUCUUUUAGGUAAAAUUCCUGUUUUGUGUGGAAGUAACUAGUUUCCUAAUUGGAUUUAGUUACUUGAAGUAGUAGUCAAGUAAAUUCCUAUUUAGCUAGAUACUAUUUUCUACUCUAUGUGAGUUUAGGAAAUAGUAUUGAUUUCCAAUUGUUAUUUGGUUUUUUUGGCAGUAAUGUUCCCUAUAAAUAGGUGGGUUGGCAUACUACAAAGAUACACAAGAAAGGAGCGAGAGAGUUCUUAGUAGGUGAGAGAGUUAUACAAGAGUUGGGGCUUGGGAAUCAAGUUGUAAUCUUGUGGUGUUUUUCUCUCAUAGUAAGAACAAGUUUUUCUCUCCGUGGAUGUAGGCUUGGUGAUUAAGCCGAACCACGUUAAUUCUUGUGUGUUGUUCAUCGUUCGUGUUAGAUAUUGUUUUCUAUUAAAUUGUUGGUCUUUUCUUUUUCAAAUAAUUGGCCUGAUAUCCCAACACCAUUCACGAGGGGAGAGAUCCAACCCCUCUAUUCCUUUUAUUGCUUUACCUCUUUGUAUUGCUUUGCUACAAAUGUGUUAUAUGUAUUUAUCUGAUUGAACUAACUUCUCUUAAUUUUUUGUUUCCAUUGCAUUCAUAAGCCCUAGAAAAAUAAGAGUCCUGGCAUGGUACUCUCUAGGAGUCUACCUUAUUUGAUGUGACACGUUUAAAUUUAAUGCUUGGCAUUUUCAGCAUAAAUACAUGUUAUUUUAGACUCACCCCGACAUACUAAAGGGGGUUCCCUUUAGGUCACGUUUCAUUUGUAUACUACAUGUUUACGCGCUUUAAUAAACUGGCAUCAUGCAUCCACCUUAGAAGGGAAUGCCAUUUAGGGAAUCUCGUGUUAGGAACAAACCGCCCUAUGUCUCGGAUAUAUAAUCCAAUGAGACUUGCACGUUUAUAUUUCCUAUACUGUCCGAAGGGGUAGUGCACGAUGUAAGGUAGGAUCCGAUCUUUUCAAAGAUGGUAAAGCAAUUUUUUGCACAUUGGAAUAUGGGCAUCUAAUAAUUAUUUUUUGGCCAUUUUAAACAAAAUUGGUAAGAAAUUCCCUUGCGUAAAUGACAUUAACUUGAAGAAAUUCACAAAUGAUUCCUCACUGUUGAGACGAUAAAUGUAGAGGCCAAAUCUUGAUUUUAGAAGGGUCAUAGACUAAUGCAUCGCAAACUACCAGUGGAUAGAUUGAUUUUUAAAUAAACCAUCAAUUUCAUUCAAUCUAUUGAACCAUUUUAUUCAUCAAUUUCAUCCAAUCCAUUUUUUAUUUUUUUUAUUCACUCAUUUUUUUAGGACUAUCUAAGUCAAUUUUGAAUAAGUCAUCCUUUGUUUGAUCUGAUCAAUUUUGAAUAAAUCACCAAUUUCAUUCAAUUGACUAGUUCACUCAUUUUUAGGGCAAUCCAGUCGAUUUUGAAUAGAUCACCAAUUUCAUUCAAUUCAUUUGAUUAGUUUACCCAUUCUUAUGGCAAUCUUAUUGAUUUCGAAUAAAUCAUCAAUUUCGUCCGAUCCAUUUGACUAGUUUACCUAUUUUUUAGGGCAAUUCGGUCGAUUUUGAAUAAAUCAUCAUUUCACUCAAUCUGUUUGAUCAAUUGAUUUCAUUCAAUUCAUUUGAUUAGUUUAAUUUUUUUAGGGUUAUACAUUCAAUUUUGAAUAAAUCAUCAAUUUCAUUUGACCAAUUUACCAAUUUUAGGGUGACCCAGUCAAUUUUCAAUAAUUUAUCGGUUUCAUCCGAUCCAUUUGACGGUUUACGGUUUCGGUGCCAAAUUUUAGAAUUAAAAUGGCUAAUUGUUUUGAGGAAAUCAUCAAAACGCAUUCAUUCGACUUGGAUAGAUUAGGGUUUCGAUUCAUUUUAAGAAAUUUCAAAUUUCUCUAAUGACAAGCUCCUCAAAGUUAAAUCAAUUUGUACGAAUUCCUAUGCCAACCAAAACCAUUUCUUCAUUUAGAGGUUUCCUGCUGUUCAAUUGGCCCAAAAUUUUCAAAUUGCUUUCCAAUCAACUGUCAAUGAGUUGAUCGGAUCCAUCAGGUAUGGUAUAGUGCCUAUCUCAAAGGAUUACAUCAUGUUAGGCCUACCCUUGGUACUAAAAAGGUCCCCCAUAGGACAUGCAUACCGAUUUUGUAGUUUUGCCUACUAACUCGGGGUAUUUUUCUUUUGUUUUCCCCCCUCUCCUGCAUUCAUAAAAAUGUUUUAAUAAGGUGAAAAUAUUUUUCUAUGUCUGCUAAAAUUUGAAAAUUACAAGUAUUACUUGAUUCUUUGGUAAAUCCUACAUUGAAAACAUGAAAGAUGCAUCUGAAAGCUCUAGGCUAAAGCCUCUGAGAGACUUUGUAAUUGUUUUUCAAAGGAAAAUUCUGUUUAUUUGAUUUGUUAAUAUAUUUUUGUUCCAAAAAAGGGAGACAAAAGUGUAUAUGUGGGGUUUUUUUUAGAAGUUUUUUCUUCUCAUUUGUAUUAUAAUUGAAUGAGAAAUUUUGUUUAAACUUUUUCAGCAAUAAAGUCUUUGGACAAUUAUAGUUUUGUGUAUAUUUAUGUACAUUUGAUUUUGUAUCUUGCUCAUUAGAGAUUUCAUGAUGAAUUUUGAGAAAAAGAUUAAAUUGAGAUUUUUUCAACCCCCAGCCUGAAAAAUUCACAAGUGUAUGCCUUCCAAAAUCUUUACGUUCACAAGAUUAGUGAUCCAAACUGUACAAUAAGAGUGCCCGAAAUUAAAAGAAGCCACUCAAACUGAUAGAUCACUCAAAAGUCCCAAUGAAAUACCUUUUCUCCUUCACAAAGCACCCAAAAAUAAAAUAAGUCACUUUGACUGAUAAAAUGCAAAUUGGGGUAAUCUUUGCUUGAAAAAUGUUCACUGUGCCUAAUUAUAUUCAAUUCACAUCUAAGUGAAAGCAAAAUGUGCAUUAUUCUUGUUUGUUUUGAAAAAUUGGAAUGAUACUUCGAGCGCUCGUUUCUCUACCCAUACAGAUUUUAUCAUUUGCUCUCCCAUUUGAGCCUCUGAAAGAAUAAUUUCGUUUCAAAUAAGAGUCUUAAUAAUCACUACCCUACAUUGGAAAGUUCUUAGAUAUAAAAAAAAGGAGUGGAUUUUCAAUGACUAUUUCGUUACUUUGGUUGUCAUGAGGUGUAAGAAUGAUACUUUGGCCAUCGUUUCUACAACCUAAACACUAUUUAUCCUUUGCAUCCUCAUUUGAGCUAAAAUGGGUGUUUCUUGUCAAAAGCACUUACGAUCGCACCCUAUAUUGGGGAAAGAGAUUGGAGAAUUUUCCAAAAGGGGAAAAAUGCUAAAAUUAAAAGAAAGAGAGAACCCCGAAUGGGAAAAUUUAUUCUACCUGGGUUUCAAUUUUUUUUUAAAAAAAAAAAGAGAAAAGAAAAGAGAAAGAGAAAAGAAAGAAAAGUUGUCCGGCGGAUCCUCUAUGUUUCACGGAUAUGGAUGAACGGAAGUCAUCCUUGGUUAAUUGAUUCAGAUGCAUGCAAAAAAUUUCGCAUUAAUGAAAAUUUUCCUUUCAGAGUUAAUGUAAGGAACGGAUUAAAAGUCAGACCCUCUUCUUUUCCAAUCAAGCAUUCUAUUCCUAAUUAUCCCUUUUGAGCUUUCAAAAUAAAAUAUUUCAUUUGGCAACCCCUGAGAAUCGCAAACCCCACACUGGGACAAGUUUGAGUUGAAAAAGAAGAAAAGUCUCAAAAGGUGAAAAGUGAUAAGGCAACAAAAUCAAAAGACAAAGAAAGAAAAGAGAAUCUCAGUUGAACAUGAACCGGGGCAAAUUUUGAAAAGUUCAAAAGAAUGGCAGAACGCCAAAAAGAAAAAAGAGAGAAAAAUGAAAGAAGAAGACCCUCAAUUGAGAAUAAACUGGGGUGAGUUCUGAUUUAACCCUAAAAUAGGGUUGGCGCAAUAAUGCGAUCUCAGAUCAUUUAAACCACUUUUGAAAAUUUACUUUCAAAUCUUAACUUUUCUAAGCAUCCCACCAGACUCCAUUACAAAAGUCGAAAGUCCUGACUUCUGUUUCUUUGCAAUAUCUCUGUCAAGAAAAUUUCUAAUUGGCAAGUGAUGCUUGUAUACUGAUGCCAGAAUUUUUUUUAAUGUAUUUCUGAAUUGAUUAGCUGUGAAAUUGACAGUACUUAUCAUCUGAAAAUCCGCCAGGGCACCUUUGAAAAGAAAGGAAAAGGAUAAAGCAAAAAAAAUAAAUGCAAAGGAAAUGAAAAAGAUUUGAUAGUCCCUGUUAAGUGAUGACGAAAGUCACCAAAUCUAAGAUCUUUAAGUUCAAAAUAGGGGCAAUUUUGAAAAAAUGCGAUCUUCUGUGCAACGUUCUUGAAAGUCUUAUUCUUUAACUAUCGUUUUCAAGCCACAUUACAAGCUCAUAAAGUCCAUCGUUGACUUAUCCUUCAUGACAAUUCGAAGUGAGGAUUAUACUUUUGAGAAAUCCAUCAUUCAUUUGUGAUCUUAAGGCUAUAACCUUUUUCCACAUGUUUAAUUAUCGUUUCUGCCCUCAUAUUACAAGCCUAAAAAGCUUAUGUGUGACUAAAUUUUCUUAAGAAAUAGGGGUGACAAACUAUUUGCUUUCACUAAGAUGUGGUAUUGAAGGGAUUACAUAUAAUUUGGGCACAAGAAUAAGACAAAUCUUGGCCUCCCAUUUCCCUUAGUCACUUCUGAAUCAGAAAUAAUGCCCACUUGAUUGGUCCUGAAAGAUGAGCUAACAAGAGGUGGUGACCCAUUACCCUGAGCAUCAAUGCUAAACUAGGGAAGGAAUCUUUUGUAAUUUGGUAUUAUUUUGAGAAAUUCAUCAUGAAAUUUUCUGUUAGGAAGCAUAGUUUCUUACUUUGUUCAAAUAAAUGGAGAGUCAUCCAAACAAAUUUUUACAAUUAAAUGAGCCCACACUAGGGCAAAUUUUCAUUUGAGAGAUUUUGCAAAAUGAGCCUACACCGGGGCAAAUUUUUAUUUGUAAGAUUUCGCAAAAUAAACCCACACUAGGGCAAAAUUUUUUGUAACCCAUUUGAGAAUUUCGUCCAAGAGUCAAGUAAGACGUUUUUAAAUCAAUCAUACUGCUCUUUUCAUGAGUAGUAGAUGCACCAAAAAAUUUAAGUGCAUGUUGUACUUGGAUAAGCCCCUUGUGCAGGAAUCCAUGGCUUGAAAUCGAUGAAGAAGCGUAAGUCAGAAUCUUGCGAAUCAAGACCUUAAGGAGGAGCAACCUUGCCGUAACGCAAAUCAAAUGAUCGGCUGCACAAUAAUUGGUGGAAAUUGGGGCAAAUUAUUUUUUGAGAAGAUUCUCCCAAAUGGAAAAGUUGGAAAAAUCAAGAAAAAAAGAAGAAAAGAAAGAAAGAAGCAGAAGACAAAACAAAAGGGGUGGAGGCGACCUUAGCGAAAACCCGAAAGGGCACUGAGUGCUUUCGCCAACACCGGACUCCGGAGCAGAGAUAUUUGAAAGGGUCAAGACUGACGUUUCAUGCCAAAGAUUUUGCACAGUGUAUGAUCAUAAUUAUGGGAUUUGGGCAAGUGACAAUCUUUUAGUUUACUAAAAGCGCAAUUGGAUAUGUUCGUCCUUGGGAAAGCACAAUGGAACAACGAACAGUUGACAAUCUUGAUUCCAGACAGAGAAGUUUGUUUCAAUGGAAUGCCAAAAUUGAAAGUCUCAAAGUGGCUUGUUGUGAAAAUAACUCGUCGAACAAAAAUGAAGAUCACUUUGGGCUUGGACUUGGUGCCUCCUGCCAACAUCAAGACAUUCCGUUGGACUCGAACUUGGUGUCGCCCGCCAACAUCAAGACAUUCCGUUGGGCUCGGACUUUAUGCCGCCAAUGCAACCAAGACAGGCUCGGGUGUAAUCCCACUGACCAAUUCAUUAUAUUGGGGCAAAUUAUUUUUAGAAAGAUUCAAAAAAAAAUUCAAAAAAAAAUCAAAAUCAAAAAAUCAAAAAUCAAAUCAAGUUUCAUCACGGCAGGCUCGGGUUUAAUCCCGCUAACCGAUUGUCAGAGCAUUUCAUUUUGCAUUGCCACUAGCCAUGGGUCAAUCCCACUAGUGUGCAUUCUGAUUUAAAAUUUUGUUCGAUCCAAUCCCAUGAUUUUAAUUUUGUUCGAGUCAGUCCCAUGAUUUUAAUUUUGUUCGGGUCAGUCCCAUGAUUUAAAGUUUGUUCGGGUCAGUCCCAUGAUUUAAAAUUUUGUUCGGGUCAGUUCCAUGAUUUAAAAUUUUGUUCGGGCCAGUCCCAUGAUUUUAAUUAUGUUCGGGUCAAUCCCAUGAUUUUAAAUUUUGUUCGGGCCAGUCCCAUGAUUUUAAUUUUGUUCGGGCCAGUCCCAUGCUUUUAAUUUUGUUCGGAUCAGUCCCAUGAUUUAAAGUUUGAUUUUAAUUUUGUUCGGGUCAGUCCCAUGAUUUUAAAUUUUGUUCGGGCCAAUCCCAUGAUUUUAAUUUUGUUCGGGCCAGUCCCAUGAUUUUAAUUUUGUUCGGAUCAGUCCCAUGAUUUAAAUUUUGUUCGGGUCAGUCCCAUGAUUUAAAUUUUGUUCGAGUCAGUCCCAUGAUUUUAAAUUUUGUUCGGGCCAGCCUCUUUUAAAUUUUUUGUUAGGGGCAGUCCCCUUUUAAAUUUCUUGUUAGGGUCAGUCCCUUUUUAAAGUUCUUGUUCGGGUCAGUCCCGUUUUAAAUUUCCUGUUUUGGUCAAUUCUGUUUUAAAGUUCUCGCCUGGGUCAGUCCCAUUUUAAAGUUUUCAUUAAAGAGAUCAGUCCUCGUUUCAAUAAUGACAGUCAUUCGAGUGUCUGCAACCAAAGACACAGGUAAGUAUUUGGUGUCUACGUCUUUGUCUCAAGUUUCUUCGAAACUCAGACAAAGAGGGGCAAACUGUAGACACCAAAUUUUUUAUUUACUUUUAGCUUUACUUGUUUUCAAUUUUAGGUAUAUUUUAUUUUUAUUUCUAUUUUAUUAUUUAUUUUACCUUCAUACCAAAUUUCAAAAAAAAAAAAAAAAAAAAGAGAAGAAAGGAAAAAUCCCCACAAAAAAUUAAAUUUGUUUUAGCCCUUUAGAUUUGGAUUUAAAGCACUUUAAUGGUAAUAAAUUUUCUAUUAAGAAUUAAUUUCUGUUGUUUAAACUUGAAUAAAAAAAAAAAGAGAAAAAAGGACACGCGCUAUUUCCUCAUUUUUACAGGCUUCGGACAACACAGAAAAUUGCAGCUGGCCAUUUCUUCCAUUUUUUACUCAUUUUCCGUUGCAUUUUUUUUUCCUCCAAGUAUUCUCAGUACAAGGCCAACGCAUCUUGGUAUUAAGUUCCAGAAUCAAUGCCCAUCUAAGGGCCCAAAUUCUUGCCAAAAAUGCAGCUCCAAUCUCCUCCCUUUGUUCUAGGUUUUGGAGGGUUUCGGCAGCUAUAAAAGCUGAGGAUAACAAGCAAAGAGAGGGGGGGUGGUGACGGCUGAGAAUCGAAAAGGAAAAACAAAUGGGCAGGAGCGGCUAGGUUUAGAGGAAGAGAAUUUGGUGAGAGUGAGAGAUAGAGAGAGCGUGGGAUAGAGCAAAAAGAAAACAGCAAGAGAAGUAAAACAGGGGGUGAAUAGCGGCGGAGGAAAGAGCGAGAGGGGUAGGAGAUCGAGGGUGGCGUUCGGCUGCACAAGAGGAAGAACCAAGCGAGGAAAAUUGAGGGAAGGCAAGGUGAAGUGAGGUUUCGGCUAGAGGAAGGAAACCGAGAAAACAAGAAAGAAGAAACCCAGAGCCUAGAGUAUCAAGCUUGCGUUUUUUUUUACUGAAGACUGCAAAUUCAUCUCCUUCGAUCGCUGGUGGAGCGUAUUCAAUCUCUUGCGGAUUCUCCAGCGCGGAAAUUUCUGCAGUAAAGACUUUGGCUUGCAACCUCAGAUUUAAAUCUUGCUAUCCUCAGAUCCCUCACGUUUAACUAGUGUUUCCCAGCAUUAAAGGUAACCCUUUUAUCUUUUUCCGCUUAUACCUCAUCAGACUUGAAUCCAAAAUGUGAUAAAUCUUAAGGGUAAAAUAAGAAAAUCUUUGACUAAAUCGCGCAACUAGCCUUGGCUAGGUUGAAAGGGUGCCUUGGAUUCUUAUUCUUGCCUUCCCUUUUUUCAAAUGUGACUCCCGAAUCUUUUUCUCUGAUUUCGUAGACUUGGAGUCGUUUAAAAAGCGUUUUCUACUUUUCCCUUUAAAAUUCAUUUUUUAGGUGACUUGGUACACCUUAACUCUAUACCAAGUGGCGACUCUAUUUUUUGUUCAAAAAAAAAUUCUUUUUAAACUAUAUUUUGGGUCAAAUCGUCGCAUUUUCAAGUCCCAUUUAAACCCACAUGUUUUUCAUUUUCUUUUUAAAUCAAAAAUUCAUUUUUUAAUCAAAAAUUGAAUCAAAAGCCAUUUUCCUAAACUCGUCUUUUAUUUUUCUCUAUUUAAAAAUGGGGUGCGACAAGUACUUUUGCUUCACUUUUGAGGUUACUUUUUAUGACAAGAACUGACUUUGUUAUUAAAAAUAUCAAUCAAGGGAAGACCAGUGUAAUUUUUAAUAUUAGAGAAUAGUUAUGUGAGAUUGUCAGAAACCUCGAGGGAGGAUUCUGAAAUUUUCUCUUUUUUUAUAACUUUUGCAAUCCCUUUCAAAAUAUGAUAUUAAAAACUCAUUUGGGAAUAGAGGAUAUAAUCUCAUUUUAAAUUUACCCUUUUAUUUUGGACUCUUGAUUGUCAUAACACAUUAAUUUUCUUUCUUAAUUUUUGUAAAUGUGGUCAGCAUAGUUUUUUAAUUGAAAUUUAAAAGUUGGUAAUGGGGUCAAAAGACCUUUUAAUAGUUUUUUACGUCACUAGUUUGGACAAGAAAUAUAAGGAUAUUGAAAAUUAUAAAUAAUUAAGAAUACUUGUAAAUGACAUGAAAUAUUUUAUAACAAUGAAAAUGAGUUUUUGUGCCAACUUGAAAACAUCACAAACAAGUUUAUAUAUAAUUUUCAUCAUAUUUUAUUUUUCUAGUUUUCAAAUCAUUGAUUCAGAAAAAACCUAAAAAUUUGAAAAAAAAAAAGUAAACGAUUUAUAAAACUCCUUAACUCAAAACAUAUGGUAAAGAGAAUAAUACUUUUGUAACUUGUAGAAACUUUAAAUAAAGUUUAAAAUAUUAACUCUUUGUAUUUCAAAAGCGCACUAUAUUUUGUCCUAUUAGAAUUCAACUUUCAUUUUUUUAUUCUAUUUUUUAAUAUAUUCAAGCGUUUAAAAUUAUUAUAUUUGUUAAUGGGUAGUACUCCUUUUUUAUUUGUUAAUUUUUAUCACAUUUAUUGAGGUUUUGGUUAAAUUCCCCUCUUUCCUUUAUUUUUAUAUAUUAAUAAAGUAAGGACUAGCAAAAAUAUUUUGUACUAUGGACUUAGACAACAAAAGGGUAAAUUUGGAAUGAAAUUAUAUUCUUUCUCUCAGAAAAUGAGGAUUUUAAUAGUAUAUUUUGAAAUGGAUUUUAAAUGUUGCAAAAAUCUUAAAGUAAAUGAGGCAAAUGAGAUUUUUCAAAGUUGAAGAGUGUCAAAUAAUGCUGUUAAAAACCUCAAGAGAGGUUUCUAAAAUUAUCUCAAAGAUAAAAUUGUAUGUCUCUAAUUUGCAAGUGGUGGAUUAAUUAACUCAAGUAAACAUGUAUAUCUUUAAUUUGCAAGCAGUGGAUUGAGAGGUGACUAAUUUGCACUAUACUUUGAUGAAAUAUUUUGUUUGUUUUGUUCAUUUUUGGGAAAUUAUAGGUUGAAACAAAAUAAUUUGAGGUUAAAAGGUGAUUAAUAGUUUUUUGGAGUUUUUAUAUGGUUUAAGUCCCUUUUACUUGCAUUUUGUCUAUGUUUGUUGUAGGAGAUAGAAAUGGACUUCACUUGGGACGAGAAAUAAUUAUUCUUUAUGUGAUUGAAGUCCUAAAGGAUGCAAGGUUAGUGAGUUUCAAGGGUGGAUCGAGGCACAAGAACAAAAAAAAUGAGGAAACUUGAAGAUGAAGAAAAUUGGCCGAAUCCCUCUAUGAAUCCCUCCAAGAACCAGUCAGAUUGUCAGAGGGAUUCAUGGCAAAAUGUUGGCUUGAAGCAGAAACGAACAAAAGAAAAAUAGAGAAAGAAUCCCUCCAAGAAUCCGGCCAAGAUUCCAAUUGGAUUGCCCAAGGGGAUACCGGUCAAAUUUUGCGACUUUCACUUGCGCAACUUGUUUUCACCUCCAUUCUUUCACAUCUUUUGACGGAUGUUUGGCAACUAUUUUGCAGCUGUAAAAGUGACAGUUGAAGCUUUAUUUCUUAACUUGUUUCACUUAUAAAUAAAUCAUUUGCUUUAAGAAUCAAGGAGAGCUUGGAGAGAGCAAGGAAACACUGCAAAAAUGUAGUUUCUUAGCUCUUUCGUUUAUCGUAGUGUAGGAUAGUUUAGCUUAGUUCAUCCUUUCUUGUGUAGUAACUAGAUGAAGAUGAAGUUGGAGGAUGAAGAAACAAGGAGGAAACUCAUGUGACAAGGGUUACUCUACCUUUCUAACUCUUUAUCUUUUUGUAAUUGAUUCUAAAUUUAGUUAACAUAUAGGUUUGGAUUUUAUCUUCAUUAUGUCUUUCUAAAGUUUACGCCUUGAGUUUUGGUUGAAAUUUUUGUGAUUGUAUUGUGUUGAUUUCUUGGCUAUUUGAUGCUAUUAUUUUGACUAAAUUAUUUAGCACUUUUACUCCUCUAAUCAUAGUUAACUUGGUACCAUUAAUUAUGAUUAUCUAAAGGUGUUAUUUUUUUAAUGAAAAUGGGAAUUUAACGCUAGUUCAAGGAAGUGCUAAACCUAGAGAGUACACUCACAAGAAUUGAGGUACACCUUUGUGGCUUUGGUGGAUUUGUUCCAUAUAAUUUCAUUGAAAUAAUGAACUUGUAGCUAAUUUCAUAAUUAGAAAAGUAGGCAUGAAUUAGUUAUAUGUAUAAGUGAUUUACUACGAAAGUAUGUUUCACAUACAUAAGGAAAUUAUGCCAUAACUAGCCAAGGUAGUAGUGUUCAAUGAUCCAAAAUUUGCAUUUGCAUGAGUAGUUAGGGAUAUCAUGACCCAAGGAGUUUUUAUUUGCUAUUUUCUUGCACAUUUUAACAUAGUUUUAUUUUCUUCAAUUUGUUGAUUGUCUAAAUAGUAGAGGAAUCUUAAUAUUGCCAAUAGUUGUCCAUUCUUUCUUGUGGUUUAACUUAAUACCCUAUACUCAAUAUCGACUCGUAUACUUACAAAAAAUCGUGUGUGGGAUAUUUAAAACUUCAUCAAUCUAAAACUUAAUUAUGGAUUGAGCUUAAUUUUGUAUGCAUACCCCGCACUCGUCAAGUUUUUGGCGCCAUUGUUGGGGAAGAUUUGUGGCAAUAUUAGCGUGAAAAACAACUUCUUUAGUUUAGACAUUUUACUUGUUUUCUUGUAUUCAUUGUGUCUAGUUUUCUUGUAUAUUUGUUGAGUCUUUGUUUGUGUGCUUUUGUACAUGUCAAAUCACCUAUUUUUCUUGACUAAACUUAUUUUUGAAUUACUUUGAAGGCAUAUUUAGGAACUUAAGGAGAGUAGUAAACAUGGGUGGACAAAUUAUGAGAAGUGGAAAUUCAGCAAUAAAUUGUUAGUACAUGCAAGGGUCCAUGAAUAGAGAUAACCAAGCGGUGUUCAAUGAAAAACAGUAUAUAGGCAAAACAAUUUAAUAAUUUAAGUAGACAAUGAAGUUAGGUCAAUGAAGUCCACCUUUAACAAUUUAAAUAGGCAAAACAGUAUAUCAAUUUAAAACUUAAUAAGCACAAGAUUUCUUACUAUUUAGAGAUCAUGUCUGCCUGAAGUACCCUCAAUCAUAUGGGGACACACACGAAUAUCGUAAAUUAUGGGUGUCUCAAACCAAGGAAUCAUAAAAUGAGUUCCUUCAGGGUUUACCUACAAGAUGAUGGGGAUGUCUCUGCUGCCCAUCUAUCAACACCCAAAAUGUAAAAAGAAAUGGAAAAUUGAAGAAGGAUGACAUAAAGAGAUGGAAAAAUACAAUAGUUGGGUCCAUGAUUAUGAUUCUUUUGUAGUCUAGCAAAAAGAAUGCAUAGCAAAUAUGAACAUAUUUUAGGAUGCAUUUCUAUUAAAAACAAGAUGUUCGAAAUAGAAGUGAUCUAUUUUAGUUAAAUAUGCUGGAGAUAUUCAGGCAACUGCUUUUUAAGUACCUAAUGUAGAAUAUCUGAUACACUGUAGAGGAUUAAGCCACUUCACUAACAUUUCAAGGCAAAAAAUAUGCAUAUGCUUAGGGUUGUUCAACAUUAGCAUUGGCAUUGAUGAGAAAGGGAUGAGUCUUUCACUGAUUUUUCUUUCUUUUUCUAACUAAAUAUACAAUUUACACCUUGAGGAAAGCUAACAUCUAUAACAUAAUUUGCAGGCUAUGUAACAUCCAGGAUGCAUCAAACUCAUCAUCAAACCCAAUUCAGAAUGAAGCAAGAUAGAUACACAUGAAUAACGUUUUGCCAUAUUAAGCAGAGUUUCUUUCAAGUGGAUCAGAUUUCUCUCCUACUUCAACAUUGCCAUGUUGAGUAGAGUUUCAUUCAAGUGGAUUAGAUUUCUCUGUUAUUUCAACAUGAGUUGGGACACAUAACUCCUAGAAAAUAGACAAGUGAAUAUGUGAAAUUUUACAUUUAAGAACAUUUACCCAAUUACUAUAGUUAUAUCUUUGCAUAGUGUUAAGAAGAAACUUAAGAUGUAAAUGCAUUGCAAAGCAGAAUAUGACAAAGAAAAGAAGAUCUGGCUGCAAAGGAAAAUUGGGAAAUACAAUUUAUCAUUAACAUAGAAGGAAUGAAACUAUUUGACAUAAUGGCUAUUGGUUUAAGUGUACCUUCUUUUUCACACCAAUAAUACGAUUGAAUGCAACAUCUCUCUAACCUCCUUCCAUAUUGUAAAGGCUCUCUAACAAAAUAUAUGCUGUAGCAACUCCAAGAACUCCAACUUUUAUUAGAGCAAAGGCCCAUCCUAGCAACUUGGGCACAUUAAGCUUAAACUUGUCAAUGUUUGAAUUCUACAAGAGCAAGAUAUUGAGAUCAGCAUGUAAUCAUGUGCCAAUAUUAACACUAAAAAGCUAAGACUAAAAAUCAAACUCUUAUGACAAUGAGGUACCAUAUGUUCAUAGGCACCCAAAUUAAACUUACAAAAUAUAAUAAGCUACAGUUCCAAAGGAACAUAAAAAGAUUAAACAAUUCUAAAAAUUGUCAUUUCUCAUACUUAAAGCCAAUCCCCUUAAUUUGCAACACAAAUUGCCAGUAGCAGAGACAGAGAAACUAAUGAACUUAAAAAUUAAUAACAACCUUCAAAGUCACAUAAUAGAGUUUAGAAUAUGAAAAAGUAUCCCCCAGACCUUUUUAUUUUUUGAAAGAAAAACCUCAAAUAUCCUGUAAUCAAAACCCAGGUUAAAAUUCAUGAAAAUCAACAUAUAAUAAAAAAAUAAAUAACAUCCUAUAAAAUGCUUAGGCCCAAUAAAUGUAUACACUGCAAAACACAAAACUCACAGCCUCAUUUGCUGAAGAAAAAAUGAUAAGCAAAAGUAAAAAAAAUACCUUUUUUCUCUUUUUAGAGAAAAUAAAAGGCUAGUUUUAGUAGAAUGACUUUGGUGAACGGCCCUUCUAACUUGUGUGUAACUUUACCGUUUGAAAAAAAAAAGACUUUGGUAAACGGCCCUUCUACAUAAACAAGCAUAGAAAUAAUCAUAAAUCCCUCAAUUCCAACCAUCAAAAUUAGCUCAACUAUGACUAAAAGACCUAAAAUACACAAACCCCAAACACCAAACUCACUAUAAUUAACUAGUAUUUCGCCUCUUCCUAACCCUUAUCCCCAUUCCACAAAAAUGAAUUAAAAAAAAGAAAAGAAGAAAACCUCAGCCCAUUAGAAAAUCACAUCAAUCUGGGGAUAGAUCCAUAAGAGGAAAACAAAUAACCAGAGCAAAGUAAUUACAAGAAUAACUUCAAUCAAAAAAGAAGUUUACAAUAUUUAAAACAACAAUAUUACCAUAAAACUAACAUGUAAUGAUAGAAUUUGCUAGCAGCAUUCCAAUCCUGUGAAGAUCAUGAAGUUAUUUGUCCAAAAAAAACUUUUACUUGACACAUAAACAGAUAAAAACACAUGUAGAAGAAGAGGGCGCAAAAGCCCCCUUGAAGUAUAAGGGAAAAAAUUUUAAAAAAAUGCAUACGAAAAUUGAAAAAAAAAAUCCAUUUCCAAUAAAAAUAUUUAAAAAAGUGAAAAAUUUUCCAUUUAUUUUAGUUACCAGGUAUGUGAGAUUAAAAGCAAAAAGUUUGAUAGCUUAAGAGUAGGGAAGAAGCUUUUUUUAUACCCGAGUCUAUAUAUUUGCUCUUUUUUUUUCCUUCUGUCAAAAACCAAUGAUGCAACCAAUAAUGUUCAUGCUAUCUACCCUAAUUAUAUCCCUAAUUGAAAUGCCCUUGACAGAAGAAGCACCAGGCUUGUCCCCUUUGCCUUUUGAGGAAGCACCAGUUUGCUCCCUCUACUGCUUCUCUUAUUUCCUUUAUUUCCAUCCCCAUCUUUGUCCUUCUCUUUUUCCUUACUUUUGGAAAGGCCUAGCUCAUAAGAUUUUACUCUCCUAUGAAUCUUGAAUAUGAACUCCCUCUUGAUUUUUCCAAUCUUAUUGUGUCCAAAACCAGUACCCCAUGAAUUCUUGAAUUGAAAUAUCUCAACCCCAUUUUCAACCCAAAACCCCGUCAACAAAAUAGCAUAGUUUUCCUUGAGACUAUCUUCGAUAUUUUUUCCCUCUUCUGUUGGUCCAUGAUAAAUGCCCUACAAUAUAGUUAAGAUUCAAUUUUACAUCAUAUAAAAUGUUUGUGCUCGUACUUAAUUUUACUUAAUUCUGUUCUUAACCUUUCCCUUGAGAUGGAUGAAGCUUGGAUAUACCCGUAUUACACCAGUAAGAGGAAAUCAUGAGAGUGCCAAAUUGACUUCUUUUUUUGUGUGUGGCUUUAUAAAACUUUUUGCAAAGAAUCUCUUUGUCUGUAAAGACAAGGAUUCAAAGAUUUUUAUUUAGUAUUAUAUAUUUAAAAAAUUACAAAAAAAAAUUAACUAGAACAAACUUGCAUUAUGAGGUGGAUUACACCUCCUGUUGGUGCAAUCCCAUGGGUAAUCAUCAUUCAAACAAUAUCUUCGAGCACCUGCAUAUUCAAAUACCCAUUUAUAGGAGUUUCAAUUUUCCUUCACAUGGUUGAGAACUUGCAUGCUAUACUAGUAGUCUUAGCCUCUCGUAUAGACAACUGCUGGUGCUCCUCUUUAGGGUGGAGAACUUUAUAUUAUGAAGACAUUGCUUCCAAUCCAACAAUAGCUCAACAUAUAUCUUAAAAAUAAAUUACAACUACAUUAAGAUCCAAAACUACUGCUUACUACUCAUUACUGCUAAACUAAAAUAUUAUAUUAUAUUAUAGGACACAUAUCUUAAUAUACACAUUAAUAUCAAAAACUAUUGCUCACUACUAGUAAAAUAUUAUACUAAAUACUACUCAUUAAUAGUAAACUAAAAUAUUAAAUAUUAUAUUACAGGACACGUAUCUUAAAAUAGAUUAACGAAUACAUUAAUAUCCAAAACUACUGCCCACUACUAGUAAAAUAUUAUAUUACAGGAUAGGAAAUAAAGUCAUUAGCUAAGCCUAAGUCUUGCUUAAUGACUAGUAGCACAGCUCUAGCCUCAUUUAAUCAUGCAUGAUAUUCCUAUACAUCAUCAUAAUCAUAAAAAGUUUCUAGAAACAGAAAAAAAUUAGAAAAGUUUCCAAGAAUGUAAAAACAAAUUACAAGACAGAUGUACUAAGUUAUACUUUAAAAAAUUCAACUUUUUAGUAAGGAUGCAAGUUUUACAAAUAUUAUCAGUAACAAAAAUAGUGAAAAACACAAUUUUUUAGAAAAAUAAGUGAAACGAAGGGAUUUAUGCAUCCAAAACCUCUUUUUACCCAUGACAUCAAAAAUUCAAAAAAUAAGAGAUACUUAUUCCAGGAUAUCUAAUCUGUCAUUGGUCGAAAGAAGGAAGUUGAAAUAUAUGACACUAUUUUUGAUGGUUUUAGAUUUGCAGUACAUGUAGACGAGAACCAGUGAGCCGAAUUAAGGUGAAAUGCCGGACGAACUAGAAGUGGUUGGGACUAAUCCCCUAAUUUCACUCCGAUAUUUAAGUCUGAAGUUGUCAGAAGUUGUAGAGGAUAAGUAGGAUUGCAUACCUUUCAAGUGAAGAAGGUGUUAUUAUUUAUACUAAAAGAGAUAAAUAGAAAAUGAUGUGGUCUAACAGUAGUCUAAACUCAUAACAGAAGAUAUGGCUGCGAUGUCAAUAGUAAGGCUGAAUUGUAGAGUGGGUGAAUGUCAUAUCAAUCAUGCUAAUCACCAACUAUAUUUUAAAACUCAGACCGUGCAGGGACUUGAUCGAGGUCAAGGAUCAAUGGGUUUCACCGGGAUCAAAUCCAUUUAAGAAUCGGAUAAUGUCAUCAGGAUGUCAUAAGUAUAAUUAGUUUUAAAAAUUAAUAUACAAUGUAAAAUUUUUUAAAGUAUAAUAAUAUAAAAGUGUGUUCAUGCAUGUUUGAUUUAUUCAAAACUAUUGCUCACUACUAGUGAAAUAUUAUACUAAAUAUUAUAUUACAAGAUAGGAAAUAGAAUCCUUAGUUGAACUUGAAUCUUGCUUAAUAAUUAGUAGCACAAGUCUAGCCUCAUUUAGCCCCGAAUGACAUUCCUGUACAUCAUCACAUAUCAUAAAAAGUUUCUAGAAAUAGAAAGAAAAAAUUAGAAAGGUUUCUAGAAAUGUUAAAAAAAAAUUAAAAGACAAAGAUGUAUAAAGUUAUACUUUACAAAAUUCAGCUUUAUACUAAAGAUUUAAUUUUUACAAACAUUUUCAGUGACAAAAAUGGUGGUAAACACAAUUUUUAAGAAAAAUAAGUAAAAUAAAGGGAUUUAUGCAUUCAAAACCUAUUUCUUUUUACUCACGACAUCAAAAAUAUUAGAAACAAAAUGUACUUAUUCUAAGAUACCUGAUCUAUCAUUGGUCAAAAGAAAGAAGUUGAAAUAAAUGAUACUAUUUCUUGUGAUUUUAGGUUUGCCGUGCAUGCGGACGAGGACCAACGAGUCGAAUUAAGAUCGAAUGUCGGACGAGUUGGAAGUGUCGGGACUAAAUCUCCCAUUUUCACUCUGAUAUUUAAGUUAGAAAUUGUCAUGAGUUGUAUAGGAUAAGUAGGAUUGCAUACCUGCCAAGUGAGGAAGGUGUUGGUAUUUAUACUAAAAGAGAUAAGUAAGAAAUGAUGAGGUCUAAUAGUAGUCUGAUUUCGUAGAAUAAGAUACGGUUACGAUAUCAAUAGUAAAGCUGAAUUGUAGGGUGGAUGAAAUUUACAUCAAUCACAGUAAUCAUUAGCUAUAUUUUGAAAUUCAAACCAGUCAGAGACUCGAUCGAGAUUAGUAGUAGGGGUGACAAUCGGGUUCAAAUCGGGUUGAGUCCCAAUAAAAUCAAAAAUUCGCUAACCCAAACCUAACCCGUCAACUCGAAACGGGUCAGGAUACCUGACUUGAACCUGAAAUUUUUCGGGUUGGCGGGUCAAACGGGUUGACCCAAAAUGAUCCAAAAUUUAAUUUCAUUUUACUGAUUUAUUGGCUAUGAUUUUUAACAGAAUAAAUUCCAAACUAAAAAAAAAACACCAUAAGAGUAGAAACUAAUCCCAGUGGUUCAAUUGUUGCAUUUGGCUUGCAAAUUGCCACUAGCAACAACACAAGGCAGCUAAUCAGAUACAAUGAAUUUAAGACCAAAUCAUGUACCUUGGCUAAGAAUAACAACACCUGUUUCAUUUCUUCUUCUCUGAAACAGAGAAUAGAAAAAGAAACUAAUUCAACAAUAUGAUGGUCAAAAUACUAAAACAUACAGAAGCUAAGCUCGAUCUAAAUCAGUAAAUCUGCAUACAUUUUUCGCUUCUUCAAUAAUCGAUCUAGAUUAGGAAUUGCUUGCUGCUCAGACCUCAGAGAAGAAAAGCCGUUGCUUGCUUCUAACCGCCGUCUGCUAGUGACAGGUAAUGAGGUGAGGACCGUGAGGUGAACUGGUGAAGGGCAAGGCGGCACUUUCUGGUUUUGUCAUUUUGAAGAAAAGGUGAAAAAAGAUUUAGGUUAGGUGAAGUAGUGAACUGUUAAGAGGAAGAAAGAUUUCGGCUUCGGGUGAGGAUCAAGUGACAACAUUUGACUAUUUGGGCAACUUUUCAAAUUUUCUUCCUUGGCUACUGCUUAAACAAUCCACCUACAAGCUAGACAAAUUAAUAGGGCCAGCCAAGUCAAGUGAAUGUGAAUUGUUGUUUUGGUGUACAGUGGUAUUUACUAUUUAGUCUUUAGAUAAGUUUUUAAUAUUUAUUUAUUUAUUUUUAUUUUAGAAACGGGUUAGCGGGUCAACCCGAUUUGGACCUAUUUUUUUCGGGUUUAUCGGGUCUGACCCGAUUCUGACCUGAAUCCUCAAAAUCUAAACCCAAAUCCAUUAAUUUCGUAUUAGAUUCGUGUCGUGUUUUCAGGUCGUGUCGGGAAUUGCCACCCCUAAUUAGUAGUUCUGAGUCAAUCGAUUCCACUAGGGUCGGACCUAUUCAAUAAUCAAAUGAUGUCAUCAUGAUAUCAUAAAUAUAAUUAAUUUAAAAAAUUAAUGUACAAUGUAAAAUUUCUAAAAGCAUAAUAAUUUCAACAUGUGUUUAUGCACGUUUGAUGUAUCCAAAAGUAUUGCCCACUACUAGUAAAAUAUUAUACUAAAUAUUAUAUUAUAGAAUAGGAAAUAGAAUUAUUAGCUGAACAUGAGUCUUGCAUAAUAACUAUUAGCACAACUCCAGCUUCAUUUAGCCAUGAAUGAUGUUCAUAUACAUUAUCACAUAUCAUAAAAAGUUUUUAGAAACAGAAAUAAAAAAUUAGAAAAGUUUCUAGAAAUGUAAAAAAAAAAAUAAAAGACAAAGAUGUACUAAGUUAUACUUAAAAAAAUCCAACAAUAUAGUAAAAAUUUAAAUUUUACAAACGUUAUCAGUGAAAAAAAUGGUGGUAAAUACAAUUAUUUAGAAAAGCAAGUAAAACAAAGGAAUUUAUGCAUUCAAAACCUACUUCUUUUUACCCACGAUAUCAAAAAUACUAGAAGCAAGAUGGACUUAUUGUAGGAUACCUGACCUGCCAUUGAUUGAAGAAAGAAGUUGAAACAAAUGACACUAUUUCUUGUGAUUUUAGGUUUGCAGUGCAUGCAGACGAGAACCAACAAAUUGAAUUAAAGUUGAAUGCUGAAUGAGCUAAAAGUAGUCAAGACUAAAUUCCCUAGUUUCACUAUGAUACUUAAGUUAGAAAUUAUUAGGAGUUGUAUAGGAUAAGUAAGAUUGUAUACUUUUCAAUUGAGAAGAAUGAUGAUAUUUAUAUUGGAAGAGAUAAGUAGGAAGUGAUGAGAUCCAAUAAUAGUUUGAUUUCGUAGGAUAGGAUAUGGUUGCGAUGUCAAUAAUAUGGCUCAAUUGUUGGAUGGCUGAAUUUCACAUUAAUUAUAGUAGUCACCAUCUAUGUUUUGAAAUUCAAAUCGGGUAGGGACUCGGUCAAAAUUAGUGGUUAGGGUUUAAUGGAUUCCACUGGGUCAGAACCAUUCAAGAACCAGAUGAUGUUAUCAUGAUAUCAUAAAUAUAAUUAAUUUUAAAAAUAAAUAUACAAUGUAAAAUUUCUAAAAGCAUAAUAAUUUCAACAUGUAUUUAUGCAUGUUUGAUAUAUUCAAAAGUACUGCCCACUGUUCGUAAAAUAUUAUACUAAAUAUUAUAUUACAGGAUAGGAAAUAAGUCAUUAACUGAACAUGAGUCUUGCUUAAUAACUAGUAGCAGAACUCCAUCCUCAUUUAGCCAUGAAUGACGUUCACGUAUAUCAUAACAUAUCAUUAAAAAAAAAUUUAGAAAUAGAAAGCAAAAAUUAGAAAAAUUUCUAGAAAGGUAUGCAAAGAGUUACUAAGUUAUACUUAAAAAAAUCAACUAUACAGUAAAGAUGUAAGUUUUAUAAACAUUAUCAGUGACAAAAAUGCUGGAAAACACAAUUUUUUAGAAAAAUAAGUGAAACAAAGGGAUUUAUGUAUCCAAAACCUGCUUCUUUUUACCCCCAAUAUCAAGAAUACUACAACCAAAAGGUACUUAUUUUAGGUUACCUGAUUUGCCAUUAAAUCAAAAAAAGGAAGUUGAAACAAAUGACACUAUUUUUGGUGAUUUUAGGUUUGUAGUGUGUGAGGACGCGGACCAGCGAACCAAAUUAAGGUUGAAUGCCAAACGAACUGAAAGUAGUCGGGACUAAAUCUCACAAUUUCAUUCCGAUAUUUAAGUUAGAAGUUGUCGAGAGUUGUAUAAGAUAAGUAGGAUUGCAUACCUUUCAAGUUUCAAGUGAGGACGGUGUUGGAAUUUAUACUAGGAGAGAUAAGUAGAAAAUGAUAAGGUCUAAUAGUAGUUUGAACUCGUAGGAUAAGAUAUGGUUGCGAUGUCAAUAGUAAGGACAAAUUAUAGGGUGAUUGAAUGUCACUUCAAUCAUACUAGUCACCAGUUAUGUUUUGAAACUUAAACCAAAUAGAGAUUCGAUCUAGAUUAGGAGUUAGGGGUUAAUAGGUUCCAUCAGAGUUGAAUCUAUUCAAGAACUGGAUGAUAUCAUAAUUACAAUUAAUUUUAAAAAUUAAUAUAUAAUGUAAAAUUUCUAAAUGCAUAAUAAUCUCAACGUAUGUUCAUGCACGUUUGAUGUAUUCAAAAGUAUUGCCCACUACUAAUAAAAUAUUAUACUAAAUAUUAUAUUAUAGCAUAGAAAAUAGAGUCAUUAGCUGAACCUGAAUCUUGCUUAAUGACUAGUCACACAACUCCAGCCUCAUUUAGUUAUGAAUGAUGUUCCAAUACAUUAUCACAUAUCACCAAAAUUUUCUAGAAAUAGAAAGAAAAAAUUAGAAGAUUUUCCAAAAAUAUGAAAAAAAUUAAAAGACAAAAAUGUACUAACCUAUAUAAUUAAAAAAAAGUCCAUCUUUAUAGCAAAGAUGCAAGUUUUAUAAACGUUAUUAAUGACAAAGCAGUAGGAAACACAAUUUUAGAAAAUAAGUUAAACAAUGGGCUUUAUGCAUCUAAAACCUACUUUUUUUGACCUACGACAUCAAGAAUAUUAAAAGCAAGUGAUACUUAUUUUAGGAUGUCUGAUUUGCCAUUGGUCGAAAGAAAGAAGUUGAAAAAAAAAUGACACUAUUUUAGAUAGUUUUAAGUUUGCAGUGUGUGCGGACGAGGACCAACGAAGCAAAUUAAGGUCGAAUGUCAGAUGAACUGAAAGUGGUCGGAACUAGAUUCCCCAAUUUCACUCCAAUAUUUAAAUCAGAAAUUGUUGGAAGUUGUAUAGAAUAAGUAGGAUUGCACACAUUUUAAGUAAGAAAAGUGUUAAUAUUUAUACUAGAAGAGAUGAAUAUGAAAUAAUGAGAUAUAAUAGUAGUUUGAUUUUGUAGGAUACGAUAUAGUUGCGAUGUCAAUAGUAGAAUUAAAUUGUAGGGUGAUUGAAUGCUAUAUCAAUCAUACUAGUCACCAGAUAUGUUUUGAAAUUUAGACCAGGUAGGGACUCAAUCGAGAUCAGAGUUUAGGGGUCAAUGGAUUCUAUGGGAGUCAAACCCAUUCAAAAUCGGAUGAUGUCAUAAAUACAAUUUAUUUUAAAAAUUAAUAUACAAUGUAAAAUUUCUAAAAGUAUAAUAAUUUCAAAGUGUGUUCAUGCACAUUUGAUAUAUCCAAAACUACUAUCCAUUAUUAGUAAAAUAUUAAACUAAAUAUUAUAUUACAAUAUAGGACAUAGAGUUAUUAGCAGAACAUGAGUCUUGCUUAAUGACUAGUAUACAACUCCUGCCUUAUUUAAUCAUGAAGAUAUUCUUGUACAUCAUCAGAUAUCAGAAAAAAUUUCUAGAAACAGAAGGAAAAAAUUAAAAAAGUUUCCAAAAAUAUAUAAAAAAAUUAAAAUUAAAAAAGAUGUACUAAGUUAUACUUAAAAAAAAUUCAACUUUAUAUUAAAUAUGCAAGUUUUACAAACAUUAUCAGUAACAAAAAUGGUGAAAACACAAUUUUUUAGAAAAAUAAGUGAAACAAAGGGAUUUAUACAACCAAAACCUGUUUUUUUUUUUUACCCACGACGUCAAGAAUAUUAGAAGCAAAAGGUACUUAUUUUUGGACAUCUGAUCUGCCAUUGAUCGAAUAAAGGAAGUUGGGAAAAAUGACAUUAUCUUUGGUAAUUUUAGAUUUGCAGUGCGUGCGCAUGAGGACCAACAAGCCAUAUUAAAAUCGAAUGAUAGAGAUUCGAUCGAAAUCUGGGGUUAGAAGUCAAUAGAUUCGAUCGGGGUCAAAUCCAUUCAAGAACCAAAUGAUGUCAUCAUGAUGUUAUAAAUGUAAUUAAUUUUAAAAGUUAAUAUACAAUGUAAAAUUUCUAAUAAUCUCAAUGUGUGUUCAUGUACAUUUGAUAUAUCCAAAACUACUGCCCACGACUGGUAAUUAUUAUACUAUAUAUUAUAUUAUAAGAUAGGAAAUAGAGUCAUUAGCUGAAUUAGAGGUUUCGUUAAUGACGAAUAGCACAAUUUCAACCUCAUUUAGCCAUGAAUGAUGUUCCUAUACAUCAUCAUAUAUCAUUAACAUUUUCUAAAACUAGAAAAAAAUUAAAAAUUUUUCCAGAAAUAUAAAAAAAAUUAAAAGACAAAGAUUUACUAUAUGAUACUUUAAAAAAAUCCAAUUUUAUAGUAAAGAUGUAAGCUUUACAAACAUUAUCAGUAACAAAAAUGGUGGAAAACAAAUUUUUUUAGAAAAACAAGCGAAAUAGUGGGAUUUAUGCAUCCAAAAUCUGAUUCUUUUUACCCACAACAUCAAGAAAAUUAGAAACAAAAAGUACUUAUUCUAGAAUAGUUGAUUUGCCAUUGGUCGAAAGAAAAAAAUUGAUACAAAUGAUACUAUUUUCGGUGAUUUUUUAUUUGUAGUGUGUACAUAUGAGAACCAGCGAGUCGAAUUAAGUUCGAGUAUCGGAUGAGUUAGAAGUGGUUGAGACUAAAUCUCUCAAUUUUACUCUGACAUUUAAGUCAUAAGUUAUCGGGAGAUGUAUAGGACAAGUAGGAUUGCAUACCUUUCAAGUGAAAAAAGUAUUGAAAUUUAUACUAAAAGAAAUAAGUAGAAAAUAAUGAGUUCUAAUAGUAGUAUAGACUUGUUGGAUAAAAUACGGCAGUGGACAAGGACUCAAGGUUCCAUCGGAGUCGGAUCCAUUCAAUAAUCAGAUGAUGUCAUCAUGAGUCUUGCUUAACAACUAGUAGCACAACUUCAAUCUCAUUUAGCCACGAAUGACGUUCCUGUACAUUAUCACAUAUCAUAAAAAUUUUCUAGAAACAUAAGAAAAAAAUUAGAAAAGUUUUUAGAAAUGUAAAAAAAAAAGAUAAAGAUGUGUUAAGUUAUACUUAAAAAAAUUCAACUUUAUGAUAAAGAUACAAGUUUUACAAACAUUAUUAGUAUAAAAAAUGGUUGGAAACACAAUUUUUUAGGAAAAAAAGGUGAAACAAAGGGAUUUAUGCAUCCAAAAUCUGCUUUUUUUUUUUUACCCACGACAUAAAAAAUACAAGAAGCAAAAGAUACUUAUUUUAAGAUACCCGAUCUAUCAUUGGUCAAAUGAAGGAAGUUGAAACAAAUGACACUAUUUUUGGUGAUUUUAGAUUUGCAGUGCGUGCAGAUGAGGACCAGUGAAUCGAAGUAAGGUCGAAUGAUAUGGGCUUAGUCGAGAUUAGGGGUUAAGGGUCAAUAGACUUGAUCAGAAUCUGAUCCAUUAGAGAAUCAGAUGAUGUCAUCAGGAUGUCGUAAAUAUAAUUAGUUUUAAAAAUUAGUAUACAAUGUAAAUUUUCUAAAACAUAAUAAUCUCAAACGUGUAUUCAUGCACGAUUUAUAUAUCCAAAACUACUGUCCACUACUAGUAAAUUAUUCUACUAAAUAUUAUAUUACAUGAUAGAAAAUGAAUCAUUAAUUGAAUCUAAAUCUUGCUUAAUGAUUGGUAGCACAACUUCAAUCACAUUUUGCCAUGAAUAACAUGCCUCUACAUCAUCACAUAUCAUCAAAAUUUUCUAGAAUAGAAAAAAAUUGAAAAAGUUUCUAGAAAUGUUAAAAAAAAUUAAAAGACAAAGAUGUGCUAAGUUAUAUAUUAAAAAAAUCCAACUUUAUAGUCAAGAUACAAGUUUUGCAAAUAUUAUCAGUAACAAAAAUUAUUAGGAAACACAAAUUUUUAGUAAAAUAAGUUAAACAAAGAGAUUUAUGCUUCCAAAACGUGUUUCUUUUUGCCACAACAUCAAGAAUAUUAACAGCAAGGGGUAUUUAUUUUAGAAUACCUAAUCUGCCAUUAGUUGAAAGAUGAAAGUUGAUACAAAUGACACUAUUUUUGUUUAUUUUAGAUUUACGAUGCAUGUGAACGAGGAUCAAUGAGCCGGAUUAAGAUCGAAUGUGGGAAGAGUUGGAAGUGGUCGGGACUUAAUCCCACAAUUUUACUCCGAUAUUUAAAUAAGAAGUUAUAAAAAAUUAUAUAGAAUAAGUAGGAUUGCAUAUUUUUCAAGUGAAGAAGGUGUUGGUAUUUAUACAAGGAUAGAUAUGUAGAAAAUAAUGAGAUCUAAUUGUAGUCUGAUUUCAUAGAUUAAGAUAUGAUUGCAAUGUCAAUAAUAGGGAUAAAUUGUAAGGUGGUUAAAUAUCAUUUUAAUCAUACUAGUCACCAACUAUAUUUUGAAACUCAAACUAGGUAGGAACACGGUCGAGUUCAGGUAUUAGAGUUCAAUGCAUUUCAUUGGGGUCGGACCCAAUCAAGGACCGGAUGAUGUUAUCAAGAUGUCAUAAAUAUAAUUAAUUUUAAAAAUUAAUAUACAAUAAAAAUUUCUAAAAGCAUAAUAAUUUCAACGUGUGUUCAUGUACGUUUGAUGUAUCUAAAAGUAUUACCCACUAUAAGUAAAAUAUUAUGCACAAUAUUAUUUUAUAAGAUAGAAACUAAAGUUAUUAGCUGAAUCUGAUUGUUGAUUAAUGACCGGUGGCACAACUCUAGACUCAUUUAGCCAUGAAUGACAUUCCAGUACAUCAUCACAUAUCACAAAAAGUUUCUAGAAACAAAAAGAAAAAAUUAGAAAAGUUUCCAAAAAUGUAAAAAAAUUAAAAGAUAAAGAUGUACUAAGUUAUAUAUUUAAAAAAAAAAUCUAAUUUUAUAUCAAAGAUACAAGUUUUACAAACAUUAUCAAUGACAAAAAUAGUGAAAAACACAAUUUUUUAGAAAAAACAAGUGAAAUAAAGAGAUUUAUGCAUCCAAAAUCUGCUUCUCUUUACCCACGACAUCAAGAAUACUAGCAGCAAAAGAUACUUAUUCUAGGAUACUUGAUUUGCCAUUUGUUAAAAGAAGAAAGUUGAAACAAAUGAUACUAUUUUUGGUGAUUUUAGAUUUACAAUGAGUUUGUUUGGAUAAGAGUCUAUUUGGAUGAUUUAUUUAAUUUAAUUACUGUAGCACUUUUUGUAAUGCGAUGUAUGUGAGAUAAAAAGGUGAUUGAGAAGAUAAAAAAGUGAUUGGAAUUUGUGAAGCAAAUUAUUUUAUCUGAAAUGAUGCCAAUCCAAACAAACCCAAUGUGUGCAGACAAGGACUAGUGAGCCAAAUUAAGGUCGAAUGUCGAACGAGCUGAAAAUGGUCGAAACUGAAAUUUUCAAUUUUACUCCAAUAUUUAAUUUAGAAUUUAUCGAGAAUAUAGGAUAGGAUUGCAUACUUUUCAAAUGAAAAAGAUAUUUGUAUUUAUACUAGGAGAGAUAUGUAGGAAAUUAUAAGGUCUAACAAUAGUCUGACUUUGUAGGAUAAGAUAUGGCUGCGAUGUCAAUAGUAGGGUUGAAUUAUUAGGUGGUUGAAUGUCACAUCAAUCAUACCAGUCACUAACUAUAGUUUGAAAAUUAGACCGAGCAGGGACUUGAUCGAGAUUAGAGUUUAGGGGUCAAUGGGUUCGAUUGUGGUCAGAUCCAUUCAAGAACCAGAUGAUGUUAUAAAUACAAUUAAUUUUAAAAAUUAAUAUACAAUGUAAAAUUUCUAAAAGUGUAAUAAUUUCAACGUGUGUUCAUGCACGUUUGAUAUAUCCAAAGCUACUAUCCACUACUUACAAAAUAUUAUAGUAAAUAUUAGAUUACAUCAUAGGAAAUAGAGUCAUUAGUUAAACUAAGUCUUGCUUAAUGACUAGUAGUACAAUUUCAACCUCAUUUAGCCAUGAAUGAUGUUCCUGUACAUCAUCACAUAUCAUAAAAAGUUUCUAUAAACAAUAAGAAAAAAUUAAAAAGUUUUCAGAAAUAUAGAAAAAAAAGACAAAGAUGUACUAAGUUAUAUUUAAAAAAAAUUCAACUUUAUAGUAAACAUUCAAGUUUUACAAACAUUAUCAGUAACAAAAAUGAUUGAAAAUGCAAUUUUUUAGAAAAGAAAAUGAAACAAAGGGAUUUAUGCAUUCAAAACUUGCUUUUUUUACCCAUGACAUAAAAAAUACUAGAAAUAAGUGGUACUUAUUCUAGGAUAGCUGAUCUGCCGUUGGUCAAAUGAAGGAAAUUGAAAUAAAUGACACUAUUUCUGGUGAUUUUAGGUUUGCAGUGCGUGAGGACGAAAACAAACGAGUCGAAUUAAGGUUGAAUGACAGGAACUCGAUCGAGAUUAGGGGUUAGAGGUCAAUGAGUUCGACCAAGAUUGGAUCCAUUCAAGAACCAAAUGAUGUUAUCAUGAUGUCAUAUAUAUAAUUAAUUUUAAAAAUUAAUAUACAAUGUAAAAUUUCUAAAAGUAUAACAACGUGUAUUGAUGCAUGUUUGAUUUAUCCAAAACUACUGUUAUUACCGAUAAAAUAUUAUACUAAAUAUUAUAUUAUAUGAUAGGAAAUGGAGUUAUUAGUUGAAUCUGAGUCUUGCUUAAUGGCUAGUAGCACAACUCUAGUUUCAUUUAUCCAUGAAUGACGUUUUUGUACAUCAUUACAUGUCAUAAAAAAGUUUCUAGAAACAGAAAAAAAAUUGGAAAGUUUUUAGAAAUGUAAAAAAAAAAUUAAAAGACAAAUAUGUACUAAAUUAUAGUUAAAAAAUUCAACUUUAUUGUAAAGAUACAAGUUUUACAAAUAUUAUAAGUAAUAAAAAUGGUGGAAAACAUAAUUUUUUAGAAAAACAAUGAAACAAAGGGAUAUUAUGCAUCCAAAACUUGGUUUUUUGACCCACAGCAUCAAGAAUACUAGAAGUAAGAGGUACUUAUUUUAGAAUACCUGAUCUAUCAUUGGUCGAAAAAAGGAAGUUAAAAUAAAUGACACUAUUUUUGGUGAUUUUAGAUUUAUAGGACAUGCGAACGAGGACCAGCGAGCCAAAUUAAGGUCAAAUGCUAGACAAGUUAGAAGUGAUCGGGACUAAAUCCUCCAAUUUUACUCUGAUAUUGAAAUAUGAAGUUAUUGAGAGUUGUAUAGGAUAAGUAGGAUUGCAUACCUUUCAAGUAAAGAAGGUAUUGAUAUUUAUACUAGUAGAGAUAAGUUGAAAAUGAUGAGGUCUAAUAAUAGUUUGAUCUCGUAGGAUAAGAUAUGGUUGCGAUGUCAAUAGUAGGGCUGAAUUAUAGGGUGGCUAAAUGUUAAUAGUAGGGCAGAAUCAGAUCGGGCAGGGAAUCGAUCGAGGUCAGGAGUUUGUGGUCAAUCGGUUUGACCAUGGUCAAACCCAUUCUAUAACCGGCUGACGUCACCAUAAUGUCAUAAAAUAUAAUUAAUUUUAAAAAUUAACAUACAAUGUAAAAUUUCUAAAAGCAUAAUAAUCUCAAUGUUUGUUCAUGCUCAAUUGAUGUUUCUAGAAUAUUUUACAAGAAAAUGUAAAUAAAAUAAUAUAAUCAAGUAGCAAUCUAUACAAUUUAAUGCAUAUUCAACAAGUUUGGAAUUAAAUUGGAGGGAUUAUUUUAAAAAUAAUAAUAGAUUUAGGACAGAAGUUAUAAAUCAUAAAAUGUUACUAGCUAUAUUAAUAGUUUUCUAACACUAGGAGUCAAAUCAUAAAAUCAAGAAAAUUUUGAAACCCUAAAAUUGGUUUGAAUUCAAUGGUGUGGACCUGCGGGGCCCUCAGAGUGAGGUCCAACUGUCAGAUUUGACUCACUGAAAUGUGGAGUACAUACUAGUUAUCAUAGUGAAUGAAUUCCUACCUUUUAUCCUUGUUUAUCUCAUCACCUAUUUUCUUCCUUUCUUGCCUUGUCCUUUCUUUUCCAGUCGCAGUUUUCUUCUUGUAUUUCUCUCAUUUUUUUUCUUUUUUACAUCUAAAUCUUUGCAUCUUUUUCUCUAUUCACUACAAGAAAUCAACUUUUAUUAUUCAUGUUCUUUUUCCCUUUACUUCUCUUCUUUUUUUUCUCAAUUCUUUUAAUCCUAACUUUAGAUUGUUCAAUAUUAUGUUGAAAGAGCCAUAUGUGGUAGUAGCAGUGGAUAUGCGCUCAAGGAUCGAAUGCUAUAUUAAAAGUUUUAGGAGUAAAAAUGUUUGAAAUUGAAUUUUGGAAAACAAUCGAGUUUUCCCGGUUGUUUUGGGUUUUCAAUCAAACGCAGUUUUGAUCAGGUCCUUGUCCACCACAAAACUCAAACAUGACAUAUUUGAUGGGGUCCUUGUCCACCGGAUUUUUGAACACACUCAAACAUGACAUGUAUCCUAUUUUUGAUCCAAUUGGUUGAACCGAUUGGUCCAAUAUGAGUUUAAAAAUAUGGGUCACCAGUCACCAGCUACAUCGAUGACUAGUCGAGACUUUUGAUACCUCGGGUAGAUGGUCAUCUCGAGAUGAAUUCCUGUCAAAAAGCAUCUAGGCUGAGAUAUUAUCUGCGCCAGGUUAACAGAGAUGCUUUCUCAUUCAAGGUAGAUGAGGUAUUUACACUGAACCCCCUAAUUUCGGAAAGGAUAAAUAGUUCAAAGGACUAUCUUUUUCGAGGUUAUAACCCGAAUUGAUCAUGGAAUACACAUGACAAAGCAUAGUGCUACUAAAGAGACAAUAUGUUAAGAUGGAAUGACGAAUGUUAGCACAGAAAACUAAUAGCAUUAUUUUAUAGUGUCACUAAAAUUUUAGGAAACAUUUGUAGAAAAAUAAAAAUGUAAUCUACGAAUGCCAAACCUCCUUUCCAUACACAAUCAAAUGAUAUCAGAAGUUAGGGUUUUGUAAUCUAGAGCAGUUCUUAUCUGAUCAUGCCAUCUUGGCUAUCUUUAAGAACAGUUACCGGUAAUAACUGAAAAAAGAAAUUAGGGAAAUUUUUUUUUUCCAAAUGCAGAAAUCAUUCCUGUAGCAGAAGUAGGAUACAAAACUAACGCAUGAAACGGUCUCCAAAGUUCAAGCACCUGGUGUUAAAGUCAAAGUUAUCCAAAUAACCUUAAUUAAAAAUUAUAUAAUAAGUAUCUAACAGGACAAAUAAGUAAUUCUGAAAUGAAUUCCGAUCAAAGAGCAUUUAGCCCGAGAUAUCCUCUACACCAGAUUAAUCGAGAUGCUUUCUCAUUUGAGAUAGAUGAGGUAUUGACACUGAGCCCCCUAAUUCCGGAAAGAAUAAAUAGUUCAGAGAACUAUAUUUUUGAGGUUAUAACCCGAAAUGAUCAUGGAAUACGCAUGGAAAAUCAUAAUUCUGCUAAAAAGACAAUAUGACAACGUGGAAUGACAAAUAUGUCCCUCUUCUAAAAGGUGUUAGAUAAACUGUUAGUCAUUUAUGAGGGGUGAGAGUCGAGCACUUCAAGAUUCAAAAAGUCUACAUUUUCACCUUCCUUAACACCUAUAAAUAGGGGGUAAUUUAAUUCAUGACCCAUUUUCACCGUACAAUCAAAUUGUAAUUUUCAUCUAAGAUAAUCAAACGAGGUGCUUUGACAUCUCCAUCCUUGCCGAGGACUCUAUGAAAUAGUAUGCCAUAUUUUGUUGCAAUAGUUAUGGUUAAAAUAGCAACAACUUGCAAGGAAAGAGUGAGUCGAGUUUUUCUGAGAAAAAGAGGGCUAACCGUAUAGAAGAGGAGACAACGUAUACAAAUCAAACUUCCAGUUCAUGAGAGGAGUCUGUAGAAGAAUCCAAAAUAGAGAGGGUAGAAGGAUUAUCCCGGUCCACCAAGGAGUUAAAGGCAUUGUAUAAUGACGCUUUUGGUUUCGAGAUGCCUCAAGGCAUUGGGAUAGUUGUGCCUAAAACCCCUCUUAACCUCGACCUGGUUGGCUUUAGCAAACUUCCCUUAUUCAGAAGCACGAUUAAGGAGGCUGGGUCGAAAGUCUUGUUAUGAGCCUACCUGUUCUGCCAAGAUUACAAUACAUAUUGGUAGAGUCGAAUCAAUUAGUGGCCAUUUCACCCAAGGACCAAGUGGCAAUAUAUGCUGACCAUUUCCAAUUCCUUUGAAGGGAAGCACAAUCGAGGAGGCCGACUCGAGAGUCUGGUUAUGAGCCUACCCAUUUUACCGAGAUUACAAUAUAUAUUGGGUAGAACUGAAUCAUUCAGUGCCCAUUCCAUCCUAGGACCAAGUGACAAUAUAUGCUGAGCAGUUCCAAUUCCUCUGAGACAACCUUCAGUACUAAGGAACUCGGAUUACCUAGUUGACUCUGAAUGCCAUCCAAAUCUUGGUAGGGUUCAAGAUGUUAUACCAAGAAUAAGGCGUGGUUCCCAUGGUUAAUCUCUUCCAAAGGUUCUAUAUAACUAAGAGUGGUGGAAAUGAGAAGAGGUGAAUGUAAUUUGGCACCCAAUCCAAGAAUAUCGAGAAGUUAGUUGUGGAUGCCCUGACUUCCAUUAAAGAUAGACAAAUAAUUUUGCUUUUGUACCACACGAGAACUUUCUUACGGAAUUUUGGUGGAGAUCACAUAAUGCACCAGGCGACCCAUCUCUAGGACUCGUGGAAAAGUAAAAUUUUUAGAAGAUAAAAUAGUCAGGUCUCAAGAUAAAUAGUCGGUUCUUCCCUGAGGCAGUUCUAGUGGAUAGGGGCAUCAGCCAAACUUUGAUUAGCCUCAACAAAUCUCCCUAUUAUUUUUCUAGUUUUGGCAGUACUUGUAAUUUUUUUUCAUUAAGUAAUUUUGUAAUUAUUCCUAUUGCUAAGUAAUAAUUUGUCUUUUCUUUACAGUGGUGAAGGUAUUUGACUUGAUCAUCUCGUGAGCUAAAAUAGUAGCUAAAAAGCAGAAAUGCAAGCUUCUAAUGCAUAUUCUGGAGCGGGAAAGAAUUAGAAGAGUGUCUCAACCACUGCCGACUUUAGCACAUCAUAUAUCUGUUCCUAAGGGCAUUGCUACCUGAAGUUUCACUAUUAUCUUGGUUGGGCAUAAGAAGGAGAAGCUUCUCCACUCCUAUCCUCUAGUUAUUGUUGGGUCAUCUCUGCGGAAUAGACAUCUUACCCCUUUUCUGAAGCCUUCCAGUCCUGAGAUAAGGCACCUUGAGGAGUACUUUGGCUCAUCUUGGCAACUUACCAUCAAUGACCGAUCCCAAGAUCUAGGUCAAUCUCGGGAAUUGCUCCUUAACUCGGUACUGCCAUAAGAUGUUGAUUGGUCCUGAGCUGAUUGACCACCUGGCCAUUGUUUGGGUCUCGUCCAACAUCUUAGUAGCCAACAUGAUUCAAUGGUUUGGGGUCAUGUAGGAUGCCUAACAGUCAACUGCACUUCUCCUAAAGAAGGUGAAGGUUUUAGAGACAGAGCUGGAAGUGGUCAAAGCUAAAAGCGACCAUGCUAUUAUCGAGGCCAACUCCCUAAGGAUGACCUAUAAGGAAUAGCAAAAAGGACUUCAAGAGGAGAGAACAUCCAAUGAGAUAACCUUGGAGAAGGCUUGGAUCUCAGUGGUAGAGGCCUUCUUGAAAUCCAAAAAUUUUAAUAAAGACUUGGUGAGCUGACUACCUCGAGCUUUAUGUUUGGCUUCACUACAAUUAUCAAUAAGGUCGACCAUCUGCUGUCUGAGGAGGAAUUUGAAAGGAUCAAAACCAACACCAACUACAAUGAGGAUGCCAAAGAGUUGUGUGAUUGGAUGGCAGCUGGUAUCUCUCAUGCUGUUGACCUCUUCUCUUGUCAAUUGUCUUUGUAGCAAGUUCUUCUCCCCCUUUCUCUUCCUACCUCUAACAGCCUAGCCUAAUUGCCCAACUCCACCUGGCACGGCCUUUCGCAACCGAUAAUUUGCCCUGUAGGUACUGAGCAAUGGCUAGUUUUGAUUGUGUACAAAUGUUAAUUCUGUGAAGAAAUUCAUUUUGUAGUAUCAUGUUUGCUAAAUUCUUUCUACAUUUUCACAUUUUUAGAUGAUUAGUUAUGGAGUAUGUGCAUAGUGUUCUGAUUUUAUCUAAAUUUUGCUAUGUUAGGCUGAUUUUAUGGAAAAGGGCACUACUGACUGUCAUGAACAAUUUAGAUGAAGGUAGCCUCUACAAAAUGGAGACAGAUAGAAUAAAUAAUAGCAUACUUGCAUUAAAAAGCAUUUAUGGCCCGAGGUUCCUAAAUUGUUGAAGUAUUUAUCCUUUAGUUCUCUAUAUCUUAAACCAUCUGCUAUUGGUAAUAUAACUAUGACUAUGAAUUUCCAGUUUUUACAUACAUCAUAUCGUUGUUUACAAACUACAUAGCGAUAAAGUUGCAGAUAUUAGUAGAUGAGAAACCAUAACUGCAUAUGAAAUUUAUUGGAACGUGUUCUAUUGCUUGACUUCAAAUUUUCAGAUAUUUUCACCUUGAGCAGCUACAUCUGGAUUAAGUUUUCUAUAGUUAAAUAUCUAUAACAUUAGCUAUUAUAAUUUAUGAUGGAACCAGAACGGUUGCUUUAAGAGAGACUUUGGAGUGAACAUAUGAGUUUUUCAAAUUAUUGUGGUAGGGAAAAGUUUAAUUUUCAAGGACACUUCUAAAAAUUUUCAAAUCUUUAAGGGGAAAAACCAUGGAUUUCUAGGACUUGGGGUGCAUUGGCCCCUGCCUGCCUCCCCUUAGUUCUCGUGUUAAGUGUAAUUUGUAUAUUUACAAUUUUGAGUAUGCAUAUGCUUACAAUUGCUUAAAGCCGGGAAUCUAGUGGUAAUGAAUCUGUGCCUCUUUUUGGAAGAUAAAUUUGGAAGUGCAUAUACUUAAAUGUCUUAUGUUGUUUUGUGAAAAUUCUAGGUGUAUAAUCGAUUUACAUUCUAUAGGAUGAAAGUCUCAAUUCAUUCUUUUGUCAGUUGUUACGGGCUCUGCGGCUUUUUAGGAAGCAAGAUCAUGCCAUAGUGCCUGAGCUAAACCAAAGUCUUAGUUAGGUGAACGAGAUGUUGAUAGUGCUCUUUUCAAGAGAUAUAUCUACAGUGACUUUUUUUGUCGAUGUGUUUUAAUUUCUUGAAACCAUUUUCUUUGGAAAGAUAAUUGAGCUUUUUUUCUAUUGUUGGAAAAGAUAAUAGGUUGUUGACAUAAUAUUGUAGUUGGAGAUGACUGCUGAUUAAGUGUGAAUUCAGUUGAUUUGCACUCUUCAGAAGUUUAUCACAAGGUUGAACUUAUUCAUUUGGUCCUAUCUGGUACACAGUAUCACAACAAAUGGCUUCUAAAGGUAAAAGUUUUAUAGGUAAAAUGAAAAAAUUUCAUCUUCACAUUAAUUGUUAAAGAUACUCAAUGAAAGACGUGUCCAGAUUAUGGUAUGUUAUCCAUUAUAAGAUCUAAUUCAAUAUUUUUAAUUUUUUUUCCGUUUGUGGUUUACCCUUUCUAAAUUUUGUAUCUGGUCCCUUCCAUAAACUUUCUUUGAAUCUAUAUUGAAAAAUUUUAGGUUAACAAUGUAGUUGUUGUGAGCAAGUAUACGAGUCCACAUCAGUGUCAAAGGAAGGGGGAUUUCAAAAUAGCAAUCAAAAGUCCCUCACCUUAGGAAGUCUAAAUAAUUUACUAUUUUCUAUUUGUGGUUGCAAACUUAUAGCAUCCUAUUAUUUUGUGAUAGGUGAAAAAGAAAUAGCUUGUUAUAUUUCUUCUGAUAUAAUUAUUAGGAAUGCGUAUGUGUUACACUGAUGAAUCAUGUUGAUUUGCUUCAAGGUUAGAUUGCCAUGCUGAUGCCUCAUGAAGAAGCUUCCAAUUCCUUGAAGCAGUGUGAGUUCCCUUCUUCAGAAAUAUAUGUUAUGGGAAUUAACAAUAUGGCUCUGCAAACACAGCUGAAGUAUCAUUCAUUUAUGUGUGAGGAGUUUGAGCAUCCACAUAUGGCAAGGUUAUCUCAUGCGGAAUUCUACUGAUUGCCCAAAUUCUUGGUAAAAUGCUCUUGUCCUUUACCUGCUUCUAUUAAAGCCAAAAUCCACGCUUUAGGAUUGUCUUAGACCUGCUCAAAGGUCAGCAUGGUGUUAAAAUCAUCAAUCUUAUCCUAGAGCUGUUGAAAUCAGUGCCUUUGUGUCUUGAUAGAGAACUUUGAUCCCUCUAUUCUUUAAGGGCAAAGUGAACAAUCCAAAGGUAAGAGCCGCUAUGAGAUUGCAAUGGUUAUGGUUGACAUGAGUAUGGAAGCAAGCGUUGAGUGCACAUGGUGGGGUUAAGGUAUUAACACGGGACCAAUUAACAAUGAUGAGCAGAAACAUCUACGGGUACCAGAUUAUGCUUGUGCAUAUUAAAAAUGUGAUAUCCAAGAUCACUAAGAACGAAAACAGUCCAAUGAUAGAAUACAUAACAAUUCAGCUGCUGAGCUUCAAGGCAAAUCAGCAAAACUAGCUGUCGGAUUUAAAAUACACAACAAAAGUAGUGUAAGGUAUGCUGAGGCUAAUUCUUAGGUUGAAGAGCCUAUUUAUUCUGCUUUGAAUCCAAGAUACCUCCACAAGUAGAAAUGAUCGUGCACUAUGUUGAGUUGACAAUGCGAGUGUUGAUAACAUUUUGAAGUUGUUAAAUGUGGAUGCAUUUGGCAUGAUAGGCAGUACUUCUAUUGUACAUCAGUUGCAAUAUCCCAGGCACUCCUAGGCUAAUUGGUUGAUGUUUGAAAUUUUUUUGUUUUGUUUUGUUUGGCAUCACAUCAUUUGGUAUUGAAUCCGUUGACAAGAAACCGAGUAUCUCAUACUGUAGUAUCAUCCAAUAAUUGAUUGUUUUUUGAAAUGUAGUGACAAUCACUUGUUUGUUCUUAUUUAGUUCUAGCAUCACUUGUAACUUCUUGAAACAUUUGUAAUUGGCUACAGGCAGUUAACUUGGUUUACUAGCAUCCUAUAGGAUGAUGGACACUAGUGCAUUAUUUCUCAUAGUAUUUGAUGUAUCAAAAGCACUUGAUGUUUGCAUUUCUUUUUAGAAAUUAAGUUAGUGAGUCUUACAAAAGGAAAUUUCUGAAGUACAUGUAAUCUGCUUUUAGUUACUAAAUUGCAAGAAUGGUUUCUUCUUAUCGUGGAGCUGGUUGUUGUUGUGAAAUUGGAGGACUAGGAUGAUAUUGUUGCUAGUGAAAUUUCGGUGGCCUUGCAAUAUAACUAAAAUUCAGAUGAUCCUUCCACCCUGGAUUGUAGGUGUUUGAAUAAGGAUCAUAGUGCCUUUGAGGUGGAUCAGGAAAUCCCUCAUCUGUAUUCGCAUAUUCACUCAAAUCAUCCUAUAGUGUAGGGCACAUGUCAGUUGGGUGAUCUGAAACAUAGUAAUUCUAUAUGUUUUAUCCUGUUGUACCUGUCCUACAACUAAUUUUUCCACCAAAGAGGUUAGAGAAUCUAAUUUUUGUUCAAUAGAAGAAGUACUUACCUCAUUGACUUUUCUAGGGACAUAUUCCUAUCUAUCACCAAAUUGUUGACCAUUGACUACCAUACUUGAAAUUAGUUUCCUUGCUUCCAUUGGCGUUUUAUUUACCAAUACUCCUCCACUAGCAGCAUCAAUAAUUUUCCUAUCUGUUACUGAUAAUUCCUUAUAAAAAUAUUGAAUGAGAAGUUGGUCAGGAAUUUGAUGGUAAGGGCAACUUGCACAUAACUGUUUGAACCUUUUCAAUACUCGUGCGAAGCCUUUUCAUUGAAUUGUCUAAUCCCACAAAUAUCUUUCCUGAUGCUUGUAGCUUGGGAAGCAGGGAAGAAUUUUUUAAGAAACUGUGUUUUCAUCUGAGUCCAGGUGGUGAUUGAUCUAGAUGGUAAAUAACAUACCAGUCCUUUGCUUUAUCAGCUAAAGAAAAUGGAAAGACUUUUUUUUUUUUUUAGGGAUGUCCCGCAGGGAGUGGACCCCGCAGACUAUUCCCCACCCUCCACAACUUGCUGGCAGCAAGGUUCAAACCAGGGACCUAAGGCUCCAUCUUCAACAACCUCAACCGCCAGACCAAGCCCCGAAGGGCGGAAAGACUUAAUUUUAUUUGCUACUCUGUGACUCCUUGGAGCUUUAUGGUCGAGCAUACCACAUGAAAUUCCUUGAAGUGCUUGUAAUGAUCUUCACCUAGAAAUCCAUGAAAAGAAGGAAGUAAGUGAAUUAAACCAGAUUUUAACUCAAAUGGUACAUCUAAAGUAGAAUAUCUGAUGCAAAAAUGUUGUUGAUUUAAAUUAGCUGUAGCUAAUUCUCUCAAUUCUCUCGUUUGCCAUGCUUUUAAUCUUCUCUUUAGAUUCACUGGAAGAUUCAACUAAGCCAGAUGCCAGUUUUAGCCCAGGGAAUGAAGAUGAUAGCUUUGCUCAUUGCUUAGUUUCCCUUUCCAAUCUACGUGCUGUCUACUCUAUCUUAAGAUUGUAUUGUAAUUCACAUGUAUGAGAAGAUCGAAACAUAAUCUAGCAACAAAAUAAAAAGAAAAUAAAAAUGAAAAUCCAAAGAAAAUAAAUCAACAAAGGUACCAAUCCCCCGCGAUGGCGACAAAAUUUGUUGACUGUCAAAUCAACAAAUAUAAAAAUAUCUACACCAAAAAUAUAAAUUCAAUAGUAGUAAGAAGGGUAGUAUCCUCAGGGAUUGGGUGAUUUAUUUUAUUUAAAAAACAAUGACAAUAAAAUAAGAUGGGGGAUAUUGGAAAAAUUAAUCUAAGUAAUUUAAUCGACGAAAAAUAAUGAUGCAAAAUUAAAUAAAAAUAAACCAAUAUGAAAAAAGUCUCUAGUCAAAGGUUAAUCGCCACUUUGGUUCAUUUACUGAUCAUCUAUGAAAAGAAAUAAAUCAUUUAUUUAUAAACAAACCGGUUAUGGUUGUAAACAAACUCUAACAACCAGCCUCUCCGUACUUCUUCGAUAACCACAACAAACUUUGUGAUUAUUUCCUUUACCAAUUAAACAAUCCUAAUCAAACUCUUAGGAUUUAAUUUAUUAACAGUAUUAAUUAUUAGAAAGACUACCAACCUUAACCAACAAACACAUAAGAUCAGUUCAUUUAAACUAGAUUGUAUAUUCCCAUGCUAAUAAUCCGAAAGUUUCUACUACGAUUAAAUUAUAUCACUCGCCACAAAUACUAAAACUAUCAAACAAUUACAGAUUUGAUUUUUUUAGAUGACAGUAGAUUAUUCUAACAAUUAAAUAGUGAUCAAGUAUUUAACCGUAGAAAAUAAUCGUAUCAAGAACAAACAUAGAAUAUAUAAAUCUUCAUAAAUAAAUGUAACCAUAAGAACAAAUUAAAUCUCACAGUAUUCAUCGAACCAAAAUUUUGAUUAUCCUUUGACUAGAACAGGGAUUUAACCAUGCCUAAUGGUUGAAUUACAGCCAAAGACAUGAUUAGGGUUUGUUAUGGUAAAGGAAAGAAAGAAAAGAAAGUAUCUUCUACUUUAUUCUAAUGAAGGAUAAGCUAAAGCCAAAAAAGUCAGUAUUUUGCUCCUGACUUGUGAUGUACUAAUCAUUUUUAAAAGUCACUAUCAUCCUCUACUAAUACUUGCCUCCUUGUUCUCAAAAGGAUGAGAAUUUUUUAUCUAUAAUACUACCAAUAAUCCUAAAUAAAAAUAAAAGAUAUUAUUCCUAAAAAUUAAUCAAUAUGCAACUUCAAAAAGGAAAUAAAUCUCUUGAUCAGUAGAAAAAAAUUGAGCAGGGCCCAUUUCCAAUCUCGAGUUGUCCACACUUCACAACAGGUUAAGACGUGAUCGCAUCAUGUAAAGUAUGGUAUUUUGGAAAUUCAGCUUUUAAUACUCUUUUUACUCCCUUUUCACAAUAAAUUCCUAGAAAUAACACCAAAAAUCAAAUAUGAGUAAAAUCAAGCAAUUAAUACCAUAUUUUGGCAAAAUAAAAGGGAAAAAUAUAUACAAAUUAGUGUACAAUUAACCAUCUAACACCUUCACAAAUUUUUUUCUUUCCUGCUUGAAUUUUCUUAGCCUGCUUAGUGUCGAGCUUGAUCAAACACCACUAUGACAAUCAACAAUUUGGCAAGAUUUUUUUCCCUAAUCAGUGCACAACACCAACAAUCUCAACAGAAUCCCUCUUUUUAGACUUCAAUCUAAUUAGGAUCACUUUUCCCUAAUUCCAACUAAUGAACGAGUACUCUAAGACUAACUUUCACAGCCCAAUUUUUCAAUACACGAGUACUCUAGCAUAAUCUCUACACCCUUCUAUGGUAUAGGCAUCUCUAUCACAAACUCUACACAUCCUUCAGACACCACAGAUACCCUAAGAUCAAACUCUUGAACCUAGAGUUCUGAUACCACUUGUUAGGAUAAAAAAUCAUGCAGCGGAAGAAACGUGAAAUCUUCACAAAUAAUAAAGAAUAAGAAAGGCACGGGACGAAACAAAAUAUUUUGCUUCAAUUCAACUACAAACUUAGGAUUCCAAGUCCUUAAAUAGAGAAAUAUAACCACAAAUCCUAUUCUAAUUAUAAUACCAAAACAUGACUCAACUCUAUUUCCUAAACCAACUAUGACACCAAAUCUAAUAUAAUUACCAAAUAACAAAUCAAUUUCUAAAACUAUUAAAAUUCUAAAUAUGCUUGAUUUAAAAUAUAUCAACAAAUUGCAUAUGUCCCCACGUCUAUGAUUAGUUAAGGGAUAAUUUCAGAAACGUCCUGUAAGGUUUGUAGCAAUAUUACUUGGUACCUAUGAAUUUUGAGAAAUCUCACCUACUUCCCUUAAUUUUAACAUUCUGUAUCAUGAUCAACCCAAUUCGAAACAUUAUCAAGAAACUCAUAUUUGGAUAUAGCAAAUAUUUUCAUGCCAAAAUUGCCCUUGUAUUAUCCUACUAUUUUUCCAAAAGUGAAGAUAUAUUAUUGAAAGCAUGAAAAUAAAGACAAAUGGUGUGAAAGCAUAGUUCUACUAGAAUAAAUUAUAUCAGUAGGUGUUUUUAAUGUACAAAAGAUUAUUAUUUAAAAGUAUGUUUAAGAUGCUUCAAGUUAAAAAAUUAUUUCAUUCACUAUUAGGUGCUUUCGUUAAUUUGAGGAGUUUUAAAAAUUUAAGAAUUUUGCACUUUCUAAAUUGUUUUGUAUAAACUGAUGACUUGAAUAUUAGAAAUAGGCACAAUAUAUAAAAUUAUAUUUACAAACUCAUUUGAGGUAUUUUCAAAAACGUAAAAAUAACUUUCUUUAUUACAAAAUAUUUUUGAAUGAAUUUAGAAUUUUAUAAAUUAUUUAGAAUUUUUUUAAUGCUCUAACUUUUUGUCCAAAUUGAUAACUUGAAAACAAGAGAAUGAUAAAUUAUUAACAAUACAUUUAGAAACUUAUUUGAUGUAUUUUCACUAUGCAACAUGUUAUUUUUUACAAAUUAUAGAAAAAAAUUUCUUUUGCAUUUCUUGUCUAAACUGAUGACUUCAAAAAUUGCAAAUGAUCUUUCAACCUAAUUAAUAUGUUGUAAUUCUUAAGCAUUUAAUUUGGUUUGUUAUGAAAAAUUAAGGUCCACAAGAAAAGGACAAUUUUGAAAUAGAAAUGUUUUAUCUCUCUCAAAAUGAGUUUUCAAAUCACAUCUUUUGAAAUGGGUUGAUAAAGUUAUAAGAAGUUAAAAAUAAGGGUGGUAGAUGAGAUUUCUUAAAAUUUAAGAGUGCAAAAUGAUAUUGUCAUAAACCUCAGGGGAGGUUUUUGAAAUUAUCCCAUUAGUUAAUUACGACGACUAUUUCUUUGGCUUUGCAAUUAGAGAUUCAUGCUCGUCUCCAUGAUAGUAUUUUGACAAAGGAGAUUUGGAACUAUAUGAACAAAUUAAUGUUAAGAGUGUGACAUUUUUUUAACGUAGUUCAAUUUCCCGACCUCCACCCUCAAAACGGCCUUUGAAUUGUGCUUUCUCCUAUUUUGAAAAGCUAACAAGAAUACGGUCAACAAGGCAUCGGUUGAUAAUAGUAAAAUCUAAAAUCUGAAUUCUAAAACCUAAAAAUUAAUUACUGAAAACAUUACAUUGCUGAAUUGAUGAAGUUAUAUCUGUUUGAUAGCUAAGUGCAUUUAAGCAUUGAAUUGAGAUAUCACACAAGUACAGGAACUUUAUUGUUAAAAAAAUCGUCUUUAUUUGUGUAUUGGUGAGAAAGGAAAUUAUACGUGGGAGAGAGAAAACAUUGAAAUAAUUGGGAGGUGGUCUUUAAGUAUGCUUAUUUGAGUGUGAGAAUGUGUAUAUUUAAAGAGAAAAAGAGAAAAAAUGUACUUUAUACGAUAUCAUAUAUAAGAGUGUAUUGUGUAUAUGAGAAGGAUAAUAUAUGUAGCCAAUUCAGAAAAUUUAGUGAAAAUUUUUCGCUUAAAAUUUUGAAUGAAUGCGGGAUGUAUUAAAUGGUAAGACAUUUCCAUUAUCAAACAUGCUAAAUUUAAAAAAUUCUCAAUAAAUUACUUUUCAACAGAUCCAAAAUCUAGUUUGUACACGAAUUCCCUGAAUCCAACCAUAGUUUGUGCCUGCGUGUGUGUGCUCGUCGGGUGCACUGAUGAUCAUGGGAGAAAUUGUCCUUCCCAGUUUUGAUUUGACCACUACAAGCAUACUCAUACUCAAACAUUGAACUCAAAAUGAGGGGGCAGGGGAGAAAUUGUCAGUGCAUUUGACAAAAUUGUCAGUGAUUUUUAUAAGUUUAAUUUGACAAAACAAGCUUUUAUCUAUAUAUUUUUAUUGCAUUUUUCAUUACUAUUCAAGGAUCUACUUCAUCUCCCACCGCUGGUUCAUUCCCAGGGAUGUUCCAAGGACUCGAGUCAAUCGAUCAGAAAAGUAAACAAUGCUAGCAUGAUUUGUUGGGAAAAAAGGAAAUCUAUUAAAUGUCUAGUUAGAAAUUAACAAGGACCAAAGUCCGGAAGACUCCAGCAACUAAGUUUCCUGAACUUGUAAUUUCUUUACUACUUUUUGCCAAAAUUGAUCAUAAAAUGAAAUGCUCGUACAAAUAAAUGAUAGUCAAAUAAGAGUUUAGCAACAAAUAGGGACCAUAGACAAAGAACAACUGCAAUUUCCGGUAGCAAGUUGCUGGCAUUUUACCAAAGAACAUAUGUGCAAUAAAUGAUAAACUCAACUUUCAACAACUGACUGAACACAUUAACUUCGUGCAUAAGCUGUGAAUGAGGCAUUUCAAUACUUUAAAGGGGUAAGAAAAAAAGGGUUUCUACUUCUCCUAGCAAAGCUUUCUUUAACAAAUCCAUUUAAACAGACUUUCAAACUACAUAGUGGAUGUAUUAUGUUGAAUUGAUUGCCAAUUUAAGAAUUUGAAAAUCAUUCUCAUACUCAAUUGGAGCUGCUACUAUUUCUACUGAUUGGCAAAAACCAUAUCAGAGAAGAAAAAAACCUGGCUCAAGUUCUACUCGUCUAAAUCUGGUGGUACUUAACUUGUUAUAGCAGUUACCAACAAACUAAAAUACAAAUAAUAAUAAUAAUAAUAAAUAUCCAUUAGCGACUUCAAAAUUUAAAUCAACUACAAUCCAAAAAAUAAAAGCUGAAGAAAUUAGGCCGAUUCAACACUUCUAGAAAAAUUUUGGUCAUCCUACCCAAUAUUCCAUGAGUAAGCUGAAGAAAUUAGGCCGAUUCAAGCUUUCCAUGAAAAGACAACCACACCACACCUCAUUAAACCAAGUUACAAUCAUAAUUUUUCUUUCACAAGUUACAAUCAUAAUUGAGGGCUAUAAAAGAAUUACAUGAGCAAUAUUUUUGUCAUCACGCAAAAUCAACCUCGGCAACCGUUUGUGCCGGUUGUAUUCAUUUUUCACUGCGCGUAACUUCCAUUGCACACGAUAUAACUUACUUUAUACAUGACGUAAUUUUUCAACACUUUUUUGUGAACCCCACACAUGACGUGAAAAUCGAAUUACAUGCUAUAAUUUGAGCCGCACACAUUUUUUAGGCCACAUCGUAACGGUUAACCUUCAGGAACGGUUGUCACUGUCCUGCCCCAUUUCCAUCAACCUCACACUUACCAGCCAGCUGGCCACAUACAACCAUUCAUGCCACCAAAUACCAUAAAAGUCCAUAAUCUUGUCAUCCAAUCAGAAGAGAAAUAAGAGGACUAAACCAAUCCCAAUUGAAAAUUCCCUCUUAGAUUAGUCAAGAUAGAAGACACUACAAACAGUAAGGUUGUCACAUCAUCAGUGACAAGGAAAGGCAAAACACGGUUCAUCAAUAAUUGAAAUGACUAUUCAGGGCUUCGGAUAAUUAAAAAAAUAAAGUAAAACUGAAUAUAAUAAUUGGGGCAGCUCGUGGGAAGAAACUGGACGGAUCUCAUAAAUCAUUUAUAAAGAAUUCCCAAAAAAAAAAAUGUCAAUUAUUACAUUUCCUCGUUGAGUUCAUAAAGUUGGUCUGAAGUGUUUAUUGUCUUCUACCUAUGAGCCUUCAGAUAAGACGCUUAAUUUCUCCUGCAAAAGAUUCUGCAAUAAUCUUAAAAUAGUCAAAACAGCCAAAAGAAAAAUAGUAAAGAAAUGAAACUACUGGCCCCGGAUAUCCAUUCAAUCAUUCAUACAUGAAAAUUGGAGUGAAACACCAAAUUCCUCUCCCUCUUGCUUCUUGAUCAUGGAGAUUCUAUUGAGUGUUCUGAUUCUGAUCUUCUCCAUCUCGAUUGCUCUAAUACUAUACCUCCAGCGAAAGGAGAACAAACAGCCUCCAAGUCCACCAGCCCUUCCAAUUGUAGGCCAUCUCCACCUCUUGAGAAAUACUGCUCCUCACUUGGCAUUUCAUAAGCUCUCCAUCAAGUACGGCCCCGUGGUUUCCCUUCGUUUUGGGAUUCGCCGCAUCCUUGUUGUGUCUUCUCCAUCACUUGCAGAGGAAUGCUUUUCCAAGACUAAUGAUAUCGUCUUUGCAAACCGACCUGAGUCCAUUUCCAGUAAGCACCUUGGCUAUAACCACACAACUCUUGUUUUCUCCCCGUACGGAGAUCACUGGCGUAACUUACGCCGACUGACCGCCAUCCAUAUCUUUUCUUCAAUCAGUCUCCUCCAGUCCUCCUCAAUUUGGACAAAUGAAAUGCGUUUUAUUGUCAAAAAACUGUUCUCAAGUUGCUCUGAUGAGAAAAGUUGGAAAGUUGUGGACCUGAAUUCUUUGUUCUUGGAACUGGUUUUCAAUGUGGUAAUGAAAAUGAUUGCUGGCAAAAGAUGGCCAUCCGAUCAGUCAGAUGAUGCAUUUAAGCCGAGUGUUUUCUCGGAUAUUUGUGAUUAUAUUCCAAUUUUAAGGUGGAUUGGUUUUAGAGGGCAGGAGAAGAGUUCGAUUAACUUGCAGAGAAAAAGAGACAAAUUUCUGCAGGAUCUGAUUGAAGAAACUCGGAAAAGGAAUGGUGAAGAUGUUUCAUGUUCAACUAAAACAAAAGAAAUUAUUCAAGCGUUGUUGUCUCUACAAGAUGCUGAUCCUGAAUACUACACAAAUGAAACUAUCAAAGGAAUAAUGCAAGUAAGUCUCUUUUUGAGUCUUUUCUUUUCAAAGGAUAUAUCCCUCUACCAGCGCCUUUUUAUUAUAUAUAUAUGUGUGUAUAUAUAUAUAUAUAUAUAUAUAUAUAUAUGUAUAUGUAGUUCUAGGUAGGGCUGCAAACGAGUCGAGUCGAGUCGAGUUUUGAGCUAAUCGAAUCGAGUCUCGACUAAAUUUUACCAAGCUUGAGCUCGAGCUCGAACUCGACGAGCCAGCAAUUUUCGAGCUCGAGUUCGAAAAAAAUAAAAAAAUAAUAAUUAUUUUAUUUUUAAAAAAAUAAAUAAAAUAAUAUUUUUUUCUUAAUAAAUAAUAAAAUAUUAAGGAUAUAUACGUAAUUUUACUAUGAAAAUAAAAAAUAAAAAAAUAUAUAUAAUAUACAUAAUUUUAUUAUUAAAUAAAAAAUAAAAAAUAUAUAUAUACUCAAGUUCGCGAGCCGGCUCGCGAGCUAACGAGCUUAAUAUUCUGAGCUCGAGUUUCUGGAGCCGGCUCGAGCUCGACUCGAGCACUCGCGCGCGGCUCGAUUCGUUUGCAGUCCUAGUUCUAGGUUGCCCCAUACUAUUUAGGGCACAGGUUCAAUGUGCACUAGGCGAAAAUUGAGCAUUUGAGAUGAAAUUCAACAACUUCGGACUUUGCUGUCGCCUCCUAGGUCCUUGGAAUGGAGGGCUAAAUGGAAAUUUAGUGGAAUCACUGAAUAGCCUUCUAUUUUAUAAUGGCCUAUACAGUGUCCCCGCUGGUGUUGCCUUAUCAGGGCGGCUGAGAUCAAAUUUUUCUUGGUUAAAUACAAAAGACUCCCUUAUAGUUUAAUUGAAUGUUAAACUUAAUUCUCUAUAGUCCAAAAGCUUACAAUUUAGUUUCUCGUAGUUUGUGAGCUUUUGAAAUACCUACAAGAUUCAUGAUUAAAUACUUUCCAGUCAAGAACACUUGACAAACCACUGCAAAAUUUAAAACUACAACACUUUCAAUUCAAAUUGAGGGACAGUUAUGAAACGAGUAAUUCUCUGUUCAGUCAAAUAAUCAUUUUUAAACUAUGAAAAUUUAAAAAUUACUAAUAAAAUGGAUUGGAGCUAUGAUGUAUAAUCUUGGCAACCAACUAUUGUAAAGGCCAGGACUUCAACUGCUGAGGUUCCUAAUAAAUAUAUAUACCUUGGUGUUAGCUCUAAAAACCUGGCCCCUUGAAGGUUUCCAGGACUGAGUUUUGAUGCACAAGGGGCUGCCUAAGUUGGCAUGUUAAAAACAUUUCUUUUUGUGUGAUAACAUGUAAAACUACUAGGUUUUUUUUUUUUUUUUUGUAAGUCUAACAAUCUAGAUUUUGAUAAACAAUAUGGAUAGUUGAUUGGUAUUAUAAUGUAAUUUUCCAUAAUAGAGGGAAAUGAAGGUCAUUUUGUAAUUAAUCUUGUAAUGUAGAAACAUCCCGUGAUACGUCUUAUAUGAUCAGAAAAGUCUCAAUGUACAAAGUUGAUCUUCACUGAUGAAUAAUAAAAGCAAUUCUGUUUCUAAAAUUAGAUAAUUUUUCCUUGGAAGUGGAACUAACAAUUACUAUUAUUUCUGAGCAUUUAUUUCGAGUUUGCUUUGAUUUUGACUAAACUUCAGUUUGUUUGUCUAGAUUAUGUUUACAGCAGGAACACACACUUCAGCUUUUACCAUGGAGCGCGCAAUGUCAUGUCUGUUAAACCAUCCUGACAUAUUACAGAAAGCAAAGAAUGAAAUCGACGACCAAGUCACAUACUCUGGGCGUUUGCUGGAGGAUUCAGAUCUCUCCAAAUUGCCAUAUUUACGUUGUAUAAUUAACGAAACACUUAGAAUUUUUCCUCCUGCACCAACUCUUGUACCACAUUAUUCAUCUGAAGAUUGCAUCAUUGGAGGCUACAAAGUUGCUAAGGAUACAACUCUGUUUGUUAAUGCGUGGGCCAUUCACAGAGACCCCAACUUAUGGGAAGAGCCAAGCGAGUUCAAGCCAGAAAGGUUCGAGGGUUUGGAUGAAGGAUUUAAAUUUCUUCCAUUUGGAAAAGGGAGGAGGGCUUGUCCAGGGGCUGCAAUGGCUAUGAGAUUGGUUGGAUUGGCGGUGGGCACGUUGGUUCAAUGCUUUGAGUGGGAAAGUGCAGAAUCUCAAAUGGUGGAGUUUGAUGAAAAAUCUGGCGUCACUUUGGGCAAGACCAAGCCUUUGGAGGCAUUGUACAAGCCACGCCUUUCCAUGAUCAGCUUAGUUUCUCAGCUUUGAGUUUAUAUAAUAAUUUGUUUUUAAGGUAAAACAGAGACAAAUUUAAUACUUUAUCUUUUUUUUUCAGAAACGAUAAAAAUUUUAUUUCUAAUAAUAAGGAAAUAACGAUACAUUGUAUGAGCAAGGGCUCAAACUUAGACUUUACAAAAGUGGACCAGGCCACUGAGGAGCUUUGAAUUCCUCAUCAAAGUAUAUGCAUAGCUAAUCUACUCAGUUUUGCACUGAGUCUAUUCAUUUCAACAGGCAAGCUAUCAAAUGAGCAUUUCCUAAACAUUGAGCUAAGAUCUUUUAUAUCCUCCAAGUGAGUUGCCAGCCUUAAGUUGCUAGAAGCUUGAUACCUUAUCAUAUUUAGGACCUGAGUGCAUGGCGUUUGGAUCUUGAUAUACUGCCACCCUUUCUCCUUUAGCUUACAAAGUGCCAAUUUAAUGGCCAAAAAAAUGGUCCAGCACUACUGACCCAGUGCUUCUCUCCUUUAGUAUCCAAGCUGCACAUUUCUGGCUCAUGUUGUUUUCUGCUGUAACUCCAAUUCCCAUAUUUUGACCUUCUACAUGUUGUCCCACCUCAACACUAAUGUUCAGCAGGUUAUCAUCCUCCCCCACCCUUUCCUCCUCAUCUUGUGCUAUUUCUGUUUCUGAGAUGCUCAUCUGAUGUUCAGUCUGUUGUGAUUGGUGAUACUCCUCCCAGUCCUUGAUUGCUUUCCUGAUAACUUCCAUUGGAUGUCUAUUCUUCUCUUCGAAUUCAGCUUCAUUCCUGGCUUUCCAGAUCUGCCAAAGUAUUUCCACUGUUAAGGCUAUGUGUUCACUUCCAUCCUUUCUCGUCUACACUUCCAUUAACAUACUCUAUCAUCUCCUGAAAUCAGCAGUGUGUUCCUUAAGUCCAUCCCAUUGGAGAGGUGCAUCCGCUAUAUCAUUUGUGCUUGUUUGCAGUGAAAAAAAUAUGUGUUCCACUAUUUCAAUAUUUUCUCCACAUAGCUUGCAAAUUAUGUCACCUUUGCCUGUUCGCUUAUGUAUUGCUUCCCUACUUGGCAAGGUUUGGUUCAGGCUUUUCCAAACAAACAGUUUUGUUUGUGCUUUAUCUUCAUCUUCCAUAGCUGUUUCCAGACUUUUUCACUUCCUCCUUCCCAGCUUGUCUCUCCCUUGACUCUUUUGUUUACUUCCUGCUACUUAUUCUCUCUUGUUAUUGCUUCAUAUGCUGACCUAACUGUGUAUUGUCCAUUCUUGCUGUGGCUCCAAAAGGUCUACCAGUUAGGCUUACAGGGAUAUUGAGUAUCUAUCCCGCUUCUCUUGCAUUAAAGGUCCUAAAAAUUAAUGGUGAGUUCCAUCUAAAGUUGGAGAUCAGUUCACUCACUUUGCUAAUCUUGCACCCUGGGGGUUUAGGGGACUCUAAUUUACCUUCUUUGCCAUCCUGAAUCCAAGCAUCCUCCCAAAUUCUAGUGCCAUUGCCAUUCCCAAUUUUUUUCCUUGCUCCUCUCCUUACUUCCUCUCUUGCUCCCAUCAUCAUGCUUUUCCAUAUCCAGGAGGAGUUGCUUGUACUUCACAGCUCAAAGGUGACUCAUUUUAAUAAUACUUGGCUUUCAUCACCUUGCUCAUCAGCAGGUUUGGGCAGGUGAGGAGCCUCCAGAUUUGUUUGCCCAGCAAGGCUUUAUUAAAGCCUUGUAAGUCUUUAAAUCCUAAGCCACCAUUGUGCUUUCCAGAUGCCAUCUUUUUCCAUGAGCACCAGUGCACUUUCCUUUUUCCAUUAUCCUCUCCCCACAAGAACCUUGCCAUUAAAGCAUGUAUGUCUUUGCAAAGUUUCACUGGAAGCUUGAAGCAUGACAUUGCGUAGGUUGGCAUUGACAUGGUUAUAGCUUUCAGUAACACCUCUUUUCCUACUUGGGAGAGCUUCUUGUUGCACCAAUUAGAUUGUUUUCUGACAUUUGUCUCUGAUAAAUCCAAAAAUCUGGUCCUUGGUUCUGGUGAUGACCAUGGGCAGCCCCAGAUACCUCCCUUGAUGUACCACCUUUAUAUUUCCUAGUCUACUACAGAUUUCCUCUUGUUCCUCCUGUUCCAUAUUCUUGCUAAACAAGACUGAUGACUUUUCCAUGUUAUCAUUUGUCUUGAGCCUUGUUCAUACGUUUCCAGUAUCCUCAUCACCUCUUCAGCUUGAGCCUUCUCAGCUUUGCAAAAAAUCAGGGAGUCAUCUGCAAAGAAAAAGUGAUUGAUUGAUGGUCCAUUUCGACUUAUCUUCAUUCCUGUCAGCUUAUGGUUCUCUGCUUGACCCAAUAAAUUGGAGAAACCUUCUGAUACUAAUAGGAAAAGGUAAGGCGACAGGGGGUCACCUUGCCUAAUUCCCCUUGAAGGUACUACGUAUCCUUUUGAUUUCCCAUUUAUGUUGAAGGAGAAGGUAGCUAUUGUGAUGCCUUCCAUAAUCCAGUUGAUCCAUAUCUCACUGAAUCCCAUUUUGGUCAUCAUUGCCUUCAAGUAUCCCUACUCCACCCUGUCAUGGGCUUUUGACAUGUCUAACUUUAAAGCCAUGAAACCUUGAGAUCCCUACCUUUUGUUUUUAAGGUAGUGCAAGUACUCAUGAGAAACUAUAACAUUGUCCAAAAUUUGUCUUCCAUGCACAAAGGCUGCCUGGUUUUUACUGAUGCAGUUAUCCAACACUUAUUUUAGUCUGUUUGCAAGAAUUUUGGAAAUGAUUUUAUACAGAACAUUGCAAAGGCUUAUAGGUUUGAACUGCUUGAUUUCAAUGGGGUUUUCUACCUUAGGGAUCAGGGAUAUGAUACUAUGAUUGACUGCUUUUAGCAUAUGGCCAGAGUGAAAAAAACUGUUGAUAGCCUAAAUGAUGUCUGUCUUAAGGAUGUGCCAAAAUUUCUGAAAAAAGAUUGGUAUCAUGCCAUCUGGGCCAGGAGAUUUUGUUGGAUUCAUGGAGAAUAAGGCUUCUUUAAUUUCUACCUCCCUAACAAGUGUAGUAAGUCCUAUGUUCAUUUAGUUAGUGAUGGUCUGUGAUAUUCCCUGUAGCACAAAUUUAAUACUUUAUCGAGUAUAAUUACUAGCAUAGAUGGCAAAUGGGCUGGACGGACAAACUUUGGACAGGAUUCAAAUGGGAUCGAAACAUAUGGUCUAUAUCAAAGCAGUCUCAUAUUAGUCACGGCAUUAAUAUGGGCUAGUCCCAUUUUGAUAAUGGACCACACACCUAACAAAUUGCCUGUUGCCUUUUUUUUUGGAAUCUUCUCUUCUAAAAAAUCGGUGUGCUGCAAUUUUUCUAUGUACUUUGUUUGUAAUUUUAUUUAUUUUUAAUUUGUGAAAGCUCCAUACUUCUUUUUAUUCAUCAAGCAAUGAUUUCUUUAAAGUAAACAUUUAUAUUGAAUUUCAUUCAUUCUUUUCCUUGUCUCAUUGAACCCAAAAAGUUAACAUAGAUGUUGAUUUGAUAAAUUAAUGUUAAAAAAAUGCCGAAUAAUAAAACAGCAAACAACUAAAUUAUAAUAAUAAGACAAAUCUAUACUACUAUUACUUUCUAUUGUGUAAAGUCAAAACUUUAGUUUUAACAUUGGGAAAAAGUAUUAUAUCCUUUAUUUUUGAGUAAAAUGAAAGAUAGAAAAGAUCAAUUGGUACAUAAAAGUGGAAGUUGUUAAAUCGGAAGUGGUGCGCCACACCUCCCAACACUGUACCAGUACUACUAUAGUAUUUCAAGUUUCACAUCAAAAAAAACUUGAGACAUGAAGAUGGUAUUCGUACGUUUUCCUGAAAAAAAAAAAAAAAGAAAGAAGAAGAUGAAGAAGAUAGUACCAGAGUAUAUUUAAAAAAGUAAAUCUUAUAUACACUGUCAGAUAGUGUAUACACUAUCACCGUUAAAUUUAUGAUAUUUGUGCAAAAGUUGAAUUUCAAAUUCAAAUUUUACACAGUUAUCACUCUUCCAACACUGAAAGUGUAUACACUGUCAGUGUAGGAAAGAUUAAUUCUAUUAAAAAAUGAAUUCUUUUUUUUUCUAUUAAAGUAGAUCAACGCUAUAAAUAUAGAUGACCAUGCUAAAAUGAUUAAUAAACAACUAAAAAAAUGAAAAUCUUGUAAAUUGUCACUUUGGAAUCUCACAUGAUAUCCAAGCAUUCCCAUUUAUAGUUGGGUAUUGUUGGGAUUAACCUCAUUUAAAACCCAACCUCCAUCACUUAAGCCCAUUCCGUCCAAAAUUCUUUUGGACACGGAUAGCUCCAUUGGAAUUUGAGAUCAAUGCACUUGAUAAAAAAAAAAUAAAAGAAAAAAAGAGCUAAAGAAUAAAUUAGAAAAUCACAAAUGGCACAAAAGAAAUUUUAAGCAAUGUCAAUGAUGAAUUUUGCAAACUGACAGGUAGAAAUAUUUUAACUUUUUUUUUUUUUAUCGUUUUGUUUCUCAUCGUAUGGUCAGUAAAAUUAUUAGCAAUACUUACGCAUAUUGUAGGAAUUAAGUAAUUAAUUAACUGCUCAGCCAAGAUUAGUUUAGAGUCAAAGUCUUAAGUCUUAAACUUCGAUUAGUAAGUGCGUUUAAAGUAUUGGGGUCAAAAUUUAAAAUGUAAAGUAUAGCAUACGUGGGAAGUACAUGCAUCCUAAGACAUCUUUAUUCAAUAAUGAACAACCUAAAAUCAUAAAAAAAACACCAAAAGGUAAAAAUCAGCACAAAAAAAAAAAAAAAGUGUCUGGCAUAGAGUGUAUCUUGAUUAUGAUAGAAUUAUUCCUUUAAUGGAACAAGAAUAUUGAAACAACUAUAAUCUUCUUUAUCUUAAAGGCUCAUAAUUGUAUCGUAUUCUACCCUGUUUCCCAGGGUUUGUCAUAAUUAGUUAAUUAUGUCUUCGGCUUUAGAAUUAGAGAUUAAUGGUCUCGUAUUAGGUUCGAUAAGAAAAAUAUUGAAUCGAAAGAAAGAAAAUUGUUAAGAGUUCAGUAUUUUGAAGAUAAAAUAAAGAAAAGAGGUAAAUUACUCAUAACUAGGGGCAGAGGUAAAUGUCCAUGAGGGUGGGCAAUUGCUACCCCUCGAAUUUUUUAAAAUUGCUUUGUUACCCAGCAAACAUUUUUAGUCAUGCUUUAAAUUAGUUAUGAUUGUGUUGGUUGCACCCCCUAAAAUCACAAAAAUUGUACCUUGCACCCGUUCAAACAAAAAUUGAAGGGCAAAUCACCAAGUAAAAUCAAUUGAAACCCAAUGUAUUAUAAGAAAGAAGUUAAGAGAAAACAAGUUAAUAUAGGCAUAUAUAAAAUCAAGCUACCAUAUUGGAUUGAGAGCAACAAUUUAGGAAUGCAUUGACAAUUGACAAAAACAGUUGAUGUCUGUAAUGAAAGAAACAAGUUAAUUACGUGGAAAGAAAUAAACAAAAUGAGAGAAAAGACUAGAAAAAGGAAACAUAAAGGUUUUGAUACUACAUAUGGAACAAAAUGUACAUAACAUAUUUCUUUUUUUUUUUAAUUUGAUUUACUCCUAACUCUUACAAUCAUUCACUUUUGUAAAUUAGCAACAAGGUUUUACGCCGACGAUUUUUAAUUUUUCUAACCGAUUUAGAUAUUAAAUAGUUUACAAUUCAAUCGGUGACAAAUUACAAAUUCAUUUGUGGAAUAGUAUUAUUGUACUAAUUCACUAUGUGAAUGAAGAUGCCAAAUUCUAUCACUUUACGGACAAAUUAUCCAUAUUCUCCACCAUGGAGAUCCUCGACAGCUGUUUGGUCCUGAAUUUAGCCAUAUUCUCAAUUACUCCGAACUCCGAUGUACUUACUUCAAAUGAAUUUUUAUAUUGCACGUUUCAUUUUACUUUUCUUUAGCUUUAUGUUCCAUCUAUUUUCUUUCAUAAUGGUACCACGCCAGCAACCUUGGUAUUAAGAAAGUGGAAUAUACAUGGGCAAGAAAAUCAAUGUUUUUAAAUUCGUAUUGGUGAGUGAAUUGGAUGAACUUUUGAUCCUGAUUUAAUAGUUUGGUCAAAUGUUUAACUUUUUUUAUUUUCUUUAAUAUCAAAUAAUUUGGAUAAUACUGAAAUAUAUAUUAAAAAAAUUCAGUGGUAACUGGGUCAAUGGUCUGGAUUUUGAUCAAUUUAAUCAGUUUUUGACUGAGGUUAAUGGAAUUUUUUUUUCCAUUUUCUGAGCUUAGCAAGUAAUUGGACUAGUGCCAUUACUAGUUCGCAGUCCAACAGGCCAAACCACUUAAUCAGGUCUGAUUUUUAAAAUACUUAAAUGAGUUUAUCAAUCCAUGCGUGAAGAUCAUUGUAAAUGCAUGAUUGAUUACCACCAUCAUGGAAAUACAUCACAUGGAGUUGAGGAUUAUAAAAUGAAAUAAUAAUGUUUGAUCUUUUGAAUGAGCAAGAAAGACGUGCAAAUAAGUUUGAUGUCUGCAUCACAGUUUUUGAAACGAUUAAUGGGAGAUAAUGGUUGCUAUUAGGCUGCAAUUUAAAACACAUUCUUCCAUUUUUUUGAUUUUUAUUUUUUUCUUUUGAUAUAAUCUUUUACUCUUGGGAUAAUAUAAGCUAAGCCAUCUUAUUUGACAAAAACAUGCUAUGACAGGGCAACAAGACAGAGAAAUAAAAGAUGCCCUUCCGUAAGCAAAUUGAAUUGAGCUCGUUGUGACAACUGACAGGCUUUGUUGAAUAUGUAAUUUUUUCAGAAAAUAUCUUUGGUAAAAUGUACAAAAAUUUGAUUAGUGUGUAAAUCUUUGUUGACUAUUCCAUUUCUGAUUGUUUAAGUUAUGUACUCUUACACGUUUGGCAAUAUUUUAUUUUACAUUAGUAGACCAAGAUGUUUGCAGUAAUAUACUCGAUCUUCUUUUGUUUUUUAAGGGUAAAGUACGUCAAAGGUUAUCAAACUUUUCAAUAGCUUAGUUUUAUUCUUGUAACUUUUUUUUGGUACUAAAUGGUCCACUAAAUUGUUUUAAAAGUCUCAUUUUAUUCAUUGAACUAUUUUUUUAUAAGAAAUUUCUCACUAUUUUUUAAAAUUUAUUUUACCCACUCAACUACUUUUUGAACCAAAUAACCUACUAAACUUUUAAAGUGAUUUAUUUGGAUCGUUCUAUUAGAUUCUACCAUUAAGAUAGAUAAAAAGUUUGCCAUGUAGUCGUGUUUUAAAUGGAUAAAUUUGUCAUUUCACACCCAAAAUCUAUAUGUCCAAAUCAAUUAGAAAAAUUUAUAGCUUCAGAAAAACCACAAAUUCUAUUUUGGAUAGGGCCAAAAAUAGUUUCUGUGUGGAUCGAGAUUUUAUUUUGGGAUUUAGGUAUGUUUAAAAGUGAUUGAAUAGUUUAAUCCAUUGGGGUAGAUGGAUUUUAGGCCCGCAACGAUGAAAUUGUCCAUUUAAAUCAGGCUCACACGACAAACGUUCGUCUAUCUUAAUGGUAGAAUUUAAACAAAAUAGUCAAGAUGAAUCACUUUCAAGAGUUUAAUAGGCUAUUUGGUACGAAAAGUAGUUGACUGGGCAAAAUAAAACUUUUAAAAUGUUUAGUAUGUAGUUUUAUAGAAAGAAUAGUUCAAUGAGACUUUUAAAAAGUUUGAACACCUUUAAUCAACAAGUAGCAACCUUAUAUUAUUUUCUAAUGGCUGAUAGAAAGGACUAAAAGUCUAAAACAGUCCCUUGUCACAGUCGUAUCUACUCUUGUCUAUUUUCAGUUAACAAUCGUCCAAUAAUUGCAUUAAAAGAAAAUGCACACAUGAAAAAUGAAGUGAUAAACCUUAACUUGUUCAGUAUAAAGUCAACACCAAACUUCUCUCUUUCUUCUUGCUAGUUGCAUCUUGAAUUUUGAUCAUGGAGUCACUCUACAGCAUCCUAAGUCACUUAUUUUUUUUAUAUCUAUUAUUAUUUUUACUCUAACCUAUUUUAGGGGAAGAUUCAGCUAAACCUACAAAGGAAUCGACGGAAAUUGAAUCACCGUCUAACUAGACGAGUACACUAUGCAUCCAUAUAAAUCUAGAAGAAGCCACUUAAAGUGGCAAGACACAUAUACCCCAUGUCUAAUAGUAACGUGAAUUAUGAAUUUUACAUGCUUAUCAAAGCUCGGAAAGAGCGUGCUGCAGCCGGACCAUAUCACUUGCCUUAAAUAAUGAGUUUCCAAUAAAUUGCAUAUUUCGCCAGGUUAAGGGCACAAAUGGCUGCCAUGUGAACUGUUUCGGAAUGAUUUUGUCUAUUUUAACAAGAUCUAAGCCUUUCAUUUAGUCAUGUAAAUCAUUUUGAAUGCAAUGUAAAUUUAAAAUAAAAUUUUCUGAAUUCGAUAAAUAUGAUGUGAAAACGAUUUACGCCACAUGAUCUGAGCCUUAUAUAUAUUUUGGGUUAAUCCGGAUUCUCAAACCUCUCCAAAACUUCUACUGCCCUAGUUGUAUUUCCCCCCCACGGUUUGCUAUGACUGGUUUCUUACGACGGCUGAUAGAGAUUUAUACUAAUCUCCAUAUUAGUUUUGACAAAGAAGAACUUGAAUUAAAUUACAAAAUAAUAUUAAGAGAAUAGUUAAUAAAAUACGGAGUGAGAAUAAUACAGUGUUAUGCAUACCCGCAUUGCACAAGUUUUUUCUCAAAAGUAUGAUUAGAAGUUCAAUUGUAAAUGCGAGUUUAUUAUAUUUACACUUAAAAUUACACACUUAUUUUGUAGGAAAAUAAACCAAGCUAUUUUAGUUUCCUAAUUCUUUUUGGUAUCUUAUUUGUUUAGUUUCCAUAUUAGAUUAGGAAAUCUCAAGUCAGUUUCCAAAUACGUUUUGGCUUACAACCGUAUUAGCUUUAAGAAAUUUUCGAGCCUAUAAAUACUAACAGUCUAGUAGGUUAUUUGUGUGGAGAGUUGAGUUGAGUCUAGAGAUUAGACUUGAGAGAAAAUCUCAUAGUUGAGGUUUGUGAGUUAUUGUGAGCAAAGGCUACGACUUAAUAUUUGUUUUGAGUUAAAUAAAUUAUUGAGUGUUUGUUCUUCUCCUCUUCCCACAUAUUUUUUAUAUGUGUUAGAAUUGCUUCCGCUGUGUGCACGGGGAUUCUUCGUGCCAAGAAGUGAUAUCAAAGCCAGGUUUUGAUCCUAGGGCUUGUUUGCAAAAUUGGGGCUUGGAGCUUGUUCGUGAAAUUAAAGUAUGGAUCCGCAUUAUUUGCACAAUUGUCACGUUUUUAUCUUCUAUGGUAAAAACGAUUUUGAGGCUUGGAAGUCGAUGAUGAAGAAUUUUUUCCAAAAUAUUGGAGUUUGGAAUAUUGUCGAGACAGGAUAUACGGAACCGGUAGCACAUAUAGAAUUAUCAAGCAAUGCAGUUAAAGAAUUAGAGAGAAAUAGACAGUUGGAUUGCAAGGCAAUGUACUAUCUCAACACUCAAGUCCAGUUGCAUGUUGCAAAAAAAUUUAUACAUGCAAAGUCGACAAAAGAGGCUUGGACAAUGUUAAUGAAUUCAAAUCGAGGUGCUGCUAACAUAAAAAAAAUCAGAUUGCAGGAACUUAGGAGACAAUUUGAGUUGGCCCAAAUGAAAUCCACAGAGUCAUUAAAGAUUUUAUUGGUACAAUCAAAGAAAUUGUCAAUGAUAUGGAGUCCAUUGGUGAGAAUUUGGAAGAGGUUAGAGUUGUUGAAAAGUUAUGAGAUCUCUAACUGCCAAAUUUCACACCAAGAAGACAGUCCUUGAAGCCACAAAGGACCUUGACAAUUUGUCACUUGCUGAAUUGGAAGGUGAAUUGCUGACGUCUGAGAUGUUCCUGAAUCAGCAGCCAUCGGAUAUAGUAGAGGAGGUGUUACAAGGCAAGGUGGAUCACCUAAAAGGAAAAGAGGAGGUGAAUCGUAUAGACACAAAUUAAAAGGGCAAGAACUUCAGAGGUAGAGGACGUGGAGGCAGAGGUAACUUUCGUGAUCGUGGAAGAGGUAAUUAUUCUUACCAACCCAAAAAUAAUUCUAAUAGGGAUCAGAAAAACAAUCAGCAGCAAAGUCGAAGAAAUAAUUUUCAAAGACAUGAUAGAUUUAAUGUCCAAUGUUAUUAUUGUGAUAAAAUUGGUCACUAUCAGAAUGAAUGCUGGUCCAAUAAAGAGGUGCAUGCAUGCUAAAGUGGCUGAAAAUACUAGUGAUAGAGAGGAUACCUUGUUAUAUUCUAGUUCUACAUCUGAAGAGUCUAUGAAGAAUGAUUGGUUUAUUGAUUCUGGUUGUAGUAAUCAUAUGUGUGGUAAAAAGGAGAUGUUUUCUAACCUAGAUGAAUCUUUUCAUGCAUCUGUGAGAUUUGGAAACAAUGAAAAGUGUCUGUUCUUGGAACAGGAAAAAUCAGAAUUAUCUUGCAAGAUGGUCUUCGAAUUUAUUUCUGAUGUUUUUUACGUGCCAAGUUUAUAUCAUAACUUGUUGAGUUUGGGACAAUUGUCCGAGAAAGGUUAUGAUCUGCAUUUUAAAUAUGGUAAGGGCAUCAUAAGUGAUGGAAAAUUGGGAUUAAUUGCCAAGGUAAAGAUGAACCAUAGUCGUUUGUGGCCUCUUUCCCUUAACUGUGGUGAUUUACCUUGCAUUAAUUCCGUGACUUGUGAUGAUUCUUGGUUAUGGCAUAUGCGUUUUGGGCAUUUGAAUUUUGGGAGUUCGAAAUUUCUUGAAAGAAAGAAAUUAGUUAUUAGGUUGCCUUCUGUUGAGUUUCCUGACAAGAAGUGUGAGUCUUGUAUUUUGGGAAAGAAACAUAGGGAUUUUUUUCCAAAAGGCAAGGCUUGGAGGGCUCAUCGACCACUUGAACUGAUUCAUUCAGAUUUAUGCUCAGUUGAAGUUCCUUCCAAUGGUGGCAGUAAAUAUUUUAUUACCUUCAUUGAUGAUUUCAGCAAGAAGAUAUAGGUGUAUUUUUUAAGAAAUAAAUCUGAUGCAUGUGAUGUGUUUUAAAAAUUCAACUAUUAUGUAGAGAAGCAGAGUGGCUAUUUUAUUAAAACUCUGAGAAUUGAUAGAGACACUGAAUAUCUUGUUUGUGAUGACUACUUGGUGGAAAGUGGCAUAAAACAUCAAUUGACAGCCAGAUAUACACCUCAACAAAAUGGUGUGGCUGAAAGGAAGAACAGGACUGUGAUGGACAUGGUGAGAUCUAUGAUGCACUCCAAAGGUAUUCCUAUAUCCUUUUGGGCAGAAGCAGUAUCUUGUGCUAUUUAUGUUUUGAAUAGGUGCCCUGCUAGAUGCAACAUUGGGAAGACCCCACAAGAAGUUUGAAUUGGUAUGAAACCAGGUAUUUCUCACUUCAAGGUAUUUGGUUGUCUUGCAUAUGCGCAUGUUCCAGAUCAUUUGAGGAAGAAAUUAGAUAACAAAACAGAGAAGUAUAUUUUUAUUGGAUAUAGUCAUGAGACAAAGGGAUAUAAGUUAUUCAAUCCAAACAAAGGAAAGGUGAUUGUUAGUAAAGAUGUGACUUUUGAUGAACAUGGAGUUUGGAAUUGGUCCAAACAAGACCCUAAGACAUCGCCAAACUAUCCAUCCAUUUCUCCCAUUAUAGGACCGAGUGUUAAUAAGCAAGCAGUGGAGCAAGUUGUGCAACCUCAUGGUGAUCCCUCACCUUCCACUAUUCAGGUUGAGACAUCCAGUCGACCACAGAGAGAAUGCUGCAUGCCAGCCCGAUUUGAUGAUUAUGCUGUUGGUAAAGAUAAUGAUUUAACUGAUGAAGAGAUUGUGAAUUUUGCUCUUUUUGCAGAUUGUGAGCUUGUCUCAUUUGAAGAAGUUGCCAAAGAUGAUCGUUGGGUUCGUGCAAUGGAUGAAGAAAUUUAUGCCAUUGAGAAAAAUGAUACAUGGGAAUUGACCACUAUCCCACUUGAAAGAAGCCACUUGGAGUGAAAUGGGUAUAUAAGACCAAAUAUAAGCCAACAGGAGAGGUGGAUUACUUCAAAGCAAGAUUGGUUAUCAAAGGCUAUAAGCAAAAAGCAGAUAUUGAUUAUUUUGAAAUUUUUGCACCAGUUGCUAGACUUGAUACGGUUCGUAUGAUUGUCUCACUUGCUGCAAAUAAUUGUUGAAAAAUUCAUCAAAUGGAUGUAAAAUCUGCAUUUUUAAAUGGUUUUCUUGAAGAAGAGGUAUAUGUUGAGCAGCCUGUUGGUUAUGUUAGAAAAGGUCGAGAAAACAAAGUGUAUAGAUUGAAAAAGGCAUUGUAUGGUUUGAAACAAGCUCCUAGAGCUUGGUAUACUCGCAUCGAUAUUUUAUUUUAUUGAGCAUGGUUUUCUGAGAUGUCCAUGUAAGCAUACUCUAUACAUGAAAUUCAACCUUGGAGGAGAUGUCCUUAUUGUAUGCUUGUAUAUGGAUGACUUGAUAUUUACAGGCAACAAUACCAAACUAAUUUUUGAAUUCGGAGAGGCCAUGAUUAGUCAAUUUGAGAUGACAGAUUUGGGAUUGAUGUCUUAUUUUCUUGGUAUUGAGGUUCAUCAGUUGGAUGGUGGAAUUUUUAUCUCACAAAGGAAGUAUGCAAAUGAUAUUUUGAAGAAGUUUAAGAUAGAUAUGGCUAAACCAAUGAUGACCCCGGUUGAAGAAAAAUUGAAAUUAACCAAAAAUGGUACCGGUGAUUUUGUUUAUGCUACUUACUUUAGGAGAUUAGUAGGUAUUUAACUUCUACGAAACCUAACAUCACUUAUGGAGUUGGUUUGACUAGCAGAUUCAUGUAAUCUCCGCGCCAGUCCCACUUGUAAGCUGGUAAGAGGAUUUUAAGAUAUGUUCAAGGUACGUAGUCUGACGGUAUAUUUUAGUCAUUUUCACAUGGUAACAACCUUGUUGGAUACAUUGAUAGUGAUUGGGUUGAUGACAUAAUACAAAUGAGGAGCAUUUCUGGUUAUGCAUUUUACUUGGGAUCUGGUGUAUUUUCUUGAUCCUCAAAGAAACAACAGGUGGUUGCUUUGUCCAUAGCAGAAGUGAAGUACAUGGCAGCCACAAGUAGUGCUACUCAAGCACUUUGGUUGCGAAGAAUGCUUGAAUUCUUACAACACAAGCAAGACGGUCCUACCAAAAUAUUUUGUGAUAGUUUGUCUGCGAUUGAGUUGACAAAAAAUCCAGUUUUUCAUGGGCGCAGCAAACAUAUUGAUAUCAAGUAUCAUUUUAUUCAUGAGUUAGUUCAACAACAAGAAAUUGUCAUUGAUUAUUGCAGAAGUGAAGAUCAAGUAGCUGAUAUUUUGACAAAACCACUCAAAUUGGAGAGGUUCAUGAAAUUGAAGAAGAUGCUCAACAUGGUGAAAUUUGAAGAGCUUGGUUUAAGGGAGGCAAUGUAGGAAAACAAACCAAGCUAUUUUAGUUUCCUAAUUCUUUUAGGUAUCUUAUUUGUUUAGUUUCCAUAUUAGAUUAGGAAAUCUCAAGUCAGUUUCCAAAUAAGUUUUGGUUUACAACAUUUUGGAGUCUAUAAAUACUAGCAGUCUAGUAGGUUAUUUGUGUGGAGAGUUGAGUUGAAUCUAGAGAUUAGACUUGAGAGAAAAUCUCAUAGUUGAGAUUUGUGAGUUGUCGUGAGCGAAUGGCUACAACUUAAUAUUUAUUUUGAGUUAAAUAAAUUAUUGAGUGUUUAUACUCCUGCUCUUCCCAUAUAUUUUUUAUAUGUGUUAGAAUUGCUUCCGCUGUGUGCACGGGGAUCCUUCGUGCCAACAUAUUUACCAUAAAUUUUAGAUCUUAUGCUUUAUUAACAGUAGUUUUAAAUUGUAUUUUUGUACAUGAGACAUGAUAUUGAUUAUAAUUUCAUCGAACAGUUAUAGAUGCAAGUAUAUGAAAGAAGUACCAUAUGAGUCUGUUAUUUUUUUAUAGUUCAUAAAAUACAUAUUGUUUGAAAGGAAAUUUUAAAAUUUUGUCAUGAAUUGAUGUUUUUUCUGAAGUAUGAUAUCAUAAAAGUUUAUUAGGUGCUUUUGUUGAAAAGUAUGAAUAAUUUUUGUUGGAAAAUAGUAUUCAAGCCCUUGCGUUUUCAGUCACUUUUGUAUUGUUGGUAAUAAGGGUGGUCACAUAGGAUCACAUCCCAAAGGAUUUAUAAAUUGGCGGUAGGGAAGACAUUGGUUUUCUUUGUAAGCCACAUGGAGUUUUUAUCUUUGGAAAAUAAUAUUCCAUACUAACACAACUUUAUGAUAUAGAAAUAGAACAAAAGAUGGUCCACCUUGUAUUUCUUGGAUUGCGUAAUUUGAGUUGCUUUUUGUAACUGAAUUCUUUGUUAUGUAAAGUGUCACUUUCAUUUCUUUUGGGUUGUUGCUAGAGCCUUCACAUAUUGUUAAAUUAAAAAAAUUAUUCUUAAAACUUAAUUUAGUUGGUAGGGACAUUUUUUGAGGUGAUACAAGUUAUGAUUUGGAAUGAAAGAAAAUUUCUAAUCCACUUUGUCUACAAACAACGAAGUUAUAAGUAAUGCAACUAUAAAUCUCAUGAAGAAUUUGAUCCUGACUCAAGAUGAACGCUGGUGGCGAAGUUUUUAAUUCAACUUUCAAGCCUUUCUCGUGUAAGACUUUGAGUCUUUUCUUGAACCAAAAAAUUAAAUAAAUAAUAUAAAGCAAAACAUCUUUCCUUUUGCAUCUUCAUUGAUUUUCUUGAGGACUUUUGCUAUGAACGUAUACUAUUCGAUAUAAUAUGAGUUUUUCUACACUAUGGUCAGUAGGAUGGUACUUCUGUUGGGGGAGGAAGCCGAGCAAAGUUGAUUCAAUUUCCCAACGUCUACCUUCCGACCCUCAGUUUUGCUUUAAGAGUCCCUACCCAAAUGAUUAAAAUAGUCCCUCAACCUUUUUUGUUCAAAAGUUUAUGUCCCUCAACUUUAGUUCAUUAGCUGAUUAAGUCACCAGCUGUUUAACACUCAGUAACUUACUUUGUUUGGAUAGUGAAUUAGUUAAAAAAUUUACUUGCUUGCAUCAAUACAUUUUUUAAUUAUCUUUUUAUUUCAUAUAUAUGAUAUUAAAAAAGUGAUAGACUAUCAUUUUAUCUCACAUACAUCACAUCAAAAAAGUGUUACAGUAUUUUUUUAAAACAUUAUCCUAAAUAAUCUACUAUCCAAACACAUAGCUUUGCAGCAUCGAUGAAAUCUCUUGCAAGGUUGGCAUUUUUCCAAGAAGUUUUUAUAUGUGUUAUCUUAGAACAAUGGCAAUAAGCAAUUUGAUUUGCUAUGAUCUGGUGCCCCAACCAUGAAAUUCCAAACUCCAAAUAUUGGUCAUUGUACAAGUUGAUUUAUAGAUGAUGGUAACAUCUGAUUUUGGGAAAAGGUUUUCUUUCAAAUAUUCCUAUUUUCUUUGCCUUAGAUCUUCUUUUUUUUUUUGAAACAUGAACAAAUAUGUGCUUAGUGCGAUUAAGGAGGACGGACAAUCUGCCUUUUAAUUGGAGCCUUUGUGUCCUCCAAACAUGCCUUUUGAAGAUGGCUUCCUUCUAAGCUCCCGAAGUAGAUGGCUUGGCCUUUCCCUCUACCCCUGAAAAUAUCAUAUUUUUAUUAAGUUGAAAUCAAGGAAAAAUUAACCCACACGUAUGGAGGUUCCAAUGGCCAAUACCAAAAAAAAAAAAAAAGAACAAUCAUACACUACUAAACUAUUCAACACGCUCUAAAUAAAAUACAAUCUAACUAGUGGAACUACAACAAUAUACCACUAGCAAAUAAGUCAAGUGAAAAUUUUCCGAUCUAAGUCUCAACUCGAACUAAUCUUCCAAUUCUUUCUAAACCUAUCUACUCUUAAGGGUACAAUUUACAUUAUGAACAAUUCAUUCCACCACUAUAGAGGAUGCAUAUUUGAUGGUUGACUAGUUAGUCUAGAGAAAAUGUAACAUUUGGGUGGCUCAAUCACAUAAGGACAAAAUUGGCUACCACAAAAUACUUCGAGGACUUAGUUAGCUAACAUUCAAAGUUGAAGCACCAAAAUGGUUUAGUGAAAAAGUUGAGGCACUAUUUUGCUCAUUUGCUCUAUUUCCUCCAACAAAUUUAGGAAAAAAAAGAUUAUUUCGCCCAAGUCCACUGCCACUGGCACUUCUAGUAACUUAUUGUGAUGGUAAGCUCUUCUUGUAGGAAUAUUAAACCAAACAUCAAUAAUUAAUGUCCACGUGUCUUUGUUUUAUUGGUUAACUAGAUAGUUGCAUUGUGAGUUGGUAAAGUUGGCCACAUUGGAUUAGGCCCAUAGUAUUAGUAAUAGAAGUCAGCCAGCAAGAGAUGUAGUACUAUAUAGCCUCUCGUCCGUCCCCUUUAAGAAGUGGCUUCGUUGUUUUGUAUUCUGGCCAGAGUUUCAUUUGAUUAAUAGAAAACUUCCUUUGGCUCAAUAUCGUUCUUUAUUUGAUUGUUCCUGUGGGUUUCUGUGUGUUUAUUUGUUUGGGUCCUACAAAGUGAUACCAGAGCUAUAGUAGAUUGAAGUAUGAAAAACCCUAACCCAAUAUUAUUUGUUCUAUCCAAAAACUCAAAACAAAGGCGGAGUUCAAUUUCUGACAGAAACAAAUGAUAACCAAUCUCAAGGCAUGCAAAUUACAUCGAUAUAUUGAAUCUGCACUUGGCCAAGAUGCUAGUGAGGAUGAUAAGGCAACAGAUAGCUCGGCUUGGUCACAAAUUCAUUAGGUAAUUGACAUGUCAGCUUUUGGAAAAAUUUCUACGGCUGAUACGACAAAGGAGACUGAGGAUAUAUUGGAGAAAACAUACAAAGGGAUUGACAGGGUCCAACAAAAUAAUUUGAUGAUAUUGAAGAGGAAAUUUAAACUUGUGACAAUGAAGAAGUGGGAAUCUAUUGAGUCAUAUUUUUUUUUGUUUAUUAGAUAUUAAAAACGAGUUCAAACUCAAUCAGUAUAAUCUUCCUAACUGAACAUUUGUUGAGAAAGUUCUCAAUACCCUACCCAUGAAAUUUUAUUGUAAUUCAGGAAAUGAAAGAUUUGGAGGAUUUGAGUAUUGAAGAUUUGUAUGGAUCAUUAAUUCUACAUGAACAAAGAAUUAAUGAAAAAUUGGAGAAUACCUUGAAGAAGGAUACAGUAGAGAAGGUGUUGCAAGCGCAGUUGAAUUUGAGAGGCAAUAAUGAUGUCAGGGAGUAAGGCAAAUCCAGUCAGAGGAGUAGAGGUGGUUACAAUAACAAAAGUGAUCGUGACAACAAUAAUAUAGGCCGAUGAGGUACAUCAAAUCUUGGACGUGGUGGAGGUAAUAAUUUUAAUUUUAAAGGUGGUCCUGGUAGAGGCAUAGGUGGUAAUUUUGGCAGUGAAAAUAAUUUUAAUCAGAAUAAUUUUGGAUAGAGAGUUCAAUGCUAUAAUCGAAGAAAAUUGGGUCAUAGACAAUUUGAAUGUAGAUUUGGAGAAAAUGUAGAUAAAAAUUUUCAGGCUAAUGUUGUUGACAAUUAGGUGCAAGAUAAUAAUAAAAAAUUUGAAACUUUAUUAUCAGCUUGAAAUGCUGUUGAUGUGGUUGAUAAAAAUAAAUGGUACUUGGAUACGGGUUGUAGUAACCAUAUGUCUGGCAAGAAAGAAUUAUUUGUUGAGGUUGAUGAAUUUGUAUGUGGUGAAGUUAAAUUUGAAAAUAAUACAGUUUUACCAAUGAUUGGCAAAGGAAAAAUUCUUAUUAACCUGAAAAAUGGGUCUACUGAUUUUAUUUUUGAUAUUUUUAUAUUCUUGGGCUACAUCAAAAUUUGUUGAGUAUGAGCCAGUUGUUUGAGAAAAAAAUAUGAUAUUUGUAUCAGGAAUGGUAUUUGUACUAUUUUUGAUAAAAAUAUUGGAAUGAUUGCCAAUGUACCAAUGACUUCAAAUCACUUAUUUUCAUUGAAUUUGAGUAGUGCCAAUUUUUUCUAUUUGAAUACAGUGAUAGAUGACAGUAAUUGGUUGUGACAUAUGCAAUUUGGUCAUUUGAAUUUUGACAGUUUGAAAUUUUUGGCCAAUAAAAGAAUGGUUGGUGGAUUGCCUAAUAUUAGAAAUCUUGGUAAAGUCUGUGAUAUGUGCGUUUUGGGAAAAUAACAUAAGGAUACUUUUUAGACUGGCAAAUCAUGAAAGACCAGAAAAUCAUUAGAAAUUAUUCAUUUAGAUGUAUGCACUGUGGAUAUUCCUUCUAAUGUGGUUGCAGGUAUUUUACUACCUUUAUGGAUAAUUUUAGUAGAAAAACUUGGGUGUAUUUUUUGAAACAAAAAUCUGAUACCUGUGACACUUUUAAAAUUUGUGUUGAGAGGCAAAGUGGGUGUCAGAUUAAAAUUUUGAGAACAGAUAGGGGUCAAAAAUAUUUGGUGUGUGAUGAUUUUCUUGAGAAAAUGAGAUACAACAUCAGUUGACUGCUAGGUAUACCCUCCAACAAAAUGGAGUGGCAGAGAAAAGAAUAGGACAGUUAUGGAUAUGGUGAGAUGUAUAUUGAAGUUGAAAAAUAUGCCAAAAUCAUUUUGGACAGAUGUAGUUUCUUGUGCAAUUUAUCUGUUAAAUAGGUGUCCUACCAGAAGUGUUUCUGGAAAAACUUCUGAUGAAGUUUGGAGUGGUAGAAGACUAUUUGUUGGUCAUUUCAGAGUUUUUGGACCUAUUCACAUGUCCCUGAUCAAUUAACAAAGAAACUUGAUGAUAAGGGGGAUAAGUGUGUAUUUAUUGAUUAUAGUGAAGUUUUUUAGGUUUAUAAGUUGUAUAAUCCUAUGACAAAAAAGGUGAUAGUGAGCAGAGAUGUGACUUUUGACAAAAGAGGUGUUUGAGAUUGGUCUACUGGAGAUUUUGAGGUAGUAGAGGUGAUUCUAAAUUAUCAGCAAGAGAAGGAUAAUUAUGAUAUUCAGUCGUCACCAGUUGCUCAGAGUCCACAAACUGAGUUAACUAGAUGUCCCCAGCGUCAGCGAUAGAUGCCAACUCGUCUGGAGGAUUAUGUUAUUAUACUAGAUGAUGUUUCUUCUAACAAAGAUAUUGUUAAUUUUGCUUUGUUUGCAGAUUAUGACCCAGUUGUGUAUGAGGAAGUAGACAGUGAUGAUCGUUGGGUGAAAGCAAUAGAGGAAGAUAUUCAUGCAAUAGAGAAUAAUGACACCUGAGAACUUACUUCUCUUCCAGUCGAUAGAAAAGCCAUUGGAGUGAAGUGGGUGUACAAGAUAAAAUUUAAACCCAGUGGAGAAGUUGAUAGAUACAAAGCGAGACUAGUGGUGAAGGGAUACAAGUAGAAACUCAGGAUUGACUAUUUUUAAGUGUUUGCACCCGUUGCCAGGUUUGACACAGUCCGUAUAAUAAUUUCUCUAGCUGUUCAAAAUAACUGGAGAAUUUAUCAAAUAGAUGUCAAGUUAGCUUUCCUGAAUGGAUUCUUAAUGAAGAAGUGCAUGUGGAGUAGCCAGCAGGAUUUGUCAGAAGAAGUUAGGAAAAUAAAGUGUAUAGAUUAAAGAGAGCCUUAUAUGGAUUGAAAUAAAUCCCAAGAGCAUAGUAUACAAGAAUUAGUUCCUAUUUUCUAACUCGUAAUUUUCAGAGGUGUCAAUAUGAGCACACUUUAUAUAUUAAAUUUUCUACUCGCGGUGAUAUUCUUAUCAUGUACUUGUACGUAGAUGAUUUAUUUUUUAUAGGAAAUAAUUCAAAGAUUGUUGCAAAGUUCAGGGAGGUUAUGAUUAAGUAGUUUGAGAUGACAGAUAUGGGACUUAUGUCAUAUUGCUUGGGAAUUGAAGUUUAUCAGUCUGACAGUAAGGAUUUUAUAUGUCAAAAGAAAUAUGCAAGUGACAUUUUAAAUAAAUUCAAGAUGAAUAUAGCAAAACCAAUUAUGACACCAGUUGAAGAAAAAUUGAGGUUGACCAAGGAAGGCGCUGGUGGAUAUGUGACAAACAGGUUGAUUCUACGAAGAUUUAUUGUGAUAGUAAAGUCAGCAAUUGAAUUGUCCAAAAAUCCAAUACUCCAUGGGGUCUCAAGCAUAUUGACAUCAAAUAUCACUUCAUACAAGAGUUGGUUCGAGAAAAGGAGAUUGAAGUUGAUUAUUGCAGAAUUAAAGAACAAGUGGUUGACAUUUUUACCAAGACAUUAAAGACAGAGUCUUUUGUCAAGUUGAAGAAGAUGCUGGGUAUGUCCAAAUUAUAGAAGCUUUGUUUAAGGGAGGCAAUACAGAAAUAUUAAAUCAAACAUCGAUAAUUAAUGGCCACGUGUCUUUAUUUUAUUAGUUAACUAGAUAGUUGCAUUAUGAGUCAGUAAAGUUGGCCACAUUAGAUUAGCCCCAUAGUAUUAGUACUAGAAGUCUGCCAGCAAGAGACGUAGUACUAUAUAGCCUCUCGUCCAUCCCCUUAAGAAGUGGCUUCGUUGUUUUGUAUUCUAGCUAGAGUUUCGUUUGAUUAAUAGAAAACUUCCUUUGCCUCAAUAUCGUUCUUUAUUUGUUCCUAUGAAUUUUUGUGUGUUUAUUUGUUUGGGUCGUACACUUCAUCAUUUUUAUUUAUUUCCCUUUCCUUGAAAUUUGAUGUUUGACACACUUUCUUUGGUUAUAUCAUAUUGCCAAGGUUUGUAUUAACAAAGUUGAGAAUAUAAAGGGCAAAAAAGUUUAUCUAUCCACUGAUGGAAAUUUGUGCAUGGUGAUUACCUGGAAUUCAGGCUUUAUGAAAUAUAGUCAUGAAUCAUAUAGUUCUACUUUUACGGUCAAAAGUUUCCUCAACUGGUACGUUUACAAGGCAAAAUCUAUACCCCUGAGAACUAUGCUUAUUAUGUUUAUGAAGUGCUUGAUGAAAUUCCCCUGAGAACGUUGAAUUCAAUAUUUGUCUUGCAUAAUAUGUGUAACCAUAUAAUAAUCAGAGUACCUGGCUAGAAAAUGUCGGCCAUUAUCUGUCUAGAACCUGUUCUGCAGAUGUGGGGUUUUUUUUUUUUUUUUUUUUUUUUUUUUUUUUGGGUUCACCAUUUGAGACUUGCAACUUAUGUGGUGUAAACUAGCUAGGAGGAGGAAUUCAAAGUUGGUAUCCUGAAAAAUGGGAAGAAGUUAACUUGCAAUGGCUUUCGAAUGUCAAUUUGUCUUGCUGUUUGUUGCCAGAAAUCUUUCUGAAAUCUUCAUUGUAUAAUCUUUCUGGCAGGGAAUUGUCAGUUCUGGACUAUGUGUGGCUGCAGUUUUCUGGAGCUCAAUGAUGGAAGGCCCUUUGUUCGUGUCUUCUUUCACUCCUUUGGGACUAGUAUUCACUACCCUUGCUGGAUCCCUCUUUCUAAAAGAGGAGCUGUGUUUGGGAAGGUUAUGAUAUGGGGAAAAGGCAAGGAGGCAACUGCAUCUCAAGAUGGAGAAACUGAAAGCAGGAGGGAUGAAGUAACCGAUGGUAGCCAGGCUGCGCCUCUCAUUGUCCCCGGCCAUUGCACUGAUUAUCAAACAAAUGGGGUUCAUCAACAAUUUAAGCAUGAACAUGUUUUACAAGCUCGGUUAGCAUUGCCAAGAAUUGAUUGAAUAUUGCUGAGCCACUGUAUCCUUUUCUUUUUCCUUUUUUUGUCUUAGCAUUUUCUGUUAAAACAGUAGGCGAAUGGAUCUGAAUUCUGUUUCUGUAAUUCGAAAGAUGAAGAGCCACUCUCUUCUCAGCGCAUUUUUUUAGCUUGUCAAAUGUAAACUAUCCUGAAGAGUUAUAAUUGCUCUUGAUUGUGGAACCUGCAUAAUUGCUUUAGGUGUUUUGCUUUUGCGUUCUUCCUUCUUUCAGUUCAAGCACUGAGCUACAAAAUCUCAUUGAAGGCCACAAAGUUAUCCUUAUCGAUGCCUCUUAAACUUUUAUCAACUCUAACUGAUGUGUGGAAGAAAAGGAAAAACCUAAAAUUUGUCCUCCUCCUUGUCCAAAUACAUCUAAAAUUUACAAGUACAUAAAAAAGUAUCUUCAUAUUACAAGAAAUGGUAAUGUAAAAAAAAAGUAACAAAAAUAUUUAAAUGGAUUAUAAAUGGAUAAUUGAUUUUUAUUUAAUCCAUUUAGAUCCAUCCAUUUAGAUCCAUUUAAUAAAUGGAUCUAAAUGGAUUGGAUAAAUUUCAUCCACCAUCCAUUAAGUCAAAACCAAUUAUGAACCAUUUAUCCAUAUUGCCACCUCUAGUCAUGAUGUUUGAUCUUUUGCAUUUUGAGCAAGAGAGACGUAUACUUUUUUGUCUUUUCGAUUUCUUAAGGCAGAGUUUGUUUUCUUUGGCAGGGUUCAUCAAACCAUAGCUCUAUUGUCAGGCUUUAAAAUAAAACACACUUAACUUUUUUCGAAAGCAAAUAAAAUUAAAACAACUCACAACCUUUGUUGAUGCCACUGAAGUAUUGGGGCUGGUCAUAUGUACUAUAUAAAUAUUGGGUACUGCCAGCAAAUAUCUCUGGAAAGAUGCACAAAAUUUAGAUUAUUACAUGCAUAUGGUUUAAACUAUUUCAAUUUUGAUUAUUUUGGUUUUGUACCACUAUUACACUUUUGCGCUCUGACUUUGUUUAUGUUCAACCAAAUGCUAUUACUUAAAUUAAAAACCCACUGAUUUCUGAAUUUAAAAUGUUAAAUUACAUCACGCAUGAUCCCAAAUUUGGGAAGCACGUGCUUAAACUAUUUGGAAAGCACCAAAAUGUAGAAACAUGAUAGAAGGAACUAAAACCACCAAACUUAACCCAGUGCCCACCAUCAAAGUUGGUGGGGUGAGAGGUCAUAGGAUGGGAGGUCAUGGGAUCAAACUAGAGGUGUCAAAAUGGGUGACUUGGGUGGGUUUGGGUUGGGUAAAAUGGGUAAUGGGUAUAAGUGAGUCAACUCAUUUAUAGCCAUUUAAUUAGAUGGGUAUAAAUGGGUAAGUCAAAAAAUGAAUUAGGUAACCCAAUUACCCAUUUAUAACUCAUUUAUUUUAACUUUUUGCAAACUCAUUUAAAUUCACUUUUGCAAACUAAGUUAUCAAUUUAUACCACUCUUUGUACCCAUCAUUAGUUUUAAAUAUUUACUUAUAAUGUUCAAUAAACUUAAUUACCAAUUUUUUUCAUUUAUACUCUGUCACAAAAUUACCUAUUAUUUAAUAAUUGAAUAAUACGAAUAUAAAAAUUUGAAUUAAGUACUAUAAAAAUUAAUAUAAAAACUUAAUUCAAAAAUUUUGAACCCCUAACAUUUUUUUCAUAUAUAAAUUUAAAAUUUCAUUUUAUAAAGAUAAGAAAAUAGGCUAAAAUUUAUCAUAAAUUGGUAAUGCUAAAAAAUGAGCAAGUUAACAAACUAAGAAAAAAUAAAAUAAUAAGAUAAAACCAACAAAUAAUAAUAAUAAUAAUAAUAAUAAUAAUAAUAAUAAUGUUAACAUCAUGACAAAAUGAAAAUUUUGAAAAAAAAAAAGGUAGGGAAAAAGAAGAGACUUGGGGGGAAGAGAAUUUUAAAUGGGUUAAUUGGGUUUGAUGGGUUAUCCAAUAAUACCCAUUUAAUAAAUGGGUAUUAUUGGGUAACCCAUUUAUACCCAUAUGCAAAAAUUUAAGAUAUCCAUACCCAUCUAUUCAUGGACGGGUAUGGGUAAAUCUAGUUAAGUGGGUUGAUUUGCCACCUCUAGAUCAAACCCUACCCCCUACCAUUGGUCGCAAAAUGUGGCAAGCCUGCAUAGCCCAUUCGUUUGGGCUGAUAAGUAGUAUAAAUAACUGUAGGCCCACGUCUCAAUCCUAUCCACUCUCUGUAUUCAUUUCAAAAUUGCCCAGCAAUUACAUUAGAUCUACUUUUAUCCCCACAUGCAAGAUGAAGUGAAACAUGAUAGCUGCAAGAAGGACUCUCGUCAAUGGUCACUUGUCAAAGCAACUCCACUAUGCAAUUUAUGCUCCUUAAUUAUAUUAAUUAAGUAAAUGAUAUUUAUAGUAAGACAACUAUUAAUGAGGAAAAAAAUUACACCCUCCAUCUUAUUUUAUUAGGCUUGAUUUCUAUUUUAGUUUGUCUCAAAUUAUUUGUCAUAGCCAAAAAGAGGAAAAUGAACAGAGACCAAUUUCCUUUUUUUUAUCCUUCAUUAAAAAGAGUAUUAAUGUCAUGUUUUAGAAUCGAAUGCUUUAACAAACUAUUAUAAAAUUCUCAAAUUCAAAAGCAACAAACAAAAUUUGAAUUCAAGUCAAGGGGUAAUUAUGGAAACAGUUAUUUGUUGGUUGGCCAGAAAUCAAAUUCCUUAAUCUAUGUGCAAAGUUAUACAUGACAAGUCAAAUGAGACUGGAUUGAGUAUUUUGUGUUUUAAUGAUGUCAUCUUAGUGCCUAGAUUUGUUGGCUUAUUGUCCAUUUUUUUGAAUUAAUAUUGUAACUUUUAGUAAGUGAGAGAUUUUGAAUCAAGAUCUCUUACUCAUCCCUUCCAUUCUACUAUUCAACUCAACCUGGCCCAUCCCACCCCCUUUAUAUUGAAUCAAUAUUGAUGCUCAUGUAUGAAACAACUGAUACUGAUGAUCAGAGAGUGCCCAAAUGCAAAAUUACUACACUGCACAUAAAGUCAACGACAAACAUCUUUCUCCUUGCUUCUUGCAUCUUGAGCCUUGAUCAUGGAGUUACUCUACACCAUUCUAGGUCUCUUCAUAUUCUUGAUUGCUGUAAAGUAUCAGUAUCUCCGAAAAAAGAACAGAAAACUGCAGCCCCCAAGUCCUCCAGCUCUUCCAAUUUUGGGCCAUCUUCACCUUGUGAAAACUGCCCCCCACCUUGCCCUGCAAAAGCUCUCCAUCAAAUAUGGUCCCCUGAUUUUCCUUCAUUUUGGGAUUCGUCCUUUCCUUGUUGUUUCCUCGCCAUCUCUUGCAGAGGAAUGCUUAACCAAGACCAAUGAUAUUAUUUUCGCGAACCGGCCUGAGUCAGUUUCCAGUAAAUACCUUGGCUACAACUCAACUAUUCUCAUACUCUCCCCUUAUGGAGAUCACUGGCGAAAUCUCCGCCGAGUCACAACCAUCCAUAUGUUUUCUUCGAUUCAACUCCAGCGUUUCUCCUCCAUCUGGACUGAAGAAAUCCAUUUCAUCAUCAAAAAAUUGUUUUCCAGUAACUCUGAUGAGAAAACCUGGAAAGUUAAGGACAUGAGUUCUUUGUUCCGGGAGUUAUUAUUCAACGUGAUAAUGAAAAUAGUUGCUGGAAAAAGAUGGCCAUCUGAUCAGCCAGGUGAUAUAUUUUCACCGCAAGCACUCACUGAUCUUUGUGAUUAUAUUCCAAUUUUGAGGUGGAUUGGCUAUGGAGGGUUGGAGAAAGGUGUAAUCAGUUUGCACCAGAAGAGGGACGAGUUUCUUCAGGGCCUGAUUGAUCAAACGCGGAAAGAGGAAGCAGAAGACGGUUCUUGUUCGACAGAGAGAAGGAAAACAAUUAUUCAAAAAUUGUUAUCUCUACAAGAAGCAGAACCCGAAUACUACACUGAUGAAAUUGUUAAAGGAAUUAUACAAGUAAGUCUCUUCUACUUGAAUCUCUUUCUCAAAUUGGUCUAUAAUUCAUUAGGACAAGGUCAUCUCACCCAUGUAGCAGCAGUAGUACAAAUUGUCUUAGCCAUAUUUAGUGGUAGCGCUAAGACUAGUGGUGAGGGAUGCAGUGAUCCGCAACCGCAUGCUUUUCAUGGUUGAAAUUGGAUCAUAUUAGCUCGAUUUGAUCUGAAUAUUGAAAUGAUCAAAUUAAACCGUAUCUUGAUGUUGUGGUCUGAUCUGAACUGUAGCAAACACGUCCGACUGUAGAUAGGCACCGGAUCUAGUGGCGGUGAGUGGGGAAAUGGUAUAUGCCACUAACUUCAAUGUUGGUGUCUAGAUAAGGAAUUUGGUGAAAGUCUUUUCAAAAAUUUGGUGCACAUGUUUUCAACAUUAAAUAUGCCAACAUCUAGAGGUGACUGGUGAGCUGGGGGCCUGGGGCAUUCGUCAACUUGCAAAUUGGAUUAGUCUUCUUGUGGUGCUUCUUGUGGUCCAAUUGUUAUAUUUUUUAUAUUAUUUGGUGUGUAAUUAUAUGAUAUUAUUUUAUUCGAAAUAAAAAUGAUAUACAUGAAUAAAAUAUUUGAUACAUAUUCAAUACAAUAUUAUGAUAUAUUCGUACAUCAAAAAAUUUAAACAUAUAUAGCGAUUGGAUGAAAUUGCAUAAAAUAUAAUUGUACUAAGUUCUUGCCCCAAUUUAUGGCUGUAUCUAUCAUUUUACACCAUAAAAUAAUCAAAGAAUCUUUUAUGGUAUGGGCAAUGUUUAAGGUUUUAACAAUCUUUUCCGCUAAUGUGGAUUUAGGAAUCCAGUUCACAAAAUUUAUAGACACAUGAGCAUAACAUAAACAAACAAAAAAAUUUAUGUCAACAUGUUACUGUCCUUUUUUUUUCCUCAAAUAUCAUGGAUGUAAUUGCCUUAAGAUGCCCUUAUAUUUUGGCUUGACAACAAUUGUCAAUAUAACUAUCUCAACAACGUUCAACUUUCGUAAUAAAGUAAAAUUUAUCAAAAAAAUAGUAUGCACAACUUUAUUACAAGAAUGUUAAAAAUCAGCCUCUUCUUAACGAAAAAUACCGUGUAAUUGUAUCCUAAUAUUAAUUAGGGUUAAUCACAUUUUAUCCCCUUAAAAAAUACCCCAUUUCUCAGUUUACCCCAUAACCUUUAAUUUUGCUCACUUAACCCCCUUUAGGACAAAAUUGCCCUUGCAUUAUUUUGACUUUUCAUUUACCUUGUUUUCCUUUCUUUUAUUUCUUUUUCUCUUUCUUCUUUAUUUAAUUCUUCCUCUUUCCCACAAAAAUCUUCACCUUAAUGAUUGAAAUUAAAAAAGAGGAAUUACAAAGAUCUAUCUUCUUCUUAAAUGAUCAAAAAAAAUUCAAACCACUUUUCUAAAAUACAAUUUUUUUAGCCUUUCAAUUCUUUUAAUUUUGGGUUUUCCUCUUUCCUUUCUAGUUUCUCAUUUUAUUCUCAAGAAAAUAUCAUAAGAUGAAAUUGUUUUCCUUUCUUUUAUUUCUUUUUCUCUUUCUUCUCUCUAUCAUCCUUCCCAAUAGAAAAUUCGAUUUCCACAAAAAUUUUUUGUUUUGAGUUUGUAAUCACAUAUUUUUGGGCGAAGGUUUAAAAGACAUCAAAAACUAAUUUUGAUUUUUUGUAUGAUGUCACGUGUCACAAAUUUCAAUUGAUAAUUAUUAAUCAGGUCACAAUUUCAUCUUAAGAUAUUUUCUUGGGAAUAAAAUGAGAAACUAGAAAGGAAAGAGGAAAAUCCAAAAUUAAAAGAAUUGAAAGGCUAAAAAAAAUUUGUAUUUUAGGAAAGUGAUUUGAAUUUUUUUUAAUCAUUUAAGAAAAAGAUAGAUCUCUACAAUUCUUCUUUUUCAAUUUCAAUCAUUAAGGUGAAGAUUUUUGUGGGAAAAAGGAAGAAUUAAAUAAAGAAGAAAGAGAAAAAGAAAUAAAAGAAAGGAAAAUAAGGUAAAUGAAAAGUCAAAAUAAUGCAAGGGCAAUUUUGUCCUAAAGGGGGUUAAGUGAACAAAAUUAAAGGUUAGGGGGUAAACUGAGAAAUGGGGUAUUCUUUAGGGCAAAUUCCACUUUACCCCCCUGUGGUUUAGCGUUUUUUCACAUAACCCCCCUAUGGUUUCAAAAGCUAUACAUAACCCCCUUAUGGUUUGGAUUAAAGUGUCAAAGUAACAGAAAUAGUCACUCGUAACGGCGUCACCUAAAAUGUCAAAAAUACCCUUAUGUAAGGUUGAAAUUUAUGUAUUAACCAAGGGAGGUUAUGUGUAUAUUUUGAAAAUCAUAAGGGGGUUAUAUGGUAAAGUAUUAAACCAUAAGGGGGUUAUAUGGUAAAAUAUAGAAAUCAUAAGGGGUUAAUGUGUCAUGUAUAUAUAAGGGUAAUUUCGACAUUUUUAGAAGUUCCGUUACGAGUGACUAUUUCCGUUACUUUGACACUUUAAUCCAAACCAUGAGGGGGUUAUGUAUAGCUUUUGAAACCAUAGGGGGGUUAUGUAAAAAAAGGGUAAACCACAGGGGGGUAAAAUGUAAUUUACCCUAUUCUUUAAUGGGAUAAAAUGUGAUUAACCCUAUUAAUUAUACACUUUUUAAAUGUUGUUUUGUUGGCCCAAAUUGAGGCCUUUAAAAUUUGGGGAAGGUUGCUACUUGCUCCCAGCCCCCACCCCUGAUGGAGGACAAAUAGGUAAAUUCACAUUGGUGAGGUGAUAAGCUGACAAUUGAUACACGUGAUGAUAUUUGACAACGGACAAUAGAAGCAAAUCAGAUUAGGUGAUGAGACAUUAACCGUGAUACUUGUGGCUGGGUUUAAGUCAACGGUGGAGGCUGUGAGAUAGUUUUAGAAUUGGUCGUCCAUUAAUUGAUGAAAUUAUUAAUUUAUCCUCCAUUAAAACUUAAGUGAUAAAAUACUAUUUUGGUGGGGAAGAUUACUAAUUUAAAUAGACUAAUUUUCACUUUAUAUCAAAAAGUCUAAUUGUUAACACAUAAAAAAUAGAUUUGGAUGAGGAUUAAGACUAUUGGGGUCAAAAUGGGGGCAAAAUAUAGAAAUAUUGAGUGAUUACUGUUGCAAUUUUUAUAAUCUCAUAAUUUACUUCAACGCAUCAUAAUGUAGCAAAAUUUCAUUUCAAAUAUUCACAAGCAUAAAAUUGGAGUAGAACCCAAAAAUUUGCAUAUGAAUUUAGCACUAUAAUUGCAAUAAAAUUUCAAUACCGAACCAAAAUUAGAAGCCAUAUAUUAGGUAACAAAAUAUUGGGCUAAAAAAUUUUAAUAAAACACCAAAAUUAUUUACUUUUCCUUGACAACAAUCUUUUCUUACCUAGGCUAACUUGAAAUGCGUAGUAAAAUAAGGUUGAUGAGAUUCUUGAAUUGAAUUUAUUCCUUUUCUUGUUUUUUCCUGCUUCUUUUGUUUUAAUUGUCAUUCAAAGUGAUCAUAUAUUUUAUUGUUAUAUGUUUCCAAUUAGAAUUUUAUUAUGAAGUGAAAAUUAAUCCAUUUAAAGUGACAAAUUUUUUCUACCAAAGGGGUAUUUUUGUCACUUAAAAGCUUUUAAUGGAGGAAAAAUUGGUCAUCUCAUCAAUUAUUUAGAUGGAAUUAAUUUUCUUAUUAUUUUAAAGUUGACUAAGGGUGAAAAGUGCCUAUUAAAAUAGUUUAGGGUACAAAAUGCAACUAGUGUAAUAGUUCGUGGGGGUUUUCUACAUUUAACCCCCUAUUUAAUUUUGGCUUUUCAGUUUAUACUCUGAACCAUGAAUUGUGAUACUUAAGUAUAAUAUACUAUCAAUUUUGGGGCACAUCGUCCAAAUAAGAUAAAAUCAAUUAAUUCUUUUAGCAACUUUAGAAUAAAAUACUUUAAUACCCCUAAACGAAUUAGAGAAUUUGGACAAACAACAGAUUAAGGAUACUUGAAGCCUUCUAAACUAACUAUAGAAAAAGUUAUUUGGAUUUGACCAAUGGGCCAACAAAAGAACAAGAUACUGAAGUUCUAAAAUUAGCAAUUUAGAGAGUAACAAGCAAAUUGGUGAUAAUUUAGGUGUGCAUAUUGGCAAUAACACCCAAAAAAAGGUAGUUCCUUCAUGCCUUUACACAUAAUUGAGGUCUAUAGAUAUCACAUGCCAUAAUAUAUAGUUCCCUUCUUAUGUUGACUGGCGGACAUUUAUUCGCGAUCAAUGUCAAAAGUGUAAAUUAUUGAUUCAUGAUCUAUAGCAAGAGAAAUGACAUUAUUUGUCAACAACUUGAUUCUAAAAACUAAUUCCUAUUCUUUUCUUAUUCAUUCAAAAAGUUGCAUUGAAUUUGACUGUACAUUACUUCUUGUGUAGAUAAUGUUAUCAGCCGGAACACACACUACAUCUCAGACAAUGGAGUGGGCAUUGUCCAGCCUAUUAAAUCACCCUAAUGUACUGCAAAAGGCAAGAGAUGAGCUAGAAAAAAUGCAGCCUGGCCAUCUGCUAAAUGAUUCCGAUCUCUCUAAAUUGCCUUAUUUACGCUGCAUAAUCAACGAGACACUAAGGUUAUUUCCUGCGGCACCAACUCUUGUGCCUCAUUUUUCAUCCGAGGAUUGCACCAUAGGAGGCUACAAGGUUCCAAAAGGUACAACUUUGUUAGUGAAUGCUUGGGCCAUUCACAGGGACCCCAAUGUUUGGGAAGAGCCCAACAAGUAUAAGCCAGAAAGAUUUGAAGGAAUGGAUGAGGGAGGGUGGAAUGAAGGGUUCAAAUUUCUUCCAUUUGGAAAAGGCAGGAGAAUUUGUCCCGGAGCUGCCAUGGCCAUAAGGUUGGUUGGGCUGACAUUGGGCACCCUGAUUCAAUGCUUUGAGUGGGAAAGAGCAGGGCCUGAAAUGGUGGAUUUGGAAGAAAAUCAAGGAGCAACUUUGGGCAAGGCCAAGCCUUUGGAGGCAUCUUACAAGCCACGCCCAUCGAUGAUCAAAACAAUUUCUCAGCUUUAAGUUAGAUAUGUUGUUCUAUUGAGAUAAAUUGGGAUUUCUUUUUUUUUUUUUUGAAUUUAAAUAUCAAGAGAUGAGUGUCUGAUUUUUGGUUUUGAGCUCCUCUUACAAUUUCAGAUUUGUAGUUGUAACUUUCUUUCAAUACAAGUUGAUGCUACAAUUAUACAAACUUAAGUAUUUUACAUGGAAAUGUGGAACAUUAAAUUUUUCCAAUUCUAAGUAGCAUAAACAAAAUCACCAGUACCAUCUUUGGUUAAUUUCAAUUUUUCUUCAACCAGGGUCAUCAUUGGUUUAGCCACAUCCAGCUUAAACUUCUUUAGAAUAUCACUUGCAUACUUGCUUUGUGAGAUAAAAAUUCCACCAUCCAACUGAUGAAUCGCAAUACCAAGAAAAUAAGACAUCAAUCCCAAAUCUGUCAUCUCAAAUUGACUAAUCAUGGCCUCCCUGAAUUUAGAAAUUAGUUUGGGAUUAUUGCCUGUAAAUAUCAAGUCGUCCACAUACAAGCAUACAAUAAGGACAUCUCUUCCAAGGUUGAAUUUGAUGUACAGAGUAUGAUCAUAUGGACAUCUCAGAAAACCAGGCUUAAUAAAAUAAGAAUUGAUGCGAGUAUCCUAAGCUCUAGGAGCUUGUUUCAACCCAUACAACGCCUUUUUCCAUCUAUACACUUUGUUUUAUUGACCAUUCUAACAUAACCAGCAGGCUGCUCAACAUAUACCUCUUUUGCCUUUUGCUUAUGGCCUUUGACAACCAACCUUGCUUUUGUGACGACCCUACCUCCCCCUAAGGCGAACCAAGGGGUUCGGCGGACCGCCUACCCAAUUCUCGCCAGGACUCGUUCACUCACUUAUAGCUUCAAGAGCAAGUAAGAUGUGCCAAUCAAACUUAACAUAUAUACAAUCAUUAACACAGAUAUACAAUCUUCAAGGUUAAGUACAAAAGUUCAGGAUUCAACCAACUACUAAUACUAUCACUAUUACACAACAAAAGUUCUAGUCAAAAGUUUAGUCUUUCUCUAAUCACCCGUCCUUGCUCAAGAACCCUGUAAGAAAAACAAAAACUAAAGGAAUGAGCUAAAACUCAGUGAGGUUCCCAUGCACAUAACCAAGUAAUUGAAACAAGGAUAUUAUUCAGUUAAUAACAAUCAAUCGAGAAAACAUUUACAAUAUAAAAACAAAGAGAAUACACUCAUUAAAAGGAUACAUGCUCGCGUGGGGCUAUUCGUUCAAUCAUUCAUUCAUUUAGCUAGUCAUUCUCUUUCAUUUAAUCAUUCAUUUCUUCCCUUAUAAAUUCAACAUUUCCAUUCAUUCAUUUCAUUUCUCGCUACUAGCCAAUUCACUGGCCAGUUCUCCACCAAAUUUCGUGGUCGUACUCGAGUAUAUCAAAAAUUAUCUCAGGGUCACCAGUUGCCCGACCAAGUCCAUUUCUGACUCAAGUCGACUGGCAACAAAGGGCAAGGGUCCAAUUCAGCCAAUGCGACCAUACAACCCACAUAGCUUACAUUCAUGCACAGGUAAUGCCCAAUCAGUUAAUCAUUAGAAAAUUCACUUUCGCUUAGGUCAAGUGCAAUAAAGUACACACUCGACCAUUGAAAAUCCAUUUAACAGUCAUUGGAAGGCAUUUAACACUCAAUCGAAGAUUCACAACAAGUACACAGUCAUUUAAUACACAAACAUGCAAGAAACACUCACCCUAAACAAGUCACGUUUUAUCAAAAUUUAGUUCAAGACCAGCAUCUUGGACACUCCCGAAAUCUGCAGUCAAAUAUUAUCCACAAAGAGCCAAUCAUACAUGAGUGCAAGCUACAUAACUUAUAUUUCUAUAUGAAAGUAAAAAGGCAAGAAAAGGAUAGUAAGUCAUAUAGGCAAGGUGCACACAUAAUUUGUAAAAGAAAAUGAUCAAAAACGGUUAAGUUCAAAACCAAUAUGUGCAACUAAAAAUCAUGUUUCGAAUACUUGUUUAGAAUGUUAGAAAUCAGGUUUAGAACACUUGAGAAGUAUAUGUUAAGUCGGAUCAAGGAAACGAAAAACAAGAGAAAUGCAACGAGAAACAAUGAAGAUAGCAGCUUUACCAUCCUUUGGUGUUUUGAUCACAACUGAAACUACACUUAUCGGAUCGAGGAAAACUUUAUGAUGUUUCGAAAUAAGACCUAGACUUACAUUUGCUAUGAAGACAUCACCCAAUUCUCAUAUUUUCAGGGUAAAAAAUGGACAGUCAAAAACACAUGAAAAACAGGUCAGGAAAAUUAGAGUUUUUGCGCAGUCAGGAGUGCUCUGGCCAAAUUAUAAGCUAAAAUGAUCCAAUUGAUCUGAAAUUUUGCAGGAGACCCCGGUUGUCCUAAAAUAUGAUUUUAUGUGAAAAUAAUGGAUUUUAGGGUAAUUUUUAUUCCAAAUAAUUCGAAAAUCCCUAAUUGGGAAUUUGAGAAACCCUAAUUGUGCAAAAAAUUGAAAAUUUUUAAGCGAAACCCUGGUUAGUCAUUUCUAAUGCAAUUGCAUGUUCGGAUGUGUAUUAGAUAUGUGCAUGUAUGUUGUCGUAUAGUAUUAUAUAGGGUUAAGUGGGUUUAAAGGGUUAGAAAACCCUAAUCAAGGAAAAACUCUAGUUAAAUGGUGAAUGAGAAUGAUUAAGUUGGAAUCAUACCCUAAUUUUAGGUGUGACAUGGAAGUGUUUACUUGUUGGAUUUUAAGUGUGAUAAAGAUUGGUAGAGAAUAGAUAAGUAAGGUUUAAGGGUGAUUAGUGCAAUUGCUAAGUAUGAUUAGGAAUUUUAGCCUAGGUUAAUUAUAUGCUAUGGAGUAAUUUGAAAGAAAAGGAAAGUUAGUUGGGCAAGAGUUGAGAAAGUAAGAAAUCAUGGAAGCAAGGACUUAAAGGCAAUUGGCAUACUUUCUUGUGAUUGGCUAAGUGUGAUUUGAUCCUAUUCUGGUCAAAUCUGUUUUGGUUUUGAUGACCGGUUUCCGUUCAGAAUUUGGGUUGUCGGCCUUCAUGAAAGUUGUUCCAUUUGAAAUGAAUUAUCUAACUGCCAAUUUUCAGCUCAUUUGGCCAUGUGUAGCAUAGAAAACGGUUUGCACCCCAAAACUGACCAUUUGUACAUUGAUCAGAUUCCGUGGGUGACUUUGUUUGGUUCUUUUGGGACUGAAGCUUCCAGUUUCAGUUCUGGAUGUCUUCGUAACAAUUGUUGUUCAGUCUUUAAGCUUCGAAAUGGCGUCUCAUACGCCUUAAUCCGAUAUUCGUAGCUCAACUUAUGAUCAAAAUGGGAACAAGUGUCAAAUCUGCCUUUUCUCACAAACGGCCGUUUCCGUUUUCGCCGACCGUUUCCGUUUCCGGUUGGUCGUUUCUACGCGCGCGCGUGCCGUUUUUUUUGCCGUUUGCUUGUGAUCUGCUAUAUGUUAGCCGUUUUAGCCGUUUUUAGUCUAAAGUUAUAUAAUUUUCUAUUGCAGACAGCGGCGAACUUGACGGAGCAACUGGGACCCACUAGCGGACCCCACGACGUCUAGUUCCUUGUUUUGCUCAUUUUGUAUUUUUGUAAGUAUCUGGGCUAUGUGCAUAAGUUAAGGGCCUUAUGUGAUAUGUUUUAAAUGAAAGGGGUCUUAGGCGAGAGUGUACUUUAUCACACUCGACCUAAACCCUCAUUUAUACUGAAAUGGGCAUGUGAAUUGUGUGAAUGACAUGUUGUUGGGCUGAACCCCUAGAGCUUGUAGCCCGGGGUGACAUUUGUGAUGUGCAUGAUAUGAGAUAUUUGUGGGACCCGAUCUCAGGACCUAGUUAGACUAUUCGAGCCGGCAGGGGCUUGGUCGGAGUUAGUCUAACCUAGGCAUGAGAUCGCUAUGAUAUUCUGACAUGCAAAAUUGGUUAUAUAAGAACCAAACAUGUAAACCUCAGUGCAUGAACCCUAUUGCUCGAGCCGUUAUCUGUCUGUGGUGACUGGCCAGUGUGGGUGUUAAGGUAGUUGGCGGUUGACGAGUGAAGUUCUACGGACCAUAAAUUGUGCUCGACGGAGUGUCGGCAGGCGAUCAAUAGUGGCAAAUUAUUUGGCUUUGAAGCCAAUCUGUAUCCUACACCUAUGUUAUAAUCUGCUUUUAAUUUGGCAAUCUGUGUUCAUACUUGCUCCGAUUCUGUGAAAUUUACGCUUUUACCCCUGCAUACUUACUAAGCAUUUAGCUUACCCCUCCCUUUGUUUUCCUUACAGGGGUUCGACGCGGGGACCACUUUUGGACGCCGAACUAGUUUAGUUAGGUUGGAAUACUUUGAUCGGGACUUCCGGAAUGCGUGUAAUAGUAAUAGUAGUUCGAGUUCGGACCACCUUAGGGUCCACCUUUUGGUUGUAGUUAUCAUAAUAGGAUAAUGUAGUAAGAUGAGCUGCUACUUCUGAAUUGUACAUAGGGCACUUCUGCUACUGUAAAUACUGUACAUAGUAAACUUUUGGCCGUGUAUAUAAUGUGAAUGGCAACUGUUUGGGUGUGAAUAGUAUUUCUUAGUUUUUAUUUUAUUUUAUUUCGAGUCCUGGCGCGAGUUAGGCAGACGGCCUGCUAAGCCCUUUGGUACGCCUCUGGGUACGGUGGGGUCGUCACAGGUGGUAUCAGAGCGCCUAAGUUAGAGGACUUGGGUAAUUGGGACAUACAUGAUAGGCAGUAGGGUUCUGUGAUUUAUUUAAAAUGAAUGAUCUCUUUUAAGCUGAAAUGCUAUCGAACUGACCAGAUAAUGUUGAAAUUUUGUAGGGAUGGAGCCUGGCGAGCCUAGUGGAUCCAGAUCUGAACUGCGUCCUCCGAGCGUCGGGGACCCAAUUAACCAGGUUUUGUGCCGCCGAGUUCUACGCUUCCAGAGGAGGCCAAGUAGGCCUUAUGUGAUGUACUUACCUUUUGGCCGCAUGAAUAGGCCAUGUGAGUGUAGGCAUACCUAUGGGUAUCCGGACGAAGUAGUACUUGCUGUUGAUGAUGAGCGCCGCCGCCUGGCUAAGGCAAACGAGCGCUUGGACAGUCUGUUAGCGGAGGCUAGGCACGUGGGCCAUGGGCAGGUCAUGCGUAUUAGAGAGACCGAGCAGAGUCUGAGAGAGGAGGAGGAGAGGACUGAUGCCUUUCGCCAGCAGCUACAGGAGACGCGACAGCAAUUUUCGGCGAUUAAGAGGCAGAUACGAGAGCGCGUUAGAGGGAUUAUGUUUGACUGCGAGGCUCUCCUAGACAUGAUUGCGGAGGUACCGCCUCGUGCUAUCGGCCCGGAGUCGAUGGACGGGGUAGACUCUUUAGGCUCGGUUGGGGACUGGCCACCUAGGGGAGGCGUAUAAGGCCGCUCUGGAGCUUCUGUGCAUUUUCCUGCUUACUUUGGGUUUUGUAUCCGGUGGGUUUAGACCGGUUUUGGAGCCGUAGUGCUCUUGUAUGUAUUGGAUUUUGAACCGACUGGAUGUCGGUUAAUUUGUAUAUCUUUUGGCGUGACUUGUCUAUAAGACUGGUAUAUAUGUAGUAUGGCCUUUUGGGGUCAUCUUUUAUGUGUAUCUUGCGUAUUUGUUUUCAAGUGUUUUCCUUGUUUAAAUUCGAGUUGUUAAGCACUUAUUUUGUUUCUGUUGCUUUACUUUAUUAAUUUUCGCGAUAUUUAAUAUACGUUUGUUUCAAUUCUAGACUUUCUGAACCUAAAUGGACUCCGGUGGUCGAGGUAGUGGCCCAGAGGGAGAAAAUGAGAACGAACCUGACCAGGUAGCCACAGCCAUUCAGCGUAUGGCUGACUUACUUGAGAGAAUGGUUAAUCAACAAGGUCAAGGUCAGGGCCAAAAUGCUGGGAACCCUGGAGGAAAUGCGAGAAAUAAUAAUCAUGAUAGAGAGGACGGGGCAUUAGAACGGUUUCAAAAGUUUGCCCCUCCCAAAUUUGUAGGUGGACCGAACCCAGACAUAGCUGAGGGGUGGUUAGACCGAAUGCUAGAUAUCUUUGCCGCACCUGGAUAUACGAAAGAGCGGCAAAUCUUUUUUGCAACUUUUCAGUUUGAGGGAGCCGCCCGAGCUUGGUGGAAUGUCAUUAAGACCAAGUGGGAACGGGAGCAGACUCCCUGGACCUGGGUUAAUUUCACCUGGGAAUUCAAUGAAAAGUAUCUGCCACCCAUAGUGCAAGAACGGCUGGAGGACGAGUUUAUCCGCCUGCGCCAAGGGGCGUUAAGUGUGGCUGAGUACGAGACUCGGUUCACUAAACUGUCUCGUUUUGCUCCUGAUUUGGUACUCACAGAGCAAAGACGCGUUCGAUGCUUCAUUCAGGGGUUGAAUGUGGAACUCUAGAAGGCGUUAGCGGCUGUCCAGGUGGACACAAUUAGUCAGGCGCUAGAGAAGGCGCAGAGGGUAGAAGCAGCCAGGGGUCAGGUUAAAGCCUUUCAUGAGCGUAAACGUAGACAACCGAGCUCGAGUACCUACACCCCUGGGCAGAGCUCGAAGAACGAGCCACCCACCAAGUUGGGUAGAGUAGUAGGAGGUCCGCGGCCUGUUGGGACCCCAGGCUGAGGCAAUUUUGGACGAGGGCAGGCGGGGCGAGAGCCGCAGAGAGGUGGUCAGCGCGGAGGACAAAGUUCAGGACCUAAGUCGACCUGUAACUUUUGUGGAGGCAAUCAUCCCUUCGAUAAUUGUUGGAAGUAGGAUUCAGUGCGGAAGUGUUUCAGAUGUGGCAGCACAGAACACCUCAUUGCUCAAUGCCCAAAGGCUCCGCAGGAAGGAACUAGUACCCCUCAGGCAGGAGGGACUGCACCUAAGCCGAUCAAUGCAGGGGGUAAUCGACCUAAAGUACCGGCCCGAGUGUACGCUAUGGGUCAUCAAGAGGUGACUGACCCUUCGGCAGUCAUCGAAGGUACACUUUCUCUCUUUCGGCGUACCGCAAACGUUUUAAUUGACCCUGGCGCCACGCACUCUUUUGUUAACCCUGCAUUCAUGGCUCACAUUGAUGUUAAGGCUGAAAAGUUACCAUAUGACCUAGAAAUUAAGACCCCUAUCACCAAUAAGAGCUUACUUGCCAAUAUGGUUUAUAAGGAGAGUGAAGUAUGGGUCGGGGAGCAGAAAUUGCUAGUGGACUUGAUUGAAUUAGCCCUUAAGGGAUAUGACGUCAUACUAGGUAUGGACUGGUUAGCUAAAUAUUAUGCUCACCUGGAUUGUCGCACUAAAACAGUUGAUUUGCACAUACCGGGCGAACCUACACUCCAUCUAGAUGUUCGAAGAAAGUUAACCUCAGCCACUCUCAUUUCCGGGAUUAGGGCUAGGAAAUUGCUAAGUAGAGGAGCUCAAGGGUACUUGGCUGUAUUGAUUAAUACUCCACAGGAGCAGUUGAAAGUUGAAAAUGUACCUGUAGUGUGUGAAUUUCCUGAACUUUUCCCUGAGGAAUUAACUUCGCUACCGCCAGAAAGGGACAUAGAAUUCAAGAUCGAGUUGCAUCCUGGAGCUGAACCAAUUUCGAAAACCCCUUAUCGAAUGGCUCUUGCCGAACUUAAAGAGUUAAAGAUUCAAUUGCAGGAACUAUUAGAUCGAGGAUUUAUACAGGAGAGUGAAUCACCUUGGGAGCCCCGGUAUUAUUUGUCAAGAAGAAGAAUGGAGGAUUACGGAUGUGUAUAGAUUAUCGGGGAUUGAAUAACUUAACCAUUAAGAAUAAGUAUCCCUUGCCUCAUAUUGAUGAAUUGUUUGAUCAACUGCAAGGUGCAGUUGUAUAUUCGAAACUAGAUCUUCGACAGAGGUACUAUCAAUUGAGGAUUCGGAAGGAGGACAUACCUAAAAUCGCCUUUAAUUCGCGGUAUGGGUAUUUUGAGUUUGCAGUUAUGCCCUUUGGGUUGACAAAUGCUCCAGCCGCAUUCAUGGAUUUAAUGCAUAGAGUUUUCAAACCCUAUUUGGACCAAUUUGUGGUGGUCUUCAUUGAUGACAUUUUGGUCUACUCUAAGACUCGAGAGGAUCAUGAACAGCAUUUGAGGUUAGUAUUACAAACCCUUAAGGAUCAUCAGCUAUAUGCUAAGUUCAGUAAAUGUGAAUUUUGGCUGGAAGAGGUGUCCUUUUUAGGUCAUGUGAUCUCAAAAGAUGGGAUAGCAGUGGACCCCGCUAAACUAAGAGCGGUAACAGAAUGGAAGAGACCGGAAAGCCCGACUGAAGUUAGAAGUUUCUUAGGGCUUGCAGGAUAUUAUCGCCGUUUUAUUAAGAAUUUUGCUAAGAUAGCUGGCCCGUUAACGGAUUUGACUAGAAUUCACAAUCAGUUUGUUUGGACCCCGAAGUGCGAGGCCAGUUUUCGAGAGCUAAAAGGAUUAUUAACUUCCGCCCCAAUUUUAACACUACCUAAUGGAAAAGACAGUUUCGUGGUAUACACAGAUGCAUCUAAGAUGGGUUUAGACUGCGUACUUAUGUAAAAUGGACAGGUGAUAGCGUACGCAUCCCGGAAAUUGAAGCCUCAUGAGCAAAACUACCCCACUCAUGAUUUAGAAUUGGCAGCUGUAGUUUUUGCUCUCCAAAAGUGGCGUCAUUACCUCUACGGAAUAACCUUUGAGGUAUUCACCGACCAUAAGAGUUUAAAAUACUUGUUUUUCCAAAAGGAAUUGAAUUUAAGGCAACGUCGGUAGAUGAAAUUUUUAGAGGAUUAUGACUGUACCAUAAAGUAUCAUCCGGGUAAAGCAAAUGUAGUAGCCGAUGCUCUUAGUCGAAAAGCUCAAGUAUCCAGUUUACAACUUAAAGAGUGGGAGUUACUAGAAAAAGUCGGGGAGUGGAAUCCUCAACUUAAGCUACGGGGAGUACUUUUUAGCAAUAUAACAGUUACAUCUACUUUACUCCCUCGGAUAAAGGAAACGCAAAAGGAGGACACUCAGGUACAGAAGUGGACGGAGAAAGUCGAACAAAGGACGUUACCUGACUUCAAUGUGAGCUCGGAUGGGCUAUUACGGUACCGUAGCCGAUAUGUUAUACCCCAGGAUCCGGAAUUAAAGCGGGAGAUAUUAGAAGAGGCACAUAGGUCAAAAUAUACGGUACACCCUGGCACAACCAAGAUGUAUCAGGAUUUGAAGCAGUUGUACUGGUGGGAAGGCAUGAAAAGAGAAAUAGCCCAAUUUGUCCAAAUCUGCCUAACCUGCCAGUAGAUAAAGGCCGAGCACCAAAAGCCGUCUGGGUUGCUCCAACCAUUGGAAGUGCCAGAAUGGAAAUGGGAGAACAUCACUAUGGACUUUGUCUCAGGACUACCAAAAACCCAAAAAGGACAUGAUGCUAUAUGGGUGAUAGUAGAUCGUCUAACUAAAUCAGCCCAUUUCCUACCAGUGAACAUGAAGUACCCCUUAGAGAAACUAACUCAACGUUAUAUGGACGAAAUUGUACGCCUACAUGGAGUAGGGGUGGCAAUUCGGGUCCAAAUCAGGUUGGCGGGUCGGGUUCGGGUCAACCCGUCAGAAAAUCUGUUGAUCCGAACCCGACCCGCCAACCCGUGACAGGUCAGGUAUGCUGACCCGAACCCGAAAAUUUCAGGUUGACGGGUUGGCGGGUCGACCCGAAAUGACCCGAAACUUAAUUUUAAUUUAUUAAUUUAUCAUUGUAAUUUCUAAUAAAAUCAAUUUCUCACAAAACUAAUUACAUAAUCAAGUAAUAAAAAUUUAAAUAAGUAAUUUCAAACCAAAUCUAAAAUAAAUUAAACACCGUAAAAGUGUUUUAUCCCAAACAAAAUAUAAAAUAAAUUAAAACAGUAUAAAAGUAAAAAAUAAUAUAAUAUAUUAUUUGUCCAAAUAUAAUAAUUUCAACUUCACACAAAUUAAAUAAAUUCAUUUAUGAUUAAGUAAUUAAUGCCUUUGAAAAAAAGAAUAACUUAGGUUAGUUAGAUAAAAUUAUUUUUAUAUUUAUUAAAUUAUUUUUAAUUCGUAAACGGGUCAUAUCGGGUCAUAUCAGGUCACCACGGAUUGACCCGAAAUCGACCUGUUUUCUUUUCGGGUUCAUCGGGUCCAACCCGAUUCUGACCCGAAUUUCCAAAAUCUCAACCCAAAUCCAUUAAUUUCGUGUUAGGUUCGUGUCGCGUUUUCAGGUCGUGUCGAAAAUUGCCACCCCUAACAUGGAGUACCAGUGAGUAUAGUUUCGGAUAGAGACCCACGAUUUGUGUCACGGUUCUGGCAAAAGAUGCAGAAGCUUUAGGAUCGAAACUAACCUUAAGUACAGCCUACCACCCUCAGACAGACGGACAGUCGGAGCGGACGAUACAAACGCUUGAGGAUAUGCUCCGAUCGUGUGUAUUGGAUCUGGGAGGAAGUUAGAGUCAACAUCUCACUCUCAUAGAAUUUGCCUACAAUAAUAGCUAUCACUCCUCCAUACAAAUGGUACCGUGUGAAGUUCUUUAUGGACGCAAGUGCCGCUCACCGAUCUUUUGGGAUGAAGUGGGUGAAAGGAGGGUUCUAGAUGUUACCGCAGUGCCAUGGAUAGAAGAAGCGGUGGAAAAGGUUAAAAUCAUUCGCCAGAGAAUAUUAACAGCUCAAAGCCGGCAGAAGAGUUAUGCCGACCAUCGAACGAAAGACCUUGAGUUCGAAGUGGGAGAUAUGGUAUUUCUAAAGGUGACGCCACUCAGAGGAAUCAUUGCGGCCGAGAAAGGAAAGAAAUUGAAACCAAGAUAUGUAGGGCCGUAUAAGAUUCAACGACGGGUUGGAACGGUGGCGUACCAGUUGGAGUUGCCAGCUAGCAUGUCUCGUAUUCAUAACGUUUUUCAUGUCUCGUUGCUUAAGAAGUACCAUCCAGAUCCUACCCAUAUUUUACAUCUUGAGGAUGUAGAGCAAGAGGAAUCCCUCACCUACGAGGAACAACCAGUACAAAUUUUGAAUCGCAAGGUGAAGGAACUGAGGAAUAAGCAAAUCCCUUUGGUGAAAAUUUUAUGGAGAAACCACGAUGUAGAAGAGGCUACAUAGGAAAUAGAGGAGGAGAUGCAGAAGAAAUAUGCUACCUUGUUUGCCCAAAAAGGUAAUAAUUUCGAGGACGAAAUUCUUUUAAGAGGAGGAAAUUGUGAGACCCCAGUUGUCCUAAAAUAUGAUUUUAUGUGAAAAUAAUGCAUUUUAGGGUAAUUUUUAUUCCAAAUAAUUCGAAAAUCCCUAAUUGGGAAUUUGAGAAACCCUAAUUGUGCAAAAAAUUGAAAAUUUUUAAGCGAAACCCUGGUUAGUCAUUUCUAAUGCAAUUGCAUGUUCGGAUGUGUAUUAGAUAUGUGCAUGUAUGUUGUCGUAUAGUAUUAUAUAGGGUUAAGUGGGUUUAAAGGGUUAGAAAACCCUAAUCAAGGAAAAACUCUAGUUAAAUGGUGAAUGAGAAUGAUUAAGUUGGAAUCAUACCCUAAUUUUAGGUGUGACAUGGAAGUGUUUACUUGUUGGAUUUUAAGUGUGAUAAAGAUUGGUAGAGAAUAGAUAAGUAAGGUUUAAGGGUGAUUAGUGCAAUUGCUAAGUAUGAUUAGGAAUUUUAGCCUAGGUUAAUUAUAUGCUAUGGAGUAAUUUGAAAGAAAAGGAAAGUUAGUUGGGCAAGAGUUGAGAAAGUAAGAAAUCAUGGAAGCAAGGACUUAAAGGCAAUUGGCAUACUUUCUUGUGAUUGGCUAAGUGUGAUUUGAUCCUAUUCUGGUCAAAUCUGUUUUGGUUUUGAUGACCGGUUUCCGUUCAGAAUUUGGGUUGUCGGCCUUCAUGAAAGUUGUUCCAUUUGAAAUGAAUUAUCUAACUGCCAAUUUUCAGCUCAUUUGGCCAUGUGUAGCAUAGAAAACGGUUUGCACCCCAAAACUGACCAUUUGUACAUUGAUCAGAUUCCGUGGGUGACUUUGUUUGGUUCUUUUGGGACUGAAGCUUCCAGUUUCAGUUCUGGAUGUCUUCGUAACAAUUGUUGUUCAGUCUUUAAGCUUCGAAAUGGCGUCUCAUACGCCUUAAUCCGAUAUUCGUAGCUCAACUUAUGAUCAAAAUGGGAACAAGUGUCAAAUCUGCCUUUUCUCACAAACGGCCGUUUCCGUUUUCGCCGACCGUUUCCGUUUCCGGUUGGUCGUUUCUACGCGCGCGCGUGCCGUUUUUUUUGCCGUUUGCUUGUGAUCUGCUAUAUGUUAGCCGUUUUAGCCGUUUUUAGUCUAAAGUUAUAUAAUUUUCUAUUGCAGACAGCGGCGAACUUGACGGAGCAACUGGGACCCACUAGCGGACCCCACGACGUCUAGUUCCUUGUUUUGCUCAUUUUGUAUUUUUGUAAGUAUCUGGGCUAUGUGCAUAAGUUAAGGGCCUUAUGUGAUAUGUUUUAAAUGAAAGGGGUCUUAGGCGAGAGUGUACUUUAUCACACUCGACCUAAACCCUCAUUUAUACUGAAAUGGGCAUGUGAAUUGUGUGAAUGACAUGUUGUUGGGCUGAACCCCUAGAGCUUGUAGCCCGGGGUGACAUUUGUGAUGUGCAUGAUAUGAGAUAUUUGUGGGACCCGAUCUCAGGACCUAGUUAGACUAUUCGAGCCGGCAGGGGCUUGGUCGGAGUUAGUCUAACCUAGGCAUGAGAUCGCUAUGAUAUUCUGACAUGCAAAAUUGGUUAUAUAAGAACCAAACAUGUAAACCUCAGUGCAUGAACCCUAUUGCUUGAGCCGUUAUCUGUCUGUGGUGACUGGCCAGUGUGGGUGUUAAGGUGGUUGGCGGUUGACGAGUGAAGUUCUACGGACCAUAAAUUGUGGUCGACGGAGUGUCGGCAGGCGGUCAAUAGUGGCAAAUUAUUUGGCUUUGAAGCCAAUCUGUAUCCUACACCUAUGUUAUAAUCUGCUUUUAAUUUGGCAAUCUGUGUUCAUACUUGCUCCGACUCUAUGAAAUUUACGCUUUUACCCCUGUAUACUUACUAAGCAUUUAGCUUACCCCUCCCUUUGUUUUCCUUACAGGGGUUUGACGCGGGGACCACUUUUGGACGCCGAACUAGUUUAGUUAAGUUGAAAUACUUUGAUCGGGACUUCCCGAAUGCGUGUAAUAGUAAUAGUAGUUCGAGUUCGGACCACCUUAGGGUCCACCUUUUGGUUGUAGUUAUCAUAAUAGGAUAAUGUAGUAAGAUGAGCUGCUACUUCUGAAUUGUACAUAGGGCACUUCUGCUGUUGUAAAUACUGUACAUAGUAAACUUUUGGCCGUGUAUAUAAUGUGAAUGGCAACUGUUUGGGUGUAAAUAGUAUUUCUUAGUUUUUAUUUUAUUUUAUUUCGAGUCCUGGCGAGUGUUAGGCAGACGGCCUGCUAAGCCCUUUGGUACGCCUCUGGGUACGGUGGGGUCGUCACACACUCAAAUCCCAAUAACUUCAUGUUUUGUCCGAAAGCUGAUUCAGUCUAAAACAUGGAGAAAUUCGCGGUCCAAAUUGAUUCCAAAAAUAGGGUAGAGCUGAAAUUCACCAAAUUGUCUAGUUUUCUUCAAAGUUUCAACUCCCACCUCAAACCCAAUCAAGAUUACAUCACUACGCUACCUCCUGUUAACUUAACCCUAGAUACAAAACUUUCGGCAGCACCUCCCCUAUUUUCAAUCCUUUUCUCCUUGAAAAUCAAGGUGUAAACCAUAGCAAUCCCAACACAAUCAAAGCCACAAGAUAUUACAAGCCUUAUUCUAGUCUUUCAAAACCCUUCAAAAUUCACACAAAUAGAGAUUAACCGAAAGACAUCAAAGCUGAAAUUUCCCAAUUCAAGUAAAAAAAUCACUUAUUGAAGUUGUAAACAUGCAUAUCAAAGUUCAAUCACAUUCUAAUACGAUUGGACAACCUAUAUCAAAAUUACAAACUUAACAAAAACUGAAAUUUCACUUCUUAAGGUAAACUUUGCAUAUAAUUAUCACUAAUUGCGAUUAAAAGUUAGAAAUUCCACCUUAACACUAAACUAGCUUCUACUAAUCAUAUACAUGCCAAAAUCAAAGAUGAAAUAACUUAUAUAAAAUCAGAAAAAUAUCAAUAAAAUUGAAAUUUAUCAUCCCAACCCUAAAAUCGCAAGAAUCUCCAAAAAAAUCAAUAAAAAUCAAGUUAUCCAACAACUUAAUCACAAGAUUAAAGAACAAAAGAUUCUUCUAACGAUUACACCUUCCAACACCUUGAAAACAAGCAAAACAAAUCCUUUUCUUCUCAAAACACUCCACCUUUAGUUUGCUAUCACCUUAGAUGCAAAGUUAAUCAGAGUAGAUUUUGGCAAUUGGAAGAAAUUUCUCAAGAUUUGGUGAAGGAAAUCAAAGGAAAAAUGGACUUAACUUGCUUGGUUUUACUCCUCUUGAGGUUCGGCCAGCUUGGAGAAAAAAGAAUGAAGAGUUUUUGUGCUCCAAAUGAAGUGAUAAAGAUGAAGACUUAAGUGUUCCAAGACUAAAUAAAAAUGCGACACGUGGCACUACUUUGACUAUUACUUAUCUCGUGAUCUUUCUUCUUAGUUUUCAAUCACUCAUCUAUGUAGUGUUCCUCUAACUCACUCUUAACACUUCUAGGCAUAUAUUCCUUGGUAUAUAACAUCCAUUCAUGUCCACUAAAUUUAAUAUACACUUACUAGUGAGCCACACUACCAAAUGUAAUAUAACUAAACACGCACCACAAUAUAAAGCAAACAAUUAAAAUUUAACUCAACUAUAAAAAUAUCUUAUAAAUUAAAGGAUUUAAACUAGAGUAGGUCAAAAUAUUAUUGAACGCAUGCAAAAUGAGAAAAGAAUUUAAAUUUUUGUUUCAAAAUUUCACAAUCUCUCCCCUUGAAAGAAUUUCGUUCUCAAAAUUCUAACCUUCAUAAGAUUUUGGAACGGGUUGUUGUUCCAAUGAGUAUACUCUAGUUGAUGCCCUGGAUUUGUUUCCUCUUUCUUGGUUCAAUUUAGAAGUAAUCUGAUUCCUUUAUUGUAUAUUCAACCCUCUUUGUUGCUUUUUUGGACAAUUGUGAAGUUGAUGAUCAGCACUUCCUCAUAUCAAGCAUUUCUUUCCCUUUACCCAGCAUGCAUCCUGUGAUACCACGACUUUUAGGAUAUUACGGUUUCUAUAUUUUAUUUUGUUUUAAGACAUUGUUUUGUUUUAAAGAUUAGAAACCCUACUUGUACUCAAAACCCUAGUUUUACUUGUGACUAACAGGUUUUCUUAAAUCUCUCAUAUUUUAGUCGAAACACUAAUUUUAUUCUAUGAAAUUGUAAAAUCCCUUAUAUUUUCUUAAAAUUCCUUUUUCUUUGGUAUUUAUUCCCUUAUAAUAGCUAUACUACUCAUUUACCUCUCCAAUGUUUGGAAUAAAGAAUAGAAUUAAGAGUUUUCCCUUUUCAUUCAUCGUUAGGGUAAACUAAGGUUUUUACGUCUUUUCGUAGUGUGAGUACCUAGUACGGAGUGUGUACUAAAUUUAGUGAUUAAGAGUGAGUUUUAGAUAAAAUAAAGUGUGUGAUUAGAAGUAGUAAUAAUAAGUUAGUGAAUGGUAAGUGAAAACCCUAGUACGUGCGAAAUAAAGAAAAUCGGGUUAAACCGACGGGUGCCGUUUGUUACCGAUUGAACACACCAUUUGACCACCACUUUCUUACGAUAAAAUAUCAUUAAUAUUAGUGCAAAAUAUCAGCCCUUAAUCCAGCUAAAGAUGGCCGAAAAUAUUGACCAAGAAAAGGGAGGAAAAAGAAAAAUAUUGAGAUUGAAUCUUGUGGUGACACUUGGCUGUCAUCCAUCUAACUUUGACCCAAACUAAUUACCAUUUUAUUAACCUUCUUGAAGCUUCAUUUUCUCCUCCAUUCCAUCAACUUGGCCGAACCUCAAGGAGAGAGAGAGCAAGAGAAGAAAACUUCAUUUCAUCUUGAGCUUAACUUGUUUGAGUGAGAAAUCAAGCAAACUAAACCGAUUAACUUCUAAUUGGAGAGUUUAGGAAGCUUGGGGAGCUAAAAUUUUAUAAGGAGAGGUGAAGGAUAUCUUUUGAAAGCCUUUUAUUGAGGUAUUAUGGCUGUUCAUCUUCUUCCUUCCCCUUAGGCUUGUUUAAGUUAUGUAAUAACUUGUAUUCUUGUCUUGUGAUACCUAUUUAAGUGGUUUUGAUGAUUGUGGUGAUGAAAUUGUGAGUUAGGGUUUUGAAUUGUUCAUUUAUAUUUCUUGUUGUUUGGAUGGUAUAUGGUGUAUAUAAUCUUAUGUAGGAAGUUAUAGUAGUGCUUUAAGUUAGAAAUGUGAAGUUUACACUUUGAAUUCACUAGAUUCCAGAUUUGAGUUUUCAUACUACCCUUUUUUGACCGGUUCCAUUUGGCCAUGAUGGAGGCCGAAUUAGACUUAACUCCAAACAUGAAAGUUGUAGGAAAUAUGUUUUAUAGCUUCCUACAAAAUUUCAGCUCAAUCCGAGCACUGUAACUUAUGAAAUGACAAAAAUACCCUUGACUGCCAAAUGUAUUGUUUUGCGGACAGUUUCUAUUUUCCUCUGAGAUGUCACAUUUGGACCUUAAAAAUGAACUAAUUUUCUAUUGAUGUCUUAUGAGACUUGUAGUUCUCCGUCUUAGCUUCAAAACGGUAUAAGUUGUACCCCAAUCCGAUAAGCGUAGCUUUGGUUGUGACCGAUACGCUAAGAGACGUCAAAUCUGCCAUUUGGCUAUUCGUCUUUAAACUUGAUUUCUGGUUGCCGUGUUAAGACCUGUGUUGUAAUUGGAUUAUUUUGAGCCUAGUUGAAGGGCUAUUGUGUUCCCAUUGCAUACGUGUGAUUUUAGGACUGAUUUGAGAAAAAUAUUGAAGGCAUAAAUGGCUAGAAAAUAGGUAAACACAAGGGGUAAGCCGCCCAAAUUUUCACUAGAGGAAUAAAUUAGCCUUUGGAGUUCUAGUUCUGUAUUUUGCAAAUUUGACCUGGAUCCACUGAAAACUGGGUCGAGUUAUUUUCAUAAAAGUUGUAACCUUUUGUCUUAGCUUCGAGACGCUACCUAGUACACAUUAAUCCGAUAACCACAGCUUUAGUUAUGAUCAAAACCGUGUAACCCAUUUUCAUACCAUUUUUAUUUCCGCGCACGCGCAUAUGCAUUUCUUGGCCAUUUUUGCCGUUUUGGCCGUUUUAGUCCUUAUUUCCAUUUGUGAUGGUUAUUUGAUUGAUGGUUGAGUAUAAUUUUCUGCCACAGGCAAUGACGAACUGGACGGAGUCGGUGGACCUGUAUAAAGGGCUUUGAUUUGCGUGCUAACUAUUUUGAGUGAGUAAUUGAGUUGGUUUAUACGAUAAAUUAUCGAUGUGAUUUGUAUAUGUUGAAUGGGUACUUAUGCGAGGGUGUAUUUUAUCUCACUCGACUUAAACCCAUUCUCUGUUGUUGACUCAAUAUGUGAGAAUACAUACUUUGUGCUGAGUAACACCUUUUUGCUGUGUGCUGUUAGGGUGAUUACACGACUUGAGUUAAAUCCCUUGUGCUAUGUGCUGUUGAGGUGAGUAUUUUGUUGAAUACUUUGUUGAAAGAUAUCAUCUAUUGAGAGAUGGAUAUCUCAAGGCUUGGUUCCAGCCCGGUUCCAAGGAUAGACGGACUAUUCGAGUCAAUUGGGGUUUGGUCGAAAUUAGUUCCAUGCUAACCUUGGAAUUUCGUUCUUUGUUAAAGCUUUGUUUAAAGCUAAAUGAUUUAUUUUGCUCGAACUGCUAUGUACUGUUGACUGACCAGCGGGGGUUGAUAAGGUGAACGGGAAAAGCAAGUGGAGUCUACGGACCAUAAGUAUUUUGGUUGACGGAGUGUCAACAGGCAUUCAAGCUCGGGGAAUUAAACUGGUUUUGAAGCCACCCGUAUCCUACCAUUGUGAUGUUACAUUUCUGUUUAUUGGUGUGAAAUAUCUUGGUUUACAUGUUUAUUUGAAUGUGAUUUUUGUGUUUUAUCGCCGAUUAUUCACUAAGCAUAUAGUUUACCCCAUUUCAUUUGUUUUCCUUAGUAGGGGGUACGAGCGAGGCGUGAGACUUGUACAGAGUAGUCUAGUUUUGAAAUUUUGAAUUGUACUCGCACUAGCACCCGACUGAGGUUGUUUGGACUUGGAUUGUAAACACAUUAAUGUAUUUGGGCGUGUAUAAGCCUUGUAGUUGGAUCGAGUAUCAAUGUAUAUAUUAAGUUUGAACUUGUUGUGUUACUUAUUUGCUAUGAAUGUAAGUCAUUUUCUCAAGUUUCGAGUGAGUGAGUCCUGGCGAGAGUUGGACAGGCGGUCCGCCGAACCCUGGGGUACGCCUUAGAAGGAGGUGGAGCCGUCACACAUCCUAAGUAUGAUUUAUUUUUUCACAGUAAACACAAGCUAAUCGAGGAGCUUCUAUUGGAUUCUUUAGAGAGACUUCCUCUUGUCGUCCUCUUCCUACCUGACUUUUCCUUGUUGAACUUCUCUCAUAUUGUCCUUGCAUCCAUAGUGGGUAAGAUGGAAUGAUUACUCUUCUAGCUUUGGAAGAUGGUAGGAUGUCCUUAAAUUCCUCAGACUCACUACUCAGCACACUUCUUUUUCGUGUUUGAAAUGUUUUUACUUGCGCCCUUGCAAUUUCAACCCUUUGAGCUUUCUCAAGAACUUCUGUGAAUGUAGUAAUUUGAGCUGCCGCAAGAACUUUCUGGAUUUUCACAUUUAAUCCCUGUACAAACCUUACUCUUCUUUGCUCCAUAGUUACUAAUUCAGUGGUAAAUUUAGAUAAUUUAGUGAAUUGAGUUUCAUAUUCUGACACACUCAAGGCUCCUUGACGUAAUCUAAUGAAAUCGUCCUCCCUUUUUUCUUAGACUAAGGGCGGAAGGUAUUUCUCAUUAAAUUCCCAUACGAAAUUUACCCAAGUCCGCGCUAUUUGUUCCCUCUCCCACUUAGCUCUAAUCACGUUCCACAAAGCAUGAGUUGACCCUUCAAAUUGAAAUACUGCAAAAGUCGCUUGUCUCUUCUCUGAAUAAUUUAGCGCGGCAAAAAUAUUAAUCAUUUGUUCUAACCAACUCUCGGCUGCCUCCGGAUUAGAUCCUCCAAGAUAUUUAGGAGGAGAAAACUUCUGAAAACGCUCUAGGGCCCUAUCCCCUCCCCCCUUAGGUUCCCUGGAUUGGUUAAUAGGUGCUUGCCCUUGUUGUUCCACUAAACGCGCCAAAAUAUCGGUUAUUCAUUGUAUGGCUGUUGCUACCUAAUCCCCUGUUUCGGCCUGUGGUUCAUGUUGUUAUUUAGCUAUCGCUUCUCUUUCUUCUAUUAGUUCUUGAGCUUGCCUAACCCUACGUCCACGAUUAACCCCUCGUCCUCGGUUUCUUCAUCCAUCCAUACCUUUUUUUCUAUAAACUAUAUACGUGUAUGAGCAAAAAUAGAUCAGCUAUAUAUAUAGAAUAAGAAUAAAACAACGUAGGCCAAAAAUGAGAAAUACCCUUAGAAUACAUAACACAACAAAUUACAAGCUAAAUCACAAAAUAUUAUACAUAUUAUCCUACCAAAAUCAAGUUCACAAAACAUGUCUAGUACACUAUACAUAGUAGUCCGCAAUACAGCAAACACAUACAUACAUACAUGCAGAACAAAAUAAGAGACAACGAUUUUUCAAUUUCUCCAAGGGUAAAUUAUAAACCAAGUUCAUCCGUCAAAGAAAGUUCAAAAGAUCUCUACUAAAGCAAUCACUCCAAGAAUUAUAUCUAGUUCCUUAUAAAUGCAAAUGAAUGUCAAAACUCUAAAAGAUACCUUAAUGAUCUUUAAAGUCAAAGUUAGUCCCAUAGUUGUUCAAAUAGUAUCGUUGUUCAAGAAAAUGAUCCAUUACUCUUCACAUCAAUCUCACACAAUUCUCUUCUCUUCUCACUAAUCCAAUAUAAAAACCUCAAACAUCAAAUCUUACUAUCCAUCAGGAACAUAACUGCUUAAUAUUGCACUUAAACUUCACAAUACCCCACAGUCCAGCAUUCUAAACUUUAAACUUAUGUUACACUAUAGAGAUCUAAAAUCUAAAAUCUGAUACCAAUUGUGACGACCUCAUCUCCCCUUAAGGCGAACCAAGAGGUUCAGUGGACCGCCUACCCAACUCUCGUCAGAACUCAUUCACUCGCUUUUCGCUUCAAGAGCAAGUAAAGAUGUGCCAAUCAAACUUAACAUAUAUACAAUAAUUAACACAAAUAUACAAUCCUCAAGGUUAAAGUCCAAAGCUCAGGAUCCAACUAACUACUAAUACUAUCACUUUUACACAACAAAAGUUCUAGUCAAAAGUGCAGUCUUUCUCUAAUCACCCGUCCUUGCUCAAAAACCCUAUAAGGAAAACAAAAACUAAAGAAAUGAGCUAAAGUUCAGUGAGGUUCCCAUGCACAUAUCAAAACAAGGACAUUAUUCAGUUAAUAACAAUCAAUCGAGAAAACAUUCAUAAUAUAAAAACAACGAGAACACACUCAUUAAAAGGAUACAUGCUCACGUGCAGCCAUUCGUUCAAUCAUUCAUUCAUUCAGCCAGUCAUUCUCUUUCAUUCAAUUAUUCAUUUCUUCCCUUAUAACUUCAACAUUUCCAUUUAUCCAUUUCAUUUCUCGCCACUAGCCAAUUCACUGGCUAGUUCUCCAUCAAAUUUCGUGAUCAUACUCGAAUAUAUCAAACAUUAUCCCAGAGUCACCAGUCGCCCGAUCGAAUCCAUUUCUGGCUCAAAUUGAUUGGCAACGAAGGGCAAGGGUCCAAUUUUGCCAAUGCGGUACCAUACAACUCACAUAGCUUACAUUCAUGCACAAGUAAUGCUCAAUCAGUUAAUCAUUUGAAAAUUCACUUUCGCGUAGGUCAAGUGCGAUAAAGUACACAUUCGACAAUUGAAAAUCCAUUUAAUAGUCAUUGGAAGGUAUUUAACACUCAAUCGAAAAUUCACAAUAAGUACACGGUCAUUUAAUAUACAAACAUGCAAGAAACACUCACCCUAAACAUGUCACGUUUUAUCAAAAUUCAAUUCAAGGCCGGCACCUUGGCCACUCUCGAAAUCUGCAGUCAAAUAUUAUCCACAAAGAGCCAAUCAUACACGAGUGCAAGUUGCAUAAUUUAUAUUUCUAUAUCAAAACAAAAAGGCGUCAAAAGUAUAAUGAGUCAUACCUUCAAGAGCAAGUAAAGAUGUGCCAAUCAAACUUAACAUAUAUACAAUAAUUAACACAAAUAUACAAUCCUCAAGGUUAAAGUCCAAAGCUCAGGAUCCAACUAACUACUAAUACUAUCACUUUUACACAAUAAAAGUUCUAGUCAAAAGUGCAGUCUUUCUCUAAUCACCCGUCCUUGCUCAAAAACCCUAUAAGGAAAACAAAAACUAAAGAAAUGAGCUAAAGUUCAGUGAGGUUCCCAUGCACAUAUCAAAACAAGGACAUUAUUCAGUUAAUAACAAUCAAUCGAGAAAACAUUCAUAAUAUAAAAACAAUGAGAACACACUCAUUAAAAGGAUACAUGCUCACGUGCAGCCAUUCGUUCAAUCAUUCAUUCAUUCAGCCAGUCAUUUCUCUUUCAUUUCAAUUAUUCAUUUCUUCCCUUAUAACUUCAACAUUUCCAUUUAUCCAUUUCAUUUCUCGCCACUAGCCAAUUCACUGGCUAGUUCUCCAUCAAAUUUCGUGAUCAUACUCGAAUAUAUCAAACAUUAUCCCAGAGUCACCAGUCGCCCGAUCGAAUCCAUUUCUGGCUCAAAUUGAUUGCAACGAAGGGCAAGGGUCCAAUUUUGCCAAUGCGGUACCAUACAACUCACAUAACUUACAUUCAUGCACAAGUAAUGCUCAAUCAGUUAAUCAUUUGAAAAUUCACUUUCGCGUAGGUCAAGUGCGAUAAAGUACACAUUCGACAAUUGAAAAUCCAUUUAAUAGUCAUUGGAAGGUAUUUAACACUCAAUCGAAAAUUCACAAUAAGUACACGGUCAUUUAAUAUACAAACAUGCAAGAAACACUCACCCUAAACAUGUCACGUUUUAUCAAAAUUCAAUUCAAGGCCGGCACCUUGACCACUCUCGAAAUCUGCAGUCAAAUAUUAUCCACAAAGAGCCAAUCAUACACGAGUGCAAGUUGCAUAAUUUAUAUUUCUCUAUCAAAACAAAAAGGUGUCAAAAGUAUAAUGAGUCAUACUGUUGAGUUUGAUCCCUAUCUUUUGAUGUUUACAAAACAAAUGGAUGAUACUAAUAUUUCUUCAAGAUAUAUUUUCAGUUAUGAAAUUAUUUGAUUCCAUGAACAAGUGCAAUUGGAAGAAGACAAAGUAUGCUGAAGCUGUCGGACGCUCAAAAAGACUGCAUCGGACGUCCGACAACCAUUGAGUAUCUUCGGACGCAGAAAACCAGCCUAUCGGACGUCCGAUAGCACUGUUUUAUGCGUCCGACAGCAGUCAGUGAGUUUGAGAAAUUUUCUUCAAUUCUUUCGGACGUCCGAUAGGCUGGUUUUCUGCGUCCGAAGAUACUCAAUGGUUGUCGGACGUCUGAUGCAGUCUUUUGAGCGUCCGACAGCUUCAGCAUACUUUGUUUUCUUCCAAUUGCACUUGUUCAUGGAAUCAAAUAAUUUCAUAACUGAAAAUAUAUCUUGAGAAAUAUUAGUAUCAUCCAUUUGUUUUGUAAACAUCAAAAGAUAGGGAUCAAACUCAACAAUCUCCCCCUUUUUGAUGAUGACAAAACAAUGGAUGGAAAGAAACAAAAAUAAGUAUAAGCUCCCCCUCAAUCAUUGCAAUCAAAACUUUUAAGAGCCAAACUGCCAAACUCAUAAUCUCAUAAUAACUCCCCCUUACACAUUGCAUCCAUCUCUCCCCCUUUUUGUCAUCAUAAGAUGAGAGUAAUAACCAGCAACCAUAUAAAUAGUGGUUGCUAGUUGACGUCCGACACUACCAACGGCUAGUUGACUGUUCAGCUACUUUCUAUCCGUUGGAAGCUUUAAUGAGGCUCUUUCUUGGUCCUAUAUAAAUAGUGGUUGGUCAGAUACUUCAAAUAACUUUGGCACACUGAAGAUACAAAAGAUCUAGAGAGAUUUUAGUGAGAAAAUACUCCAAAAAGAAUAUUUGUAGUCUUAGUGGUGUGAGGUUCAUUGUAAGCUUUUCAUUUGUGAGUGAAUCUUUCAUGAGUGUAGCUCUGUGAGGGUUGUCCUGAGGGAUAGUAAAACGUCCUGGCUUGACCGAGUGCUGCUUGGGGCAAGGAGGAGGUGAACCUUCCUUUGUACACAAGAGUGAUUGUAAUUCAUCAACUUGAAAUAGCUUGUUUCAAUUAAUCUACAAGCUCAAGAGGAGUUGGGUAGUUAAUUGGUUUGCAAUCCUUUCCUUUUUAUUUACUUAUUGUUUCGUUUAUGAUCUUUGCAUUGGUUGUUUUGGGCCUUACACAUACAGGUAAGGUGCACGCAUAAUUUAUAAAAGAAAAUGAUAAAAAUGGUUAAGUUCAAAACUAAUAUGUGCAACUAAAAAUCAUGUUUUGAAUAGUUGUUUGGAAUGUUAGAAAUCAGGCUUAGAACACUUGAGAAGUACAUGUUAAGUCGGAUCAAGAAAAUGAAAAACAAGAGAAAGGCAACGAGAAACAAGAUGGCAACUUUGCCAUCCUUUGGUAUUUUUAUCACAACUGAAGCUACACUUAUCGGAUCGAGGUAAAUUUUAUGGCAUUUCGAAGCUAAUACCUAGAGCUAUAUUUCCCAUCAAAACAUCAUCCCCAGUUCUCACAUUUUUGGGGUAAAAAAUGGACGGUCAGGAGCACAUAAAAAAUAGGUCAGGAAAAUUAGAGUUUUUGUGCAGUAAGGAGUGCUCUGGCCAAAUCAUAAGCUAAAAUAAUCCAAUUGAUUUGAAAUUUUGCAGGUUGAAAGUUAACUCAAAUCCCUAUAACUUUCGUGUUUUGUCCAAAAGCUGAUUUAGUCUAAAACAUGGAGAAAUUUGCAGCCCAAUUUGAUUCCAAAAACAUGGCAGAACUGAAAUUCACCAAAUUGUCUAAUUUUCUUCCAAGUUUCAACUACCAACUGAAACCCAAUCAAGAUUACAAAAGUUUCGGCAGUACCUCCCCCAUUUUUGGUCCUUUUUUCUUUGAAAAUCAAGGUGUAAACCACAGUAAUCCCAACACAAUCAAAGCCACAAGUCAUAAGAUAAUACAAGCCUUAUUCUAGUCUAUCAAUGCCCUUCAAAAUUCACACAAAUAGAGAUUAAGCGAAAGACAUCAAAGCUGAAAUUUCCCAAUUCAAGUAGAAAAUCACUUAUUGAAGUUGUAAACAUGUAUAUCAAAACUCAACCACCCUCUAAUAUGAUUGGACAACCUAUAUCAAAAUUACAAACUUAACAAAAGCUGAAAUUUCACUUCUUAAGCUAAAUUUUGCAUAUAACUAUCACUAAUUGCUAUUAAAAGCUAGAAAUUCCACCUUAACACUAAACUAGCUUCUACCAAUCAUAUACAUGCCAAAUCAAAGAUGAAAUAACUUAUAUAAAAUCUGAAAAAUAUCAAUAAAACUGAAAUUUAUCAUCCCAACCCUAAAAUUGCAAGAAUCUCCAUAAAAUCAAUCAAAAUCAAGUUAUCCAACAACUUAAUCACAAGAUUAAAGAACAAAAGGAGCUUCUAAUGAUUAUACCUUCCAACACCUUGAAAACAAGUAAAACAAACCCUUUUCUUCUCAAAACACUCUACCUUUAGCUUGCUAUCACCUUAGAUGCAAGGUUAAUCAUAGUAGAUUUUGGCAAUUGAAAGAAAUAUCUCAAAAUUUGGUGAAGGAAAUCAAAGGAAAAAUGGACUUAACUUGCUUGGUUUUACUCCUCUUGAGGUUCGGCCAGCUUGGAGAAGAAAGAAUGAAGAGUUUUUGUACUCCAAAUGAAGUGAUAAAGAUAAAGACUUAAGUGUUCCAAGACUAAAUGAAAACGCGACACGUGGCACUACUUUGACUAUUACUUAUCUCUUGAUCUUUCUUCUUAGUUUCUAAUCACUCAUCUAUGUGGUGUUCCUCUAACUCACUCUUAACACUUCUAGGCAUAUAUUCCUUAGUAUAUAACAUCCAUUCAUGUCCACUAAAUUUAAUACACACUUACUAGUGAGCCACACUACCAAAAUGUAAUAUAACUAAACACGCACCACAAUAUAAAACAAACAAUUAAAAUUUAACUCUACCAUAAAAAUACCUUAUAAAUUAAAGGAUUUAAACUAGAGUAGGUCAAAAUAUUAUUUAAUGCACGCAAAAUGAGAAAAGAAUUUAAAAUUUUUUUUUCAAAAUCUCACAGCUUUGAAGCGAUCCACUUCUCCUGUUGGCUUAUAUUUGGUCUUAUAUACCCAUUUCACUCCAAUUGGCUUCCUUUCAGGUGGGAUAGUGGUCAAUUCCUAUGUAUCAUUUUUCGCAAUGGCAUGAAUUUCUUCAUCCAUUGCACGAACCCAAUGAUCAUCUUUGGCAGCUAUGAGACAGGCUCACAAUUUGCAAAAAGAGCAAAAUUCAAAAUCUCUUCAUUAGUUAAAUCAUUAUCUUUACCAACAGCAUAAUCAUCAAAUCGGGCUGGCAUGCGGUGUUCUCUCUAUGGUCGAUUGGAUGUCUCAACCUGAAUAAUGGAAGGUGAGGGAUCACCAUGAGGCUGCACAACUUGCUCCACUGCUUGCUUAUUAGCACUCGGUCCCAUAAUGGAGAAAUGGAUGGAUACUUUAGCAAUGCCUCAGGGUCUUGUUUGCACCAAUUCCAAACUCCAUGUUCAUCAAAAGUCACAUCUCUGCUAAUAAUCACCUUUCCUAUGUUUGGAUUGAAUAACUUAUAUCCCUUAGUCUCAUGACUAUAUCCAAUAAAAAUACACUUCUCUGCUUUGUCAUCUAAUUUCUUCCUCAAAUGAUCUGGAACAUGCGCAUAUGCAAGACAACCAAAUACCCUGAAGUGAGAAAUAUCCAGUUUCAUACCAGUCCAAACUUCUUGUGGGGUCUUCCCAAAGUUGCAUCUAGCAGGGCACUUGUUCAAACCAUAAAUAGCACAAGAUACUACUUCUGCCCAAAAGGAUUUAGGAAUACCUUUGGAGUGCAGAAUAGACCUCACCAUGUCCAUCACAGUCCUGUUCUUCCUUUUAGUCACACCAUUUUGUUACGGUGUAUAUCUAGCUUUCAAUUGAUGUUUUAUGCCACUUUCCACCAAAUAGUCAUAACAAACAAGAUACUCAGUGCCUUUAUUAGUUCUCAAAAUUUUAAUAAAAUAGCCACUCUGCUUCUCUACAUAAUAUUUGAGUUUUUUUAAACACAUCACAUGCAUCAGAUUUAUUUCUUAAAAAAUACACUCAUGUCUUCCUGCCGAAAAUCAUCAAUAAAGGUAAUAAUAUAUUUACUACCACUAUUGGAAGGAACUUCAACUGAGCAUAAAUCUGAGUGAAUCAAUUCAAGUGGUCGAUUAGCCCUCCAAGCCUUGCCUUUUGGAAAAGGAUCCUUGUGCUUCUUUUUCAAAAAUACAAGACUCGCACUUCUUGUCAAGAAACUCAAUAGAAGGCAACUCAAUAACUAAUUUCUUUAUUUCAAGAAAAUUCAAACUCCCAAAAUUCAAAUGCCCAAAACACAUAUGCCAUAACCAAGAAUUAUCACAAGUCACGGAAUUAAAGCAAGGUAAAUCAUCACAGUUAAGGGAAAAAGGCCACAGACGACUACGAUUCAUCUUUACCUUGGCAAUUAAUCCCAAUUUUCCAUCACUUAUGGUGCCCUCACCAUAUUUAAAAUGCGGAUCAUAACCUUUCUCAGAUAAUUGUCCCAAACUCAACAAAUUAUGAUAUAAACUUGGCACACAGAAAAUAUCAGAAAUAAAAUUCGAAGACCCAUCUUGCAAGAUAAUUCUGAUUUUUCCUUUUCCAAGAACAGACACUUUUUCAUCGUUUCCAAAUCUCAUAGAUGCAUGAAAAGAUUCAUCUAGGUCAGAAAACAUCUCUUUUUUACCGCACAUAUGAUUACUACAACCAGAAUCAAUAAACCAAUCAUUCUUCAUAGACUCUUUAGAUGUAGAACUAGAAAACAACAAGGUCUCCUCUCUAUCACUACAAUUUUCAGCCACUUUAGCGUGCACCUCUUUAUUGGACCAACAUUCAUUCUGAUAAUGACCAAUUUUACCACAAUUAUAACAUUGGACAUUAGAUCUACCACGCAUUUGAAAAUUAUUUCUUUGACUUUGCUAUUGAUUGUUUUCCUAAUCCCUAUUAGAAUUAUUUCCGGGUUGGUGAGAAUAAUUACCUCUUCCACGACCAUGAAAGUUACCUCUGCCUCCACGUCCUCUACCUCUGAAGUUCUGGCCCUUUUGAUUUGUGUCCAUAUGAUUUACCUCCUCUUUUCCUUUUGGGCGAUCCACCUUGGCUUGUAACACCUCCUCUACUUUAUCUGAUGGCUGCUGAUUUAGGAACAUCUCAUACGUCAGCAAUUCACCUUCCAAUUCAGCAAGUGACAAAUUGUCAAGGUCCUUUGUGGCUUCAAGGACUGUCUUCUUGGUGUGAAAUUUAGCAGUUAGAGAUUUCAAAACUUUUUCAACAACUCUAACCUCUUCUAAAUUCUCACUAUUGGACUCCAUAUCAUUGACAAUUUCUUUAAUUGUACCAAUGAAAUCUUUAACUGACUCCGUGGAUUUCAUCUGGGUCAACUCAAAUUGUCUCCUAAGUUCUUGCAAUCUGAUUUUUCUCACGUUAGCACCUCGAUUUGAGUUCACUAAAAUUGUCCAAGCGUCUUUUGCCGACUUUGCAUGUAUAAAUUUUUUUGCAACAUGCAACUGGACUUAAGUGUUGAGAUAGCACAUUGCCUUGCAAUCCAACUGUCUAUUUCUCUCUAAUUCUUUAACUGCAUCGCUUGAUAAUUCUAUAUCUGCUACCGGUUCCAUAUAUCCUAUCUCGACAAUAUUCCAAACUCUAAUAUUUUGGAAAAAAAUUCUUCAUCAUUGACCUCUAAGCCUCAAAAUCGCUUUAACCAUUGAAGAUAAAAACGUGACAAUUGUACAAUUAAUGCGGAUCCACACUUUAAUUUCAUGAACAAGCUCCAAGCCCCGAUUUCUCUCAGGCCUAAUCUCUAGACUCAAUUCAACUCUCCACACAAUAACCUACUAGACUAUUAGUAUUUAUAGACUCAAAAAUUUCCUAAAGCAAAUACGGUUGUAAACCAAAACUUAUUUGGAAACUAACUUGAGAUUUCCUAAUCUAAUAUGGAAACUAAACAAAUAAGAUACCAAAAAGAAUUAGGAAACUAAAAUAGCUUGGUUUAUUUUCCUACAAUAAAAUGUACAAAAAUUUGAUUAGUGUGUAAAUCUUUGUUGACCAUUCCAUUUCUGAUUGUUUAAGUUUUGUACUCUUACACAUUUGGCAACAUUUUAUUUUACAUUACUAAAUCAAGAAGUUUGCAGUAUUAUUAUACUCGAUCUUUUUUGUUUUUUAAGGGUAAGUUACGUCAAAGGUUUUCAAACUUUUCAAUAGCUUCAUUUUACUCUUGUAACUUUUUUUGGUAAUAAAUGGUCCACUAAUUUUUUAAAAAAAAUAAAUUUAUUGUACCCAUUCAACUACUUUUUGAACCAAAUAACCUACUAAACUUUUCAAGUGAUUUAUCUGGAUCGUUUUGUUAGAUUCUACUCUUAAGAUAGUUAAGAGCAGACAACCAUAUAACCAAAAUCGAAUUCGCGAGACAAAAAAAUACAAAUUACAGAAUUCAAUUUAUUUCUUAAUAAUCAAUCAUAUCUAGUUCUGAUAUCACUUAUUGAGCACCACUUAUUGAGUGAUAGUUUAUAUUAGUCUUUGGUGAAAGCAAUCACCUGUUAAAUCCAAAAUUUUUAUGGCGAUUAUUAAGAAUAAAUUAAUAAUAAAAUUACAAAAGCGCACCUGAAUUCAUGUUGACAAGCUGGCACUUGAAUCCUUGAAGAUUUUUUUGGGGAGGUCUUUCAGGUCAACACCUAUUCGCUAAUCCUUAAGAGAGCCCUUUAAUCUCUGAUAUCUCUUAUGACGAUGGGAUAUCGAGAAAAGUUAUUUUGUGAUACUAAAAAAUACGAUAAUAAUAUACAUGUAAUCUGGGAAUCAUAACCCUAUUUAUAGAUAAAUUUCUGUUAUCUUUUGUAUUCUUAUUUUAACCCAUCAUAGAAAUAGGAAACACCCGUAAGUCUCUACAUAUUAAAGAUUCAUAUUCUAUUAGAUAUAUUAAAGUCCAAAUCAUAUUUGAUCACUUUAAUUAGAUCUAAUCUUAUUUGACAGUAACAUAUAAUUAUUCAUAUAUAAAUCCAAUGUUGGAUUAAAGAUUCAACAAAAACUGCUUAAAAUUAUGGUUAAUAAUUACUUCACAGUCGGCUUUAAUUAUUAACAAAAAAUGGAUUGAUCAUACUUGUCCCCUCAAGGUUUGGAUUAGUCACGCUUUAUCACCCCAACUUCACAAAUAUAUAAUUUACCCCGUCUUGACCAGUCAAAAUAUUAAAAAUGCUUAACACUGUUAAGACAAAAUAAAGUGCUGAGGAGAUUAAAGGAUCCAUGAUUUGUUAGUGAAGGUACAAUUGUACUCUUGUAUUGGUGCAUAUGGCCUGCGAAAAAAUAAAAGAAAAGUUAUUGAUAAGUGGGAAAAAAAAACUGACAAUCGACAGCAACUAUGAUAAAAUAACUCUUGAAAAGGCCCUGAUGUACACGGGAGAAGGAGUCAGAGAAUCCUCAAAAGCACUGAAGGGCUUUUUUUUGGGGUUGUAGUGACUUAUUAAAAAACAUUUAGGGCCUGUUUAAGAUUGUUGUAUUUUUGCUAAAAAAGUAUUUUGGAGGUCAAAAAUACUUUUAACAUGUUUAAUGAAAAUCAUUCCUUAAAUUUGGAAGUAGAAUUUUUGGUCAUAAAAGCACUUUGGUAUAAGUUCAAAAUUGAUACAUUUAGAGUAACUUUUGUAUUUGAAACAAAUAAAAAAUUAAGUUUAAUAAUUUUAUUAUAAAUUUUGAACUCAAUAAACAGAUAAAUAAGUUUUGUAACCUCAAAAUUGCACAUUAUCAAAUAGAAAAAGUACUUACUCUUGUAAAUCCAAACAAUAUGAUUUAUCAAUUAAUAAAUACUUUGACUAAAAACUGUACUCAUUGAAAUGCUUUUCGAUAAGCCACCGUAACUCAGAUAGGCCCUUAAUUUAGAAGAGUUAUUCGUCAAAGUAUUUAUGAAGAGCUUCUUGUUCGAUCUAGAUUUGAAGCCCUAUUGGUAACUGGUGGACAUCUGGUCGAGGCAUUUGGUUUGGAGCGAUGUCGCAUGAGUAUAGACCUUGAUUCUGACAGGUUCUGUAGGACGAUGACCUGUUGGUAAUGUGCUUUAGUGACACUUUCAGUUGAGUACUGCCACACAAGUUCUGGUGUAGUGGAGCAAUAGUUUCCUUAGGACUCAACCUGGGAAUUCUUACAAGACUUGGAGCAGUAAUUCCUACCUAAUUUCCAUCCCUGAGGACAAGGGCUCUUUUAGAGAGGGGUAUUUGAUGCACUGAUUUUAGUUGUAUGAUUGAUUGACCAUAAGAGAUUAUAAUAGAUAAUGGUGGAAGUGAAAGUUAAUAAGUUAAAAGAAUAUUGCUGAUGCUAGUAGUUAGUUAGCACAGCCAAAGAAGUGGUUAGCUGCAACCGACUCUCCACUACUUGCUUAUAUAUUAAGCUGCGCAUAAGGAGAAACAUUCAUUUUGAUGUAUUGCUACAAAUCAUUGGUCAUUCUUCUUGUAUCUUCUCUGAGUUUUCACUACAAUAAAAUACAUGAUGCUCCCUUGAAUUUCGAAUUACUUCUUCGUCAUUUUUGUAAUUCUGUAAUGAUUCCACAGGAAAUAGGACAAAAUAGUUAGCCAAAUUCUGUUAGCCAAAUAUUCUUGGAUUUGUUAUAGUGGCAACAACUUGCAGAAAGUUAGUUACAAUUAGUUAGUUGGGGGGAACUUCUAUGAAUAGGCCAACACUAAUGUAAGGAAGGACAUGCAAAAUCUGAUCUCUAAAGAAUACAACUUCCCCGCCUCUUUUUCAAAUUCAUCCUUGCUCUCUCUCUUUCUCUUGUUCCUUCCUCUCUAUUCUUUUUUUCCUAUACUUUCUGUACCUUAGCUGAAUCAUCAGAUUCUCAACCAUUACAUUUGGUAUCAGAGCUUGCGGUCCUGGGAUUUGAAAGCUCCAAUUUGGCAACAAUGGCGGAAGGCACCAGAAUGAAGGGAUUUGAGGAAAUGCUGAAGAAACAAGAUGCAAGGAUCCAAACUAUCCUCGAAUCCAGUACAAUCGAACGUCAAGCGUUAGAGGAAAAGAUCGAGUCUAACUAUGUGGACAUGAAGGCUCUGGUGGAAGCAAACAAUGUUGAAUUAAAGGAAGAAAUGAAGAAUUUGUUGGGAUAUGCAACUUUUCCUACAUAUUUUGCUAGAUUAUGUUUGAUAUCAAAAUAAUUUAGUUAUUAGAAAAAUAAGGAUAUUUGUUAACCAAAGAUCAUGUUGGUUUGUUAACAGAUAUUUUAGAUAAGAUUUGCUAAUAGAAGGAGUUUAUAUUUUGUUGAGAUUUUUAGAAUAAUUGUUAGUUGGAUAUUUUGCUAGUUUGUUUCAUGUAAUCACUAUAAAUAGUGAGUUGAUGAAUGUAGAACAUAAGUUCAUUUUUUCCACCUUUAAUACAAGUCUCUUAUAGCUUUUAUGCAAUCACUAAGGUUGUUGUUUCUUAGUUUUAUGCCCAAAAAAAACCAACAAAGGUGGCUAUCAACGAGCCUAUAAUCAAGGGCCUUUGAGUCUUUUUUUUUUUAGAGUGAUGCAUUGGUGAGGAUCCUUUAUAAGUUCAAAGCCAUGACAGGAAAGAACUUUUUGUCAAAUGUUUCAACUUUUAGUGGUAAAACUUACCAAAUUUGGGCUAUUAAAAUUUUGGACUUAUUUGGUAGUCAAUGAUCUACGAGAUAUGGUGGAGACGAAUUUUGUUUCACCAGCAUUUGAAGAGCUGAUGGAUACACAAAUUAGAGAUCACAAAGUUGCCAGUUAGACAGAGAUCCAAGGCCAGCAUUCACAUAUCAGUUUUUGAUGCGUUUUCACAAAGAUAAUGGCUGAUGAUUUGAUUGAGAAUAAAUUAUUCUCAAUUAAAAUAAAAAGGAGAAGUUUCACUAUGAAUUGGUCAGAUUUUGACAAUUCUAAAGUGGAACAUGAUGAUGAAAUCAAGAAUUCAGAUCCUGAAAAAAUUCAGGAGGAGAUCAUUAAUAAGUGAGGAGAUAUCAAAUUGAUUCCUGAUAUUUGUCAAGAUUAUAACAUUUCUAUUUUUGAGUCUACAGAUAUUGAUGGUGAUGACAAAAUGAAGAACCAUGCAGAAUUUUAUAUUUUCUGUAUAGGUUCAAAUAUCGUCAAAAGAUGUUCCAUUUUAAACCUAUGAGAAGGUUAUUUGGAAACAUAAAAAAAAAAAAUCAUUUUUUAUGUGGAGUUUGGCACGAGAAGAUAAAAGAAGUGGUUCGUUGCAAGACUAAUAUUUAGCUUGCAUAAAAACCCAAAGGAAGAAGUUCAUUGCAAGGCUAAUCAUCAAUUGCAAAGCUUCUUACAAAAGUCUCGUUCAAAACAAGAUUCAAAGAUUUGAGAAGACAAUUCAAAAUCUGUAGCAAAAGUGGCAAGGAGGAGUGUUGGGAUGUGCAACUUUUCCUACAUAUUUUGCUAGAUUAUGUUUGAUAUCAAAAUAAUUUAGUUAUUAGAAAAAUAAGGAUAUUUGUUAACCAAAAAUCAUGUUGAUUUGUUAACAGAUAUUUUAGAUAAGAUUUGUUAGUAGAAGGAGAUUAUAUUUUGUUGAGAUUUUUAGAAUAAUUGUUAGUUGGAUAUUUUGUUAGUUUGUUUCAUGUAAUCAUUAUAAAUAGUGAGUUGAUGAAUGUAGAACAUAAGUUCAUUUUUUUCACCUUUAAUACAAGUCUCUUAUAAGUUUUGUUUGCAACACUAAGGUGUUGUUUCUUAGUUUAUUCCCAAAAAAAAACCAACAGAAUUUCAUGGUCACGAUGAAUGCUCAAUUCAAUACCCUCAUGAGGAACUUACAGGGGGAAAGGGGAAUUCUAGGCCAACCUCUUAACUCAUCUGAGCGACCUCCUAAUCAAAUACUUAGCAAAAGUCAUGAAGGAAGCCAUCCUUUUCUGGGGGAAAAGAGUCGUUUCCCAAUAGGAGUUCCCAAACUGGAAUUUCCUAGCUUUGGAGGCUCUAAUCUAUGAGAAUGGAUCAGGAAAUAUGAGAAGUUUGUUCAGCUAUAUUAGAUUCCAGAAGGACAGUAGAUGGAUGUGGCUGAACUGUAUUUGGAAGGCAAGGCUGAUCUCUAGUAUCAAAGCUUCAAGAAGGACAGAGGAGUGGUGCAAUGGGGGGAUUUUGGCUCAGAACUUUGUAGAAGAUUUGGGGAUCUGGGGGGAGGAGAUGUGGUAGAGGAGUUCAACAAAUUGUAGCAGGAUUCAUCAGUUUUAGCAUAUCAGGACAAGUUUGAAGAAUUAAGAGCUGCUGUCAUGGUAAAACUACCCCUCCUCUCUGAAUAUACUAUGUUUCUAGCUUCCUGAGUGGGCUGAAGGAGGAGAUCAAGGCUGCUGUGAAAAUGCACAUGCCCCAGACCUUACAGGUAGCAUUCGAAAAGGCUAGAUGGCAAGAAUAGUAUUUGAGCAUCAUCUUAAGGCAGAAUAAAGUACCAAUGAAGAUAUCUCCACCAAUUUCUUCUGGAAGUAAACAUACCCACCCUAAUGACCUGAGCCACAAGAAACCUGCAACUCAUGUGUUUGAGAAUAGUAUUAAGAAGGAUUCUUCUCGGGUAAGAAAAUCUCACCCACAGAAUUUCAGUACAGGAAGGAUCACAACCUGUGUUUCAAGUAUGGGGAAAAAUUUUCUCCUGGACAUAUCUGCAAGAAUAGAGGGAUACAUUGGUACUAGUAGAUGAAGAAGGAUUGCAUGGCACUGAAGUAGAUGAGGAAGAAAGGGAAAUCAUUGAGUAUCAGGGGAAUAAGUCUAGCAAGGAUGUAGCCUUCUCACUACACUCAGUCUCUGGACACAUGUCUUCUAAUACCAUUAGGAUGAUAGGACACUAUAGGGGGCACGAUUUAUCCAUUCUGCUUGAGGGGGGGAGUACCAACUGUUUUAUCAGGUUAGCCAUUACUCAACUACAUCCUGAUUCUGUGCAGAGUCAUAAGCCCUUCAAGGUGAGGAUAGCUGAUGGAAAGGAGUUAAUGUGCAAUCAGUGGAUUCCAAAUAUGAAGUGGGAAAUGCAGGGACACAACUUCACUCAGAAUGUAUAUGUGUUGGACUUAGAGCCAUAUGAUUUAAUCCUUGGGGUGGAUUGGAUGAAACAUUACAGUCCAAUGACUUUUGAUUUUAAGGAGUUGACAUUGUCUUUUGAUAAGGAGGGUGAAACUGUGUUGCUGCAAGGAGACUCCCACACUGCCAAGGUGAGGAUGAGGCAAGGGACAGCAGCACAAAGGCAUAUCAGGAAUAAAGUCAGGACUUCUUUGCAACACUCUUGCAUGAUCAGAGUACAGAACAGUCAGGUAACUCCUGUACCAAAAUCACUUACUCAAUUGCUUGACCAAUGUUAGGACAUCUUUGAGGAACCUACAUCCUUACCCCCUAUCAGAGAAUUAGACCACCAAAUACCCCUCAUACCUGAUGCCAAACCCUUCAAAAUCAAUCCCUAUAGAUAUCUCCACAUGCAGAAAUCAGAAAUAGAACGACAGGUCAAAGACCUGUUGUAAUUUGGUAUCAUACAACCUAGCCACAACCCUUUUGCAUCCCCAGCUCUCUUGGUAAAAAAAAAGGAUGGAAGUUGGAGGUUUUGUAUUGAUUAUAGGCAGCUCAACAACCUUACCAUCAAAGAUAUCCCAUUCCUACCAUUGAUGACUUGCUUGAUGAAUUGCAUAAUGCAAAAAUAUUUUCUAAAAUAGAUCUAAGGUCAGGUUACCAUCAAAUUCGUAUGAACCCCUCUGAUGUCCCUAAAACAGCCUUUAGAACUCACUCUAGCCUUUAUGAAAACCUAGUGAUGCCUUUUGGCCUCACAAAUGCCCCUACUACAUUUCAAGCCUUAAUGAAUUCCAUAUUGGAACCUUUCAUCAAAUAGUUUGUGCUUGUGUUUUUUGAUGACAUUCUUGUUUAUAGCUCAGAUCUGGACAGCCAUCUUAAACACCUAUCCCUUGUUCUUAACACCUUGAGAACCCAUUCAUUAUAUGCGAAGAUGUCUAAAUGUUCCUUUGGUCAAGAUAAAAUUGAGUAUUUGGGACAUGUAGUUACUGCUGAAGGUGUUUCUGCUGACCCUGCAAAGGUAGAGGCAAUGUUUUUCUUGCCAGUUCCUGAUAACAUUAAGGCUCUUAGGGGUUUUCUUGGAUUGACGGGGUACUACAGGAGGUUUGUCAAGCGCUAUGGGAAAAUAGCAAAGCCCCUAAUUGAGUUGCUUAAAAAGGACAGUUUCGUAUGGAAUGAAGCAGCUACUUCUGCCUUUAAGCAGCUCAAGGUGGCUAUGUCACAGGCUCCUAUACUAGCUUUACCUAACUUCUCCAUGCCCUUUAUAUUAGAGACAGAUGCAAGCCAAACAGCUAUGGGAGCAGUACUGAUGCAGCAAGGGAGACCAAGAGCAUUCAUGAGCCAAGCUUUGGGACAAAAAAAUCAAUCAGUGUCCAUUUAUGAGAAAGAGUUGCUGUCCCUGAUCACUGCUGUAGGAAAAUGGAGGCAUUACUUAUUGGGAUCUCAUUUCAUCAUCAGAACAGACCAUCAAAAUCUAAAGUACUUGCUAGACAAAAGAUCACUACUUCCCUACAACAGAAAUGGAUUGCAAAAUUGAUGGGAUUGGACUAUGAAAUCCAAUACAAAAGAGGCAAGGAUAAUACAGUUGCAGAUGCUCUUUCUAGGAGGCAAGGAGGUUCUGCAGGAGGAAGCAAUCAGGAGAGUUACAAUGGAGUCCACUCUAUAUCUGCAGUCAAACCUCUAUGGCUCUCCAAGGUAUCAGAGAGCUACAAUGGAGAUAACAAGGUCAAAGAAUUAUUAACAACACUUGCAAUAGACAACUCUAGUACACCUGAUUACUCCUACCAUCAAGGGAUUAUCAGGUACAAGGGGAAGGUAUACAUUGGAGCUACCACUGAAUUUAGGAGGCAACUUGUUAGCUGCAUGCAUGAUUCUGUAGUUGGAGGCCACUCUGGCAAUCAGGGGACCUAUCAAAGAUUGAAGAGUUAUUUCUUUUGGCCAGGAAUGAAAAAGGAAGUGGAAGCUUAUGUACAAGCUUGUGACACCUACAAGAGGAGCAAAUGAGCAAGCUAGUUACCCUGGCUUGCUACAACCUCUCGCAAUACCAGAGCCAGCUUGGCAGCAUAUCUCAAUGGAUUUUAUCGAAGGUUUGCCAAAAUCCUUGGGGCAUGAUGCCAUAAUGGUCGUGGUGGACAGGCUUACUAAAUAUGCGCAUUUCAUAUCCAUGGGGUCUCAUUUCACAGCAAAGAGUGUUGCACUGGUGUUCUUCGAGCAAAUCUAUAAACUGCAUGGUUUGCCAGUGGACAUUAUAUUUGAUAGGGACAAGAUUUUCACAAGUUUAUUUUGGCAGGAGCUUUUUCAUCAGGUGGGAACUACCCUUAGUUUCUCAUCCUCAUAUCACCCCUAGUCUGAUGGACAGACUGAGAGAGUAAAUCGAUGUGUGGAAACCUACUUGAGGGCUUUGUGUUUGCAAUAGUCUGGUCAUUGGAAAAGGUGUUUGCCUGCAGCUGAGUAGUGGUACAACACUAAUUUCCAUUCUAGUUUAUAGAUGACACCCUUCCAAGCACUCUAUGGUUAUAAACCAAAACAGCUGUGCCUACAACCAGACAACACCCAAGUACUUGCUGUGGAGAUUGGUUAACUGAGAGGGUGAAUUGGAACUCCCUACUGAAGGAAAAUUUGUUGCAUGCUUAGAACUAUAUGAAAUAGUUUGCAGACAAACACAGGACUGACAGGACAUUUGCUGAGGGGGAUUGGGUUUACCUCAAGUUACAGCCUUGUAGACAGACCACUAUGGUUGUUUGAAAAAAUUGAGCUAGCAGCUAAGUACUAUAGACCACAUCAGAUUGAAAAAAGGAUUGGAGCAGUAGCCUAUAAACUCAAGUUACCACUAGGAGCUGCUAUUCAUCCUGUAUUUCAUGUUUCGCUUUUGAAACCUUCCGCAAAAGGUGCUCCAGCUAGCACAAUAUUACCUCAGCCAAGUGAUGAAGGCUUCUUUUCGAUCACCCCAUCCUCUAUACUGGAUCGAAGAUGGAUUGAUAGGGAUGGACACAAGGUGGAGCAGAUUUUGGUGCAGUGGAAGGACUUACAAAAUGAGGAUGCAACGUGGGAAGACUUCUCAGUCAUCAAGAGUCAAUUCCCUGACUUCAAUCCUAGAGACUAGGAUUGUUUCGAGAGGGGGCAAUUGUAAUGAUUCCACAGGAAAUAGGACAAAAUAGUUAGCCAAAUUCUGUUAGCCAAAUAUUGUUGGAUUUAUUAUAGCAGCAACAACUUGCAGAAAGUUAGUUAUAGUUAGUUAGUUGGGGGGAACUUCUAUUAAUAGGCCAACACUGAUGUAAGGAAGGACAUGCAAAAUCUGAUCUCUAAAGAAUACAACUUCCCUGCCUUUUUUUCAAAUUCAUCCUUGCUCUCUCUCUUUCUCUUACUCCCUCCUCUCGAUUCUUUUUUUCCUAUACUUUCUGUUCCUUAGCUGAAUCAUCAGAUUCUCAACCAUUACAAAUUCCUAGGUCAGGGAAUUGAGACCUCCACUGACCUCUGUAUCAGAUGCCUUCACACUUGGUGCAACUACCUAUACUUUCUCAAAUGCAUAUAGAUGUAAGCAGGUCCAUUUGCAAUUCCAGAUGUUGAGGAGGUCUGCUACUUCUUUGUUGACACACUAGUCCAGCGUAUCUCUUGUUCAAUUCGACCUUUAAAGAUUGAGUGACAGAAUCAGGCUAGGUUUGAGCCCUUGCAGGAUGGUUCCCUCCUCCUUAGGUAGUAUAGUAGCUCUGUUGGAUCUCGUCUUAGUAGCAGCUUUGUUGAAUGGUUUCCCUUGUCUUAGUAGUAGCUUUGAACCUUGGAAAUUGUACCCUUGUUAUUUGUGUUUUGUUAUGUAAUUUUCUUGAGAUUUGGGUGUACUCCAAAGAAAAUUACGACUAUCGUUGUAAUUAAUCGUGAACUAAAUAAGGCUGUUUAAAGGAUUGAGCUACUUUGAGAAUGUACUACUAGAAGAACGCAAACAUAUCUGACUAGACCAAGAAUAAGGCCCUCGGAUCACUGAAUUAAGAGACUUGAAUUGUUUCCAAAUCAUGAAUGUUUGAGGGAAAGAGCAAGAAAAGAACAAAUGCUCACAAGUUUCAACAAUAUUUCAACAAAAAUCACAAGUAUCAUCCUUUACUACACUCCACUUCCUCAGCCUGCUUCUUUUAUAAAGUCUCUCACAUCAAGAAAGCAAAUUUGGACACGAGGUUCAACCACACCAGCCUGUUUUCUUUUGACAUUGAAAAUUUUUUGAACUUGUGGGGUGUUAUCUUUUGCUUUCUAGUAGACAUAAGUGGUAGCCCUAGAUACCUCCCUCACAAAGUUCGUAAAGGCAUACAAAGCAACUGAUUCAGGUAGAGCUGUCUUUCAGACUUUGUUCCAGCAUAAACAAUUCACUCUUUUGAAGAUUGGUUUGCAAUCUAGACACUCCUGUAGAGAUAUAUCAGAUGCAGAAGCCAAAAAGAAGAGGUCAUCAGGAAAUGUUGAGUAAGGUUCAGCGUCUCAACUUUGGAUGAUAAUCUGAUCUGUCUUCCUGAAUAAUUUAGCCAAAACACUAGAGAACACCUCCACUGCAAAUAGGAACAAAUAUGGUGAGAUUGGAUCACCCUGUCUAAGCCUCUAAUCAGUUCUAAAAAUCCAAUCAGAGAUCCGCAUAGAUUCAAGGAGAAACUGGCUGUAGUCACAUACUUCUAACUCCACACAAAACACACAGUUCUAAAUUUCUUGAGAUGCAUAACCUCAAAAAGAGACUCCCAAUUGACUGAAUCAUAAGCCUUCACUACAUCAACCUUUUUGGCUACUCUAGGUUUUCCAUUAAUGAGGUGACAAUGACAUUGCUUGAUAAGUUCAUGCAUGAGCAAUACAUUAUCAUAAACGGAUCUCAUUUUAAGAAAAGCACUGCCCGGUAAGAGAUGGCAUCACCACUUUAAUUCAGCCAGUGAUCACUUUUGAAAAACAUUUAUAGAGAAUGUUGCAACGAGCAACAUGCGUAACAUCUUUCACAGUGACAGGGGAGCAUUCAAAUGAAAAUAGAGAUUUUGGGAUGAGAACCACGACUGUACAGCGCUAACAAACUCCUCCCCAGUUGUCUUCCAAUUCAAUAUGGAAAAAAUCUACUGCAAAGCCAUGAGGACCAGGGCCUGUACCUCUUAUCAUUUUAAACAAUGUGCUUUUAUUUUCAUCCUGAUUGACUAGAGCUCUGAACGACCUCCUAUGACAAACUGCUUGAGCUUCAAGGAUCCAAGGGCCAUUUACCGAUCUGUAGAUAUAGGCACCGUGUCGGCAAACAAAUCCAUAAAAAGAAUGAGAGCUUCACUUUGAUUCGUUUAUAGUGAUUCAACCGUGAGCCAUGCUAAUAGUACGAAGUCUAUUUCUUUGCAAAGGAAGUUUUCAAUUUGAUUAUAUUUUUUUCUUAACGCUCUUUUCCUAAAUCCUCUUUACUGCUCCACCUUCUUCCAUGAACUCUAGUGGACUCCAUUCAUGACCUCAAUUAAAAUUUUGCAAGUACUAGGCUUCGAGCAUAUUUUAUCAGAUAAAUAGAAAUUAUUGGGAGCAAUUCAUGCCUGUCAAUGCUGCAUUGUAAGAAUACUUCUCAUGUAGUUGGCUUAUAUUAAAUCUGUAUACAUUUGAAUACCAUGAGUCUUAAACACAAUAACUUGAUUCAAUCGAAAUCCCCUAUGAUAUGCGGUCUGAAUUUAGAUCCACUACCACCUGGCUGGCGGAAAAAAUGUACUGUUUUGUCAGUUUAAUCUUCUACUCCUACUCCUAUCAAGCUGUGGUUGUUGCACAACAUUUUCCAAGGCUGUGAUUUUCACCUUUCCUUAAUAGACAUUUUAUCUUGCUGAAUCCAUAAUUAUCAACUGCAUCUAAUCUGUUCUAGAUUCUCCUUUGCAUAUGUCAAAGAGGUACUUCAGGAAAUAUUUAAAGCUAAGAUGGUAGAUAAUAAAUGACUACUUUAAAUUUCAUUAAAAACACAAAUAUUGUUAUUAAAUAUAGCAAUUGUCACAAUAAUUUUUCUACAAGGACAGGAAAGGAAACUAAAUACCACAUCAUUACUUCAUGUGGGAAAUGAUACACCAAUGAAUGUGGGACACAAAAUUUAAAUUAUAUUUAACUUAUCAUAUUAACACCUGAAUCCCUCUUAAUGAGUACCCAAUGGGCAUUUGAUUUAAUUUUACUUUUGCGAAUGACUUAAUUAAUGCCAAUAUAGUAGUUCCUAAAUUACCAAAGUUUGAAAGUUCUCUGACUAAAAAUACACAAUGUAGUCUUUACAAAUUUAGAUAUUUCUCCAAUAUAAUUUUCAGAAGGGCAAAGUAUUUAUUAGGGGGUCCAAUUAUUCAAUUGCUAGAUACGGCAAUCCUGACCUACUAAUUUACUAAUCUAUCUCUGUUCAGCGUGUGAAAGGCGUGUGAACUGACACAUUUGCAAAACGAAUUGAAGAUUAAUCUGUAAAGCAAAUUUCUUGGCUUUCUGACUUUUUAUUGUAAAGCAUUUAGGUUGAUUAAUUCACGACUCACGUGUAAGCGAAGAUUUGGGGAUUUUUCCAAGCAUUUUUUGUUGUUUCGGAUAUUAAGAGCUACUAGAAGUCUAGGACUUUACAUACUUGGUCAUUCUUUUUUGUAUAACUGGCUUCAACUUCCAUCCAUCUCUGUUCGUAACUCAUCAAGAUUCUGUUUGUGAGGAUUGGCUUUAUCUCCGUUAUUGUAACCAAACAUGGAAAAGUCCCAUGUUGUUCUUUCUCUGCUUCUGGUUCUACUGUUUCAUGUUGGCAUAGCCACAGCAGUUAAAACUGAAGAUGGAUCAGAAGCGUGGGGCUAUGUUCCAGUCAGGCCAAGUACACUAAAUCUUUUCUACAAUCUUUAUCCCAAUUUAGAUAUUUUAAGGGCAGAGAUAUAUGGAUUUACUUGUCAAUGAUGAACUUGAAUUGUUGUGCUUUUUGCAGAGGCUCACAUGUUCUGGUGGUACUACAGAAGUCCAAACAGGAUUCAUGAUCCAAAAAAGCCUUGGCCAAUAAUUCUUUGGUUGCAGGGUGGACCUGUAAGUAUCAGAAUUCUCGUGGGAUUCUCUCUAGUUUCAAUCUUUAUUGCUUGUUCAUACAAUCAACAGUAAUUUGUUUACUGAAGGGAGCUUCAGGAGUUGGACUUGGUAAUUUCGAAGAAUUCGGGCCUUUAGAUGUGUUCCUAAAGCCAAGAAAUUCGACAUGGUUGCAGAAAGCUGAUCUUCUGUUUGUGGUAGGUACAAGGUUGCAUAACGUUGGUGAAUAAUCACUUCAGCAUCAAUACUGUUUUACAAAAUAAAAUGGGAUUUCCCUGCAGGGUUUUUCUUUCAUCUGCUUAUCCAAAUUCAUUUUUGCCCGUUUCCAAUGUAAAUAGGAUUAUCCAGUUGGGACUGGUUACAGUUUUGUGGAAGACGUUAAAAACACCACAUUGUUUGUGAAGAGUGAUGUGGAGGCUGCAAAGGAUGGAACUAAAUUCUUGACUGAGUUUUUCAACAGGAAUCUGACUCUCCAAAAGAGUCCUCUGUUUAUUGUAGCAGAGUCUUAUGGAGGCAAAUUUGCUGUAACUCUGGCAUUAUCUGCUUUAAAAGCUAUUGAGGCUGGAAAGCUGAAGCUAAAUCUUGGAGGUAACAAUUGCUUUUUCAUUCUCAAAAUUAAAAUUUUAUUCUCUCUUCAAUCCUGAAGUCUUGAACUUGCUGUUACCUUUUCUGCAUAGGAGUUGCAUUGGGAGAUAGUUGGAUUUCACCAGAAGAUUUUACCGUAUGUAGUUUCUGUUCUUCAUUCGUCUCAUGAUUACUUAGUUGGAACAGCUGAAUUGAGUUCUGGCGAUCAAAAUACAGUCUUCAUGGGCUCCUCUUUUGAAAGACGUCUCAUUGCUUGACGGCAAUGGUUUCCAGAUAUCAAACAGGUAUUAAGUUAUAAUACUUGAAAGAUGGCACUAUCCUGAAUCCACGCCUCAAAUGCAUCGAUGAUGUGUUUUUUUAGUAUUGAAACUUGCGUGAAUUUAACAUUUCUGUCUAACCUAAUCAAGCUCGACAAUUUUAAGUUGUCUAAUAAGCCUAUUGUUCAAUGCAGGGUUGCUAAUCAAAUUAAGAAGCAAAUUGCAGCAGGUAAGUUUGCGGAGGCCACAGACACAUGGAAUGAAUUGGAAGAUCUAAUUACCAAGUACAGUAACAAUGUGGUAUGAAUUUGAAGAAUUUAUGUUUAAUCACAACAAAUUGUUAAGUAUGUGCUUGACGAUUCCUUUUGUGGAUAAAUACAGGACUUCUACAAUUUCCUCUCAUUUGCAGAGGACGACCCUUCAUCGCUGUCAGCUGCUUCAGAACUAAAACAACGUAUUGCAGUAAAACGGUCCUCUCCUGGAGGUGAUGGAGAUCUUUACAGCUUGAUGAAUGGUGAUAUUAAAAAGAAGUUGAAGAUUAUACCACCAAAUGUUACGUAAGUUUUUCUCCUUAGAAAAUUUUCAGACUUUUUCAGAGUUCAAUACUUUACUGUCAUUAAAGGAGUAGUGUGAUAUCAACAGAUGGGGAGGGCAGUCCAAUAGUGUUUUUGAAGCCCUGAAAGGUGACUUCAUGAGACCCAGGAUUAGUGAGGUAACUAAAGCAGCUGCAUUUUUUUUUGGUUAGGAAUUAAUCACAAAGUUUAGGAACUUUUGGUUUUUAGUUUGAGCUACACCAAGAACGUUUUUUGAAUUUCUGGAUCAGCAUUCUUUGACACAUCUCAAUUGCGAUAAGAGCAGUUACCCAAUUAUAUGCAGUAAAUUCUAAAGCAUUUGAUCAACUGCUUUUGGCAGGUUGAUGAGCUUUUAGCAAAAGGAAUAAAUGUGUCUAUCUACAAUGGACAAGUAAGAUUCUGUAAUGCUUUAUGUUGUUUCUCACAAUAUUCUCCAAAGAGGAAUGGAAAAAUAGUGUAUUAACAUUUCUGGAAGAAUGGGAUUUACACAGAAGCAGUAGAUAGAUAUUCAAGGAAAAACUUGAUAGGACUUUCUGGUUGUACUAUGAUUCCACUGCAUAGCAUUUGUUUUCAAAAAUUGGCAAUAAGAUAAUAUGGCAAUAAUGGAACAUAAUAAUGGUAACCAGGUAAAGGAUGAUAUUUUGGAGUAAUCGUACUUGUAAUUUGAUAUUUGCUCACAAUAAAUUGUGAAUUCCAGUGGAUAAACUUGAUCAGGGCAGCUUUAAUAUCCAUGCUACAAAUUUCACUGUUUUUUUUUUUUUUUUUUUUUUUUUUUUUUUGUGUUUGGCUAAGUAGUUCAAUUUUAAGUGUUGUUUUGUUGUUGGUUGUAGUUCGAUCUAAUCUGUGCAACCAAGGGAACCAACGCAUGGGUUGAAAAGCUCAAGUAAGAAAAAAAAAAUCCCAUAAGUAAAUAAGCACCAAAAUUUCUUCCCCUGAUCAGUAAUUUUUUUUGCCUAUUUUCACAGGUGGCAUGGGAUAAAAAAUUUCUUGAACAAGGAUAGAACGCCUCUCUAUUGUGGAGGUGACAAGAGUAUUAAGGGUUUCACCAAAUCAUACAGAAAUCUUCAUUUCUACUGGAUUCUAAAUGCUGGCCACUUUGUAAGUCAACAAACCAUUGUCAUAUUUCUGCUGCAUUUGUUUGUUAGUUUAAAAUUACUGUUACUUUUGCCUACUUGACAAGGUUGAGAACACAACACACACUUGUCUCAACUCUCAAUAGCUUUAGUAUGUCAUAGCCAAUCUCCACAUUUGAGAAAUGCUAAAGUUUGCAUAAUAUUGUCUUUGUCCAAGAAACCAUCAAAGGUAGUAGAAAAAGUAAUACUCCCUCCAUUCCAUUAAAACGUUCACUUCUCAUUUUUGCAUUUUCCAAAAUGCUUGUCAUGUCCAAAAGCUAAACAUAAUUUUCGCUCUCAUUUCAAAUACUCUUGUUCAUUGUCAUUUUGGGGAAGACAUUUCAAACAAUUGAGAUUUUACUCUGGGAGCAUGAAGCUGAGAAAGCUUAAAUAAUUAUCAGUAUCAGUUCCAUUGAAAGGUGGAUUGCGAAAAUGUGGCAAAACUAUGGGAUUGAAAGUAGUAAUUGCCAGACUUAUAAUGAAACUUCGGAUUAUUGAGACAAAGAUGAAACUGUGUGUGUCUGAAAGAAGAAUUGAAUGAAUUUGACAAGUAACAUCACACUUGUAUCUACUUGAGGACAAUGAAACUGGUUCUGCUGCGACGCAAUAACUACCAUUAAAGUUAGGGUAGAUCGGACUUAUACCAAUAUGUCUGGCAUUUAUUGGUGGUAAAUCUACCAAACCCUGUGGGAAUAUCCGAAUAUGAGAUGUUUAAGAACAAAAGAAAACUAUGGAACAUCUUUGUGAGAGAAAUUUUCCAUACCAAUUAUUUGUUGAAGUUGUUUAUUGGUUAUAGACAUGAGAAGGGCAAGCAGAAUGGACAUUAAGAUUUGUAGCGAAUAUGUUCUCGCUAAGUAAAUACUAUAUUUGAUAGAUUUGUAAGGAAAUUUUCUUAUAAUUAUGUAGGGGUGGCAAUUUCUGACACGACCCGAAAACACGACACGAACCUAACACGAAAUUAAUGGGUUUGGGUUGAGGUUUCGGGAGUUCGGAUCAGAAUCGGGUCGAACCCGAUGAACCCGAAAAAAAAAAUAGGUCAAUUUCAGGUCAAUCCGUGGUAACCUGAUAUGAUCCGAUGUGACCCGUUUACGAAUUAAAACUAAUUUAAUAAACAUUAAAAUUAUUUUAUCUAACUAAACUAAAUCAUUCUUUUUUUCCAAAGACAUUAAUUACUUAGUCCUAAAUGAAUUUAUUUAACUUGUGUGAAGUUAAAAUUAUUAUAUUUGGAAAAAUAAUAUAUUAUGUUAUUUUUUACUUUUAUGCUGUUUUAAUUUAUUUUAUAUUUGGUUUGGGAUAAAACACUUUUAUGGUGUUUAAUUUAUUUUAGAUUUGGUUUGAAAUUAUUUAUUUAAAUUUUUAUUACUUGAUGAUGUAAUUAAUUUUGUGAAAAAUUGAUUUUAUUAGAAAUUACAGUGAUAAAUUAAUAAAUUAAAAUUAAGUUUCGGGUCGACCCGCCAACUCAAAAUUUUCGGAUUCGUGUCAGGUACCCUGACCCGUUUCGGGUUGGCGGGUCGGAUUCGGGUCAGCAGGUUCUUUAUUAUACUUAAGCCUCAACCCGACCCGCCAACCCGAACCCGACUCGAUUGCCCCCUAUAAUUAUGUCAUAUAAAUUUAUUUGCCCUUUUCGAUUCUUUAUAGGUCCCUGUUGACCAGCCCUGUGUAGCAUUAAAGAUGAUAGGAAGCAUCACACAGUCACCUGCUGCUUCAGGGUUGGUGUCGCUUUCCAACUUAGCCAAUACAGAGGACAGAUACUGAAGAAAUAUGAACCGAAGAAUAACAUAGAAUUCUCUUUUGAUUCUGAAAAAACCAUCACAGGAAUGAGAAUUAUUUCAGAGGAAAUUGGAAAUUAUUUUUUAGUAUUUUCGUCUUGUGGAGUCUUUAUGACAUUUUUUUUAGGGCAAGUUUUACUUUAUCCCCCUGUGAUUUAAGUAUUUUUUUUUUUUUUACAUAACCCCCAUAUGGUUUUAAAAGUUAUAUAUAAUCCCCUCAUGGUUUGGAUUAAAGUGUCAAAGUAACGGGAAUGAUCAUUCAUAACGGAGUCACCUAAAAUGUCAAAAAUACCCUUAUAUAAAGUUAAAAAUUAGGAUUAAUCACAUUUAAUCCCCUUAAGGUAUACCUCAUUUCUCAGUUUACCCCCUAACCUUUUAUUUUGCUCACUUAACCCCCUAUAGGAUAAAAUUGCCCUUGCAUAAUUUUGACUUUUCAUUUAUUUUGUUUUCCUUUCUUUUAUUUCUUUUUCUCUUUCUUCUUUAUUUAAUUCUUCCUCUUUCUCACAAAAAUCUUCACCUUAAUGAUUGAAAUUAAAAAAGAAGAAUUGCAGAGAUCUAUCUUCUCCUUAAAUGAUUAAAAAAAAUAUUCAAAUCACUUUGCUAAAAUACAAUUUUUUUAGCCUUUCAAUUCUUUUAAUUUUAAAUUUUCCUCUUUCGUUUCUAGUUUCUCAUUUUAUUCCCAAGAAAAUAUCUUAAGAUGAAAUUGUGACUUGAUUAAUAAUCAUCAAUUGAAAUUUGUGACACGUGGCAUCAUUAAAAAAAAUCAAAUUAGUUUUUGAUGCCUUUUAAACCUUCACCCAGAAAUAUGCAAUUACAAACUCAAAACAAUAAUUUUCGUUGAAAUGGAAUUUUCUAUUGGGAAUGAUGAAAGAGAAAAGAAAAAGAAAAAGAAAUAAAAGAAAGGAAAACAAUUUCAUCUUAUGAUAUUUUCUUGAGAAUAAAAUGAGAAACUAGAAAGGAAAGAGGAAAACCCAAAAUUAAAAGAAUUGAAAGGUUAAAUAAAUUGUAUUUUAAGAAAGUGAUUUGAAUAUUUUUUUAAUCAUUUAAGAAGAAGAUAGAGUUCUGCAAUUCCUCUUUUUUAAUUUCAAUCAUUAAGGUGAAGAUUUUUGUGGGAAAGAGAAAGAAUUAAAUAAAGAAGAAAGAGAAAAAGAAAUAAAAGAAAGGAAAACAAGGUAAAUAAAAAAUGAAAAUAAUGCAAGGGCAAUUUUGUCCUAUAGGGGGUUAAGUGAGCAAAAUUAAAGGUUAGAAGGUAGACUGAGAAAUGGGGUGUAUCUUAAGGGGAUUAAAUGUGAUUAACCCUUUAUUUAUUUAUUAACCAAGGGGGGGUUAUGUGUAUAUUUUGAAAACCAUAAGGGGAUUAUAUGGUAAAGUAUUAAACUAUAAGAGGGUUAUAUAGUAAAAUAUAAAAAUCAUACGGGAUUAGUGUGUCAUGUAUUUAUAAGGGUAAUUACGACAUUUCUAGAAGUUCCGUUACGAAUGACUAUUUCCGUCACUUUGACACUUUAAUCCAAACUAUGAGGGGGUUAUGUAUAGUUUUUGAAACCAAAGGGGAGUUAUGUAAAAAAUGCUAAACCACAGGGGGUAAAAUGUAAUUUACCCUUUUUUUAUGUAGAAAAAAUAGAAUUUCAUUGCUGAAUUUGCUAAAAAUCAUCCAGCAGAUUUUGUUUAAGAAAGUUAGGAGGUCCAUUUUAUAGAUAUCCAUCGAGUUACUGGACUUGACACGAUUUGAUUUGCAUGUCCUUAUAGUUGGUGAAUAAUUCGAGACAUGAUAUUUGACUAGCUAGUGAUGCAUCACGUUGAGAGAUACAAACUACAGGUGCUCAAACCGUUUCAAUAGGUUUGCAAUUGAACCAGAAUCAAAAGCUUCAAAGAUAACACUUUACAUUCAAUUUGCCACAACUAAACACUCAAGCUAGUUCCUACGGUUAAGAUUUGAGGGAAAAAAAAUUACAGAAAAAAGUAGCCUACAAUUUUGCGCUACAUGUCCGAGAAAAAAAAUAUUAGCAAGUAAAAUGUCAUCAACAUACAAUAUCAAAAAAUAUACUUGCUCCCACAGAACUUAUGGUAUAUAAAAUCAUCUAUUAAAUUCAUUUCAAAACCAAAUAAGAUGAUCACUUGAUGAAAUUUGAAAUAAUAUUAUCGAGACACUUGUUUGAAUCCAUUGAUGAAUUUUUUAAAUUUGCAAACCACAUUUUUUGGAUCUCCCAGUACAAAAUUUUUUUACUACACCAUAUAAAUCGUCUUAUCAAUAUUACCAUUACGAAAUGCUGUCUUUAUAUUUAUUUAGUAUAAUUCAAGAUUAAAAUGUGCCACUAAUGUCAUGAUAAUUCUAAAAGUCUUUCGAAAAAAUCGGAGAGAAGGUUUCUUUAUAAUCGAUAUAUUGUUUUUGUGUAAAUCCCUUAGCAACAAGACGAAUUUUAUAUUUUUUUUACAAUAUCUUUCAAAUCUCUCUUAAUUUUAAAUAUUCAUUUACAACCAAUGGUUUCACUCCUUCUAACAAUUGGACAAGAUUCUAGACAUCAUUGUCUUUAUGUGAGGACCCGUAAAUUUUUCUUAUUUAUUUUAUUUUUUCGCGUGCAUUUUUCUUACUUUAUUUUAUUAUCGUAAUUUUUCAGAAAUUUUUAUAAGUGAGUAUAGUUUUUAAAUUAUUUUCUAGUAUAAGUUAGUUUGGGUCAAUUUGGAAGUGUAUUAAGGACAUGAGACCAGCUAGUGCAGUUAGUGCGAUAAAAUUUUGAACGACUAGAUUAAGUUUCGUAUUGAGAAAUAUUAUUUUACAAGGUACUAGGAGAUAAUUAGAGGUUAGUUAGAUAGAUUAGCCAUUGGAAGAAAGAAGAUAAGUUUGAACAAUUAAAAGUGCCAUGUGUUGCGACCCGAUUGGAUGGUGAACUUACCUAACUUUCUUACCUUUACUAAAAUCCCAAUUUUGACCAAGAAACCAUCUUCAUUUCCAACCUCUUGGCCGAACCUCUCAAGGAGGGAAAAGAAAAGAAAGCUUCAACUACUUCUUCCAUUUCUUGCUUAAAUCUUGAAAUCCAACCGAUUAAAUCUUGAAUUUAUCCACCAAAGUGACUUGUUAAGAGAGUUUCAAGGUAUUGGUGGAGUUGAUUUGGAGGAAAAACCCCUAAACUACUACCUUUCUUGAGCUGUGUAGGUAUUUUGUUUGGAAACUCACUUUUGUUCCUAAUAAUGGUCAAUUAGUAGUUUGUAGUGGCUAAAUAUGCUAUUUCAUGGAAGAUUUUGUGGUUUGAGGUAGAGUUAGUUAAAUUUUAGAUUUUAUUAGUGAUUUUUCUGAUUUUAUAUGACAGUUAUUGGUUGGCCAUGAAUGAUGGCUUGAUAUGGAGUAAAAUGAAGCUUUUAUAUGUUAGUUGUGGUUGUUUGCGGAAAAUUUCAGUUUUGUGCGGAAAUUUCAGUUUUAAGGUUCCAAUCUGCCCUGUUCUAACCGGCUUUAUUCAUGCAUGUUAGAGGCCGAAUCAGGCUUAAGUUAAAACAUAAAAGUUGUAGCAAAUGGUGUUAACUAGCUGCCUGCAAAAUUUCAGCUCGAUCCGAGCACUAUAGCAUGUAAAAUGACCUAAAUACCCUUGACUGCCCAUGAGCCCUGUUUCGCGGAUAGAUUUCUGUUUUCCUCAGGAAUUCCAUUUGUGACCAUGAAAAUGCAUGAUUUGGCUUUGGAGGUUUUCAUAAGAAAUAUAGGUAUAUGUUUUGGCUUCGAAACGCCAUAAGAUUCGUUUCAAUCCGAUAAGUGUAGGUUCAGUUGUGCUUAUUGUGCCAAAAGAUGUAUUUGAUAGUUUAUGAUGUGUAUGUGGUUGAUUUGAGAUGAAUUGGUGUUGCUUAUAGGAUGGAAAAGUAAGGAAAUGUAGGGAAUAUGUUGUCCAAAUUUUGGGAGUGUUGGAUUUCUUCGAGUUUGGUUGGAUUUGGAAUAUAUAUAUAAGAAAGGGUUUUGGGGUUGUUUGAGCCCUAGGUCUUCAUGUUACCUUUUCGUCCCCAAAAAUUAUGUUUUGCACCCUUGCAUUAGUAAUUAUUUGGCGAGGCAUAUGACUAGUAGUCGAGCCUCACUUAUGCAUUCCGUUUACUCAAUUUUGGAUGUGGAACCUUCAAUUGUUCUACUUUGGUUAUUUUAGAGUUUCUUGGCGAUUAAUGCCACUCUGGCAUUGAAACUUUUGAAGUAUCUGUACUUGAACCGGUAAGUGUACCACUCCCUUGAAUUAUUACUAAACUGGUUAUCUGUACUUGCAAAUUGCUAUUUGAAUAUUUUUCUCGACUGUUUAUUUUGUACGAGACAAGUGUGUACUUUAUCACACUCGUUCUCUGGCCUGUGUGGCUUGUUUCCUAUAUAUACUUGAAUCUGUUACCUGCGCCUAUUAUAAUGUCGUUGGAAGUGCAUCCAAUGACCUUCCUGUUAAAUCUGAACUCAACCUCAUUGGGAGUUAAUUGAAUCGAGCCAGCAAGGGCUUGGUCGAGAAAAUUGACAAUCCGUGGGUGCCUGUUCCUAGGGAAUCUAUAGGUAUUGGAGACUCUGGAUUUUCAGUAUACUCGAAUAUUACCAUUUCUGUUCCUGUUUGGCGUUCGGGCUCAGUAAGGAGUGUGUUUGGUGAACAGGAUUUUGGCGUUAAAGUGGUGUUCUACUGGACUGGUUCUUUAUUUGAACGUUGACGUAGGGUCAACGAGGCUGGAUCAAGUAUUGCAACGGAGAUUUGGCUCCUGAGAGCCACCUAUAUCCUUUACAUUGUGGUGUUCAUUCAUUUCUCGUAUUUGAUAUGAAUAUGUGCCUUAAAAGUGAUUUCUCAUGAGUUCUACCGUUUAUACUUUUGGUACCUCAUUGAGCUUUUAGCUCACCCCAUUCCGUUAUCAUUGUUUUCCUUACAGGGAGCAAUCUUUUGGAAUUUCGAUGUUUUGAAGAAUGAGUUGAGCUAGAAAUUCUUCUGUUCUUUUGGUAUAGCUCCUCGACAAUUUGAAAAUCCUAAAUGUAUCUUAAUACAAUGUUUCCUUUUGAUUUGUAAACUUAUAAUAUAUAUAUUUUAAAGUGUUUCCUCAUGUUUAUGUGACAUAUAUUUGGAAAUGUAAAUUCUCUCAUGUUAAACAAAGUUUACUUGUACUUGGUUGGAUUGUGACGUGGUAGCGGCACUUCCAUCUCGUUUUGAUUUUUCGUGGGAACGUUGUAGCCAAGAUUUAUUGUAUCUUUUAGUUCGGCUCAAUUGGGUUCUGAAUGUUUAUCUUCUCAAAGUUCUUUUGAGCGUUUGGUAGGAGUUACGUUUGUUCCAGAUCUGUAGUCCCGGCGAGAGUUGGGCAGGCGGUCCGCCUAACCCUUUGGUUCCUUUUAAGGUGAGAUGUGGCUGUCACAGGUGGUAUCAGAGCCGCUUCGCAUGGUCUCUACGUGGAGUGAGUUUGGGCCAAGUGAUGUUAUGAUUCUGAUUUCAUGAAUAUGUCUAAGUACUCGUAUGAGUAUAAGUUAUGAAUCGAGCAUGUUAUAAGUGUAAAAAUCUUUAUCAUGGAACUUGAGGAAGAUAGAUAUGUAUGUCGGGUCGGAAUCUAUAAUAUGGAUGAUUUACUCUUGGGACCGGCCGGCUCAAGUUGUGAAUUAUUUAUUGUGGAUUCUUUACUUGAGUACCAAGUAGUGGAGAGCGUGAGAAUAAUGGUCUGUAUCUUGAUUGAACUUGAGGUAUGUAUGGAUGACAAAGGUCAAUGCACGGAAGAUUUUACAUUGGACCUAGUAAUUAGACUGGUUGAAGGGGUUUGAUAUGAAAAUGUUAUCAUGAACUACUCUUAUACUAGUCUGGCUCGGGUUUUCUAGAGGGUGGUUAGAUUAUAAGGGAAUUCGCAUCUAAGACCUGUUCCCUUUUGCUAUGACCGUGAGGACUUGAUAAGUGUUUACUUGACUUUGAGUUAAUCUAUCUACAACCAUAGAGGUAUUUUCUACUCCUCUUGUGAGAUUCGAUACCCGUAGUUGGCGCUCGAUAAACUACCCUUACCUAUACUUUCUUGAUAUUUAUCUCUUGAUAUCAAAGUAUGGACCUGACUUGAUUAUUAUUGUGUCGAGAUCGAGAAUUUGGAAUUAGGUAUGGAAAUUUGAGAGAAAGGAUUUGGCCUCUAUACCUGUAUGCUUCUAAGUUUAAAUUUCCAUGGUUCGAUUGGGAGUAAGGGAACUUAACAGUUAUAUGGUUAAAGUCCCAAGUGUACUUGGUUACUUAUAUUGAUUUUCUAAUUUGCUUGGCAGGCUAUCCCUUGAGUUCGAGCGAAUCGAUAAAAUGGCACAUUUAGCUGAUAUGUAUAAGGAGAUAGAGAUUCUUCGAAAGGAAGUAGAAUUUCAAAAGAGAUUAGUUGAGCACUGGGAAGGGUAAUGGAAACAGGAGUAUUCGGAAAAAAUUGAGCUACUGCACAAGAACAUAGAGAUGAAAAGAAAUACGAAGGGAUUCUGGAAGAGGUACGAAAUAAGUUUGGGCUAGUGCCUUCAUCUAGUCAAAUGGCCUCUCAGGACAUUUCUAAUAAUAAAGAUGAAAGAGGUGAAGGAAGUGCUCGUGAUAACAAAGGGACACAUAAAGAAAUAGAUGGAAAAGGAGUUGCUAUGAAGGAUAAGGGGAGGAAGAAGAAAAAGAAUGGACACUUUAAAUAAGAAGAAAUGUGUGGCUGCUAAGUGUGAAAUGUGUAACAAAAGUCAUACAGGAAUAUGUUAUGUGAAAAUUGGUGCAUGCUUUAGAUGCGGCCAACUGGAACACCAAAUGAAGAACUGCCCAGAACAAAUGAAUUUUGGGAGGGCGAAACUGCUGUCAUAGUUAAAGUCAGCAAGUAGUGAUGUGUUAGCUGAAAUAAUUGUAUUUAUAGACCUAUGUGUAUGCAACCUCUAUGUAAUGAGUAUGUUUCCGAUAAAAGUAGUUGACCUAAUACUUGAUAUUUUGAUGAGUAAUAUUAAAUAUUGGUGAUUUAACAGUAUUGAAUCUCGAUUCAUGAAUCUUUAUUAUCUUUUAGCCUCGAUAUUAAGUGAAAUUUGUGUCUGUGGUUCGGAAAGAGAAACUUUUGAUGUCUUCACUGAUUUUCUUAGCAUGGCAUUUUAAUCAUAGUAUUAUUGCAAUUUCUCUCUAGAUAGAUUGUGGUAUGAGGAGAAUUUCGAGAACAAAAUUUUUUUAAGGGAGAGAGGGUGUGAGGAUCUGUAAAUUUUCUUUAUUUAUUUUAUUUUUUCGCGUGCAUUUUUCUACUUUAUUUUAUUAUCAUAAUUUUUCAGAGUUUUUAUAAGUGAGUAUAGUUUUUAAAUCAUUUUCUAGUAUAAGUUAGUUCGGGUCCAUUUGGAAGUGUAUUAAGGACAUGACCCGUUAGUGCAGUUAGUGCGAUAAAAUUUUGGACGACUAGGUUAAGUUUCGUAUUGAGAAAUAUUAUUUUACAAGGUGCUAGGAAAUAAUUAGAGAUUAUCUAGAUAGAUUAACUAUUGGAAGAAAGAAGAUAAGCUUGAACCAUUAAAAGUGCCAUGUGUCGCGACCCGAUUGGAUGGUGGACUUGCCUAACUUUCUUACCUUUACUAAAAUCCCAAUUUUGACCAAGAAACCAUCUUCAUUUCCAACCUCUUGGCCGAACCUCUCAAGGAGGGAAAAGAAAAGAAAGCUUCAACUACUUCUUCCAUUUCUUGCUUAAAUCUUGAAAUCCAAUCGAUUAAAUAGUGAAUUUGUCAACCAAAGUGACUUGUUAAGAGAGUUUCAAGGUAUUGGUGGAGUUGAUUUGGAGGAAAAAUCCCUAAGCUACUACCUUUCUUGAGGUGUCAAGGUAUUUUGUUUGGAAACUCACUUUUGUUCCUAAUAAUGGUCAAUUAGUAGUUUGUAGUGGCUAAAUAUGCUAUUUCAUGUAAGAUUUUGUGGUUUGAGUAGAGUUAGUUAAAUUUCAGAUUUUAUUAGUGAUUUUUCUGAUUUUAUAUGAUAGUUAUUGGUUGGCCAUGAAUGAUGGCUUGAUAUGGUGUAAAAUGAAGCUUUUAUAUGUUAGUUGUGGUUGUUUGCGGAAAAUUUCAGUUUUGUGCGGAAAUUUCAGUUUUAAGGUUCCAAUCUGCCCUGUUCUGACCGGCUUUAUUCGUGCAUGUUAGAGGCCGAAUCAGGCUUAUGUUAAAACAUGAAAGUUGUAGCAAAUGGUGUUAACUAGCUGCCUGCAAAAUUUCAGCUUGAUCCGAGCACUGUAGCAUGUGAAAUGACCGAAAUACUCUUGACUGCCCAUGAGCCCUGUUUCGCAGAUAGAUUUCUAUUUUCGUGAGAAAUUUCAUUUGUGACCAUGAAAAUGCAUGAUUUGGUUUGGGGUCUUCAUAAUAAUGUAGGUAUAUGUUUUGUUUCGAAAUGCCAUAAGAUUCGUUUCAAUCCGAUAAGUGUAGCUUCAGUUGUGCUUAUUGUGCCAAAAGGUGUAUUUGAUAGUCUAUGAUGUGUAUGUGGUUGAUUUGAGAUGAAUUAGUGUUGCUUGUAGGAUGGAAAAGUAAGAAAAUGUAGGGGAUAUGCUGUCCAAAUUUUGGAGUGUUGGAUUUCUUCGAGUUUGGUUGGAUUUGGAAUAUAAUAUAAGAAAGGCUUUUGGCGUUGUUUGACCCUAGGUCUUCAUGUUACCUUUUCAUUCCCAAAAAUUAUGUUUUGCCCUUGCAUUAGUAAUUAUUUGGUGAUGGAUACGACUAGUAGUCGAGUCUCACUUGUGCAUUCCGUUUACUUGAUUUUGGAUGUGGAACCUUCAAUUGUUCUACUUUGGUUAUUUUAGGAUUUUUUGGUGAUUAAAACCACUCUGGCAUGAAAACUUUUGAAGUAUCUGUACUUGAACCGGUGAGUGUACCACUCCCCUGAAUUAUUGUUAAACUGGUUAUCUGUACUUGCAAAUUACUAUUUGAAUGUCUUUCCUGACUAUUUAUUUUGUACGAGACAAGUGUGUACUUUAUCACACUCGUUCUCUGGUCUGUGUGGCUUGUUUCCUAUAUAUACUUGAAUCUGUUACAUGCGCAUCUUAUAAUGUCGUUUGGAAGUGCAUCCAACGACCUUUCUGUUAAAUCUGAGGUCAACUUCAUGGGGAGUUAAUUGAAUCGAGUCAGCAAGGGUUUGGUCGAGGAAAUUGACAAUCUGUGGGUGCCUAUUCCUAGGGAAUUUAUGGGUAUUGGAGACUCUGAAUUUCCGGUAUAUUCGAGUAUUACCAUUCCUGUUCCUGUUUGGCGUUCGGGCCCGGUAAGGGGUAUGUUUGGUGAACAGGAUUUUGGCAUUAAAGUAGUGUUCUACUGGACUAGUUCCUUUAUUUGAACGUUGACGGAUGGUCAACGAGGUUGGAUCAAGUAUUGGAACGGGGAUUUGGCUCCUGAGAGCCACCUGUAUCCUUUAUAUUGUGGUGUUCAUUCAUUUCUCGUAUUUAAUGUGAAUAUGUGCCUUAAAAGUGAUUUCUCAUGAGUUCUACUGUUUAUACUUUUGGUACCUCAUUGAGUUUUUAACUCACUCCAUUCCGUUAUCCUUGUUUUCCUUACAGGGAACAAUUUUUUGGAACUUCGAUGUUUUGAAGAAUGAGUUGAGUUAGUUAGAAAUUCUUUUGUUCUUUUGGUAUAGCUCCUCGACAAUUUGGAAACUCUAAAUGUAUCUUAAUACAAUGUUUUCUUUUGGUUUGUAAACUUAUUAAUAUGUAUAUUUUAAAGUGUUUCCUCAUGUUUAUGUGAUAUAUAUUUGGGAAUGUACAUUCUCUCAUGUUAAACAAAGUUUACUUGUACUUGGUUGGAUUGUGACGUGGCAGCGGCACUUUCAUUUCGUUUUGAUUUUUCGUGGGAACGUUGUAGCAAAGAUUUAUUAUAUCUUUUAGUUCGGCUCAAUUGGGUUCUGAAUGUUUUUCUUCUCAAAGUUCUUUUGAACGUUUGGUAGGAGUUACGUUUGUUCCGGAUCCGUAGUCCCGGCGAGAGUUGGGCAGGCGGUUCGCCGAACCUUUUGGUUCGCCUUAGGGUGAGGUGGGGCUGUCACACUUUAAUAAAUUUAAUUUCUUCAUUCAUGACAUCAAUUCACUUUUAGGAAUUUGAACUUUUUUGAUUUGAUGGAAGUUAUUUGGAUCAUCUUCCAUCAAUUCAAUGUCAUCCUUAUAUUUUUGAAGAAAAAUAAUAUAAUCAUCUAACACUGCACUUCUUCUUUUUCUAGUGGAUCUUUUUGAUGACACUGAUUCUUGAAAAGGUAGAGUUUGCUUUUCUAUAAUAGUUUGUUUUUCAACAUCAUCUUGAUUUGUUGUGUCAUAAUCAAUUUCAGAAAUAAGAUUCUGAACAAGAUUAAUGACACAUGUGAAAAUAUUAAUAUAUUUCUCUUCAAAGAUAAGAUUUUUAACUAUAUCUUCUCCCUCAAACUCAACAUCUUCAAACAAUUGAGUAUUUUGUUUCUCGAAAAUCGAUUUAGUCGUGGGAUUAUAAAACUUGUAACCCCUAGAUCUGUCAAAAUAUCCAUAGAAUAAUAACUAACCGUCUUUGAAUCUAGUUUUUUUUUUCAUUUGUCCUAUAAGGUCUUGUCUCAAUUGGACAUCCGUAAAUAUGUAAAUGUUUCAAAUUGGUCUUUUUUUCUAUCCAAAUCUUAUAAGAGAUUUUGAUAGUUAUUUUAGUUGGAACUCUGUUAAGGAUAUAUGCGGCAGUUUUAAGUACUUCUUCCUAGAAUGAUUUUGGUAAGGUAGAAUGACAUAUCAUAUUCCUUACCAUGUUUUUAAAUAUUCUAUUUCGUCUUUCAAUUAUACAUUCAUAGUAGGUGAACCCAACGUAAUAUACUGUGGGAUGAUACCGCAUUCCUUUAGGUAUUUAACAAAUGAUAUUGGACAUUGUUCACCUAAACCGUCAUAUCUACCAUAGUACUCACUACCAUGGUCAGAUCUGACGCUUUUAAUUCUUUUGUUAAAUUGUUAAAUUGGUUCUCAACUUCAACCUUAAAAUUUUUGAACAUGUUCAGCGAUUGUGAUUUUUUAGAAAUGAGAUAUAUGUAACCAUAUUCUGAAAAAUUAUCUAUGAACGUUAUAAAAUAUUGUUAACAAUUCCAAGCAGAUGUAGGAAAUGACCCACAAAUAUCUGUACAUAUAAGUUCCAAGAUGUUUAAGGACCUAUUGAUUUCAAAUCUCCUCUUAUUAGUUUGUUUCCCCUUUAUACAGUUAACACAAUUAUAAAAACUAUAAAAUUUAAGUGGUCAAGAAUUUCAUUUGACACAAGUCUUUUCAUUCUCCGUUUGAAAAUACGUCCCAAUCUCUUGUACUAUAAUACAGCUGAAUUCUCAUUCGUUAAUUUUCUCUUUACUCCUCUAGUACCCAAAUGCAAAUAUUCAUUAAAUGAGACAAUUGUAUCAAUUAAAUAUAGAUUAUCAUAAUGCAUUAAAGAACUAGAACUAAUCAAUUUUAAAUCAUGAAAUAAUUUAAAAUUUUCAUUUUCAAAUGAACAAAAAUAACCAAUUUUGUUCAAAGAAGAAAUAGGAAUCAAAUUCCGUCGAAAAGACGGUAUAAUAAAUAUUUCAUUAAGAUCCAAAUAAAAUUCGAUCUUUAACAAUAAUUUAAAAACUCCGAUUAUCUCAACUUGAACUGUUUUACCAUUAUCCACGUAAAUAUAUCUUUCAUUAUCAUUAGGUGUUUGACAAUUCAGCCAAUCCUGCAUAGACAUACUAAUGUGAGUUGUUGUACCUGAAUCUAACCACUAUGUGUGUUUGAGUAUCGAAGUUAAAUUAAUCUCAAAAUAAACCAGAUUAACAAAUAUACCUUUCUUAGUACGCUAAGCGUGAUAGUUGAUGCAAUAUUUCUUUCUAUGCCCUUCAACUCCACAGAAGAAAUAAUUAUUCUUUCUCGGAUUAAUCAAUUUUUUCUGUUAUUUCUUUUGCGGUGCCGUACCUGUAGAUUUGUUAUUCUUCUUUCUCUUAAAUUCCUUACUUUUAUUAGUAGUGGUUGGGACCAAACAAUACUCUCUGUCUAGUUUUGUUUCAAUCUUUCCUCUUCCUCUACACAAUGUGCGAGGAGUUCAUUUAGAGAUCAAGCCUUUUUUUGACAGUUGUAACUCACCUUAAACUGAUUAAACUGUGUGGGAAGGGAUAUUAAAAUCAAAUGGACCAAUAACUCUUCAGAGAGUACCAAUUUAAGUGCAAUUAAUUUCGAAACAAGAUGAGACAUCCCUAUAUUGUACUCUUUGAUAUUGUUUUUGCCAUUAUAUUUCAUUGAAAUUAAGCGUGUCAAGAGCGUAUUAAUUUCAAUUUUUCGUUCUUGAUAAAUCUUUUUUUAAUGUUCUGAAAGAACUCUUUAGCGGUAACUGUUGUUUUUGACAUUGUUUCUUUGAAUGCUUCUGGAACGGCCUUUUUAAUGAUCGUCAAAUACAAGUGAUUUGAUCUUUCUCACCUUUCCUUAUCCCUCUUUUUAUUAGAGGUACUUUGAUCUAUAAGAGGUGGAGAAUAAUCAACCCUUAACGCUAGUUCGAGAUCUAUUAUUCCAAGUACUAUUAAGAGGUUUUCUUUCCAAGAUUUGAAUUUUGUGCUAUUCAGCAUAGAAAUAUUAUUGAUGUUGGUAAUAAUAUUUGUAACAUCAUUCGCAGCUGAACAAAAAAAUAUAAAAUAAUUAAACAAUCUCACGUAAAGUAAAAUAAUAAUAAAUUCAAAUAAAGGUAACCCCAUCUCAAGAUACCAAUGUUUCAUUAAUAUUUUAUUUUUGGACAAAAAUAUUAACUUUUAAGUGAUAUCUUGAUGCAAUAAUAAACACUGAUAAUAAUAACAUGCCAAAAAUUAAUUUUUCUUUAGGUCAAUUUAUAAUUUACAUAUAAAAAGUCGAAUAAUUAUCGCGUGUUUAUUAUUACAAGUGCACAUGUAAUUUUGUCAAACAUUGAUCUUCCUUUAGACCAAUCAAUAUUCACAAAAAUUACAAAUACUCAAUAUUAUAUUCUAGAAUAAAUUAAUUUCCACAAAAGAGGUCACUUUGGUGGCAUAUUGUUUGAAUUAAUUUAUUCUAAAAUAUAUAUAAUCAAACCAAUAUUUAAAUUUAAAAUUACACAAAUUACAUAAAAUUUUUUAUUAAAGUCAACUUUGGUCAACUCUGAUCAAAAUGUGGUCAAAUCAGUCAAAUCAGGUCAAAUCAAUCAAUUAGAUCAAGACUUAUUGGACCAAAAGUCCAUAUCCAGAACUUGACCCAAAUUUAUCAUUUAACUUCAAAAUUUUUUUAAAGUCCAUAAUGCCUUAUAAGACUAUAUAUUUAAUGGGCCAACCUUAUGAAUUUUAUAAGAUUUAAAUGUCUUAUUUAACUUUAUUAGGGUUUAUUCAAAUUAGAGAAACCCUAAUGUGUAUAUUGGCUCUUAAACAAGAAAACAAGUCCAAGAAUUCAAGUUAAUAGUCCUAAUUUUAUAACCGAAGGCAUACCCAUAGCUGGAUUCAAGUGAUAUAAAUUAAACAAUUAACUAGGACAAGUAAACAUGAUUCGUGAAACACGUGCCAAUUAGUUUUAGUUUCAAUCAAAGGCAAAUGUUUGAGAUGCAAAAGUAGCCAAUCGGCCAACUAAAAUAGCAUAAGGAAACAAUGGAUCGGCCAAAGCAAUGAAUCAAUGAAAUCAAAGUGGAUUCACUGAAUUCAAUGUUAAAACAAUGGACCGUACAAUUCAUGAAUUGACUAUUGUCAUGAAAAUUGCAUCAUAACAUAUGCAAACAAUCAUGACUAGAAUUUGACCAAAAUUUUCGUGAAUCAAAACUAGAACCACGGAAUAAUUAUGACCAAAAGACUAAAGACAAAACUAACAAUCAAUCAGGACAAGCCAAUUCACACGACAUAAAUGAGUUUCAAUACAAUUCGUUUCAAGCAAAUUCACGCGAUUUCCAAAUUUGAACAAUCGCCCAUUACCGGAGUAUUCUUGUUUAAGAGCAGACAACCAUAUAACCAAAAUCGAAUUCGCGAGACAAAAAAAUACAAAUUACAGAAUUCAAUUUAUUUCUUAAUAAUCAAUCAUAUCUAGUUCUGAUAUCACUUAUUGAGCACCACUUAUUGAGUGAUAGUUUAUAUUAGUCUUUGGUGAAAGCAAUCACCUGUUAAAUCCAAAAUUUUUAUGGCGAUUAUUAAGAAUAAAUUAAUAAUAAAAUUACAAAAGCGCACCUGAAUUCAUGUUGACAAGCUGGCACUUGAAUCCUUGAAGAUUUUUUUGGGGAGGUCUUUCAGGUCAACACCUAUUCGCUAAUCCUUAAGAGAGCCCUUUAAUCUCUGAUAUCUCUUAUGACGAUGGAUAUCGAGAAAAGUUAUUUUGUGAUACUAAAAAAUACGAUAAUAAUAUACAUGUAAUCUGGGAAUCAUAACCCUAUUUAUAGAUAAAUUUCUGUUAUCUUUUGUAUUCUUAUUUUAACCCAUCAUAGAAAUAGGAAACACCCGUAAGUCUCUACAUAUUAAAGAUUCAUAUUCUAUUAGAUAUAUUAAAGUCCAAAUCAUAUUUGAUCACUUUAAUUAGAUCUAAUCUUAUUUGACAGUAACAUAUAAUUAUUCAUAUAUAAAUCCAAUGUUGGAUUAAAGAUUCAACAAAAACUGCUUAAAAUUAUGGUUAAUAAUUACUUCACAGUCGGCUUUAAUUAUUAACAAAAAAUGGAUUGAUCAUACUUGUCCCCUCAAGGUUUGGAUUAGUCACGCUUUAUCACCCCAACUUCACAAAUAUAUAAUUUACCCCGUCUUGACCAGUCAAAAUAUUAAAAAUGCUUAACACUGUUAAGACAAAAUAAAGUGCUGAGGAGAUUAAAGGAUCCAUGAUUUGUUAGUGAAGGUACAAUUGUACUCUUGUAUUGGUGCAUAUGGCCUGCGAAAAAAUAAAAGAAAAGUUAUUGAUAAGUGGGAAAAAAAAACUGACAAUCGACAGCAACUAUGAUAAAAUAACUCUUGAAAAGGCCCUGAUGUACACGGGAGAAGGAGUCAGAGAAUCCUCAAAAGCACUGAAGGGCUUUUUUUUGGGGUUGUAGUGACUUAUUAAAAAACAUUUAGGGCCUGUUUAAGAUUGUUGUAUUUUUGCUAAAAAAGUAUUUUGGAGGUCAAAAAUACUUUUAACAUGUUUAAUGAAAAUCAUUCCUUAAAUUUGGAAGUAGAAUUUUUGGUCAUAAAAGCACUUUGGUAUAAGUUCAAAAUUGAUACAUUUAGAGUAACUUUUGUAUUUGAAACAAAUAAAAAAUUAAGUUUAAUAAUUUUAUUAUAAAUUUUGAACUCAAUAAACAGAUAAAUAAGUUUUGUAACCUCAAAAUUGCACAUUAUCAAAUAGAAAAAGUACUUACUCUUGUAAAUCCAAACAAUAUGAUUUAUCAAUUAAUAAAUACUUUGACUAAAAACUGUACUCAUUGAAAUGCUUUUCGAUAAGCCACCGUAACUCAGAUAGGCCCUUAAUUUAGAAGAGUUAUUCGUCAAAGUAUUUAUGAAGAGCUUCUUGUUCGAUCUAGAUUUGAAGCCCUAUUGGUAACUGGUGGACAUCUGGUCGAGGCAUUUGGUUUGGAGCGAUGUCGCAUGAGUAUAGACCUUGAUUCUGACAGGUUCUGUAGGACGAUGACCUGUUGGUAAUGUGCUUUAGUGACACUUUCAGUUGAGUACUGCCACACAAGUUCUGGUGUAGUGGAGCAAUAGUUUCCUUAGGACUCAACCUGGGAAUUCUUACAAGACUUGGAGCAGUAAUUCCUACCUAAUUUCCAUCCCUGAGGACAAGGGCUCUUUUAGAGAGGGGUAUUUGAUGCACUGAUUUUAGUUGUAUGAUUGAUUGACCAUAAGAGAUUAUAAUAGAUAAUGGUGGAAGUGAAAGUUAAUAAGUUAAAAGAAUAUUGCUGAUGCUAGUAGUUAGUUAGCACAGCCAAAGAAGUGGUUAGCUGCAACCGACUCUCCACUACUUGCUUAUAUAUUAAGCUGCGCAUAAGGAGAAACAUUCAUUUUGAUGUAUUGCUACAAAUCAUUGGUCAUUCUUCUUGUAUCUUCUCUGAGUUUUCACUACAAUAAAAUACAUGAUGCUCCCUUGAAUUUCGAAUUACUUCUUCGUCAUUUUUGUAAUUCUGUAAUGAUUCCACAGGAAAUAGGACAAAAUAGUUAGCCAAAUUCUGUUAGCCAAAUAUUCUUGGAUUUGUUAUAGUGGCAACAACUUGCAGAAAGUUAGUUACAAUUAGUUAGUUGGGGGAACUUCUAUGAAUAGGCCAACACUAAUGUAAGGAAGGACAUGCAAAAUCUGAUCUCUAAAGAAUACAACUUCCCCGCCUCUUUUUCAAAUUCAUCCUUGCUCUCUCUCUUUCUCUUGUUCCUUCCUCUCUAUUCUUUUUUUCCUAUACUUUCUGUACCUUAGCUGAAUCAUCAGAUUCUCAACCAUUACAUUUGGUAUCAGAGCUUGCGGUCCUGGGAUUUGAAAGCUCCAAUUUGGCAACAAUGGCGGAAGGCACCAGAAUGAAGGGAUUUGAGGAAAUGCUGAAGAAACAAGAUGCAAGGAUCCAAACUAUCCUCGAAUCCAGUACAAUCGAACGUCAAGCGUUAGAGGAAAAGAUCGAGUCUAACUAUGUGGACAUGAAGGCUCUGGUGGAAGCAAACAAUGUUGAAUUAAAGGAAGAAAUGAAGAAUUUGUUGGGAUAUGCAACUUUUCCUACAUAUUUUGCUAGAUUAUGUUUGAUAUCAAAAUAAUUUAGUUAUUAGAAAAAUAAGGAUAUUUGUUAACCAAAGAUCAUGUUGGUUUGUUAACAGAUAUUUUAGAUAAGAUUUGCUAAUAGAAGGAGUUUAUAUUUUGUUGAGAUUUUUAGAAUAAUUGUUAGUUGGAUAUUUUGCUAGUUUGUUUCAUGUAAUCACUAUAAAUAGUGAGUUGAUGAAUGUAGAACAUAAGUUCAUUUUUUCCACCUUUAAUACAAGUCUCUUAUAAGCUUUUUUUGCAACACUAAGGUGUUGUUUCUUAGUUUAUGCCCAAAAAAACCAACAAAGUGGUAUCAAGAGCCUAUAUCUUAAGGGCCUGAGUCUUUUUUUUUUUAGAGUGAUGCAUUGGUGAGGAUCCUUUAUAAGUUCAAAGCCAUGACAGGAAAGAACUUUUUGUCAAAUGUUUCAACUUUUAGUGGUAAAACUUACCAAAUUUGGGCUAUAAAAUUUUGGACUUAUUUGGUAGUCAAUGAUCUACGAGAUAUGGUGGAGACGAAUUUUGUUUCACCAGCAUUUGAAGAGCUGAUGGAUACACAAAUUAGAGAUCACAAAGUUGCAGUUAGACAGAGAUCCAAGGCCAGCAUUCACAUAUCAGUUUUUGAUGCCGUUUUCACAAAGAUAAUGGCUGAUGAUUUGAUUGAGAAUAAAUUAUUCUCAAUUAAAAUAAAAAGGAGAAGUUUCACUAUGAAUUGGUCAGAUUUUGACAAUUCUAAAGUGGAACAUGAUGAUGAAAUCAAGAAUUCAGAUCCUGAAAAAAUUCAGGAGGAGAUCAUUAAUAAGUGAGGAGAUAUCAAAUUGAUUCCUGAUAUUUGUCAAGAUUAUAACAUUUCUAUUUUUGAGUCUACAGAUAUUGAUGGUGAUGACAAAAUGAAGAACCAUGCAGAAUUUUAUAUUUUCUGUAUAGGUUCAAAUAUCGUCAAAAGAUGUUCCAUUUUAAACCUAUGAGAAGGUUAUUUGGAAACAUAAAAAAAAAAAUCAUUUUUUAUGUGGAGUUUGGCACGAGAAGAUAAAAGAAGUGGUUCGUUGCAAGACUAAUAUUUAGCUUGCAUAAAAACCCAAAGGAAGAAGUUCAUUGCAAGGCUAAUCAUCAAUUGCAAAGCUUCUUACAAAAGUCUCGUUCAAAACAAGAUUCAAAGAUUUGAGAAGACAAUUCAAAAUCUGUAGCAAAAGUGGCAAGGAGGAGUGUUGGGAUGUGCAACUUUUCCUACAUAUUUUGCUAGAUUAUGUUUGAUAUCAAAAUAAUUUAGUUAUUAGAAAAAUAAGGAUAUUUGUUAACCAAAAAUCAUGUUGAUUUGUUAACAGAUAUUUUAGAUAAGAUUUGUUAGUAGAAGGAGAUUAUAUUUUGUUGAGAUUUUUAGAAUAAUUGUUAGUUGGAUAUUUUGUUAGUUUGUUUCAUGUAAUCAUUAUAAAUAGUGAGUUGAUGAAUGUAGAACAUAAGUUCAUUUUUUUCACCUUUAAUACAAGUCUCUUAUAAGUUUUGUUUGCAACACUAAGGUGUUGUUUCUUAGUUUAUUCCCAAAAAAAAACCAACAGAAUUUCAUGGUCACGAUGAAUGCUCAAUUCAAUACCCUCAUGAGGAACUUACAGGGGGAAAGGGGAAUUCUAGGCCAACCUCUUAACUCAUCUGAGCGACCUCCUAAUCAAAUACUUAGCAAAAGUCAUGAAGGAAGCCAUCCUUUUCUGGGGGAAAAGAGUCGUUUCCCAAUAGGAGUUCCCAAACUGGAAUUUCCUAGCUUUGGAGGCUCUAAUCUAUGAGAAUGGAUCAGGAAAUAUGAGAAGUUUGUUCAGCUAUAUUAGAUUCCAGAAGGACAGUAGAUGGAUGUGGCUGAACUGUAUUUGGAAGGCAAGGCUGAUCUCUAGUAUCAAAGCUUCAAGAAGGACAGAGGAGUGGUGCAAUGGGGGGAUUUUGGCUCAGAACUUUGUAGAAGAUUUGGGGAUCUGGGGGAGGAGAUGUGGUAGAGGAGUUCAACAAAUUGUAGCAGGAUUCAUCAGUUUUAGCAUAUCAGGACAAGUUUGAAGAAUUAAGAGCUGCUGUCAUGGUAAAACUACCCUCCUCUCUGAAUAUACUAUGUUUCUAGCUUCCUGAGUGGGCUGAAGGAGGAGAUCAAGGCUGCUGUGAAAAUGCACAUGCCCCAGACCUUACAGGUAGCAUUCGAAAAGGCUAGAUGGCAAGAAUAGUAUUUGAGCAUCAUCUUAAGGCAGAAUAAAGUACCAAUGAAGAUAUCUCCACCAAUUUCUUCUGGAAGUAAACAUACCCACCCUAAUGACCUGAGCCACAAGAAACCUGCAACUCAUGUGUUUGAGAAUAGUAUUAAGAAGGAUUCUUCUCGGGUAAGAAAAUCUCACCCACAGAAUUUCAGUACAGGAAGGAUCACAACCUGUGUUUCAAGUAUGGGGAAAAAUUUUCUCCUGGACAUAUCUGCAAGAAUAGAGGGAUACAUUGGUACUAGUAGAUGAAGAAGGAUUGCAUGGCACUGAAGUAGAUGAGGAAGAAAGGGAAAUCAUUGAGUAUCAGGGAAUAAGUCUAGCAAGGAUGUAGCCUUCUCACUACACUCAGUCUCUGGACACAUGUCUUCUAAUACCAUUAGGAUGAUAGGACACUAUAGGGGGCACGAUUUAUCCAUUCUGCUUGAGGGGGGAGUACCAACUGUUUUAUCAGGUUAGCCAUUACUCAACUACAUCCUGAUUCUGUGCAGAGUCAUAAGCCCUUCAAGGUGAGGAUAGCUGAUGGAAAGGAGUUAAUGUGCAAUCAGUGGAUUCCAAAUAUGAAGUGGGAAAUGCAGGGACACAACUUCACUCAGAAUGUAUAUGUGUUGGACUUAGAGCCAUAUGAUUUAAUCCUUGGGGUGGAUUGGAUGAAACAUUACAGUCCAAUGACUUUUGAUUUUAAGGAGUUGACAUUGUCUUUUGAUAAGGAGGGUGAAACUGUGUUGCUGCAAGGAGACUCCCACACUGCCAAGGUGAGGAUGAGGCAAGGGACAGCAGCACAAAGGCAUAUCAGGAAUAAAGUCAGGACUUCUUUGCAACACUCUUGCAUGAUCAGAGUACAGAACAGUCAGGUAACUCCUGUACCAAAAUCACUUACUCAAUUGCUUGACCAAUGUUAGGACAUCUUUGAGGAACCUACAUCCUUACCCCCUAUCAGAGAAUUAGACCACCAAAUACCCCUCAUACCUGAUGCCAAACCCUUCAAAAUCAAUCCCUAUAGAUAUCUCCACAUGCAGAAAUCAGAAAUAGAACGACAGGUCAAAGACCUGUUGUAAUUUGGUAUCAUACAACCUAGCCACAACCCUUUUGCAUCCCCAGCUCUCUUGGUAAAAAAAAAGGAUGGAAGUUGGAGGUUUUGUAUUGAUUAUAGGCAGCUCAACAACCUUACCAUCAAAGAUAUCCCAUUCCUACCAUUGAUGACUUGCUUGAUGAAUUGCAUAAUGCAAAAAUAUUUUCUAAAAUAGAUCUAAGGUCAGGUUACCAUCAAAUUCGUAUGAACCCCUCUGAUGUCCCUAAAACAGCCUUUAGAACUCACUCUAGCCUUUAUGAAAACCUAGUGAUGCCUUUUGGCCUCACAAAUGCCCCUACUACAUUUCAAGCCUUAAUGAAUUCCAUAUUGGAACCUUUCAUCAAAUAGUUUGUGCUUGUGUUUUUUGAUGACAUUCUUGUUUAUAGCUCAGAUCUGGACAGCCAUCUUAAACACCUAUCCCUUGUUCUUAACACCUUGAGAACCCAUUCAUUAUAUGCGAAGAUGUCUAAAUGUUCCUUUGGUCAAGAUAAAAUUGAGUAUUUGGGACAUGUAGUUACUGCUGAAGGUGUUUCUGCUGACCCUGCAAAGGUAGAGGCAAUGUUUUUCUUGCCAGUUCCUGAUAACAUUAAGGCUCUUAGGGGUUUUCUUGGAUUGGGGGUACUACAGGAGGUUUGUCAAGCGCUAUGGGAAAAUAGCAAAGCCCCUAAUUGAGUUGCUUAAAAAGGACAGUUUCGUAUGGAAUGAAGCAGCUACUUCUGCCUUUAAGCAGCUCAAGGUGGCUAUGUCACAGGCUCCUAUACUAGCUUUACCUAACUUCUCCAUGCCCUUUAUAUUAGAGACAGAUGCAAGCCAAACAGCUAUGGGAGCAGUACUGAUGCAGCAAGGGAGACCAAGAGCAUUCAUGAGCCAAGCUUUGGGACAAAAAAAUCAAUCAGUGUCCAUUUAUGAGAAAGAGUUGCUGUCCCUGAUCACUGCUGUAGGAAAAUGGAGGCAUUACUUAUUGGGAUCUCAUUUCAUCAUCAGAACAGACCAUCAAAAUCUAAAGUACUUGCUAGACAAAAGAUCACUACUUCCCUACAACAGAAAUGGAUUGCAAAAUUGAUGGGAUUGGACUAUGAAAUCCAAUACAAAAGAGGCAAGGAUAAUACAGUUGCAGAUGCUCUUUCUAGGAGGCAAGGAGGUUCUGCAGGAGGAAGCAAUCAGGAGAGUUACAAUGGAGUCCACUCUAUAUCUGCAGUCAAACCUCUAUGGCUCUCCAAGGUAUCAGAGAGCUACAAUGGAGAUAACAAGGUCAAAGAAUUAUUAACAACACUUGCAAUAGACAACUCUAGUACACCUGAUUACUCCUACCAUCAAGGGAUUAUCAGGUACAAGGGGAAGGUAUACAUUGGAGCUACCACUGAAUUUAGGAGGCAACUUGUUAGCUGCAUGCAUGAUUCUGUAGUUGGAGGCCACUCUGGCAAUCAGGGGACCUAUCAAAGAUUGAAGAGUUAUUUCUUUUGGCCAGGAAUGAAAAAGGAAGUGGAAGCUUAUGUACAAGCUUGUGACACCUACAAGAGGAGCAAAUGAGCAAGCUAGUUACCCUGGCUUGCUACAACCUCUCGCAAUACCAGAGCCAGCUUGGCAGCAUAUCUCAAUGGAUUUUAUCGAAGGUUUGCCAAAAUCCUUGGGGCAUGAUGCCAUAAUGGUCGUGGUGGACAGGCUUACUAAAUAUGCGCAUUUCAUAUCCAUGGGGUCUCAUUUCACAGCAAAGAGUGUUGCACUGGUGUUCUUCGAGCAAAUCUAUAAACUGCAUGGUUUGCCAGUGGACAUUAUAUUUGAUAGGGACAAGAUUUUCACAAGUUUAUUUUGGCAGGAGCUUUUUCAUCAGGUGGGAACUACCCUUAGUUUCUCAUCCUCAUAUCACCCCUAGUCUGAUGGACAGACUGAGAGAGUAAAUCGAUGUGUGGAAACCUACUUGAGGGCUUUGUGUUUGCAAUAGUCUGGUCAUUGGAAAAGGUGUUUGCCUGCAGCUGAGUAGUGGUACAACACUAAUUUCCAUUCUAGUUUAUAGAUGACACCCUUCCAAGCACUCUAUGGUUAUAAACCAAAACAGCUGUGCCUACAACCAGACAACACCCAAGUACUUGCUGUGGAGAUUGGUUAACUGAGAGGGUGAAUUGGAACUCCCUACUGAAGGAAAAUUUGUUGCAUGCUUAGAACUAUAUGAAAUAGUUUGCAGACAAACACAGGACUGACAGGACAUUUGCUGAGGGGGAUUGGGUUUACCUCAAGUUACAGCCUUGUAGACAGACCACUAUGGUUGUUUGAAAAAAUUGAGCUAGCAGCUAAGUACUAUAGACCACAUCAGAUUGAAAAAAGGAUUGGAGCAGUAGCCUAUAAACUCAAGUUACCACUAGGAGCUGCUAUUCAUCCUGUAUUUCAUGUUUCGCUUUUGAAACCUUCCGCAAAAGGUGCUCCAGCUAGCACAAUAUUACCUCAGCCAAGUGAUGAAGGCUUCUUUUCGAUCACCCCAUCCUCUAUACUGGAUCGAAGAUGGAUUGAUAGGGAUGGACACAAGGUGGAGCAGAUUUUGGUGCAGUGGAAGGACUUACAAAAUGAGGAUGCAACGUGGGAAGACUUCUCAGUCAUCAAGAGUCAAUUCCCUGACUUCAAUCCUAGAGACUAGGAUUGUUUCGAGAGGGGGCAAUUGUAAUGAUUCCACAGGAAAUAGGACAGUUAAUUCUGUUAGCCAAAUAUUGUUGGAUUUAUUAUAGCAGCAACAACUUGCAGAAAGUUAGUUAUAGUUAGUUAGUUGGGGGGAACUUCUAUUAAUAGGCCAACACUGAUGUAAGGAAGGACAUGCAAAAUCUGAUCUCUAAAGAAUACAACUUCCCUGCCUUUUUUUCAAAUUCAUCCUUGCUCUCUCUCUUUCUCUUACUCCCUCCUCUCGAUUUUUUUUUCCUAUACUUUCUGUUCCUUAGCUGAAUCAUCAGAUUCUCAACCAUUACAAAUUCCUAGGUCAGGGAAUUGAGACCUCCACUGACCUCUGUAUCAGAUGCCUUCACACUUGGUGCAACUACCUAUACUUUCUCAAAUGCAUAUAGAUGUAAGCAGGUCCAUUUGCAAUUCCAGAUGUUGAGGAGGUCUGCUACUUCUUUGUUGACACACUAGUCCAGCGUAUCUCUUGUUCAAUUCGACCUUUAAAGAUUGAGUGACAGAAUCAGGCUAGGUUUGAGCCCUUGCAGGAUGGUUCCCUCCUCCUUAGGUAGUAUAGUAGCUCUGUUGGAUCUCGUCUUAGUAGCAGCUUUGUUGAAUGGUUUCCCUUGUCUUAGUAGUAGCUUUGAACCUUGGAAAUUGUACCCUUGUUAUUUGUGUUUUGUUAUGUAAUUUUCUUGAGAUUUGGGUGUACUCCAAAGAAAAUUACGACUAUCGUUGUAAUUAAUCGUGAACUAAAUAAGGCUGUUUAAAGGAUUGAGCUACUUUGAGAAUGUACUACUAGAAGAACGCAAACAUAUCUGACUAGACCAAGAAUAAGGCCCUCGGAUCACUGAAUUAAGAGACUUGAAUUGUUUCCAAAUCAUGAAUGUUUGAGGGAAAGAGCAAGAAAAGAACAAAUGCUCACAAGUUUCAACAAUAUUUCAACAAAAAUCACAAGUAUCAUCCUUUACUACACUCCACUUCCUCAGCCUGCUUCUUUUAUAAAGUCUCUCACAUCAAGAAAGCAAAUUUGGACACGAGGUUCAACCACACCAGCCUGUUUUCUUUUGACAUUGAAAAUUUUUUGAACUUGUGGGGUGUUAUCUUUUGCUUUCUAGUAGACAUAAGUGGUAGCCCUAGAUACCUCCCUCACAAAGUUCGUAAAGGCAUACAAAGCAACUGAUUCAGGUAGAGCUGUCUUUCAGACUUUGUUCCAGCAUAAACAAUUCACUCUUUUGAAGAUUGGUUUGCAAUCUAGACACUCCUGUAGAGAUAUAUCAGAUGCAGAAGCCAAAAAGAAGAGGUCAUCAGGAAAUGUUGAGUAAGGUUCAGCGUCUCAACUUUGGAUGAUAAUCUGAUCUGUCUUCCUGAAUAAUUUAGCCAAAACACUAGAGAACACCUCCACUGCAAAUAGGAACAAAUAUGGUGAGAUUGGAUCACCCUGUCUAAGCCUCUAAUCAGUUCUAAAAAUCCAAUCAGAGAUCCGCAUAGAUUCAAGGAGAAACUGGCUGUAGUCACAUACUUCUAACUCCACACAAAACACACAGUUCUAAAUUUCUUGAGAUGCAUAACCUCAAAAAGAGACUCCCAAUUGACUGAAUCAUAAGCCUUCACUACAUCAACCUUUUGGCUACUCUAGGUUUUCCAUUAAUGAGGUGACAAUGACAUUGCUUGAUAAGUUCAUGCAUGAGCAAUACAUUAUCAUAAACGGAUCUCAUUUUAAGAAAAGCACUGCCCGGUAAGAGAUGGCAUCACCACUUUAAUUCAGCCAGUGAUCACUUUUGAAAAACAUUUAUAGAGAAUGUUGCAACGAGCAACAUGCGUAACAUCUUUCACAGUGACAGGGGAGCAUUCAAAUGAAAAUAGAGAUUUUGGGAUGAGAACCACGACUGUACAGCGCUAACAAACUCCUCCCCAGUUGUCUUCCAAUUCAAUAUGGAAAAAAUCUACUGCAAAGCCAUGAGGACCAGGGCCUGUACCUCUUAUCAUUUUAAACAAUGUGCUUUUAUUUUCAUCCUGAUUGACUAGAGCUCUGAACGACCUCCUAUGACAAACUGCUUGAGCUUCAAGGAUCCAAGGGCCAUUUACCGAUCUGUAGAUAUAGGCACCGUGUCGGCAAACAAAUCCAUAAAAAGAAUGAGAGCUUCACUUUGAUUCGUUUAUAGUGAUUCAACCGUGAGCCAUGCUAAUAGUACGAAGUCUAUUUCUUUGCAAAGGAAGUUUUCAAUUUGAUUAUAUUUUUUUCUUAACGCUCUUUUCCUAAAUCCUCUUUACUGCUCCACCUUCUUCCAUGAACUCUAGUGGACUCCAUUCAUGACCUCAAUUAAAAUUUUGCAAGUACUAGGCUUCGAGCAUAUUUUAUCAGAUAAAUAGAAAUUAUUGGGAGCAAUUCAUGCCUGUCAAUGCUGCAUUGUAAGAAUACUUCUCAUGUAGUUGGCUUAUAUUAAAUCUGUAUACAUUUGAAUACCAUGAGUCUUAAACACAAUAACUUGAUUCAAUCGAAAUCCCCUAUGAUAUGCGGUCUGAAUUUAGAUCCACUACCACCUGGCUGGCGGAAAAAAUGUACUGUUUUGUCAGUUUAAUCUUCUACUCCUACUCCUAUCAAGCUGUGGUUGUUGCACAACAUUUUCCAAGGCUGUGAUUUUCACCUUUCCUUAAUAGACAUUUUAUCUUGCUGAAUCCAUAAUUAUCAACUGCAUCUAAUCUGUUCUAGAUUCUCCUUUGCAUAUGUCAAAGAGGUACUUCAGGAAAUAUUUAAAGCUAAGAUGGUAGAUAAUAAAUGACUACUUUAAAUUUCAUUAAAAACACAAAUAUUGUUAUUAAAUAUAGCAAUUGUCACAAUAAUUUUUCUACAAGGACAGGAAAGGAAACUAAAUACCACAUCAUUACUUCAUGUGGGAAAUGAUACACCAAUGAAUGUGGGACACAAAAUUUAAAUUAUAUUUAACUUAUCAUAUUAACACCUGAAUCCCUCUUAAUGAGUACCCAAUGGGCAUUUGAUUUAAUUUUACUUUUGCGAAUGACUUAAUUAAUGCCAAUAUAGUAGUUCCUAAAUUACCAAAGUUUGAAAGUUCUCUGACUAAAAAUACACAAUGUAGUCUUUACAAAUUUAGAUAUUUCUCCAAUAUAAUUUUCAGAAGGGCAAAGUAUUUAUUAGGGGGUCCAAUUAUUCAAUUGCUAGAUACGGCAAUCCUGACCUACUAAUUUACUAAUCUAUCUCUGUUCAGCGUGUGAAAGGCGUGUGAACUGACACAUUUGCAAAACGAAUUGAAGAUUAAUCUGUAAAGCAAAUUUCUUGGCUUUCUGACUUUUUAUUGUAAAGCAUUUAGGUUGAUUAAUUCACGACUCACGUGUAAGCGAAGAUUUGGGGAUUUUUCCAAGCAUUUUUUGUUGUUUCGGAUAUUAAGAGCUACUAGAAGUCUAGGACUUUACAUACUUGGUCAUUCUUUUUUGUAUAACUGGCUUCAACUUCCAUCCAUCUCUGUUCGUAACUCAUCAAGAUUCUGUUUGUGAGGAUUGGCUUUAUCUCCGUUAUUGUAACCAAACAUGGAAAAGUCCCAUGUUGUUCUUUCUCUGCUUCUGGUUCUACUGUUUCAUGUUGGCAUAGCCACAGCAGUUAAAACUGAAGAUGGAUCAGAAGCGUGGGGCUAUGUUCCAGUCAGGCCAAGUACACUAAAUCUUUUCUACAAUCUUUAUCCCAAUUUAGAUAUUUUAAGGGCAGAGAUAUAUGGAUUUACUUGUCAAUGAUGAACUUGAAUUGUUGUGCUUUUUGCAGAGGCUCACAUGUUCUGGUGGUACUACAGAAGUCCAAACAGGAUUCAUGAUCCAAAAAGCCUUGGCCAAUAAUUCUUUGGUUGCAGGGUGGACCUGUAAGUAUCAGAAUUCUCGUGGGAUUCUCUCUAGUUUCAAUCUUUAUUGCUUGUUCAUACAAUCAACAGUAAUUUGUUUACUGAAGGGAGCUUCAGGAGUUGGACUUGGUAAUUUCGAAGAAUUCGGGCCUUUAGAUGUGUUCCUAAAGCCAAGAAAUUCGACAUGGUUGCAGAAAGCUGAUCUUUCUGUUUGUGGUAGUACAAGGUUGCAUAACGUUGGUGAAUAAUCACUUCAGCAUCAAUACUGUUUUACAAAAUAAAAUGGGAUUUCCCUGCAGGGUUUUUCUUUCAUCUGCUUAUCCAAAUUCAUUUUUGCCCGUUUCCAAUGUAAAUAGGAUUAUCCAGUUGGGACUGGUUACAGUUUUGUGGAAGACGUUAAAAACACCACAUUGUUUGUGAAGAGUGAUGUGGAGGCUGCAAAGGAUGGAACUAAAUUCUUGACUGAGUUUUUCAACAGGAAUCUGACUCUCCAAAAGAGUCCUCUGUUUAUUGUAGCAGAGUCUUAUGGAGGCAAAUUUGCUGUAACUCUGGCAUUAUCUGCUUUAAAAGCUAUUGAGGCUGGAAAGCUGAAGCUAAAUCUUGGAGGUAACAAUUGCUUUUUCAUUCUCAAAAUUAAAAUUUUAUUCUCUCUUCAAUCCUGAAGUCUUGAACUUGCUGUUACCUUUUCUGCAUAGGAGUUGCAUUGGGAGAUAGUUGGAUUUCACCAGAAGAUUUUACCGUAUGUAGUUUCUGUUCUUCAUUCGUCUCAUGAUUACUUAGUUGGAACAGCUGAAUUGAGUUCUGGCGAUCAAAAUACAGUCUUCAUGGGCUCCUCUUUUGAAAGACGUCUCAUUGCUUGACGGCAAUGGUUUCCAGAUAUCAAACAGGUAUUAAGUUAUAAUACUUGAAAGAUGGCACUAUCCUGAAUCCACGCCUCAAAUGCAUCGAUGAUGUGUUUUUUUAGUAUUGAAACUUGCGUGAAUUUAACAUUUCUGUCUAACCUAAUCAAGCUCGACAAUUUUAAGUUGUCUAAUAAGCCUAUUGUUCAAUGCAGGGUUGCUAAUCAAAUUAAGAAGCAAAUUGCAGCAGGUAAGUUUGCGGAGGCCACAGACACAUGGAAUGAAUUGGAAGAUCUAAUUACCAAGUACAGUAACAAUGUGGUAUGAAUUUGAAGAAUUUAUGUUUAAUCACAACAAAUUGUUAAGUAUGUGCUUGACGAUUCCUUUUGUGGAUAAAUACAGGACUUCUACAAUUUCCUCUCAUUUGCAGAGGACGACCCUUCAUCGCUGUCAGCUGCUUCAGAACUAAAACAACGUAUUGCAGUAAAACGGUCCUCUCCUGGAGGUGAUGGAGAUCUUUACAGCUUGAUGAAUGGUGAUAUUAAAAAGAAGUUGAAGAUUAUACCAAAUGUUACGUAAGUUUUCUCCUUAGAAAAUUUUCAGACUUUUUCAGAGUUCAAUACUUUACUGUCAUUAAAGGAGUAGUGUGAUAUCAACAGAUGGGAGGGCAGUCCAAUAGUGUUUUUGAAGCCCUGAAAGGUGACUUCAUGAGACCCAGGAUUAGUGAGGUAACUAAAGCAGCUGCAUUUUUUUUUGGUUAGGAAUUAAUCACAAAGUUUAGGAACUUUUGGUUUUUAGUUUGAGCUACACCAAGAACGUUUUUUGAAUUUCUGGAUCAGCAUUCUUUGACACAUCUCAAUUGCGAUAAGAGCAGUUACCCAAUUAUAUGCAGUAAAUUCUAAAGCAUUUGAUCAACUGCUUUUGGCAGGUUGAUGAGCUUUUAGCAAAAGGAAUAAAUGUGUCUAUCUACAAUGGACAAGUAAGAUUCUGUAAUGCUUUAUGUUGUUUCUCACAAUAUUCUCCAAAGAGGAAUGGAAAAAUAGUGUAUUAACAUUUCUGGAAGAAUGGGAUUUACACAGAAGCAGUAGAUAGAUAUUCAAGGAAAAACUUGAUAGGACUUUCUGGUUGUACUAUGAUUCCACUGCAUAGCAUUUGUUUUCAAAAAUUGGCAAUAAGAUAAUAUGGCAAUAAUGGAACAUAAUAAUGGUAACCAGGUAAAGGAUGAUAUUUUGGAGUAAUCGUACUUGUAAUUUGAUAUUUGCUCACAAUAAAUUGUGAAUUCCAGUGGAUAAACUUGAUCAGGGCAGCUUUAAUAUCCAUGCUACAAAUUUCACUGUUUUUUUUUUUUUUUUUUUUUUUUUUGUGUUUGGCUAAGUAGUUCAAUUUUAAGUGUUGUUUUGUUGUUGGUUGUAGUUCGAUCUAAUCUGUGCAACCAAGGGAACCAACGCAUGGGUUGAAAAGCUCAAGUAAGAAAAAAAAAAUCCCAUAAGUAAAUAAGCACCAAAAUUUCUUCCCCUGAUCAGUAAUUUUUUUUGCCUAUUUUCACAGGUGGCAUGGGAUAAAAAAUUUCUUGAACAAGGAUAGAACGCCUCUCUAUUGUGGAGGUGACAAGAGUAUUAAGGGUUUCACCAAAUCAUACAGAAAUCUUCAUUUCUACUGGAUUCUAAAUGCUGGCCACUUUGUAAGUCAACAAACCAUUGUCAUAUUUCUGCUGCAUUUGUUUGUUAGUUUAAAAUUACUGUUACUUUUGCCUACUUGACAAGGUUGAGAACACAACACACACUUGUCUCAACUCUCAAUAGCUUUAGUAUGUCAUAGCCAAUCUCCACAUUUGAAAUGCUAAAGUUUGCAUAAUAUUGUCUUUGUCAAGAAACCAUCAAAGGUAGUAGAAAAAGUAAUACUCCCUCCAUUCCAUUAAAACGUUCACUUCUCAUUUUUGCAUUUUCCAAAAUGCUUGUCAUGUCCAAAAGCUAAACAUAAUUUUCGCUCUCAUUUCAAAUACUCUUGUUCAUUGUCAUUUUGGGGAAGACAUUUCAAACAAUUGAGAUUUUACUCUGGGAGCAUGAAGCUGAGAAAGCUUAAAUAAUUAUCAGUAUCAGUUCCAUUGAAAGGUGGAUUGCCAAAAUGUGGCAAAACUAUGGGAUUGAAAGUAGUAAUUGCCAGACUUAUAAUGAAACUUCGGAUUAUUGAGACAAAGAUGAAAUGCUGUGUGUGUCUGAAAGAAGAAUUGAAUGAAUUUGACAAGUAACAUCACACUUGUAUCUACUUGAGGACAAUGAAACUGGUUCUGCUGCGACGCAAUAACUACCAUUAAAGUUAGGGUAGAUCGGACUUAUACCAAUAUGUCUGGCAUUUAUUGGUGGUAAAUCUACCAAACCCUGUGGGAAUAUCCGAAUAUGAGAUGUUUAAGAACAAAAGAAAACUAUGGAACAUCUUUGUGAGAGAAAUUUUCCAUACCAAUUAUUUGUUGAAGUUGUUUAUUGGUUAUAGACAUGAGAAGGGCAAGCAGAAUGGACAUUAAGAUUUGUAGCGAAUAUGUUCUCGCUAAGUAAAUACUAUAUUUGAUAGAUUUGUAAGGAAAUUUUCUUAUAAUUAUGUAGGGGUGGCAAUUUCUGACACGACCCGAAAACACGACACGAACCUAACACGAAAUUAAUGGGUUUGGGUUGAGGUUUCGGGAGUUCGGAUCAGAAUCGGGUCGAACCGAUGAACCGAAAAAAAAAAAUAGGUCAAUUUCAGGUCAAUCCGUGGUAACCUGAUAUGAUCCGAUGUGACCCGUUUACGAAUUAAAACUAAUUUAAUAAACAUUAAAAUUAUUUUAUCUAACUAAACUAAAUCAUUCUUUUUUUCCAAAGACAUUAAUUACUUAGUCCUAAAUGAAUUUAUUUAACUUGUGUGAAGUUAAAAUUAUUAUAUUUGGAAAAAUAAUAUAUUAUGUUAUUUUUUACUUUUAUGCUGUUUUAAUUUAUUUUAUAUUUGGUUUGGGAUAAAACACUUUUAUGGUGUUUAAUUUAUUUUAGAUUUGGUUUGAAAUUAUUUAUUUAAAUUUUUAUUACUUGAUGAUGUAAUUAAUUUUGUGAAAAAUUGAUUUUAUUAGAAAUUACAGUGAUAAAUAAUAAAUUAAAAUUAAGUUUCGGGUCGACCGCCAACUCAAAAUUUUCGGAUUCGUGUCAGGUACCCUGACCCGUUUCGGUUGGCGGGUCGGAUUCGGGUCAGCAGGUUCUUUAUUAUACUUAAGCCUCAACCCGACCCGCCAACACCGAACCCGACUCGAUUGCCCCCUAUAAUUAUGUCAUAUAAAUUUAUUUGCCCUUUUCGAUUCUUUAUAGGUCCCUGUUGACCAGCCCUGUGUAGCAUUAAAGAUGAUAGGAAGCAUCACACAGUCACCUGCUGCUUCAGGGUUGGUGUCGCUUUCCAACUUAGCCAAUACAGAGGACAGAUACUGAAGAAAUAUGAACCGAAGAAUAACAUAGAAUUCUCUUUUGAUUCUGAAAAAACCAUCACAGGAAUGAGAAUUAUUUCAGAGGAAAUUGGAAAUUAUUUUUUAGUAUUUUCGUCUUGUGGAGUCUUUAUGACAUUUUUUUUAGGGCAAGUUUUACUUUAUCCCCUGUGAUUUAAGUAUUUUUUUUUUUUUUUACAUAACCCCCAUAUGGUUUUAAAAGUUAUAUAUAAUCCCCUCAUGGUUUGGAUUAAAGUGUCAAAGUAACGGGAAUGAUCAUUCAUAACGGAGUCACCUAAAAUGUCAAAAAUACCCUUAUAUAAAGUUAAAAAUUAGGAUUAAUCACAUUUAAUCCCCUUAAGGUAUACCUCAUUUCUCAGUUUACCCCCUAACCUUUUAUUUUGCUCACUUAACCCCUAUAGGAUAAAAUUGCCCUUGCAUAAUUUUGACUUUUCAUUUAUUUUGUUUUCCUUUCUUUUAUUUCUUUUUCUCUUUCUUCUUUAUUUAAUUCUUCCUCUUCUCACAAAAAUCUUCACCUUAAUGAUUGAAAUUAAAAAAGAAGAAUUGCAGAGAUCUAUCUUCUCCUUAAAUGAUUAAAAAAAAUAUUCAAAUCACUUUGCUAAAAUACAAUUUUUUUAGCCUUUCAAUUCUUUUAAUUUUAAAUUUUCCUCUUUCGUUUCUAGUUUCUCAUUUUAUUCCCAAGAAAAUAUCUUAAGAUGAAAUUGUGACUUGAUUAAUAAUCAUCAAUUGAAAUUUGUGACACGUGGCAUCAUUAAAAAAAAUCAAAUUAGUUUUUGAUGCCUUUUAAACCUUCACCAGAAAUAUGCAAUUACAAACUCAAAACAAUAAUUUUCGUUGAAAUGGAAUUUUCUAUUGGGAAUGAUGAAAGAGAAAAGAAAAAGAAAAAGAAAUAAAAGAAAGGAAAACAAUUUCAUCUUAUGAUAUUUUCUUGAGAAUAAAAUGAGAAACUAGAAAGGAAAGAGGAAAACCCAAAAUUAAAAGAAUUGAAAGGUUAAAUAAAUUGUAUUUUAAGAAAGUGAUUUGAAUAUUUUUUUAAUCAUUAAGAAGAAGAUAGAGUUCUGCAAUUCCUCUUUUUUAAUUUCAAUCAUUAAGGUGAAGAUUUUUGUGGAAAGAGAAAGAAUUAAAUAAAGAGAAAGAGAAAAAAGAAAUAAAAGAAAGGAAAACAAGGUAAAUAAAAAUGAAAAUAAUGCAAGGGCAAUUUUGUCCUAUAGGGGGUUAAGUGAGCAAAAUUAAAGGUUAGAAGGUAGACUGAGAAAUGGGGUGUAUCUUAAGGGGAUUAAAUGUGAUUAACCCUUUAUUUAUUUAUUAACCAAGGGGGGGUUAUGUGUAUAUUUUGAAAACCAUAAGGGGAUUAUAUGGUAAAGUAUUAAACUAUAAGAGGGUUAUAUAGUAAAAUAUAAAAAUCAUACGGGAUUAGUGUGUCAUGUAUUUAUAAGGGUAAUUACGACAUUUCUAGAAGUUCCGUUACGAAUGACUAUUUCCGUCACUUUGACACUUUAAUCCAAACUAUGAGGGGGUUAUGUAUAGUUUUUGAAACCAAAGGGGAGUUAUGUAAAAAAUGCUAAACACAGGGGGUAAAAUGUAAUUUACCCUUUUUUUAUGUAGAAAAAAUAGAAUUUCAUUGCUGAAUUUGCUAAAAAUCAUCCAGCAGAUUUUGUUUAAGAAAGUUAGGGAGUCCAUUUUAUAGAUAUCCAUCGAGUUACUGGACUUGACACGAUUUGAUUUGCAUGUCCUUAUAGUUGGUGAAUAAUUCGAGACAUGAUAUUUGACUAGCUAGUGAUGCCUGACGUCGAGAGAUACAAACACAGGUGCUCAAACCGUUUCAUUAGGUUUGCAAUUUAACCAGAAUCAAAAGCUCAAAGAUAACUUUACAUUCAAUUUGCCACAACAUAUAGGCGGAUGCAUCCUAGACACUCAAGCUAGUUCCUACGGUUAAGAUUUGAGGAAAAAAAAUUGCAGAAAAAAGUAGCCUACAAUUUUGCGCUACAUGUCCGAGAAAAAAAAAAAAGAAAAAGAAAAAAAAUAUAUAUAUAUAACUCCUAAAAUUCACCUAAAAUGCCUUAGAUUCAACAGGGUAAUUUUUGUACCUUAAAACAUCCAAAUUGAAUUUUAAACAUGAAAAAAUAGCAUUUUGGGAAACUAUGAAUAUUGGAAAUUGAGUUAACUAUACUAAUCCAAAUUCUAGGGACCAAAAUGCAAAAUUAAAAUUUUUUGCUAAUGUAAAUUUGAUUUCGACUAUUUGUCAAGUUUUCCUUCUGUCUAAAAGAAGAAAAUUUUAGUACACAUUUAUUUUGCGUGAGACUUUAGAAAUUAAUUUUGCUCAUAAACCAAACAUUAGGAAUCAAAAGUGCAUUUCUCCAUUUUCAGAAAAGGAAAGUAAAACUUCCUUUGCCAAUUUGAUGAAAAUGCUCGGCAAUUUUUUCAUGCCUUCAACCAAUUUGAAUUCUAUUUUAGUAAAUCAUUCUAGUAUAAUUUCAUGAGUUUUGUCAUAAUAACAAAAACUGCCUUGCCUUUCUUUUUGUUCAAGGAAAAUUCUAAACUAGAAAAAGAGGGAUUCAGAGUCGAAUGAAGGGAUCUGACGGUUCCUGACUAAUGUCCUUGCCAACUAGUUUGGGUCUUGAGACAAUAUAGAGAGACUUAUUGUGUAAAACCUAUUUUCUAUGCAUUUGAAAUCAAAUGCAAAAAGUAAAUAAAUCAGUAAAGUGUUAUCGCCUCUGUGCAAUUUAUGGUGGGUUAGUUCAAUUUACUCUUUUACCUACUUUUAAACAGCCUAACCACUACAUGGAUAUUUAAAAAAAUUAAACUAAUCGAUUUAUUGAAAAAAAAAACCUACAAUUAGUUAAUAGUAGCAUGAAAUUGGACUCAAAAAUAAAUAAUUGAUUAGCAAUGCCUAGGCCUCAAUUUCACAGCCAAUGUGGAUUGAUCCUUGCUUGGUCAUUGGUUAUUCGAUUACUAGACUUCCGUUAAUAUUUGGUUAUUUUCAAAUAAAUUAAAAAACCAGAUCCAAUACCAAACCAAAAUUUACUUCGGUUGCGGAUAAUCGAUAUUGCUAUUAUCAGUCACUAGUUUAACGGUUAACAAAUCUUAAAUGCCUUUUAGUUUUAUGGAGGGGGAGAAAGACAUCUCAAAUACUCGAACAAUAAUCCAUCCACAAUGCAAUAAAAUGUGUGCCUCUAAAAUAUAAUCAAAAAAUAAAUAAGAAGUUAAAUUUUCACUAGCCUUGUUAAAAUAUCAUAAUAUCAUUUGUCCCUAGAGAAACACCUUCCAUUAUUAUCUCUCUCUCUCUAGAACUCAAUUUCUCUUUCUUCUCUGCAAUUUCUUCCAACCAAAACCUCAUUUGACUUCUUUGGGAAAGAGAUUAGAUAAUUGGUCUUUUCUCAUGGGAUGUAACUUUUCUCUAAUUUUAUUUCUUUAUUUGAAUAAAUUCACUUUUAAGUUUUCUAGUGAAAGAUUAUUCUCUUCUAGGGUUUCCUUGUAUGAAAAUCUUCUAUCCUAGAUUUUUAUGAUAAGAGUUUUAUUUUCUCUUAAAAUAUUCUUAUGAGAGUUUUUUUUUUUUUUUUAAUGGGUGAGAAUAGAGAUUUGGUAGAUCUCAAAAACCAAAUCAAAAAUCAAUUCUAAAUUAUUUUCUUUGGACUUGAAGUAGUUUUUAUCAAAUUUGACUAUUUAAAGACAUGCUUAAAGAUAUAUUGGAUUGCAAUGAUAUUCAUCUAAUAGAAAAUACUCUUGGAUUGCAAUGUUAUGAUCAAGUUUAUUGCUUUUUAUAUUUGUUGUGUCAAUUGAUUUUCAAAUUUGUAUGUUUACAUCAUAUUUGAUGUACUUGCUAUCAUGAAUGUAGAUAUUACAUUGAAAUUAUCCUUUUUAUCCAAAAAAAAAAAGGUAUCAUUUGUCCAUCUAGCAUGAUGAAGCCAACUAAUAGCCAACAAUAGGCCAGGGGGCUCUUGGAGGGAAGGAAGAUUGAGGUUCGCCGGAUUGUGAUGAGAUGUGAUAAAAAAGGCUGUUCGGUUGUGAAACUCGAAAAAAAAAACAAUUGGGCAACUUUGAAAUGUGUGAUUAACUUUGGGCUUAAUUCAGAUAGUCAAUAUGCUAGUAGGAUACCACUGGUAAAAGACUAGUACUAUUUUGGUCGGCCGGCUAUUAAUCAAUAACCAAAUAAAAAGUUCAUUCAUUCAUUAUUCAACUAUUCGAAUAUUAAAUUUCGGAGUCUAUUUGGUAUUAUUUAAUCCAAUUCUUGAGAUUCACUUUAGAAUAGACAAUCCUAAUAAAUUUCCAAUAACUAAGGGUGUGUUUUGAAAACUAAAAUUUGAAAUUUAAAUCUAUUAAGUUAUUGAAUUAUUAAAUAUUAAAUCUAAUACAUUUGAAUAUAUACCACAUUUAGUGAUGAGUGAAUAGUUUAUCACUUAUUUUUUGGAGCAAUUUUGCUUAGUAAAUUAAUCAGAUGUUCAAUUUUUGUUAUCAAACGCAUCUAAAUAUAUUAAAAUUGAAUCUAUUAAAUUUAAGUGCAGAAUUACAUUAUCAAACAGUUGAUAAUGGUGCAGUCGGUUUUUUUUUUGGUUUAUUCAAACUGCCCUCCAGAUGUGUCGUUCUUAUCUUCGAAAAUGUAUUACAUUGUCAAAAAAAAAAAAAAUUUUACUUUGGAACUCUGGGGUUGCUUUCUUCCGUUAGAGAAUGUGGAAAAUCAUGAAGAAGAAAGGGAGGACAGAAACAACUAUUUUUUAUAAUAAAAUAUUUCUUAAAAUUGCUUCGAAGUUGUAUACACAUAAAGUAUGUUAUAAUCAGUAGUAUUUGCUUACGAGAAGAAAGAUGGUUAAAAUUAAAUGUCAAUUUGCUACUGUAUUGGAUAACCUUGAAACUCUAGUCAUUGGAUGUUUCAAUGUUGCACGAAUAAUAUUUGGGUCUUUCUUAACAAGACAUUUGGUGUUUCAUGAAUAGAUGAAUUGAUAUCUAUUAUUCUGCGAUUAGUAUAUGCAAGUUCACUUAACAAUCAUUUUCUAGGUAUAAAACUAGCAAAACAUGAAGGACACAAACAAGAACCAAGUUUGUAUUAUAACUAACAUUAUAAUUAACACAAGAAAUAAAGUAAUAGGAGAAAUGUCACCAUUUUCACAUGAGUUUCGAAACCUCUAUCUUCAUCCUCAACUUCAUCUAGGCUUAGUUACAUACAAGGCUUGAAUGAAACAAACUAUACUAAUCUACACUACAAACUAAUGAACUAAGAAAACUAAUGAAGAUUACAUUUUUUGUGGUAUUUCUAGCCUUCAAAAGUUGUUCAAAUAAGCUCUCCAAAGGCUAUAUUUAUAGAGAAUUCAAUAUCCAAAUGAGUUGUUAAAGUUGAUGUAGAUUGCAUCUUGAAAUCAUCAAAGUUACUUCUUGAAGUCUCUAUGCUUGCUUGCUCAUAUCCAGCUGAAUUUCUUAUAGAAAAAUUGGUCAAAAACUUGUGAAACAGAGACACAAGUUGUAGAACAAGUUGCAGCCGCAAUUAAAGAAAAUGCAGGCUCAGAAAAUGUGGGCUGAGGUCACAUAUUUAUCCCAUGUUUUCCUCUUUUGUGGGUUUUCUCAUUUUUGGUCAGUCUUCAACUUUGCUCUAUUUUUGUAUCAAAUUCAACUGAUAUUUUCUAGAUCAUAGAACCUGAACUAACUCUUGCACGAAACAUGAAAGUUGUAGUCUUUGAAUGAGCUUUCCAAUGCUUCAAGAAUCAUUCAAUUUAGAGCUCUAUGUACUGAGAAAUGACCAAAAUACCCUUAAUUAAUCAAUUCUAUUUCAGCUUUCAACAACAAAAAUGAAUAGAGAAUUUUAAAAAUUUUAAAAAAUGAGUGUAAAGGAUCUAAAAAUAUUCAAUUUAACACUAGAGAUAAAGCAUGUGUUGUAGAUGCACUCUAUUUAUUUGUUUUGAAUACUAUUUUAACAAAAAAAGUAAGCAUUAAUUUGUACAUGCACUUUUAUAUACUAUUAUGUACAAAUUAUGAAUUCUUAUACCUACCAAGUGUUUUAUUUGAUCAAAAGUGAAUAUCUUAUACUUAUUUUAUAGAGUUAGCAAAUUUUUUGUCAAUUUUUCUAGAACGUUUCUAUAAUUUUUAUAGAACUUUUGUAUAAUUUUAUCAUAUGAUAAUAAAUUUUAUAGAUUGUACAAAGCACUAAGACCCAAUAUGGUCAAUUAAUAUAUUUUAGGGGCUACCUUUUUUCAGAUUGAAAAUUAAGGCACUAAUUUGAUCAAAAUUGAAUACGUUAAAGACUACUUUUCUUUUGUCUAAAACUAUGAAAACUAAUUUAGUCUAACCCAUAAACUUUGAGAACUAAAAUUUGCAUUAUAAGACAAAAGAGUUGAUGCAUUUGGAAAAGUGUAAGGGUCUAUUUGUUUGGACUGAAAUUGUUUUCCAAAAAAUGUUUUCUGAAAUUUCUGGUGUUUGGCUGUCAAAAAGGUCGCAAAAAUUUUUUCUCGUAUAAAAUGUUUUGCACAUCAAGUGUAAAAUACUCCCUCAUCUAAUUAAACGUAUCAUACUUUCAUUUUGAUUUGUCCCAAAAUUAAUAUCAUUAUCACAAUUAGCAAUGAAAUUUCACCCAUUUCCAUCUCAACCCUUAAAUAUACCAAAUUCUUUUAAUCUUUUGAUGGGCCCCAAAAAAUUAAAAGAAUUAUGCUUGGUACACGUGUGUCCCACAGCAAGUGCAACCAAUGGUUGUGCAGGAUACUUUCCCAAAAAUUGUUAGGAGACAUUCUCAAUGCUUGGAUCCAGAGUCUUGUCACCACUACUUUAUCUUUCUACCAUCCAACAAGUUUUAAUGCAUAGAAACUACAGAAGGUAUUGCUAGAAGUUAGACCAGAAUCAUUUGAAGUCUUAGCACUAUUGAAAAUAAGUUCUGAGUCUUGAGUGCGACAAAUAUUUUAGGACAGAGUAACUUAGGGUCUGUUUGAUAAUAUAAAAAAGUGUUAAAAUUGAAUCUUUUCAAACAUUCGGAUAUUUUAAAUAUUUGAUAAAUAAAAAUCUAUCUGCUAAACUUGUGUCUAUUCUUUUCAGCGCUAGAAUCCUAACUGAAUGUUUAAUUCUGAUAAGAACCAAUAAAAUUAUUUCAACUAUUUUAUCUUAUAUAAUUCUUAUCUUAUCUUAUCUACCUAACCUACCAUUGUUUAUUAAUUAUAUUUAAAAUUCUUAUAUGAUUAAACAACCUAAUAUUCUCUAUCUAACAGUUUUCCAUUUCUCUUUUCUCCUUUUUUAAUGACUUUCACAUCUUCGCCAAACUCCUCAUAUAAUAUACUUCAUUUUUUAUACUAAUUUGAUUUAAAAAUAUAUAUUAUCAUUUUCAUACCUAACAAUUUUAAAUUAAUUAAAUCAUAGGUUCUAUUUUUUUUGGUUGGAAAGAUACAAGGGCAAAAUUGUCAAAUUUUACUUAUUCAAUAUUCAAUUAUAAAUGUUUAUCAAAUAAUAUUAAUAGGUUUAGUAUUAAAAUUCAGACAUUCAUAUAUUUCUUUUUAGUGUUUAAAAUUCAGCAAAUUAAUUGUUUCAAUAUUCAGAUUUUCGAAUUCAGAUUCAGUUUUAUCAAACGGAAUCUUAUCCAAGGAAUGUACUGUGGUACUGAAGUUAUUUUCCCUUGAACAAUAAAACUGUCGGAGCUAAUCAUCUCACUAUCCCUUUAAAUAUCAAAAUUGUACGCAUGACAAAACAUCCCUCAUGAAACUUGCUGAAUAUCCACUGCCAGCGACCUCCCCUCUUCCUCACUGUUCUCGCUUAACCUACACUCGCAGCCGCAGGCACCACCUGCCAUCCUCCUCUUACUCACCUUUCUCAUACUAAUCCAUUCCUUUCAUACCAGUAUACAACUAUAUGCGUGGGAUAGAGAAACUCCACUUCUAAGGUGGGUUUUGUCUUGACAAGUUUUUUGGAAGAAAAACCUGGAAAAAAGAAAGAGAUGCUAUUGGAAAGAUCUGUUAAAGAAUUUAUACGCAUCAAAUUCGAAGCACUAAUUUUGCAGAUGAUGGUUAGAGUAAUCAAAUUUGAAACGAUUUUAAUUGACAUAUCAGCAUAUAACUAGUAUGAUAUGUAAUUGGUUUGAGAUAUUAUGAAUUCCCUUUCAUGGAGUUUGAUCUGAUUUUUGGGAAGUCGAAGGAUUUGCAUUUGGAUGGAUGGUCAAUCAACGUUGAAUCGGGUGGUGUCAUGCUGGCAGUAGGGAAGGGAAUGGAUUGGGUACCUGCCCUAGGCAUCAUUUCGCUAACCCGAUCAGUACCUUACAAAUUAGCAAUUUUUUGUUCCUUACCCGCUUCACAUAUCAGUGGGUAUCUGCUGAGAUAGGAUCGAGUCAACAGGUAUCUAUCUCGCCCCGCUUAUCAUUUAAUUUUUUAAAAAAAUUAAGUUAUAUUAAUAAGUUUUGUAUUUUACAUAUUCUUCUAAAAUUUAAUAAAGAUUUUUUUUCUGAAAAAAAAGUUUUAGAAACAAACAUGCUAAGAGAGUACAAGAAAAAGAAAAAAAUUGAAAUAUGUAGCACCUAUAUGUUUCACAUUAAUUAAACUCUUUUUUAAAAAACAUAAGAUCAUGACCUCUACAAAUGAAUCUUGUAAACAAACUAUAAUCUCCCAUAUUUAUAAUGCAAUUUGUUCAAUGAAAUUGCUUACUUAUCUCUAAAAAUAUUAUUUUAUUAUAUGUGCACAAAAAUAAAAAUUAUAUACAUAUAUAAUGUAUAUAAGCCGGUAUCCGAUUCUCUUUUGAUCUAAUCAAAUAAUACAGAUUGGGUAUCUUAAUUUUUGGAUUAGAUAGGAUCAGAUAUGACCGAUUUUCGGGUUAACAUGUAUUUUUACUCACCCCUAAUUGGCAGACGUAAACAGAGGAAUCUGAGGGGAAUAUUCUUGUUUUGAUUUUGGGGACAGUGCACCAAAUACAUGAGAAUCGAAGAACUUCCUUGAAUAAAAUUAUUUUCAUCCAAAAUCUUUUCUUUGGGAAAAAGUUUUACACUGACUAACGGACCCUAAGUGUUCCUCUAAUUAUGCAACGCAAAUAUGGCAAUUUGAAGAGAUCUGAAUGCUCCCUCCAUUGACUUGAUUGUGUAACAUCAUUGUCUAUUUUCACUCCUUGCCCUUUUUCAAUACCUCAGGGUGGCUCAGCAUAAGAGGCAUAACCGACUCCAAUGCAUGUAUAGUCAAACAGAACAAAAAGCCCAAGCAAAACAAGAGCACAACGUUAUGGCUGACUACAAUGCAUGUAUGGUCAAACAGAACAAAAUGCUCGAGCAAAACAAGCGUACAACAUUAUGCCGACUCCAAUGCAUGUACGGUCAAGCAUAAAAAAUGCCCAAGAAAAAGCAAAAGGACAGCACACAUUAUGGUGAACGGUAAAAGAUGUUCAACAAGAUUUUGUAUUAAUUGAGGAAUAAUGCUUUAUAAUUGCUGCAACUGACAGUAUAUUUUUAUGGAUGCUACCAAAGAAAACCAAACGAUUUUUUGUGAAUAAAAGUUUCUUGUCAGAUUCCAUAAUGUAAUAGAGGCUACUCUUGUCUGCUUUAGCAUUUCCAAAAUUUCUCUCUGGAGAGAUUCUUCAAAACAACCGUUGUUUAGAGAUUUAAAGCCUACUUUGGUUUUAAAAGUUGUAAACAGCAAUCGGUAUUUGAAAAAGAACCUUAAAAUUAAAUUUCAAAAAAUAAAUUUUUUCUCUACAAAUGAUUCACAAGGAGAAGACAAAAUCAAGGAAGGAAACAGUUAAGACAAAGUUUCUAAGUUUAGGCCCAAAAAAAGAAAAAGAAAAGAGAAAACUAGCUGAUUUUAAGGAAAACAAUACAAUAGCAAUCGAAAAUGCAAGUUCUUGAUUUGUUAAAAUGUUUAAAUUGGGACCCUUGUCUUAGAUCUUUUAUUUAUUUGGCGACCUAUUAUGAUAUAAAAAAGGAUAAUUUUAUAAACUUUCCUUAAGCUUUCUACAAAUUUUGCUUCGCCCCUUACAGAUUUCACUAUUAUAUAUAAUGCCCUUAUUUUUCAAAUUCAAUGUAACAAUGGCACUCCAUGCAUAUAAAAUGUUAUAAAAUAUUUCGAUUAAAAAAUUAUCCUUCCAUGGCCUUUAGAAAAUUAAUAUAAUAAAUUCAACUAAAAAUAACGAAAAUGUUUCAAAUAAAAUCAAAGAAAUUCAUAAUAAAGUAUGAUAGUCCACAAAGAAUUAAAAUGAGGUAUAAAAACAAUUGAUAGAAUAAAUAUCUAAAGCUAAUCCUUGAAAGUACCUAGGGUCACAAGAAAUUGAAAUAACAAACUUAAAUUCUAAAAAGGGUUUGAAAUUGCAAAAUAAAAACCGGAGAGAAAAUUCCUUCAUUAACAAUAGUUUAAUAGGCUACUUGAUCACAUAUACCAAUUUCUAAAAAUGAACUCUUUAAUUAUCCCAAGCAACACUAGUAUUUUCUUAAGUGUUCCUAAGCAUCAGAGUUUAGGUUUUUAAUUCUCUAUAUGGCUUUGUUAUGAUUUACCUUAUUAGAUUUUCAUGAAUUUUUUCAAAACAAAAAAAUAAAAUCAACUUAUCUCAUUUUCAUUUCAUUUUCAAAGUCCUUUGUUGGAGUUUAAUUGAAUGUAUGACUUUUAACAUUUUAUGUGAAUUUAUUGGAUAAAUGGCCGACUUUGUUGCAUUGAAAUUCAAAAUAAGGAAGCCAGGGAGGUAAGCGUAAUAUUUCCAGCUCCCCCCCAGCCCCAAGGGAGCCAAGGCGAAGUUUUACUUAUCCUUCAAAAAAAGUGCUAAGUGCUUGUGGAAUGGGGUUUAUAUUUAAUAGGUAACAACUUAAACCCUCCCCCCUCCCCCACCCCUUCCCCUCCAAAAAAAGCCCUUAUAAUUAUUUAGAUAUUUUCUCACAUUUUUUCCCCUUCACUGAAGUAGACAGCUAAUGGAUCCAGCUCCUCUCCAUUACUUAUUUUCUCCAGUUAUCCUCAAUAUAGCAAUAUGAGUUUGACAUGUGUCCAAUUUGAAGUCAAUGUCCAAGAUUUCUUUUGCUCAUAACCAGCAUCUUAACCUUGGUUAAGCACAAUCUAACAUACCAUGUUUACCAUAAUUUGGAGUAUUUGAAAAAAAAAAAAACCACCUUUUCCAGCCAAAUUUUAUAUGGGAAAAGUAAAAGAAAGAAAAGUCAAAUCAUGGAAUUUCAUGGAAAAGAAAAAGAAAGAAAAGGCAAAUCAUGGAAUUUAAGUUACAGGUAUAUCCUGCCCAAAUCAUGAUCUUGCAUCUUUUUUCUCAAACUUUCAGUGAAUUGGUAAUGUUUUUCUCACUUGAAACGGAUUUUUUGUUUUGGGAAUCUCAAAAUUGUUCUCAAAGUAAAUAUUCAGAUUAAUGUUAGGAUCCAAACACGGAACACACAACUAUUGAGAUAUUAAGUAUACAACAGUUUAUGAAAAAUAAGUCACAAGCAUGAAAGAUAAACGACAUUCAAUAUUUAACGUGGUUGAAUUAGCUCCACCAUUGAGUUUACGUGCAUAGAGAUAAUGUGAAGACUCAUAAAAUUUAUCUAUUUUAAACUUCUAAUUCUAGCUCAUUUAAUUAUUUAUUUGGCCAAUUGUCCCGAAUAUUAUUUUCUAACCUUUUUAGACCUAAUUAUAUGGAUCUAUAGCUUAGUUAUAUUUUUAAAGUGACUUGUUUAAAAAUUUAAUAUUUGAAUGCUCGUUAAGUGAAAAUAGUGAAUACGCGAUUCAAGUCAAUAAUCGAUUCGAGAAUACAAUAAGCUUGAAAAAUUGGAAACUUGCACAUUAGUCUUGAAAUAGGUAUUUUUAUGUUUAAGUGCUCAAUUAUUAGUUAGUGAUACAAUCGUUAUAAGAAUUUCUUGAAAAUUUCGCUUUAUCGCGCAAAAAUCAGAAGUACGCGUUUUUACGCGCACGAUUAAUUGAGGGACUUUAGACCUUUAUUUUUAGACCAUUAAGAGUGAAUAAUAAUAGUAUGAAUGUAAGUGCAUUAGAGGUUUAGUGCACUAGUGCAACAAACCCGAGAGGAAUCGGGCGCGAAACACGCACGAACGCGCACUAUUCCCAGUUAACUUUUGGGACAAAUCUUGGCCACAAAUUCUCAAGCUUCCUCAAGAAGCUACAACACUCUACGCUCUCUUUUCUCUCUUGGUGGCCGGCCAAAACAGCAAGGAAGGAGGAAGAAAAGCUUCACCAUUUUUACUCCAAAUCUUUGAACCAAUCUUUCUCCAUUUCAUCUCAAAAUCACACUACACUUUGCUAACCACUUGGAGACCACCUCAAGCUAGGAAAAGAGCUUCAAAUCCACGGUUUUUCUUGAGCAAGGAGGACCAAAAAUUUUGCCUUAAAUCAUCUAGGAAAGUAAGUGACGAUCAACCUUGAAAAUCUUGACUUAUGGAAGUUGUUUAGCACUUAUGAGUUCAUAAUUUCUUAUGGGUAACUUAAAUUGUUGGAAAAUUGGUGAGUGGGCUCUAUGAACUCCCACUAUGGCUUGAUGGACUGAUUUGUGGUGUUUUGAUAUUAUUAAUGUUGGUUUAGUGCUUAAAUUAAUAGAAAUGAGUGAUAUUAUGGAUGAAAGCUCAAAGGGAGUGAAGAUGGAAAACUUUCCGUUUCUGCCCUUGAAUGUCCGUGACCCUUAGAGCAAACUUUUGUGGUUAUAUUGACUUGUUUAUGAUGUAUACAUGUUGUGUGGGUGGUGUAGAAAGUUUCAUCAAAAAAUUUCAUGAUUUGGUUGGCCAAAUGAUGUGUUUUCGGAAAUCAGCAAAAACUGGAAAUUUUCCCGUAAUUGCUCUGGCAGUGUUUUUAUUUGGCUAUAACUUUUUUCUCCGACAUUGAAAUCGAGUACCGUUUGCAGCACUGGAAACUAGACAUUCCUAACUUUCCAAAAGUAUAUAAUGCACAUCCUAGUUCCACCUGAGUAGUCCAUGCCAAUAGUUUGAACAUGACUGUCCUGUUUCGCGUCUACAUUGGGAGCUCUGGUUUGAGCAGCAAAUUGAUGCUCAAAUAUAAGCUAGCUGUGGACAGAUUUUGAAAAUGAUUUCUUCUAAAAAUUAUAGAUUUAUGAAUAUAGUUUUCAACACCACUAACACGCCGAUUCCAAGUUGAAUUGAGUGAGUUGUGGCUGAAAUCCGAGACUGACUCAAUGAUUUGAAACCCUCUUUUGGCUAGUAAAUGUCCAAAUCUUGAUUGGGACUUGUUGUUUCGAAAUUUUUGGCUUUAAUCACCUAUCAAAUGCAUCUGGAUGUUUCUUAGACAUUACCUACACAAAGGAACUAUGUUUGAGAUAUUUUGUUGGUUAAACGUUUCAAAAACGGAAAACUCAUGUACAAGGCAAAUUUGUCUUGGAAAUUUGGAAACUUUGGUGAUCUGGUUAACCAACUUUCCGUACGUAUUUUUCCAUGAAAAUUGAUAGAGGAAUAACCCUCAUAUGGUAGUAUAAUAUUGCUGAAUUUGGUGCCAUUCCGAGUUCAUUCCAAUACUCAAACAAAGUCCAAAAUUUGUAAAUUGAACCUGGAAAUUUGCCUAACAGUCUCAAUUUUUCAGCAACUUUGAGCCACUAUAUCUUGGUGCUCAAAACUCCGAUUCUUAUUCCACUUAUUUUAUUUUAAACUUUGAUUACAACUCUAAUUGAGUUUCAAAUCUGAGAGGCUAAUUCAAAUUUUGUGAAUUUUUCGAAUUUCCAAAUUUGGCGAAAAACCAACCUCAAAACUGUCUCGCAAGCCUAAAACAGUAACUUUGAGCCAAUUUUUGAAUACUUUCCGUUGGGAAUCAUGGGAAAGUGUAUUCUAAUAACUUUUAGUACUUUGGAAGAAGUUUCCAACGGUACCAAUUUUUCCAAUUUGGGACUUAUAAAGAGUGAGAUACGAUUUUUCAAAAAUCUCGUAUCAAAGCUGAAAUUUUCGAAAUUUCAGGAAAUGGAGUUUUUCGAAUUCUCCUUUUCCCCUCGAUAUCACUUGAACGUUUACACUUGAUUUCAAAGAUGAAAACUCGAUUUCUCUUGUGCUUUAAAAAUCCCAUUUUUGAGCCUUGAUUCGCGAGUAAUUAGGCUCGUUUUCGUGAAAUUUUCUUAGAUUGUACAAGUGUACAAUCAUUCGUGAUAACCGGGAUUUAUAUAUGAUAGUUCACUAUUAAUUGCUCAAGCUCGCACGAGAACCUUCAAGAGGUUCCCACGAUGAGCACCUGAACUUCGAGUGACAUUUCUUCCUUGUUUAUUUGGUGAGUGUCAAGUGUAUGUAAACCUGAUACGUGCUUAAUUGUUAUUAGUGAUUGGAGAUUUUGAAAAUGCUGAGUCGAGUGUGUACUUUACCGCACUCGAUCUCAUUUAAAUGAAUCAUGAAUGACUUGAUUGAAAUGAAAUGAAUGAUUGAAUGUAUUGAAUGAUUGAAUGAAAUGAUAAAUUAUGCUAUGACUGCAUAAGUCGAUUGGAGUGAUGCCUCAUCGACCACUGAACGAUUGUAAGCACCACACCGAUUCGGGUGGGAGGUACCUCUCGAGUCAUCUCAGUACCCUAAACCUCUGAACGAUAGUAAGUAUCACACUGAUUUGGGUGGAAGAUACCUCUCGAGUCGUCUCAGAACUAUAAAGUAUUCUAAGUCGAUUGGAGCGGAGUCUCAUCGACCUCUAAACGAUAGUAAGUACCACACCGAUUUGGGUGGGAGGUACCUCUCGAGUCGUCUUAGAACCAUAAAGUAUUCUAAGUCGAUUGGAGUGGAGUCUCAUCAACCUCUUAACGAUAGUAAGUACCACACCGAUUUGGUGGGAGGUACCUCUCGAGUCGUCUCAGAACUAUAAAUCGAGCGAUAGCAAGUACCACACUGAUUUAGGUGGAAGAUACCUCUUGAGUUGUCUCAAAAACAUAAAUGGAAUAAGUGAAGUGCUACGAAUUUGAUUACCUACCCGGGUGACGGGGUGCCGUCACGAGAAGGUAUUAAAUUGAAUUUGGGCAAAGCAAUUGAAAAUUAGUUCCUAAGAGCUCCUGCAUCCUACUCAAGUGUGUUUAUUAUAAAUUAUGAAUUAAUUAAAUGUUAUAGUUUUCAUUAUUGUGUAAGUGCUAUUGUUAUUAAACUACGUGUCUUGCAUGUUUUCUUGGCCUCACGAGCAUUCGCUCUCCCGUUAGAUUUGUUUUCCUUAACAGGAACGGAUAUGGGAGGAAUUAUAGAGAAGUUUACUCGGUGACCCAUUUGAUUAGAAUUUUAAAUGUAUUUGUUUAGAAGACUUUUGAAAGUUGUAUAUUUUGAAAAAAGUAAUUGUAAGUUUGAAAUUGUGAUGUAAGAUUGAAUAUUUAAGUAUGGAAAUGACUUUGUACUUUUUUUUAUUUUCAUUGUUAGUAUUAGACUUUAAGUUUGAAUUGGAAUUGUCUCAAGUCCUGGCGAGAGUUGGACAGGCGUCCCGCGGAUACCCUUGGGUUCGCCCAUGGGAGAAGUGGGGGCGUCACAGUUGGUAUAAGAACUUAGGAUUUAGAUCUUUAUAGUGUAUUCUAGGCCUAAAACUUUAGGAUGCCGGACUGUGGGAUUUGAUUGUGUAUUAAGUGCAACGUGAUUUUGGUGUUUGAGGUUAUAGCACCAUUUUUACUCACAAAACACUAUAAGACUUUACUCUUCAAGUUAGGUUGGAGGUGGGUCAAGAUUAGAAAAUCUAAAAAACUAUCUAGUGAGUUUAAGGGUUAAAAACCUUGCUUUCCUACUCUUUUGUUUGUCAAACAUUUCGAAAGAAAAGUUGAACCAUUUGAACAAUUUUGGGCUCCACUUUAAACUUGAAAAUGAGACAUCUUUGCAUUCCGUUUUGUGAUCAACAAAAAGAAAAAUCUCAAACUGGUCAAGCCGUGACUCCUCACGUAACUUGUGGAUACUGUGGUCAGAUUAACCACACUGAGGUUGAGUGCUGGAGAAAACAAGGAAAAUGUCUGAGUUGCGCUAGUACCGAGUAUAAGUUUUCGAAUUGCACUAAAGCUUCUAAGGGAAAAGGAAAUUCUUAACAACCUGCUAAAUCCACUGCAAAAUCAGUCGAGUGCCAAAAGGAGUAAUUAAUGCUAAUGAUUGUAAGAGGGACCCAAGUAGUAGAAACUCUAUGAGUAGUGGUAAAUCUAACUCCACUCGACAAAUAGAGAUUGUAGUUUCAACCUAACAUAAACUGGCACUUUCAGAUGGUGUAAUCUUUUGUAUAGGGAUGACAUCCUUUUGAUAUAUAUUGCGACUUAACACGUUUUGAUCUUGUUGAUUCCCCUUUUCUUUUGAAAUGAUUUGAUGAACUUAUUAUAAUUUAGUAUAACUAUUAUGAUCUUUUAUGGUAUAUGAAAAUUUACCUUACUUUUGAUUGAUUUUACAGCUUAUAUAUAUCUGUAAUCUGUUGCUCCAUGUCUCAAAACCUGUAAUAAGAUCAUGAAUGGCACUUGAGAAUGGUUAAGUUCCACAAGUGUGAGUUUUGAAUGGGAGAAGUAAAAGUGAUGAAAAUUGGUCACAUGAGGGAAUGACCGGUAAAAAUUUUGAUCGAAAAGUGAAGGGGUUAAAAACGCAAGCAAGUCCUCUAAUGAAGGUUUUAUAGAGAGAUUAUGAACUAAAGGAAGCAACCUAGGAAGUAACCAUUCGAGAAAAGUAUCCAGACCUGUUCGCAGAUCAAAGUAAAUUUCGAGGACGAAAUUUUUUUAAGAGGGAGAGAAUGUGAAGACUCACAUAAUUUAUCUAUUUUAAACUCCUAAUUCUAACUCAUUUAAUUAUUUAUUUGGCCAAUUGCCCCGAAUAUUAUUUUCUAACAUUUUUAGACUUAAUUAUAUGGAUCUAUAACUUAGUUAUAUUUAAAAAAUGACUUGUUUAAAAAUUUAAUUUUUGAAUGCUCGUUAAGUGAAAAUAGUGAAUACGCGAUUGAAGUCAAUAAUCGAUUCGAGAAAACAAUAAACUUGAAAAAUUGGAGACUUGCACAUUAGUCUUAAAAUAGAUAUUUCUAUGUUUAAGUGCUCAAUUAUUAAUUAGUGAUACAAUCAUUAUAAGAAUUUCUUGAAAAUUUCGCUUUAUCGCGCAAAAAUCGGAAGUACGCAUUUUUACGCGCGCUAUUAAUUGAGAGACUUUAAACCUUUAUUUUAGACCAAUAAGAUUGAAUAAUAAUUGUAUGAAUGUAAGAGUAUUAGAGGUUUAGUGUACUAGUGCAACAAACCCGAGAGAAAUCGGGCGCGAAACACGCACGAACACGCACUAUUUUCGGUUGACUUUUGGUACAAAUCUUGGCCACAAAUUCUCAACCUUCCUCAAGAAGCUACAACACUCUCUACACUCUCUUUUCUCUCUCUUGGUGGCCAGCCAAAACAGCAAGGAAGGAGGAAGAAAAGUUUCACCAUUUUUACUCCAAAUCUUUGCACCAAUCUUUCUCCAUUUCAUCUCAAAAUCACACUACACUUUGCUAACCACUUGGAGACCACCUCAAGUUAGGAAAAGAGCUUCAAAUCCACGGUUUUUCUUGAGCAAGAAGGACCGAAAAUUUUGCCUUAAAUAAUCUAGGAAAGUAAGUGACGAUCAACCUUGAAAAUCUUGACUUAUGGAACUUGUUUAGCACUUAUGAGUUCAUAAUUUCUUAUGGGUAGCUUAAAUUGUUGAAAAAUUGGUUAGUGGGCUCUGUGAACUCCCACUAUGGUUUGAUGGACUGAUUUGUGGUAUUUUGAUGUUAUUAAUGUUGAUUUAGUGCUUAAAUUAAUAGAAAUGAGUGAUAUUAUGGAUGAAAGCUCAAAGGGAGUGAAGAUGGAAAACUUUUCGUUUCUGCCCCUGUGAAUGUCCGUGACCCUUAGAGCAAACUUUUGUGGUUAUAUUGACCUGUUUAUGAUGUAUACAUGUUGUGUGGGUGGUGUAGAAAGUUUCAUCAAAAAAUUUCAUGAUUUGGUUGGCCAAAUGAUGUGUUUUCGAAAAUCAGUAAAAACUGGAAAUUUUCCCGUUACUGCUCUGGCAGUGUUUUUGUUUUGGCGAUAACCUUUUGCUCCGACGUCGAAAUCGAGUGCCGUUUGCGGCAUUGGAAAGUAGACAUUCCCAGCUUUCUAAAAGUAUAUAAUUAACAUCCUGGUUCCAUCUGAGUAGUCCAUGCCAAUCGUUUGAACAUGACUGUCCUGUUUCGCGUCUACACUGGGAGCUCUGGUUUGAGCAGCAAAUUGAUGCUCAAAUAUAAGCUAGCUGUGGUUAGAUUUUGAAAAUGAUUUCUUCUAAGAAAUUAUAGCUUUAUGAAUCUAGUUUUCAAAGCCACUGACCACGCUCAAUUCCAAGUUGAAUUGAGUGAAUUGUGGCCGAAAUCCGAGACUGACUCAAUGAUUUGAAACCCUCUUUUGGCUAGUAAAUGUCCAAAUCUUGAUUGGGACUUGUUGUUUCGAAAUUUUUGCCGUUAAUCACCUACCAAAUGUAUCUUGGAUGUUUUAUAGACAUUACUUACACAAAGGGACCGUGUUUGAGACAUUUCGUUGGCUAAACGUUUUGAAAACGGAAAACUCAUGUACAAGGAAGAUUUGCCUUGAAAAUUUGGAAACUUUGGUGAUCUGGUUAACCAACAUUCCAUGCGUAUUUUUCCAUGAAAAUUGAUAUAGGAAUAACCCUCAUAUGGUAGUAUAAUACUGCCAAAUUUGGUGAGAUUCUGAGUUCAUUUUGAUGUUCAAACAAAGUCCCAAAGUUUGUAAAUUGAACCUGAAAAUUUGCCUAACCGUCUCAAUUUUUCAGCAACUUUGAGCCACUAUAUCUUGGUGCUCAAAACUCCGAUUCUUGUUCCGCUUGUUUUGUUUUAAAAUUUGAUUGCAACUCUAAUUGAGUUUCAAAUCUGAGAGGCUAGUUCAAAUUCUAUAAAUUUUGCCAAAUUUCCAAAGUUGGCAAAAAAUCAACCUCAAAACUAUCUUGCAAGCCUAAAACAGUAACUUUGAGCCAAUUUUUGAAUGCUUUCCGUUGGGGAUCAUAGGAAAGUGUAUUCUAAAAACUUUUAGUACUUUGGGAAAAGUUUUCAACGGUACCAAGAUUUCCAAUUUUGGACUUGUAAAGAGUGAGAUACGAUUUUUCAAAAAUCUCGUAUCAAAGCUGAAAUUUUCGAAAUUUAAGGAAAUGGAGUUUUUCGAAUUCUCUUUUUUCCUCGAUAUCACUUGAACGUUUACAAUUGAUUUCAAAAAUGAAAACUCGAUUUCUCUUGUGUUUUAAAAGCCCCACUUUUGAGUCUUGAUUCGCGAGUAAUUUAGGUUCGCUUUCGUGAAAUUUUCUUAGAUUGUACAAGUGUAUAAUUAUUCGUGAUAAUUAGGGUUUAUACAUGAUAGUUCACUAUUAAUUGUUCAGGCUCGCACGAGGACCUUCAAGAGGAUCCCACGGUGAACGCCUGAAUUUCAAGUGACAUUUUUUCCUUGUUUACUUGGUGAGUAUCAAGUGUAUGUAAACCUGAUACGUUCUUAAUUGUUAUUAGUGAUUGGAGAUUUUGAAAAUGCUGAGUCGAGUGUGUACUUUACCGCACUCGGUCUCAUUUAAAUGAAUCAUGAAUGACUUGAUUGAAAUGAAAUGAAUGAUUGAAUGUAUUGAAUGAUUGAAUGAAAUGAUAAAUUAUGCUAUGGCUGCAUAAGUCGAUUGGAGCGAUGCCUCAUCGACCACUCGAGUCGUUUCAGAACCAUAAAGUAUUCUAAAUUGAUUGGAGCGAAGUCUCAUCGACCUCUGAACGAUAGUAAGUACCACCUCGAUUCGGGUGGGAGGUACCUCUCGAGUCAUCUCAUAAUCAUAAAGUAUUCUAAGUCGAUUGAAGCGGAGUCUCAUCGACCUCUGAAUAAUAGUAAGUACCACACUGAUGUAGUGGGAGGUAAUUCUCGAGUUGUCUCAGAACUAUAAAUCAAACGAUAGCAAGUACCACACUGAUUUGGGUGGGAGGUACCUCUCGAGUCGUCUCAGAAACAUAAAUAGAAUAAGUGAAGUACUAUGAAUUUGAUUACCUACCCGAGUGACAGGGUGCCGUCACGCGAAGGUAUUAAAAUGAACAUGGGCAAAGCAAUUGAAAAUUAGCUACUGAGAGCCCCUGCAUCAUACUCAAGUGUGUUUAUUAUAAAUUAUGAAUUACUUGAAUGUUAUAACUUUCAUUAUUGUGUAACUGCUAUUGUUAUUGAACUACGCAUCUUGCAUGUUUUCUUGGCCUCACGAGCAUUCGCUCACCCAGUUAGAUUUGUUUUCCUUAAUAAGAGCGGAUAUGGGAGGAAUUAUGGAGAAGUUUACUUGGUGGCUUAUUUGAUUAGAAUUUUGAAUAUUUUUGUUUAGAAAACUUUUGGAAAUUGUAUAUUUUGGAAUAAGUAAUUGUAAGUUUGAAAUUGUGAUGUAAGAUUAAAUAUUUAAGUAUGGAAAUGACUUCGUACUUUUAUUCCGAUUUUCAUUGUUAGUAUUAGACCUUAAGUUUGAAUUAGAAUUGUCUCGAGUCUUGGCGAGAGUUAGACAGGCACCCCACGGAUACCCUUGGAUUCGCCCAUAGGAGAAGUGGGGGCAUCACAGAUAAACCCAUUCUUUAUUAUGAAAGGAAAAUCUUACACAAGAAUAUAAUUUAAACCCAAAUCCAACCAUUGUAUACCAUCUCUUAUUUCUCAUGAACCCUAUCUGACCCCAUGGAUAAGACUACAUGUUGCCUCUUGUGUGCCCCCUUGUGUGUCUCUUUGUAGUAUGUCAAUCCACCUAUUUAUAAGGAACAUUAUUUGGCCAAAACCCAAAUAACAACAGGAAACUAAUUCUAAUUCUUAGACUUAUACAGAAUAGGAAAUAACUUCUAAUCUUAAACAAAAUACGAAAUUUCUUGGCUACUACUUCAAGUAACUAAAACCAAUUAGAAAACUAGUUACUUCCACACAAAACAAGAAACUUGCCUAAAGAAAUUAAGUCAAUUUCUUAACAAAUGUCCACCUUGGCGAAAAUUUCUUUUAACAACCAUUUGCCUUCAACUACUAAAUAAUAUGGUACCAAACUAUACACCCGAAUCAAUACAGUCCUGGCACCAAAUUGAUUCAAUCGGCAAAUGAACAUGUAUAGUUAUCCCAAGUCUACCUUCCAGUUGACUCGUGAGAAAGUACCUCAAUUCACCAUCUUUGUUUACAGGAUUUUUUCUCACCACUACUUAUAAUCCGAGAUCUCCUUCUGUGAGUUCUAACCCUAAUCAUUAAGGCAAUCAAUUGAUAAAAUUACCAUAUUUCUUUUCAUGCUCAGGACUGUCACGCCAUGUGUGAUUUUCAAUACUUCACCAAAAACGAAAAAAUCGUAACUGUCAAAGUCUUCUGGGAUGUACCACAUCACACCACACAAAGAACUAUCAGAGACUUCUUUGUUUCUCUGGGACAUACCACACCACGCAAAGAACAUAACCAAAUUUUAAAAUCCACUGGAACGCAGUAUCAACCGUUGGAGGUGUGAGAAAAUCUCUACCGAUUCAUGUCCAAAAUCAAAAUUAGACUCUAUCUUUUUCUUUACCCUUGAAUCACCUGGCUAAAUUCACCGUUAAGUGCCUCCAUGCAUUUCGACUUCCUAUCCUUCACCAUCAUUUUUUUUUUGUCAAGUAAUUGAAACAAGGAUAUCACUCAUUAAAUUGUCCAAUUAGUAACAAUUAUAAAUUCACUUGAUCUCAAUAGUUAACCAAGAUCCAAACUCUUGAUCCAACCAUUCAGUUUGUUGGGAUCUAAGUGCUUGUGAGCAAUCCAAUCUCACAACCAAACUCUGAUACUACUUGUUAGGAUUCAAGCGCGGAACACACAACUAUUGAAACAUUAAGUAUACAAUAAUUUAAUGACAAAUAAGUCACAAGUAUGAAAGAUAAAUGACACACAAUAUUUAGCAUGGUUCGACUCCACCAUUGAGCCUACGUCCACAGAGAGAAACUCGUUCUUUAUUAUGAGAGGAAAACCCUACACAAGAUUAUAACUUGAACCCAAAUCCAACCCUUGCAUACCAUCUCUCAUCUUUGAAGAACCCUUUCUCACCCAUGUAUAAGACUAUAUGUUGCCUCUUGUGUGCUCCUUGUGUGUCUCUUUGUAGUAUGCUAACCCACCUAUUUAUAGGGAAUAUUAUUUGGCCAACACUCAAAUAACAACAGAAAAAAUUCUAAUACCUAGACUUAUACAGAAUAAGAAAUAACUUCUAAUUCUAAACAAAAUAGAAAAUUUCUUGGCUACUAUUUCAAGUAACUAAAAUCAAUUGGAAAACUAGUUACUUCCACACAAAACAAGAAAUUUGUCUAAAAGAAAUUAAACCAAUUUUCUAACAAUUAAUCAUAUCAUUCUCAUCUUUUUAUCUUAUUUCAUCGUUGGUUUUCUUGCUUAUGUAAUCGAUUUAUGAUUUUAGAACUUGAGUCACUAGAAUAAGUUCCAAAAGGACAAGAUAUUCUAAUUAUAUAAUUGUCUAAUGCAUAUUAACUUUUUCUUGAAGCACAACAUAUGCUAAUUGGACAUAUAAAAAUUUUUACAUUUUCAAAAGGGAGGUAGUGAAACUGAAUUUUACUAUUCAGUUUUAGAAUUUGGAAGAACUGAUAAUGUUUAGGGAUCUUCUACAGUGGAGCGGUAAAAUGAAGAAGCUGAUUAGAUGAAUAUAGAAAGGAAGGCCUAGAAUUUUGCUUCUACUAAUUUGGAUGUAUUGAAGUCAGUUAACUAAUGUUAAGAAAAUAAAUCUUAUCCCUCUAAAUACUGUAAGGACAAGUGUCAGAAUAUCCAAAAGCAUAUUUAGGGAAAUGGAAAAGGUGUUGGGUGGGUGUGUGUGUGUGUGUGAUGGAAGGAGCCAAAUCCAACGGGUAACUAGGCAUCUAGGACAAAUCGCCCAUGUAAUAUAUCUAAUCAAACUUUCCGAGCCUUCGACUUUCUUUAAUCCUUGCACACAAAUUUGCAAAGUUUGUUUGUCAGGAUUAAUUUUAUCUAUCUUUUGUGUCCGAAAUGGAAAGGUCACACGUUGUUUCUCUUCUUAUGGUUCUAUUAUUUCAGGUGGGAAGAGCCAUAGUAGUUGGAAGUCAAGAUGGAUCAGAAGCGUGGGGAUAUGUUCAAGUCAGACCAAGUAUGUUUCUGAUGUUUUAAAUGCCAAUUAAAAGGAUCACUUGUCAAUGCUGAUAUUGAGUUCUUGUGUUUGUUUCAGUGGCUCACAUGUUCUGGUGGUACUCAUGGUUCGCCAUAUCAAACGAUACUAAUACAUAUUGGCCGAGUCGUAACAGGAACGGAGGGGACCGAUACGAUACCAAUCUGUGAAUCGCGAAUAUUACUAUAUCCAUGCCGACUCGCUCUGACUCGAUCAAUAUUGGCCGAUUCGAAUCCGUGAUGCAUGAUAUCGGCGCGAUAUAUCGAAUCAACUCGGAGUCAACUGGGAUAUUUUUUUAAAUUAUGUCUUUUUAAUAUUUUCUAUUUUUAGUAAUCUUUUCGAAAUUUUGGGAAACUUUCUUGUGCUAUAAUGUGCAUAUCACCCGAUAUUCAACUGAUAUGUCGCGACGGUUGCGGAACAACCGAGACCAUAACGCGACCGCAACCCGUGAUGGCGAACCAUGGUGGUACUACAGAAGUCCAAACAGGAUUCAAGAUCUAGAAAAGCCUUGGCCAAUUAUUCUUUGCCUGCAGGGCGGACCGUGAGUAUCAGAAUUCUCAUGGGAUUCUCUCAAGUUUCAAUCUUUAUUGCUUGUUCAUACAAUCAACUGUAUUUUGUUUAUGAAGGGUGCUUCAUGAGUUGGAUUUGAUAAUUUUGAAGAAUUUGGGCCUCUAGACAUGUUUCUAAAGCCAAAAAAAAUUUGACAUAGUUGCAGAAAGCUGAUCUUUUGUUUGUGGUUGGUACUAGGUUGCAUAAUGUUGGUGAAUAAUCACAUCAGCAUCCAUACUAGUUUUCACACUGAAAUGGGAUUUUCCUACAGGUUUGUUUCUUGUAUCUCCUUAUCUAAAUUUAUUUUCGCCUGUUUGCAAUCUAAAUAGGAUUAUCCAGUUGAAACAUGCUACAGUUUUGUGGAAAACGUUAAAAACACCACAUUAUUUAUGAAGACUGAUGUGGAGGCUGUAAAGGAUGGAACUAAAUUCUUGAUUGAUUUUUUCAAUAGGAAUGAGACCUCCAAAAGAGUCCUCUAUAUAUUGUGGCUGAGUCUUAUGGAGGCAAAUUUGCCAUUACUCUGGCUUUAUCUGCUUUAAAAGCUAUUGAGGCUGGGAAGCUGAAGCUGAAUCUCAGAGGUAACAAUUCGUUUUUCAUUCUUAAAACUAAAAUCUUAGUUUCUCUUCAAUCCUAAACUCUUGAGCUAGCUCUUACCUUUUUUGCAUAGGAGUUGCAUCGGGGGAUAGUUGGAUUUCACCAGAGAUUUUAUCGUAUGUAGUUUCUGUUCUUCAUUCAUCUCAUGAUUACUUAGUUGGAAGAGGUGAAUUGAGUUCUGGUGACCAAAAUACAGUUUUCAUGGGUUCCUCUUUUGAAGACAUCUCGUUUCUUGACAACAAUGGUUUCCAGAACUCAAUCAGGUAUCAAGUUUUACACCUAAAGAUGGUACCAUCCUAAAUCCAAGCCUUAAAUGCAUCAAUGAAAUAUGUUUUUUACUAUUGGAACUUGUGUGAAUUUAGCAACCCCACUUGUUUGAUCUAAUCGAGCUCAAAAAUUUUAAGUUGCCUAAGAAGCUUGUAUUGUUCAAUGCAGGAUGGCUAAUCAAAUUAACAAGCAAAUAGCAGUAGGUACGUUUGCAGAGGCCAUAGACACAUGGAACAAAUUGGAAGAUCUAAUUACCGAUUACAAUAACAAUAUGGUAUGAAUUUUUGCAUAGUCUAAUUGAACUUAUGUUAAUAACAACAAAUCGGUGUGUUUGUGUGAUAGCCCCACCUCCCCCUAUGGCGUACCCAAGAUUUGGCGGAUCGCCUGCCCAACUCUCGCCAGGACUCAGUCACAAUUCAUGAAAAUUUAUAAAUAGAACCUCAAAAUACAACGAUAUUUAUUACAACCAUCAAUAUAGAUACAUUCAUGGACCUCCAAUGUUCAUACAGUCUAUAAUACAUCCAAAGAAUCAAACUUGCUAAAAAUCAAACCAAACAAGUCGGCUAAACACCUAUGCAAUGCUCACACGAGCAACUAACAAAUUUAGAAGAAAUCAAGACCUUCCUCAAUUCAAUCUCUCAAGUUCUCAUCCCUGUAAGGAAAACAAAUGGCGUGGAAUGAGCUAAAAAUCCAGUGAGGUUUCAAGUAAUUAAAUAGGUAAAAUACAAGACAAGUAGCAUAUCUAGACAUCGAGAAACAAGUGAAACAUGAAUGGAUCAUGACUCAGUAUAUAGCUAAGCAAGUAGCUAGAUAAAACAUGCAAAAGGUAUAGUAAGAAACACAUUCAUGUCAAGCGAUACAAGUUGCUCUUCGCGAGCAAAGUUCUACAGUAGCUUGAUCAAGAUCCGUUGACUCUCCGUCAACCAUGGAAGUAUAACGUCCGUAGAUCUUCACUUUACACCAAUUCCGUCCACCUAUCAACCCCCUUUCCUGGCCGAACACCACAGGAGUACCUAAGGUUUGUCAAUCUCAUCGACCAAACCCUUGCUAGCUCGAUUCGACCAACUAGCCUUAGGUUGGGACUUAUAGUCCCAGAUAUUCAGAUUGGAGACGUUAGUUGUCACUUACGCUCCAUAUUCAGAAAUAAACAGAGAUGGUAUUAUUCGAGCAUACCAAUAGUCAAGAAGAUAACACUCCACUCGAUAAAACAGAACAGAGGUACUGAGAUGGGAUGAGAGGUACAUCCCACUCGGAUGGAGUGUGGUACGUACAGCCACUCAGCACUUACAGGUAAAGCACAGCACAAGCACAAGUACAGGUCAUAUACAAAUCAAGUUACUUGUUCAUGUAUGAAGGGGAUAUCAAGUGUUUAGUUAUAUCAAGUUAAUUGAGUGUAUAUAAGAGCAUCCUCGCCUACACAAGUUCAAAUCACAAAUAAGUUCAGCAUAGCAUGUUUCCAAGCAUAUCAAAUAUUUCAAAUCCAAACAAUUGAAAUCAGGUGAUUAAGAACUCUAAUCAAACAAGAAAACUGGAAGGAAGCUACAGAAAUAAAAAAUUCUCUCAGUAAAUCUGGCCACCAAUCCGGCCAGGUUUUGGCCGGAUUUUUAGGGGAAACUUAAAAAGUUUGAAGCUCACUGCCUCAAAUCCAGCUGGCAAUCCGGCCAGAAAGUGGCCGAAAGUUGUAACAAACGGCUAACACAUGUUUUUAACAAAAUAUCACAAGUUCAGUUGAGAUAGGUCAAGUGCAAUAAAAUACGCACUUACCUAUGAGACGAGAAAUCAAGUACCUAGAAUUGUCUAACAACAAUGAGCAUGUAACACGUAAGUCAAGAGAAUAACCACUCGAGUGACCAACAAGUCAAGUGCAAGCAAAGCAAUUCUUUUCCUAUCAAUAUCACAAAGUGAACUACAUAGGAUCGAGUAUGAUAAAGUACAUCCUCGUCCCAAAGAUUAUCAGUUCAAGAACAACUACUUUAACCAAGUAAACAUAUCAUUCAAUCAAGGAGACAUUCCACGUAAAUAUUUUCAUGUACUUGGAACAGUCACCAAUCAAAUGCAACCCUUCACUUUAUCCCUGGUUCAUCCUCUUGAACUCUCUCAAAUCCUGUGAUUAUAUACUAUAUCAAAAGACGUGCAAUACAAAGUCAAAAUACAUGAAGAAAUUAAGAUUUCUAAGACUUCAUUUCCUUUCUCUUAAACCUCAAUUCCACUCAUAAACCAUACCCAAAACGAUUGACCAACUCCAAACUUAAAGUGAAAAAUGAAAGUACAAAUGGUUCUAAGGGAAUAGAAUUUCUUAGCUUUAUGCAACACAAUUUGAAAAAUCAUAUCUUAAGCGUCUUAAGUCCAAAAUUUUUAAAAUUUAUAUUGUCGGAAAAUAGACUCAAACAGUUACAAUUUCUCAGAAUACACUUUUGUAAGAUUCAUACCACAAGUCAGUCAAAUUCGAGCCACAAAUUGCUGCUUCAUCCAGUAAAAGACAGAACAGUGAUGCAAUUUUGGCCAACUUUGAAAAAUCAUAGAUAUUCAUAAGAAUUGAGAAAAAGGAUGAAAUUUUCUCAGUUGAUAGUAUUCUGAAUCUAGUUUCAAAUACAACAAACAGAACUCAAUUCUAAUAUUCCUACAACAAGAUAUAGUAGAUUUCCUAAGGAUGCCCACGGGUUCCUGAGAACAAAAUUUUCAACAGAACCCCCUUUGUGUUUACUACUUUUUCCAGCCAAUUUAAGGCUUCAUUCUUACCACAAAACAGCCUCAACUCAAUCAUAUACAUACCAAGCCAAAAACUCAUUAAAUCAAGCAUAUAACCAUCACCUACUCAACCUAGAAAAUGAAACCCUAAGCUGAAAUUUAUGCAUACAAGCUGAAAUUUCCUUUAGGCAAGUUAAACUAACACAUAAAAACUAGCUAUUUCACAUAGCAAAGCUACCAAACCAUGGCCAACACUUAACCAUCAUGUGUGGGCAGAAAAUUCACCAUAAAAACUGAAUUUUUCCAGAACAUCAAUUCAAAUCAUAAUAUUUCUUAUAAAACUACCAAAGUUGAAACCCUAAACCGCUAAUUGACAAAUAUUUGAAGUAGAGAGAGUUUCUUGCCAUAAAUACCUUGUAACUCCAAGAUAGAUGGAAGCUUAGUGCUUUUCCUCCAAAAAUCUCUCCACUCAAGCCCUUAAUCUUCCAUAGUGAACCACUUUUAUGGAGUAUUUUGCAAGCUUGUGGACUGAAACUCAAGAUUCAAGCUAGCAGUUGAGGUGGAAGAUGAACUUUUCUCUUGGUUUCUCCCUCUCAAAAUUUCGGCCAAGCUAGUGAAAAAUGAAGACAAUUUUUGGUCAAAUUUGAUUUUAGAAAAGUUAAGAAGACAUGGUCAAAGUCCAACAUCCAAUGGUUUCGCGACACUUGGCUCUUUAGGGUUUUGAUCUCAUUCUCUUGUCUUCCAAUGGUUUUAUCUAUCUAACCUCUAAUUAUUCCCUAACACCUUGUAAACUAAUGUCCUUUUAUGCAAGACUUCACCUAGUAGUCAAAAUUUUACUGCACUAACCGCACUAGCAGGUCCCACGUCCAUAAUGCACUUCAAACUUAACGUGUACUAACUUAUACCAAGAAAAUGAUUUUAAAACAUUACUCACUUAUAAAAAUGUCAAGGAAAUUAAGGCAAUAAUUUAAAGUAAAGAAAAUGCACUCAAAGAAAUAAAUAAAUAUAACCUAAUUUUCCAGGGUCUCAUAGUUUGUGCUUGAUGAUUUCUUUUGUGGAUAAAUACAAAACUUCAAACAAUUUCCUCUCAUUUGCAGUGGACGACCCUUUAUCGUUGUUAGCUACUUCAGAACUAAAACAACGUAUUGCAGUAAAAAGGUCCUCUCCUAGAGGCGAUGGUGAUCUUUAUGCAUUUAUGAAUGGUAAAAUUAAAAAGAAAUUGAAGAUUAUACCACCAAAUGUUAUGUAAAUUUUUCUUCUUAGAAAAAUUUCAGACUUCUUUUGAGUUCAUCACUUAAUUGUCAUUCAACGACUAAUAAUGGAAUCAACAGAUGGGGAGGGCAAUCCGGUCCUGUUUUUGAAGCCCUGAAAGGUGAUUUCAUGAGGCCAAGGAUUAGUGAGGUAACUAAAUCAGAUUUUUUUUGUUAGUAGUUAAUUAUAAAAGUUUAAGAACUUCAGACGUUUUGGUUUGAACUAUACCAAGAAUGUUUAUUGACUUUCUGGAUUAGCAUUUUGUUACACAUCUCAAUUGAAAUGAGACCAGCUUAUCCAAUUAUAUGCAGUCAAUUCUAAAGCAUUUUUCCAACUACUUUUUUGCAGGUAGAUGAACUUCUAACAAAAGGAGUAAAUGUGACUAUCUCCAAUGGACAAGUAAGAUUAUGCAACUCUAAGCAAAAGAAAUCUAAAUCUUUAUGCUUAGAAUGUUCUCCAAAAAAAUUUGAAAAAAAAUACUAUUUUAAGAUUCAUGGAAGAAUAGAUAUUUGUAGAUAUCCAAGAAAAACUUCAUAGGACUUUCUCUUUCUGAUUGUGCUAUGAUUCCACCGCAAAGUAAUUGUUUAUUGAAUUUGCUGAUAAAAAUAAUAUAGACAUCGUAGAUUAUUGGCUGCAAUACAACAGCGUGAAUAAUGGAACAAAAUAAUGGUAGUCAAGUUGGAUGGGAUUUUGAAGCAGUCAUAAUUAGUAUAAAUUUGAUACACUGACAUGGCCUUAAUCAAGUUGAAACAUUUUUUUUGUGGUCACAAAAAUUGUGACUUCUAGUAGAUAAACUUGACCUGGGAUUUUUUAUUAUCCACGCUAUGAAUUUCACUCUCUCCUUGUAUUUUUCUUUUUGGCUAAAUAGUUCAAUCAAAGUGUUAUUUUACUAUUGCUCGUAAUUUGAUCUCAUGUGUGCAACCAAGAGAACAAACGCAUGGCUUGAUAAGCUCAAGUAAGAAAAAAGAAUCCCACAAGUAAAUAAGCACCUAAAUUCACCUCCUAAGAAGAAAAAUGUACAAAAUAAAAACACCCUAUUACCCUAAUCAAUAAUCUUUUGCCUAUUUUAACAGGUGGAAUGGGAUGAAAAAUUUCUUGAACAAGGAUAGAACGCCUCUCUAUUGUGAAGGUGAUAGGAGUGUAAAGGCUUUCACCAAAUCAUACAGAAAUUUACAUUUCUACUGGAUUCUUAAUGACAGCCGCUUUGUAAGCCAACUAACUAUUGUCAUAUUCUGCUGUAUUUCUUUUAUUGGUCUAAAUUACUGUCACUCUUGCCUACUUGGCAAGAUUAAGAAGACAAGGCACACUAUUAUCCAGAAUUGGAACAAAUACGAUUGAGUUACGUCACAGUUAGGCAUGGUUAUUGUACUUUUUUCAUAAUUUAGUGUAUAUUAAUUGACACGAUUAUAUUUAGGGUUAAUUACAUUUUAUCCCCUUAAAAAAUAACUCAUUUCUCAGUUUACCCCCUAACUUUUAAUUUUGCUCACUUAACCCCCUUUAGAACAAAAUUGCCCUUGUAUUAUUUUGACUUUUCAUUUACCUUGUUUUCCUUUCUUUUAUUUCUUUUUCUCUUUCUUUUUUAUUUAAUUCUUCCUCUUUUCUACAAAAAUUUUUACCUUAAUGAUUGAAAUUAAAAAAGAUGAAUUGCAGAGAUCUAUUUUCUCCUUCAAUGAUUAAAAAAAUAUUCAAAUCACUUUCCCAAAAUAUAAUUUUUUUAGCCUUUCAAUUCUUUUAAUUUUGGAUUUUUCUCUUUCCUUUCUAGUUUCUCAUUUUAUUCUCAAGAAAAUAUCAUAAGAUGAAAUUAUUUUCCUUUCUUUUAUUUCUUUUCUUUCUUUCUUCUCUGUUUCAUCCUUCCAAUAGAAAUUUCAUUUCAAACAAAAAAUUUUAUUUUGAGUUUGUAAUUGCAUAUUUCUAGGUGAAGGUUUAAAAGGUAUCAAAAACUAAUUUUGAUUUUUUGUGUGAUGCCACGUGCCACAAAUUUCAAUUGAUGAUUAUUAAUCAGGUCACAAUUUCAUCUUAAGAUAUUUUCUUGGGAGUAAAAUAAGAAACUAGAAAGGAAAGAGGAAAAUCCAAAAUUAAAAGAAUUGAAAGGCUAAAAAAAUUAUAUUUUAGGAAAGUGAUUUGGAUAUUUUUUUUAAUCAUUCAAGGAGAAGAUAGAUCUCUGCAAUUCCUCUUUUUUAAUUUCAAUCAUUAACAUGAAAAUUUUUGUGGGAAAGAGGAAGAAUUAAAUAAAGAAGAAAGAGAAAAAGAAAUAAAAGAAAGAAAAACAAGAUAAAUGAAAAGUCAAAAUAAUGUAAGGGCAAUUUUAUCCUAAAUGGGGUUAAGUAAGCAAAAUUAAAGGUUAGGGGGUAAACUGAAAAAUGGGGUAUUUUUUAAGAGGAUAAAAUGUGAUUAACCCUUAUAUUUAUGUGUUGAAUUGAUGUAUAUGAAUAAAUUUUGAAUACAACAAAGUUAUAUAAAAGUAUACCAUAUUAUGUAGAAAGUACAAAAUCGGACAAUUACACCAAAAUUUCAACAGAACUUGUUCCUGGUCCCUAUUAUCCCAAUAGUUUUCACAAUUUGAUCGAUGUCUAAGAAACCACCCAUGUAAAAGAAAAAAUAAUACUUCCUCCAUUCUAUGGGAAAUGUCACUUCCCUUUUUUUUCACAUCCCAAAAUAUUUGUCAAGUCCAAAAAGUUAAUACAUAAUUUUUGCUUUUUUUUCUACUUUUAUUCAUUAUCUUUUUGUGGAAGAUGUUGCCAAUUCAGGUUUUACUUCAGGAGAAUAAAGUUGAGAAAGUUUAAACAAUUAUCAGUAUCAGACCACUUUUAUUAAAAGUUGGAUUGCCAAAAAGUGACAAAAGUAGUAAUUGCCAGACUUAUAUUGGAACUUUAUAUGAUGAUACAAAGAUGAAAUUGGUCCUGCUGCCAAAGCAAUAACUGCCAAGCUUUUUUUUUAAAAAAAAACCACCAAACUAUGGUAGAUUACGCCUGGCAUUUAUUGGUAAAUCUAUCAGACCCUUAUGGAAUACGAGACGUUUAAGAACAAAAGAAAAUUGUGGGACAUCUUUGUGAUAGAAAUUUCCCGCACGAAUUAUUUCUUGAAAUUAUUUAUUGGUUACAGACAUGGGAAUGGCUACCAAAAUGGACAUUGAGAUUUACUUUGAAUAUGUUCUUGCUAAAUGAAUAUAAAUAUAUAUAUAUAUGUGUUGGAUUCGUGGGCCAGCUUAUUUAUGGGACAAACUACAAAACAAACCUUAGGUUUUCAUUCUUGUGAAGAAGGAAAAAAGUCAGCCAUCACUUUUGCCUUUGGAGGAAAAACGAAGAGAGAGAAAGAGUGAAGAAGCUAGAGAAAGAGAAACUUCAAAGUCUUGAUUGGAGGGUGAUUCAAAAUCCAAUUGAGAUGAAAUUUUACACACGCGAUCCUCUCAUCAAGCCCUACUCAUCUACCUAUUCAAAUUUUGGAUUUUCUUUUUGUUUGGUAAUACUUUUUCAAACUCACUUCUUUGACAAUUGUAGUUUUUGGGAGUGAUUUUGUAGCGAUUUGACUUGGUUGAUAUUGGCAAUAUUAUUGUCAUCUGGAUGUUUCAGAUAGACCUGUGUAUUCCCAUUAUUGUGAUAGUGGAGAUUUUUGACUUGGCUAGGUCCCGUGAUUUUUUCAAUUUGGAUUUUGCACGUAAAAAUCUUGGUGUCCUGUGUCUUUUAUUUUUCUUGCAUUCUAUUAUUACUGCUGGCAUCGUUGCUUGGUGAUUUGAUUUAUUCAUAUUUUAAUUGGUACUUGGGAAAAAAGAAAUUUGUUCUGGGUUAAUUUUAAUAAUGUGUGCCUGUACCGUACUCCUUUCCCAAAAAAGUAGUAUCAGAGCAGUCAGGUUAGGUUGUUUUUUCAUACUAGUUAAAAAUGGAUGAUUCGGAUAGUGGUUGCAUGACAAAAUUAGAUGCUAAUAAUUAUUCGAUUUGAAAGUCUAGAAUGAAAAGCUAACUGUAUUGUAGAGAUUUGUUAGAACCUGUUUUAUGGUAUAAGGGUAGACCAAGUGAUAUGAGUGAUAAAAAAUAGGUUGUUAUGCACAGAAAAACUGUUGGUAAUACUAGAAAAUGAAUUAGUCAGAGUAUUUGCUAAUGACACCAGAGUUGAUAUGUUAUGAAAAAAGCUUGAGAGUAUGUAUGAACGAAAGACCAGUUUGAACAAAACUAGUUGUCUGAAACAGAUUACUAGAAUGAGAUAUAAAAAUGGGAAAGAUACGACUGAAUAUUUGAGUAAUUUUUAGAAAUUGGUAAACCAGGCAACUACGUUAAAUUUGAAUUUGGAUGAUGAAGUGUAGGCUCUAUUAUUAUUGAAUUCACUAUCGAAUAGUUGAAAAACCAUGAUGGUCUCUGUCAGCAAUUCAGUUCGAAUGAUGUGUUGAUCAUGGCUAUUGCAAAGGAGGCUGUGAUGAAUGAAGAGUUCAGGAGGAAGGAAUAAGAAAUUGUCUAUGAGUCACAGGCCCUGAUGACAGAAAAAAAAAAGAAAGAAGAGGGAGGAGCAAAAGUAAAGGACCCUACAACAAGAAUGACAAAUCCAAAUGCAAGUCUGAGUCACGAAAAAAUAUUGCAUGCAAUUAUUGUAAAAAAAAAAUGGGCAUUAUAUGAAAGAAUGCAAAAUUUUAAAAUGGGAACAAGCUGAGAAAAAGGGUAAGAGGAAAGAGAAAGGUGAUAAAGAGACUAUAGUAGUUGUGGUAGCUCAUAAUGAUAUGUUUGUGUUCUAUGAUGAUAGUCAGGUGAAUAUUAUUCAUUAUGACAGUGAUAGGGUAAUUGAUUCGAGUGCAUCCUACCAUAUUACUGCUCACAGGCAUUUCUUCUCAAUUUACACCGAAGAAUAUUUUGGAUACAUUAGAAUAGGAAAUGAGAUCUCAUGCAAAGUUGCUGACAUAGGAGACAUAUAUUUAGAUACAGAUGUCGGAUGUCAGCUGAUAUUAAGAAAUGCUCGACAUGUCCAUGAUAUUCGUCUUAAUCUUAUUUCUAAAAGAAAACUUGACGAUGAGGGUUAUCAUAACUUGCAAGGUGGAGGCAAAUAAAAACUCAGCAAAGAGAAUCUUGUUAUUGCUAGAGGAAAGAAGCAGAGUACCCUCUACUUGAUGGAAGCCAAGUUGGGGAAGAGAGAAAUGAAUGCAAUUCUUGAUUCAUCAAUUGAUUUUUGGCAUAGGCGACUUGGGCACAUUGGUGAAAAGGAAAUUCAAACACUUGUUCGCAAAUAGUUUCUACUUGAAGUUAGAGGUACUGCACUUAAAUCUUGUGUUGAUUGCAUUUAUGGAAAACAACAAAGAGUUGUAUUUUAAAAUUUUUCUCGAAGUAGAAAAUUGAAUCCAUUAGAAUUGGUGCACACUGAUAUUUACUAUAUGAAAGAUAAGUCUCUUGAUGGUGCUGUUUAUUUUAUAAGUUUUAUUGCUAAUUUUGCUAAAAAGGUUUGGUGUUUUGCUUUGAAAUCCAAAGAUCAGGUUUUGGAUGUAUUUAAAGAUUUUCAUAACAAAAUUGAAAGAGAAACUAGUAAGCAGUUAAAGUGUGUACGUACUGAUAAUGGUGGUGAGUACAGAGGACCAUUUGAAAUCGAUCACAAGUCCCGUGAGAUCAGAUUGGAGAAAACUAUACUAAAAACUCAUCAAGAGAAUGGAGUAGCAAAGAGGAUGAAUAGAUCCAUCACUGAGCGGUUAGAUGUAUGCUCUCUAAUUCUAAGUUGCCAAAAUCCUUUUGAAGUGAGGCAAUGAGGACUGCAGUUGAUUUAAUUAAUUUUUCUCCAUUAAUUCCUUUAGAUGGUGAUAUCCCAGAGAAAAUAUGGAUGGAAAAAGAUGUAUCUUUUAAGUACUUGAGAGUUUUUAGUUGCCGGACAUUUGUUCAUAUUCCUAAAAAUGAGAGGUCAAAACUUGAUGUAAAAUCAAAACAGUGUAUUUUUUGAGUUAUGGACAUGAAGAUUUUGGCUAUAGGUUGUAUAAUCCUAUUGAUAAGAAUGUGAGUAGGAGCAAAGAUAUUGUUUUCUUUGAAGAUCAAACCAUUAAAAACAUUGAUAAAGGUGACAAUCCAAAAUCCUUAUAUGACAUUUCUGCUAGUUCAAAUCUAGAUCCAAAUCUAGUUCUAGUUCAAGGGAGAGUUGAGACAGAGUAGAAAGAGGAUGUUAAUGAUGGUAAAAUCCUGCUGCCAAUGAACCUGAGCAUGAGGCGUCACCUACUCCACCACCUCCACCACAAGAUGAGUUUAGGAGAUCUACUAGAGAGAGGAGAUCUUCUAACAGAUAUAAUCCCCAUGAAUAUGUGUUAUUGACAGAUGGAGGAGAGCCAGAGUCCUACUGUGAGGUUCUAGAGCAUGAGAACAAAGAAAAUUGAUUGCGAGCCAUGCAAGAGGAGAUGGUAUCCUUGCAUGAGAAUCACACUUAUAAGUUAGUGAUAUUGCCUAAGGACAAGAGAGUUCUGAAAAACAAAUAGAUCUACAAGUUGACGACUCAAGAGUAUAGCUCACAACCAAAGUACAAAGAAAUUUUGGUUGUGAAGGGAUUUAGUCAAAAGAAGGGUAUAGAUUUUGAAAAAACUUUCUCUCCUGUUGUAAAGAUGUCGUCAAUUCAAAUUGUUCUGGGUAUUGCAACCAAUUUAAAUUUAGAGAUUGAAUAACUUGAUGUGAAAAUAGCCUUCCUGCAUGGUGAUUUGGAAGAGGAGAUCUACAUGGAAUAGCCAGAGGGUUUAAAGAAAGUGGAAAGGAAAAUCUUAUAUGUCGCCUCAAGAACAACUUGUAUAGGCUAAAACAGACACUGAGACAAUGAUACAAGAAGUUUGACUCCUUCAUGACAGACCAUGAGUACCACAGGACUACAUUUGAUCACUGUAUUUAUGUGAAAAAUUUUUCAGAUGGUGAUUUUAUUAUUCUCUUGCUGUAUGUUGAUGACAUGUUGAUUGUUAGCCAUAAUACUAUAAAAAUUGAUAGGUUGAAAAAGGAGUUAAGUAAAUCCUUUGUAAUGAAGGAUUUGGGUUCGGUUAAACAGAUACUAGAGAUGAAAAUCUCACGAGAUGGGCAAAAUGAAAAGUUUUGGUUGUCUCAAGAAAAUACAUUGAGAAAGUAUUCAACAGGUUUAACAUGAGCAAGGUUAAGUAAGUCUCAACUCUACUUACGGGUCAUUUUAAUUUGAACAUCAAGCAGUUGCUCAUGCAGUUGGAGUAGUUAGUCGGUAUCUCUCUAAUCCUAGCAAUGAGCAUUGGAAUGCUAUCAAAUAAAUUCUCAGAUAUUUUAAGAGAACUUCCAAAUUGUGUUUGUAUUUCGACAAUGGUAAAAUUAUGCUAGAUGGGUACAUCGAUGCAGAUAUAGCAAGUGAUCUUGAUAAUAGAAAAUCCACAUUUGGGUACUUGAUGAUUUUUGUAAGGGGAACAGUGUCAGGGCAAAAUAAAUUACAGAAAUGUAUCGCUCUUUCCAGUAUAGAGGCAGAGUAUAUCGCAACACUGAAAUAUGCAAGAAGACUCUUUGAUUGCAAAAAUUCCUUCAAGAGUUAGGUAUGAAACAAGAGAAGUAUAGUCUUUACGGUAACAGUCAGAGCGCUAUUCAUUUGUAUAAGAACUCAACAUUUCACUCUUGGUACAAACACAUUAAUGUGAGAUAUCAUUGGAUUCGAAAAGUAAUGGAUAACAAGUUGUUGACACUUGAGAAGAUUCAUAUAAAUGAUAAUGGUGCUAACAUGUUGAUCAAGGUAUUACCUAAGGAGAAAAUCUUGUUUUUUAGAUAGGAAGUAGGUUUGACUAUACUCUCAAAUGAGUUGGAGAGGGAAAUUGUUGAAUUUUUGGGCCAAACCACAAAAACAAAUCAUAGGUUUUCAUUCUUGUGAAGAAAAAAAAAGUUUGCCGUCACUUUUGUCUUUGAGAAAAAACGAAGAGAGAAAGGGUGAAGAAACUAGAGAGAGAGAAACUUCAAAGUUUUGAUUGGAGAGUGAUUCAAAACCCAAUUGAGGUGAAAUUUUACAUAUAUGAUCCUCUCAUCAAUCCCUACUUAUCUACCUAUUCAGAUUUCGGAUUUUCUUUUCGUUUAGUAGUAUUUUUCCAAACCCACUUCUUUGACAGUUGUAGUUUUUGGGGGUGAUUUUGUAGUGAUUUGACUUGGUUGAUAUGUUUUAGAUAGACUUGUGUAUUUCUAUUAUUGUAAUAGUGGAGAGUUUUAAUUGGACUAGAUCGCCUAUUUUUCCCAAUUUGAGUUUUUCACGUAAAAAUCUUGGUGUCUUGUGUCUUUUAUUUUUCUUGCAUUCUAUUAUUACUAUUGGCAUCGUUGUUUGGUGAUUUGGUUUAUUUCUCUUUUAACUGGUACUUGGAGAAAGAGAAAUUUGUUCUGGACUAAAUCUAAUAUUGUGUGUCUGUACUUGUACCCCUUUCCUAACAAUAUAUAAUAGAUUUGUAAGAAACUUUUCUUAUAGAGUUAUGUCCUGUAAUUUUAUUUGCCCUUUUCGAUUUCUUUAUAGGUCUUUGUUGAUCACCCCUGUGUGCCAUUAAAGAUGAUAGGAAGCAUCAUGCAGUCACCUGCUGCUUCAGAAUAGGGGUGGCUUUCCAAUUUAGACAAUAUAAAAGACCAACGCUGAAGAUACAUGAACAGAAGAAUAACAUAGAAGUCUCUUUUGAUUGUGAAAGAACUAUCACAGGAAUGUGAAUUAUUAAGAGAAAAUUGAAAAUUAAUCUUUAGUAUAUUCAUCUUGUGGUGUCAUUAUGACAUUUUCUUUUAUAGAAAAAAGAGAAUUUUCAUUACUAAAUUUGAUAAAAUCAUCCAGCACAAUUUAUUUAAUAAAGUUAGGAGGUCCAUUGUUAUUGAACUUAACAUGAUUUAAUUUGCAUGUCCUUAUAUUUGAUGGAUUAUUCGAGACUUGAUAUUUGAUUAGCUAGUGGUGCAUCAGGUCAAGGGAUACAAACUAGAGGUACUCAAACCAUUUCAUUAGGAGGGUUACGUUAGGUGAUAGGAUGGGAGGAAUUGUAAAUAUAAGAUAUUGGGUACAAGACCUCCCACUUAAGAAAAAACGUUUCCGUUACUAUUGCGAUUGAAGCAGAAUCAAAAGCCUCAAAAUAACUCUUUACAUUCAAUUUGCCACAACACAUGUAACUGGAUGCAUCCUAAACACUUGGCUAAUUCCUAUGAUUAAGAUUUGAGGGAAAAAAUUACAGAAAAAAGUAGUAUUGUAAAACUAAUUAACCAUACCAUCCAAAUUCUACACGUUAGGGACAAAAUAUAAAAUUAAAUUUUUUACUAAUGUAAAUUUGAUUUCGAUUAUUUGCCAAGUUUUUCUUCUAUCUAAACAAGAAAAUUUUAUUGCCACAUUUGUUUUGCGUGAAACUUUAGAAAUUAAUUUUGCUCAUAGUUCAAACAUUGGGAACCAAAAAUACAUUUCUCCAUUUUCCAGAAAAGAAAAGCAAAACUUCCUUCCGUUCAAUUUUAUGAACUUGUACUGGUGGACUUUGGUUGAAUUGAAUGUUGGUUUAUGGUUGGACAUUUGAGACAGUUUGGUCAGUUUCAUUAUGGUUGUAUAAUUGUCUUUCGGAAUGACAACUUCAUUUGUUGUUUUAAAUUCAUUGUUGGAUUGAGGAUUUCUUAAAUUAGGUUGCAAUAUUGUGUGUUGGUAAUAGGGUUUUGAAUGAGAUUAAACAUAGGUUUAAAUUUUAGACUAGCAGUACCAAUUCGAAAACUAGAAAAAUGAGUUAAACCAAACUCGAGUUGGUUUGUCGAACUCACACAAAUUGAACUUCAUUGAGCCAAGCUCAAGCAUAGGAAUUUUUUUGCUGAAUCAAGCUCGAGCCUUAUUUUUCUUGGCUCAGCAAGUUCAAGACACAAAAUAAUGUCAAGUUUGGCUCGAUUAACAAAAUGUUUGAUUUGAUGUGGAUCAUUUGCACCCCUAUGUAUGAUUAUGCAAGGGUAAUUUGGAAAGAAAAUCAUUUUAGCAUUUUAUGUGAAUUUUUUUUGGAUAUAUGGCCGAUUUUGUUGCAUUGAAAUUCAAGAUAAGGAAGCUAAGGAGUUAAGCAUAAUAUUCCCAACCCUAGGGGAGCCAAGUGAAAUUUUUAGAAGUUGAAGGAGGUUUUUGUAUUUAUGUCUGAAAAGAAGUACUGGGGAAAUGAAGAAUGGGGUUUAUAUUUAGGAUUCACUUUUUAUAUACUACUAUUGUAGUGAUUUUUUCACAUUAGUUGUUAUGGAUGUCUGCUAUAUGUUCAUGAUUUGAAUUCAAAUUUGAAUUCAUGUUAUGUGAUAAUUUAAACGUGCUAGUGUAAAAAAAAGUACAAUGAUAGUAUGAAAAAAACUUACUCUUAUAUCUAAGGGCAAAUUACAUAUAACCUUCCUAUAGUUUUGCAUAAUUCUAGAUGACUCCUCUAAAAUUUUAAAAUAGUCAUAUAACCCCCUAUAAUUUUAUGUAAAGCGAACAAUGGAUGGAAUGCACAAUCAAUUAUAACAAUUAAACCACACACAUUCUAAAAGUGCAUGUCAUGAAAUCAUAAUAUCCAUUUACGUUAUGAUUUGUAUAAAUAUCCACUUUAUUCUCCUAUAAUUAUUGCAUUUAUCCACAUAAUUCUCUUAUGGUUUUAUACAAAGUAGUUUAAGUCAUCAUUUGAUUUAGCAUUUAAGUAAGGGCACUAUUGGUAUUUCAAAUAAUGACAUUAAAUAGGUUAUUUUCAAUUAAAAUUUUAGUUUACUAAAAUCAUAAGGGGUAAAGUGAAUAUUUUGAAAUUUUAUGGGAGUUAUGUGGCAAUAAAUAAAAUCAUAAAGGGUUAUUAGUAGUUUACCCUAUAUUUAAUAGGUGACAACUUAACCAAAAAAAGACCCUUAUAAUUAUUUAGAUAAUUUAUCGCAUUUUCUUCGUCCAUUCUUGAAGUAGCUAGCUAACUAGGAGUUAAGGACAAAUUGCCCAUGUAAUAUGUAUAAUCGAACUUUCCUAGCCUUUGACUUUAAUUAAUCCCUCUGCUCACAAAAUUUUCAAGUCUGUUUGUUAGGAACAUGUUUAUCUAUCUUUUGCUUCCGUUGAAGUGGUAUUUCCUUCCAACGAGCUAAACUAGAUAAGUAAGGCGAGAGCUCAAUCACAUGAAGGCAGAACUCUCUAAAAAAACCUAUAAGGAAAGGACCAAUUUGUGAGGAGUCUCGAGGUCAACCCCUCAAGGUCAUUCCACAUUCAAGUUAGUUUUUGACUUGAGGAGAAGGAUAUCCUCCUAGGUGGGUGUUAGGUGUUUCUAUAUAUAGGUUUUCGUACAAGAGAGUGAUAAAGAAAUUAAGAGAUACCGAGAUCAAGAGAUAAAGAUUACCUCUUUUUGUUUGGUAUGAUAGACAUUAGUUCAAAUGAUGAUAUUUCAUCAUUUUUAAGAUAAAGAUAGUCACUAUCAUUAACAAACUAAGAUCAACCGCAUCUUCAGGUAGUCAAAAUCUUAUCCUAUCCCCAUGGUUUGAGUUCAAGAUCAGCUGGAUCUAUACCAAGUUGGGAUAGUUUGGGUGGCCACAUGGCAUACAUGCAAUGCAUAGCCCUCAAGUCAAAUUUUAUUCUUAUCUGAAUAAAUUUUACCUUUAAUGAACUAGAUAUGUAGCAAUCUACCAUUAGCCAAGCUAGAUCACCAUUACUUCCUCAAUGCCUGAAUUGACAUUCCAAGCACCACUUCGCUAAGAAAUUGUGUCCACCAAUCAUGUCAUCCCCAGAAAUUCAUAAUCCUUUUCAAAUUUUACAUGCAACUACCUUUAUUGAAUUUUCAAAAGUCCAAAAAAGUCUACAUUCUUCCCCCAUCUUCGUUCUAUAAAUAGAAGACUUCUCAUAUCUAUUUUACUCUUUUUGGCUUCCAAUAUUCUUCUUCCAGUUCUAGGUUUUCAAUUUCGAAAAACCAUCUAUCUAGGAAAUUUUGUCUUUUCUCCUCUAGUGAAUACUCCCUUCUGUAAUUUUUUUAGGCAAUCUUAUUUCUACAUCUUAAUCAGUAAGUCUCUCUUCCAAUUUAUUUAUCUCUGAUAACUCCAAUAUCUCUAUAUCUUUAUUGAAGCAUAGGUAGAUUCCUGUGAUUAUUACAGUAGCAAUCAUUUCUUCUUCUUCCUCUUCUUCAUUGUUGCCCUUUUCUUCAUUUGUCCUAAGUAUCUCCCAGAACUAUUGGAACCCAUAGAAGUAAUGAGUUCUCAUACUUUUAGAACCCCAUCUACUAACCUUAGAGUAGAUCCUGUAGAGCAGGCUAACCCUUCCGAGUAGCUCCCUAUUGUAUAACUUGCUUCUUCAGAAAAGUUUUGUACCAAGUAAGGAGAAGGUUAGGUCAGUGUUAGUGACCAAUGUCACGACCCAUGCGCUCAGGUUUACCUACCUAACCAUGGCUUCAUUGACUUUAGCUACAUCCCCAAUUUCUCCUUUACUCUUUCUCAAGGGGACAUGGACGAGUUAGCUACCAAUUAUUCCAUCUUAGAGUCCUUUGGAGCCCAAGCAACUAGCCCUAACAAAAGGGUCAAUUGACUUUCUCCUAACUAUGUUGCCAUUUAUAGGGAACGGGUUCUCUCGGGUAUAAGACUUCCUACUCCUAUGGCCCUUUUCAACAUCUUGGCCUACAAGAGGAUUAGGAUUAUUUUACUUUAACUCCAUUAAAACCACUAUAGGCUUCCUAAUCUACUAUAGUCUUUGUGUAAUUUCUUAUUCUCUUUCCUUAUUAUGAGCAUACCAUAUGCUUAAGACUUCUCAGCUUGGGUGGUUCUAUUGAGUUCUAACCCUUAUUUUUGGUGGUUCUAUUGAGUUCUAACCCUUAUUAUGAGCAUACCUAAUCUACUUUAGUAAGAGCACCCGUGAUAUUUCUAUUGAGUUCUUUAUUUCAUUAAAAGGUGAAAGAAUGAAUUCUUUUUUGUAAAAAAUCGACUUCUUUCCUCCUAAUUUUGGAAGGUAGGGGAAGUCAAAACUGAUCCUAUCAUGUCGAUCUAGACAUGGAUGCUUUUUGACUUACUCUUGAGACCUAAAGCCAAAUUACUUACCAAGAAUUUCUCCUCUAGUCAAAUUGCAACAGUCGGACUGGUCAAUCCUCUUUCCAGUGACUGGGAUUGGGAUUUACACUAAGAGGAAUACAAGAAUUGUAAUUUUUCCUUUCUCUUCCUUCCUCUCUCUCUUUACGUAGAGCUCUAACCCUUAUUUUUCUUCUUUAUAGUGAGAUAAUUCUCUCAACUCUUAUUCUUUGAGACUUCUACUCAACUCUUCACAAGCUAGUAGUAGUUCUCUUACUCAAUAGGUCAGCUCUCCUCCUACCUAGACCCCUACGGACACCAAGCAAAGUAAAGGGGGAAAUUAAGGGCAAAAAGGCGGCACCUAAGAGGAUCGUUGUGAGAAGUUCUGAUGCAAGGGAGACAGUCCAUUGUGGGCUUAAUUCGGCUGAGCAGCAGGCAGACCAUGUAUCACCACUAUUAACAUGGAACUUCAGAUAUGCAACGCCACUGAAACCUAGCCAAUAUCACACUAUCCAUGACCCCUAUUACUUUUAUUCAUCAAUGAUCGAGCUCAGUAUCCAUAUGUUGUCCACGAGUUCACUCGCAGUUCACUGUUGCCAAGGGAUAAGAGAUUCAUGGAGUUGGCUUCCAACUUCAAGUUGUUAGGCGUCUUUUAUUCUUUCUAAGCUCAGGUAGGAAGCCAAAGCUUUUGAACCUCAUCUUUUUUUUUUAAAGCAAGUUUCCCUUUAAGAAGAGUGUUUUCUAUUUUUACUAAUUUAAUCACCAUGUUUCUCCUCAAAGGAAAAUGAAUCAGUAAUGGAGGUGGCCUACCACUUUGAAAAGCUAAUGCUUGAUCUAGAGAAGGCAACCAAGAGGAAUCAGACCCUCGAAAAGUAGCUCAACACUGCAUAAAAAGAGCUUGAUUCUCUUCAGGCUCAGCUCCAAAAAGCACAGGAUUGGCUACUUAACUUGCCUUGCUUCAAAUUAGCUUGCAAGAGAUUCAAAAGAGCAAUUAAAGGGUAUGAUGUGAUCUUAGGGAUAGAUUGGUUAGCCCGUUACAAUACCCAGUUGGACUGUAGAACAAAGAUUGUAGAAUUGGGUAUUCUAGGAGAACCGACCCUGAAAUUGGAUGUAAAGGGUAGGUUAGUUUCAUCUACACUUAUCUCAAGGAUUCGGGCUAGAAAAUUGUUAAGUAAGGGAGAUCGAGGAUAUCUGGCUUUUCUUAUCAACACCCCUAGUGAUAAGGUGAAAUUAGAAGACAUGCAUGUAGUGAAAGAUUUUUCAGAUGUAUUUCCUGAAGAGUUAGAGUCUCUACCCCCGGAAUGGGAAAUAACUUUUAAGAUUGAUGUGACUCCGAGAGUAGCACCUAUCUCUAAGAUACCAUAUCGGAUGGCUCCAGCUGAAUUGAAGGAAUUGAAAUUACAACUACAGGAUUUGCUAGAAUGGGGGUUUUAAAUCCAGAAAAAUGACAUAAAACUUUGGGCAAUUCUGAUUGAUGUUUUCUUCUAGCUGUUUACGUGGGCAGUGCCUUGUUGCUGUUUCUUGCUGUUUUCCUUUCCAUUUUAUUCUUAGCACCUUGUUUGUUGUCGUGUUGGGCUUUAGAAUUUUUCUCGAAGUUCUGAGUUAGGGGUUAGUAAAUGUUUAUAUUUCCUUACGCUGUUACUGAACUUCGGUUGGGUUGGAUGGAUCCGUUUCAUUGCCUUGCUGCAUUUCAUGUUCAGGAACUUUAUUGAAUCUUCCCUCUCCCCUUUGUCCCAAGUCUUUUAUGCUGGAGUAAGUUAAGACUUGUAUUAAGUCCCUUCUAGGUUAAUGCAUAGGAGCUUAGGGAGCCGAGAGUCACCCUUGAUCAUGUUGCAGCUGUGCGAUCAGCUUCCUUUUUCUCUUGAGGUGCUGAAUUUUUUUUUUUUUGGUUUGCUUAACUUUUAGGCUUUGUUUGCUAUUCCUGGGUUGCAUUUGUCAUUUCUCUUAGCAUGGUGUAGGGGUGCGUAAUGGAAAUGGUUUCCUUGCAAAAGAGAAAUUUUUCUUUCAAUCAAGUCGUCUGAAGGGACCAGGGCAUCUCAGUUCCCCUAUUCUUUACCUUGCGCUUUGUCUUCCUAUAGUUCUAGCCUUCCCCUUUGAGUGUUCUGAGUCUUCUUAUUGAGUUUGCUUUCAUUCGUAAAACCAGAGGGAGGUGAAUAAAUCUGUUGCAAAUAUUCAUGUUGCUUUGCUGCAUUUUAUUGCUCGAAUGAUUUGAUUAGAUUUGUUGAGGUAUAGAUGAUUGUGGUUGGGUGAAGUUAACAACAUGAAUUAAAGAUCUUGUAGUCGUUUUGGUUUUCUUCUGUUGAAUUGGUAGACUUUACUUGGCCCCUUCACACGAACAAACUUGGGUGAAUAAUGAAACAUUUCUGCAGUUUCGAACCAAUGAGAAGCUAACUGAAUCCAUAUUUCAGAAGUUCCGUGGCAGAGUUCUUUUUUGUGUAGAAUGUUUAGCUCACGUUUUCAUCAUUUCAAGAUGGGUUGUGUUGUGUCUUGAAUCAAAAGAUGAUGCUUUCCUGGGACGUGUUCAAUUAGUUGUCAAAUGCCACAUGUUGCAGAAUGAAGGAAAAUAGAAAAUGCAGAAAUCUUCUUCGUAUGCAUGCAUGCAAAUCUUCAUAAAGGUUGCAUUCUUACCUCCCAAGUCCCCCUUUGUUCUAAUAUGGCCCGAAAAACUUUUAAUUUCUUUCAGAGAGGUUCCUAAUUUAAUUGCAAAUAGGCCCCUAAACUUUAUUUUUCUUUAAUUUUGAUCCUGAAACUUUGUUAAUUUUCACAAUUAAGUCCCUUCUUCUUUUAAUUUCUUAAAUGUGGGUUGCUUGCAUGAUUUAAUUGAUUCAAUUUCAUGUUUAUUUUUUAUCUUUUGUGAUUUAUUUCUUAACUAAAGUGAUGCCUUGACUUUUUUUUUGAUUUUGGAAGGUAAAUAAGUAAUUUCAUUUCAUUAGGCCAUCAACUCAAAGGAGGUACACUCUAUCCCUUGUUUUGACUUUAAUUGAUCCUAUGUGCCCUUAUAUGAUUUUAUGUACUUAAUUGCAAGCCUUUUGAAUGUUUUCAUUUUGUUUAUUUAUUUAUUUGCUUUAUUUGUUUUAAUUUUGGAUAUUUAUUUUAGUUCAAUUUCAGUUAUUUGAAAGGCAUUCAAAGGCCAAAGUUGUAAUAGUUAUGGGUUUAUUUUUAUUCUUUCCCUUUUUAGAUUGUAGUAGGGCCCCCCAAUGUAAUAGUUAGGGCUUGUUUGUUUUAUUUGCUUGGUAUGUUUUGCAUGCUUAUGUAUUAUGUGUUAUUCGCUUUCUUAGGGUUGCAUCUAGAUAUCAUGCUUAUGUGUUAUGUGCUAUACGUGAUUUAUGUGUUUACAUGCUUUUAUUUGGUCUUACAUGAUUUAUUUGAUUGUAACCAAUGUGUGACACACCACACUAGUCCAAUGCUAGUUGUGGUCAAUUUUUCGAAUCCACACUAGUCCAACGCUAGUUGUGACCCUUUAUUCUGACUUUUCUCACUAGUCUAAUGCUAGUGAGAAAUUGUAGACAUGGGCUAGUCCAACGCUAGACUCUUAGGAGCCCUCGAGCGUUAGAUCAUGGUUAUGUGAUAAAAUCACUUCAUCUCAUGCAUGUUUUCACUUUUUAGGGUUUUUACCAUGUUGCAUGACACUUUCUUAUAUAUGUACAUCCUUUAUCCCAUAUUCCUUUCUACUUAUAUCCCUAUUCCGUAUUUUCCCUUAUAUAUAUAUAUAUAUAUUCCUUACCCCUUUGUAUGAAAACAUAACAUUAGACUUGCAUUUCAUUUAAGAAAUAGAAAUUAGGUUAAAUCAUUUGCAUGCUAGAUUAGGAAAACUCCUUGGGUAUGGGAUAUGAAUGAGUUUGGCUUUUUAGCCUUAGCACGCUCAUAUUCCCUCUAUUAAAGGGAACAUUGAGUCACGAACAUUAGUCUCCACCCGAUAUGAUGCAUUCCUUUAGGUCACGUAUAUUUAUACAAUUAUUUUUAUUUUUAUUUUUAUUUUUAUUUUUAUUUUCUUUUCUUAGAGUCUCAUAUUUUUGCAUUAUUCGUGACCUUUUCAAAGAGUUCACAUUGGACAUCACAAUUAAUGUGAUUGGCACCAAUUGAGUUUUGAAAAGAAAAUUCGAUCCCUUGAUACCCUCUUAGGUCUAGGUUUUACAUUCAUAUAGUACAUCCAAAUGUGAUAAAUUUUUAGGUUAAAAUAAGAAAAUCUUUGACUAAAUCACGCAACUAGUUUUGGCUAGGUUGAAAUGGUGCCUCGAAUUUUUUUAUCCCUGCAUUCCCUUUUUUCAAAUGUGACUCCCGAGCACGUUUCUUUGAUUUUCGUAAAUUUGGAGUCAUUUAAAAAGGGUUUUCUACUUGUUUUCUUUAAAAAUUUAUUUUCAGGUGACUUUGUACAUUUUAACUCGAUAUCAAGUGGCGACUCCGAUUUUUUUCAUUAAAACCCUUUUUAAACUGUUUUUGGGUCAAAAUCGUCGCAUUUUUUAUGUUCCAUUUAGACCCAUAUUUUUCUUUAUUUUCUAAAAAAAAAUCAAAAACUCAUUUUUUAACCAAAAUUAAUCAAAAAUUCAUUUUUCUAAACUAAUUUAUUUUAUUUCAAAAAUGGGAGCGACAGUUGGCGACUACACUGGGGAUUUAGAGAGUCCGAGCAAAUUUGAUUUAGUCAACCUUUUUUUUCUUUUAACCUUUUCAUAUAUCGCAUUUGGAUGUUUAGAGUUGUAUUUUUUCUUUUUUAGGAUUUUUGCAUUUCGCACGUAUCAACUCACUCCCUUACCCAUUUGCGUACGAUUGAUGUGAUGUGAUGGAUGAUUUAUUUAUGUGAUCCUGCGCUUUGCAUUGCAUUUGGGUAGGGGGAUAUUACUCUAGAGUCUUGCGUUGAUUCUCAAUCCCUCCCUCCAAACGAAGUACUAGCAUACAUGCAUACGCUUUAUUUUUUAUCUCUCAUUUAUUUUUCUUUUAGUGGCUUGUCACGCCACUCUUUCCUAUUAGGAUUAGGCAACCUACUUGAACGUGUGAUCGUGACAUGACGUGUGCGUAGCAUGAUCCGAGGGGUCACUCGAUCUUCCAUUUUAAGUUUUGGGUUGAUAACCUUCAGCUUUUAGUCGAAGAUUGGGGAUUUUUGAUAGAUUCACUCAGACAUGUAGCCGUAACACGACGUGUGCGUAACAGUGUCUGGGGAAUCGCUCGAACCACCGACAAAGAACCUUGGGAUUGAUGACCUUUGGUUUCCAAGUCUGAAUGCUCGGGGACCUAAAACCUAUCGAGUCUAGAUGCAUUAGUGAGCCAAUACCUCAUGCAUCCAUGAUAGUUUACCUAGGGUAGAGUCUGUCUUACCCUAUUAGGGACACUAUUCACGAGAGGAGAUCCAACCCCUCUUUUCUUUAUUACUUUAUCUCUUUGUAUUGUUUUGCUAUAGUGUGUUAUGUGUAUUUAUCUAAUUGAACUUACUUUUCUUGUUUUUGUCUCUAUUGCAUUCAUAAGCCCUAGAAAAUAAAGAGUCCUGGCAUGGUACUCUCUAGGAACCUACCCUAUUUGAUGUAACACGCUUAAAUUCAAUGCUUCGCAUUUACACCAUAAAUACAUUUCAUUUUAGGCUCACCCCGGCAUACAAAAGGGGGUUCCUUUAGGUCACGUUUUAUUUAUGUAUUGCAUAUUUUAUUACUUUAAUAAACUGGCAUCAUGCAUCCACCUUAGAAGGGAAUCCCAUAUUAGGGAUAAGCCAACCCUAUAUUCCCAUGGGUAUUUAACCCUAUUUUGGAUUUGCACGUUUAAAUUCAUGUUUUGACCAGAAAAAUGGGACCUGUAGGUAAGGUACUUGACACCAGCUUUUUGUUUCUAGAUGGAAAGUCCUCGCCGAGUCCAACAGAUGUUAGUAGUACCGAUUGAGGUACAAAGAUGGCCCAUGUUGCUUUCACCCAGUGAAAUUAACCAAGUAGCUGCUCGAUUAGGACCCAUUGCAAAUUUUAAGGAUAUUAAGUCCGAUGGCUAUUUGGUAGAGACUUUAGUGCAUCUAUGGGACCCCACUUGUUCCAUUUAGACUAGGGAAAAAGGAAAUGACCAUAACAAUUGAGGAGGUUGCUGGAUUUCUUAAUUUAUCGAUUCAGGGAACUGCUGUGAUGUUUUCAUUAGUGUCUAACAAAGCUGAAUUUUGUCAUUUCACCGGGUUAAAGGAAUCAGUAAUACAAGGGUCGGACCAAAAUAUAGAGGCAAAGUUCUUAUUUGAUCGAUUCGCAUUAAGAGAUGGUUUUGAUAGGCACUUAGGAGAUUUCUCGUUUACUUCCAAGGAAAUGUGGGAACGAAAGAGAGUUUGGAUAUAUGGAUUAGUUAUGGCUGGAACCUAUCUUUUUCCCUAGGAAAGACAAAAAGAUAACCUUUAAACUCACUAAAAUCUUGUAUGAUCUGUUUCUAGGAGUCAAAGAUAAGCAAUGUUCUAUUAUUCCGACUAUUUUGGCCGAUAUAUUCAUAGCUUGCACUACCUGUCAGAGAAGUGAAAAGUUCUUUUGUGGUUCAAAUUUGAUCUUACAUGUAUGAGGUAUGGAGCACUUCAUGAGACGAUCGUCUGUUCCCGAAAGUCUACCAGUGGUUGGGUACAACUGGAUAAUCACGCAUCAUAAGCGAGUCAAUGGAGAGGGUCUGCCGAGCAAUGCGUUUGAAUGUGUUAAAUACUUAGAGAUGCUGACGGAUCAAGACAUUAGGUGGAUGCUAGACUGGACGAAUUGCUGCAGACCAAUACUUCGUACUAAAGUGUCAAAAUUUGUUCUCUUGCUGGGUACCAAGGAAUUGCCGCAUACCCAAGGAAUUGCCGCAUACACCUAAAAUUUCUGCCGAGCAAUUGUACUAAUUCCAUGUGCGGAACCGCCUUCGUGACAUGAUGUAAAUAUAUUGGCAAGUUUAUCAAUGAAAUCGACAUUUUCUUUGCACUUGUACAAAAUUGUUGUAAAAAAUAGGUUUGUGUAACGGGUCCCAUUUCGAAGGUGCUGCAUCAUGCUAGGCCUAUUCUUGACACAAAAAGGGUUCUCCCAUAGGAUAUGCACCCAAAUUUUUGGAUAGUUACUAACUCUUGUCUUUUUCUUUUUCUUAUUUUAUUGUUGUUGGAAAGGCUAAGCGAGGGAUAAAUCUAAAGGCAAUUUCUUUCAAAAUUUUCUGGUAAUAUUUAAACAUAGCUACCCGAAGAAACCCCAUUAUCACCCGAUUACGUAGUCAUGUUUCGAAAGAAAGUGUAAACAUGAGUACCCAUCCAGAACCAUCUGAUAGGCCCACAACAACAUCAUUAACUGAUUUGGCGAAUCUGGGAGCUCAGCUGAGCGAAAUUCUCAAUCGAUUUAAUGAGCUAAGCGUUGAAAUGAUGGCCCAACGGCGCGUAAUCGAUCAAUUGGUAGCUAGUGGUGCUAGCGGUGAACAACAUGAGCCAUUACCCCAGCCAAUCUGAACCUCAACCCAUAUGUUUACAUUAUACUCAAACGUCUGUUACUUCACAAGUCAUAAACCCACCUGAGGAAGCCUUUACUUAUCCCAUUCAUGGCCCACCACCUACUUAUGCACCUCACAUCCAAACUAACCCUCCUCAUGUCCAAAUUUCUAAAAUUAUCUGUCAAUUACUAUGAGCAUGCCAUUCAAACCACAAGGACCUCAUUAUUACUCCACCGCUGAGCCAUUCACCCUAGAUACCGCCGCUCAAGGAAAAGCUGAAGUUGGGGAGUCAUCCGCACCAGUGGACAAGAAUUUACUAAAGAGAUUGGAUCGGUUUGAGGAGUUUAUAAGGAAAAGCCAAUGUGUGAGCAAGCAAGGAGGUCUAAACUACAAUGAACUAUGCCUGUUUCCGGAUAUGCAAUUGCCGGUAGGUUUCAAAACACCCAAAUUUAUCAAGUACGACGGAACAGAGAAUUCCAAGACCCACCUUCGAAUGUUUACGAACAAACUAGGGAGACCAAUAGAUGAUGAGAAUCUGCCUGUGCGCUUAUUUUUCGAGAGUCUAGAAGGCGACGCGUUGGAUUGGUAUUCCAAUUUGAAGCUCAAAGAUAUGAGAUCUUGGAUGGAUUUGUCAACCGCUUUCGUGAGGCAGUAUGAAUACAAUGCGAGCUCGCUUCGACGAGGACCACAUUGGAGGGGACCAAGAGGAAACCAUCGGAGGACCACAAGACGUAUGCGAAGAGAUGGAGGAAAUUGGCCGCGAAGGUGGAGCCUCCUAUGACUGAAAAUGAGAUUGUUCGCACGUUCAUCAAAGCUCAUGACCCGCCUUACUUUGAGGAGAUUUUUCGAAUGACAGGAUGCUCCUUUGCAGAGAUUGUUAAUAAAUUGGAAAAAUAUGAUGAGUUUAUGAGAGCAGGAAAAAUUGUUAAUGCUUUAGGUUUGAAGUCACAGUUGGAAGCCAUGCAAAGCCAAAGUAGCAGUAGUAAGAAGUCUCAAUUUAAGAAAAAAGACGAGGAAGCCUCUUUUGUCUGGAACCAGGGCUCUUUUUCCCGGCCUAGAUAUCAACAAAAUCCCACCUACUCAUCUCGUUACUUAUACCAACCACGCGUCCGCCCUGUUUACAACACCACUAUCAACCAUCCCCGUCCUCGACCAAAUUAUCCAAACACACAUCAACGCCAUUUCACAUUUCUCCACCAAACUUUCAAAUUAGACCUCGUCCUCCUUUUAACCCAAGACCUAUUCCACCCCCUAACCCAAACUACCAAUACCAACAACCCGUGAUACCCAAAAUCCAACCCCAUACCGAACAUUUACCAAUCUAGGUCGCCCUGUUGACCAAUUAUAUGAGCAAUUGAAAGCUGCUAGGAAGAUUAGUACGAUACCCCCUAAAACCUAUCCCAAGGGAUUUCCCAUUGGUUAUGAUCCUCAAUCAUUUUGUACUUAUCAUUCGGGAGCCCCACAUUCAACGUCCAAUUGCUAGGCACUUAAACAAAAAAUUCAAGAUAUGAUUGAUGCUGGAGACAUAGUUCUGAGAAGGAAAGAUGGACAAAGGCCGAGUGUUAGCAACAAUCCUCUUCCUCAGCACAAGGAUACCGUGGGAGCUGUCACCAUAGAGGAAGAGAUCGAGGAACAUACACAGUACAUUAUAGACGAGGCCGAGAUCAUGGGGGUCAUUGGAGAACCAUUCAUAGUGAAGGAGGAAGCCUACGAAGUUAAGGAAAAUAUUGAUCCUUUUAUUUUGGAAAUGAUACCUUUCGAGUGUGAGCUUUCGGAACUCGUGGUACUUGAAUUGCCUGAGCAAGCUCCUGUUCUUAAUUUACAAGAGGUCCCGUGGAAUUAUAGCGAGCCUACACUGUUAAUUGGAGGAGAGAAGGUGCCCAAAAAGGAAGUGGAUGCCAUCACUAGAUCAGGGAGAAUCAUAGGGGAACCGCAGUUGAUGAAUCCUCAAAGCAAAAGAAUGUGCUACGCCAACAAAACCAGUUGUGACAGAUGAAGAGGCUUUUAAUUUCCUUCAAAAGUUAAAGAAGAGCGAGUACCAGGUGGUCGAGCAAUUGGACAAGAUGCCCGCUCAAAUUGCCAUAUUAAAUUUGCUACUUACCUCGGAACUUCACAGAGAGGCUCUGGUCAAGGUCUUAACUGAGGCUCAAUUGCCUAAGAAUAUUCCAAUUGACAAAUUCACCAAUGUAGUUGAACAUUUUUUAGCUUCCAAUCGGAUUUCUUUUUUUGACGAAGAUCUAACUGCUGAGGGGAUUGGACACAACAAAGCCUUGACAUCUCAGUCCGCUGUAACGAAAACUCUUGCCAAAGGUUCUGAUAGACAAUGGAUCCGCUCUCAAUAUCUGUCCCUGGAAUAUCUUGGUUAAGUUAGGAUUUCAAGAGGCUAAAUUGCGGCCGUCAACCACCGUGGUGAGAGGAUUUGAUGGCGCAAAAAAGGGAACCAAUGGGGGAAGUGAAUUUAGUGCUGGAAAUCGGACCUGCCCAAUUUCAAGUCAUAUGCCAAGUCAUGAAUUUUUCAAGUGUUUAUAACAUUCUCCUUGGACGGCCUCGGAUUCACACUUCGAGCGCUAUACCCUCUUUACUUCAUCAAUUGCUGAGAUUUGUGGUGAAUGGUCAAUUGAUCACAAUUUUUACGGAGGACGAUUGCACAAUGAUUGUUAAUUCUGGACCAAAUGAGGAGGACAGUAAAAAAUCUCUGUUUUCUCCUCACUAUGUGGCUGACAUUGUUUCUGUAGGAUGGAUAUCUAAGGAGAAGCCAGUGGUGGAAAUGAAUUUGCCAGAAGCUAGUGUUAUGAUGGCUAAAGAGAUGAUUCGAGGAGGAUAUGAGAUGGGCAAGGGCCUCGGGCGCAACCUACAGGGAGUUUUGGAACCAAUAGAGAUUCAAGGAAAGAAGGACACCUUCGGAUUGGGGUUUCAACCUACUAUCAAGGAUAAGAAAGAAAUGAUGAAUCGCAAAAAGGCGGAGAAGGAAGGAAGGUAACUUAUCAUGAAUAUCCCACCAUUGUAUUGUACUUUUCCUUACCCAUCAGAGGUGAUUAGAGCUGAAGUAGAUCCAAUCGAGGAAGUGGAUGUUGGAUUGUCUGAGCUAUUUGUGGGGGUUGCUUCUGAGAGGAAGCCAUUGGAGGACCCAGAAUUUUCAGAGGUGUCUACCAAAACAAUGAAGAAUUGGACUAGUGAUUUUCUUCCCUCUCGAAGGGAAUUUCGGUAAAUCUGGGGAAUUGCCUUUGGUUGCCAUGAAAGAAUUUAUUCGCAUUAUUUAUCUGUUGUCUUUCAGUUUCGUAAAUAGUUUUUAAUCAAAUGCUUUUCAAUGCAAGUCUUAUGUUGAAUCUCUUGUUGAGUCGCAUGUUAUGAUCCUUUACCUUCAAAUUCAAUGAAAUGCGUAGUGUUUAUUUUCCAAAUUAAUUUGCUUAUGCAUUGUUUUAUCUAUUUUAUUCUUUUCUAGAUGGCCAAAAAUAAAACACAUUGACCCUUUGGAUAUCACUAUUCUGAAAUUUGAUGAUUGUAAUCUCGAUAUCUCUCACGAAGUUGAAAUUUUGGAAUCAGAAAUUCAAGACGAGAGGGAUAACGAGGAAGAAUCUGACUCUUUAUUAAAGAAUCUUGAACAAUAUGAAGAGAAAUCCAAAUCGAACUUGAAGAAACAGAAGUUGUUAAUAUUGGCACUAGGACUGAGGUUAAGGAGAUAAAAAUUAGCAUUCAUUUGAAUAAAAAAUAGAGAAAAGAGAUGAUUGAAUUUUUGACAAUGUUUCAAGAUGUGUUUGCUUGGUCCUAUGAUGAUAUGCCUGGAAUUUCAAUAGAUAUAGUGGUCCAUCGAUUGCUAACUGAUCCAAAUUUUCUACCCGUGAAGCAAAAACCUCGCAAGUUUAAGCCUGAUAUAAGCCUUAAGAUCAAAGAACAAAUCGAGAAGCAGCUCAACGCUAGAAUUAUCAUGGUGUCCCAUUAUCCCAUUUGAGUUUCAAAUCUCGUACCUGUCUUGAAGAAAAGUGGAGAAGUGCGAGUCUGUGUUGAUUAUAGGAAUCUUAAUAAAGCAAGUCCGAAAGAUGAUUUUUCAUUGCCAAACAUCCAUAUUCUGCUAGACAAUACCGCAGGACAUGAGAUCGAAUCAUUUGCUGAUUGUUUUGUCGGGUAUCACCAAAUCUUAAUGGCCGAGGAAGACAGAGAGAAAACUAUUUUUAUCACACCGUGGGGGACAUUUUGCUACCGAGUAAUGCCAUUUGGAUUGAAAAAUGCCGGAGUCACUUAUCAAAGGACCAUGACAACCCUGUUCCAUGAUAUGAUUCAUAAGGAGAUGGAGGUUUAUGUGGACGACAUCAUCAUCAAAUCCGAGAGGGCGGAGGAUCAUUUGGUUGAUUUGGAAAAGAUAUUUGAGAGAUUGAGAAGAUAUAAUUUGAAAUUAAACCCUGCAAAGUGUGCAUUUUGAGCCCCUGCCGGGAAGUUAUUGGGAUUCAUUGUCAGUAAGAAGGGUAUAGAGAUAGACCCGACAAAGAUUAAAGCUAUUUGCGAAAUGCCAGUGCCAAAAAUGUAAAAGGACGUGAAGAGUUUCUUAGGAAAAAUUAACUUUAUCGGAAGGUUCAUUGCUCAGUUGGCCCACACAUGUGAGCCUCUGUUCAAGUUAUUGAAGAAAAAUGUGCCACUGCAUUGGAGUGAAGAGUGCUAGCAGCCGUUUGAUAAAAUUAAAGACUAUUUGUUGCAUCCCCCGAUCUUAGUACCACCCAAGUUAGGUCGACCAUUGAUUAUGUACUUGUCCGUGCUCGACGAGGCUGUGGGAUGUGUUUUGGAGCAGCAUGACGAUUCAGGAAAGAGGGAGCAAGCUAUUUACUAUCUCAGCAAGAAGUUCACGUCUUAUGAGGCAAAAUAUACAUUGCUUGGAAAAAGUUGUUGUGCAUUGGCCUGGGCAGCUCAGAAGUUGAGGCAUUAUUUGCUUAGUCAUACCACUUAUCUUAUCUCUCGUCAGACCCUUUGAAAUAUUUGUUGGAAAAACCAAUGCCAACUGGACGCAUGGUUAAAUGGCAGAUGAUUCUUUCGGAGUUUGACAUCAUUUUUACCACGCAAAAAGCUAUCAAGGGUCAGGCGAUAGCGGAUCACUUGGCCGAAAACCCAAGGAGGGAUGAUUAUCAACCAUUUUACACUUAUUUUCCAGAUGAGGAGGCCCUGUUCGUUGGUACAGCAGAAGACAUGAAUGAAAAAUGUUCUGAAUGGAGGCUAUUCUUUGAUGGUGCCUCAAACUCCUUUGGAGCUGGUAUUGGAGCUGUUCUGAUAUCACCUGAAGGGAAGCAUUAUCCUGGUUCCGCUAAACUGCGAUUUUUUUGUACUAACAAUAUGGCUGAAUAUGAAGCUUGCAUUUUUGGGCUAAAAAUGGCGUUGAAAAUGGAGAUUAAGGAUUUAAUAGUGUUCAGUAAUUCCGAUUUAUUCGUUCAUCAGACUCUCAAAGAAUGGAUCACUCGAUAUUCAAAGAUCGUGCCUUAUCAUUGUAUCUUAUUGGAUUUGGCGAAUAAAUUUAGAAGUUUGGAGUUCCGACAUAUUCCACGUGCCAGGAAUGUCUUCGCCGAUGCUUUGGCCACUUUAUCUUCCAUGAUUCAACAUCCAGACGAGUUGGUGAUCGAACCUAUCCAGAUUCAUUUGCAAGAAAAACCAGCUCAUUGCCUAGUUGUGGAAAAAUCUCCCGAUGGCCAUCCCUGGUAUAGUGAUAUUAAGGAAUUUCUCAAAAGGGUCCUACCCUCCUGGGGCCGAUACAACUGUCAAAAGCUUCUUGCGCAGAUUAUCAUCUAAAUUUUUCUUGAAUGGAGAGGUGGUAUACAAAAGAACGUCAAAUUUGGGCCUUCUGAGAUGUGUUGAUGAGGAUGAAACAGAUUAUUUGAUGAAAGAAGUGCAUAGUGGCGUGUGCGGAUCACAUAUGAAUGGCCAUUUAUUAGCAAAGAAGAUCAUGAGGACGGGCUAUUUUUGGCUUACUAUGGAGCAUGAUUGUGUAGUUUUUGUUGGGAAAUGUAUCAAGUGUCAAUUGCAUGGAGAUUGUUAUGUGUGCACUCCCUCUACAGAAUUACACAGUAUGACUGCUCCCUGGCCAUGUUCAAUGUGGGGUAUGGAUGUGAUUGGAGCCAUUGAUCCUCCCCACAUUCAAAUGGGCAUCGAUUUAUUCUGGUGGCGAUUGAAUACUUUACCAAGUGGGUCGAAGCUGAAUCUUAUAAGCAUGUGACUAAGAAGGUGGUGACGGACUUUCUAAGGAAGCACAUUAUUUGUCAUUUCAGUGUGCCAGAGACGUUAAUCACCGAUAAUGCCAAAAAUCUCAACAAUAAUAUGGUAGAUGGAUUGUGCGAACAGUUCAAAAUCAAGUAUCGAAACUCCUCUAUUUAUAGGCCACAAUGAACGGAGCAGUAGAGGCUGCAAAUAAGAACUUGAAGAAGAUAAUCCGUAAGAUGACUGAGAGACACCGUGAUUGGCACGAGAAGCUCCCUUAUGCAUUAAUGUCAUAUAGAACUGCUAUUCGGACUUCUAUUGGGGCAACUCCUUACAAUCUCAUGUAUGGAAUGGAAGCAGUUUUGCCAGCCGAGGUCGAAAUCCCUUCUUUAUGCAUUUUAAUGGAGGCCAAACUGGAUGAGGCUGAUUGGAUCAAACAACGUCAUGAGCAGUUGUCUUUAAUCGAUGAAAAGAGGUUAAAUGCCAUUUGUCAUGGUCAAUAUUAUCAAAAGAGGAUAGCCCAUGCUUAGAAUAAGAAGGUUAGACCACGCAUAUUUACAGAAGGAGAUAAGGUGUUGAAACACAUUUUGCCAGUACAAUAGAAAGCCAAAGGAAAAUUUGCACCAAAUUGUCAAGGCCUUUUUAUUGUCCAGGAAGUUUUGCCCGGGGGGCGCUCAUUCUUGCAGAAAUGGAUGGGCAAGUGUUCCCUCAACCAAUCAAUUCGGAUAUGUGUAAGAAAUUUUUCAUAUGAUUUCCCUUUUAGGGUUAAUAUAAAGAAUGGAGUGAAAAGUCAGGCUUUCUUUUUUUUCAAUCAAACAUUUUAUCCCUAGUCACCCCUUUUUGAGCCUUCAAAGCAAAUUAUUUAGUUUGGCAACCUCUGAGAAUCGCAAACCCCACACUGGGGCAAGUUUUGAGUUAAAAAGGUUAAAAAGUUAAAAGAGAGGUUUCAAGGGUAAAAAUCAUAGAAAAAUAAAAAGAAGAGAAACUCAAAGAAGAAAAUCUCGAUUGAGAAUAAAUUGGGGCAAUUAUUAGUAGAGUUAAUUUGAAGAUGCGAUCUCAGAAAAUCUAAACCUUCGUAAAUCCGCCUUCGAGUCUUAACCUUUUAUAAGCAUCCUACCAGAUCCCGUUACAUAAAAUCAAAAGUCCUGACUUCUAUUCUUUAUAUUACCUUUUUCGGACGAUUUCUAAUCAAAUGGCACAUGAUGUCAAAGACACCUUCACCUGUUUUGCAAAGGAAGGGUUGUUAUACUGAUGCCAUUAUUUCUUAAAACACAUUUCUGAAUUAAUGCGGGCGAUAGACGAGAUUUGUUUAUUUGGUGAAAAUCCGUAAGGGCACAUUUGAAAAGAAGAAGGAAAAGAAAAAAAAAGAAAAGAAAAAAAAGAGAAAAUAAAAGAAAAGAAAAGAAAAAAGAAGAAAAGAAAAAGAAAAAAGAGAAAAUAAAAUAAAAGAAAAUGAAAAGAAAGAAAAGAAAAGAAAAAUAAAAUAAAAUGGGCGGGGGUAACCUUAGUGAAAAUCCGAAAAGGCGUUAAGGUAGGGUUUUACAAGGAAAAGUGAGUUUGGAUCUAAAGUGCUGGUGACUUAGUUCAUUGGAAAUUCUCCUCACAUUGUGGUUCUAUUGUCAAACAUUUGAACUCCGAAGAGAUGAUAUCCAAAGGGUCAAGCAUAGCAUUUUGUUCGAAAACCAAAGUGUUUGAUUUAUCAAACACGAAAUUUGAGUAUACAAACUUAUUUAUUUGAAAUGAUUUUUUAUGCAAUAAAAGUAAAGGGUUGUGUUUAUAUUGUUAAGAUUUUUCAUCAUUAUGUGCAAUUAGAAUGUUUUUCAUGUGUUGCAUGGUCACAUUUGUCUCUUUCGUUCUAUCAAAUGGCAAUCCCUAUGAUUUAUCGAAGAGAAUAGAUACUAGAUGACACGUUGAUCUGCAUAUGAGAAAUUAUGAAAACUUGAUAUUGCUCGCAGGGCAAGAUUGAAGUACCCGCUUCGCCAAAUAAGGAGUCCAAAUGCUCAUGUUUACACUUCUCUUGAAAAAGGGGUUGAUCGGAUGGAAGCGGUAUUAUCUAUCAUUAUUUCUUUUCUUGCAGGUCUGAUAGUCCAAUAAGCAUUACACUGGGGCAAUUUUAGAGGAAGUUAUUUGUCUCCCUUCUCAAAAUUCUACGAAAGUUUUGUACGAAUCGACCGAAUGAAGAAUGAAGGCAGGCUCGGGUGUUCAUCCCACUGAGCAAAUGAAGAAUGAAGGCAGGUUCGGGUGUUCAUCCCAUUGACCAAAUGAAGAAUGAAUGCAGGUUCGGGUGUUCAUCCCACUGACCAAAUGAAGAAUGAAGGCAGGUUCGGGUAUUCAUCCCACUGACUAAAUGACAGAUGAAAACAGGCUCGAGUGUUCAUCCCACUAACCAAAUGACAGAUGAAGACAGGCUCGGGUGUUCAUCCCACUGACCAAAUAACAGAUAAAGGCAGGUUCAGGUAUUCAUCCCACUGACCAAAUGAGGAAUGAAGACAGGUCCAGAUAUUCAUCCCACUGAUCUCUUUUGAUUAUGUGUUUCAGAUCACAGUAGAAUAAAUACAGGUAAAUAUUUGGUGUCUACGUCUUUGUCUCGAGUUUCUUUGAAACUCAGAUAAAGAGGGGCAAAAUGUAAACACCAAAUUUCAAUUUAGAUUUAUUUAUCUUUAGCUUUUAUUCGAUAAUUAUCCGAUUUUACUUAUUAAAAUCAUGAUUUCGAUAUAAAAAAAAAGAAGAAAAAAAAAAGAGAAAAACUGGGAAGCCACGCCUGCGUGUCUUGCACGCGCGCUGCAUUCCAUUCAGCUUCGUCCGAAGCAGCAAAGCAGCGAGAAGGUUCAGGGAUUUCUUCCAGUUUUUUUUCCUUCCAUUUUUUCUCCCUUUUUUUUAGCUCCGUUAGAUGAUGUUGGUAUAGGCCAUCUGGCCGUUAUCUUGAGCCUAAAUUUCAUGAGGAACAAAGGCCGUCAGAUGGUUCCCCAAAUAUCGGUGGCUUCAUCUAAACCAUCGUUGAGAGGGUUUAGUUUUUGGGGUGCUAUAUAAAAGGAUGAGGCGGGUUUAAGAGAAGGGUUGUUGAGUGUUGAGAGGAGGAAUUGGCGGCUGCCUAGCAAAGGGAAACAAAAACAAAAAAGGAGAGAAUAGGGGAGCAGAGAACGGCUAGGGGUUUCGGGGAAAAAUCAAAGGAAGGGAAUAAGAGUGAGGGUUGGAGGAUAGAAAAGAAUGAGUGACGGCUGGGAAGGGUUUUGAGAGGGAGAAUCGGAUAACAGCGGAGAGGAGUUUGGGGGCUGAGAGUAUGGGAGUGACGGCUGGGGGUUGAGAGAAUAGAGUGAACAGCGGCUGAGGAAACUAAGCAAGAGAAAGAGCUCCAAGGGAGAAACCAAGAGAGAGUGGAGGCGGAGAAGAAACGAAAACAGCAGCGAAUGAGCUAACAAUUGCGAGUGAGAUAGCAAGCGCAAAAGGGAGAGAAAGAAAACUGGACAAAGGAGAAGGAAAAAGGCUCUGGAGGGGAAUGGAAAACAACGACUGAACAAGAAAGUCAGAGAAGCAAGAAGGAAACUGCAUUCGGAAGCAGCCUCUGACCAUCCUUCUGUUUUCAUCUCAACUAAGAUUCAUCCUCAGGUAACUCUUAAUCUGUUUCUCUGCUUUCAUUCCAGUUCAAUGAGUCUACUGGGUAUGAUGCAUCUGGUUUGAUUAAGAAAUAAUAAGACCUAGGAGAUACUGUGAAGGUCAUUAGAUAUGAAUAAUGUGCUGCAAAACUUUAUUUGGAAUCCACGUAUAAAAGAUUUCUGCUUUUGCUUUGUGAAUCUGGUUGGGCUUAAGGGAAGGAGGAAGGGCUCUAAUCCAUGGGUGUGGGUUAAGCUAGAAUUUUCGUUGUUUGUCUCUUGAUUAAGUUUCCUUAAUUCUUGUUGAAGUUCCAUUAGUUUUCCCAUUGAUUUCUGCUCUUUUGGUUUAUGGCUGAUGCGAGGAGUUUUCGUUUGAUGUUUAUGGUUGAUUCUUGUGUGUUUGAACAAGCAAAUCCAGAAAAAUGGCAUAAAACUUUGGGCAAUUCUGAUUGAUGUUUUCUUCUAGCUGUUUACGUGCGGCAGUGCCUUGUUGCUGUUUUCUUGCUGUUUUCCUUUCCAUUUUAUUCUUAGCACCUUGUUUGUUGUCGUGGUUGGGCUUUAGAAUGUUUUCUCGAAGUUCUGAGUUAGGGGUCAGUAAAUGUUUAUAUUUCCUUGCGCUGUUGUUGAACUUCGGUUGCGGUUGGAUGGAUCCGUUUCAUUGCCUUGUUGCAUUUCAUGUUCAGGAACCUUAUUGAAUCUUCCCUCUCCCUUUGUCCAAGUCUUUUAUGCUGGAGUAAGUUAAGACUUGUAUUGAGUCCCUUCUAGGUUAAUGCAUAGGAGCUUAGGGGAGCCGAGAGUCACCCUUGAUCAUGUUGCAGCUGUGCGAACAGUUUCCUUUUUCUCUUGAGCUGCUGAAGUUUUUUUUUUUUUUUUUUUUUUGGUUUGCUUAACUUUUAGGCUUUGUUUGCUAUUCCUGGUUGCAUUUGUCAUUUCUCUUACUUUGGUUUUAGCAUGGUGUAGGGGGUGCGUAAUGGAAAUGGUUUCCUUGCAAAAGAGAAAUUUUUCUUUCAAUCAGGUGGCCUAAAGGGACCAGGGCAUCUCAGUUCCCCUGUUCUUUACCUUGCGCUUUGUCUUCCUAUAGUUCUAGCCUUCCCCUUUGAGUGUUCUGAGUCUUCUUAUUGAGUUUGCUUUCAUUCGUAAAACCAGAGGGAGGUGAAUGAAUCUGUUGCAAAUAUUCAUGUUGCUUUGCUGCAUUUUAUUGCUCAAAUGAUUUGAUUAGAUCUGUUGAGGUAUAGAUGAUUGUGGUUGGGUGAAGUUAACAACAUGAAUUAAAGGUCUAUUGAGGUAUAGAAUGUUUAGCUCACGCUUUCAUCAUUUCAAGAUGGGUUGUGUAUUGUGUCUUGAAUCAAAAGAUGAUGCUUUCCUGGGAUGUGUUCAAUUAGUUGUCAAAUGCCGCAUGUUGCAGAAUGAAGGAAAAUAGAAAAUGCAGAAAUCUUCUUCGUAUGCAUGCAUGCAAAUCUUCAUAAAGGUUGCAUUCUUACCCUCCAAGUCCCCUUUUGUUCUACUAUGGCCAGAAAAACUUUUAAUUUCUUUCAGAGAGGUUCCUAAUUUAAUUGCAAAUAGGCCCCUAAACUUUAUUUUUCUUUAAUUUUGAUCCUGAAACUUUGUUAAUUUUCACAGUUAAGUCCCUUCUUCUUUUAAUUUCUUAAAUGUGGGUUGCUUGCAUGAUUUAAUUGAUUCAAUUUCAUGUUUAUUUUUUAUCUUUUGUGAUUUAUUUCUUAACUAAAGUGAUGCCUUGACUUUUUCUUUGAUUUUGGAGGGUAAAUAAGUAAUUUCAUUUCAUUAGACUAUCAACUCAAAGGAGGUACACUCUAUCCCUUAUUUUGACUUUAAUUGAUCAUAUGUGCCCUUAUGUGAUUUUAUGUGCUUAAUUGCAUGCCUUUUGAAUGUUUUCAUUUUGUUUAUUUAUUUAUUCGCUUUAUUUGUUUUAAUUUUGGAUAUUUAUUUUAGUUCAAUUUCAAUUAUUUGAAAGGCAUUCAAAGGCCAAAGUUGUAAUAGUUAGGGGUUUAUUUUUAUUCUUUCCCUUUUUAGAUUAUAGUAGGGCCCCCCAAUGUAAUAGUUAGGGCUUGUUUGUUUUAUUUGCUUGGUAUGUUUUGCAUGCUUAUGUGUUAUGUGUUAUCCGCUUUUUUAGGGCCUUGCAUCUAGAUAUCAUGCUUAUGUGUUAUGUGCUAUACGUGAUUUAUGUGUUUACAUGCUUUUAUUAGGUCUUACAUGAUUUAUUUGAUUGUAACCGAUGUGUGACGCACCACACUAGUCCAAUGCUAGUUGUGGUCAAUUUCUCGAAUCCAUACUAGUCCAACGCUAGUUGUGGCCCUUUCCGACUUUUCUCACUAGUCCAAUGCUAGUGAGAAAUUAUAGACGUGAGCUAGUCCAACGCUAGACCCUUAGGAGCCCCUCGAGCGUUAGAUCAUGGUUGUCUGAUAAAAUCACUUCAUCUCAUACAUGUUUUCACUUUUUAGGGUUUUUACCAUGUUGUAUGACACUUUCUUAUAUAUGUACAUCCUUUAUCCCAUAUUCUUUUCUACUUAUAUCCCCUAUUCCGUAUUUUCUCUUAUAUAUAUAUUUCUUACUCUUUUGUAUGAAAACAUAACAUUAGACUUGCAUUUCAUUUAAGAAAUAGAAACUAGGUUAAAUCAUUUGCAUGCUAGAUUAGGAAAACCUCUUGGGUAUGGGAUAUGAAUGAGUUUGGCUUUUUAACUUUAGCACGCUCGUAUUCCCUCUAUUAAAGGAAACAUUGAGUCACGAACAUUAGUCCCCGCACCCGAUAUGAUGCAUUCCUUUAGGUCACGUAUAUUUAUAAAAUUAAUUUUAAUUUUAUUUUCCUUUUCUUUUCUUACAGUCUCAUAUUUUUGCAUUAUUCGUGACCUCUCCAAAGAGUCCACAUUGAGCAUCACAAUUAAUGUGAUUGGUACAAAUUGAGAUUUGAAGAGAAAAUUCGAUCCCCUGAUACUCUCUUAGGUCUAGGUUUUGCAUUCAUAUAGUACAUCUAAAUGUGAUAAAUCUUUAGGUUAAAAUAAGAAAAUCUUUAACUAAAUCACGCAACUAACCUUGGUUAGGUUGAAAGGGUGCCUCGAAUUUUUUUAUCCCUGCCUUUCCUUUCUUCAAAUGUGACUCCCGAGCACGUUUCUUUGAUUUUCGUAGAUUUGGAGUCAUUUAAAAAGGGUUUUCUACUUUUUUCUUUAAAAAUUCAUUUUUAGGUGACUUGGUACACUUUAACUUAAUACCAAGUGGUGACUCCGAUUUUUUUCAUUAAAACCCUUUUUAAACUGUUUUUGGGUUAAAAUCGUCGCAUUUGUUUUGUCCUAUUUAGACCCAUAUUUUUCUUUAUUUUCUAAAAAAUCAAAAACUCAUUUUUUAACCAAAAUUAAUCAAAAAUUCAUUUUUCUAAACUAAUUUAUUUUAUUUCAAAAAUGGGGUGCGACACAAAUGGCUCCGUAUGAAGCGCUUUAUGGUAAAAAAUGUAAGUCUCCGAUUUGUUGGGAUGAAAUAGGUGAACGGAAGAUCUUAGACCCGAUUACAGUGUCUUGGAUUGAGGAAGCUAAUGAAAAGGUAAAGUUGGUACGCCAGAGAAUUCAAACUGCACAGAGCCGUCAAAAGAGCUAUGCAGAUAAUCGGAGGAAGGAUUUGAAAUUUGCGGUUGGAGAUCUAGUAUUUCUUCAGAUCACGCCUUUGAAAGCAAGUUUGAUGCCUGGAAAGGGAAAAAAAACUACAACCGAGGUUUGUAGGGUCUUAUAAGGUUAUCGAGCGCGUGGGACAGGUAGCGUACAAGUUGGAAUUACCACCGAAUCUAUCUCGAAUUCAUAAUGUGUUCCAUGUGUCUAUGCUUAAGAAGUAUCAUCCAGACCCUUCACAUGUCUUACACCCGGAAAGUAUUGAGAUCGAUGAGACAUUGACCUAUGAGGAGAAACUGGUUAACCUUCUAGAUAGAAAGGUGAAAGAAUUGAGAAAUAAACAGAUACCACUAGUAAAAGUUCUCUGGAAGAACCAUGGGUUAGAGGAAGCUACUUGGGAGGUCGAAGAAACAAUUCGAGAAAAGUAUCUAGACCUGUUCACCAAUCAAGGUAAAUUUCGAGAGCGAAAUUUUCUUAAGGGGGAGAGGAUGUGAGGACUCACAAAAUUUAAUAUUUUAAAUUUCAUUUCGAGCUUAUUUAAAUAUUUAAUUGCCCAUUUACUCCGAAUAUUAUUUUUUAACCUCAUUAGACCUAAUUACAUGGAUUUGUAGCUUUAUUAUAUUUUAAAAGUGGCAUGUUAAAAAUUUUAAUUUUUGGAAGUUCGUUAAACGGGAAUAGUAAAUACACGUUUGGAGAUUAUAGCUGAUUUGGGGAUACAAUAAGUUUGAAAAAUUAGAGACUUGUAUACUAGUCUUGAAAUCGAUAUUUUUAUGUUUAAGUGCUCAAUUAUUAGUUAGUGAUACUAUCGUUACAAGAAUUCUUGGAAAUUUCAUUUUAUUGCGCUUAAAUUGAAAAUACGCGUUUUUACACGCGCGAUUUAAUUGAGGGACCUUAGACCCUUAUUUUGGGAUAAUUAAGAGUGAAUAACAUUUAUAUGAAUAUAAGUGCAUUAAAGGUUUAGUGCACUAGUGAAAUAAAUUCGAGAGGAAUCGAGCACAAAAUGUGCGUGCGCGCGAAGGAGAGUUGACUUUUGGGUCAACAUGGGCCACACAUUAAAGCUUCUCUUGGAAGUUUCAUUUGAACAAACACUCUCUCUCUCUCUUCCCUCUCAUUUGGCCGGCCAUCAAGAGGAGGAAAACACCAAGGAGCUCUUCCAUUUUUCUUCUCCAAUUCUUCACAAAAUCAUCACCCAUUUCACCUCAAAUUUCACGCACACUUAGUUAAACACUUGGUGAUCAUCUUAAGCUACAAAAGGGAGCCGCUUUCCAUGAUAUUUCUUGAGUUAAGAAGGGCCGAAAAUUUCUGCCUUGCACAUCUAGGAGAGUAAGUGACGAUCUACCCUUUAAAUCUUGUUUUAUGGAAGUAGUAGUGCAUAUAUAAACUUAUGCAUGCAUGUGGAUAGCUUGUUUAUGUUGGAAAAAUUGUUGUGUGGACUCUAUGAACUCUCACUUUGGUUGGAUGGACUGAUUUGAUGAAUGAUGAUGUUAUUAAUGUUGGUUUAGUGCUUAAAUUAGUGGGAUAAUGUUGUAUUGUGGUAGAAACUCAAGGAAGGUGCAAUGAGCAAAAGUGACCAUUUUAUCCCUGCCAUGUUCGUGUACUUUGGUGCGAAUUUUUGAGAUUCUAAUGAUUUGUUUAUGAUGUAUACAUGUUAUAUGGAUAGUGUAGAAAGUUUUGUUGAAAAAUAAUAUGGUUUGGUUGGCUAAAUGUAUUGAUUUCUAAAGGAUAGCAAAACUGAAAAAUUUUCCCGGAUUGCCCAGGCAGUCCUUUUGUUUCGGCUAUAACUCCUUGCUCCGAUGUCGAAAUCGAGUGCCAUUUGCGGCACUAGAAACUAGACAUUCCCACUUGAGUGAGCCAAACCAUUCGUUUAAAAAUUGCUGUCCUAUUGCAUUGGUUCACUACAGGGCAAAACAUGAACUACAACUUGAUGCUCAAAUGUGGGCUAGUUGUGGAUGGAUUUUGAAAAUGGUUUCUUCUGAGAAAUUGUAGCUUUAUGAAUGUGUUUUCCAACGCCACCAACCACGCUCAAUUCCAAGUUGAAUUGAGUGAGUUGUGAUCAAAGUUCAAAACUGACCCAGUGUUGAACACAACCUUCUUUCGGUUAAGUGAAUGUCCUGAUCUUGUGUGGGACUUGUACUCGAAAUUUUUGGUGUUAAUCACCCCAAAUUGUGUUUUGGAUAUGUCUUAGACAUUUUCUAUACAAAUGGACCAUGUUUGAGGUACUCUGUAGGCCAAAUGUCAUGAAAACAGAAAACGAAAAACGGAACUCACAAGGCAGAUUUGCCUUGGAAUUUUGGAACUUUGGUGAUUUGGUUAACCAACUUUCCGUGCUUAUUUAUCUAUGAAAUUUGGUAGAGGAAUAGCCCUUAUGUUUUAAUAUAAUCAUACCAAAUUUGAUGCUAUUCCAAGGCCGUUUCAAUGUACAACUAAACUCCUAAAAUCUAUAAUUUAUACUUGGAAAAACCCUUGUUUAACAAGGAAAUUUUGGUAACUUUGGGUCACCAUAUCUUGGUGCUCAAAACUUCAAUUCUCAUCUCACUUGAUUUGUUUUAAACUUGGAUUACAACUCUAAUAGAGUUCCAAAUUUUAAAGGCUAGAUCAAAUUGACUGAAUUUUGCCGAAUUUUCUAAGUUGGCCAAAAACCAACUUAAAUCUGUCUUGAUAACUCAAGUUAUCAAUUUCAAGCCAAAAUUUGAAUGUCUUCCACCUAGAUUCAUGGAAAGGUAUCUUCUAGACACUUUUAGUACUUUGAAAGAUGUUUCCAACGGUACUAAAUUUUCCAAUUUUGGACAAUCAGGGAGUGAGUUAUGAUUUUCAAAAAAUGUCCCAAAAAUCAAAAUUUUUGGCCGUUUGAAAGAAAUUCGCGCGGAAAACUUCUCACCAGAUUCCGGCCUUGAAUCCGGCCAGUUUUUGGUUAGAUAAUCGGCUGGAUUGCUGUUGGAAUUUGAAAAAAAAGGAGGUUGGUCUCUGCCUCCAAUCCGGCCAGAAUCCGGCCGGAUUGUGACGUGGCUUGUCCUGUUCCGACUUCGGUCGUUCGUUUUGAAGCUUAUUUGCACGUACUCGUUCUCAUCCAAUGAUUUUAAGGAUAAUGAACCGUUUUUACUCGAGAUUUGUAACCCUAUUGAGUCUCGAUUUUCAAAAAAGAAACCUAGGAUCGAUUUUCGAGAUAUAUUCUAAUAUCGUACUAGUGUACAACCUUCCUUAUCAUUGGAAUUAUCAGUAAUAUCCCAUUAUUAAUUGCUCAGGCACACAAAAGGACCUUCAAGAGGAUCCCACAGUGAACGCCUAAAGCUCCGAGUGACAUUUCUUCCUCAUUACUUAUAUUGGUGAAUGUCAAGUGCAUGUUUACUUGAACUCCUGUGAACUUGAUACAUGUCUACUUGUUACCAAUGAUUUAAGUUUUGAAAAUGGAGUCGAGUGUGUACUUUAUCGCACUCGUUCUCAUUCGAAACUAAUAAUUUGUGAAUGACUUGCUUGAUAUGUAAUGAAUGACCUGAUGGAUAUGACAUGGAUACUAUAAUAUUUCAAAUGCUUGCUAAACAUGAAAUAGUAUGCUAUGGUUGCAUACGUCGCUGGAGUGAAUCUCCUCGACACCCAAAUGUACAUAGGAGACGCCCAAAGUCACAGGCCGACCUUGGACUCGAGCCGGCAUGGGCUUGGUCGGGAACCUUGGCGAGCCAUGAGAUAAAUAAGCUCGACCUAAUGAGAGGUCUUGCUUGGCAUACUCGUGGAGUAUCGCCUCAUAAAUAUCUUGCGGGCCCGGAAGAUGUACGGUGGACAGAGGGAAGUAAGUGGUGAUCUACGGAAUGAAAAUACCGACCCGAUUGAUGGAGUGUCAUCGCGGGAAGGUAUACGAAUGACAUCGGCAAAGCAAGUGGAAUUUAGCUCCUGAGAGCUACCAUAUCCUUGAAUUGUUUCUGUUUAAAUUUCACUAGAAUUGUUAAUUUCAUGUAUAUUCUCAUUUGACCUAUUGACUGGGCUUUUUACUUGGACUAUUUACUUGCAUGUGUGUUCUUGACUUCACGAGCGUUUUGCUCACCCUGUAGAUUUGUUUUCCUUAACAGGAAUGAGCUUGAAAUGGGACUCGAAGGAGUUCCCCUUUUGAUGCAUUUUGUAAUGAAAUUUCGAUGUAUUUGACUAGGCAUUAUGACUAUUGUUAUUUUGAGAUUUCAGAUGUAUUUUGGAAACCCGAUGCAAGGAUUGGAUAAUUGUUAAAUAUUAUUAAGAUUGAAAGCUUCCGCAUCAAUUGCCUUUCAUUAUUUGGUUGUGAUGCUUAGUACUAUAUUAAGCUUGAAUAGAAAUUGCCUGAGUCCUGGCGAAAGUUAGGCAGGCGUCUCGCGAAUACCCUUUGGUUCGGCUUAGGGAGAUGUGGGGGCGUCACAGUGUAAGACUUUCCAAAAAGGGGAGAGUAAAGCCGUCAGAGAGUUCAUUUGCUCCCCCAAAUUUGAGGAAGACUUAGUCACUCUCAGUAGACCAACCUUCCAAACAACCUAUAGUCUAGGGCCUUCUUCCUUUGUACUCAAUAGUUUUUUGUAUAAAAUAUUUCACAUUUUAAUGAAAAUCUUUCAAUGAAUUCCUCACAUUGCUGUCUUCUUUCAAUGAAUUCCUCAUAUUGCUAGCUUUUUUCAAUGAAUUUGUCAUAUUUUUGUAAUAUGUCUUGAUAUAUCUUGCCCCUAAUGUACUUAGAAAAUUUUUUAAAGUAUACUAAGUUAAAAGCACAUCGUCACCUAUUUAUUGGAUAAUUAAAAAUUAUCCAAUUUAAAUGACGAGUGUUCAAAUACAAUAAGAAUUUAGGCCAAAAAAAUAUUUUUAUUUCAAACACAUAGAAAGUACAAAAUCAAAGUUCCGAUUACUUAUUACUGGAUAAAGAGUUUCAAAUUAGUUGUGUGCCAGGGGUGCGGGAUCUCUUCUCUACUGAGAUGAGAUAGUUUAUAAUAUCCAACUUGUCUAGCCUCUAUAAUUGUGUACGGACCAUCCUAAUUAGGAUCUAAUUUAUUAGUUGCAUGUGUGUGGCUAAUUAAAUUUUUUUCUUAGGACAAGACCUCUUACCUUAAAUCUCCUUUGCAGAACUUUAAUGCUAUAGUACUAAGCUACUUGUUCUUUAUAUUUUGCCAUUCUUAUUGUGGCUUACUCCCUCUUUUGCUCUAUCAUAUCCAAGUUAUAUUUUAUUUCUUUAUUAUUGACUUCUGAAAUAAAAUUCUGAGUCCUAGAUAAGGGGACACCCACUUUUGUUGGUAUAACUGGUCUUACCCGAAAGUCAGUGCAAAUGGAGUUCCCUGAGUUGUUGUCCUUUGAGUAGUUGUUUGAUAGGCCCAUAGGAUGUUAGGCAAUUCAUCCAAUCAUUCCGAUUGUACUUGCUUCAUCUUGGUUUUCAACUUGUGCAAAACCGCCAUAUUCAUAUUUUUCACCUGCCCAUUAACUAACGGAUGUUCUACUAAAGUGAAAUGCUAUUUUACUUUCAACUCUUCAUACCACUUCGUAAAGGGAUUUUUCACAAACUACUUUCCAUUAUCCGAUAUCAGUACAUAUGGUAUCCUAAAGCGACACAUGUGAGAACUCGAGAAUUUAUAGGUAUACCUUGAAUUUAUUUUAUUUAUUUUGUUAUUAGAAAUAAUACAUAUAUUCUACAAUUGAUUAAAUUAAGUGUUUAAUUUAUUUUAUUUAUUUUGUUAUUAGAAAUAAUACAUAUAUUCUACAAUUGAUUAAAUUAAGUGUUUAAUUGAUUUCUUAUAAAUUGAAAAUAAAAAAAUCCAAGAAUGGUGUAGAAAAAAUUCUUAUAGGGGUAUGUAAAUUGGAACAAACUAAAGUUUGGGGCAAUAUUUGAAGUUGAUAGAAUAACAAAUCCUUAACCAGUAAAUAAACCAAAGCUAAAAGACCAAUUUAACCCUAAAACUUCAGCAAUCAACCAUGCAACCAAGAGGACCGCCUUCUGGAAUAGAACCGAAAGAAAAAUGAUAGGUUCUGCCAAUGCAUUUGGGCGGUGAAUUGAGAUAGCUGCCAGGAAGGAAAUGUUACUAAGCCAGCUGAGUAAGCAAUAACCAAAUAGAGAGCAGCUUAAAAGAAACAAAAACUGGCGGUGGCCGAAAGGUAACAAUCUGAUCUCCUUAAUCAAUAAGGCCGAGAGAGUUGAGAAGAAAAGUUGUCUUCCUUUCUUGCUUUCUUCCUAAAGCAGACUCGAGUGAGUGAGACGGAGUGUGAGGGAAAAGAAAGUGUAAGCUUCACCAACAGCUAACUAUGCGAACGAAAAACAGAAGGGAGGUCGAGUGAGGAGUUGUGAUAGCAAACUUGAGCAGCCUGCAACAUCGAACUUUAAGGGAACAGGUAAGAGCUAUAACCACUCUCUGUUUAGUUGAUUUAAUCCGUUAAACAUAAGCCUUAUACGUUGAAUUUAGCUAGAGGCUUAGUUCUGGUUCAAGAAAAUGUUUUGCAGAAUUUGUAACUAAGAGCAGAAAUGAGCUAUGGUUUUGUUUAGUUCUUGAAUUUAGUCUAACAUUUGUUAAGGACAACCUGUAACCGAAGAGAUGUUCCCUGCAUGCUAACUGGAACCUGAGAUUGAAGGGGAUCCUAAGGAACUAACAAAUGAUACCUUGUUGCAAUACGCAUGUGAAAGCAUGCAAAUCUGAUGCAUGCUGCUAUGCACCAGAUUACAUGCAUCAGAUUUGCAGCUAGCUGCAGAAACGAAGCAGAACUCAGUUUUUUUUCCUUUGAACCCUGGUCAUGAACUACCUUGUUUAGCUUAGAGUAACCCGCAGUAGGUUAAGUGUCCUCUGCAUAAAUGAUUGAGACCAAAACUCAGGAACCUUAACUAGUUGAUGCAACCUGCUGUGAAUCCGAGAGGGAGGAAAUUAACCUUGGGAAAGAAAAGCUGCAAACCCUUAAACUUCUAAACUAACUUACAGAGUUGAACCUGUUAUAAUGCCUCUAAACCUCCACCAGAAAGACAGAAAUGAGUAGGAACUAAACUGAUUGUUGAAGGCAGAAUAAGUCUAGUGAUGGCAGGUAACUUGUCCGAAAGAAUGAAGCAGAAUAUGCUUUUGAUCGGCCAUAUUUUACCUUGAAAAUGUGAGAAUUGGGUGUUGAUGUCAUCAUAAGAAAUGUAGGUGUAGGUCCAUAUCUUAGUUUCGAAACAUUAUAAAAUUUACCUCAAUCCGAUAAGUAUAGCUCCAGUUAUGAUCAAAACACCAGAGGUUGGCAAAGCUACCUUUCUCGUUGCCUUUCUCUUGUUUUUCCAAAUGCAUUCUACUUGAUGCUGGCCGUGAGGAAACUUAUUUUUUUAACAGCAUUUCAUCUAAUUCCCAACCCUGUAAGCAUUCAUAAAUGAUAGUUAAGGUUGCUCUGAGAUUUAACGACUAUAUCUAGUUCCACGAGUAGAGUUAAAUUAAAGCAAAUGAGAGGAAAACUCAUGAUAGUUAUAUAUCUAAAUUGGCUUCUAAUCACUUAAUAUUGUCUUUACAAAUAUGUUAAAAACAUAAAAUUUGAGGGACGAGUGUAGUGGAAUAAAAUUUAAUUUACAAAUAACUUGGAGUUUAACUAAUUUAAAAAAGGAACCAAUGGAAUAUUCCUAAGCUUUAAACUUAGAAUCUUGAGUAGAAAAUGAUUUAAUCCUAAUGUAAACAUUUUUUAAAUUAUUAACUUGAAAAGUAUGUAUAUUUCGUGAUUUAAGAUAAUAAAGUCAAUAAGUCUCGAAAUAAAUUGGGGAAUAAAUAUUGCGUAUAUUUUAUAUUUUAAAGUCAAACCUAAUUCAAAUAAUUUAAAUAAUAAGUGAACAUAUACAAAUUAUAAAUUUAUCAUGAAAUUAUAUAUUUAUCUCAGGAAGUAACUGUGAGCCAGGAGACAAGCCGAGGCUCAAGAGUAAAUUAUUUGGAUAAUUGGUGAGUGUUUUCUGAAUUUAUGUGUUUAACUGUUUAUGUGUGUCUAAGUGAAAUUAUGUGACAAAUGUGCUUAUCAUGAAUUAUUACUAAAUGAUUCCUUGUGAAGUGUAUCUCAAUUGUUUCUCGUCUUCUAAGUCAUGGGUGUACUUUAUCGUACUCGGUUUAGUUGAGUUUGAAGGUCGAUAAUUGACUGAAUGUUAUUGUAAGUGUGCAUGAAUAUAAGCCGUAUAUGUGCCUCGCUGCAUCGGCUGAACUGGGCCCCAAAACCCUCUGUUCAACGGACUAUUCGACCCAGCAAAGGGUUUUGUGGUGGUAGGAUGGUAGAUUUGAGUAAAUGUUUCGGUAUACUCGAGUAUUACCAUGAGGUUGGGAGUUAUUGAACUAAUUAUUGAAUGUAGGGGAUUGUUUGUUGUAUUGAAGGACAUAAGGAGGUGAAUCAGCGGAAUGUGCAAUGAUAUUGAAAUGAAUGUACAAUGAUGGUGAAAUGAGUGCCUCUUGAUACUGAAAUGAAUGCUCAAUGACCUUGAAGUGGCUCUAAUGCGAGCACCAUAUCCUUUUGAAAGUGAUUGUUUAGUGAAGUGCUUCCUCGAUUGCUUAAUGAAAGUGAUUGUAUAAUAAAAUGUGCACUACUUGCUUAAUUGUACUGAUUUAAGUGUUUAUUAAAUGUUGCAUACUAGGCAAACCUCACUGAGGUUUAGCUCAGCCCUUUAGUUUUUUUCCUUACAGGAGCUGGUGGUCAGGGAACGAACGAGGGAUCUUAGGAGUUAACGUGAAGAUUUUGUGAUUGUUAAUCCUUUAGUUUCAUAUUAUGGUUGAAACUUUUGUAUUGAACUUGGUAUUGUAAAAGAUUUGAGCGUUUGGUUUUCGUUAUCAAAAUAUUAUCUUUGAAGUUAAUGUAAGUGAGUGAGCCCUGACGAGAGCCAGGCAGGCGAUCCGCUAACUUUUAGGGUAUAUCUUAAAAGAAGGUGGAGCCCUCACAACACAUGAUAUUCUUUCAAAAAAAAUUUGAAUUGUUCUCCCUGUUAUAGAACUCAAGGGUUUGGUCUCUAUCCAAUUAGUAAAAUAGUUUAUGGUUACCACCAAGUAUUCAUAACCUCAAGAGCUCUAGGAAAGGAUCUAAGUAGAUCUAUUCUCUAUGGAGCAAAAGGCCAACAGCUUUGAAUAAGGAUUAUAUCCUAAGUAGGCUAAUGAUGAAUUGAUGUAUGUAUUUGGUAAGCUCUUCAUUUCAACACCAGUUCAGAAGCAUCUUUGAAGAUUGUGGGCCUAUAAUAACCCAUUAGCACACAUGUCUUUGCUAACAUUCUUGACCCAAUGCGAUUUUCACAUAUCCCUUCAUAAUUUUCUUGGAGUACAUAAUCUCCUUCUUUUGGGGUGAUGCACCUUAACUGUGAAAAUAAAUAAGACUUCCUAUAAAGAGUUUCUCGAAAGCAGACAUACCUAGUAGUUCAGAGUUUUAUUUAUAUGCUUUCUACUUAUUUCUAGUAGCAUUCUCGAGUUGAGGUAUUCAAUUAUGGGUGACAACCAUGAAUCCGAGUUAUAAAUCGCUUGAACUUCUUGCUAUUCAAACUAUGCUAUUUGACCACUUUUACUAAGAUUUCUUUAUUGAGAUGUAUAGAGGAUGAAAAAGUUAAUUUAGAUAGAGCAUUUGCCCUCUUGUUCUAGGAACGCAGAAUUUGCUCCAUCUCUACUUUCUCAAACAUCAUUACCAUUUUCCAAACUCUUGCUGGGUACUUCUUAAUCAGAUCUUCCUUAGCCUCAUAGUUCCCUUUUACUUGAUUGACUAUGAGUUGAGAAUCACCAUGAAUCUUUAAGGAAGUCACUCCUACUUGCCAAACUAACUUCAUUCCAAGCAUUAGUGCCUCAUACUCUACUUCAUUAUUGGAUGCUUUAAAGUCAAACCUUAAAGCAUAUAUCAGCUCUUCUCCUGUUGGACUGAUCAACAGUAGCCCUGCUCUACAUCCUUUCUUACAAGAGGACUCAUCCAUGAAUAAAAUUCAUGCUGAUCUAGUUUUAUCCAAGCCAUUUACUUCAAUUUGAGAUAUAACUACUCCUUCAGUUAUGAAAUCGCUAAAACUAGUGCUUUUAUCGCUGUUCUUAACUUAUAAGAGAUAUCAUGCUUAGCUAAUUCAAUAGCCCAUUUUGUCAUCCUUCCUGAUACCUUUGAUUUUGUGAGUAUUUGCUUAAGUGGUUGAUCUGUUAUGACUAUUAUCCUGAGAGAUUGAAUAAGGUUUUGAGUUUUUUAGUUGCAUGAACAAGAAUCCAAGACAAGCUUAUCUACAGAUAUGUAUACCACAUCUUGACUCACUCCAUGAAAUGCUUGUACUAACAUAAUAUACUGGUUUUUGAAUACCUUGACUUUUCUUGAACUAAGACAACAUUGGUGGCUUCUUUGCACAAAUAUAAGUAGACGAGCAGGAUUCUCCCUGUUUUUAGUGAGAUAAGAGUGGGCAGCUCAACCAAAUACCUGUUCAGCACUUCAAAGGCCUUCUGGCUGUCCUUAAUCCAUUCAAAAUUGAUACUUAUUCUGAGUAUUUUGAAGAAGGGAAGCUUUUGGUAUUCAUAAUUGAUACCUAGAUAGAGACUAUUCAAUGCUACCAUCCUUCCCAUGCACUUCUUUGACAUUUUUUGAAAGAGUCAUUUUGAUGAUAGCAUUGAGUUUAUUCGAAUUAACUCAUAUUCCAUCUUUGGAUACCAUGUAUCCUAGGAAUUUUCUAGACUUCGCCGCAAAUAUACAGUUUUUUGGGAUUAAAUGCAUCCUGCUAUCAUGCAAGAUCUCAAAAACCUCCCUUAAGUCAGGAAUGAGCUGUUAAGUAGUUCAACUCUUUACGAAUAUGUCACCUACAUAGACCUCCAUGUUCUUGAUGAUUGCUUUUGAAACAUCUUGUUUACUAGCCUUUGUAGGUAGAUCCAACAUUUUUUAAUCUAAACAGCUAUAACAAUAUGUACCUCCUUUAAUAAAAGAGGUCUUUUCCUUAUCGCUUUCCUUCAUUUCUAUCUGGUGAUAGCUCUUAAAAGUAUUCAGAAAAAUAAUAUCACAUCCAAUAAUAUAAUCUACUAGCCUGCCACCUGAGAAAGUGGGUAACAAUUCUUUAGAAAUGCCUUGUCCAGAUUGGUGAAGUCUACACACAUUCUCUAGGAUUUGUCUUCUUUCUUCACCAAUACUGGAUUAGCUAGCCAGUUCGGAUAGCAUACCUCAGUUAUGAUCCGAGAUUCUAAAAGUUUUUCUACCUCCUAAUUAAUGAUCUCAUUUCUUUCCAAGGCAAAAUUUUGCUCCUUCAACUUUACUGGUUUAGCACUUAGGUCUGCAUUUGGUUUAUGGACAACCAGCUCUACUAGUAUUCCGUAAACAGCUCCUUCAACUAUUCCUUCUCAUGCUAGAGUAGAGAAAACCCAAUUUUAAUCACCUGAUCUUGUAUUUUCUCUUCUAAUGAAAAUUCUUUUACAAUGUCCUCAGUUCUGAGUUGAUUUGCUUUUUCCUUGGUAUAAAGGAAUCCAAAUUGGUUGCUUGAGCCACCAAUUUUUCUUUCCCUUUGAGGGUGGCUAUAUAACAUGUCCUAACCACCUCAAGAUCUCCAUGAACCUCUGCUGUCCCAUUGGAAGUCAGAAACUUCAUGCACAAAUGUAAAGUUGAGGUAUUGGCUUUUAAAGAGUUAUGAGUAGAUUAGCAAAGGAACAUAUUGUAUGAUGAAGGUCCUUUAGCAACCAUGAAAUUGACUGGAACAAUUCGAUAUCUAGGGACUUUUCCAUCAGUUACCAUUAGAGUAAUCAUCUUUCAGGUUUUAUAGGAGGGCUAAAAUAUCCUACCUAUGGCCUUCUUACUGGAGUAAAUUGCCUAUCUUUUAACUUAAGGUUCUUGAAAGUUUUGUAAUAUGAUACAUCUACUAUGCUUCCUGGAUCUAUAAACACUUAUUUGAAAUUAUUAGUGAUCACAUCUAGAUAAUUGGCUCUUGAUGGCUUGAUGCCAAUGAGACAAAAUCCUCAGGUCCAUAUAUGACUUCUCAUAUAUGUUCAAUUCAUUGGGUAGAAUUAUCCUCUUCUAGUAGAGUUUCGUUUUUUUUUUGGGUUGAAUGACUAUUCUCACUAGUAGGUCCUCUAGCUAUUGCAUUGAUGACUCGAACUAGAUUUUGUGAAUCAAGAUCAAGUGAACGAUCUCGAGGUGAUCUCUGUUGAUCUCGUUUGUCGUUUUCUCCUUUAUCAUUUUGAUUGUUCGGACUAUAAUCUUUUCUUUCUCCCUAGGAAGCUUGGUUAUUUUGAACGUACUCUUUCAAGUUUCUCAUUUGAUCAGCUCCUCUAUUUCUUUUUUUUUUUAAUCCUUGCAUUUGUCAAUGUCGUGACUGAUAUCCCUAUGAAAAGUACAAUAAAGGAUUUUAUUCCUUUAUUUUUGGAACCAGACAUCCUAGGAGACCUUCUUUCAAUAUCUUUUGCUUCCAUUACUGCCAAGAUUUGAGAUCUUGGUAUUGUUAAGGGCGUGAAAUUCUUUUCCUGAGAUGGACUCUUCCUUUUAGAAAGUUGGUCAAAAAUGUUCCUCUUGAUCUGCCCAACUUAAAGGUCAAUGGUUCCAUUCUUUCUUCAUCUAUCUUCAAAGUCUUUCUCAGAUUCUUGUUUAAGACGAGUAGCCUUCUCGGCAGUUCCAUCUACAUGAGCUCUAUUCAAUAGUUCUUCCAAUGUCAUAGGUGGUUUCUUGGCAAAUUUAUAAUAUAACUCAUUACUUCUCAAGCCAUUUAUAAAUGCUACCAUCAUCACCUUAUCAUCUUUAUCUCAGGUUUGGAGACUCAUUAUUAAAAUUAGUCAUAUAAUUCCUAAUAGACUUAUCAUGCCUUUGUUUUAUCACCAUUAAUGUGCUGCAUUCUUGGAGUAAACUUUGGAAGAGACGAAUUGUGCUACAAAUUGCCUAGCUAGUUCAAGGAAAGACUUGACUAAUCUUAGUGGUAAUACUGGAACCAAAGCUGAGCCCUUUCCUUCAAGAUCAUAGGAAAGGUCUUGCAAUGAUUCUCAUCUAUAGUGCUUUGCAGUCAUAUAUGAGUAAGAAACACAAACAGGUGAUCCUCAAGAUUUGUAGAUGCAUCAUACAUAUCCAUAGUAGGAAUUUUAAAUCUUUUUGGUGGAGGAUAUUCUUCAAUUUCCUUGACAAAGGGAGAAAACUAUGUAAAGAUCUGCAUAUUGAUUUGGCUGCAGGAUUAGAUCGAGUUCAUCCUGAAUUGGAUCCUUAGGCAUAGGGUAUUCCAAAUAACUUUUUAUUAACCGAGCAUGAGAGCAAUGAGAGUAGUGCUUACUAGUUUUUGAGAUAAAAAUAUGCUUCCUAAAGGGAGAGUAAACCCGUUUCCUCUUAGGGGAUGAUCAUCAUCAGAGCUAUUUUAGGACAACAAAGCUUGCCUUUCUAUCAUCUUUAUCAGAGCUUUUGAAUUUUACACCUCUUCUGCCUUAUUUUUCCUUUCACCAGGUGGACAAUAUCAUCAAAUAAAGGGAAAUUAUUUGGUACAAAAUUCAUAAUUUUCUCUUUCUUCUCCUCUAAAAUCUAAUAGUCAUUGUUACCCUAAGUUUGCCCAGGGAUGUCAUGAGGUUCUUUGGGGUCACUUUAAUUGGUAUUGCCUAUAGAUUACUUGGAGGCUGUCUUUGUCAUAAGGAAGUUAUAUUACUCCACUUCCCAUAGAGAGCGCAAAUUGUUGAAGCAGUAUUUCCUUCCACUGAGUUGAACUAGAUAGGUAAGAAGGGAGCUCAAUCGUAUAAAGGUAGAACUCUCUAAGAAACAUACAAGGAAAGUACUAAUUCAUGAAGAUCCUCGGGGUCAAGUCUCUAAGGCCACUCUGAUUCUCAAGUCAUUUUUUGACUUGAGGAGAAGAAUAUCCUCCUAAUUAGGUGUUAGGUAUCCCUAUAUAUAGGUUUUCGUACAAGAGAGUGAUAAGAGAUUAAGACUAACAAGAUAAAGAGACAAAGAUUACCUCUUUUUGAUUAGUUGAAUAAGCAUUAGUUCAUAUGAUGAUUUUCUUAAGAUUAGGAUAGUUAUUAUCACUAACCAACUCAGAUCACCCUUAUUUUAGGAAGUCAAAAACUUAUCCUACCCCUAAAGUUUAAGUUCAAAGUCAACUCAGUUUAUACCACACUAGGUUAGUUUUGGUGACCACAUAGCAUACAUACAAUGUAUACCUCUUCAGUGUCUGAAAUGGAAAAGUCAGACGCUGUUGUUUCUCUUCUUAUGAUUCUACUAUUUCAUGUGGGAAUAGCAAUAGCUGCUGGAAGUCAAGAUGGAUCAGAAGCGUGAGGAUAUGUUCAAAUCAGGCCAAGUAUGUUUCUGAUGUUUUAAGUGCCCAUUACAUGUAUUACUUGUCAAUGUUGAUAUUGAGUUCUUGUGUAUGUUUCAGAGGCUCACAUGCUCUGGUGGUACUAUAGAAGUCCAAACAUGAUUCAAGAUCUCGAAAAGCUUUGGCCAAUUAUUCUUUGGCUGUAGGUAGGGCUACAAAUGAGCCAAAUCGAGUCAAAUGUUGAUUUAAUUUUAGCAAGUUCGAGGUUGAAGUCGAGUUCGACGAGCUCUCAAUACAAAGUUCGAAGUCAAACUUGACCUCAAAUUUGAACCAAGUCGAGCUCGAUCUCGAGUUUAAAAAAUAAAAAAAUUUAUCUUAUUUUUAAAAGAAUGAUUAAAAUAGUAAUUUUUCUUAAUAAAUAACAAAACAUUAUGGAUAUAUAUAUAUAUGUGUGUAAUUUUAUUAUUUAAAUUAUAUAUAUAUAUAUAUAUAUAUAUAUAAUUGAGCCAACUCAUGAGUUAACAAGUUGAUUAUCUUUGUGUUCAAGCUUGACUUAGUUAGUUCAAACUCGACUCAAGUUCGAUAUUGACUGGCCUCGAGUUGAAUAUUGAUUCGAGUUACUCGUGAUCAGUCAUGAGUGGCUCUACUUGUAUGUAGCCUUAGCUGCAAAGUAGACCUGUGAGUAUCAGAAUUCUCAUAGGGUUCCCUCAAAUUUCAAUCUUGAUUAUUUUUAUGAUAAAACAAUCUGUUUUUGUAGUGAAGGGAGCUUAGGUGUGGGAAUUGGUAACUUUGAGGAGAUUGGGCCUCUAGAUGUUUUCCUAAAGCGAGGAAAUUCAACAUGGUUGCAGAAAGUUGAUCUCCUGUUUGUGGUAGGUAAUGGUUGGUACAUUAAUGUUAGUGAAUUAUCUCAUUAAUAUGCGGCUUUUUCAAAAAUCAAUUUGGGAUUUUCCUGGAGGGUUUUUUCUUGUAUUUUCUUACCUGAUUUUGUUUUCUAGUAAUUGUGCAUAGAAUUAUCUAGUUGGGACUGGUCAUAGUUUUGUGGAAGACACGGAAGACACGACAUUGUUUGUGAAAAGUGAUUUUGAGGCAACAACUGACGAAACUACAUUCUUGAUCGAAUUUUUCAAAGGGAACGAGAUCCUUUAGAAGAGUCCUCUGUACAUUGUAGGAGAGUUUUAUGGAGGCAAAUUUGCUAUUAAGGCUUUAUCUGCUUUAAAGGCUAUUAAAGCUAGAAAAUUGAAGCUAAAUCUUGGACUUAAAAAUUGAAUUUAGAGCCCUAAAAUUGAAUAUGGAGUACUUUUUUUCUUAAAUCCCAAAGUAUUGAGCUAUUACCUUUAUAAAUAUAAGUUGCAUUAAGGGAUAGUUGGAUCUCACUAGAAGAUUCUUCAGUUUGUAGUCAGUAUUUUUUUCUUUACUUGUUCACUAGUGUCAUGAUUAGGGCAGCUGAAUUGAGUCUUAUAUUGAAAUGCAGUCUUCAUGGGUCCUCUUAUAAAAGAUGUCUCGUUGCUUGACAGCAAUGAUUUGAAGAAAUCAAACAGGUCUUCAAUGUUUAUGCUUUAAACUAGUAGUACAUAUUAGCAUAAUUCUCUAAUCUAAUCAAGCUCAAAGAUUUUGGUUCUCUAAUAAGUCUAUAUUGAAUGUAGGAUAGUUCUUCAAAUUAAGAAGCAAAUUGCAGCAGGUAAGCUUGCAGAGGCCACAGAAACAUGGAAGGAAUUGAUAGCAGUCAUUAGCCAUUAUAGUAAUAAUAUGGUAUGAAUUCUUUUGACGUUUUUCCUAGCCUAUCUAAACUUAAAGGUAAUCACAAUAAAUUGGUAAAUUUAUGCUUGCGAUUUCAUUUGUGUAUAAAUAGAGUAUUUCUACAAUUUCCUCUCAAUUUUACAUGAGGAUGAGCCUUUAUCAUUAUCAGCUGAAUCCAAACUAAAACACAAAAUUGCAGUAAGAAGGUACUCAGUAUACCCUCAGAGAUUGAGGUGCCCUUCCGAAGGUGAUGGUAAUGAUGAUAAUGUUACCUAGAUGAAUGGUUAUAUUAGAAAGAAGUUAAGGACUAUAUCACUGAAUGUCACGUGAGUUUUUCUCCUUAGAAAAUUUUUUACUUCUCAGAGUUGGAGAAGUAAUAAUGGCUAGAACAGAUGGAAGGAUUUUCAACUUGUUGCUAGAGCCAUCAAGGUGAUUUCAUUAGGACAUGGAUUAGGGAGGCAAAUAUAUCAGCUUUUGUGUUUUAGUCGACAACGAAAAGUCGGGAAGUUUUCAGGAACUAUAUCAGUUUGUAAUUUUGAAUUAUACCAAAAAUGAUUUUUUUCCUCAUUUGAUCAGCAUUCUUCAAUCACAUCUCAAUUGAGAUAAGACCAGCUUAUCCAAUUACAUGCAGUAAAUUCUCAAGCAUUUGUUCAACUACUUUUUGCAGGUCGAAGAACUUUGAGCAAAUGGAGUAAAUGUUAAUAUCUAAACGAGCACAUUUCUGCAAUGGUGUAAGAAAUAUAGAGCAGGAAUGAUGCUUUAUUUUCCAUGCUAUCAAUUUGACUUUCUUUAGUUUGAUUAGAAUGUUAUUUAUUGUUGCUGGUAGCUUCAUCUCAUCUGUCCAACCAACGUAUCCAAUGCCCACAUGGGUUGAAAAGCUCAAGUAGGAAUUAAUUAAUCCCACAAGUAAUGAGAACCCAAAUCCCUUUCUAAGAAAAACACUCUCUUAUCAAAAUCAGUGACUUUUUUCCUAUUUCAUUGGUGGGAUGGGAUCACAUUUUUCUUGAAUAUGGAUAGAACUCCUACGCAUUUUGAAGAUGACAAAGAGUAUAAAGGGUUUCACCAAAUCAUACAGAAAUUUACAUUUCUACUGGAUUCUUAAUGCUGGCCACUUUGUAGGUCAACUAACUAUUGUCAUAUUUCUGCUGUAUUUGUCUCUGUUGGUCUAAAAUUACUAUGACUCUUGCCUACUAGAGGCAAGGUUGAGAAGACAACACAUCCAAUAGUUUUAGUACGUCAUAGCCAAUCUCCUAAUUUUGGAAGGCUAAAGUUUUGCACAAUUUUAUCAUGAAUGUAGAAGAAAAUGUAAGGUUUUUUUUUUAUUUCAAAUUUGUAGUCUUUUAUUGAUGAGAAUAAAAGUUACACUCAAAGAAACAUCAUUUUGAAGUACAGGAUUGGACUAUAAAGACAACAAAUGAACCAGAAAUGUUUGGUGCUUAGUUGAAAGGCAAAAUAUCUCAAAUUCUCCUUUAUCCUCAGCCCUUCAUACGCUUAAUUUUCCGAAUGAAGGCAUCCCUAAUCUGUCAAGGCGAAUUGCUCCACGGGCCAUAGUUGGAAACAAGUGGAAGGAGUCGUAUAACUUGAGUUGAUGCUCUGGAUGAGAGACGCCCACAUUGGACAAUGCAUCAGCGACUGUGUUAGCUUCUCUAUAACAAUGUGAAAAACGAUCAGGAUCUUCCACGAAUUGCCAAAUCUGCCUAAUCUCUCGUCGAAUCUUCCAAGGGCAGUGAAUACGUUUCUGAAGAAUUCCAAUUAAUACCAAAGAAUCCGAUUGAAUAUAGAGAUUCUCAAAACCCCUAUGUAUGCAUGUUUGAAUGCCAAUAAGAAGAGCCCGGGCCUCUGCACUUAGACAUGUAGUUUCUCCAAGAUAUGCCGAAAAACCAAUCAAAGGAAUACCAUGUGAAUCCCGAAGAACCCUACCUCCUCCACCCAGUCCUGGAUUACCCUUAGAACAGCCAUCGGUAUUUAGAGUAAACCGACCAGUUUCCUUUGGUUCCCAACGAACAAGUUUGUACGUGACAUAAGUGUGAGAUGUAUACGGCCAAUCAUACAAAUGGUAGAAUGAAUGAGCCUUGAAAACUUGUUUGAAAUGAAUUUCCACAAUGGUCUGGAUUUCCAAGGAAAUGGCAAGACAAAUGGCGGGAGAUCUCAUAUGGACAUCCUCAAAUAAUGCCUUUAUUUCUUGCUUUCCAAAUUUGCCAACAUACUAUACUGGGAAGAAUGCGUCCAAUGAGUCGCUGUAUCUCUUAAUCAUAUGAGUGCAACCACCAACCCACUAUACAGGAGCGUAAAGAAGAGCCUGGAAAAGUCAAUCCACAUGAAGCUCCAAAAUAAUUCCAAACUGUUGAAGCUAUAUGGCCUUUGGAAAAUAAAUAUUCAAUUGACUCCUCAGAUGCGGAAUCGCAGCAGAAACACUUUGAUGGUAAAUGUAAACCAAGUUUACGUAACCUAUCCGGUAAAGGCAGCCUGUGCAGCAACAAUCUUAACAUGAAGAAUGAAAUUUUGAGUGGAAUCUGAGGAUGCCAAAUGCUAUCAAAAACCAUAGACUUGUUUCGUGCUUGCCUAAUAUCCCGAAAUGCCGAAGCUAGAGAGAAGAUUCCAGAUGUUGUGGACAUCCAAAAGACUUCAGCUUCACCCCAGUCUUCCGGGACUGGAUGCUCUAAAAUGGAGGAACCAGAUCCUCGGCAAUGUCUGAUAUAAUCUACUCACAUCCCAGUGUCCAUUGAUGAUAAAAUCACCAAACGACAAAUUAGAGACAACUGUCGUACGGAGAAACAAGGCACCCCCUCCCAACCAAUUGUCGUACCAAAAAUGACAAGCUCCAUUCUUGAUAUCCCAUAGCAUAGAUAGCUCCACUUGUCGACUUACAUUGGCCAUCCUUCUCCAGAUUGCGGAGUCCAAUGACCUGAUUUCAACCUGACAAGAUGUAGUAGUUACAGUACUUAGCUUUCAUGAAUGAAGCCCAAACGAGCAUCCCUUUCUGAAGUUCCACCAAAGCUUGAAUGAGAAUGCUGUGUAGAUGUCCUGUAACCUCCGGAAACCAACUCCUCCCUCAUCUACGGAUAGCACAUCUGAGACCACCGUAUCCAGUGAAAUUUUGACUCCUCGGAGGAUGACCCCCAUAGGAAGGUCGAGAAGGCUUUUUCUAUAGUUCUAAAAACCUUACCCGGGAUAACCGCUGCUGACAACAGGUGUACUGGCAUCGUUGCCAACACAUGUUUGAUUAGAACUAUUUUGCCUCCAAGAGAAAGCAUCCUUGAUUUCCAUGACCUUAUUCUCCCUAGGAUAGAUUGGCAAACUUCCCCAAAAUAUGAUGAUUUACAUCUGCCAAAAUAGAGGGGAAAUCCCAAAUAACGUAUCGGAAAUGGUUGAUAAAUAAAUUUGGUGAUACGUUCAAUCACCCUUCUUCUUGCCGGUGGUAUCGAGGGAUGUACUAAGUAACAACUUUUUAGCACAUUUAUCAAUUGUCCAGAACACCUUUGAUACGCAUCUAGCACCUGCAUGAUAAGCUUUAGAGAAUAAGAAGAUCCAUUUGUAAAAAUUAGAAUAUCAUCCGCAAAAGCCAAAUGAGUUAUAGUAGGACAUGCAAAGGGGACUUUGAAACCCACAAACCCCGAUUGCAUAGCAAGAUUAUUUAAUCCUCUAGAUAACACCUCAGCUCCUAUAAUGAAUAAAGCAGGCGAUAAUGGAUCACCCUGACGUAGGCCUCGUGUAGAUUUAAAGAAACCAUGCGAUGCCCCAUUUAUAAUGAUAGAAAACCAGACAUUGGAGAUCAAGCGCCAAACCAAAUCAAUGAAUCUUUCUCCAAAGCCAAAUUUCUGAGAACACCAAUGAUAUGAUCCCAUGUCACUCGGUCAUAUGCCUUAGACAUAUCCAACUUCAUGACCACAUUACCACCUCUAGUCUUUUUCCCAAUACCCGACACAACCUCCUGUGCUAGCAAAAAGUUGUCUGUUAUAUUACGGCCCUUCACAAAGCCUGUCUGCUGGGGCGAAAUAAUUUUGGGCAAUAGAGAAGCCAGUCUAUCAGCUAAGAUCCUGGAUAACAACUUAUUGAAGAAGUUACAUAGACUGAUUGGCCUAUAAUGAGAAAAGUCCUGAGGAUUUGGCUUUUUUGGAAUUAAUACAAUUGAGGUAGAGUGAUAAAUCGAGGCAACUCUGCCCCACAGAAAAAGCUGAGAAUUGCCUUGUAGACAUCUUGGGCAAUAAUUUCCCAGGCAAAUGUAAAAAAUUUGCCUGUGAAGCCAUCGGGGCCGGCAGCACUAUCCCCAUCCAUUGACUUCAGGACUCGAUGAAUCUCUUCAAUCGAAGGCACUUCUUCCAAUUUACUAUUUUCCUCUUCCGAUAUCAUGUGUGGAAUCAUAUGUCGCAUAUCAGAAGAUGACUCAAGAUAGCCAGUGAAGAGAUCAGAGAAAUAUGAUACAGCCUCAGUUGCUAUAUCAGCAUUGGUGUCCACCCAAACUCCAUUUAACUUUUUGAUUCGGUGUAUCAUUCCUUUAAUCCGUCUCUGUCUUACAACUGCAUGGAAAUACUUUGAAUUGCGAUCUCCCUGUUGAAGCCAUUUUGCCCUGGCUUUUUGGCUCCAAAAUUGCUCUUCUAUUGACAGUGCAUUCCGCAACUCUGCCUGGCCUUACUGAGCUCAACCUGAAAUUCCUCCGAUGCAUAUUGAUCCAUCGAUUCUUCUGCUUGUUUGACCACCUUCCGCAGAACGUACAGCAUCAAAUAUAUUGCCAAAAUGUUGCUUGUUCCAUGUAUGAAUAGCCCUCCUCGUUGCCAAUAAUUUAGAGCACAAAACACGUAGCGGGAUCCACUCACAUUUUGGUUCCAAGCCUGUCGAAUCACAUCCAAUAGUUCUGAUUUGCUCGUCCAGACAUUCAAAAAUCUGAAAGGUCGUGGACUAUUGUCUGAUCGAUCAGAAAACGUAAUUUUCAAUGGUGCAUGAUCCGAGGGAUGUCUUGGCAGAUGGAGUACAGAAAUCACGUCUGAGAGAUCCAAACAAGACCCAUUAAUUAAAAAUCUAUCCAAUCUUUUUGAAACCCGAGCUCUACCUCUCCGAUUAUUAGACCACGUGAAACUAGCUCCUGAAAAGCCACAUCCAAAACCCUGCCUCUUCCAUAAAAGACAUGAAAUCCGUGCCUUCUGCUAUAGCAAACGGACGUCCACCUCGUUUCUCGUGAGGGGCUAAAAUAACAUUAAAGUCACCCCCAAUACACCAAGGUAGUGAAACCGGCUUGUCAUUUAAUAAUGAACACCAUAAGCCACACCGCUCCUCUAAUGAACAUUUAGCAUGGACAAAAGACAUGAUGAUUGGAGAAGAAAACAAUUGACUUUGAACAUGUAUUGAAAUAUGCUGAUCCGAACUACCAAUAAUGGAACACUCAAAAGGGCUACUAUAGAAUAUCCAAAUAUCACCCGAUAAGUUAACAAAGAAAUAAUCAAAUACUAAUCGUAGACGAAUGGACUCAAUUUUGGACACGUCUAACUUUGGUUCACAAAUGACAACAAACUUCAAAUGGUGAGCACGAACUAAAUUUUUCAAUCUUCUUAAAUUAGGGGCUUUAGCAACCCCUCUGAUAUUCCAAAAUAAACCACUAAUCAUGAGAAAAAACCUGGAAAGAAUUUUGAGAUGAUGUCGCUGAACGUAGCUGCCUGUCGGAUGGGAAGCCAGCUCGCACACCCUUAACACGGUCAUGUCGGCAAUCCAUUUGAACUCCUACAGAUUGGUCAAUGUUUAGAUUGUGUAUUGAUGGCUCAGCCGACUUCUCACGUGGUAUGACCAAUCUCGGAGAUAAAUUUCCUACGUUAGUUGGCAAAGCUACUUCAUCAGCCGCAUUGGAUUUGGAAUCUUCAUCAUCAGCUCCACGCAAGUCGACAUAUAGAUUAUCUGUCUCAGCAAUGUCGGACCUUUCAUGAUAAACUAAUCCCAAGUUAUGCUCCCCAAUAAGCUGGGCCCCGAUGUAUUAUUCCCAUUGGAAUUGUGGGGCAGUUGAUUAAUUGUGCUUGUGGUGUCGAUCAUUUGAUGCUGAACCAUUCCAACGUUAUGAUUCCUGUGACUUUGUGGCCCCUCACAAUCAUUUCCAUAGCAAGCUGUCAAUUGGUCUUCCACUACCGAAUGCUCCUUAUGGACAUGCAUUGCGGCAUCAGCAACCGAAUGUGGAUGUGCAUCAGUUUUGGAAGCUGCUGUGUUUUUUCCCUCCUUGAGCGCGCAAGCGUCGGCAACUGCAUCGUUUUGCUCCGGUGCUCCAGAAUGUUCCAUUGCAGGUGUUGACGUUCCUUCAAUUUCAAUUACGCCCGUAAGUCGCGCCUUUUCAGUAGCUGACUUGAAUUCCAUUGAUGCUUUUCCUUUGGCUUCAGUAUUGCAUUUGUCAGCAGUUCCCCCAGAUUCCUUUGUUACAGCUGUUGUAAUUCCUUCGGCUUCAUUCGCACCAGAAAUUUGCAUUUCUUCAGGAGCUGUUGUAUCCUCUUUUGAUAAUUUAUCUUUAGCCUCUGAGUCAUUACAUACAUUUGUAAUGACUAAUUUAUGCUGGGUAUUUCCAGGUAUCUUUGAGCCAUGCUUAAGCCUUUUGGCUUGAUUGUUUUGGAGUUGAUGCCCACCAUCGAUGAAGUUUUUCUUGCAGUUUUCGGAAGAAUGACCCAAUCUCCAGCAAGAUGAGCAAUAUCUUGGCAAAUCAUCUGGUACAAUUUUUUGCCAAAAGCCGGUUUCUCCUUCAACCGCCACCCAGAUUCUCGAUAAAACAGGCUUUGCUACAUCGAUCUCCACGCAUACCCUUGCCACACUAGGACGCGUCCCAGCAGCCGUUGCCGAAUCCAAAAACAAUGGUCUUCCUACUGGAGAUAAUAUGGAAAACAACGAAUGUUUAUCAAAAAAUGGAUAGGUAAAUUUGGAAGUUCAACCCAAACUGGAACCAGAGAGGAUUCUCUGAGCACAUGAAAUUCCCGAGACCAUCGAAAUACACGCAUUGGAAAUUUGCCUAACUGCCAAAUCCUCUCGUCCAAAUCCUGUUAAAAUCUGCUUCAGCGGAGCACUUGAUCAGAACAUGCCUGUAAUCCAUCAAGCCAAUGAAAAUGUGGUCUUUUAGAUUUAAGGAAGCAAAAACUUGCGAAUAUCUUCUAAAGAAGGUCUCCCAUGAGAGAAUUUUCCAACUAAAGACCAUCGAAACGGCUCCGCGAGUUUUUCUGCAUCUGCUCUGGAGAAAAUGACUGCAGCUUCACCUUUGUAGACAGUCGCUUGCCGAAUUGGAAUAAAAGAUGUUGAAGGUUGUGAAAAAAGUUGGGAGAAAGAUUUUUUUUUUGUAGGAGAUCCUUGCCCCUCAGCCGACGGCUGAAGGGCAGCCAUGAAAAAACUGAGAAAUGACUUGAUCCAUGCUUUUUGCUAGUUUGUUUUGGACAAAUUUUUUCCCCAACUUUAAGUUACACUUUUAAAAAUAGGGUUAUUAUCACUUUAAUGGAGUUUGUUAAUUCAAUUAAAAAGACAUGUUUAUCUCUUAAAAUUAUUAUCAUUUUACCUUCAUAAACUAUAGCUUUAUUAUCAAUUUACCCCUAGAAUUAUUUUUUAGGCAAUUUAUCCCACAAUUAAACCAAUUUAGCGAGUUAAAAAACUUUAGAAAAAAAGUAUCAUCCUCUUUAAAUAAUAAAAUAAUAAAAAAUUUAGAGUGGUUCUUCUUUUUUAGUAUCAAGAGAAAAAGUCAAAGUAUUAAUCUCUUUCUUCUUGGCAAUCUUAUUAAUAUUAAAAAAAAGAAAGGUUGGGAAAGAGAGAGAGAGAGAGCUCAAUUCUUAUUUUUAAAAAAUACAAAUAAGAAAGAAUUCAAUAUUUUUAUUUUUUAAAGUUACUUUACUUUUUUGUUUACUAUCCAAUUCUAAUUCUAAUCUUGGUGAUGUUAAAGUAAUACGAUUAUAUUAGAUUCUUUCUUAUUUUUUUCUUUGCAAAAUCUAAUUGUUUUUGUCUCCUUCUCUCCUAUCUCUUUUUCUUUUCUUAGUAUUAAUAAGUAUGAAAAAAGAAAUUUGAAAAAAUCAUUUUUUAUGUUUUUGGAACUCUUAGAGUGAGAAAAAAAAGGACGAAUAAUCAUUCCAAUUUUUUUAGUUAUAUAUAGAAAGAAUAGAUACAUUAAUAUUUUUUUGAACAUACUAUUGUGGCUAAUAAUGGGGUAAAAUGCCUAGAAAAUAUUGUUAGGUUGUAUCACUGUAAUUUAAAGGGGUGAAAUGAUAAUGAUAAUGUAGUAAUGCUAAUAAAUAAAAGGGUAUUUUUAUCCCAAAUUUGUUAACAUGUUGAGUUGAACUACUUAAUUAUGGGGGUGGAAUGACUAAAAAAUAAUGUUAGGAGAUAAAUUGAUAGUAGUGAUAUAGUUUAAGGGAGUAAAGUGAUAAUAAUCCUUAAAAUACUCCAAAGUUUUUAAAAUAUACACCCAAAAUACCCUAAAGCAUACAAAAAAGUCUUUUCCUUCUUCCUUCUUUCCCUACCUCAACCCGCUGUCACCACCAUCGACCACCUCAGCCUCUCCUUUUUUUUUUUUUAAUUCUCUCAUUCUCUCUCCCUCACCUCCUCCCCCUCACUUGUCCUCCCUAGUCACAGGAAGAGGGGAGGGGAUGGGGUCUGGGAGAGGAGGGAGAGAGAGUGGCAGGGAAAAGAGAGGGAGGGUGAGGGUGAGGGUGGCGGUUGCACUAGGGAGGGUGGGAGAAGGAGAGCGAUGGUGGUGUGGGGAAGGAAGAGAAAGAGAAAGAAAAGGAAAAGAAAAAAAAGAAAGUUUUUAAUUUUUUCAAACUCUCAAAUAUACAAAAGUUUUUUUUAUGAGUUCUACAUUAAGUUAUAUGGUAAAAUUUUAUAUAGACACCAAAAAAAUACACCAUCCAGGUGAACCCAUUAUUUUUCUUGAUCCUUCCCAUUGAAAUGGUUAUUCUCAUUUUUGUGCAUCUAAAUAUAUUUGUCAUAUUCAAAAAGUAAGAACAUAAUGUUUACUCUUUUAUGCUCCAAAUCAUUGUCUUUUGUGGAAGACAUGCAUGUCGUUCCAUUCAGAUGUUCAAUUCGAGAGGAUAAACUUCGAAAAAGUUUAGCUAAUUGUCUCUACCAAAAAGCAACAAAACACUAGCACGAAGUAAUUGAUGGGCUUGUAUGGAAUUUAUAUAUGAAGAUAGCAAGAUGUGUAACGUGUGCAUCUAAUACAAGAAUUAAAUGAAUUUAAGAGGUACUAAGACACCACAUCACUACUACUGGAUAGUCAAACGGUUUUGCUUUACCAUGCACUAACAGAUGUCUGCCAUUUACUGGUAAAUUUACUAAUCAAGAAUGGGACAUGAAUUUUAAAGAAGAAAGAAAGCUAUGGAAGUAAAAUUUCACGCACCAUUUAUUUGUUGAAGUUAUUGACAGAUAUCAGUAGUUUCGAUCAAAGGAAAUUAAGAUCAUAUGCUGAACGAAUUCUUGCAAAAUUAAUGUAUGUUAGGUCUUGUCCUAGAAAAUUGAACAAGAAGAACAAAAAGACUCUUGACAAUCCAACAAAGGCAAUAGCACAACAAAUAAAUCAAACAAGAGAUCAAAAUUACGCGGUUCAAUAGAAUUGGCCUACAUCCAUGGGCGAAAGAGAAACAUAAUAUUACUACAAACUAGAGAGUACAAAAGAGAGAAAGUACAAAAUCAUAGAAAAUCAUUCCAAAAUCUAAAAGCACCUAAAACUAAAGUGAAAAUCAUUCAAAACGUCCUUCACAUUUUACAAGAUAACUUUUUUCGUCCCUCACUUUUAAAAGUAUAAUUUUACGUUUUCUUACAAAUUCACAUUGACCACAAUUUGGUUCCUACCUAGGUUUUCGACUAGUUUUUUGUCGGAAUCCACCACGUGACUUGCAUGUGAUCAUUUUUUAAGGUCAAAAUUAUCAAAUCAAUUUUUACAUAAUUUGAUUCAUAGUCCCUCACAUUUCACAAAUGAAUUUUUUCGUCCCUAACAUUUUACAAAAUGAAUUGUUUCGUUCCUCACAUUUCAAAAAAUGAAAAUUUUCAUCCCUCACAUUUUUCAAAAUGACUUUUUUCAUCCCUCAUUGAUCAUGUGUAUGAAUAGCUUUUUUUCUAUAACCCACAUAUAUGUUUAUUUGAUUUUACCUGAACAAUACGAAUAGCAUGUAAUUUAUCUCUAUUAGAUUUCAUCUAAAUAUGCUAAUCAUAGUUAUACACAUGCUAUUCAAUAGAUAUAUAUAGGGUUUUAAGCUAAUAAUUUUGUUUGAAACCCAUGUAUAUAUUUAUGUGAUUUCACCAUUUGAACCUAUUCAAUAUUUGUGACCUUUCUCUUUUGGUAAUAAUUUAUUUAUUGAGUUGUAUAAUAAGGUCAUCUAAUUAAUGGGUUCUAAUUUGAAUUCUAUAAUUGUGCUAACAAAUUUCAGUUUAAAUUUGAAUUCUACUCGAUACUUUUAAUACCAAUAGUUGAAUUACUUGUCUUGUGAUUGUCUUAAAAUUUGAAAGUGCCAAUCACUUAUUUCUUUUUGUCAUACUUUUCUUUUGUUUAUUUUUUCUGUCCAAAUUUAAUUCGAUAGAAACACUCGAUAAUAUUUAGGAUUAAAUGUCUUCUUUAUUUUCAAAUUUUGAGUAAAAGAAAAUCAAUAUAAGUGAAAAACUAACAAUUUUUUUAAAACCAUAUAUAUAUAUAUAUUUGAUUUCACUUGAACAGUACGAAUAGUAUCUAAUAUAUCUCUAUUUGAUUUCACAUGCUAUUCGUACUGUUUAGGUGAAAUCAAAUAGAUAUAUACAUGGAUUUAAAAAAAAUUAUUCACACACAUGAUCAAUAAAAUAUGAAAAAAAUCAUUUUGAAAAAUGUGAAGGAUGAAAAAAUUCAUUUUGUAAAAUGUAAGGGGUGAAAAAAUUUAUUUUAUGAAAUGUGAGGGAUUAUGAAUCAAAUUAUAUCAAAUUUGAUUUGACAAUUUUGUCCUUAAAAUAUGAUCACGUGCAAGGCGCGUGGUGAAUUCCGACAAAAAACUAGUCGAAAACCUAAUUAGAGACCAAAUUUGACUAAUGCGAAUUUGUAAGGGACGUAAAAUUAUAUUUUUAAAAGUGAGGGACGAAAAAAGUUAUUUUACAAAAUGUGAGGAACGUUUUGAAUGAUUUUCCCAAAACUAAAAACACAAAAGAGACUAAAUAGCACAAAAAGUUUAAUGGUCCAAAGGUUCACCAACUUGCUCUUUUAGUUUGAUGCAUAAACAAAAUCUCUCUCGACUUGGGGCAUGAGACCCAAAAAACUUCUCUUGAAUGGAGCCUUCAAACUUGGAUUGGUACGCUUAAUAUAUUUUAACUCAUAAAGUCCAUUGUAUUUAGAACCACCAAGAGAGAGAUUUCUUUGUAAAUUUUUUGAUAUGGGAUACAAAGAUAAACUCAACAAAUCUCCACCUUGGCAUGUAUCCAACAUCGACAAAUGAUAGACAAGUGGCAAAUAUGCUACACUUCCCCACAAAAGUUCCAACAGAACCAAUGAGUCACAAAAAUCCCAAUAGCUAGAUCCCAACGUACCAUCAAAAAAUCAAAAUACAAAAGACUCAACGGAUUCCAACUGGCAAAACACGCAAAAAAUACAACAGAUCCCAAAGGGUUAAAAACAUAAAUAUGAUAAUUUUGCUUUUCAAGUUCACUAUGUAGGACGGCUCCCAAAUUGUCCUCUCUCGCGCUCAGGAAAGACCAGUUUUUUUAUCAUAGAAGAAAAGUGGGAAUAUGAUAUGGUGACAAUUGAGAUGGCAUCUAGUAGGGCUCGUGGUCAAUUUGGUGGUGGAAGUGCAUCACCAAACUCGAAAAGCUGCUUUCAUUCUUGCUGAAUAACUGAACAUCAAUCUUUCCAAGGUUAGAAACUCAAUUUACUCACGUUUGCUGCUACUGGAAUUUUAAUUUUCUUUGCAUCUGUUGUUGCUGAAAAUUGGGUUUCACCAAACUUUAGUUGUUGGUGUUUGAAUUCAUUAGUGUAGCCUUGCACCUCAAUUGUUUGUCAAUUUGCUUCAACGAAGUUUAUGCCAAAAUAGACAUCAGCUCUACGUCCCUAGUUGCCGGAGAUGGAGGCCUGUGGGCCGUCUGACAAGCUUCCGGACAGUGGGACUUCAGUUUUGAGGUCCUUUGCAUCAGUAUUGGCAGAUGGUACAAACAAACUGAUGCCUUAGCCUUGGGAAAGGUCUCAACCUUUAGAGGAGAGCCAGCCUUGCGCAUCUCUCGCAGGGAAAUAGAGCAGCUUUCUGUUCCAUUUUAGAACUCUUUGGUGGGGCGCUUCUCGUUCAGCAGACCACCCAUGGAAGUUAUUAGGAAAUUCUUUCUUUCGCUGGGUUUACGAGAUGACUGUAAGGUUAGGCUCCUUGACCAGAAACAUGUUCUAAUCCGUCCGGUGUUGGAGGAAGACUUCACCCGUCUUUUUGCAUGUAGAAUCUGGUAUGUUAGUAACUCGCCAAUGUCAAUUUCGAAGUGGUCGCUAGAGUUCAAGGUAGACCAGGAAUUAUUGAUAGCUCCAAUUUGGGUUUGUUUCCUAGAGUUGCCAAUUCCAUUUUUUCAGCAGACCCAAUUAUUCAAGCUUGCAUCUACUUUGGGAAGGCCUCUUAAGAUUGAUGCAUCAACUAGUGACAUGCACCGUCCUUCCAUAGCCAAAGUUUUGGUGGAGCUUAAUGUUGCGUCUAAUCCUGUGUGGCGUAUUGGGAUAGGUGAUGAGCACUUCGGGUUCUAGCAACCUGUUGAGAUGGAAAUGUGGCCAUCUUACUGUGGGUUUUGCAGUAGGUUUGGCCAUGCAGAGGAGUAGUGCUUUCAUAAAAAUCCUUUCUUGCGAUCUGAUCCGCCAAUUCACGAAAUCCCUUCUAAAACACAGAAACAACUCCAAAUCUAUGUUCCAAAAGUAGUGAAUGAGAAGGAGAAGGAGUUGGAGGUGACGACAGUCCAGAGCAAACUGGCUGCAAAUGUCAACCAAGAACAAGGAAUGUCUGCUGAUCAUGCUUAGAUAAUUCCGGAGGCUGCCACUUGAGGGAAUAAUUCGCAGUUUGUUUUGGAUAGUAUUAAUCCUGAUGAUUUUCAAUCGAAUAUUGGGCAAAAUCAUAAGGGUAAGAAAAAGAUGUCUGAUGUUCAAUCUUUGGUUUUACCAAACCUGCAAAUGAAUAAGCCGUUCGUUAUACGGGAGCCUCAAGGGUCUGGUGUGGAUCGAAAUUUGAGUGGGUAUCUCGGAUAGGGAAAUCUACAAAGUCUGUUAUUGUCACAGAUCGGGUUGUGGUACCGGAGCAUGGAACAGAUGUUGGGCUACAGACUUCGACUUCAAAUCCACUUGAGGAUGGGAAUUCACUGAUCCGGAGUCUGAGAAUGACCAUUCCAUUCAACCAGCUAAUGGCGCAUUCACAGAGGCUGCAUCGGAAGAGAAGGCGAUGGAGGCUGGCGACUCCUCAUAGCAAGGUAAUGGAAUUACGUCUGAUGUGGCAAACGGUGCACUUGCGAAGGUAGACAAGUCCAUGACCCACGUGAUAUGGUGUCAGUUGGAGACACACACCCCUUGUGGGUACAAGUACAAGUACAAGAACAGACACGAAAUCCUCUAUGCCUCAAAAUCCACGGUUUAAAAAUGUGCCACAAUUUAAAGAUGUGUUCGAAGAGCUUAAAUGGGAGAAAUUACAUGGUAGGAUCCCCCUCGUAUAUCAAAAGCCUUUUCUUCAUUCAAAUACAACAUGCAAUGGUGACAAAAAUGAAGAAGAAGAAGAAGAACAUUCACAACGCGAUAAAGACAAAGACCAAGACCAGAAACUAGUUCACAAGCAAUUUACCCAAGUGAUUUCAAAGAAAGCGAGGAAGCAGCUUUCAAAAAAAGAUAAAACAAUGCAAACACGUCAAGAUGUUAAAUCAAAUUCCCAUGCUCACUCACAAUCCCACAAAUGUGGGGCACCAUCAUGUGGAUGAUUUCGUUCAAUUCAUCUGUUAUGUAUUUAGAUUCGCAAAUUUUUCCAUAUGUGCGUAUUAUUGUUGAUCCUUAGCUGCCCUUUUACUUUAAUAGAGGUCAGGUUUAGCCCCCCUCUAAUUCGCUGUACUCUUUUCGGAUAUAAAUAAAUUAAGGGAUGGAUCCCUAUUUAAAAAAAAAAAUUCACUAUGUAGGAAAGUUGUCUUAACAUCAAGCUGUUCCAACUCCAAAUCAUAUAUGACAACUAAAGCAAGUAAAAUACGAAUAUAGCUAUGCUUAACAACAAGUGAAAAUACAUAAUUGAAAUCAACAAUUUGUACCCAACUGUAAUCCUUUGCAAUCAAUUGUACCUUGUACAUUGCAUUUUCAACUCCUGAAACACCUUCAUUCUUCUUGAAUACUCAUUUGCAUUCAACUUCUUAUCUAAAGAUAAUUUUACAAGAACCCAAGUUCCAUUUUGGUAGAGACUCAAUUUCUUCAUUUAUUGCAAUAUAUCACUAAGUAGAAUCAUCACAAUAAACUAACAUCUAAAUAGGUAAAAGACUUGUAAAUUCCAUCAUUCUGUUUUGUAAUGGACAAAGCAUAUGCAAUCAAAUUUACAUAUCCUUGUAGUGGUCGAAAUCCCUCCUUGAACUAUUUUUGGCUGUUGAAUAUUGCUCCUCUUCUGGAUUAUUUUCAUUAGUAGAUUCAAGUGCAUCUACUAGCAUUUGCUGAAUAGAAGAACUAGACUAAGAAAGAACAAAACUGCCAAUUUCAAUUUUCACCUAUUUCUACAUACUAUCAUCUGUACCACAAGAACUAGAAGACUCCUUGGAAGAUAGUAUAGAGAAUAUAUCGGAAAUAACAUCUCUACUGAUCAUAAGUUUUGGGAAUUUCAGAUGAAGAAAACACAAUAUAUGCCCUUUUACCCCAAAAGCAUACCCAAGAAAAGUACUUUUUUUAGCCCAAAACUUCAAUUUUUCAUUAUUUACAUGCAUGUGUGUUGUACACCCAAAAGCUAUUAAAUUAGAGUAGUUAGUAGUAGUGCACAACCAAACUUCCUCAAGAGUUUGAAAAUCAAGAGAUGUAGAAGGAGCGCGAUUGACAAUGUAACAAGCCAUAUAGAUAGCCUCUGCCCAAAAAUCCUUUAUCAAUUGUGCAUUAAAGAUCAUACAUCUAUCUCUUUUCCAAAAGCGUUCUGUUCAUGUGUUCUACCAUACCAUUUUAUUGAGGUAUCAUUCUAACAAUGUGGUCUCGAUUAAUUCCUUCAUUCUUGUAAAUUCAUCAAAUUCACCUUCACAGAAUUUCAUGCCAUUAUCUAUUUUAAGCCCUUAAUUUGCUUAUCUAUCUGUUUCUCAAUCAAAACUUCUAUUGUUUGAAAGUUAGGCAAACAUGAUUCUUAUGGUUAAGAAAAUAAACUCAAAUUUUCCUUAAAUAAUCAUCAAUGAAAGUUAAUAUAUAGCUUGCACCACCCUUAGAUGAAACACGAAUUGAACUCCAUAGAUCUAAAUAAAUAUAAUCAAGACCUUUAGUCUUGUGAAUUGUUGAUGAAUUGAAACUGACCUUUUUUGUUUUUCGAAGACACAGUGUCCAUAGAAUUCCAAUGACCCAAUACUUUGUCCACAAAGAAGUCCCCUUUUGUUUAGUAUGUCCAAGUCUUUCUCACUUGCAUUUCAAAUGCAUAUGCCACAAUUUGAUGAUGUCAAAAUCAAAUAAAGAUGAUAGUAGAUCCUGUGAUAAUAGAUCCUUGCAAAAUAUACAAAUGACUAGACUUGCAAGUUUUUAUAACAACAAAAACAUCUCUAGAAACCUUCAAAAUGCCAUUUCCAGCUGUGUAUUUGAAUCCAAGGGCCUCCUAGAUUCCUCAAGAGAUGAAAUUCUUUUCUAAAUCAAGAACAUGUCUAACAUUAGUGAGUGUUCUCACAAUAUAUCAUGCAUUUUAAUUCAGACUGUACUCUUACGAAUAGUAUCAUAAAUGUCAUUAUUGCCCAUUAAAACAAAUCCACCAUUACCAGGCUCAUAAGUAGAAAACAAAUCCCUAUUGAGACACAUGUGAUAAGAACACCUUGAAUCUAAAAUUCGUUCUUUUUUAGACCUUGUUCUGUCAUUAGUCACAAAGAAAAUAUUUCUAUCACUCUCAUUAGCUGCAACACAAGUUUCAGCAAUGUCAAUAUAUUCCUUACAAUGUUUUCCCUUUUUCUUUAGUUUAUUUUUCAAUAUAAAGCAAUUAGCCAUAAUAUGCCUCAUUUUGUGACAAUAAUUACACUCCAAAUUUCUAUGUCUAGAUUUAGAUCUAAAUUUAGACCUACUACUGUCAGAUUCUUUUUAUCAAUUCUACCACUAAUGCCUUUUGCCUGACCCCCCAUUAAUUUUUCUAAUGAUAUCUCUGUCUAUCUACUUCUCAGUUUUUAAUGCAGAUUUAAGUUUUCAAUAUGAAACUGUUUCUUUUCCAUAAACCAUAUUAUUGUGAAAUACUUAAACGAUUGGGGAAGGGAUAACACAACAAUAAUAGGAUGUAAUCUUCAUUAUCAAUUUUCGAAUAAAUAUUCUCCAAAUCCAUAAUAAUGAUGUACCUUCAGUCAUCUAAAAUAUAUAUAGACUUUGCCUUAGAUAAACUUGAUUCUCAACUAUCUUCUUCGUAUACAGAACUUUAAUCUUGUCCCAAAUGGCCUUAGUUGAAGUCUUAGCGGCUAUCUCCCAUAAAAUCUCGUCAUAGAGAUUUAAAAUAAUACUUGAUCUUGUCUUCUUAUCCAUUUCAACAAAAUUCGCAUAUGUCAUAUUCUUUAAUUUUUUCAACUUUCUGUAUCACUAAAUCAACUCCGUGUCGAACCAAGGUCACCUCCAUCUUAAGCUGCCACAAUCCGAAGCUGACACUCCUGUAUAAUUUUUCGACUACUGUCUUUAUUAUUGUCAUUGUCGCCACAUAAUCUAGAGAGAAAUUUUGAUACUAGUUCCUCAGGUCUAAUCCCUUGAAAUUGACCAACAAAAAUAAUAGUACUCUUGGCAAUCUAACAAAGAGAAUAACAUAGCAAAUAAAUCAAAUAGAGAGAUAUCAAAAUUUAUGUGGCUCAGUCAAAUUGACUUACAUCCAUGAGCAAAGGAGUAAUAUAAUAUUACUAUGAGUAAGAGAGUACAAAAGAAAAAGUACAAAACCCUAAAAAAUAAUUCUAAGAUCCAAAGGUACCCAAAUCUGAAAAUACAAAAAAGACUAAAACUGAAAGUAUAAAAGAGUCUAAAUAGUAUAAUAGACUUAGUGGUUCAAAGGCCCACUAAUUUGUCCUUUUCAUUUGAUAUUUAACCAAAAUUUCUCUUAACAUAGUACAUUUAAACUCAUUUAAAUCCAUUGUAAUUAAAGCCACUAAGAGAAGAGAUCUCUUUAUAAAAUUCUCAAUAUGGGAUACAGAAUCAAAUUCAACAAUAUAUAUUUGUUGAAUCUAUGACCCCGUUUGGUAAGUGAGUUUUUUAGAUAUUUGUCUAAAACUUUACUGUAAUUUACUGUAGAAGUUGUUAAAAAAAAAUUUUAAUGUGUAAAUUUUUAGAUAGUUUGAAGUGUAUAGUUUAAAAACUUUAAGAAGUUUUUUGAAAUUGCUUUAGUUAAAGUUAUUAAAAAACUUGUAGCAGACAAACUUCGCCAAAAACUUGCUUGCCAAACAACGUAUAUUAAAAUUUCUUCUAUUUGUCCCACUAUUUUAUUUUCCCUUCUUGUUUUCUUUGUAGGUUCUUAUUGACCAGCCCUGCGUAGCAUUGAAGAUGAUAGGAAGCAUCACAAAUCACUUGCAGCUUUAGAGUAGACAUUGGCUUUCCAAUUUAACCCCACACGAGAUAGACUCUGAAGAAAUAAGAAGAGGAGAUGACCUAUAGAUAGCCUGCUCAGGGAGGGGAAAAGAAUAACAGAAAAGAAGUCCAUUGAUUGCCAAAGAAAAAUAUCACAAGAAUCAGAAUCAUUUCAGAAGAAAAAGGAGAUUAAUCGGGACCUUGUUUUUCACAUUAUUGUAUCACAGUAGUUUUUUCAGUUUAUGACGUGAUUUUAAUUUGCUUGUGCUGAUAGAGAUUAACUCUGAGGCGUUUAUUUUAAUGACAUUGGGUUCGGUGCUCAAAUGCACAUUAGGGGUAUUAAUACCUUUUCAUUGUGGGCAAAAAAAAAAACAUUUCAUUAGGGUUGCAACUCAAUAAAAAUUAAAAAAGAAAUGCACAGAUGCUUCCUAGCGUUUCACGCAAUUAUAUGCCUAAAAUCAUAUACUGAAACAAGUUCUAUUUUUAAGAUUUGGAGAUUAACUUGCAGCAAAAAGUAGCCUCAAUUUCUGUCUUAAGAGAAAAAACAUAGAAUUCUUUGAAAUCCAAAAUAACUGUAAAGCUUCUAAAAUUCACCCAGAGAAUGAAUAUUUGUACAUAAUUGAACACCACAUAUCUAAUUUUAAUCGUAAACGGAAAGUAUUUUGCCAAACUCAGACUCUUUGAAAUAUUUAGAGUCAACUAAACCAUACUCCAAACUUUGGGAGUUAUGAUAUAAAGUCAAAACGUUGACUAACAUCCAUUCAAUUUCAUUGUAAGCCAUUGUUAGAUUUCUGUCUAUUAUCGUAUUUUACCUAAAAUUAAAGAUUUUAAGAAUCAUAUUUAUUACCCUCGAAAGAUUAUAAACGAGUUUUGCUUAUAAGGCAAACGUUGCAAACUACAAUUGCAUUUUCCCUUCUCCAAAAAGGAAAAAUGAAAAAAAAAAAUCCCCCAGUCAGUCCAGGUGAAUAAUCUAGGUGUUUUCUCUUGCAUUCAACUAUUCUAAAUUCUAAUUCACGCUUACUGCUAAUCCUCGAUUCAUGUCAGUUGAAGACCCAUCGCAAUAUUUUGACUGAACCAUAAUCUUCUUAUAAUUCCUCGAGUUUUAGCAAUGAGUUCUAAAAUUUGAACUAACCUUGUUUAACAUGAAGAGACAUUUCACAUAAUUAUCUGUUGCUUUUGACUUUGAAACUAAAUGAUAAAAAUUAACCAAUUGAAUAAUUUGUUAGAAGCACAGUACAAUUUUAUUUUAAAAAUUGUCGUAGAUUAUCAAUUCAACUUAUCCUUGUCCUGUUCUCCAACUUCUAAAAUGCCUAUUUUUUUGAUACAAAGAAAAUAAAUAGGCUUUUUUUGUUCUAAAAAGCCUAUUUAUGAAACGGGUAUAAAAAAUUUGAAGCAAUUUGUAAUAAGUAUAUGAAACGGUGACUCAAUAACGCUUAUUUGAUUUAUUUCAUUUAAUAACAAUCAUUUUCUGGUUUAUUUGAAUUGUGAACCUCCCCACUGUCCUCAAAAAAGUAUUGACUAACAAUACGAUAUGAAACCUGGGUCCGUGAUGGACUAGAGUCCUAAACAAGUUUAAUAUGCUUCAAGCUUUUUACAUUUUAGAAGGAUACAAAAGAUUUAUUUUACAAAGACUUGCCAGAGUAAAGAAGAAGUGGGGAACAAGCACACUUGGAGAGCACAAUACAACGGAGAGUUGUAUGUUGCGUUCGGGAAGGAUGAUUUACUCCCGAAAAGGAAUCUAUUAGUUCGUUAUUAUCACUUUACUCCUAUAAUAACAUCUCGUUUUACUAUCGUUAUUCCCUUUAUUAUUAUUUUUCGUUAUUUUACUCUCAAGACUAAUGUCAAAUGUAAUAAAGUUUAUUGACUCAAGUGAAAGAUAUGUUUAGCUUUAUGAUUAUCAAUUUACUCUGUUAAACUAUAACAUUAUUAUCAAUUUACUCCAUAAUAUUAUUUUUAAACACUUUACCCUAUCAUUAACUAACUCAGCAAGUUAAACAAAUUUAGAUGAAAGUACAUUCGUUACUUGCAUAGUUAAAAAAUAAAGGAAAAAAUAUAGAAAAGCCCUUUGAGGUUAAGUGAACAUAAACUUUAGUACCUCGUGAUUUAAACUAAUUUAAAAUAGUUACAAAAAUUGUUUGAAUUAACGGGUUUGAAAUACAUGCGCGUUUUUUUUUUGCAAGUAUUUGUAGUGGAAACAAACAAAAUUUCAGUUGAUAUAUCUAUUAUACCCUUAGAGUUAUAAUACAGAAAAAUUACACGUGGUUAAGCAAACCUACACAAAAAGUCCCUUAUAGUUUCAAAUCAUGUAAUCUAGUACCUUAUGGUUUGAACUAAUAUAAAAAUCAACAAAAAUAAUUUAAAUUAACGAGUUUGAGGUUGCUUGACGUGAAAAUAAUUUUUUAAAACCAAAUUUUUAGCUAAUGUAGAACUUUCAAAAACAACCCAAAACUCCCAAAUACAACUCACCUUAUUUCUAUACAUAAAAUAAAUAAAUAAAAAUUCCUAAAUAAAGCUCACCUUAUUUUUAUACACAAAUUAAAUAAAUAAAAACUUUCAAAUGCAACUUACCUUAUUCCUAUGCACAAAAUAAAUAAAUAAAAAUAACAUGUAACCAUAUGGGCUUUUUCAUUGGCUUAAUCAUAGAGGAUUUUUCCAUGAGUUUGCCUAAUAGGAUGAUUGCUAGAAGGUCUUUUAUUACUUAUAUAUAUUAGGAUAAUUGUAUCAUUUCACCUGUCUUUGUUAGUUUUGAUGAUUUCCAUUACUAUUUCAAAUUAGUUCAAACAUGAUGAGCCGAAAUGUAUGAUUUGAAACCAAAAAGGGCUUUAUUGUAAGUUAGCUUAACCACCGGGACUUUCUUGUUUUUUAUCCACAAAUAAAAUUUUGGAAAGGUUUUUCUCCUCUUUUUCAUCCUUUUUAAUAUCAAGAGAAAAAGUCAAAACUGUUCUUCUCCCUUUUAUUUUUUGAAUCUUUUUAAUAUUUAGAGAGAGAGAGAGAGAGAGAGAGGGGUAAGGGAGAGAGAACUAAAUUCUUUAAAAAAAUAUUGAAACAUAAGAAAGUAUCCAAUGUCCUCAUUGUUUUAAAAUCAUUCCUUACUCCUCCAGUGACAAACUUAAAGUAAUCAUAAUAUUGGAUUUUUUCUUAUUUUCUUACAUUUUAAAAUUGAGUUUUCUAUCUCCCUCUCCUUCUACUUUUAUUUUCUUGAUGUUAAUAAGAGUGAAAAAAAAAAGAACGGAAAAACUGUUUUGCUUUUAUUUUCUUUGUACAUUUAGAUUGGAAAAAAAAAAGAGGAGACUAGCCGUUUCAAUCUUUUAUUAUUUUUACUUAUAUAUGAGAGAAGGGUAUUUCCUUCACAAAAAUUUCAACGCGCUAAGUUUAACUGUGUAAUAAAAUGCACAAUGCUUGGGAAUAAAUCGGCUUAGGGGUGUAGAUAAAGUAAUGAAAAAAUAACAUUGGGGGUAAAGUGAAAAUAGUACUAUAGUUAAGGGAUAAAGUAAUAAUAAUUCAGAUAAAUGAUUAAAGUUUUUGGUAGAAGUGGACCGGAAGUAGACAACAAUUUCCCAUGUAAGGCGGUGGCUUCUAAUUCAUUACUCCAAUAAUUUGUCUCCACGGAUAAAUUUUGGUUUUUGUUUAAUAUUUAAAAGUCGCCUUUAUAUGAUUUGCUAUAAGUAAUAAAACUUGAGUGUACAAGAUGGUUAAACAAUUAAGGUGGGAUUUAAAAUGGGCUUCUUUGUACUUAAAAUAUAGGCUUAAUUGCAAAGUGCACCCUUAAACUAUUACCGGUUUGUACAUUGCACCCCUAACUAUGCAUUGUAGCGAUAUACUACCUUAAUCUUUGAAUUUUUAGCACAUUACUCAAUUAUCAUUAAUUUGGUGGGAUACAAGUUAGUGAAAAGACUUCAACAACCUUGCAAAAUAGACUGUGCCUAAUUUGAUUUUUACUACUCCUAUAAUUGCUGCCACAAUCAUAUUUACAACUAAUUAAUGGCAACAAGCAACUUUAGAAGUUCACAUGCAAGGAUUUUAUUUUCUCUUCUUAUCUAUUAUUUUUCCAUUUUUUCACAGCAAAAGCAAGGAAAAAUCUUUUCACCUAUGCUUUUGUCUUGGUAAUUAGAAUGUUUAAUCUCUUAUUUAUUAAUUCAAAAUUAGUUUCCAUCAAAUUCCACUUCAGAUUCCCUAUCAGCACCAUAGAUCAAAACUAAUUAUCACCAAACUCAUAACCACAACUAACCAAAUUAGAAAAACCAAAACAAGCCACCAAGAUAAACCCAUCAUUAAUGAAACCAAAACCAUAGACCUAAAAACAACUCGUACCCUAAUUAAUUUGGGAUGGAGGAAUUGAGAUAAUAGAUAGGCGUCAUCUUUGAGAUUAGGAUAGAAAGACGAAGGUUAUUGGGGUUUUAGAGGAACUGCAAUUGAUUCAUAUGUUUUGCAAGAGUGGAAAGGAGAAUUCAAGACUUGCUUGAGAACAAAAAUCAGAGGGGUGAGGGAGUUUAAAAAAUGGAUAAGGGAUUUGUUUGAGGACAAAAAAUCAGUGAAGAAAAGGAAAUGGAAAUGGAUUGGGGCUGUUCCAGAGAUUGGAGAGUGGAGUGUAUCUCAUAGGGAGAGGCAAAAGAAUGUGAGCAUAGGAAAUGGCUAUCAUAGGGAUUUUGGUUACUCAGAAUGGGGCAAAAUAGUCAUCAAAGUUUUCUCUUGACUGAUUUAUAAUCAAUUGAGGUAAGGUGAUGAAGGUAUUAUAGUGCUACAAUUCAUAGUUUAAGAUGCAACCUACAAUCCAAAGAUAGUUUGAGGAUGCAUUUUGCUAUUAACCCUAAAAUAUAUGUAACUGGGUAAAGAAUUGGGUUGGAUGGCAUGAUAGCACAAAAUAAGAGGUGUAUCUGGUGCUAUUUUGUAUAAAAAAAAAGAUUUAAAUUUAUGAUGCUAAAUAUGUAUCUGUAACGCUAAAAAUAUGCAAUUAACAGAUAUUGAUAAUGUUAGAAUUUUGUAAUAGGCUCAUUCUCUCUUUUUGGUUGAUUAUCCUGUGCCCUUUGGGCAAAAAAUAGGAAGAGUCAAAUUAAAAUAACUUAAAAAGCAAGUAUAGUCAAGAUAUGGAAUUGGUCGAUGAAAUGGCUAGUGUCAUCUUGAUAUGAUUUGUUUAUCAUAUAUACACGCUUUAUCAAUCUGACAAGUUAAGAUACACCAUUUCACUAACAAAUAAGAAGAAAAUUUAAUCCCCUUGACAUAUGUGUGUGUGUGUGUGUAUAUAUAUAUAUAUAUAUGUGUGUGUAUCAAGUCAGCUGUUUAGAAGAUCUUAGUGAUUAUUUUAUAGACAUAUAAUUGCAUUUAUUUUUUCUUAAAAAAUUAGUAUUCAAUGAUGUUGUGUGUUUGCAACAUAUGUGAAGAACUUGAUUUUCAACGAAUGGCAAUAACUUUGGUCAUGCGACGUAGCCAAGAACUCGUUUUGAUUGAAUUUUUUAGGAGUUUUUGGAAAUUUUUUUAUAAAAAUAAUUAUACUAUAAUACUUUUUUGAAAUAUGGUAUAUCAGUUAAAAAAUAGUUAAAAAAAUGUGUCCAGAGAGUAUUUCAAAAAAACAGGUAAGAUAUUUAGACUAGAUUCAAGCACCAAUUUUCUUACAUACUCUUCCAGUUCUGUUUCUUUUAACUUAGGAAUGGAAUAAAUACCCAAAUAAUUAAAGUAUUGGGUAAAAACAAAAUGUCCCUUGUGGUAAAUCUAAUAUACAGAAAACCCCUCGUAGUUUCAAAAUAUAUAAAACGACAUCUUAUGCUUUGAAUUAAAUUGUAAAGGUGAUAGAAUCGGUUAAAAUUAAUGGAAAUGAUUUAUUGGAACCUAAAAAAUAUUUUUUUAUGCCUAAUUUUUAUCAAAUAUACCUACUUUACCCUUAGCCCCGAAUUAUCUCUCUCCAAAGAAUGAAACAAAUGAUUUUUGUUGAGCUGUCUUUUGCUUCGUUAUAUCAAGGCAUUUUUAUCAUUUCAUUUGUCCCGUUAAGUUUAACAGAUUCCGUCAUCUGUAUAAUUUUAAUAUAUGAGAUGUCGUUUUAUACGCUUUGAAACUAUUUGGGAUUUUUCUGUUUAUUAGAUUUAUCAUAGGUGACUUUUUAUUUUUAUUUGUUGCAUAGAUGAAAUGUUAUUUGCACUCUAUAUUUUGUUUUUGCAUUCCACCAUUUGUUUUAUCAUAAGUCUAAUAAAUGAAAAUUAUAUGAUUAAAAUGAUAGUGGGAGUGUAAUUAACAAAAAUUAAAGUGUGAAUACCAUUUCUCCAAGUUUUUUGUUUAAAAUAAAUAUUGAAAAGACUUGUAUUUUGUAAAACAAUUUUUAUUCCAAAAUCCAAAAUUAUACAAAUGGAGCCCAAACAAAAAUUCCAAAACUAUUAAUUGCCUAGUACCUUUCUUCUUUUUUUAAAAAAAAAUCAGGUGGCGAAGGUCGAACAGGGUCUAGAGAAACUGAUAGGGACACAAACGCAAUCUUAUGAAUUUAGAAGAGACUAUAUACAAUGGCACGUUAACGGAAGAAAAAGUUUGAAUUGUUGACCUUCUGUCACACCAAAAUUUAAAAGUCUUUGGGAGUGGUUUUGGACUUUUGGGUUGUUAGUUAAUUGCCUGGUACUUUUCGCUUCAUAAAAGUACGCAUAAUGCUAAAAGGCUGCUAUUACUUUCCAAAAUCAUUUCUACAUGGAAAGCAGGACUGUAGACUUCACACUGCAGCUUCCGUCCUACUGUACCUCUCAACUUUCCAUAACUUUGUCUUCAAGAAAACGGCUAAAAAAAAUGAAAAUGAAAACUUUCCAAAUUUCUUAGAGUAUUAACUAAUCAGCGUAACAGUAGCAUAUAUAUGUAUUCUCAGGGCUCAGACAUCAGUCUAAAUUAGUCCCAAGCUCUUUAGUUCUCAAGUCAUCAGGUAGUAUUAAAACUCAACGGAUUUUCUUCAAUUUUUGCAAGAAUGGCAAUUUUGAGUUCUCAGAAGAGAGAAGAGAUGAGAAGAAAUGAAAGUUUUCGCCGACGCCCUCGAAAGAGCAGCAAGCCCUGUAGAGCUAGGACCAAUUCAGUUGCAGAUCAGUUUCGUUUUUGGCCCUUUUUGGUUGAAAAAACCGAAACACCAACCCAGAAAUCUUGUGUAAAUAAGGGCAAGAAAAUGAUCGGAUUAGCACUGCCUAAUCUUGAUCAAGAACUGCCCACCAAGAAAUCUUGUGGAAAGCUACGUGCUGAAGCUAAAACUAGCCAAGAAAGCCGAAAAAUCGAGAUCAUUUUCAAGAAAAAAUUAGUGAAAGCCAAAGCUCAAGUUUUUCCACCUCCAUCGGCACAACUUCCAAUUGACUUCAAGAAUCACAUGAGCAGGAAACUGGGGGCGACAAGGGACCCUGUUUUGGUGAUUGAGAAGAGAUUGUUUCCAUCUGAUGUUUCAGCCAAGCUUCACAGAUUGUCCAUACCAGUCAAGCAAGUUGCCAAUCACGAGUUCUUGACAGAAGGAGAGAGGAAAAGAUUCAACAAUGGGAACAAACAAGAAAAAAUUGAUGCCAUUCUGGUUGAGCCAUCACUUUCUGAAUCCAAAAUCAGGUUCAAGAAAUGGUACAUCCAUGAUUCUGGAAUGUAUAUUUUGACUAGUGGUUGGAAUGAUGUUGUGGAGAGGAAUGGAUUGAAACAAGGAACAUUAGUGCAGCUAUGGUCAUUCCGGAAAGAAUCCCAAUUGUACUUUGCUCUGAUUAGGCUCUAGGCCCUGUUUGGAAGCCAAGUUUUUGAGCAAGUUUUUUACCUACUAGUUUUUUAACAACUUCUGCUACAGGAUCCCAAAAAACUUCUCAAAAAUUUUUACCUACAUAUUUCAAAAUAUCCAAAACAUACAAAAAAAAAAAAAUUCCCUUCCUUUUUUUUUUCUUCCUCCUCCAUCCCAACCCACCACCACCUCCGUCGCUGACCACCACGUCCGGCGCCAUUUCCUUUUUUUUUGCCUUUCAAGCAACUGAGCAUAAAGAACUGAUUCUAGCAAGGAUGAUGCCGCUUUAUGGGGAUCUCUUUCUCAGGAAGCUUCCGUUUCCUCCUCCGCACAACAGGAGCUAAUUCCAUGAUUUUUAAUGGGGAAGCGGUAGCACCUUGUCCGUGUCCACCAAAGGACACAGGACCAGAAGGCCGCGACGGGGGCUUAUGAGACGGCGUCCGCCUACUACUGCCCACUGAAGUUACAGGGGUUGAUGGACCAGGUGAUGAUACACCUGUAGCAUUGGCAGUUGCAGAAUUUUCAUGUUGGGCAUGAGCCGCCAGGGCAUGGCCCAGCCCCUAAGCCUGAAUGUGUUCAGAUAAUUGGAAAUUACUAGGGAACUGGGGACCGCCGCCUUGACGUUGCAUCUAUUGCCUCUCUGGACAGUACAAUCAAAUGCAGGCAACCAAGGCCCAAUUUAACUGCCGGGCAAGGGAAGAGGGAGGAGGAAGGGUAGAGGGGAGGAGAAGGGGAAAGGGAGGAGAGGGGUGGUGGGAAGUGGCAUUGGAGGAGGUGUUGGUGGAGGAGCAGGUGGUGGUGCAGGAGGUGGGGCUGGUGGUGGAGUUGGGGGUGGAGCAGGCGGGAGAGUAGGACGGGAGGUGGAGUUGCUGCUGAGCGUGCGGAGGUGACGGGGAAGAAGAAGAAGAAGAAGAAAAGAGAGGAAAGAAAAGAAAAAGGAAAGAAAGAAAAAGAAAAAGAAAGGGAAAGAGAAAAAAAAAAGAAAAUGAAAAAAAAAAGUUUUUCACCUUACAAAAACUUUUACAAAAUUUUUUCAAAAACUUCUACAGUGUACUACAGUAAAGUUUUAGACAAACUCCCAAAAAACUCAGGUUCCAAACAGGCCCCUAAUUACACGGUUAAAACUUUUGUGUAAUUAAUUGCAAGCUAAUCAACUAAAUGCAGUUCUGAAGUUGAUUUUCUUUUGUCGUUUUGGAAGUUGGAAGGGUGGAAACUAUUACAUAGCUAUAAAUUAUAUCUUAAUUUGCUCAAAAAAGGUUAUUAAUAUUUUAAUUUUAAUUUUAAUUUGUACGGGAUAAUUUCAGAAACCUCCCUUGAAGUUUCUGACAAUUUCACUCGGCUCCCCUUAGGUUUAAGAAAUCACACUUACUUCCUUUGAUAUAGUAAAAUACCUAUAAUGCCAUUCACUUAGUAGGAAAUUUUAAAUUUAAAAUAUGUAAAAAAAAAUCUAUUUUGCCGUCUCUUGUCUAUUUUCUAGUUAAUAUAAUAUUUUUUUAUUAUUUUCAAUUUUGUGGAUAUUAGCAAAUUGAAAUUACAAAAUAUACAAAGGGAGCAGAUUAUGUGUCAAAUUAGAAGGAAAUGAAGAAAUCACAGAGAAAUAAAUAAUGAAAUUUUUUUUAUAUUAUAUUUAAACAUGGACGGUACAAUCUACUAUGUGCGCGUGUGCAUGGUACAGCAAUUCUCAUGACAGCUUCCACUAGAAAAUAGCUAAGACUAAGAAUAAUACUCUAUUGAGAAAGCUGUCAGAUAUUCAAACGCCUCAUCUAGCAAUAUCUUAAAACUCACAGAAAAAUAGUACACAUCAAGCUUAUGCCAAAUACUUGUGCAAAAUGGGAGUGAGCAUUCCACAUCAUCAAGCUCAAGUACAUUUGACUUUAAGAUGCAGGUAAGAAUAAAUUCUGCCAUGUUCCAACAGAGCCAAAAACUGAGGAGUACUAAUAACCAAAAUUUCUCCCCAAGCCAUGAUGAAAAGGGAACAGAAGUAAAGAGCAACAAGAACAACCUGUAUCUAUGACUGUCUCGUCUUCUAUCCCGAUCUCUUUCCCUUGUUGGACUACGUCCGCGGUAGUAAUCCUUCUCAUGAUCCCAUAGCAAAAAUAACUAAAGAUGUGGAAUUUGUCAUAUUUUGUUUGUUGUUAAGAAAAUUUUUUGUAAAAUAUCAAUAAUUACAUAAUGCUUUCUUCCAUUGGAUUAGAAAUUUUUUAUUAUGAUUUUAUUGUGGAGGUAGAAUUUAUCAUAUUUUGUUUGUUGUUAAGAAAAACUUUUAUAAAAUGUCAAUAAUUACAUAAUGCUUUUUUACUUUGGAUUAGAAAUUUUUUAGUAUGAUUUUAUUGUAGAGGUAGAAUUUAUACUCUAUUUUUUAUAUAUUAAUAUUUUUAAGGCUAUAGGAGAUUUAUAAUGGUGAUUCUAGAUCAAAUUAGUUUAUAUUUGAGUAUUGAUAUUUAAUUUGGGGGUAUAACAUUAGUUGUCAAUAGGAUUUUGUGUGUGUGUGUGUGUGUAUUUCGUGGCAAGUAUUGAUACUGUGCAUGUAAUUUGGGAUCUUUUGGAUAGCUAUUUAAAUUUAGAACUUAUGUUUGGAUGGUUCAUAGGGAUUUAACUUAUUAAUUUAUGCAAAGUAUGGAAGAAAAUGAUUGAAUAUACUAUAUUUUUCUUUCUUAAUUUUGUACAAAAGGACAAUUUAGGAUUUUUGAAAGAAAAUCUAAAUUCUUGGACCUGUAUUGUUAUUAACAGUAAAAGUAGAGGAGGAAUGUGUAAUUUUUAAAACCUGAGGAGAGCUCUUUGUAAUUGUGAGAAACCUCAAGGGAGGUUUGUGAAAUUAUCCCUUGUUUAUAUGGUGGAAUGAUCAAUUCUCGCUGUCAAGCCAACCCAAUGGUGAGAUUGUGGGGUUCUGCUUUUACUGUCUUUCUUUUUAUUUAUUUAAUUUAAACUUGGGGAGCAAGAUUUGGACCUUGCAUUGACUAGCCGCGUUGACCAAGAUGGUCUGAAUCUUUUGCAGGGUUAAGAAAUGCAAGAUGACUUAUUAUUCCAAUGGGUCUCGGAGUUUACUUGUAUUACAUUGUAGGCCCCCAAUAGUGUAUGUUGAAAAAACACAUAAUUUAUUUUGAGUGCUUUCUUGUAUACUGAAUUGUAAAAUUUUUGCCCUGUUAUUUUUACUUUCACGGAAUGCAUGUUUUUGUGCUAAGAUUACAUUGAACAGGUGCAAAAAAAAAAAAAGGUAUAAUUGAUGUGAUAAAAAAGAUUGGAGUAACGCGCAAAUUGGAUAAAUGUUGGAGGUAAAUUUUCAAUAUUAACUGUAAAAGAAAUCAAUAGAUUGGUUGGAUAGACUAGUAAUGACUUUAAUUUAAUAAAGGGCCCGUUUGGCAAGUGAGUUUUUUGGGUGCUUAUCUAAAACUUUACUGUACCUUACUGUAGAUAUUGUAGAAAAUUUUUUUGAAGUGUAUAAAUCUUUGGAUAUUUUGAAGUGUAUAGUUUAAAAAUUUUGAAAAGUUUUUUAUAUUACUGUAGCUAAAAUUAUUAAAAAACUUGUAGCAUACAAACUUGGCAAAAAACUUGCUUGCUAAACAAGGAAGGCUAGCUAAAUUUUUUUUAUAAAAGUAAUAUUAAUAUGACUGUAAUUUAAUAAAGGCUGGCUAAAUUUUUUUUGUAAAAGUAUUAUUAAUUUGAUAAAGUGUAUAAAUGCAAGGGUGUACUAAAUAUGAUUUUAGGUCUUUGCAUGGCAUGUGAAGUAGAAAGCUAAGUAGUCAAAUUUGAUUAUCUCAUUUUUUUUUGGUCAAAGGUAAUUUUUUUAUUAGAAAAAUUUUGGCAGAGUUUCCCCUUAUAAAUGGACGAAACUCCCUGCCAACAAAUCCAAAUACAAGAAAAUUAUCCACAUGGUAGUAAGUUACUAUAAUGAAACUUUAUGACAGUUUGAAAACAAUUUAAUAACAACUGCAUGGUUAAAACAGAACUUGACAUCCAACCAAAUAAAGCUUAACUGCAGAAUUUUGAACUAGGCUUAUUAUCUCAUAUUGUUGAAUGUUACAUUGAUGCCCACAUUGCACCUUGCCCAAAGAUUAAAUUAUCACCCAGGAUAAGGUCCAUGCAGUAGUUUAAUUGGAAGAUAUUUUGGAGUUUGAGGGUACAAUCUUUGUCAAUUUUUCUAAUAUAGUAUAUCUCAUUCAGUUUUAGAUAUGUUGGAAUCUAUUGUAAGUUUGAUGUAAUUUAUGCCAUUAGGUAUAAAACGCAUAAAAUUGUAUUAAAGGUUGUUUUGAGAAAGUACUCGCAUGCAAUUCUCAUAACAUUAGUACAAUCUCUUCUCCAAUAGUUAAUGGUAUCUCUUAUUCCAGGUACUUUUGCCGUUCCAUCAUGUUUUAAAUAUCCAAAUCCCGUCCUCAAGAAUUUUGAUAAAAGGGCAAAAGGAGGUUUUCGAAUUAUGAAAAGGGGAUGAAUUUUGUUAUGACAGUAAACUCUUUUGUCAUCAAUGUAAACAAAAACGUAUUCACAAAAUAUUGAGAAUCCUAUCAGCUGAGUUAGUAAUUACUUAUAUUAUACUCGUACAACAUGCAUUUUAUAUAUAUAGUUAAAAAAUCUUUCGUAGUUCACACAUUUCAAAAAUACUCUUUAACACAUUGUACUUUUUAAUUAAUAGUUCAAAACACAUAAUAAAUUUUGACUUAUUAAACAUCACGAAUUAUGUUUUAAUUUUCAAAAAAACUUUAAAAUUUGUAAAAGUAUAAUCACAUACAUUUAGAGUCAAAAUAGCAAUGACAAAUAUUAUGAUUUAUAGAUGUAUACAUAUAAAAUAAUAUGGUGAUAAUAUUUUAAUAAAUUUGACACCAACAAAGUUAAAAUUCGAAAUUGGUAAGAAUGUAGCAUAAUCUUCGAAAUUAAUUGUAAUUUUACCUGUUUUUCAGUCUCAUAAUUUUCAAAUAUAUUCGUAGCAUUCACAUAUGAAUUUAUAUGUGUGAACUCAUAUUUUUGCACUGAAUUUUUAAGCAUACUUUGAAAGAAAAAUUAUAUAUACAUACGCAUAAUAUCCUCUGUUUUAAAACUCGGACCGGACCGGACCGGCCGGUCGAACCGGAAACCGGCCAGAUAGCCGGUCCGAGUCAUAUUAAAAAACCGGAAAUUUAAAACUUGGUCAAAAACUGGGUUUGACCGGGAAAAAAUCGGUUUUUCCGGUUCAACAGUAAUUUUUUUUAAAAAAAUUCAAACUUUUUAAUAUUAUGUUUUGAUCCCCUAAAUUGUUAAAACUUAUUGAUAUACCUCAAAUAUUUGAUACUUUAUAAAUAUUGUCCUAAAAUUUGAUGUUAUUUUUCAAUUAAAUUCAUAAUUUUAAUUCUAAACUUGUUAAUAUUUAUUAAAUAAUAUAAAUUGCUACUUGAUUGUUCUAAUUUCUUUGUAUUUUCUUGUUAAAUAUAUUUGAAACAUCAAAUAUAUAUGAAUAUACCUUUAUUAAUAUCAAUAUAUUAUUAGAUAUUAUAUAUAUAAUAUUUUAAUUUUUAAAUAAUUUUUAUUUAUGACGUCAUCCGGUUCGACCCUAUCGACCCUCGGUCGAACCUAUUGACCCUGACCCCUGACUCGGCCGAGUCACUAUCGCGGUCCGGUUCUGAAAACAUAGAUAAUAUCUCAUAUUAUAUCUGUCCCAUAUGUCACUAACUAUGACCAUCAGGAUAUUGAACGCAUAACACAAUUAAAGAUGGAUUGCUCUCCUUGCUUUCCCGCGCUUUUCAUAACUUCAUGAUAUAUUAUUUAGCUACCUGUCAAAAAGGGAAAAAAAAAGUGUAGGUGCAUUACUAAAAAUCAUAUGAAUUAUAUUAAGGAUUCUUACAAAUAAUAGUUACAUAUAAUUUCCUCAUGACAUUGCUACAGUCUCACCGAUAAUGGCACCUGAUUUUUCAGGUUAAUUCUACUUUGCCCCCUCAAACUAUACGCGAAAUCCACUUUAGUACCUAAACUUUAAAAUCAAACACUUAAAUCCCUAAACUACAAGAUCCGUCCCAGUUAAGUAAAUUCAUUAACAUAAUCUAGAACGUUAUUAGUGUUCUUAGAGUGUGAGAAACAUGCACCAUUAACUGAGGUCAUUGAGCGAAUUUCACAAAAAUAUAAAAAAAAAGGAAAUUAAGGAGAAUAAAUGAGAGAAAUGUUUCCUUCCAUCUAACCACCCAUUUAUUUGACUGAUCCAAGUCCUAAAAGUGCAUCCAUGUGCCUUGUACAUGUAGAAACGAAGUUGUUGAAUCUUCAGGGGGAGACUAGGGAUGGCAAUAGAGUAAAAAUGGGGCAGGGCAGAGGCAAAAUAUUUUCCUUGCCUUAAAAUGGGCGGGGGGUGGGGCAACAUACACCCGCCCCAUCCCCGCAUACAAUAAAAAAAAUAUAUAUAUAUAUAUAUAUAUAUAUAUAUAUAAAUACAACCCUAAAUUUCCUAAAAUUGCACCCUUACUUACAAAGGCCAAAGCUCUCAGUGCCAACAGGCAAUAGCUGCACUCCCGCAACAAGCCAACAACUAAAAGAAUAAUUAAGCAAGCUAUUUGGAUCAGUUCCUUCCUCCACAGUCCACACUUCAACUUUCUCUUUAGUUUUAGUUUUUCUAUUUUUUUUCUUUUCUUCUCACCAGAGUGGCCGAGCCCAGCCUGCAGCAGUAGCUCGAAUUUUGGCCUGCCAUUCUGUUCUUACAGUCCCCAAAUUGGCGCCCUGCUGUUCAUCUGCCGCUAAUCAGCAUUCAGGUACGUUUUAAUUUUCCACUUCAUAUUAGGUUGGGGUUCUUUUGCUUCUAGUAUGAUGGUUUCUUGUGGCUUGCUAUAAAUUUAUCCACUUUAGCAUGAUUCAGAUCAAGUAGGAGAAGUGAUAAGGCUUAAAGAAGACUAAUUUGGUCAUGGAUGAUUUUGUAACUCUAAUUCCAUUGCUAUUUGUGAUUUACUUGCAAUUUCAGUUCUUAAACGGGAGUAGUUCCCUUGGCAGUUUUGACUUGUCCUUUCUCGUCAGAAUUGAUGAUGAGGCUGCCAUGUAGCUCUGCCUAUUUCGACUCUCUAGUGGGUUAAAGGGCUUUUUCAGCUUGUUUAACUUGGCAAUUAUUCAGCCUUUCAACAUUGUUAGCAAGUGAUGAUAUUGGUUUCUACGUCUGUCUAUAGCUUUUGCCUUGUGGUUGCUUAUUAGAUUAGGAAGUUACCAUUGUGAGUUAAAGUAUUUCUUGAGGAGUCCAUUUGAAUUGAACCAUUGUGGGAUUCAUCUUUUGCCAGGAACUUUUUGAGUUGGCUGCUUCAGAGUUUUGUUGGCAUUUGGGUCUGGUAUGGAUCCCUCUUCAAUAGUGUGGCUUUAAGUUUAUUGUGCCUUAGUAACUAAGACAAGCUUUUAUUCAACUGAUUGCUUCUUGGAGUCUGUUAAAGCUUGUCUGCAAUUUAUGUAUAAAAAAACAAAAUUUUAUCCAAAUUUUUGUAUAUAUUUAUGAAAUUAUUUUGAAAUUCAUCAUUGUGAGCAGUCUAUUUAUUGUACUAUUUACUUUCUUGUCUUUGUAGAAUUCUUAUCACCAUGAAUCAAUCCAAAAAUCUAAUUGCAUCUGAACAAGGGGAUAAUUCAUCAACUCCACAAUCAAUGAAUGUUAAAUCAAUUGACUUGACAGAUGCAGUAGAAGAAGAUGAAUAUGAAAUUGAAGGAGGAAAAAGAAAAUCAAAAUCAAAAGUUUGGGUACGUUUUGAUGGAGAGAAAGGUGAAGAUGGCAUUUUUUUAUGGUGUGUGCAAGUAUUGUAAAAAAAAAAAUACAAGACAGGUAGCACUCAUAGGAUGAGUACCUUACAUGAUCAUUACAAAGGUGUGCUAAAAAGCCUAAACAAGAUAUCAGGCAAAUGUUACUUCAAAGUGGUAGUAAAAAAAAUGAUGGCAAACAAAAAUUGCACAAUUAUGUGUUCGAUCAACAACAAUCACGCCAUAAACUUGCAUCUGCAAUUGUAUUGCAUGAGUAUCCAUUAUCUAUUGUGGAUCAUAUAGGCUUUCAAAAUUUUGUUAAGAGUUUGCAGCCAUGUUUUAAACUUGUUUCAAGAAAUACAAUUAAAGGAGAUAUUUUGAAGAUCUAUGAAUUGCAAAGAUUGAAGAAUUGUAAUAUCUUGGAGAAGCUUGGAAGUAAGAUAGAAAUUACAACCGAUAUGUGGACUUCUAGCAACACAAAGAAAGGCUUCAUGGCUAUCACUACACAUUAUAUUGAUGAUUCUUGGAUCUUACAAAGUCAAAUUUUGAGGUAUGUUUUCAAAAGUUAAAAACUUGAAUUAUGUUUAUUGUUUGUUAUACAUGAGCAACUUUUUUUUUUUUCUUGUAUUUAGGUUUAUCUAUGUUCCUACUCCACAUACCAAAGAAGUGUUAAGUGAUAUGCUUCUUAGUUUAUUGAUGGAUUGGAAUAUUGAUCAUAAGAUAUCUACAAUUACCUUAGAUAACUGUUCCACCAAUGAUGGUAUGAUUAAUUGUUUGUUGGAAAGUUUGAAUGUGAGUGAUUUGUUGAUAGAUGGUCUAGUGCUUCAAAUGCGUUGUGCUGGCCAUAUCUUAAAUUUGAUUGUCAAAGAUGGUUUAGAAAUGAUAUCAGGUGGUAUUAGAAUUCGUGAUAGUGUGGUGUAUUGGACUGCUUAUGCUGCUAGAAUUGAAAAUUUUGAAGAAGCUGCUUGCCAAUUGCGCAUUUCUUCUACUAAAAAGUUGUGUUUGGAUUGUAAAACCCAUUCGAAUUGGAUUUUUUUAAUGUUACAAACAGUUGCAAUUUAUAAAGACGUAUUUCCACGGGUUAAAGUACGUGAGAAACGCUACACUAGUUUGCCAAAUGAUGAUGAUUGGGUAGUUUGUAAUGCUAUUUGUGAGAAGUUGAAAUUAUUCUACCAAGUCACUGAAAUGUUCUCCGGUACUUGAUAUCCUACAUCAAAUGAAUUUUUUGCAAAAGUUUGUGGCAUUAAAGUAUCAUUGGCUCAGUGGAUGAAAAGUCCAAAUUGUUUAAUUAGACUAAUGGCAAAAAAGAUAAUGGCAAAAUAUCAAAAAUAUUGGGAAGAUUGUAAUGUGAUAUUUGGCAUUGCUGCAGUUUUGGAUCCUAGAUACAAAAUGAAGUUGAUUGAGUAUUAUUUUCCUAUCAUUUAUGGUGAUGAAUCAUUCAUGAAAUUGAAGCAAUUCGUCAAAAUUGUUAUUCUUUGUUGCAUGAUUAUCAAUAUCAAUCUAGUUUGGGUGGAAAUAGAGUUGAUAGUCAGUGCAUGGCUUCACAUAGUGAGCAUGUUAGUGGGAGUCAUGAUAAGAAUGAAGUUGAAAUGGAUCGUCUUGCUGAUUUUGAUAAGUUUGUGGCUUCUAACUCUAGUGAUGUUACUUCUAAGUCGGAAUUGGAUUUUUAUCUUGAGGAAAAUGUGUUACCAAGAGUUCCGACUUGUGACAUACUUGGUUGGUGGAAAACACAUGGGGUUAAAUACCCCACUUUACAAAAAAUGGUUAAGGAUAUUCUAGUUGUACCUGUCUCAAGUGUGGCAUCUGAAUCUGCAUUUAGUACUUGUGUAAGAAUAAUUAGUCCUUACUCGCACUUGGCUCUGGAAUGAAAUAAAUAGUAUACAAAAGAUGUAACUUCUACUUUUAAAUUUAUACAAUUUUUUUUGUAUUUCUUUAUUUAGUAAAUUAGUGGCUAUUUUUUUAUUUUGGUGCAGCUACUUGCUCUACUUUGGAAGGGAUAUCAUGUAAUACAUUGUUUGAUGAAGAAGAUGAUGUUGAUUGUGUUACUGAAUAGGUAUUAAAGAAAUUUGAUUCAUCUAAAUUGAUUUUCUCCAAUUGUUUGUUAUACAUUAUAGCCUGGUGACAAGUUUCUUUUUUUUUUUAGCAUCAAAUGUCAGGGUUGCUUUAUCAAGUGAGUUAUCACAUCUCAAGAUUGAUGAAGAGCAAAUGUUCUAAAGUUGUUGAGUUAUGUUAAUGACAAGAAAAACUGGAUUUAUUGUUAAGUGUUUUUAGUUUGUUAAAUAUGAGAAAUCAACUCGACUGAGUUUGUUGAAUACAGAAUGGAUGUAACUUGACUUGUUAUGCUUUUAUUUCCAUCUUGACAGCUUUUAAAUUUUAUUUAAUGUUGUUUACAAUUGUAUUAUUGUAAAUGAACAUUUAUGAUGGGUUGAUUUCUUUCCCCGCGGGGGAUUGCGGGAGAAACGGGGCGCGGGCGGGGUAGGGGUGGGGGCAAGGGAGGGGAAUGGAGCGGAGGAUGGGGGAGUUAUUUGACAACGGGCGCGGGGAUGGGGAAGGAUCCCCCGCCCCAACCCCGCCCCAUUGCCACCCUGGAAGACCGAAGAAAAAAUGCAAAUCCGGGUCCACUUUCUCGGAUUUCAAUCUGACUCUACCAAACCAGAUUUCACUCUUUUUCUUACUGCAACAAUCAGCAGCUAUUAAGGGCUAUGAAGGUUCACUUGGGCCUAUUCUUCAGAUUUUCGACAAGAAGGAACAGAACAACGAAGACUAAGGGAGGUGGGUUAACUUCUGGUUUUUGAUAGUGUUUUAAAAACUGGACCGGAUCGGCCAGUUCGACCGAUCAGAUCACGAACCGGCCUUAGCUCUGGUCCUGUUCAUGCUUUGGGUUGAUUAUAUUUAAAAACUGUAUUGAACCGUGUGAACCGAAUUGAACCGUUGAACCAGCGAUUUUUUUGUUUUUGUCUAUUAAAUUGAAAAAAAUUAAAAAGAAUAUAUUUUCCUUAACGCUAAAGACUAAUUAUUAAAUGCCACAUUCACUCACUUUCUUCUCAUUAUUUUGCCUCUUAUCAAGUUUAUAUUUUUAUUUUGUAUUUUCUUGAAAUAAAUAUUUCUCGAAAAUAUGCUUAAGUUUUAGGAGAUAAAUAGAAAUAGAGAGAAAGCUAGCUUGGGGGGAAAGGGUAAGGGGCGAUGGACAGAGUGGUUGUAAGUUUUUAUGUAACAAAGAGAUAGAUUCACUGAAGGGGCUGCGUCGGGAUUUGAUUAAUUAAUGGGAUUUUUUUUGGUUUGGUGGAGAAUUGCUUUUGUUGCAGAUUUGAAUAUUAUAGUGAUUAAUGGUAUUAAAAAAAAGAAGAAUGAAAUUAAGAGGAACGUGGAAAUACAAAUGGAAACGGCGACUGCCUCUGACUGACUGACUCGCUAAUAUGGGUUUUUGAUUGUUUAAUUGCAUUAAACAAUAAUUUAAAAACACAAGAGUAGGAGGGAGGAUUCAUUAAAUUUGUGUUUUGACUGGGGGAAAGGGCUAGAGUGACAGCUUGGGUUUCAAAUGAAAUAAACAAUGAUGAAUCACUUUUUUAUUUGUUUGUUAAAUUUUAGGGUGAAAUUACAUUUAUAUCCUCGUUAUUUUGAUUUUCAACACUAAUAAAACCACACUAGAGGUGCGUGUUCUCACACUCUAAAAAUACUGACGGUUCAUCAAUUUUAAUAAGACAGAUCUUGUAGUUUAGGGACUUAAGUGUCCGAUUUUAAAGUUUAGAUACUGAAGUGGAAUUUCGCGUACAGUUUGAGGGAGACAAAGUGAAAUUAACUCUGAUUUUUUGGAUAGUUUAGCCUUAACCAUUUUCUAACUACCCAAAUCCUUUUUUCCACGCCAGUGAAUGACUUUUGUUAAGUGACAAACCUUAAUCUCGAGAAAACCACAAAAGGCGGCAACUCUUGAGGUUUCUCAAGAGACUUAUAAAUUAACCCAAAUCCCCCCCCCCCAGCCCGAUGUGGGAUACUAACUUCGCAAAUCCCAUCCUUAAGAAAGUUGGGAAAAGUACAGAGUGACUUUUGGCCACAAGUAUCACUCUUGACAGAAAGUUGUAUGCUUUUUGAGAAUUAGCAAAGUUGCGAUCCCCUUAGUCAAAAUUUUCCCAAGUUCCUUUUAGGAAAGCAUCAUCCUCAACUUUCCAAAACCUUUCUCGAUAUAUAAAGAAACAGAAGUACCAAAAAGAAAAACGGAAAAAAGAAAGAGGAACUUUCCAAAAUUGUUACCACUAAUCAUACAACGUUGAUUAAUUUUCCUGGUAGAUUUCCGAACCAUCAAAGGACAAAGACACUGCAUAACUAUAUAAACGCUUUCAAUGCCGCACAAUUUUAGUAUUCUAGACCUCUUCGUUUCUUCAAUUUCUUUUGUGUAAUGUUAGAAUAAACUAUAAUAGCAGCAAAAAAAAGUAUGAUGAACUUGAAAAAAAAAUCGAGAAUGGCAACGUUUAGUUUUCGUCGGCGCCCUCGAAAGUGCAGUCAUCCACUUAGAUCCUAUACAAAUUCGAUUCAAGAUAAGUUUCUGUAUUGGCCCCUGAUUGAAGAAAAAGUAACAACUUUGAAGAAAUCUCGUCAAUCUAAUACAAGAAAAAUUGAGGGGUCGUCAAAAAAUACUACCAGGUUGCCUAAUCUUGAUGAUCAUCGACAGAAAAUCAAUCAAGAGAAACGCAUGCAGGAAAAAUUACCUUUCAAGAACUCUACUGGAAAGCGACAUUCUGAAGUGAUACCAAACGGGAAAAGAACAGUGAAGAGGAAAGUAGUGAAUUCUGAUGAGCAGACUGUGUUGCAGAAUAAUGGGGAAGGCAAUGUUCAUGAAAAUCUUGUGCUGCGGAAUGGUAUUAAUAUUAAUCGUCCAUCAUCACAAGAACAGCCUGAGAAGUUGAAGAAUUUUGUGAGGGGUCUUGGAGAUACCGGGGACCCUGUUUUGGUGAUCAAGAAGAAACUAUACACAUCAGAUGUGGAUCCUGGACUUCAGAGAUUCUCAAUACCAUGUAAGCAAGUGGUGAAUGAAUUCUUGACAGAAAAAGAGAGGAAAAGAUUCAACAAAGGGAACAAACAAGAAGAAAUCGAUGCGAUUCUGAUUGGAUCAUCGUUUGUUCAAUAUAACAUCAAGUUGAGAAAAUGGUACAUGUCAAGUUCUUCCUCGUACGUUUUGGUGAGUGGUUGGAAUGAGUUCGUGGAGAAGAAUGGAUUGGAAUCCGGGAUUGACGUGCAGCUCCGGUCAUUCAAGAGGGGAUCGAAGUUGUAUUUUAUUCUGAUUAAGGUCUAAUUAGUCACAUGAUUACUAGUGUUUAAUUAAUUUGUUAAUUGAAUUCUUGGACAGUAACUGUGUUUACUCUUAGUUAAUCAUGUAAACGCAGAAUUAAUACUAUUCAUCUUGUUGAUGUUUUAAAGGUUGGAUAUAUUGCUAUUACUAAUUUUAAAUUCCAACUGUAAUGGGAUUUUUGGAGUUUGGACAAUAAUCAGAUUCCCAUGUCUUUGCUAGCAAUUUGUUAGUUAAUAUAAACUUAAUAUGGUAGAGAAGAGAGAAAGAAUCGAUUUGUUGUUAUUUGCAUGAAUUAUGUCAUGAGUAGAUAUUUAACGUAAAUUAGCCAUCGGAGACAUACCACUUUAGUAACUAAGCUGCCCUAAUACAGUUUGCACCAGAGAACUGCAUUUAUCAAUCGCCUAGUCUCAUUCCCUUAAGUAGUCAGCUAAAUGAAACACAAAAUAUCUAUCAAAAAGAGAUCAUAAAUCAUAAUACUAAACCAAAUGGCAGCUCCGGGGCACAUUACUCAAUUGACAUAUUCUAUAAUACGAAAAUGAGAAAAAGUAGGCAAUAUAGAUGUAUGGAGAAUUGUAACAGUUUGGAGGUGGACUAUGCCACCCCUUGUGCUUAGGCUUGUAUUCUGAGCUUUGUAUUCUUAAAAAUAUUUUUGUGCAAAGGUAGUGAGUUGAUGGCUAGACCUGCAUAUGAGCCUUUGUAUCUAUAUGUUGAUACUGAUUGCUCGUUGUAUUGUUUGAGGGAUUCCUACACUUGUGUUAUGUGCUACCACUUUUCUAUUAUUAAUACAAUUGAUGCUUAAAAAAAUGGGAUUAAUUUUUAUGCACUAAUAGUGUAGUAAUUUUUUUGUCUAUUAGUUAUGGAUGUAUAUCCUAUGUAUAUGAUUUGAAUUUCAAUUUGAAUUUAUAUUAUGUGACAAUAAUUUAAACCUGCUAGUAUAAAAAAAAUGUAUACUAACAGUUUAUAAAAAACUGACAAAAAAAGGAGAAAUAGUGGCUGCUGCAUUAUCCUUCAUAGGAGGUACAAAAGAAAAGAGGAAAACAAAAUGAAAAGUUUGAGAAAAUAAAAUUGUAAAUGUAACCAUUUCUUCAUUUCUUUUUUUUUUCCUGGGUUUCAAAAAAAAAGAGUAAGUGGAAGUCUACCAUUUCAAGACUGCUAGCGGCAAAAUUUGAACCCUAACUUUCAUUAAGUUGAACGCAGCCUUAAAAAUUCAGCCGCAUCCACAUAGGCUACUUUAUGAUUAGUCUAUUUAUUUCAAAUUUGGGGUAAAAUAGGAUUGAAGGGCCACAUUGCAAGAUUUCGUUCAAUUUGGAGGACCAAACUGAAACUCUGUAAGUUUGAAGGGCCAAAAUGAAUUGGUGUAUAUUAGCCUACGGUUUGGAGAUUUUCACUUAGCAAAUAAGUAAAAACAAAGUCCAAAAACUAAAAAGCAAACUAUUCAUGAAAAGAAAACGACAAAAUAUUAGGACACGAUGGCAGAAUUGGGUUGGAUUUACUAGACCCAGAUCGAUCAGGCCUACCAAAUUUCUUUAUACUUAGAUUCAAGGGAGAAUUGUAAUUUUGAUCCCCAAUCUAUAGUGUAUGCGCGUAAUUAGUCUCCAAUCUAUUUCGAAAAUCAAUUUUGGUCUCCAAUCUAUUCAAUUUUGCACUAAAAGUGGACAAUUAAUGGAAUUUCUUCAAUUUCAACCGGAACUAAGUCACGUGAGAUCAUAUGCCGGCACUAAAAUCCCUUUUUCAAUUUUUUUAAUUUCUGAAACACGUUUUUUUUAAUAUUUUCAGCUUUGUCUUGCCUUUAGACAUAUUAAACAAAGGCAUUAAAGGCUAAAAUUCACUAAUCAAUGAGUGGACCCCACCAUGUGUAGAAAUAAAUCACAAAACAAAGUAGGACGAUGACGUCCUCUACUGCCUUCUUUCCUCAUCUUCUUUCUUCCAACUCAAGAACAAACCCUAGGAGCCUCAAUCCCUUUCUAAUCAGACAAAAAAAUUUGUCAUUCUAGCAAAAAGUUGCAAGAUCUGGGCAAAAACUUGGGGUCGAGUUUCUUUUUUUUUUCAAUUUAGCUCGUCAUGGAACCAAUGAAAAAUUGCGACUACAAGCAGCAAGCAAUAAUGGUUACUUCUUGGACAGACAAUAAUCCUAGGAGAAGAUAUUUCACUUGUGCAAUCAAGAAGGUAUGGUUGUCUCUAUUUUUUAUUUCGACUUUUCUGUCUCUAUUUCUGAGUUUUGAGCUAAAGCUUUAUGAUGUUGGCUGUGAAGGGUGACAGAGGGAAAGAUGCGAUUAUUUUGAAUGGCAUGAUCCAAAAAUGUGUAGAACGUCAACAGCUCUGAUUCCUAGACUACUAUGGAGCAUGAACUCUAAGAAUGCUACAAUUGAUAGGCUAAGAGCAAGGGAAAGAAAAUUAUUGUUAGCAAUUUUGUUAUUGGUACUUCUGCUGGUUAUUGUGUUAUUGGUGUAAAAGGCAGAAGGUUGGAUAGUCUUGGUAUCAACUAAGCAACUCAAGGAAAAUGUGUUAAGUAUUAGGCUAAGCUAGGUACUGUCUAAACUUAGAGAUGAAAGACAUUCCUCCUGUUCUGUAAUUUUGGUAGUUUUUGUUGGAAUGGGUGAAUGUGUAAGUUGUAAUCUACUAUCAGGCUAGUACUUUCUGUUUUCUUGAAUGAAUAGAGAUGAAAGACAUUCAUCCGGAUUGUAAUUUUGGUAUUUUUUGUUGGAAUGGGUAAAUGUGUAAGUUGUAAUUUACUGACAUCGGCUAGUACAUUCUGUUUAUUUUGAAUGAAUGAAUAUAUUUGAUGUUCUAAUCUGCUUCUAAUUGGUUGUGCUUUUAAAGCUCAUUUACAAGUUAACUGGAUGUUGAGUUCAUUUACAUAUGUAAUUUCUAGUUUAUGCAUGAACAUGGGUUACAUAUCAUUGGAUUAAACAGUCCCAAAAAUCAGAAUAGGAAAUUCACUGCAAUCCUUGCAUUGCAGAUGUAAAGAAACAUGGAAAAAUAAUAGGAAUUCAGUGCAUCCAAGUCAUCCACAGCUAGAAGCAUACUUUCACAACCACCAUCCCAUUGAUCAAAUAAAGGCGUUUUCCUGCCUAGAAUCCUAUAUAAAACUUGAAGCAUCUAUUUAUGAUAAUUUCCACAAUCUAGAACGACCAGAAAACAGAAUGAAAACUGAACUUCAAAAACCUGAACGUCAUAUGUAAUGGAACAGAACGACCAGAAAACAAAAUGAAAACAGAACGACCAGUAAGCUACUAUAAAACCUGAACAUCAUAUGUAAUGUUGGAUAGUAAAACAAAACAAAUGAUAACAUACCAAAAAACAAAAGAAUACCAAAAGAUAAAAGAAGAUUUCAUUACUGGCUUGGAACUAAUGUACAAAAGACACAUUCAGAAUUCAUUACAAUCACCAAAUAGACACUACUUUGUCAUUUGGCAGAAAUGAUUACAAACUUCAAAACUGUCAUGUUCACGCUGGCUUGUUCUCAAGAUACAUCAGUUCCAAAUACUGACAAUAGCUACUAAUCUGACAAAAGCUACUACUAAUCAAAUUCAGCAACACAACCAUCCAAAAGGUGCUGAUUAGCAACAUUAAGCUAGGUACUGAUUAGCAACAUCCAAAAGGUGCUGAUUAGCUACAUAUCAGUUAGCUUUCCCUUUGUCAUUGCAAGGUGGAUUUGAACAUCUUUGAUCCUAAAAGGUAUCCCUGUUCUUCCUUGGCCAACUGAUUGACUGCUAUGUACCACAAAAUGCUCUGGAAUCCCAAAAGCUUCAUGCAGGUUUGGUUGAGCAGUAGGGGCAAAAGAUAUUAUGCUGUCAUCACUAGUUGCUGGGUUUUUCUAUGAUGAAUCUAUUUGCUUUACACCUUGUUUGGUUCCAUUUCCCUGCAAUACAUCAGCAUUUAACCACUAAAUAUUGAACUCACAAGAAACAAUAACUAAAUGUACAUUAAGUAAUAAAAUUACAACAGAUUUUCUUGAUUUUUUGUUCUCCUCUUCUUUGCAUUUGAAGUGUUGCCCCUGACUUGCAACAAAGCACAAAAUGCAUUAGCUGCUACAAUGUUACAAACACAGGUAUAUCUAUUUACACAAAUUACAUGCUUGACUUACAGAGUUAUCUACUCUCAUGUCAUCUAGUUGUGAGAGACUCAUAUUCUCUUGAUUUGAUUGUGUUUCCUGCCCCUGUUCACUCAUUUGACUGGCUGCAACACCUGCUUCCUCUCUAAACUUAUAUGUCCGUGUGUUAUGACCUUACUCACCACAGAAUGAGCAUUUAUGGAUUUGACCAAAUCUCCUCAUCUUCUUGCCCUGCUCCUUUAUUUGCUGUAUCUCGUCAGCAAAUUUUCUCCUCUGUUUCUUUGGUCUUCCUGGUGCUCUUCCAUAAGUUUGUGGUAGGGGUAGCUGAACAUCUACAUCUUCCCACUCAUGCUCUCCAUUCACAGGUAAAAUGCAAGGGUCAUAACACUUAAGAUACGUUUCAACACUGUAACAAUCAUCAAUGUACUGCAUAGGGUCCUUCAUAGCAAUCCACAAAGCUGAAAUUGCAUGAGCACAUGGUAUCCCUGUCAAAUCCCAUUUCCGGCAUGGGCCAGUCCUAUCCUCAAUAUUGACUACCCACUUUUCACCAUAAGGACAAGCAACUUCAAAAUUGACAUCGUUUGAUUUGUAAGACACACAGUAAGUUGCCUUGUCAAUAUUGUCCUUCAUCAUUUUUCUAAUUUUUGGACAAAAACCAAAUUUACUCCGCUUUUCCCUAGCUCUUUCUCUAUUUUCUUGCAUUCUUUGCAUGAAAACAUGCCUAAAUGCGUCCAUCAUGACAACAAUAGACCCUUUCUUGGCAUCUAAUAUUUUGCUGUUAAAUGAUUCACAUAUGUUAUUCAACAACAUAUCACAUUUAGGGAAUGUUCUGAAAUGUGAUCUACUCCACUCUGCUGGAUUCUUGUCCUCUAACCAUUUAAUUGCAUCAACAUCUAGUUCUGCUAUGGCUUCCAUUCUUCUUAUGAAUUGUGCAUGAGUAGUUGGCUUAGCCGCUUUCCAUAAGGCUUGCCUCAUGGCUGUCCCUUUGAAUCCAGUAGCUACCAUAUUGCUAUGCAUAUGCUUCACACAAAAUCUAUGAUCAGCCCUUGGAAAAACUGAAUCACAUGCCUAAAUUAUGCCCUUCUACUUGUCACUCAUUAUGGUCCAUUCAUAGUCUUUUUCAAUUUUUAGAUCCUUCUUAAGUAAAGCAAGAAACCAAAUCCAGAAAUCCUUAGCUUCUCCCUCAGUUGCUGCAUAAGCAAUUGGAUACAAACCAUUAUUUGGAUCAACUCCAACUGUUGUCAAUAAUACUCCACCAACCGCACCUUUGAGAAAAGUCCUAUCUAACCCAAACACAGACCUGCAAGCAUCUAAAAAUCCUUUUUUCACCCCAACAAAGCACAUGUCCACUCUCUGAAAUUUUCCUUGUUUGGUGACUGAAUCAAGAAUCAAAGUAGUCUUCUGCCACCUUCAUCACUACAGUACUACCUGGGUUGCUUCUCAAGAUUUCAUUGAUAUAUUUAGGCAACUUAUUGUACUGGUCCACAUCACUACCUUGGGCCAACUCCCUGCCAAUUUUUUUAGCUUUAUAGCCUUGAUGUCUACUCAAAUAGCACUUGUUCUCUUUCAUUACCAGGUUUUUGAAGCUAGCAUAAUCCAUCCUGGGAUUCUCCCUAAAUGUGUUAACAUAUUUUCUGCCAACCCACCCAGAUUUCACACUCUUGUUAUGAUAUGAAAACCCACACUUGUGCUUCUGUUGGAAUGUUCUAACUUCCAAUUUGCCAUCACCUUUCAUCUUCCUAGCAUAUAUGCACCAGUCACAUCCUUUGUUAGGACAAAUUGCCCUGCAUCUAAUGGUGUCACUCUUGGUAAAUUUAAAUGGUCUACCCGCGCUUCAUAUUCAGGUUCUAACUGCCUCUUUAAACUCCUUGAAUGUGGUAAAUACCUGCCUAAUUUCAAGGUUGGGUUAUCUGCAUUCUUGGGGUCAUACAUAGGGGCUCUUGAAAGGCCCUUUUCAUCUGAACCUUGGAGACUAUCAAUAUCUGAACCUGAAUCUGGUGCAACAUCUAUGUCGGAGUUGUCAUAAUUAGUAUUAGAAUUACUCACUGUUUGUCCCCUAGUUUCCUCUACACAUUCCUUUUUUUCAUUCAUCUUAAGCUGCUCUUUCCUGUGAUUUUCUACCCCUAACCAUUCUAAAUUAUGAUCAACAUUUUCUUCAUAGUCAUUGUCAUCAAAAUUUUGCUCAUAAUCAGAAUCUUUUCCUGAGAAUUCUCCAGAAUCAAAACCCUCUAUAUAUUCACUAUUAGAUUCAUCAUCUUCAUCUUCUAAUACAAAAUCUUCUUCAUCAACAUCAGACCCCCACUGUGAUGCUAAUAACUCGCUAAAAGAAACCUCUAUGUACAAAUCAACUAUCUUUCUAUACUCAAAUUGAUCAACACAAUAGGCAUGCAAUUCUCUAUCAUGCUGUAACCGACGGAAGCCAUGUUCCUCUAUCAAAAUGUGGUGCUUUUUGUCACCUAUAGCCCCAACCUGACUUUCUAACAUUCUAUCCAUUUCAAAAAGGCUUAUACCUGUGACCUCUACAUGAUCAAACACCCUUAAUUCACCUCCCUCAUAAUGAACAUCAGGUUCAGUUUCACAUUUUCCCUAUAAGUGACACUUCAUAGUCACUGUCGUGCUAUCACUGUCUACAUUUUAAAAAAAAAAAAGAAACAACAAACAACAAACAACCAACACAGACCAUAAUUUAGAUGACAGAAAUAGCAAAACUAACAAACUGACAAUAAAAAAUGCAUACUUUAGCAAAGAUUCAAAGACAAGGACCAUCAAUUGCAGUAAAAUAAGUCCCACUUGUAUAGUAUGAACCAGCAUGAUAAAAUCCCAUUUAGAGACACACAUGGGACCACAUCACAAAUGACAAAUUUUUUUAGUGCUUUUUUCAGGAUUGGUCAUUAAUAAAGCCUUCAUUACAGAUUUUUUGUCCCCUCAAGUACAAAAAACAUCUUUUCCACUAUAUUCUAACAUUAUAGUUGACGAUUGUGCAUAUAUAUCACAAAAAGAGGCAAAAUCACAUACCAUAAUUAGGUAUUGCCAGCUUGUUCAUUUCCUUAGGUCUCACUGCCAUUUCUGCUUUGCAAUGCCAUGAGCAGCUUCAGCUUGACUGAAUUUGACAAGAUUUUUCCGUAUUUUUUCACGUUUUGAUUCUUGAUUUUGGCUCUUAGGCUUUGUUGUUCUUUUGCUGAAGAGAAGAGAUCAGGUUGAGAAAUACGAGAGCAAAUAUUUCUUUUUCUGACAUUCAACCUUUUUGGUGGGGUCCACUCCUUGAUUAGUGAAUUUUAACCUUUAAUGUCUGUGUUUAAUAUGUCCAAAGGCAAGACAAAACUGAAAAUAUUAAAAAACGUGUUUUAGAAAUUAAAAAAAUUGAAAAUGGGGUUUUAGUGCUGGCACGUGAUCUCACGUGACUUGGUUCCGGUUGAAAUUGAAAAAAUUCCGUCAAUUGUCCACUUUUAGUGCAAAAUUGAAUAGAUUGGGGACCAAAAUUGAUUUUUGAAAUAGAUUGGGGACUAAUUACGCGCAUACACUAUAGAUUGGGGAACAAAAUUACAAUUCUCCCUAGAUUCAACUUUAUAUCAUACCCAACUCAUGACCAAAUAUAAACUAAUAUUGCAUAAAUUUAGACUUUACCCAGACCUAUUAUUCUUUUAUAGGAUCUAGAUCUGGAUAGAUUUGAAUUUUAUAAAAACCCAUAAAAAAUAUGAUAGGUUUAAAUUGGUUUCGGGUUAAACCUAACUCAUUAACAUGCCUAUCUAAAGGCUAAAUUUGUCUCAUUUAUUACACUUACAUUGAAUAAAUUCAUUUCUUUUAUGCAUGAGAAAAUAUCAUUUGUUGGUAAAAAUAAAAGCAAAAAUACCUAUUUUUAUUAAAUCAACUGUUCUGUAAAUUAAAGAAUGAUUUUGUCUUGAUAUAUCUUUUCCUACUAUGUGGUAGUCUAUUGUACCUAUCGAAUUUAAUCAAGUACUUACAUCUAUCAGAUCUAUUAUAUUUCUUUAGGUUGCUUAGUAAAGAUAUUUGGCCUACAGUUUAAUAGUAAUAAACAAAUUGUCAGAACCAAAAGAAACAAGAAAAAAAGUUGGAACUCUUGCAACACUUUGAAUACAACUUUAUGGAUGAUAUGCUAUAGAUGAAAUGCAAAAGAAUAAUUAAGUUCACAUCUCAAGACGAAAGUAUGCAUAAUAGUUUGAUGUAAAAAGGAAUCAUUUUAUAUUGACCGAAGUAACAGAAGCUUCAAAGAAUACAAAAGUUUUCGCAUUACUUGAUUUUUGAAAAAAUAGAGGGUUAAAAAACAUGCACAAGUUAUAUGAUAAGGAAAGAGUAAAAUUGGUGGAGGAAAAUCAAUAAGUGUGUCUGGAUAAGAGAUGAUUUGGGACAAUAUUUUUAAAAUAUUCAUGUAGUAGCUUUUUGAUUUGAUGUAUGUGUAAUAAAAAAGUUGUUACAAAGUAUGUUUAUGAUGUAAGCAGAUAAAUUUGUGUGAUUAGUUUUUUAUCUAAUCUAAACAUACUCAAUAUUCUUAUAACCAAACCUGUACAGAUAAAUUGGCUGCUUAAAUAUGAAAUGGAUCCAUGCUAACUUUCUUGGUGGUAGAGUAGUAUAAAAAAAAAGGAAAGAAAAGAAACCACAGCCCUUAGAUUGAUUCAAAACAACAUUAUCUUCUACACCUUUAUAAUUGCUUCAUCUGUUCUUAUCAUGCACGAAUCAACUAUCAAUUUUAUAAUUAAUAAUUUUCUCAGUAUUAUCUUAGACUAAAUCUAUUUUUCAUAUCCACAUGCAACCUACGUGCUUUAUAUAUAUAUAUAUAUAUAUAUAUAUAUAUAUAUAUAUGAAUGGAUCUGAAUAUAUGACGCGAGUAAAAUUUGAAACUCAAAAAUAAAUUAAUAUUAAUUGUGGUCCCUUCAUUCCAAUCCCUUAAUUAUACACAGUUGAGUAGCAAAAAUCAAUUCUCGAAAGAAAAUUCAUUGAUGCAAUCUAUUCUACUAGCUGUCGGAUGCAAGAGACCCAGCUACCCUGCAUUUUAAAAUCAAAACCCAGGCUCUUGUUCACUUAUUUUCUCUUUUCGUCCUCGCUCAUCCUUUUUAUGCCCCAACAGUGAAUACAAUUUGCCAAGUAUUUACUCUCGGACUCUCCGGGGCUAAAACUGUCCAAGAAGCCCACAAGGGAAUUUCAGUUAAAACAAUAGAAUUACCUAACUCAAGCACCACGAUGACCAACACCGCCACCACUGCUGCCAGACAAGCUCAGCACACCAAGUUAGAAGCAGCAGCUGGUAGCGAUAGAGAUCAAGUGACAUCAUCCAAAGUACACGUUGAAAAAUUGACUUGGCAAUGAAGUGAGUCGUGGGCGUAUUUUACUAUCAGAAUUAGAGCAUAAGAAUUGCUUUGAAGGAAUUAGCUGAUUGAGUUGAAUAAGAAGGUUGGUCAUGUAUUAUUCAGUUGGUGAAAAUUGAACCGUAAGAUUGGUCGAUCAAAAUCCUCAUAUAUGCCACAAAGAAAAAAAAAUUGCAUUCUAUACCAGAAAUUGCACAUUUUAUUGUGGCUUUAAGAGAAAAAAGUAGAAAAGAACUUGAAACUCAAGCAUUUGAUACGUCCAUAAAGUUCAAAUUGUAUGGUUUACAACGAUAAAAUAUAAUAACCUUAAAAAUAUGCUCAAAAUAACCGAUAAAUGGAUAACACUCAAAAUAACUUAUUCUCAAUUAAUUCUACAUGGAAUCCAUUUGCCAAUAGCUUUUGGUUUCAGAUUUUUCUUAGAGCUUUGGUUGGAGAUAUACUAUUAUUCUUGACAUACCGAAAUCGCAAGCCUAUUCCUCAAAAGUUUGAUUUAAUUUCAUUCUACUUAUUUAGAAUCUAAAUAAGUAGAAUGACAUUAGCGCUUUUGGUUGGAGAUAUACUGUUAUUCUUGACAUACCUAAAUUGCAAGCCUAUUCCUCAAAAGUGAGAUUUAAUGUUAGUCUACUUAUUUAGGAUCUAAAUACAAAGAGAUUUCUUCAAGCUCAUCAUUUUCAUUGAUCUAGAUUAUAGGCCAAGCAAAAGUUUUCACAUACCAGAAAAUACAGUAUGGGAGUAAUAGAUAUGGAAUGAAUGCCUUUUGCAAGUAGGCAAUGAAAAAUGGGUGCAAAAUGCUUCAUGAAAAGAUAUCACAAUUCCUUAUUUAAAUAGCUAAAUGAAUAUCCUUAAAAAUUUGAAGAGUGAUUUUCUACAACAAAUGGUAAUAUAAUUUGCAAUUAUAUUUGUUAGAAAAAAAUUUGAAGUUUUUGCUUUUGUUACAUUAUAACUUUAAUCACAAAUUCUGACCAACACAACAUGAAUAAAAAAAUUUGUAGUUGGUUAAAGAUUGAAAUCAGCUAUAUAAGCUAUUUUUAAUACUAAUAAUAGUUGUUUUUCUGAUGACAGCUAACAAUGGAAUGCGUUAUUUUGGUUCCCAAGAAAAUUUUAGCUAAUUAUAUACGUGCAUCACACGUGUAUUUUUCUGGCAAAUCAAAAGUUUUAGUCAUUUUUAUGUAAUUUUGUCACAUCAAAUGAGGUACAAAUAACAAAUAUUUAGUUGUACCAAAAAUCUACAAACCAACACGCAUUGUAAGUAUAAACUAAUAUUGUUGCACCCUCUGAACAAAAAUCUCAGCUCCACCACUAGCAGUAAACACACAUAAAUGAGCAGUGCUUAAAUCACUGUUCACCCCUAAAACUAUAAAUACCACCAUGCCUAACCCAACUAAGGUUUUGAACACUCUCCACUUUCUUUCUCUAGAAUUGUGGUUUUACUCGGAUCUAACUUGAGCAUCAAAGUGACUCUAGGGGACAAAGCCUUGACACCCAAUAUGCUUCUUAGUGUUCUGCAGGUCAUCUGAUCAGCCAGCUAGUAACCUUUCUAGUCUAUUCUGUUCUGAUAAUCAAGGAAUUGCUUCUUCAUUAUGCUUGUACACUGAGAUCAAUGAUGGAAAUGUGCACACAUUCUCAUUUGAAUAUGCACAAGACUAAAGCAAAAGCUAUACAUUCUUUUGAGAUUUUUUUUUUAUUUUGUUCACAAAUGUUCCUUCUUCCAUUAUUGAUAUAUAAAACUCCCUCUUUUUUGACAAGAUUGUUGCAUUUGGGCCCAUGUGUUUUGGAUAAAAGAUUAUUUGCAAAACAUUUCAGGAUAAUCUUAAAGAACAUUUUGUGAUGUGAAGUGAUAUAUGAGAGAUUAGAAGAUAUUUAAGAAGAUAAAAAUGUAAUUGCAAAACAAAUUUAUAAUGUGCUCUUAUAACCAUUCUCAUCCCGAUUCAAGUCCUCCUAUUUGCUAGACCUGGAUUGCUGGCUGAAGCGCAAUCGAUUUAGUUCGACCCAACCUUAAAAGUGGGUAAUGCCCGUUGAUAAACCUGAUUUCUUGUUUCCUUGAUAGAAUUUAUCCAUGGGUAUUCUCUAAUCGCAUGAAUUACAGUUUCAUUUUCUCUGCCACAAAUUGAGCAUGCCAGAUUUCUAUGUAGAUGUUUCCCAUAUUUUUCCCAAUUGGUGGGGAUUCUAUAGUGUCUAAUCAAGCAUAACUAAAUUUGCCAUCUUAUAGGCUCUUUGACCUACGGUUGUAAAUUAAUCAAGUUACUUGACUCGAAUUUGUGAGUAUCAUAGUCAAAGGCUCUACUAGAAGCCAAAAUUAACUAAGUUUGAGGUGCAUAGCAUAUGAUCUUUGGUUUGAUUUUGUUCCUAAAUUGGUUUUGAUAUGAUAUGGUGAUAUUUAUAAAAUGCCUAAUUAAGGAUACAUGUCUUAUAAUCAAAGUAGGUUUUCAGCCUUGACGCUAUGCAUCAGGUGGUUAAGACUUGUUAUUUUACUACAAUGGGUAUGAGUUUGAAAUAUUGGAGUGUGGAAAGAAUAGUUCAAAGGAAAGGAAAAGCCAACAGGGAAAGGUUCGAGUGUGCCGGUGGUUUGCAUUGGUGUCAAUUAGGUGUUGUUUGCAUGUCUUUGUAGUACUUGGUUUCUAAUUUAUCUGAGCAGGUUUGCUGCUUGUAUUUCAUGUGUUAAUUGCAUCAGGAAAGAAUUGCCAAGUAGUGCUGAAUUUCUUUAUACGUGGCCAAUUUGUUGCUAAUAUAUAUGAGGAUCAUUGUCCUUGGGAGUAGACAUAUUGCAGUCCCUAGUCAACUAGAACACUUUCUUAUUCUUCCUUUCCUUAUUACAUAUUGACGACAAUGUGUGUAUUAAGUGUUGGGGUGGGAUUUGAAGACUUUGUGCAUUGUUUGUGAUUGAUUGUUGUUUGGAAAUUUUGGAAUUGAUCUUGCUAAUAUAUUGUGCUUUUAAUUAGUUUAAAUUUGGAUUUGCUAGUAAGAAGUUUCGUCCAAUUACAAGAGAAGACUCUGCCAAAAUUUUUUCAAAAUGUUGUUCAAAAUUUUUCAAUUUGGUCCAAUUAGGAAAAAGUUCUCAACCAUUAGGAAUUCAAAUUCUCUUACUUUUGAAAUAAAUAUAUGUGAUUUGAAAAAUUCAUUUCUCAAUUAGCUUGAAAAUAACUAUUAUAAGAUUGGGACUUUUGCAUUUAAGGAAAGCAUAUCUUGUAAAAUAAAGGAAAUUAUAGCUAGAAUUUUGCAUGAUUGAUGAAGUUUCUUCUUUUUAUUUGAUUUUACAAAGUUGAGUGAUAAGUAUGAUCAAUAAAUGAAAUACUCUUCGCAUAAUUAUUCGUUAGAGGGAAUAUCUAUUUAUUAUUUUUACUUUUGAAAAAAAAAAAGAAAAGAGAAUAAGAGUUGUACUUCUAUUCUAAUGGUUCAUGUACUUAAUAAUUAGGAGUAUUCAUCUAAAAAUAUCAACUUUUGUGUAAAACAAUACUUGACUUGAGAACAUGCAAAGCAAUUCAAUUAUGUGAUGUGUUAAAUAAUCGAGAGUGUUCAUCUAAAAAUGUUGAUUCUCGGUCAAAAAGCCACGUUUGCAAUUUGAGUAAGUAUUUGUUAUAUAAAAAUAAAUCCCUCUUUUUUAUUCGUGCAAAAGAAGAUCAUAGGUUGAGGAAGUUAAAUCUUGACUAUAUGAUUUAUUUGCUUGUGAAAAUGGGAUAGGAUAAGGAAUUGAGUUGAACUUGUUGAAAAUAUGGUAUAAUUCUCUCUCUCUUUGCUUGAUAUUAUGAGUAUUUGAGGUAAAAUGAAUGAAUGUAUAAUGGUUAUCUAGUUAGCUUUGAGGAAUUAAAUUCCAAGGGUGCACACAUGUUUAUUUCAAAUGUUUGAAUCAGUGUUGGUUUGUAUUUCCUAUCACUUGAGAAAAAGCAAUGAUUCAAGUAUAAUGAAAUUUGAUAAUAUUUUGCAUAAUUUUAGCAUGUUUUAUUGCCUGAAUUUUUAAUGUGUUUAAGUUAUUUUAGGAGCUAAUUAACUAGGUUUCUAGUUAAUUUUGUACUUUGUGGUUAAGUUAGCAAAAUUUCAUUUCUAUAAAUUAAUGUGGUUUAAACUUCAUGUUUUUGUACGUUUUAAUGACUAAAUCAUCAAAUGGAGUGAAAUGAGAAAAUUUGGAUUAUUCUUAAUGAUUUCAAGUGAUUUCAAGUGACAUGAAAUACAAUAUGAUUAAAGUAUGAAAUGCAAUCAAGUUCAAAUGAAGAAAAGCAUUGACAACCCUAACAAGUUCUAGUAUUUCAGCUAUAAGUUGAACUAUAAGUAUUCAAUUGAGAUUAUUCUUGGAGCAUUUUGGAGUUAGACCAAGGGCUACAAUUAUUAUAAAGACAUCGAAAUCCAAUUCACACAUUGCAAGGAUCAAAAAGCUGAAAUACUGAGGUGCAUUUUGGCUACCAAGAUCUGAAGUUGCAUUUCGACCAGUUAGGGGUAUUUAUAUCAUUUCUCAGUCUACAGAGCUCCUAUUAACAUGACUCUUGCAUUGAAAAACUAGCUCAACAACUUUUAUGUUUUGUACAAGUGCUAGUUUGACUUCCAUUAUCAAGAAAUUUGCAACUUAAAUUAGUGGAAAAAUAGAGCAAUUUCAGGAUUAAUCAUAAAAGUGCAAACCUAUAGGAAAGAAUAAAAUGCAAGCAAAAAGGGGCCUCUACUCACUUUUGUCACCCGUGUAUUUUUGUUUUGGCUAUAUUAUAACUAGAACCAAUUGCACUUCAACUUGCAACUAUUUCCUACUACUUUUUAUAUCAAUUUUUUGAAUAGAUUUUGGUUGGAAAAUGCAAGAAGCAUCUUGCAUUUUGGAGAAUCAACUAUUGGGAAUCUCAAAAUACAAUUUGCACAACUUGAAACAUGAUUAUUUGGGAAAAAAUCUUCUAUAAAUAGGCCAAUUAUUUUGGAGUCUAGAGAAACUACACCAAAAUGUAGUAUUUCAUUAGAACUCCCUAGUUCAUUAGUUAGUAUAGAUAAGCACAGUUUUAUCUAAUCUUUGUGUAAGCUAGGCAUAGAUAAGGUAGAAGUUGAAGAUGGAGAAGUUUGGAGCUCAUCUGACAAGGGUGACAUCUUGCCUAUCACUUCAUUUCUUGUAUUGAUUCUUAUGUUUAGUUGUAAAACAGGUUUGGAUCUUGUUUUCAUGUCUUUUAUAUUUUGCUACUUUUUACACCUAGAGUUGGAUGAACCUUCCAUGACUGUUAUGUGAGGUUUUCAUGGCCAUUUGAGUUAUAUCCUGAGCAAGUUAUUUAGCAUCAUGAUUAACUGAUCAGUAAUUGUGAAUAUUUAAAGGUGUUAUAUUAUCAUUAAAAGUUGUGAUUUAAUACUAGUUUAAGAAAGUGUUAUACCUAGGGAUUAUUCUCACAAAAGUAGAGAAACAUUUUGUGGCCUUAAUCAGGUAAUUUACUAGACUCUAAUGAGUUGAUAACUAAUUUCUUCAUUAUGAAAUGUAGGUGAAGGAUAGUUAUAGGUAUGGUCAGUACGUCAGUAAAAGCAAGUAUCACAUACAUUAGGAAAUUAGCCAUGACUUAGCCAAGAUAAUGAACUUCAUUUAUCUAGUAAUUUUCAUUGAAAAGAGCAUAUAGAAAUCCCAUAAUCUUAGGUAUUUUCCUUAUUACUUUUACUACUUUUUAUGCAUCUUUCUAGCAUAAAUUUACUUACUUUAAUCGUGAUAGUCUAAAUUAUAGAGGAGUCUGAAUCACAUUGAUAAUUGACAAUCUUACUUGUGGGAUCGAUGCUCAAAAACUUCCAAUACUCAUAUAUGAUCUAUACUCGUGUACGAUCAGUGCACUUGCUGAUAAGGGCUAAUUUUGUGACUAUUUUAAAGGUGUUUCAUGUCAUUUUUGAGUCAAUUUAUGGAGUUAAAGGUUAUAAGUUGCUCUAUUUGGCUUUUAAUUGGCAUCCUAAAAUGAAGUUGUAGUUAUGAUUUCAACAUUUUACUCGUAUAAUCUCUUUGUUUUUGUAGGGUAAAAUGAUCAAGCUCAAAUGGGAAUGAAAUGGUGGACUAAUAAAUUAAUGAAUUAGAAACCUAAGAAGUCACAACGAUGAUGCAAAAAGGUGGUGCAACUCAAGAACUUGAAAGGAUGAAGAAUGGAAAGUCAUAAAAGAAAAAAGGAGAGAAACACUGAGUGUUUCUCAAAGUUUCUAGCAGUUACUACAAGGGGUUAUAGGCAAAGAGUUCGAAUUCAAGGAGCAAAAUAGGGGAAGGCAAACCUUAGGAGAAUCCCCGAGGGUUUCUCACAAACCCCUCACGAUUCAUACAUAAACCCUUCCCAAGGAUUUGUUGGCGGGUGUAAUUUGCCAACUUGCUUGACUUUUUGUUUCUUUUCUAGCCUUGAUGUGACAUAAAGAAAUAUCCGUAUAGGCCAUUUGGGGUUCUAGGAGCUUCUUUACUUGACUCUUUGGCAAGAAAUAACACAUUAUUGAGGAGAGAGUUUAGUUCUUGAACAAGAAGAACAACUUUUCUCUCUAACUUAUUGUAGUUUUAGUUUUAGCUUUAGUUUUCAUGUCUUUGAAGAAACUUGAAGAACUCUUGGUGUAACACAGAAUUUUUUAUUGCAAUGAAAAUGUUGAAACUUGGUGAUCAUGUUUCUUCAUUUGAAUAAGCAUUUCUUCCUCUUCAUUCUCCUUAUUGUUGCAUUAAUGUGUAGUUACAUUAAAGAUACUAGCUUUAUUGUUGAAUCUACCUUAACUAAAUUUCCUUGUUCUAGGGAUAGAUGAAGUUAUUGUGCUUUGAUUAUGGUUGAAUAUAGUUGAUUGUUACUAUCCCUUGUACUUGGUUAUUCUUACUUUUAUACUUGUGAAUACUUGAUCACCAUUUGCAAGACAUGAUAGUCGUUAAUUUAUGAAAGCAGUUGACAAUGAUGGAAAUGCAAUAGUUGGAACCUAAAGAGUAGACCCACAAAAGCAAUGAUGAACUUAGGUGGAUGAUUUUGACAUUUUUUGUGCUUGAUUAAGUUUUCACUUGUGAUUUCAUUACAAAAGUAAGGAAACUAUAAUGUUGACUAAAUUUGAUUCAUCAGCGAGAGCAAGUUCCAAUGACUUGAAUGAAAUGCAUCUUUAACAAAACAAGUGCAUUAGUGAUAAUUGACUAUUUCAUCCAUAAUUAGGUACAUUUAGUGGAUUCUAUGCCCUAGCACAUUUGUGUUUAGUUGAAUUUCUUCAAAUUGUUAAUUUUCCUUGCAUUAUUGUAUUUUAUUUAGUUAAAAUUCUUGAUUAGUCUAGACAAUUGAAUGAGCUAAAAUCCUUUGUAGUUGAAAGUGAUUCUCAUGGGAUCGAUCUUAACUCCCUAAUACUAUGAGCCAUGAAUUGUAUACUUGUAGUGAAUGAGGAAAUUAGGUUAAAAUUUAGAACGUAGGUUAGAAUCUUGUCAAUUUUUUGGUGCCAUUAUAGGGAAUCACGGCAAUAUUGAGGCUAAGCAACCUUUAUUAGUCUAGGCAUUGUGUUAUAUUUUGAUUAUCUUUUGAGUUUGUAGAUAGAGUAGUUUAAAAUUAUCUUACUGUGUUGUCUUGUUUGUGGUCAAUUUCUUGUGGUUUGUUGUAGUGCAUCCAUAGGGCUUUACGCAUAAUAGUUCCAUUGGAUCAGGAAAUUGACAGGACUCUUAGGAAGCAACAAAAGUGAGCACUACAAGAAACUGUAGAGGCACAAGGCAAAGGAGAAAUAACUAUCAAUCAGCAACCAAUUGAAACAAUGGCUAAGGAAGCAAAUAGGCAAGCACUUAGAGAUUUUGCUCUAUCAGGAGCUCAGGGUGCUCAAACUAGCAUUUUGAAGACUAAUGGUAAAUGUCAAUAACUCUGAGAUUAAACUUGCACUUGUACAACUGGUACAACAAUCUCAAUUUGGAGAUAAUGCUAUUGAAGAUUCAAAUGCUCACUUGGAUACUUCUUGGAAAUUUGUGAUACUAUUAAGCUUAAUGGAGUUAGUGAGGAUACAAUUAGACUUAGGCUAUCUCUUUUUUCGAAUAUAGUUAAAGUAUGUUUGCAAUCUCAUGCGCUUAAAACUUUUAUUACUUAGGAUGAUUUAUCUUGUGUUUUUUUGAACAAAUAUUUUUCACCUAGAAAGACGGCUAAACUUAGAAUAGAUAUCACCAGUUUUAGUCAACAUGUAGGUGAGUCAUUAUAUGAAGUAUGGAAAAGAUUUAGAGAGUUGUUAAGAAGGUGGCCAUACCAUAGACUCCUUAAUUGGCUUAUUGUACAAACAUUCUAUAAUGGCUUAACUUAUAUGACUAAAACUAAUGUUAAUGCUGUAGCGAAUGGAGCUUUAAUGGGUAAAUCACCCAAGGAAGCUCAAAAUUUAAUUAAGGAGAUGGUAGUUAAUAACUAUCAAUAGGCGAAUGAGCAAGACAAUCUUAGAAGACAUGUAGGUAUGUUGGAAUUUGACACCCUUAAUAUGCUAAGUGAGAAAAUGUAUAAUGUUGUUAAUUUGCUUAACAAGCAAGUUGGAGUUAGGUCUAGCUCUUAUCUAAUGUAAGUAUUUUUUUUCUUGUAUUAUAUGUGCAGGCAGUCAUGAGAAUAAUGAAUGUGCUGAUUGUGAAUAGGAUCAGUCACCUCAAAACAACCCUUACUCAAACACAUUCAAUUCGGGUAGAGAAAUCAUUCAAAUUUUAGAUGGAAAAUCCAAAUAACCGACAAAGCCUGACAAAUUCACCGGACUCUCAACCACCUAUGAAGACCAAAUCGAUUUGAGAAUUGGCAAUGAGAGACUAGCUAAUGUGUCUAAUGAUAAGAUUGAUAAGCUAGCUAAUGCCAUUACAUAAAAUUUGGAAGAAUUAAGGGGAGGAUAGACCAACUUGCAAACCUGCAUAGGAAUGUCGAAGUCCAACUUCGGCAAAUAGCCGAUGUUGUAAACAAUAGGAACCAAUAAGAGUUUCCUAGUACAACUGAGAUCAGUCCAAGAGAGCGUGUUAAAGCUAUCACCCUAUGUAAUGGUAAGCAAUUGAGUGAUCCUCCGAUCAUUGAGCGAGAUAAAUAAAGUGAGAGGGAAGAAGAAGAGAUAAGCGAGGAAGUAAUAAGAAGAUGUGCAGGGGAUAGGGAUAAAGGAAAAGAGAUUGUGAGUGACUCUUCAUCUUCUGAGACUAUUUCUAUUCCAUCAUAGGUACCAUUUUCUGAGAGUUUAAGGCAAUCAAGGACUAACAAAGAGCUUUAAAAUUUUGUAAAGAUUUUAAACAAUUACAUAUUUAUAUUCGCUUUGUUGAUGCUAUUUUGUAGAUUCCCUCCUUUGUAAAAUUUAUUAAGGAGAUAAUGACCAAAAACGAAAGUUGGAGAACUGUGAAACAAUUGCAUUAAUGGAAAAGUGCAUGCUAUUAUUCAAAAUAAAUUGCCACUUAAGUUGAAGAAUCCGAAAAAUUUCUCCAUUUCUUGCACCAUUAAUAAGGUUGAAUUUUCAAAGGCUUUAUGUGAUUUGGGUGUGAGUGUUUCUUUAAUUCCUUUAACAAUUGUUAGGCAAUUAGAAUUGAGUGAGUUGAAUUGCACUAAUAUAUCUUUGCAACUAGUUGAUCGAUCUAUUAGAUAUCUGAUGGACAUUCUUGAAACUAUACUCAUUAAAGUACAAAAGUUUAUCACCCCUAUUGAUUUUGUUAAAUUAGAUAUAGAAGGGGAUGUUAACAUAUAUUAUUAUCUUGAUAGAUCCUUUUUGGAAAGUAUAGGUACAAUCAUUGACGUUCAGCAAAACCUAAGUUCCAAAUUGGUGAAGAGGAAGUGGAGUUUGACUUGAAUCACAUGAAAAAGUGCCCCCCUUGUAUCGAUCAUGUUUAUGCUAUUGGCAUAGUUGAAAAUCUAACCAAAGAGAUGAGCUGAGUCAACCUCGACUAUGAUUCUCUUGAACUUUGUUUAAAUGGUAUAGGUAUAUAAGAGAAAGAUACGAAAGAGAUGACUAAGGACUUGGAUGCCCAAUUACCUUACAAGAGAGGCAAUUCAUAUGAAAGUUUAGAGAUGAGCAAGGACUUCCACCACCAUCAGAUCAACAAACUCCUAAGUUGGAGUUCAAGCCGUUUCAAAAGCAUCUCAACUAUGCAUUUCUUAGAGAAUGUGCGACAUUACUUGUAAUUGUGAUUGUAAACCUUGUUGUGGAGCAACUUGAGAUGCUUCUUAAAGUCUUGAGAAAACAUUUGAGAGCUAUAAGAUGGAUUAUCUUUAACAUUAAGGGUAUUAGCUCCGCCAUUUGCAUGCAUCAAAUUUUUUUGUAAAAAAUUACAAAUCAAUUAUUAAGACUCAAAGACGGCUAAAUCCAAAUAUAAAAGAGGUGGUAAGAUUAGAAAUUCUUAACUGAUUGGACACAGGUAUGAUUUUUCUUAUUUCUAAUAGUAUUUGGAUAAAUCCUAUAUAUAUGGUACCUAAAAAGGGUGAAAUCACUAUAAUUUGAGGUAAAAAUGAUGAAUUGAUUCCCUCAAAACCUGUGAUUGGAUGGAGAGUACGUGUAGAUUAUAGGAAGUUUAAUGCUGACACAAGAAAGGACCACUUUUCAUUACCUUUUUUUGAUCAAAUUUUGGAGAGACUAGUUAGUUAUGAAUUUUAUUAUUUUCUUGAUGAUUUUUUAAGAUAUAACGAGAUAGUUAUUGCUCUCGAGAAUUGAAAAAAGACCUCAUUCACAUUUUCCUAUGGCACAGUUGCUUUUAGGCAAAUGCCUUUUGGAUCUACAAUACCCCCGCUAUAUUUCAAUGUUGCAUGAUGGCAAUUUUCUUGGAUUAUAUUGAGAAAAUUAUGAAAAUUUUUACAGAUGACUUUUCCAUUUUUGGAUCUACUUUCGAUCAUUGUCUAAAUAACUUGGAUUUGAUUUUGUAGAAAUGUAAAAAGACAAAUCUCAUUCUAAUUAGGAAAAGUGUCAUUUCAUGGUUCGAGAAAGAAUUGUCUUAGAACACAAAAUUUUAUCCAUAGAUAUUGAGAUGGAUAAAACAAAGAUCGAGGUGAUUGAGAGGAUGCAUUCACACCAGCAAUAUUAAACGAAUUUGAAACUUUCUUAGACAUGCUGGUUUCUAUCAAUGAUUCAUUGAGAAUUUCUCCGAAUUAGCUAAGCCUUCAUGUGAUUUACUUACUAAAGAUGUUCCUUUUAAUUUUAAUGAUAAAUAUUUGUGUGCAUUUAAUAGAUUAAAGAAGGAACUCACUUCUAUGCCAAUUAUACCAUUACCAAACUGGAGCUUGCCAUUUGAGUUGAUGUGUGAUGUUAAUGAUUUCAUAGUAGGAGCAUAUUUUGGACAAAAAUGAAAAGAGAGAUUGCAUGUUAUCUACUAGCAAUAUUAGUAGAUUAGUUAAUGAAUUGCAACUCAAUUAUGUAAUCACAAAAAAGAACUCUUGAUGAUUAUAUUUGCAUUAGAUAAUAUUAGGUCUUAUUUAGUGGAAUCUAAAAUUAUCAUUUAUAUGGAUCAUGCAACUCUUAAAUGCUUAUUGAGUAAGAAAGAUGCAAUACCUCAAGUAAUUCAUUGAAUUUUAUUAUUGCAGGAAUUUGACUUUGAGAUCAAGAACAAGAAAGGAUAGGAGAAUUUAGUGGAAGACCAUCCUUCGUGUUUUGAAUAUGUCCCACAUGAAGAUCAAAUUCCUAUCAAGGAAAAGUUUUCGGAUAAAUUUUUGUUAGUAGUACAAAAGUCACCUUGGUAUGCCGAUUUGAUUAACUAUGUAGUUAGUGAAGUCAUUCCAAAGGAUUUGAACAACCACCAAAGGAAGAAAUUCCUUCAUGAUGCCAAGCAUUAUCUUUGAGAGGAGCCAUUUUUCUACAAACAUUGUCCCGAUGGCAUGAUAAGAAGGUUUGUGCUAGAAGAAGAGAUACAUGAUAUUUUAUUGCAUUGUCAUAGCCUUGAAAUGGGAGAACAUUUUAGUACAUCAAAAAUAGUGGCGAAAGUAUGACAAUCAAGUUUUUAUUGGCCAACUAUAUACCAAGAUAUUAGAAAUUUUAUCAAAUGUCAUGAGUGUCAAAGAACUGACAAUAUUUCUAAGAGAAAUGAAAUGCCUUUAACUAUUUUCAUGAAAGUUGGAUUUUUGAUAUGUGGAGUAUAGAUUUUAUGGGAUCUUUCCUAAUUUCUGUAAUAAUAAGUACAUUCUUAUAUCAGUUGAUAAUAUAUCAAAAUAGGUGGAAGUUGUUGUAUUGCCUACUAAUGAUGUUAAAGAUAUAAUUAAAUUCCUUAAAAGGAAUAUAUUUUGUAGGUUUGAAAUUCCAAAGACCAUUAAAAGCCAAAAAAGGUAAACAUUUUUUGUAAUAAAUCAUUUGACACUUUAUUGUUUAAAUAUGGUUGCAGGUACAAGAUUUCACUUCCUUAGCACCUGCAAGCGAAUGGCCAAGUGGAGUUCGCUAAUCAGGAGUUCAAACUUAUCUUAGAAAAAUGAUGACCAAGUUGAGGAAGAAUUGGGCAAAAAACUAGAUGAUGCAUUGUAGGACUAUAGGAUGGCAUUUAAGCAUUUGUUGGGAAUGUUGCCGUAUUGACUAAUUUAUGAAAAGCAUGCGAUCUACCUAUUGAGAUUGAGCAUAAAGCGGAUUAGGCCAUAAAGGCUAUUAGUAUAGAUUUUCAUCUUACAGGUGAGAAGAGAUUGUUUGAAUCAAGUGAAUUGAAAGAACUUUCGUCGACUUCGUGUAAGAAUGCCAAAAUAUAUAAGGAAAAGAUGAAAUUUUAGCAUGACAGGCAUCCUUCCUAAACAAUUUGAGGUUGGACAAAAGGUAUCAUUGUAGAUACUAUGAUGAUUAUUCAAUAUAAUUAUGUGAACAUAAAGAACCAUAAAACCUUAAACUUCUCCUCCCAUUAUAUGCCAUCUUUUUCCUUUCACAUUUUUCCUUUCUUCAUGACAGCUCAUGUCACCCUUCCAAAGAGUAAUCAUUUCCUCCCCUAAACCUAAGACCUCCAAACCCUAAUUGUCCAAUUCCCUCAUCUCUACUGUUUUCGGUCCUCUUUUACUCUCCUACUUUGCUAAUGUUUAGAUUUACAGCCGGCAUCUAUUAUAGGGUUCAAAAGGCUAAUGUUGAAGAGUCGCUCCACCAUUGCUUCUUUAGGAGCGAUUUCGUCGACCGAAAGAUUCCCUGUACGUUCAUCGAUAUUCCAGUUAAGGCUGAUUUUGAUGUGGCAGUCGAAGUUGCAAUGAAAGGAGGAAGGUGUUUUUUCUGCGUGCUGGGUACAGCCGUGGAAUGUGAGGAUGAGAAGGAAAAAUGCAGAAUCAUCAUGGAGAGAAUCAAUCGUAUCCUAGACUCGUACAUUGCAGCCAAAUGAGGGCGGAUAUAUGAUGCCUAUAAUGUGCUAUUACCCGAGAUUGCCGAAAAAAUAUGCAGAGUCUUAAAUUGUUUUCAAUGUUUAGAUAAAAAAAAAGAUUGAACACGAUGACGUAACUACUAAACACAUUUAUUUAAUCAAGAAGAGGGAGGAGAUUAGGCUUUUGCUCGUAAAAUACCAUCACAGAACCAUGGAUAGAACAAGAUGGAAUGGGACGACGAGAACUAAUGACAGCAGGUGCCUCCAGCGGAUGUAUGAUUUUUUAUUAUCCAUUAAAUCGUUGUUAGCUGUCGAGUGUGAUAAUUUUUGCUUGCAGGAAAACUAUGCUAAUUACACAGAUAUUCCUCUAAAACAACACCAGUAAUGGUUUCUCUAAAUUACACAGAUGUUUAGUCCUCCUUAUUUCCAUUUCUUAGACAUUUUCAAGUUCAUAUAGUCAAAAAGGAUACACUUAAAAGAUAUCAGGAUGCAAUCAACAAUCCGAUAGCCAAUUUGCCAUCUAUGGGAGAACCAAAUUUUGAAUUGGCAAGUCAAUUGGGUGACGAUUAUCUGUUGAUCAUUUAUGAAAUAGUUGCACCUGAGGAUAUGAGACUAUGUAACCUUUUGUAUGUUAUUUUAACAAUGGUCUUGUGUGAUGGUUUGAUUUUAGAAUUAGAAAGAAGAAUUAGAGUUGACAUCCACGUUUUAUUUUUAGAAUAUGGAGGAAGAAUAAAAGUUGACUACCAUGCUUUGAUUUGAGAAUUAGAAAGAAGAGUUGGAGUCGACCACUUUUCAUAUUUUAUUUGACAAGUUAAUUUUCUUAAUCAUUAUUUGAACUAGUAUUAAUUUUUACUUUAUGGAUAGAGGUUCUUUGCUGAACAUCAAAUGGCCUCACUUCCUCACUACUGAAAUAUAAUAGUACUUGCUAGUAAUUUUUUUUUAAAAAAAUGUGUUAUUGUACAAUUCAUGCCUUAGAUUAUUUUUCAAACAAAUUAAAAUUUAGGUGUUCCCUAUUCCAUCAUCGAUGUUCCAGUUAAUGUUGAUUUUGACGUGGCAGUCGAAGUUGCAAUGAAAGGAGGAAGGUGCUUUUCGCGCAUGCUGGGUACAGCCAAAUGAGGACGGAUAUGUGAUGCCUAUGAUGUGCUAUUUCCUGAGAUUAUUGAGAAAAUACGAGAAAUUUUAACUUCUUUUCAAUGUUUGGAUAAAAAAAGGAUUGAACACGAUGACGUGAAUGCUAAACAUUUUUUUAAUCAAGGAGUGGGAGGAGAUUAGCCUUUACUCGUAAAAUACUAUCAUAGAAUCGUGGGUAGAACAAGAUGGAAUGAGACGAUGAGGGCCAAUGACAGUAUAUGCCUCCAGCGGAUGUUUAAUUCUUUAUUAUUCACCAAGUUAUUGUUAGCUGUCGAGCGUGAUGAUUUUUGCUUGUAGAAAAACUAUACUAAUGAAGGAAUGCACUAUCAUCUGUUCCUAUUCAAUCAUGCAGAAAAACAUGUUUUUCCAACUCAUAUUUGCUCACGAUUGAUGGUUAGACAUCAAUCAAGUCGGAUACGUGUGUUGGAUACGCGCUCAGUCAAUCAAGGAGAAUGGACCAAGGAGACUAAGUCUAUAUCCAUUUGUGGCGUAAUUUUUGACCAUCCAAAAGAGAAAUGGAGGCAGAAAUAUAUGCAAUUAAAGGAAGAGUUAAACAAGAGGAUAACGAGUGGAGAAAAGAAUGAAAAAAAGAUGAAACAACAUUAGUAACAGUUCCUCUAAAUUACACAGAUGCUUGGUCCUCCUUGUUUGCAUUUUUUAGACAUUUUCAAGUUCAUAUAAUCGAGGAGAAUACAUUUAAAAGAUAUAUGGAUGCAAUCAAUAAUCCGGCAGCCAAUUUUUCAUUUAUGGGAGAACUGAAUUUUGAACUGGCAAGUCAAUUGGGUGACGAUUUUCUAUUGACUAUCUAUGAAAGAGUUGGAGUUGACUGCUAUUCAUAUUCUAUUUGCCAAAUCAAUUUUCUCAAUCUUUAUUUGAACUAGUAUUAAUUUUUACUUUAUAGAUAGAGGUUCUUUACUGAACAUCAAAUGGCCACGCUUCCACACUACUGAAAUAUAAUAGCACUUGCGAGUAUUUUUUUUUUUUAAAAGAAGGUGUUAUUGUGUCAUUCACGCCUUAGAUUAUUUUUCAGACAAACUAAAAUUUAAGUGUUCUUUAUUCCAUCAUCGAUGUUCCAGUUAAAGUUGAUUUUGAUAUGGCGGUCGAAGUUGAAAUGAAAGGAGAAAGGUAUUUUUUGCGCGUGUACAGCCGUGGAAUAUGAGGAUGAGAAGGAAAAAUGAAGAAUCAUCCCGGAGAGAAUCAAUCAUGUCCUAGAUUCGUACAUUGCCGCCAAAUAAGGGCGGAUAUAUAACGCCUAUGAUGUGCUAUUGCUUGAAAUUGCCGAAAAAAUACACGGACUCUUCACUUGUAUUCAAUGCUUGGAUAAAAAAAAAAAAUGAUAAUGUGCCUACUAAACAUUUUUUUAAUCAAGAAGCGGGAGGAGGUUAGGCUUUUGCUCGUAAAAUACUAUCACAGAAUCAUGGGUAGAACAAUAUGGAAUGAGACGGUGAGAGAUAAUGACAACAUAUGCAUCCAGCAGAUGUUUGAUUCUUUAUUAUCCACUAAAUGAUUGUUAGCUGUCGAGUGUGAUAAUUUUUGCUUGCAGAAAAACUAUGCUAAUGAAGGAACGUACUAUCAUCUGUUCCUAUUCAAUCAUGCGGAGAGACAGGCUUUUCUAACCCAUAUCUGGUCACAAUUGAAGAUUAGGCUUCAAUAAGAUCGAAUGAGUGUAUUGAAUACGCGUUCAAACUAUCAGGGAGAAUGGACCGAGGAGAUUAAGUCUAAAUCCAUUUGUGGCGUAAUCUUUGACUAAUCGAAAGAGAAGUGGAGGCAAAAAUAUAUGCAACUAAAGGAAAAGUUAAACAAGAGGAUAACAAGCGGAGGGAAGAAGGGAAAAAUGAUAAAACAAUACCAGUAACAGUUCCUCUAAAUUACACAGAUGCUCAGUCCUUUUUAAUUGCAUUUCUUCGGCAUUUUCAAUUUCAUAUAGUCGAGGAGGAUACGCUUAAAAGAUAUCAAGGUACAAUCAACAAUCCAGCAGCCAAUUUGUCAUCUAUGGGAGAAUCGAAUUUUGAAUUGGCAAGUCAAUUGGGUGACGAUUAUCUGUUGACCAUCUAUGAAACAGUUGCACUUGAGGAUAUGAGACUAUGUAGCCUUUUGUAUGUUAUUUUAACAGUGGUCACGUGUGAUGUUUUGAUUUUAGAAUUAGAAUGAAGAAUUAGAGUUGACUUUCACAUUUUAUUUUUAGAAUAAGGAGGAAGAAUUAAAGUUGACUACUAUGUUUUGAUUUUAGAAUUAGAAGAAAGAAUUAGAGUUGACUUUCACGUUUUAUUUUUAGAAUAAGGAGGAAGAAUUAGUUGACUACCAUAUUUUAAUUUUAGAAUUAGAAGGAAGAGUUGGAGUUGACUGCUCUUCAUAUUCUAUUUUCCAAGUUAGUUUUCUCAAUUUUUAUUUGAACUAAUAUUAAUUUUUACUUUAUAGAUAGAGGUUCUUUGCUGAGCAUAAAAUGGCCUCACAUCCUCGCUACUGAAAUAUAAUAGUAUUUGCAUAUAUUUUUGUUUUAAAAAAAAGUGUUAAUGUACAAUUCACGCCUUAGAUUAUUUUUCAGAUAAACUAAAAUUUUGAUGUUCCCAGUUCCGCCAUUGAUGUUUCAAUUACGGCUGAUUUUGAUGUGGCAGUCAAAAUUACAAUAAAAGGAUAAAGGUGUUUUUUACACGUACUGGGUACAGCCGUGGAAUGUGAGGGUGGGAAGAAAAAACACAGAAUCAUUACAAAAAGAAUCAAUCGUGUCCUAUACUCAUACAUUACUCCAAACGAGGGCAGAUAUAUGACGCCUAUGAUGCGCUAUUGCCCGAGAUUACAAUGAAAAUAGAUGAAGUCUUAAAUUGUUUUCAAUAUUUGGAUAAAAAAAAGAUUGAACACGAUGACGUAAUUGCUAAACAUUUUUUUAAUCAAGAAGAGGGAGGAGGUUAGGCUUUUGCACGUAAAAUACUAUCAUCAUAGAACCAUGUGAAGAACAAGAUGGAAUGAGACGGUGAGGGCUAAUGACAGGAUAUGCCUCUAGCGGAUGUUUGGUUCUUCAUUAUCCACUAAAUCAUUGUUAGCUGUCGAGUGUAAUAAUUUUUACUUGCAGAAAAAUUAUGCUAAUGAAUGAAUGCACUAUCAUCUGUUCCUAUUCAUUUAUGUAGAGAGACAAGCUUUUCUAACCCAUAUCUGCUCACAAUUAAUGGUUAGACCUCAAUCGAAUCGGAUGCGUGCGUUGGAUAUGCGCUCAACCUAUCAUGGAGAAUGGACCAGGUAGAUUAAGUCCAAAUCCAUUCGUGGCGUAAUCUUCGACUAUUCAAAAGGGAAGUGGAAGCAGAAAUAUAUGCAACUAAAGGAAAAGUUAAACAAGAGGAUGACAAGCAAGGGGAGAAUGGAAAAAGGAUAAAACAACAUCAGUAGCGGUUCCUCUAAAUUACACAGAUGAUCAGUCUUUCUUAUUUGCAUUUUUUAGAUAUUUUCAAUUUCAUAUAAUCGAGUAGGAUACGCUUAAAAGAUAUUAGGAUGCAAUCAACAAUUUGGCAGUCAAUUUGCCAUAUACGGGAGAAUCGAAUUUUGAAUCGACAAGUCAAUUGGAUGACGAUUAUCUAUUGAUAAUCUAUAAAUUAGUUGCACCUGAGGAUAUGAGACAAUGUAGCCUCUUACAUGUUAUUUUAAAAGUGGUCUCGUGUGAUGGUUUGAUUUUAGAAUUAGAAGGAAGAAUUAGAGUUGACUUCCACGUUUUGUUUUUAGAAUGAGGAAGAAUUAAAGUUAACUACCAUGUUUUGAUUUUAGAAUUAGAAGGAAGAGUUGGAGUUGACUGCUAUUCAUAUUCUAUUUGCCAAGUUAAUUUUCUCAAUCUUUAUUUGAACUAAUAUUAAUUUUUAUUUUAUGGAUAGAUGUUCUUUGCUGAACAUCAAAUGGCCUCAUUUCCUCACUACUAAAAUAUAAUAGUAGUUGUUAGUAUUUUUAUUUAAAAAAAAAGAUGUUAUUGUACAAUUCACGCCUUAGAUUAUUUUUCAGACAAACUAAAAUUUAGAUGUUCCCUGUUCCACCAUUGAUGUUUCAGUUACGACUGAUUUUGAUGUGACAGUCGAAAUUACAAUAAAAGGAGAAAGGGUUUUUUGCACGUACUGGGUGCAGUCGUGGAAUGUGAGGGUGGGAAUGAAAAAUAUAUAAUGAUCAUAGAGAGAAUCAAUCGUAUCCUACACUCAUACAUUGCUCCAAACGAGGGUGGAUAUAUGAUGUCUAUGAUGCGCUAUUACUCAAGAUUACAGAGAAAAUACGCGAAGACUUAACUUGUUUUAAAUAUUUCGAUAAAAAAAUUAAACACGAUGACGUAAUUGCUAAACAUUUUUUUAAUCAAGAAGUGGGAAGAGAUUAGGCUUUUGCCCAUAAAAUACUAUCACAGAAUCAUGGGUAGAACAAGAUAAAAUGAAACGGUGAGAACUAAUGAUAGCAUAUGCCUCAAGCGGAUGUUUGAUUAUUUAUCAUCGACUAAGUCAUUGUUAGCUGUCGAGUGUGAUAAUAUUUACUUGCAGAAAAAUUAUGCUAAUGAAGGAACACACUAUCAUAUGUUCCUAUUCAUUUAUGUAGAGAGACAGGCUUUUCUAACCCAUAUCUGCUCAUGAUUGAUGGUUAGACCUCAAUCGGUUCGGAUGCGUGCGUUGGAUACGCGCUCAACCUAUCAGGGAGAAUGGACCAAAGAAAUUAGGUCUUAAUCUAUUCGUGGCGUAAUCUUUGACUAUCCAAAAGAGAGUUGGAGGCCAAAAUAUAUACAACUAAAGGAAAAAUUAAACAAGAGGAUAACGAGCGAGGGAAGAAUGGAAAAAGAAUAAAACAACACCAGUAGCGGUUCAUCUAAAUUACACAUAUGUUCGGUCCUCCUUAUUUGCAUUUAUUAGAUAUUUUCAAAUUAAUAUAGUCGAUGAGGUACGCUUAAAAGAUAUCAGGAUGCAAUCAACAAUCCGCAGCCAAUUUGCCAUCUAUUGGAGAACCGAAUUUUGAAUCGGCAAGUCAAUUGGGUGACGUUAUCUGUUGACAAUCUAUGAAAUAGUUGCAUUAGAGGAUAUGAGACUAUGUAACCUCUUGAAUGUUAUUUUAAAAGUGGUCUCGUGUGAUGGUUUGAUUUUAGAAUUAGAAGGAAGAAUUAGAGUUGACUUCCACGUUUUGUUUUUAGAAUAAGGAGGAAGAAUUAAAGUUGACUACCAUGUUUUGAUUUUAGAAUUAGAAGAAAGGGUAGGAGUUGACUGGUAUUCAUAUUCUAUUUGCCAAGUUAAUUUUCUCAAUCUUUAUUUGAACUAAUAUUAAUUUUUACUUUAUGGAUAGAGGUUCUUUGCUGAGCAUCAAAUGGCCUCACUUCCUCACUACUAAAAUAUAAUAGUACUUGUUAGUAUUUUUAUUUUUAAAAAAGGUAUUGUUGUACAAUUCACGCCUUAGAUUAUUUUUCAGACAAACUAAAAUUUUGGUGUUCCUUGUUCCACAAUCGAUAUUUCAGUUAAGGAUGAUUUUGAUGUGGCAAUCGAAAUUACAAUAAAAGGAAAAAGGAUUUUUGCGAGUACUGGGUACAGCCAUGGAAUGUGAGGGUGGGAAGGAAAAAUACUGAAUCACGACGAAGAGAAUGAAUCGUAUCCUAUACUCGUACAUUACUCCAAACGAGGGCGGAUAUAUGAUACCAAUAAUGCACUAUUGCCCGAGAUUACAGUGAAAAUACGCGGAGUCUUAAAUUGUUUUCAAUAUUCGGAUAAAAAAAAGAUUGAACACGAUAACGUGAUUGCUUAAUCAAGAAGCGAGAGGAGGUUGGACUUUUGCACAAAAUACUAUCACAGAAUCAUGGGUAGAACAAGAUGGAAUCAGACGGUGAGAGCUAAUGACAGCAUAUGCCUCCAGCGGAUGUUUGAUUCUUUAUUAUCCACUAAAUCAUUGUUAGUUGUCGAGUGUAAUAAUUUUUGCUUGCAGAAAAAUUAUGCUAAUGAAGGAAUGCACUAUCAUCUGUUCCUAUUCAUUUAGGUAGAGAGACGGGCUUUUCUAACCCAUAUCUGCUCACGAUUGAUGGUUAGGCCUCAAUCGGUUCGGAUGUGUGUGUUGCAUACGCGCUCAACGUAUCAGGGUGAAUGGACCAAGGAAAUUAAGUGUUAAUCCAUUCAUGGCGUAAUCUUUGACUAUCCAAAAGAGAAGUGGAGGCCGAAAUAUAUGCAACUAAAGAAAAAGUUAAACAAGAGGAUAACGAGCGAGGGAAGAAUGGAAAAAAGAUAAAACAACACUAGUAACGGUUCUUCUAAAUUACACAUACGUUCAGUCCUCCUUAUUUGCAUUUCUUAGAUAUUUUCAAGUUCAUAUAGUCGAGGAGGUACGCUUAAAAGAUAUCAAGAUGCAAUCAACAAUCCGGCAGCCAAUUUGCCAUCUAUUAGAGAACCGAAUUUUGAAUCGCAAGUCAAUUGGGUGAUGUUAUAUGUUGACAAUCUAUGAAAUAGUUGCAUUAGAGGAUAUGAGACUAUGUAGCCUCUUGAAUGUUAUUUUAAAAGUGGUCUCGUGUGAUGGUUUGAUUUUAGAAUUAGAAGCAAGAAUUAGAGUUGACUUCCACGUUUUGUUUUUAGAAUAAGGAGGAAGAAUUAAAGUUGACUACCAUGUUUUGAUUUUAGAAUUAGAAGGAAGAGUUGGAGUUGACUGCUAUUCAUAUUCUAUUUGUCAAGUUAAUUUUCUAAAUCUUUAUUUGAACUAAUAUUAAUUUUUACUUUAUGGAUAGAUGUUCUUUGCUAAACAUCAAAUGGCCUCAUUUCCUCAUUACUAAAAUAUAAUAGUACUUGUUAGUAUUUUUAUUUUAAAAAACGACGUUAUUGUACAAUUCACGCCUUAGAUUAUUUUUCAGAUAAACUAAAAUUUAGGUGUUACCUGUUCCACAAUCGAUGUUUCAGUUACGACUGAUUUUAAUGUGGCAGUCGAAAUUACAAUAAAAGGAGAAAAGGGUUUUUUGCACGUACUGGGUGCAGUCGUGGAAUGUGAGGGUGGAAAUGAAAAAUACAGAAUCAUCACGGAGAGACUCAAUCGUAUCCUACACUCAUAUAUUGCUCCAAACGAGGGCGGAUAUAUGAUGUCUAUUGUGCGCUAUUACCCGAGAUUACAGUGAAAAUACGCGAAGUCUUAACUUGUUUUCAAUAUUUGGAUAAAAAAAAAGUUGAACACGAUGACGUAAUUGCUAAACAUUUUUUUAAUCGAGAAGCGGAAGGAAGUUAGACUUUUGUCCGCAAGAUACUAUCACAGAAUCAUGGGUAGAACAAGAUGGAAUGAGACGGUGAGAGCUAAUGAUAGCAUAUGCCUCAAGCGGAUUUUUUAUUCUUUAUCAUCGAUUAAAUCAUUGUUGGCUAUCAAGUGUGAUAAUUUUUACUUGCAUAAAAACUAUGCUAAUGAAGGAACGCACUAUCAUCUGUUCCUAUUCAAUUAUGUUCAGAGAUAGGUUUUUCUAACCCAUAUCUGCUCACGAUUGAUGUUAGGCCUCAAUUGGUUUGGAUGCGUGUGUUGGAUACGCGCUCAACCUAUCAGGGAGAAAAGACCAAGGAAAUUAAAUCUAAAUCCAUUCAUAGCGUAAUCUUUGAUUAUCCGAAAGAGAAGUGGAGGCAGAAAUAUAUGCAACUAAAGGAAAAGUUAAACAAGAGGAUAACGAGCGAGGGAAGAAUGAAAAAAAGAUAAAAGAACACCAGUAACAGUUCCUCUAAAUUACACAUAUGUUCGAUUCUCUUUAUUUUCAUUUCUUAGACAUUUUCAAAUUCAUAUAGUCGAGCAGGAUACGCUUAAAAGAUAUCAGGAUGCAGUCAACAAUUCGGCAGCUAAUUUGCCAUCUAUGGGAGUACUGAAUUUUGAAUCGGCAAGUCAAUUGGGUGACGAUUAUCUGUUGAUAAUCUAUAAAAUAGUUGCACCUAAAUAUAUGAGACUAUGUAGCCUCUUGAAUGUUAUUUUAAAAGUGGUUUCGUGUGAUGCUUUGAUUUUAGAAUUAGAAACAAGAAUUAGAGUUGACUUCCACAUUUUGUUUUUAGAAUAAGGAGGAAGAAUUAAAGUUGACUACCAUGUUUUGAUUUUAGAAUUAGAAGGAAGAGUUGGAGUUGACUGCUAUUCAUAUUCUAUUUGCCAAGUUAAUUUUCUCAAUUUUUAUUUGAACUAAUAUUAAUUUUUACUUUAUGGAUAGAUGUUCUUUGCUGAACAUCAAAUGGUCUCAUUUUCUCACUAUUAAAAUAUAAUAAUACUUGUUAGUAUUUUUAUUUAAAAAAAGGUGUUAUUGUACAAUUCACGCCUUAGAUUAUUUUUCAGAUAAACUAAAAUUUAGGUGUUCCCUGUUCCACAGUCGAUGUUUUAGUUACGGUUGAUUUUGAUGUGGCGGUCGAAAUUGCAAUAAAAGAAGAGCUGAAUUUUUGUGCGUACUGGGUGCAGCCAUGAAAUGUAAGGGUGGGAAUGAAAAAUACAAAAUCAUCACAGGAGAGAAUCAAUCGUAUUCUAUACUCGUACAUUGCUCCAAACGAGGGUGGAUAUAUAAUGCCUAUGAUGCACUAUUACCCGAGAUUACAUAGAAAAUACGUGAAACUUUAACUUCUUUUAAAUAAUUGGAUAAAAAAAAGAUUGAACACGAUUAUGUGACCACUAAAUAUUUUUUUAAUCAUGGAGCAGGAGGAGGUUAGGAUUUUACUCGUAAAAUACUAUUACAAAAUCAUGGGUAAAAUAAGAUGGAAUAAGACAGUGAGGGCUAACGACAGCAUAUGCCUCCAGUGAAUGUUUGAUUCUUUAUCAUCGAUUAAGUCAUUGUUGGCUGUCAAGUGUGAUAAUUUUUACUUUCAAAAAAACUAUGGUAAUGAAGGAACGCACUAUCAUCUAUUCCUAUUCAAUUAUGUAGAGAGACAGGCUUUUCUAACUAUAUCUGCUCACGAUUGAUGGUUAGGCCUCAAUCGGUUCGGAUGCGUGUGUUGGAUACGCGCUCAACCUAUCAGGGAGAAUGGACCAAGGAAAUUAAGUCUAAAUUCAUUCAUGGCGUAAUCUUUGAUUAUCCGAAAGAGAAGUGGAGACAGAAAUAUAUGCAACUAAAGGAAAAGUUAAACAAGAGGAUAACGAACGAGGGAAAGAAUGGAAAAAGGAUUAAACAACACCAGUAACGGUUCCCCUAAAUUACACAUAUGUUCAAUUCUCUCUAUUUGCAUUUCUUAGACAUUUUCAAAUUCAUAUAGUCGAGGAGGAUACGCUUAAAAGAUAUCAGGAUGCAAUCAACAAUUCGGCAGCUAAUUUGCCAUCUAUGGGAGAAUUGAAUUUUGAAUCGGCAAGUCAAUUGGGUAACGAUUAUCUAUUGACAAUCUAUGAAAUAGUUGCACCUGAGGAUAUGAGACUAUGUAGCCUCUUGUAUGUUAUUUUAAAAGUGGUCUCGUGUGAUGGUUUGAUUUGAGAAUUUGAAGGAAGAAUUAGAGUUGACUUCCACGUUUUAUUUUUAGAAUAAGGAGGAAGAAUUAAAGUUGACUACCAUGUUUUGAUUUUAGAAUUAGAAGGAAGAGUUGGAGUUGACUGCUAUUCAUAUUCUAUUUGCCAAGUUAAUUUUCUCAAUUUUUAUUUGAACUAAUAUUUAUUUUUACUUUAUGGAUAGAUGUUCUUCGCUGAAAAUCAAAUGGCCUCAUUUGCUCACUACUAAAAUAUAAUAGUACUUGUUACUAUUUUUAUUUUAAGAAAAGGUAUUAUUGUACAAUUCAUGCCUUAUAUUAUUUUUUACACAAACUAAAAUAUAGGUGUUCCCUGUUCCAUCAUCGAUGUUUCAAUUACGGCUGAUUUUGAUGUGGCAGUCGAAAUUGCAACAAAAGGAGAGCUGGAUUUUUUGUGCAUACUAGGUGCAGCAAUGGAAUGUGAGUGUGGGAAUGAAAAAUACAGAAUCAUCACAGGAGAAAAUCAAUCGUAUCCUAUACUCGUACAUUGCUCCAAACGAGGGUGGAUAUAUGAUGCCUAUGAUGCACUAUUGCCCGAAAUUACAUAGAAAAUACGCAAAGUCUUAACUUCUUUUAAAUAAUUGGAUAAAAAAAAAAGAUUGAACACGAUUACAUGACUACUAAAUAUUUUUUUAAUCAAGGAACGGGAGGAGGUUAGGAUUUUACUCGUAAAAUACUAUUACAAAAUCAUGGAUAAAAUAAGAUGGAAUAAGACAGUGAUGGCUAAUGACAGCAUAUGCCUCCAGCGGAUGUUUGAUUCUUUAUUAUCCACCAAGUGAUUGUUAGCUGUCGAGUGUGAUAAUUUUUGUUUGCAUUAUCAUUUGUUCCUAUUCAAUCACGCAGAGAGAAAGACUUUUCCAACCCAUACCUGCUCACGAUUGAUAGUUAGGUCUCAAUCGGGUCGGAUGCAUGUGUUGGAUACACGCUCUGCCUAUCAGGAAGAAUGGACCAAGGAGAUUAAAUUUAAAUCCAUUUGUGGCAUAAUGUUUGACUAUCUGAAAGAGAAGUGGAGGCAGAAGUAUAUGCAACUAAUGGAACAGUUAAACAAGAGAAUAACAAGUGGAGGAAAUAACGGAAAAAAGAUAAAACAACACCAGUAACGGUUCCUCUAAAUUACACAGAUGCUCGGUCCUCCUUAUUUACAUUUUUUAGACAUUUUCAAUUUCAUAUAGUUGAGGAGGAUACGCUUAAAAGAUAUUAGGAUGCAAUUAACAAUUCGGCAGUCAAUUUGCCAUCUAUGAGAGAACUGAAUCUUGAAUUGGCAAGUCAAUUGGGUAACGAUUAUCUGUUGACCAUCUAUGAAAUAGUUGCAUAUGAGAAUAUGAAACUCUGUAGACUCUUGUAUUUUAUUUUAACAGUGGUCUCGUGUGAUGUUUUGAUUUUAGAAUUAGAACGAAGAAUUAGAGUUGACUUUCACAUUUUGUUUUUAGAAUAAGAAGGAAGAAUUAAAGUUGACAACCAUGUUUUGAUUUAAGAAUUAGAAGGAAGAGUUGGAGUUGAAUGCUCUUCAUAUUCUAUUUGCCAAGUUAAUUUUCUCAAUCUUUAUUUAAACUAGUAUUAAUUUUUACUUUAUGGAUUGAGGUUCUUUGCUAAACAGCAAAUGGUCUCGCUUCCUCACUGUUGAAAUAUAAUAGUACUUGUUAGUAUUUAAAAAAAAAAAGUGUUAUUCUGCAAUUCACGUCUUAGAUUAUUUUUCAGACAAACUAAAAUUUAGGUGCUUCCUGUUCCGUCAUCAAUGUUCCAGUUAAGGUUGAUUUUGAUAUGGCGAUCGAAGUUGCAAUGAAAGGAAGAAGGUAUUUUUUACGCAUGCUUGGUACAGCCAUGAAAUGUGAGUACGGGAUGGAAUAAUCCAGAAUCAUUAUGGAGAGAAUUAAUCGUGUCAUAAACUCAUACAUUGCAACCAAAUGAGGGCGGAUAUAUGAUGCCUAUGAUGUGCUAUUUCCCAAAAUUGCCGAGAAAAUACACGGAGUCUUAACUUGUUUUCAAUGCUUGGAUAAGAAAAAAGAUUGAAUACGAUGAUGUGACUGCCAAACAUUAGAGGGAGGAGGUUAGGCUUUUGCUCAUGAAAUACUAUCACAGAAUCAUGGGUAGAACAAGAUGGAAUGAGACGGUGAGGGCUAAUGACAGUAUAUGCUUUCAGCGGAUGUUUGAUUCUUUAUUAUCUGCUAAGUCAUUGUUAGCUGUCGAGUGUGAUGAUUUUUAGUUGCAGAAAAGCUAUGCUAAUGAAGGAAUGCACUAUCAUCUGUUCCUAUUCGAUCAUGCAGAGAGAUAGGCUUUUUCAACCCAUAUAUGCUAACGAUUGAUACUUAGGUCUCAAUCGGGUCGGAUGCGCGUGUUAGAUACACGCUCGGCCUAUUAAGGAGAAUGGACCAAGGAGAUUAAAUCUAAAUCCAUUGGUAGCGUACUUUUUGACUAUCUGAAAGAGAAGUGGAGGCAGAAAUAUAUGAAACUAAAGGAACAGUUAAACAAGAGAAAAACGAGUGGAGGAAAGAUUAGAAAAAGAUAAAAGAACACUUAAUGGUUCCACUAAAUUGCACAGAUGGUCUUCCUUAUUUGCAUUUCUUAGACAUUUUCGAAUUCAUAUAGUCGAGGUGGAUACGCUUAAAAGAUAUCAGGGUGCAAUCAACAAUCCGGCAGCCAAUUUAUCAUCUAUGGGAGAACUGAAUUUUGAAUUGGCAAGUCAAUUGGGUGACGAUUAUCUGUCGACGAUCUAUGAAAUAGUUGCAUCUGAGGAUAUGAGACUCUGUAGGCUCCUGUAUGUUAUUUUAACAGUGGUCUCAUGUGAUGUUUUGAUUUUUGAAUUAAAAGAAAGAAUUAGAGUUGACUUCCACAUUUUGUUUUUAGAAUAAGGAGAAAGAAUUAAAGUUGACUACUAUGUUUUUAUUUUAGAAUUAGAAGAAAGAGUUGGCUGCUCUUCAUAUUCUAUUUGCCAACUCAAUUUUCUCAAUUUUUAUUUGAAUUAGUAUUAAUUUUUACUUUAUUGAUAGUGAUUCUUUGCUUAACAUCAAAUGGCCUCGCUUCCUCACUACUAAAAUAUAAUAAUACUUGUUAGUAUUUCUUUUCUAAAAAAAAGUGUUAUUAUAUAAUUCACACCUUAGAUUAUUUUUAAGACAAACUAAAAUUUAGGUGUUCCUUGUUCCAUCAUCGAUGUACCAGUUAAGGUUGAUUUUGAUGUGGUAGUCAAAGUUGCAAUGAAAGGAGAAAGAUAUUUUUUGCGUGUGCUGGGUACAACCGUGAAACAUGGGAAUGGUAAGGAAAAAAUACAGAAUCAUCGCGGUGAGAAUCAAUCGUAUCCUAGAAUCGUGCAUCACAACCAAUGAGGGCGGAUAUAUGAUGCCCAUGAUGUGCUAUUGCCCGAGAUUGUCGAGAAAAUACUUUAACUUGUUUUCAAUGCUUGGAUUAAAAUAAGAUUGAGCACGAUGAUAUGACUGCUAAACAUUUUUUUAAUCAAGGAGUGGGAUGAGGUUAGGUUUUUGCUCGUAAAAUAAUAUCACAAAAUCAUGGGUAGAACAAGAUGGAAUGAGAUGGUGAGUGCUAAUGAUAGUAUAUGUCUCCAAUGGAUGUUUGAUUCUUUAUUAUCUACUAAGUCAAUGUUAGCUAUCGAGUGUGAUGAUUUUUGCUUGCAGAAAAGCUAUGCUAAUGAAGGAAUGCACUAUCAUCUGUUCCUAUUUAAUCAUGUAGAGAGGCAGGCUCUUCCAACCAAUAUAUGCUUAUGAUUGGAUGGUUCAGCCUCAAUCAGGUCAAAUGCAUGUGUUGGAUACGCGCUCAAACUAUCAGGGAAAAUGGACUAAGGAGAUUAAAUUUAAGUUCAUUUGUGGCAUAAUCUUUGACUAUCAAAAAGAGAAGUGGAGGCAGAAAUAUAUGCAACUAAAGGAAGAGUUAAACAAAAAAGAUAACGAGUGGAGGGAAGAAUGGAAAAAAGAUAAACAACACCAGUAACGGUUCCUCGAAAUUACACAGAUUUUCAGUCCUCCUUAUUUGCAUUUCUUAGACAUUUUCAAGUUCAUAUAGUCGAGAAGGAUACGCUUAAAAUAUAUCAGGAUGCAAUCAACAAUCCGGCAGCCAAUUUGCCAUCUAUGGGAGAACUGAAUUUUGAAUUGACAAGUCAAUUGGAUGACAAUUAUCUGUCGGCCAUCUAUGAAAUAGUUACAUCUGAGGAUGUGAGACUCUGUAGCCUCUUGUAUGUUAUUUUAACAGUGGCCUCGUUUGAAGUUUUGAUUUUAGAAUUAGAAAGAAGAAUUAGAGUUGACUUUCACAUUUUGUUUCAGAAUAAGCAGAAAGAAUUAAAGUUAAUUACUAUGUGUUGAUUUUAGAAUUAAAAGGAAGAGUUGGACUUGACUGCUUUUCAUAUUCUAUUUGUCAAGUUAAUUUUCUCAAUCUUUAUUUGAACUGGUAUUAAUUUUUACUUUAUGGAUAGAGAUUUUUUGGUGAACAUCAAAUGGCCUCGCUUCCUCACUACUGAAAUAUAAUAGUACUUGCUAGUAUUUUUUUUUUUAAAAAAAAAGGUGUUAUUGUACAAUUCACGCCUUAGAUUAUUUUUCAGACAAACUAAAAUUUAGAUAUUCCAGUCCAUUUGAGUUGACAAGUCUAUUUUUCUAUGGAGCGAUAGAGAUAACAAAUGGUAAAAAUGAUUCUUUUAAGGUGAAUGGGUAGUACUUAAAGACUUAUUUAAACAAGUGAAAUAGCCCCAAAUGUGGUAGUUUAGUCAGGGCAUUCUUCUUUUCAUUAAGAUGAAUAGUGAAAAGUUCAAUUUAAUGACUUUAAACAAGAGAUAAUUUCAAAAACCUCCCCUGAGAUUUCUGACUAUUUCAGUUACCUCCCCUAAGGGUUUCAAAAUUACACUAGCCUCUCCUGGUAAAAUUUUGAGUCUACUUCCUUACAUCACAUAAAAUGAAUUUACUACUAUACCCACAAGAUUUUGAAGUAUCAAAAGACUAAUAUAUAACAAUUAGUACUUACGGCACAAUUAAAUUAUCUAGACUUGAUUAACUAUCAAAACUACCAUUAAAAUGCUCCUAAUAGCUAUUAGACAAAUGGCACCAGCUGCUUAUCUAUUGUAGAACCAAUUCUACACCAAUUUGACGCCAUUUAUUGAGUGAAAUUAGUGACAAACAUAUUAAAUCAAUACAUGAUUGUAAAAUAAGAAGAAGGCAUUUCAUCCAAGAAAGAAAAUUAAGAAAGAAUACAAGAGAGAAUGAAGAUUGAAAAACACAGCACCUAAUUUCAUAAUUGUGAUGGUAUUUAUUUUGACUUUGCAAGAGAAAGAAAGGAGUAUAAAAAGCAACAUUUGAUAUUUUUCUGCUGUAAAUUACAACAAGGCACAUAAUACAGGUAAGCAAUUUUUGUUGUCUCAAUCUAAUAUAAGAAAGUCAACAUAAGUUCCACACCAUGAAAAUUUGUAAGUUGAUGAUAAGAAGUUAAACCAACAUGUGAAAACUAUUGACUUAGCUAACUUAUAAACAGCAAAGAAUAAAAAAAAUGAUCAUCUAUUUUAAUGAGUGAUGGUGUUGUAUGAUCUGAUGAUAUGUAGAAAAUAUAGUUAGUUGCAGAGUUAUGGUACUUGGGUAUAAAUUUGGUUCUAUAUGUGGAUGGAUGAUGACCUUUUCUAUCAAUGUUAAACAAUACAAUUAUGUACAUCAUGUGUGUUUAUAACAGGAGUUAUUUGAUAGACUCAUUGAUCAGAAGAAUAUAUAAAUAAUUUUAGCGUAUGUGAGAGACAUAAGUUGUUUGUAAUUAAUAUUGAUUUGUAAAUCUGUGUUGUGUAUUUAUUAUUGGUUUGUUGAGUAAAAUUGCAUGCAUAUGGCAGAAUUUUGACAUAUACUUGUUGGUAAUUAACAAUUAUUGUGAAUAACGUAAGAUGGUCAUUGGUGCUUAUGACAUAGUUGUGCACUACAAGGGAAACACAGUCAGGAUCCCUAAUAUUGAUCCUAAUAAAUACUUAUACAUUAAUUUGCUAUAUGAUGUAAUUGAAAAAGUAUUGAGAGAAAUGCCAGAAAAUGUGAAUAUGAUGACACAUACAAGGCAUGAAAUUUCUGGUGAAGAUAGAAUGUGUGAUGUUAAUGAUGAUAAUGCAGUUGUCAAGAUGUUCAAAAUGUAUCAAUUUGGAAUUGUAAUCAAUUUACAUGUAUAUGACAUGAAAAUUAUUUCAACUAAAUAUGGUAAUACCAAUGUUAAUAAAAAUGUUCAAAGCACUCAAGAGAAUUUAGACCUUGAUCAGACUUCUAAAAGGAUAGCUACUAACUUUGAAAUAUCUAAUGAUAAAUAUGAAGAUUCUGGUUUUGAUGAUUCAUAAAAACAUACAUUUGACAAUGACAAUAAGAUUGAUAUAGAUAAUAAUAUGGUGUUAGUGGAUGGUAGUGAAUCAAGCAAUGUCAUUUUUUCGAGUUUUGGAGAAAAUGAAGAUGGUGAGAUUGUUCUUGAUUCUAAAUUUGAUCAAGAACCUCACCCUAUGAUAGAAGUGAUGAGAUAAAAAAUGUGGAUUUACAACCAUAGAGAUGAUAUAAAGUUUGAAAAAGGCCAAUUCUUCACUAAUGUGGAUUCGUUUAGAGUAGUCUUAAAAGAUUAUAUAAUUCAAAAAUGAUUUCCAAUAUCUAGUUUGAAGAAUGAGAAAACUAAAGUGAUUGCCAUUUAUGAUGUUGAUGGUUGCAAAUGGAGGAUUCAUGCAUUACUAGUGGCUGAUUCCAUCAUUAUUAUGCUUAAAUCCUACCAACUUGAACACACUUUUAUGAUGGAUAGGAGUAAUGUUGAGGCUACAUCCGACUAGAUUGCAAAGAAACUCAUUCCUUUGAUGAGAGAUCAUCUUAACAUAUCUAAUGAAAGGAUAGAAAUUAAGAUGGAAAAGUAUGAUGUUAGACCAAAUUACAUGCAGCAUUUUAGAGCAAAGAAAGAAAGCAGAAGAAGAGAUUCAAGGAAACUUCAACGACUUCUACAACAAAUCACCAAAAUAUGCUGAGCUUCUAAGACAACAUAAUCCAUCUAGUAUUUAUAAAAUACAUUACAAUAGUCCAAAUGUCCUAGUUGAGCCUAGAUUUCUGAGAUUAUUUGUUGGUUUCAUAGCACAAAAAAUUAGUUUGCUUGAUAGUUGAUAAUAUAUACAUUCUUGUAGCAGUUGAUUACAUGUCAAAAUAGGUAAAAGCUAUUGUAUUGCCUAUUAAUGAUGCUAAAUUUGUAAUUAAAUUCCUUAAAAGGAAUAUAUUUUGUAGGUUUGAAAUUCCAAAGACCAUUAAAAGCCAAAAAAGGUAAACAUUUUUUGUAAUAAAUCAUUUGACACUUUAUUGUUUAAAUAUGGUUGCAGGUACAAGAUUUCACUUCCUUAUCACCAGCAAGCGAAUGGCCAAACGAAGUUCGCUAAUCGGGAACUCAAACUCAUCAGAGAAAAUAGUGAACAAGUCGAUGAAGGAUUGGGUGAUAAAUUAGAUGAUACAUUAUGAGAUUAUAGGACGGAUUUAAGACUCUAUUGAGAAUGUCACCUUAUCGGCUAAUUUAUUGAAAAGUAUGCCAUCUACUUGUUGAGCUUGAGCAUAAAGCAAAUUAGACUAUGAAAGCUAAUAAUAUGGAUUUUCGUCCUGCAGGUGAGAAGAGAUUGCUUGAAUUGGAGGAAUUUCGUUUGACUUUGUAUGAGAAUGCCAAGAUGAUAUAUAAGGAAAAUGUAAAGUUUCAGCAUGAUAGGCAUCCUUCAUAAAUAAUUUGAGAUUGGACAAAAGGUGUUAUUGUAUAAUUUGUGUCUUAAAUUAUUUUCUAGACCAACUAAAAUCUCGGCACUCUAAUCCAUUUGAGCUGACAAGAGUACUUUCCUAUGAAACGGUAGAAAUAACAAAUGGUAAAAAUGAAUCUUUUAAGGUGAAUGGGUAGCGUUUAAAGACUUAUUUAACUUAGGAGUAUUUCACUCAGGGGAUUCUUCUCUUCAUUAAAAUAAAUGGUGAAAAGUCCAGUUUAACGACUAUAAACAAAGAACUAGUUGGGAGACAACCUAACCAUUUAAUGUUAUUUCUAGUGUUUAGUAUGCUUCUUGUAUUUCUUAAGUUAAUAUACGUCUUUAUGUAUUUUGUAGAUCACAGCAUCAAAAAGGUCAUGGACAUGGUCAAAAUUGGAUUUUUCCUCUUGGACAAGACAUUAACAGAGUUUUAUACUUAUACUUUGUAUUUUAGAUAUUUUUUUAAGGAGAAAUAAUAUUUUUUAUUACCAUAAAAUUAAACAAGUACAAGAACUAAUGGCCAAAAUCUAACGUCAGCCGAAACAAAACUAUCCUGGAGACAAUAUCAUACGAACCAAUGGCAAACCUUGCGAAUCUAGAAUAAGAUGAGCACGAACUAGAGAAGGCAACUACUGCAUAUGAUCAAAAAUUAACUCACCAGAUGUCCUAAUAGCUGCUAAUCUAUUUGAAGAGGAAUUGACCUCCCAAAAAUAUGCCGUAUAGAAGUUGAGAAUCAUGAAUUAGUCUUCUAAUCUUUCUCAACAGGUUACAUAAAAGCCAUUUAGCAAGUGAUUUUGAGCCAAGCUACCAAACUAAAAUUUGAGAAUCUAUUUCAAUAAGUGCUAGACACACCCUUUUUAGUUGGCAGAGUUGAAGACCAAAUAACGACAAGCUUUCUGCCAUCAAAAUAUCACACUCCCCAAAUUCUUUAUAAUACGUGAAAACCAACUUCCUCUGAUGAUCGUGCAUCAAACCUCUCCCUAAUGCCUUGCUAUGGCUAACUCGAGCAUCUGAAUUAAGUUUCAAUGAACCAUGAGGUGGUUUUUCUCAGACUACCACACAACAUGAUAACUUCUUUGGAUUUGACAAAACAUAUCGCACCAAAUAACAAUCCGAAUCACCUAUAAAGUAGGAGCUGCUUAAUCGUCCAGAAAUUCCAAACUAUUCGAAUAAUCGAUCAACCUGCCAUACUAUGUUGUCCAUGCCCCAACUUACAUUUCAAAAAUGGCUGUGAUUACUUACUAAUCAUAAAAACCAAUAGACCACUACCGAUAUGAAAACAUGAAUAUGAUCCUUUGAUGAUAUGAGAUUUGAGAAAAUCAAGGGACAAACAAUGCUUUCAAGCUCGUGCACCUAUGUAACAAAAAUCCGAAUCUGCUCAAGAAUACUUCCUUUGCAACUGGCCCCUCUAAAAAACAAGGCAAAGUUGUUUCCUCCGUAGCAUGACAACAAUCACAAAUGGAAGGAAUGCUUAGGCCUCGUGAACGUAAAGUAACAUCCAGUGGAAGAAAAUUAUGCACCAAACGCCAUGUAAAAAUGAUAACUUCAGUGGUAGAAUCGGGUUCUAAAACAGAGAAUCCACAAGGGAUAUCCUCCUUUGCCGCAAUAGUUCCCAUGCUAAUUUCACCGAAAAAAGACCAAUUUGUGACAGAAAUCAUAUCAUUCUAUCAGCCUGAUCAUGUUGAAAAAAAAAAAACUCUUGGAUAGCCCGUACCACAUGAACCGGUACCCACUGUAAAAGACGUUGCUCAUUCCAGGCCUCUCCUGAAAAGAACUCAACCACCAAAAAAUGUGGUGACUCAGAUCUAUCCAAAAUGGAACACAGUGGCUCAUCAAAUAAUCAUCUAUCUCUCCAAAAAUUCACCAAUCCCUCUCCCAACGACCAUCUAAUAUUCUGCUCCACCAAGUGUUGCAUCUCCUCCAAGUGCCUCCAUAACACUGUAGGGCAAGGGAAGGAGAUUGAGACUGCAUGAAGACCUUUUAUGUAUUUUUCAUGCAUAAAGUCAGCCCAAACAGACUCCUUAAACAGGAGCUUUCACCAAAACUUGCACGCAAAUGCUUGAGACAUAUUCUCAAAUGGCUGAAAGCCUAGACCACCCUCCUUAUCCAAGAUGACCUCUUUAAUCUUGAUAUGAGGAAAAUAUGGUUGUAGGACAGUGUUAAAUAUUUUUUUGAUUGUACGAGUUGCUUACUUAUGGAGUUAGGUUAAGGUGAGAGAUUGAAUUGAAUAUGAUUAAAUUUGAGUAGAAUUGUCUCUCCUUUACUAGACGUUAUGGGCAUUUUUGUGAGGACUUGUAAAAUCUCUUAUAUUUUUCUUAAAAUUUCCCUUAUUUGGCAUGUAUUACUUUUUAAAAGUCUUACUACUUAUUCACCCCAUAAUAAGUGCAAACAAACAUAGAAUCAAGGGUUUUUCCUUUUGUUUUCUUGUUAUCGUAAAUUAGGAUUUUUACGUCUUUACAUAGUAUGAGUAAUCGGUACGGAAUAUGUAUUAAAUUUGGUGAUUAAGAGUGAGUUUUAGAUGAGAAAAUACUGUGUGAUUAGAAGUAAUAAUAAUAAAUUAGUGAAUGGUAAGUAAAAACUCUAGUACGUGCGAGUUGAGGAAAAACGGUGCGAACCGACGUGUACCGUUCACUACCGAUUGAACACACCACUUGACCACUACUUUAUUAAUUUAAUCUCCUUGUCAUUAGUGCCAAAAUAUCAUCCCUAAUCAGCCAAGAGAGAGAGAGCCAAAAUUCUUGACCAAAAAGAAAGGAAAAAGAAGAAAAAUUCAAGAUGAAAUCUUAUGACGAAAAGUGGCGAACAUUCCAAGGUUGUUGACCAACCAAUUUCUUUCAUAUUUAUCACCAAAAAUCACUUCAUUUGCUCUUCAUUUCUGCCAUUCCAGCCGAGCCUUGAGGGGGAAAAACAAGAGAGAAAGAUCACUUCAUUCCUUCUUGAUUCCUAGCUUAGUUGAGAGAAAAUAAAAAAUUUAAACCGAUUAACUUCUAAAUUGGGAGUUUAGGAAGCUUGGGGUGCUAAAGUUUGGAAAGGAAAGGUGAAGGAUUUCUCUUGCAAGCAUCUUAGAGAGGUACAUGGUUGCCUUUCCUUUAUCUUUUUCUUAAACUUGAUUAAGUUUGGAUAACAAUUCAUACUUGUGCCAAAUGAUAGUUAUUUAAGUGGUUUGAAUGGAUGUGGUGGAUGUUUUUGAGUUUAGGGUUGAGUUGUUCAAUUGUAUUUCUUGUUAUUUAGAUAGCAUAUGAUAUCUAUAAUCUUGUAUAGGAAGUUGAAGUAGUGGUUCAAGCUAGAAAUGUGAAAGUUAAACCUUGAAUGCACUAAAUUCCAGAUUUAAGGAGUAAAACUGCCCUGUUCUGACCAGCUUUAUUUGUGUAUGUUAGAGGCCGAAUUGGGCUUAGAUUAAAACAUGAAAAUUGUAGGAAAUGAUGUUAUAUAAUUGCCUGUAAAAUUUCAGCUUGAUCGGAGUACUGUAUCAUAUGAAAUGACGAAAUACCCCUGAUUGCCAAAAGCCUCAUUUCGUGGACAGUUUUGAGAUUUCACAAGUUAUUAUCAUUUGAAUUCAGUACUGACAACCGUACUGACAAGGACAUUCUAGUUCUGUAAUUUGUAAUUUCGACCUGGAUCAAUUGUGAAAUGGGUUGAAUUGACUUCAUGAAAGUUGUAACCCUUUGUCUUACCUUUUAAACGGUAUAAUGUGCACCCCAAUCCGAUAAACGUAACUCCAGUUGUGACCAAAAUGAUAUAAGAUGUCGAAUCUGUUGUUUAGCUUUGGUCCUCAAAACUGAUUUUUUGUUUGUUUUAUUAGACUUGGGUUAUAAAUGGAUGAUUGUGGAGCCUAAUUGAAGGGUUAUGUUGAUAACAUUGCUUGUGUGUGUUUUGGGGCUGAAUGAGAAAAAUAAUGAAAUCAUAAAUGGUUGGAAAAUAGGUAAACACAAAGGGCUUGCUGCCCAAAUUUACACUCGAGAGUUAGGUUGAGAUACUCGCGACUUGAGUACGAAUUCGGGAACGAAUCUUACUUGAAUUAUCUAGGGUAUUCAAGUUUUCUUUCAUAGAGGUAUAUAAGUUAGAAUUUGGCCGAAACUUGUACCAUUGGAAAACAUGAAAGUAACGACUACUCGAAAUACAUUUUUCUCGUCACUUCGACUCAAACGGAGAUUUCAAAGGUUAAUCACUUUAAAGUUUCACUGUUUUAAAAGCGAGCAUGAGUUUACAAAGAUUCUCUAAAUAAGUUUCAAUUACGCGAUUCUCGUUAAACGAAACAUUUAAGUUUCGAACCUUAGUUACUUGUAAAAGCUUUUAAACAAUGUUUUAUCGCAGAUUUGGACUCCAAACACGGAGUAAUACCCGAACGUGACCCGUAAAGGCACUACAUCUUUUGAUAAGUACUUCCAAAUAUCUGAUUGAACUUAACACUUGUUUUCAAUACUUGACUAAUGUGAUCGAAUGAUAUUUGAUUAGUAUGGUCGGGUAAGGGUGUACUUUAUCGCACUUACCCUAAUAUGAUAUGUACGUGUUUAUUGGUGCAAGUGAUUUGAUAUACUUGUGCUUGAUUUGUAAGUGCUGGAGCGGCAGCAUGUACCCCACUCAAUCCGAGUGGGAGGUGCCUCUCAUUCCCGUCUCCGUACUUUUAUCUUGAUUCAAUCGAUUGGAGAUUUUAUCUCAUCGAAUUCUUGGGAACCCAAACCCCACUGGCUAGUUAAUCAAGUCGAACCGGCAAGGGUUUGGUCGAUUAGAUAACGAACCAUGGGUAUCUAGUGUUAUCGAGUAGAGUGUUAUCUCUUUGACUAAUCGUUAUACUCGAGUAUUACCACUAGUGUUUAUCUUGGAGUUCGGGCCCAGUAAGGGGUUUGAUUGAUGGACGGAGAUUGGAGUUAAGUGGUGUACUACUGGACUAAUUACCUUACUUGAAAGUUGAUGGAGUGUCAACUACUAUUUGAUCAAGUUAUGGUGGAACUGGUUUACCAAGGCAACUGUAUCCUUUUUACAUGAAAUACUAAUUAUGAAAUGUUGGCUGUACAAGUGUAUUGCUCAUUUUCUUGACUUGUUAUGGUCGCUAUUUCACUACUAUGUUACAUUUACUGUUAAUUAAUGGUCAAUUUGCUAUUUGGAACAUCACUGAGCUAUAGCUCACUCCUUAGUUUUGUUUUCCUUACAGGGGGUACGAGCGAGGUGUGAGACGUGUACAGACUAGCGUAGUCUAGUUGUUUUGAAUUUUGAAAUUGUACUCGCGCUAGCACCUGACUAGGGUUGUUUGUACUUGGAUUGUAAACUCGUUAAUGUAUUUGGGCGUGUAUGAGUCUUGUAGUUGGAUUUGAACAUCAAUGUAUAUAUAUUAAGUUUGAAUUUAUUGUGUUAUUUAGUUUCUAUGGAUGUAAGUUAUUUUCUCGAGUUACGAGUGAGUGAGUCCUGGCGAGAGUUGGGCAGGCGACUCGCUAAACCCUAGUGUACACCCUAGGGAGAGGUAGGAUCGUCACAAUUUUGGUGUAAUUUGAAUGGUUACAUAAUGAUUGAUUAUCUAAUCAUGGGAUUUGAAUUUGAAAAAAAAUAUGUGCUUUGGAUAGACACUUGAAUCAUUGGUUUUGUAGUUUAUUGAUAUUGCUUGAGAACAAGCAAUGAUUUAAGUGUGGAGAAGUUGAUAAGCGCUAAUUUUAUUAUUAGUUUGAAAGUGUUUCAUAUUGUUCUUGAGUCAAUUUGUGGAGUUAAAAGAUAUAAGUUGUUCCUUUUGGCUUUUAAUUUGCAUCUUGAGAUCAUAGUUGAAGUAGUCAUGAUUAUGUUGGGUGCCAAACCAGCAAAUAUAAAAAUUUCUACUCCAAAAAUCUAAUAUUCAAGUAUAAUGGUAAGUAACGUCAAAUCCUCAGGAAUUGUACAUGUUAUUAUUUUUCUUAUAAAAAUGACAAUAAAUGAAAUGGGGGUUUUAAGUAAAUUAAUAUAAGGUUGCAUUUGAUAAAACUGAAGUCUGAAAACUGAAAUCUGAAAUUUGAAGUCUAAAUCCAUUGAAUUAUUAAAUUGGUAAGUAUUAAAUCAAAUACGCUUGAGUGUAUAUCAUAUUCAAUGAUAAAUGAAUAACUUAUCAUUUAUUUUUUGGAACAAGUUUUCCCUAGAAAGUUCAAUACCAAUUAAUUCAAAUAUUCAAUUUUUAGUUAUCAAACACAUUUGAACAUAUUAAGAUUGUAAAUCCAUUAAUUUAAGUGCUGAAUGAGAUUAUCAAACAAGGGCUAAGUAACUUAAGCGAUGAAAAAUAAUAAUGCAAAAUUGAAUAAAAAUAAACCAAUAUCAAACAAUUCUCUAGUCAAAGGUUUAAUCGCCACUUUGGUUCAUUUAGUGAUCAUCGAUGCUAAGAAAUAAAUCAUUAUUUAUAAACACAAUUGAUUAUGGUUUUCAACAAGUUCUGACUACCUGUUUCUCCUUACUUUGUCGAUAACCACAAUAAAUUCUAUGAUUAUUUUCCUUAUCAAUUAAGUAACCCUAAACAAGCUUUUAGGAUUUAACCUGUUGACAACAUUAAAUAUUAGAAAGACUACCAGCCCUAAACACUAGGUUUUUCCAUGCCCAAGUUAAGCAAUGACGCGUGCGUAGUUAUAUACACCGUAUAAAGGAUAUGAAUGGCGUGUCGGUAGACGAGCAGUUCCAGAUAGAAUCCAUGGUGAUUGAGUACUUCUCUGAAGUGUUGGCGCAACAAGCACAAGUUCCAGUGGAUCAUUCCCUCCUAGACAUUAUCCCCUCAGUGGUUUCAGAGCAUGACAAUGAGAUUCUUCAACAAUUACCUACUGAAGACGAGAUUCAAAGAGUGGUAUUCCAGAUGAAUGGGGACAGUUAUUCGGGGCCUGCUACGUUUACCGGCUCUUUCUUUACUACAUGUUGGGACGUUGUGAAAAGGGAUGUGUGUAGAGCGGUCGGGGAUUUUUUUACGGGGGCGGAGCUACUUUGGGGGUACACAGCUACGCUGUUGGCUUUGAUUUCGAAAGUACAAGGUGCGUCUUCUUUCUCGGAGUUUAGGCCAAUUUGAUCGUGUAAUUUUGUGAAUAAAAUUCUCCUUAAAUUGCUGGCACUGCGUCUGGAGGCUAUUCUGCUAAAAUAAUCUUGCCCCAACAGAGUGGAUUUGUGAAGGGCAGGCAGAUAUCUGAUAAUAUACUACUGGCUCUGGAAAUGUGUUCGGGGUUGGGAAGGAAAGUAAGGGGUGCUAAUGUGGCAUUAAAAUUGGACAUGGCUAAAGCUUAUGAUCGGGUCUCCUGGUGUUUCUUACUACAAGUUAUGUGGAGGUUUGGGUUUGGGGAAUAGUGGAUCGAUAUGAUCUGGCGGCUGAUCUCUUCUUGCCACUUCUCCGUACUGGUGAAUGGGAAACCCUGUGAUUUUUUUCACUCAUCUCGGGGAUUGCGGUAAGGGGAUCCUCUAUCUCCGGCUCUAUUCAUCAUUGCGGUUGAGGUACUCUCGAGGGGUUUGAACGCCUUGGUGGGGAACCGGCAAUUUUUACUGUUUCUGGUUGCUCGAGGUUGCCCCCGUUGACACAGUUAGUUUAUGCCAAUGACAUUAUUAUAUUUUGGAAUGGGACUACACGCUUGCUGUCAUGUGUGAUGGACGUACUAGAUAAAUACCAGAGAUCCUCAGAGCAGCAGGUGAACGCAUCUAAGAGUUGUUUCCUGCUGGGCAAGGGAGUGUCUCUUGCUCAUCGCAAGGUGAUCUCGCAAGUUACUGGUUUCUCCGCCAAGGAUCUGCCAAUCACCUACUUGGGUUGCCCGUUGUAUGUUGGGAGAUGGAUGAAAGGGUUGUUCACUGGCUUACUGGAUAAAGUCUCGCAGUGAUUGACGGCUUGGCGAGGUCGAUGGUUAUCCAUGAGUGCUCGGGCUCUACUCAUUAAGCAUGUGUUGAACUCAAUCCCGAUUCAUCUUUUCGUAGUGCUGAUGCCUCCGAGAGGGAUAGUUGCUGAGUUGGAGUGGAUGUUUGCUCGAUUUUUUUGGGGGGAGUCAGAAUUCGGUCUUAAAAGCCAUGACUGAAGUUAUGCCGUCCUAUGGAGGAAGGAGGGGUAGGCUUGCGGUCUUUACAAGCAAUUAGUGAUGCUUUUUCUUGUAAGCUUUGGUGGUUGUUUAGGGUGACCAGUCACUCUAGGCUACAUUUAUGCGGGGCAGGUAUGUCGGUGGUUUACAUUCUAAUCAGGUGGCUAUUUCGCCUAAGUUCUCGCUAGUUGUGCUUGAAUAUUUGGGGUGCAGUGCUCCAUGGAGAUGUGGUUGCAAUAGGACCUGUCUGGAUGGGAGUCUUCCUUCUGGUGGGAUAAUUGGAGUGGGCUCGGACUACUGGCAUGGAGGUACCCAGAGUUAGCGUCGGACGCGAAGAUUAAUGUUUUUUGGCGAGAGAAUUGAUGGGAUCUUUUGGCCCUGGCAUCCCUUCCUCCGAAAAUUGUAGCGGUGGCAGCUGAAUCCUUCUUUUGUUUUGGUACAGGUUCGGACAAGCCUGUUUGGACAUUAGAACCCUCGGAGUUUUCUCGAUAAAGUCGGCCUAUCAAUUGGUUCGGACAGCUAGAGCCCGGGCGUGGACAUUUGCAUAUAUCUGGCACUCUGCAAUUCCUCCAAAAUUGUCUUUUUUCAUGUGGCGAUUGCUACAGGGGUGGCUGCCCGUGGAUGCGGUGUUGGCGAAAUUUCAGGUUCAUGGCCCUUCUAAGUGCCAUUGCUGCUCACGGCCGCAGUCAGAAACAUUGCAGCAUGUCUUCUCUACUGGCGAUUUGGCAGACGAACUUUGGGGUUUUUUUGAAUGGUUGCUUGGCAUCUCUUCAUCCCCUGUGGUUAAUGUUAGGUCACGGUGCUUUAGAUGGUGGUUCACCCCAGUCAGAGAAAGGGCACUGCGUUGGCUUUACCGAACGCUACCCUUAAUUAUUAUAUGGUUUCUAUGGCGGGCCAGGAACACGGCCCGUUUUGAGGGUUGGAGGAUCUCAACUGGACAGGUUCGGGGUUGGAUCAUUCAUGAGGUGCGGUUGCUGGUCCAGGUGCAUUUCUCGGCCAUAUCGCGAUGGUCACUUCCGUGGACGGAGUUCCUUGAUUCUUUGUCUGCAGUGCAGCGCCACUAACCUCGACGUUAGUGUGUUGGGUGUGUCCGGGGGAUGGGUUUUUUAAGUUAAAUACGGAUGGCUGUGCCACAUCUCGUGGGGGGAGCGGCGGCGGGGUGAUUAGGGACUCAUGCGGUAGGUUUAUUCUGGCGUUUGCUAAUAUUUUUGGUCCUGUGAAUGCCUUGCAAGUGGAGGCACGUGCUCUUCUACUGGGUCUUCAGCUGGGGUGUCAAAGAGGGAUCUCCCAUUUAAUUGUUGAGUCUGACUGCCGUCUUGAUCAAUUGUUUACGAGGCUCCUGGGGGAUUCCCGCUAUCAUUCGACCUGUCGUUCGGGCUAUUCGGGGAUUGCCCCUGAGGGUUAUCGGAGGGGAAUUCUGUGGCGGACUCACUAGCAUAUUAUGCCAACGCGCGUGGUUUCUUUGAAGUGUUCUCUACGGUAGUUUAGCUACCGGGCCGCACUAGAGGGUUAUUGGCUCUAGAUAUGCAGAAUUUUUGUAACUUCCGCUUCCUUCCAGAGGUAAGGUGGCGGCCCCCUCCGUGUUUUGUACUUUGGUCUUAUCUCAUUUUAAUAAAAAUUCUGCUCACAUAAAAAAAAAAGGACUAAUAGCCCUAAGCAACAAAUACAUAAGCUUGAUUCAUUUAAACUAGAUUAUAUAUUCUCGUGAUUAUAAUCCAAAAGUUUCUAUUUCAAUCAAAUUAUAUCACUCGCCACAAAUACUAAAACUACCAAACAAUUAUGGAUUUGAUAUUUUGAGAUGGCAAUAGAUUAUUUCACAAUUAAAUAGUGAUAAGGUAUUUAACCGUAGAAAAUAAUCAUAUAAAUAAUGAACAGAGAAUAUAAAAAAUCUAUAAAUAAAUGCAACCAUAAGAACAAAUUAAAUCUCACAGUAUUCAUUGAACCAACACUUUGAUUAUACUUUGACUAGAACAAGGAUUUAGCUAAGCCUCAUGGUUGAAUUGCAGCCGAAGAAAUAAUUGUGGUUUGCUAUUGCAGAGAAAAGAAAGAAAAAAGAUAAGCGCUGGCUAAUUUUUAUUCCAAUGAAUGAAAAGCUUAAAGCCAAAGUCGUCAAUUGUCUCUUAACUUGCAUUCUUAAUCUUUGUCUACAAAAGAAAGAAAUUUGCCCACUAAUGCUUGCCUACUUCUUCUCAAAAGGAAAAGAAUCUUUUUAGCACUAAAAUACUACCAUCGUCACUAAAAAAAUAAAAGAUAUUAUUUCUAAAAAUUAAUCAAUAUCCAACUUCAAAAAAGGAAAUAAAUCUCUUGAUUAUUAGGAAAUAAUUAAGCAAGCUAGGCCCACUUCAAAUUUCGUGAUGUUCGGACUUCACAAUAGGUUAAGACGUGCUCGUGUCUUGUAAAGUAUAGUCCUCUGGAAAUUUUAAUGGCCUUUUUACUCCCUUUUCACAGCAAUUUCCUGGAAGUAACACCAAAAAUCAAACAUGAGUAAAAUCUCGUAAUUAACACCAUAUCUUGGCAAAAUAAAAAGGAAAAAUAUUCACAAAUUAUGUACACAAUUAACCAUCUAACAAAUUACAAUAUUUUACUCACAUAAUCUCUAUGUUUUUGUAGGCCAAAAUGAUCAAACUCAAUUGAGAGUAAAUUGGUAGACUAAAAGUGAUGAAUUAGAAACUUAAAAAGUCACAACGAUGAUCCAAAGAGGUGGUGCAACUCAAGAAUUUGAAAAGAUGAAGAUUGGAAAGUCAUAAAAGAAAAAGGAGAGAAAUCUCGGAGGAAUUCUCAAGGUUUCUAGCAGUUGCUGCAAGGGAUUUUGGGCAAAAAGUUUGAAUUCAAAGAGCAAAAUAGAGGAAGACAAACCCUCGAAGAAUCCCUCUAGGGUUUCUCACAAAUCUCCAUGGUUUAUUCACAAACCUCUGAGGAUUUGUUGGUGGCUGCAAGUUGUCAACUUACUUGAUUUUUUGUUUCCUUUCGCAUCCUUGAUGUGACAUAAAGCAAUGAUUUGUAUCAGUAUUUUUGGGUUUUAGGAGCUUCUUUUCUUGACUAUUUGACAUGAAGAAACACAUUGUUGAGGAGAGAGUUUAGUUCUUGAACAAGAACAACUUUCUCUCUAACUUAGCGUAGUUUUAGUUUUAACUUUAGUUUUCAUUUCUUUGAAAAAACUUGAAGACCUCUUGGUGUAACAAAUAUUUUUUAUGGUAAUGAAGAUGCUAAAGCAUAGAGAUCUUGCUUUUUAAGUUGAAUGAGAAUUUCUUCUUCUUUAUUCUCUUUAGUGUUGUAUUAAUGCUUAGUUACAUUAAAGAUAUGAACAUUAUUGUUGAAUCUACUAUGUCUAGCUAAAUCUCCUUGUUCUAAGGAUAGAUGAAAUUAUUUGUGCUUUAAUUAUGGUUGAAUAUAGUUGAUUAUUGUUAUGCCAUAUACUUGCUACUUCACUUAUUCUUGCUUUUACAUUUGUGAAUGCUUGAUCACCAUUUUGCAAGGCAUGAUAGUUUUAAUCUAUGAAAGUAGUUGGUAAUGAUGGAAAUGGAAUAGGUGGAACCUAAGGAGUAGACACACGAAAGUAGUAAUGCACUUAGUUGGAUGAUUUUGACACUUCCCAUGCUUGAUUAAAUUUCACUUGUGAUUUCACCAGGAAAGUAGAGAAACUAUAGUAUUGGCUAAAUUCAGUUCAUUGGCGAGAGCUAGUUCUGAUGACUUAAAUGAAAUGCAUCCUUAGCAAGACAAAUGCAUUAGUGAUAAUUGACUAUUUCAUCCAUAAUUAGGUACAUCUAGUUGAUUCUAUACUUUAGGACAUUUGUGUUUAGUUGACUUUUUUCAAGAUGUUAAUUUUUCUUGCAUUGUUUUAUGGUUGUUGUUAUUUACUUAGUUAAAAUUCUUGAUUAGUCUGGAUAGUUGAGUGAGCUAAAAGCCUUAGUAGUUGGAAAUAAUUCUUGUAGAAUUGCUCCUAACUCCCUGGUACUGUGAGCCACAAUGAAUAAGAGAAUUGGCAUGGGAUAAAAUUUAAAGCAUAAGUUAGACUCUCAUCACUUGCAGUAUGAAAUUUUGAGUUAUGUUUAAAACUUGGAUGCAGUUAAGGUUCAAACUCCCCAUGCAAUCACUAACUAUAAUUUUUUAGCACGCAUGCUAUUUAGGGAUUGGUGAUUUAUUGGGUAAUUUCUUUUAUUCGUUGUUUUCUUUGUUCAUCAAGUCUGAUUGGUUAUAAAUAGUGUGUUAUAUAAAGUGCUUUUAAAGAGAGUAAUGAGAGUCUCCAAUGAGCUUAUCAGGGGAUUAUCAAGUGUUUAUUGUGGUGUGACUAUUUUCAUUAGUUCGAGAUAUUAAUAAAGUUGCUAUUUUGAAUUGAGUUCUUUGUUCUCGUCUUUCUCUCUCUCUCUCUCUCAACACACAUAGAUAUAUAUAUUGUGUAAUUGUUUUAUGCCUUCAAUUAUAUAUUUCUGCGCAUUAUUAUUAGUAGAACUCAUAAAAUUUUUAUUUUUUGGAAUUCUCCAAAUUAACUGCGUGUUGUUAGACCUUAUAUUCCAAGCACAUGAAGUCAUGCCUUCAACUAAUCAGCUAAACAAAGUACAAAAGAUAAAUAAAUAAAUUUAUCAAAUGAGGUCAUAAUAGCAACCGAACGCCAGCCCAGGUCAAAUUACAUAAAUUAGGUUUUAAUAGCAUGAAAAUGAAAACGUGGCUGCCAGUGCUGCUAUCCUUCAUAAGGAAUAAAUAAAUAAAUAAAGCAAGUCAUUUUAACGGUCCAAAAAAUGCUCCAAACAAUCGAUCUUUACUCAAUAUGGUUGAAAAUAACGGUAGCACCUAUAAUCUAAAAAUCUUUAACAACUAAAUGCAAAAAUUGCCCCCAAUACAAAGUUAAUUAUCAUUUUUGCAUUAUUCUUAUUGAGAUGUCUACACUGUUUACUACAAAGUCUUGAAAAUUAUCCCCAGAACAAAAGGGAAAAGAACAACUCUAACGAUGUUGUAAUAAACUCCAUCUAAAUAAUGAUUAAUAAACCCAAAAAUAAUAAAUAACUCCAAAUGUGGUGUUUGGCAUAUCUUAAGAAUAUUCUUUGGAUUUAAGUUUUGAUUCGGUAAUACUCGAAAUAUUUCGACUUUUUUUUUCUUUAAAAUGUAACAUUGGAGAGACCAAUUCAGUGGUAAAAGGAGGGAAAGUUUCCUUCUCUAAUUUUUUGUCCUUCUUACAAUUGGUACACGUGGGGCAUUUCAUGCAUGCUCUUUACUUUCAUCAGUUUUGGUUAACACCGUUUAAAAUUAGACUCAAAUGGAACAAAUAUGAGAACAUAGGGUUCAAAGUGUUCAAUAUGAGUUUAGAGUGCAAAGUGAGAUCAUAUACAAUUUAAAGGGUGCAAAUUAAAAUCAAAUAGAAAUUAAAGGGGUGUAAAAUGGAACUAGACUUUUUAUUAUUGUGUACACACUCCAAUUAGUUUUGCUUACGAUUUUAACAAUUGGCCUCAAAUGGGAAAAAUAUGAGAGUUUAGUGUCCAAAUUGUUAAAAAUUGAAAAUUGAAACCCAAAGUGAAAGCUAGCUACAAGUUAGCAAUCCAAAGUGAAAUUAAUCUAGUUUUUCGGUAUCCACUAAAGGAUGCUUUGAGUACAUGGAAUUUGAUCGAUAGGCCACUGGUUUGAAUUUUGUAGUUUAACGAAAAAAAAAAAUAGCUUUUAUAGGUUAAUUGAUUAGCACGUGAGUUAUUAGUCCUUAAUCUUGCUGUUUAAAAAUGGUUACAUUUUCUAAAUAUAGUUCUCAAAAUAUUAAUACAGGCAACAAAUUACCUUUACGCAUUGAACAUCAAGUACUAUUACUUAAACAAUUUCAACAUAAAUACAGAAAAAGAUAUGUUCUUGCAAAUUUUCAUUCUCUUCUAAUUAUUCAGAAAUAGAAAACAUUAAUCCUCAAGGGUCAAUCUAAAACCAUUUUUAGUAAUAAAUCCGAAAACCCAGAAACCAUUUUGACUUUUCACCGCGACAAAACUAAAAUCCCAGAACCAGAAAGCAAAUAAGGAAACUUCCAAAACUAUUACUCCCCACAAACUAACAUAACGGUAAUAUGCCCCACCUGAGUCCUAAUAGGAUUCAGAUACCAACUUAGACUAUCCAACACAAAUAGCUGUAUAAAUUCUGAAUCCUCACAUUGCCGCAGAAUUUCUUCGUAGGGAUCCUUAAACCUAGUUUUCUUUUCAACAUCAGCAGCAGUUGUUCUUGAGAAGAAGACGAGAGACAGAGAUUUCUGAUCACUGGGCUUCAUCAUUCCAGUUCCGUUUUAGGUUUUCUUCAAUUAUUUCUUUUCAUUGUUAGUUUUAGGUAAUCAUUAAUAGGAAGAAAUCGUAGUUCUAGCAUCUAAGUUGGUGGAAGGGAAGAUCAAGAAUGGCGGUUCUGAAUUUCCGCAGACGCCCUCGAAAGAGGAAGUAUCCUCAAAGAUCAAAGUUCGAUUCUGCCCAGGAUGAGCAGAUAUCUUGUCCCGUGAUUGAAAAAACAGUACCUUUCAAGAAAUCCACUGUGAAUAAGGGUAAAAAGGAAGUUCUUUUGGCAAGACCCACUGGGAUCAGUUCCCAGAAUCACAAUAAUCUACGCAGAACCAGGAAAGGUUCCGCUGAUGAUCUUUCGGGAUUUCGCACAUUGACUGAAAAAACAGGGAAAAAUUGGGAGAAUAGAGGUAAAAGAACGGUUCAAUUGGCAAGAGGUACCAAAAUCUGUUUGCCCAUUCUCGAUGAUCAUCAGCUUCUCGAUCAAGAACCAUUGUUGAACGAAAAAUCAGCGGCCACACAGGAAUCUACUGGGCAAAGCAAGAUGAAGAUUACUUUUAAGAAGAAACUAGUUGUAAUGAUCGAUAUUCCUGAUCGAGUGACGAAGCAGAAAACAGGCGAUAUUUGUUCUCUUCCGUCAGAACAGAACCAGCGGGAACAACUUCCACUGGAGUUGAAGAAGUACAUAGAGGAACUGGGGGCAACAGGGGACCCUGUUUUGGUGAUUGAAAAGAAAUUGUCUUCUUCAGACGUGAACACUGGCUUCAAAGAUUGUCGAUUCCGGCAAAACAGGUUCUGAAUCACGGGUUCUUGACAGAAGAAGAGAGGAGGAGAUUCAACAUUGAUAACAAACAGCAAGAAAUUAACGCCCUCUUAAUUGAGCCAUCACUUGCUCAAUCAGGAAUCAAGUUCAAAAAGUGGUAUAUGGGGAACUCUGAAGUGUACGUGUUGGUGAGUGGGUGGAAUGAGGUUGUGAAGAGGAAUGGAUUGAAAUCAGAAACACCAGUGCAGCUCUGGUCAUUCAAGAAGGAUUCACAAUUGUACUUUGUUUUGGUUCGGUUGUAAUAGGGCUGCUCUGCAUAGCGAUGAUUAAUUUGUAAAUUACAUUCUUGAAUUUUGACGUAAUUAACUGCAGUUUAAUCAUGUUAAUGUGGGUGUUUCGAAAGUGAUGGAUAUAUAUAUAUAUAUAUAUAGCUAAAUCUAGAUCGAUCAUUCAUAUAUGUUUGUACUUAUAUAAGACUAGUAAUAUUUCGCGUGUGCUUUGUCCAUAUAUAUAUUUUCCAUAACAUAGUUUUCUAAGGUACUAAAUUUCUAAGAUGUAAUUUCUUUUAAUGGUUUCUAUGUACUAUAGUGAUGUCUUUGUGUAUUCCUUUUGCUUAUGUGGAUGUUUCGUGUAUGUUUGCCCUUACAUAACAUAAUUGUUUCCAAAUAUUGACUGAUUGCUGCCCAUGACAUCUAAAAAUGCACAACUUUGUAAAAUUUUUACUGCCAAAUUUUGCACAACACAAUUCAAAAUUAACUUGUUGGAGGCUUCAAGAUUUGCGCCUGAAUUGUCUUAAAAAUAGUUCAGACCUGUACUCCAAAUUGUUUUUAACCAGUAAAAGUUGUAAGAAGCUCUUAUAAUGUGAAAUACAGGUAGCCUUUUUGAACUAGAUAAUAACCUUAUGUUAUUAUAUAUUUGGCAUCAUUAAUUAUCUGCCACUUGUACUUAGAAACUGAAAUCUCCAAUUGCUAAGUUCUUAUGGAAAGUCAAAAAGUAUCCAGAGAUCUCAUUAGGUUUUUAUCAACUGUUUAUUGCGGUGUAACUUUCUUCGUUAGAUUAAAAUAUUCAUAAAGUUGUUAUUAUUAUGAGAGUUAAGUUAUUUAUUCUCUCCUCCUCCGACCACAUAUAGUGGGCCUGUUUGGAACCUGAGUUUUUUGGGAAUUUUUGUCUAAAACUUUACUGUAGUGCACUGUAGAAAUUUUUGAAAAAUUUUGUAGAAGUUUUUGUACGGUGAAAAACUUUUUUUCUUUUUUUUUUCUCUUUCCCUUUCUUUUCUUUUUCUUUUUCUUUCUUUCCUUUUUCUUUUCUUUCCUCUCUUUUCUUCUUCUUCUUCUUCUUCCCGUUAGCUCCACCACCCCCAGCAACAACUCCACCUCCCGCCACCCCUCUCCUCCCUUUCCCGCCGCCCCCCCUCUGCCCCUUCCCCCUCCCCCGCAGCCAGCCCCUCUGCCCCGCCACCCCCGCCUCCCCUGUUCCCCUUCCCGCUUUUCACCAUCUUUCUUUUCUUUCUUUUUUUUUCCCACAGAGAGGUGGGGGAGGAAUGGCGCCAGACGUAGAGAGAAAAAAAAAAGACAAGAAAGGAUGAUGGUAGGAGAGGAAGAGGGGGAGAGGGAAAAAAAGGGGAAAAAAAAUGAAGGUCGGCACCGGCACCGGCACCGGAAAUUGGCGCCGGAACCGGCGACGGAGCCGCAAUGGAGGUGGUGGUGGGGAGGAAGAAGAAGAAAAGGGGAAGGGAAUUUUUUUUGUUGUGUUUUGGAUAUUUUAAGUGUGUAGGUUAAAAACUUUGAUAAGUUUUUGGGGGUUCCUGUAGCACAAGUUGUUAAAAAACUAGUAUAAUAAAAACUUGGUGAAAAACAGGGCUUCCAAACAGGCCCACUAUGUGUAACUAUUUCAUCCCUUCAAUUAUAUAUUCAUGCGCAUUGUUGUUAUUGGGACUCAUAAAACUCAGACCUUUCAUUGACCAGGAAAAAUGAUUGGAUCAAGAGUCAUUGAAUCAAUCACUGGGCAAAUUAUUAUUAACCAUGACAUCAUAAAUAUAUCAUAAAUAUUAUUAAUAAAUAUUAAACAUCUAAAAAUAUGCAAAUAUUUGUAGAAACUUCAAUAAUAAUGUUAAAAAGAAUCACUUCAGCCCUUAUUCUAAUCUUUUAUGUAUUACUUGUUUGAAAUUCAAGAAUAACUUUUACAAGUAAAAGGUAAAAGAAUUAUAGAAUAGCAUUAUUAUCUACAUCUCUAAUUUUUUACAUUUUUAAUUUUGCUAAAUUAUAUGAUAAGUAGUUUAUAAGAUUGGAAUAAAAAUAAAUAGAAGGAUAUGACAAACAAAUGAAAUGCGCUAAAAAGUUACCAUAAUUAGCGUACUAUAUGGAAUAAAUGUUAGACAAGAGUUUCCAUAUCAUUAUGAGAGAGAGAGAGAGAGAGAGAGAGAGAGAGAAUGAGUAGAAAUAAGAUAAUAAUUGUUAUUGCCUGACUAAUUAGAGAUAAUAAUGCAUGGGUAAUUGGUAAGGUUUAAGUUUGGAAUGUCAUUGAAUGAAAUUAGUUGAUCAAAUUUAAUUUUUUUUGGUUAAUUAAAGUUGAGCAACAAAUUGGCCGGUUUAAUGAAAACUAUUUCGGUUCAACGGUCCAAUAAUCAAACCAUCUAGGCUAACUAAUUUUCACAAAACAGGGCAGUUUUUUUAACCCUCUAAAUUGGAGGCAUAACCCAGCUCGCCUAGCCCGAUCGAUGGUUCAACCAGCCCAACCAAGCGGUGCAAGCAGGGUUUCACCUCUUGACCUUUUCUAACCGAAGUUAGAGUUACGGUUUUUACAAAUGGAGUUCUGCAAAAAACUGCGUAUUAGUACUUAAUGUUUAAAGCAGGUAAUCCCAUUCCCUUAACUAAUUAGCUAAAAAAACUAAAAUUAAAAAGAAAAAAGAUCUACCAAAUGAGGCCAUGAUAUAUUUGCAUAAAUGAAGUUUUAAUAGCAUGAAAAUGAAAAAAGUGGCUGCUAUUGUUGCCAUCCUUCAUAAGGGGGAAAAAUGAAAGUAAGUCAUUUCAGCACUCUAAAAAAAUGCUCUAGAAAAUCCACCUUUGGUUGAAAUGACAUAAACACCUAUAACCUAAAAUCUUUAACAACUUAAAUAACAAAAUUAACCCCAAGACAUUAUCAAUUAUAAUUUAUAUUGUUUUUAUGGAGCCAUCGCGCUCUUUAUUACAAAGUUUUGAAACUUAUCACAAAAAAAGACCAAGAUUGUAAUGAACACUACCUAAACAAUAAUUAACAAAUCAAAAAGGAACAAAACAAAUCAAAGCAUAGUUUUGGCACAUCUCUAAAAUCCUAUAUUUUGAAACUCGGACCAGACAAAGACUCGGUAGAGCUCAUGAGGUCAGGGGUCAAUGGGUUCAACCGGAUUUGAUCGAUGUCAAAAAUCGGAUAAUGUCAGCAUGAUGUCAUUAAUAUAAUUUAAUUAAAAUUAAAAUAUUAUGUAAAAUGUCUAACCAUAGGUUAAUAUCAAGUAAAGUAUAUUAGUAGAUCUUUGAUGUUUCAAAUUUAUUUAACAAGAAAAUACAAAUAACAUAGAAUAAUCAACAAUAGUUCAUAUGAUUUAAUGUUUAUUUCAUAGUUUAGAAUUAAUUUUGGAGAUUUAUUUGAAAUAAAACACUAAAAUUUAGGACUAUCUAUAAUCUGUAAAAUAUUUCUAAGUACGUCAACAAUUUUGAGAUACUUUAGAGGUCAAAACAUAAAUUUGUUAAAACUUUGAGCCCAAACUGAAAAUUUCUCAUAUUUCUUCUUUGACUCUAAGCCUAGAGCAAUCACGUUGCCUUCACUUUCAUCCAUUCUUGUCCUACCUCUGUUCUUUCUUCCCUGCAACUUCUUCUUCUCCGGCUCUUUCUUUUUUUUUUUUUUUCUUUUUUCGUUUUCCAUUCCAAAUUUCAUUGUGCUAGUCUUUUCUCCUCAAACCACAAAAUAUAAAAAUUUUAUCUUAUUUUUUUAAAACUUCUCUCUUUUGAACUCUUUUUUUUUACUAUUUUAUUUCUUUUUCACCUUUUUGAUACAUGUGUGAUUAGAUCUUGUUCAAUAAAUGCAUUUAAGAUUAGAUAUGAAGGGAUCUUGUUCAAAGGAGGAAGAUGGUAUGCAAGUUUUAAGCGACUUGUCAAACGAGGAAGAUGGGUUCCAGGUUGGAGUGAAAAGGGGCAAAAAAUGAAAAACUCUAGUUCUCACCGGUUUCAUUGGCUUCCGGUCCAACCCGACUUUUGACCAGGUUUGACCGAGUUUUAAACAAACGGAUUUUUAGAAACACUCGGACCGGACAUCUAGCCGGUUCCCGAUCCAACUGGCCGGUCCGGUCCAAAUCGUCUUGCUCAAGAGCCAAAUUUGGAUGGAAUUGGAGCCAAAAGCCACAUUAUUAACAUUUUGCUCAAUUUGGAGGACCAUAUUGAAACCCUUUUUAGAUUAAAGGCCUAGAAUAAAUGGACCAUAUUAGCUUGUGAUUAGGAAUAACCCCGAAGGCGAGUGUCUGUACAGCCAAAGGGAGUAAUAGGUCGGGGGCAGGGGUGGGGGCGUUCUUCACAUUUUUUUUCCUCUGGAAAUGGUAGAGGGGACAUUAUUCAGUCCUUGCUUUAAGUAGGGUGGGGGAUGGGAGAGAAUAACCUCAUCUCGUCAUCCCAUGUAUCAUUUAAUAAAUGAGAUAAAAGAUGACAAGCCUAAUUGAAAAGAAUUAAUAAAUUAUGUGGAUAGUUGGGUUUGACCUAUUUUUGUAUCCAAUUCUUCUCUAACUAAUUUUUAUAAUAAUUUCUGUCUCUUUUUACUAAUUUUGAAUUAAAUUUUAUUAUGGUUUUCCUGUCUCUACUAAUAAAGUAUAUCUGUAUUUAUAAAUUCACUUUAAUUUCUUUAAUCCAUAUAUACUAACUUUAAUUAUUUUUAUUUUAAUUAUUAUUUCAUUAAUGUUGCUAGAAAGUUAAUAUUCCUUCAUGAAGAAAAUAUAUUUUUGCAUGUUUAGAAUUUAGUUUAGCGCAAAUAUAUAGUUUUACAUUUUAAAUCACAUAAAUAUCUAAUAAUUAAUUACAAGGAAUAUCUAUCAAUCUUUUUGUAUACCUUGCAUAUUUAAUUAGUAAUACUAUAUUAAAAAAUGUGUGCAUUGAAGUUUUGAAAGAUUAAUAUGGUACUUGAACAUUUAGAUAUAUUAAUUUUCUAUCAUAGAUAUUCACAAAUUUGUAAAAACGUUGUUUUAUCUUUUUUAAAUUACUCAUGCUUGCAUUAAAAAAGCACCAUGCGAGUACACAAGUCAAAAUACCAGUUAUAAUUUAGUUCUAAUUAGAAUAGAACUCUUAAUUUCUAUUUUUUUUUAGUGUAACUAGGAGGUUUCAAACCCGAAACUUCUCACUUAUAUUCCCUUUCCCUAUAUCACCCAACACAUCCCUCCUCCUUCAAAUAGAACUCUUAAUUAGUUAUUUGCAAUUGCAAUUAAAAAGUUUUAUACGGCAUUUAUAUUCAUUUGUAUAGCAUGCAAAGCUAGCUAUUAAUGAUACUAAUAGUAUUAUUUGUAGUAGUUGAAUAAAUAGUAUGGCAGUAGGGGAAGUUCCAUUCCUCCAAUAAUAGUAGUAAGGGAUAAUUUCACAAAUCUCUCCUAAAGUUUGCCUUAAUAUUAUUUAGCACCCUUCGUAGUUUAAAAAAUCUCCCUUACAUCCCUUUGUCAGAUUGACAAGAUAAGAUGUCUCCAUCUUGGGUGGUAAAUUGACAAUAGGAUCCUACUGGAAACCUCUAAUUGAUUAACUAAAAUUCACACCAAAAGAAAUGAAUUUGGAAAGUAAAAAAAAAAAUCAGAACAAUGAUUAACAAAACUAUUAUUUAUAAUGGUGACUUUUUUGCAGCAAUAAAAAGCACAGAACUUCUAAUCCUACUAUUACAUAAUACAUGACGGGUGUCAAGCCUGUGCAAUAAUAAAAACCUACUCAACAAAAAUAUAAUUUUGUAUAUAGCGGUGAGUAGGGUCGAAUCCACAAGAACUUGGUAUAAUUUGUUUCUUCCAAGUCCAGAGUAUGGGGGAUUUUUAUAAAGAUAUAAAAAUAACUAAUUAACUAAAUAUAAGCAACUUAGGAAAAUAAACAGGAAUUAAUCAACAAUAGAUACGACUCUAGCCAAAGGUGUAACUUUUCAGACACGGUCCAUUCAACUGAUAAUCGAUGCAAAGAUAAUUCAUUUAUUCAUUAAUAGAUUGAUUACAGUUGUCAUACACGCAAUAAAUAACCAACUUUGCCUUACUUUUUCGAUAGUCAAGGUAUGACAGUUAACUAUUUUCCUAAUCAAAAAUAACCCAGGUACGACCAUAGGAUUUAAUUUCUCAAUUGCAUUAAGAAUUAGAAAAACUCAACCCUAACCAGCAAACACGCUACGAGGGUUUUUUUAAAUUAGAUCAUAUGUUUCCCUAAUAUGGGACCAAUCACGCUAGUCACCACUGGUACUAACCAGUCAAACAAUUACGGAUUUAAUCGGUUAAUCUAACAGUAGAUGAUUAGGUUAAUUCGAAUAUCGGACCCUUGACAUUCAAAUAACAAAACAAUCAUAAGAAGUUAAAUUAGAAAACGUACAAAUACCAAUGAAUAAAAGAAAUAAGUAAAAUAAUUGAUCUCAUAGAUGUUUGGAACCACAUUUUCAUAUUAACCCUUGACUAGAAAAGAAACUUAGUUGCGCAUGGCCAAUUGAAUUUUUCCAAAGACAGCGGCAUAAGUCUUUGAUAAGAGAAAUACUAGAAAAACAAAAGACUAAGAGAAAGAUCCCUGCGGCUCCCCUCUAAGUAUCCAUCAUGCGGGAUCCGGCUAUAAGUACUACCAAUUCGGUUUCUUCCUUGGUCAACCGAGACUAGAAUUCUAAUUGAAAAAGGAAACUCCAAGAAUAAUGCCAGUUGUUUCCUAAAUAAAAAUAUCUAAGAAAAAUGGUAAUUUCCUAAUCUUCGCCAAUAAUCCAUGUGGACUCCACCUUGAAUUGGGAAACUCUUGAAAAAUCACCUCUUUUAUUACUUUUUGCUCCACCUUCCUACAAUUGGCUCCAAAUAUCAAAUAUAAGUAGAAUCGAUCAAUUGAUACAAUAUUUGGCUAGAAUAACAGGAAAAAUAAUUAUAAAUUAAAUGACAAUUUCACACCCUAUCAAUACAUCAGAAGCACAUUAAAUGGACAUUAGAAGCGAAUAUAGCCUAUGGAUUUCUUUCACUUUCUCAAAUCCUGAUUGUCAUAUUUCUAUUAUAACCAUAAUAUCGAUUCUUUGUACUAAAUGAUGUUGGUAAAGUAUAAGAGUGCCUUCUAAUGUAAUGCAACAUAUUUUACUAAUUUCCUCUUUAGGUUACUCCUUUGGCCACUAAACUUGUACUUUUUUUUUGUUCUCUUGUCGCUUUUAUAAUCCUAGAUUUGGAGUAGACAUUACACGAUUAUAAAACUAUUUAUCUACUGCAACGUCUCUUUAUUUCAUUAUUCAUUGCAUAGUUGUAAAAUUACUUAUCUGUUGCCACUUCUCUUUAUUGCAUUUACAUCUUUCCCAAUUUAUCUUUUGCCUAUUAUCCACAUUUUGGUCUUAAUUGCUGCUCUAAUGCUGAUAUAAUUGACAAUAAAAGGGCACAAAUGAAAGUAAACUAUUAUCUCUCCUCUUCUAUUAAUUUUUAAUCACAAGAGGUGAUAAUGCUAGGGAACAUGUCAAUCAAGGAAGGUAAAAGAGAUUUUUGAAACCAUGAAAAUGCUAAGUGAUAUUAAGGCAAACUUUAGGGAAGUUUUGUGAAAUUAUUCCGAUAGUAAAUUAAGGGAGAUUACACAAUAGGCAUUGGUGGCAGUAAUUGCAGUAGUAGUUAGGGCUAUUUAUCUACAUUACAUCCUAACAAAAUUAAUUAAAAUUAUUUUCAAAAACCGAAUUGUUCAUAAUAUUUUGUCAAAUGUGUAGAUUAUACAUAAAUUUUAUAUGAAAUUGACUAAAUAUUGCCAUUUGGUUAAUCACUAUAAAUUUUGUUAUAAUUUUGACUCAUUUUUCACUAUUUAAAUGUUUCACGUAAAUUGAAUAUACAAAUAUUCUCAAACAACAUUAUUUUUUACUAUGUUAAUCUAGAGACUAAAAGAAAAACAAUGACACAAUUGGAUGAUUUUGUAAAGUUAUAUAGUAAUUUAAAUAUAUUUUAAAUGGAGAGACAAAUGGAGAGAAUCCUAACCGUAGUGGUAGUAGCAGUAGUAGUAACUGUAUUAUUAAAUUAUGAUAGUAAAUUGAAAAGAGACUUUGGGGAAAAAAAAUGAAACUGCCACUCAUGGGGAGAGUGGAGCAGGGCGAGACUAUGCCGAGUUGGGUCAGGGAUGGGGAUAGGGGGAGUAAUUUGAUGACAGAGGUUCUAAAACUGCCCCACUGUCAUCCUUAAUUGCUAGUUGGAUACUUCAAAGCACAAAUAAUAAAUACUAAUUUGAUGAUGUGGAUAAAAUAAUCAUUUCAUAAUAAACAAUUUGCUCAUAUUAUUUAAUUACUAUUGGCUUCUAGUAUUACAAUCCAUCCAUAAUUUUAAACAAUAUAUUCAGAAACUUGUGUCUCAGAAUAUUUUUUUUCUAAUUAUAACAAAUUUUUCUUUUGCAUUUCUUGUCCAGACCAAUGACUUCCAAAUUAUAAAAGAUCUUUUGACCGCAUUAAUAUACUGUAAUUCUUAAGAAUUUAACUUAGCUUGUUAAGAAAACUAAAGGUCUACAAGAAAAGCAUAUUUUUGGAAUAAAAAUGUUUUAUCACUUCCAAAAUGAGUUUUUAAAUCAUAUCUUUGAAAUGGGUUGAUAAAGUCAUAAAGAGUUUGAAAAACAAGGGAAAUAUGUGAGAUUUUUCAAAAUUUAGGGGUAUCAAAUCAUAUUGUCACAAACCUCAAGGGAGGUUUUUUAAAUUAUCCCAUAAUGUUAAGAGGUUUCCGGUUUCAGUUUUAAAUUUGCUCUUGGAGAAAAUGGAAUGAAAAAUGGUUACAUUUUCUAAAUAUAGUUCUCAAAAUAUUAAUACAGGCAACAAAUUACCUUUAGGCAGUGAACAUCAAGUACUAUUACUUAAACAAUUUCAACAUAAAUACAGAAAAAGGUAUGUUCUUGCAAAUUUUCAUUCUCUUCUAAUUAUUCAGAAAUAGAAAACAUUAAUCCUCAAGGGUCAAUCUAAAUCCAUUUUUAGUAAUAAAUCCGAAAACCCAGAAACCAUUUUGACUUUCCACCGACAAAAACUAAAAUCCCAGAACCAGAAAGCAAAUAAGGAAACUUCCAAAACUAUUACUCCCACAAACUAACAUAACGGUAAUAUGCCCCACCUGAGUCCUAAUAGGAUUCAGAUACCAACUUAGACUAUCCAACACAAAUAGCUGUAUAAAUUCUGAAUCCUCACAUUGCCGCAGAAUUUCUUCGUAGGGAUCCUUAAACCUAGUUUUCUUUUCAACAUCAGCAGCAGUUGUUCUUGAGAAGAAGACGAGAGACGGAGAUUUCUGAUCACUGGGCUUCAUCAUUCCAGUUCCGUUUUAGGUUUUCUUCAAUUAUUUCUUUUCAUUGUUAGUUUUAGGUAAUCAUUAAUAGGAAGAAAUCGUAGUUCUAGCAUCUAAGUUGGUGGAAGGGAAGAUCAAGAAUGGCGGUUCUGAAUUUCCGCAGACGCCCUCGAAAGAGGAAGUAUCCUCAAAGAUCAAAGUUCGAUUCUGCCCAGGAUGAGCAGAUAUCUUGUCCCGUGAUUGAAAAAACAGUACCUUUCAAGAAAUCCACUGUGAAUAAGGGUAAAAAGGAAGUUCUUUUGGCAAGACCCACUGGGAUCAGUUCCCAGAAUCACAAUAAUCUACGCAGAACCAGGAAAGGUUCCGCUAAUGAUCUUUCGGGAUUUCGCACAUUGACUGAAAAAACAGGGAAAAAUUGGGAAAAUAGAGGUAAAAGAACGGUUCAAUUGGCAAGAGAUAGUAAAGUCAGUUUGCCCAUUCUCGAUGAUCAUCAGCUUCUUGAUCAAGGACCAUUCUUGAACGAAAAAUCAGCCGCCACACAGGAAUCUACUGGACAAAGCAAGAUGAAGAUUACUUUUAAGAAGAAACUAGUUGUAAUGAUCGAUAUUCCUGAUCGAGUGACGGAGCAGAAAACAGGCGAUAUUUGUUCUCUUCCGUCAGAACAGAACCAGCGGGAACAACUUCCACUGGAGUUGAAGAAGUACAUAGAGGAACUGGGGGCAACAGGGGACCCUGUUUUGGUGAUUGAAAAGAAAUUGUCUUCUUCAGACGUGAACACUGGGCUUCAAAGAUUGUCGAUUCCGGUAAAACAGGUUCUGAAUCACGGGUUCUUGACAGAAGAAGAGAGGAGGAGAUUCAAAAUGGAUAACAAGCGGCAAGAAAUUAACGCCCUCUUAAUUGAGCCAUCACUUGCUCAAUCAGGAAUCAAGUUCAAAAAGUGGUAUAUGGGGAACUCUGAAGUGUACGUGUUGGUGAGUGGCUGGAAUGAGGUUGUGAAGAGGAAUGGAUUGAAACCAGAAACACCAGUGCAGCUCUGGUCAUUCAAGAAGGAUUCACAAUUGUACUUUGUUUUGGUUCGGUUGUAGUGGGCUGCUCUGCAUAGCGAUACAAUCUUGAAUUUUGACGUAAUUAACUGCAGUUUAAUCAUAUGUUAAUGUAGGAUGAAAAUUAUUUUCUUUGGCUGUUUCGAAAGUGAUGAUAUAUAUAUAGAUAGCUAAAUCUAGAUCGAUCAUUCAUAUAUGUUUGUACUUAUAUAAGACUAGUAAUAUUUCGCGUGUGCUUUGUCCGUUUAUAUAUUUUCCAUAACAUAGUGUUCUAAGGUACUAAAUUUCUAAGAUGUAAUUUCUUUUAAUGGUUUCUAUAUACUAUAGUGAGAUGUCUUUUGUGUAUUCCUUUUGCUUAUGUGGAUGUUUCGUUUGAUGUCAUUUGAGUUAAAAUUUUUCAAUUUUUUAUUAAUUAAUUGUUCUCCUUCAUCUGAUUUCAUGAUUUUAUUUUCAGUUUUAGUCAAUUUUUUUCUUUUUUUUUUUUGGCGUGUUCAAUUUUUUUUCCAAAUUUUUUGGGUGUUAAUGUUUGAUAGUGCUAUUUCAGUUAGGUGUUAAUGAUUAAUCGUGCUAUUCAUAGUAAUUCAUAAAACAGCUAAUUCAUAGCUAAGCAGCUACUGCUUACAAAAUCAUCAAGAGGCUUCAGAGCCAGUAUUCUAUACAAGAACUAGGAAGAUUUAACUCUGCACGAAGGUUGAAAGCCUCCUGAGAUGCCUUCAACACUCUGGCUGCAAAGUUACCCUUUGAAGUUGAACAGCAAUAACUCCCAAACAUAAGCAGCAAAAGGACAGCAGAGAAGAAAAUAAGACGAGGUGAGUUUCAGGUGGAGAGCAACACAUUUUUUCUUACACAAGGGACCGACCUCUAUUUCCCAGAAUACUAACCUGUAUAUGUUCAGAUAAACGUUCCCUAAAAGCAAGGCUUUAUGUUUACCCCAGACAACUUUAAACCAGGGUACUUUAGAAUAAGUUUGAACAAGCUUACUUCUGGCACAAUCGACUGUGUAACCUCCAUUUAAACUAGGCAACCAGCAAUGAAUCUUCAAUUUAAGAAGCCUGUGCCAAUUCCAAGAAAACAAAGGCUUAGCCAUAACAUUUAAACACAGGAUAGUCCAUUUACCCAUAUUCUUGUAUCUGUUACCAGAAGUUUUAUCACUAAUGAGUCAUGUCAUUUGAGAUCUUGUUAUUUCACUUUGCUGAUGCAGAAACUUGGAUAACUCAUAGAGUAUGGCACUCCUGGUGCCUCUCUCUCAUUUUAUCCGUCAGAAACUGAACAAAGCAUUUGUCUUUGUGUGUUUGGAAUAACGAAACUGAACAGGACUGAACGAAGAAGUAAAGUCAUCGGGAGCUACUUAAAGCUAUCGACAUAAUCUGGAAGUUAUAUCAGGGUCAACAGACAAAUCUCGAACUACAUUGUAAAUAAUCCUGUCAUACUGGGAAUAAAAAAUACAAACAAAAUAAAGUCAGAAUUUGUCUACCUAGUGUAUUUACAAUGAUGCAAUGAAUUUUAGGAUCAAAUUCACCAUUUCAGCAUCAUAAGCAGGGCCUUCCAUCUAGAAGUGGCUUACACCUUCGAUAAGAUGAGAUUCGACACGACCUACAGCUGAACUAAGCUUGUUCUUUAAUUGCUUAACACUGAUAAACCCAUCCUGUGUUCCCAUUAUAAAAAGUUUUGGUUUUGGUGAUUUUAGGAUAGCUUUAUGAUGUCGUCCAAAGAGGAUAGAUGCCAUAAAACCAAAGGGAUAUCCUAUGCUCACAUAACCCACUACUUGCUCAACCUUAUCAACAGCAGAACCUGCAAUAGGUGUACCUGUGCCAGGAAAUAUUUGUGACAAUGUGAACAUGCAUUUCUGUAAACCACCAACAUAAGACCAAAAUAUUCGAUCAGCAUAAAAAAAUAUUGAAUUAUUUGAUCACCACCAAAAAGUAUUGUAGCUAGAAACUUUUAUCAAGUUUACACAAAAUAAGAAAAAUGAGUAACAUCAAUAUUCCGUUAACUAAUAACAUUUGCUAUUACCAAUGCACAUUAAGCUCUUAAAAAAUUUUGAAGUUAGUUUCCUUUCACUGUGCAUACAGGUGGUAAACCUACUUAUUAUUUCUUUGUUUAAACACAAAUUUAUCAUUUGAGGCAUACAAACUUAUAUCACAAAUUUGAGUUUUAUCACUGGGCAAAAUGAUUUCGUUUACUGCCACAAAAAGAAUAAUAAUAAUGUCAUUUAUUUCUUUUGCUCAAGCAUGAUGCUACUCGUUUCUUUUGUCCAAGCACUAUCAUACAACAUGGGAUCCAAACAGUUUUACCUAUAUGAAAUACCAUAAUGGGAACUGCUUAUUUUGUAUGCCAGAUGAAAGCUAUAUAAUAGAGGAACCUCAUGCUCACAAACAUUUGUAUCAAACUUUCAUAAAACUGACAAUCACAGACUUCUUUGGACAUGCACAAAGCUACAAAAAUCAGCAGCACUAAAUGCAUAAAACAAGAUUUGCACAUGAUAACCACUUUGCUUAAACAAAAUAUCUUACCAUGAAAAGAGCACACAAAUAGCAGAAUCAUUCUAGGAACAGAAAUCAGAGUCAUCCAGACAAACUUUUAUGUUCAUAAAACCCAACAGCUGACCUCAUGCAGUAAUAAGAAUCAUUUCUACCAUAUGCAUGGCAAAGGAUUUUGAAGGGAGAAAAGCUCAUGCUGCUUUGAAUGCAAUGCAGAGUAGUUUGCUAUUGGCUAAGGAAGUUCUAAAUUAUCUUUCUUAAAAUAAGUCCAGCCAAAUGUGCACGCGCUAAAUUUGGAGUUGAUCUUUGUUAUCUAUAAAGGCUAGUUCCCUGUCACAUGAGUUCAAAAGAAUCAGAACAUAAUGGUACUGUGUCAUACUUUUCUAAAAUGGUUUUCCCAAAAAAUAUAUGCUAAGCUGAACAUCUGUACAAGUGAUGGCAUGUGGAAAAGCACAAGGAUGAUCAUUAAAUUGGACUGAGAAUAGCUUCUUUUCUUUAAAAAGAAAAACUUGGACUUAGAAAUUAAGUCAUUAAGCAACAAAAGACAUUAAACUAUCAGUGGCCCUAAAUAAUAUAUGCAAUAGAUUACUACCCUGCAAAGAGUUGAUCUGGAGCACAGAUAAAUGCCAUUUUCAUGAAAAUUCAUCCUUCACCCUCUAAGAUGCAAAAACAAACAAAUAAAACCCAACAGGACCAUACCCUGAAAGACAACCCCCAGAAAACCAAGAAGUAGCUUAUGGAAGAACCUCACUAUAACUCAGAAACCAAAUGGAAUUCAGAGGAGUAGUCCACUGCUCUUUAUUAACAUGUCUACAAAGCUUCAGAACCCAAUAUGGAGCAUUUUCUUCCUUAACAAAGACACCUUAAUGACUGUGGCUUUAGACUAAAAUCAAGUUCAAAAGGAAACGCGAUUCUUUAAUUGGCAUUAAAUCUCAACAAACACAGAACCAAUCAAGAAUCUAAGAAGAAAGUUCUUCACACAUGGACAAAAUGAGUCAACUAGGAGGGAAACUCUUUAAACACUACCAACAUAAAUUUUCGUAUCAAAAUCUAAAAGCAAAUAUCUUGUUUGCUAAUAAAGGUGCAAACACUACAACACUACUAUCUAAUGCCAGCAAAAUCCUGCACAAAGAUAAAUCAAGAAAUGGACCAACUUCUCCUAAAUGGUUAUAUCCCUAUAUAAAUUCAAACUACAAGCUCAAACUGAAUAACUUUAAAUCUAAUCACCACCACUUCACUCAAAAGUCAAAAACUGAACAAUUUUAAAUCUAGUCACAACGCCUUGAAAUUAAAACUAACAAACCAGCAACUGCUAAGCGUACAAAUCCCUGAAAUUAAAACACAAAAUGUGCAAAAAAAAAAAAGCGAAUAAAGACUACCUGCAGAAGAACCCAUGGAAAGAUUCUGAGAAGCCCAUCUGCAGACAGCAACCAUAUCAUUAAUUUCUUUAAAUCCAGUGAGAGAAGACUUGCCUGUAGAUCUUCCAACUCCUCUCAUGUCAAAGGUCCUGCUUUAUAGCCUUUUCUUGCCAGCCCACUUGCAAUCCCCCUAGAAAGCCUUGACAACCACCCAAUAUGGAGUACGGAUGCACUAAAAUAACCACCAAUUCAUCAUUUCCCUUAGCUCUUUCAUCAUCUUCUUGCUCUUCAUCUUUCUUCAUCUUCUUCUUCCUCUUUUUCUCUUGGACUGAAGAUUUUUGCCUGAAGUUGAACUCCAUCACUAGUUUCAACAGUGAAGGACUUCAAUGAACAGUCAUAGGCAAUUUUUGCUCCUAACGGGAUUUCUUUCUGUAGCAAUUACUGAAAAGUAUUUUUGGCCUUUUAGGACAGGAAUUGGAAAUACAGCAAAUAAAAGCACUGAAUCGAGUUCAGCUAAAUUGCAUUUACCUCCACAAAUUUUUAUAUAUUUAUAAUUAAUUUCACAAAAAAUCAUAAUUAUUAAACUCGACCCAACAAGAGGUGGCAAAGAAGCUAGAUGGAUGGAUUACUAGAUCAGUAGGUCACUAGAAUAGUAAUUUGGACAAAAUGCUCUAGUGCCCUCAAAUUAUUAUGAAAUUUAACUUUAGUUUCUAUACGUAAAAUGUAUAUUAAAGUGCUUUUAGAUAUUAAUUAUUGUUGAAACCCUAGAAAUUAGAAAUCCGAGAGUCAAAUUCCUUUUUUUGUCCCCUCCUUUGAAGUCUCACCCCCCUCUAGUAAGAAAAGUAUUUUUAAAAAUAUUAAUUAUAAAGUUUAGAAAGAUAUAUAAUGAACAUAUAAACAUUGAUAAAAAAAUUUAUUUUCAAAUUUUUAUUAUGAAGACAUUUUUUUAUAUACAUGACCUCAUUUUUUCUCUUAGCUUAGGAUAAAAAAAAAUAGUUUUAGUUAAAUAGAUGAGUGGAUCAAAUUGAUCUAAUCCAACUAAAAAUGUUUACUAAAUGAAUCUAAAUGGUUGCCAUUUAAAUGGAUAAGAUAAAACCAUAAUCCAUCCACUUAUCCAUUUACUUUGCAAAGUCCUAAAUUGAAAAUCGAGUUUGCACAAAAAAAUAAUCCAAAAAAUUUGAAAUCUCUAUUGCUAAUCCUAAUUCUAGCAAAUUUAACAGAAGGAGGAAACAAUAAAGUUUCAAAUUUAUGACUUUUGUAAUUGCUUAAAAUUUAGUUGCAAAAAUUUCAAUAUUGCCUGAAUAAAAAGCGAAAUGAUAUUAAAGGACUAGUGAUAAAGCAUAUACUAUUCAUUUUCAAAGAAAAUUUUUCUUUUUUAAUUGCAAAGAACAAUGUCAAGAAGGCCAUACUACCAGAGCAUCUAUAAAUUGUAAUCCCCACUCUUGCCACCUAAACAAACAAAAGAAGCCACUUUUAUAGAAUAAAAGAAAAUAUUUAAAAAUAAAAAAUACUUUGAUGUUGUAUGCUGACUUUUUUUCUUCUUACUUACUACAGAAUGUACAAGUUUGUAACUAUUUUUAUAUGAGAGUAUAUAACAAGAAAAAAAGAAGCAAAGACCAAACUAUAGUUUACUAACAUGAAAAAGGUGAAGGAAGUCUAAAAAUUAGGGGAAAAAAAAAGAAAUAUGUAGUUAAUACUAUUAGAAUGCAAGCAACUAUGAAGGAUAGCAAAGUGGUCCUACAAAAUUUCACUUGCUUAAUUUUCACCAGUCUCUUAAGUUAUCCAUGUAAAAUCAUUGAACUCAUAUGGGCAUCCAAGUCCAUCUAGGGUAAGUUUAUAUGGAUGGAUUGUGGUAUGGAUCUAUAUUACCUCCUCUAGACCUAAUUUUCAUCUCUUAGUUUAUGAAAGUAAAGAGAUCUGGUGUCCACUAAUUUGGUCAAGCCAAGGACCAACAUGGAUACUUGUGAUAAAAAAUCUGAUGUUAAUUUCAAGCAUAAGCCAAGGACCAACAUGGAUUCUUGUGAUAAAAAAUCUUAUGUUAAUUUGAACACGGACUCUUUUUUUUUUUAUAUAUAUAUAAAGAUUUGAUAUUAAUUUCAAGCAUAAGCCAAUAGUGAGAAGGAUGGAGCCAUCGUGUUGACAGUGGGCAAUUACCUCUAUUAACUUCACAAAAUUUACAAAUUAAGAUUGACAGUUUUAUAAGUACAUUUUUAGGUUUUUCUCACAAUUUCCCCUCUCAUUUUCUAAAAGUACUUUUCUCUCUUGACAUUGCCCCUAUAUUUUCAAAAAUUCUCAUUUCUCAUCACAUUACCUCCCUAAAUAAUUAAUGUCUUUUAAUCAUCUCUCCUAUGGUACAAUUGUUUCAAAGCUAUUAAAGAACAAGUUUUAGUAGUACUUAAACAAGGACUAAUUAAAAAAACUCCAAAACAAAAAAUGGUAGAAUCUCAAAUCAAAUUAAACUUUACAUGAUUGUGACGCAUUUUUAGGUGUACAAUGGUGUACAAUCUUGCCCGUAUAGGUACAGAUGUGUCAAUUGUAUUGGAGCAUUGCUCUUAAGAUGGUCUCAUUGUAUAUCCACUCCUUGUGGUUAAUAAAUGUCACCUUUAUCAAUAAUGAUUAUCGGUAGAUGUAUUCUAGAUUGUCACUAUUUGCAACUUACCUCCAAAACUAUUUUUUUUAACAUUUUAGUACAUUAUACUGCCAAUCUAUGAAGCAUGCUCAAAUAAACUAAGAAGUAAUGAAUUAUCCUAGCUAUGUUUGAAUGAAAAGAAUUUAAUAUCUUUAAUAUGUGUUUGAUUAUUGAAAUUUUCUUAUUCACCUCAAGCUAUUAGAGUACUUUUAUUAAAUUAACUAUCAAAGUUCACCGAGUUUCAAUCAAUUUAAGUAAUGGUUUACAAAUUUAUAGUAUAAAGUAUUAUAUGAUCUGUAGUUUGAAAUCUUUAAAUUUCAAUUAGAAGUUAUGAUUCAUAUGCGUGGAUUUUUUUUUUUUAAAUCUAUAGUUACAAUGCGUGUUACUAUGACUCUAAUUAUUAGAUUUUGUUGUUCUUUUUAUUAGUAGCAUUAAUACUUGUUUAUAAGUUUCCUGAAACCAAAAUUUUUAGCUACAUGAGAUUACUUCAUCACUUUAAAAUCAACAAAAGAGAUGAUAUUGAUAGAUUAAGAAAAGCUUCUCAUUGUUUUCAAAAUUAUUUCUUGAGAUAAUUAUAACGAGCCUAACAUCAUUUUAAAACUAUGAGUUGCUUACAAUUACCCUAAUAUAUUAUGUAAUUUGAUCUAAUGUAGAGAACAACUAUUGAGAUCCUUUCACUAAAUUCUUUUGUGUUUUAUUGAAAUUAGGCUUGCAAUCUUUGAAACACUGUCUAUAACAAGUUCAAAUAAAUUAAUCAAUUACAAAAGCACUUGACUAGUAGAAAUUAUUUAGACCAUUGAACCAAAACUUAUAAUAAUAUUUCUUUAAUUUCAAAUACAUCUACAAAGAAUCGCUGAAAGAUUGCAUUUUUUUUGUCUAACCUUUAUUGCAUGAAUUUAUAUACUAUCUAUCAUUUUUUAUGUAGUUAUCUUUAGCUCAUACCGUUCAAAUUGAUUAGUAGUUCUGAACUUCUGAAAGCAUUUCCUCUACAACAACAAAAUAAAGCAAAAAAAAAAAAAAAAGUGCCCUAGAUUAGCUGUAAAAAAUUGUAAACUAACAUAGUAGAUCUAUUUUCCUGAAGUAGCAACUAGAUAUGUUAAAUGAAAUUCUCAAAUAUUGCAUAAACAUUUAUUAUCUCGAGUGCAUACAAUUAUGUUCUAGUUGUUGAUGAUGUUUGACAACCUCAUUUGAAUACGUUACGUUGAUUCAAAUAAUGUAUGUCACGAAAUAAAAAAAAAAAAGCAAUAAGUGCCUUUUGAAAUAGAGGAUAGAAGUCCAAAUUUUUAUAAAAAAAAAAAUGAAAGCUCUAAAAAUUCAAUCCCAUAUGGAAUAAACAUCUUUAUAUAUUAUAUAUUUAAGGAGGUGUUUUCAACCUCGGCCUCUCACAAAGUUUUUUUUUUAAUUUUGAUAUUUAAUUUGAUAUAAAACUACUUAGAUUACAUAUUUAUUACGUAGGGAUAAUUUCAGAAAUCUCACUCGAGGUUUUUCAUAAUAUCACUCAAUUCCUUUAAGGUUUUUAAAAUCUCACUUACCUUCUGUAGAUUGAUAUUUCUUGUAACCAUUUAACCCCUUUGGAGGAAAUACAAGAAAGAUAAAAUUUUUGUUCCAAUACUACCCUUAUUUCCUACUUAUGGAAUUUAUUACAACAAUAAAAAAUAAGAUAAGGUUAAAUUUUUAUGAGGAGUAAAUUUCUUGAUUUAAACUAUUUAUUUUAGUUGUAUUGGAACAAAAGCAAAAUUUACACCUUAAAAAACUCACACAUAUAAAGAGAUUAUUUUAGUUUUCAAUACAACUUAAACUAUACCAUGAAUUAAAACAUAUUUCUCUAAUAAAUAUCUUGACUUCCUUAAUUUUAAUUGUGCACGAAAUUUUUUAAUGUGUUAAUUACUCUCCAAAAUCCUCCUAGGUGGUUCUUGAUUAGAUUUAAUUUAUACUCGUCCUUUGCUAUCCCACCAUGACCCCAAUGUAAAGACAUAUAGACCAUUAUUAGCUUGUAAUUUUUUAUAAUUUAUAAUUUUUGCUUUUAAAAUUUUAUUUUGUUUUGACUUUUUGAUUAAAUUGUUAUUAAAAGAAAGGGUAAUAUUGUCAAUUUAUGAAUUUUGAUAGGGAUAUUUAGUCUUGUCAAGUUGACAAGGGAAGUAAGCGAGAUUUUAAAAUUUUGAGAGGAGCUGAGUGAUUAUGACAAAUCUCAGGGUAGGUUUCUGAAAUUAUCCCUUAUUAUGUAUGCAUGUAUCAAUCAGCAAAAUUUUCUAAAACUGAUAUAUUAAAAAUUUAGCAUCUUGCCACAAUUUGAGAAUGUACCAAAAAUAUAAAUGCAUCUAAUUGAAAAGGAUAUAAAUUAGUAUCAUUAAAAAACACAAAUAUUUCAAGCCUUUCAAUAUGGUAACAUUAAAUAUAAAACAAAACUUAGCACAUUAUAAAAAUUGGAUUAGACAUUCAAAUUCAAGAAGAAAACAUUCAAAAUAACAAUAAUCUUCUAUUUGACAACUUUAUCUUAAAUAUGUCAAUAGUAUUUGAUAUAAAACCUAAACAUAGAAAAAUUGAAAAAGUUAAUUAACAAUUUAGUAAACUAGCAAAAUUGAUUAACAAGUUUAAAUUGAGAGACAAUAAUAUUCCAUGAUUCGAUUUAAUAAUACCAACUAAGUAUGUGUCCUAUCCAAAAUAGUUAUAGUUCUUCAAUUUGACAAUAAUGACAUCAAAACAACUUAGUAGUUACAUUACCUAAAUUAAAACAAACAUUUAAAUUGAAGAAGGAAAUAAGAAUAUUCUAAUUUUUCAUUUAGUAAUUCAAAUUCUUAUAUGAAACUAUUAUCUUAACACAAAAUCUAUACAUACAAUUUGAGAACCAACAAAAUUUGAUGGACAACCAAAUUAAAAAAAAAGCCAUUAGUACAUAAAAUAACAAAAUGUAAAAACAACAAUAAAUAUCUAAUCAAUUUAAAUUGGUUUACUUUAUAAAUUUCAUUCCUAAUAUGGUAAUUCUAACUUAAAUUUGUAUAUCUUACCAAAAAUACAUAGUAGACAACAAGGUUCAGACUAUUAAUUAUGAAAAAAAAAUAUUAAAACAUGAAGAAAAUUCAUAUUUUUAUACCUUAUUUAACAUUUACACGCCUUAAUCACCUUAAUUUUCAUAUACUUUAGGUCAAUUUCAGGAGAUGUAAAUAUAUGAGCAGCAAACAUGUAUCAAUAUAACUACUUGAUCAAAAUUGCAGCAAAUUUUGGUGCAAAUUUUGAUUUGUUUUUUCUUUCUAUCAUAAUUUUCUUAGUCUAUCUUAGGUGUUUUAUAUAAAAUAUUAAAAAUAAGUUAUUUUUGCUAAAAAUUGACACUCAUUUGGAUUUUUUUUCAUGCAGUUUUUUCAAUAAAAUAAUUUCAAUGAUUUAGUUUAAAGUUUUAGCCUAUGCAUUGCACAAAUAAGAAUGCUAGUUCAAACUUCAUUCUAAACCUUCAAAAACUCCAAAAAGAAAUGAAAAGUUAUUUGAAUGUUGCACUACUUGCAUAAUAAAUUCAAUCAUUAAUAUAAAAUUUAUAAAAAAUACAAUCACCAAACCAUCGGUAGCUAUCAUUCUAUUAUAGGAAUAUCACAAAAUUUACAAUGUUGGGGCUAAUUUACAAAACAAUAUAUAUUACCCUGAAAAACUUUAAAUUGGUCUCAUAUAUCAUAUACCCUAUCUUAAAUUAUUUUGAUAAUCUGUAUAAUUGCUAUGUUCUCUCUACAGUUAUAACAUAAAAUUUUUUUUUUUGAAGAGUAUCUUUUUGGGAUAAAAUAACGAAACAAGUCCUACUUGAUUAGGUUUAAGAAAUGGUUUACAUCGCAAUUUAGGUUUCUUAGAACUUUGACUUGUGAUAGGCUCCACUGUGUCUAUAUCUAUAUAUAUUAUUAUGAGAUUUAUGAAUGGAAACUCAUCCCUUGUCAGCAACAUGUUCUAGUAAAGAAUUUUGCUCGGAUUACAUGAAUAGUACAACUUAUUUGCUAAAUUAAGAUAAACCGACUGAUUGUACAUAUUGCUAUAGCAUAUGCCAUCUUAUUUCGUUAAUACAUCCAUAAAACUGGAGUUUUAGGAUUACCAGCAAUGAAGUGUUUGUGAACUCCUUCCAAUUAAAUCCAUGUCAAUCACUUCCAUGACCAUCUAUGUGAGGACUCGUAAAAAUUAUUAUUUUUCGACUCCUAUUUUUGCUUAUUUAAUUAUUUAUCUGAAUAUUUGCUUCGAUUAUUAUUUUCUAACCUUAUUAGACUUAAAUACAUGGAAUUAUGACUUUAUUAUAUUUUUAAAGUGACUCGUUUCAAAAAUUAAUUUUUGGAAGCUCGAUUAAUGAAAAUAGUGAAAACGUGUUUGAAAAUUUUAGCCAAUUGGGAGUAAAAUAAGCUCGAAAAAUUGGAGACAUGUACAAUGGUUCUAAAAUAGGUAAUUUUAGGUUUAAGUACUCAAGUGAUAGUUAGUGGUACGAUCGUUAUAAGAAUUUCUCGAAGAUUUCACUUUAUCACGUCUAAAUUAGAAAUACGCGUUUUCACACGCGCGAUUAAUUGAGGGACUUUAGACCCUUAUUUUAGGACAAUUAAGAGUGAAUAAUAUUUAUAUGAAUAUAAGUGCAUUAGAGGUUUAGUGCACUAGUGAAAUAAACUCGAAAGGAAUUGAGCCCAAAAUGCCCGCGUACACGCGCGAGAGAGUUGAUUUUCGGGUGAAUUGUGGCCACACAUUUAAGCUUACUUUAGAAGCUUUAUUUCAGCACUACACUCUCUCUCUUUCCCUCUCACUUUGGCCGAACCAUCAGCUGCAAAAAAAACAACUCAAAGUUUCUCAAAUUUUCAUCUUCAAAUCUUGCACAAACCUUCACCAAAUUCAACCAAAAUUGAACUACACUUAACUCAACACUUGGAGAGUUCAUCUACCUACAAAAACAAGGAGCUUUCCACCAUUUUCUUGAGCAAAGAGAGGGCCGAAAUUUCUGCUUAGCUCAUCAACAAACGUAAGUGACGAUCAACCCUUGAAAUCUUGGUUUAUGGAAGUUGAUUUACACUUAUGAGCUUAGUUAUUCAUGUGGGUGGCUUGUUAUUGUUGGAAAAUUUUGAAGGUGGGCUCUAUGAACUCCCACUCUUGGAUUGAUGGCUGAUGUGAUGCUUGAUGUGAUGCUUGAUGAUGGAUAUAAUGUUAGUUUAGUGCUCAAAUUGGUAGAUUAAUGGUGCAUAGCUAGUAUAAAGUUGAAGGAAUGCAUGGCUGAAAAAUUUUCAAUUCUGCCCCUGUUUUGAUCGAGCCCCUUUUUGCGAAAUUCUGAGGGUUUGAUGGCUUGUAUAUAAUGUUUAUAUGUUGUAUAGAUGGUGUAUAAAGUUUCAUUGAAAAAUAUUGAGGUUUGGUUGGUCAAAUGGAUUAAUCUUGCAAAGCUAGUAAACUUGGAAAAUUUUCCCAUUAUGCUCAGAUAGCCUUCUUGUUUCGUCCAUACUUUUGUACUCCGAUGUCAAAAUCAAGUUCCGUUGGUGGCAUUUGAACCUAGACAUUCCCAGCUUUCCAAUGGUAUAAAAUUCAACCCCUAAUUCCACCCGAGUAUCCCGUACCAACCGUUUUAAGAUGACUGUCCUGUUUCUCUAUUUUCCGGGAAUGAAGUUAAACUACAACUUGAUGCUCGAAUUUGAGCUAGUUGUGUGCCGACUUUCAAAAUGAUUUCUUCUGUCAAAUUUUAUUUUUAUGAAUUUAUUUUCCAACGCCACCAACCAUGCUUAAUUCCGAGUUGAAUUGAGUGAUUUGUGAUCAAAAUACGAAACCUGCCCUGUUCUUGAAAACCCUAAAUUUUGGGCAAAGUAGAUGUUAGACUUGGUGUGGACUUGCCAAUUGAAUAUCUUGGAGUUAAAACACUUACCAAAUGUAUCGUGAAUGUUCCUCAGGUUUUUCCUAUACAAAUGAGCCAUGUUUGAGGAAUUUUUCCUUGACCAAAUGUUUGGAAUGGAAAACAAAAAGCUCAAGGCAGUUCUGCCUUAGGAUUUUCGAAACUUUGGUUGUUUGGUUGACUACCUUCCCGAAGGUAUUUUUCCAUGAAAUUUGAUAGACGGAUACCCUUUAUAUAUGAGUAUUAUACUGCUGAAUUUGGUACCAAUCCGAGUCCAUUUCACUGCUCGACUAAAUUACCAAAGUUCAAGACUUGAUAUUGGAAAACCCUUGUUUAACAAGGAAAUUUGGAUAACUUUGAGCUACCAUAUCUUGGUACUCACAACUCCGUUUCUCAUUUCCGCUUGUUUUGUUAUAAACUUGGACUACAACACUAAUAGAGUUACAAAUUUUAAAGGCUAGUUUCAAUCAAGUGAAUUUUGCCAAAUUUUCAAAGUUGGCCAAAAACUAACUUAAAUCUGUCUUAUGAACCAAAACAGCGAAUUUGAGCUCAUUUGUGAAUGUUUUCCAUUUGGAAUCUUAGAAAAGUGUAUUCUAGGAACUUUUAGUACUUUGGAAGAGAUUUCCAACGGUACCAAGUUUUCCAAUUUUGGACUUGUAAAGAAUGAGAUACGAUUUUUCAAAGAUCUCGUACCAAAACUGAAAUUUUCGAAUCUUAAGGAAAUGGAGAUUUUUGAAUUCUCCUUAUUCCUUUGAUGUUACUUGAGCGUAUUAAACUUGACUUCCAAGAUGAAACCUCGAUUGCUUUUGUGCUUUAAAAUCCCAUUUUAAAACCCCGAUUUACGAGUGAUUGGGAUUUGUUUCAUGGGAUUUUUCUUAGAUUGUGCACUAAGUACAAUCUUGGUAAUAAUUGGGGUUUUGAGUGAUAAAUCCUUAUUAAUUGCUCAGACACAUAAGAGGAACUUCAAGAGGAUCCCACGGUGGACGCUUGAACUUCGAGUGCUGUUUCUUCUUGUUUACUUGGUGAGUGUCAAGUGUGUGUUACUUGAACUACUGUGAACCAGAUACAUGUUUACUUGUUAUUGAUACUUGAGAUUUUAAAAUUCGAGACGGGGGUGUACUUUAUCGCACCCGUUCUCGCUUGAAAUAAAUGACUCGCACUUGAAGUACUCGAAUGUCUCAAUUGCUUGAAUAUGUUACUUGCUUGCUUGACUUGAAAUAGUAUGCUAUGGCUGCAUACAUCGUUGGAGUGAAUCUCUGUUGAUCUUGAUCCCUAUCUUUUGAUGUUUAUAAAACAAAUGGAUGAUACUAAUAUUUCUUCAAGAUAUACUUUCAGUUUUGAAGUUGUUUGAUUCCAUGAACAAGUGCAAUUGAAAGGCAAAGUUUGCUGAAGCUGUCGGACGUUCAAGAAGUCAGAAUCGGACGUCCGAAAGGAUGAAGAACAUCAAGAAGGAAACUCUGUUGGACGAUCGUGAGGAGCAUCGGACGUCCGGAAGGAUCGGACGCACGCCUCGAACGCACAUCGAUCGCAUCGGACGUCCGAGAAAUUUCGCAAAGAUUUGAUGACUCUCGGACUCGGGUUCGGACGUCCGACAGGCCAACGGCAAGUUUUGACAGCAUUUAAUAUUUGACCGUUGGAGAGCCUUUUGAAGCCAUUUCUCACCUUCUAUAAACACCCCAAAGCACAAGAAGAUACAAGACUUUUGCCAACACAAAAUAUAAGCUUACAAGUGAAAUUUUUGAGUAGAAAGAUUCUUUGUUAGUUGUAUAAGGGGUUGGGGAAGUUGGGCUGUGAGGUUGCUCAAGUGAAGGUUACUCUCUAGGAGGAGUAAAACCUUGGUGAAGGUGAACCUAUCACUUGAAGUGGUAAAACCUUGGUGAAGGUUGCCUCAUUUGUAUAAAAUAGUUCUUAAUUGGGUGAGUGAUCUUUCAAAUGUAGGUUGUUGAGGGUUAACUAGAAUAAUUGUAAAACUCCUUGGCUCAACCAAAGAGUGUUUGGGGUGAGGAAGGAGUGAACCUUCACUUGUACAUCUUGGUUAGCAUUGCCAUCUAUUGAAGAGGCUAUUGGAUUGAUAUUUGGUUUGCAUUUCUUAUCUUUUCUCUUUAAUUAAGUUUUCUUUGUUGUGCUUAAAUUUGAUAUAUUUUUGUGCAUCAUUGUGAUAUUGUUUGUACUCAUUGGGUUGCACCAGGCCUUACAAUUGGUAUCAGAGCUUGGUCUCCUAGAGAUUAAACUUAACCGCUUAGAGUAAAGAUCAUGGCAACCAUAAAAGUUUCCUUUUUAGAAGGGCAAUCUAUUGAUAGACCACCUAUGUUUAAAGGUUCCCAUUUUAGCAUGUGGAAACAAAGAAUGAUUUUUCUUACAAUCCGUUUAUAUUGAAUUAUGGUAUGUGGUAGAAGAUGGUUCUUAUGAAUCUAGAAUAGUUGACUCUAUCACUAAUUUGAGUAGAUUAAAGACUAGAUAAGAAUUGAAUGAAAAAGACAAGAGAUACCUUUCCUUGAAUGCCAAGGCCAUGUAUAUAUUGUACAAUGCAUUAGAUGUAAAUGAAUCUAGUAGGAUUAAAGGUUGUAAAUCAGCUAAAGAUAUUUGGGAUAAAUUGUGUGUAUUUCAUGAAGGUAACCAAGAUAUUAAAGAACAAAAGAAAUCUUUGCUUGUUUCUCAAUAUGAAUUUUUCAAAAUGCAUCCUCUUGAAAAUGUUGAUAAGAUGUGUAGUAGAUUUUGUGACAUUAUUCAAGAUCUUAAAUUGCUUGGAAAAGAAUAUUCUUUGGAUGAGAAAAAUAGAAAGAUUUUGAAUGCCUUGCCAAAAGAAUGGGAAAACAAAAUAAAUGCUAUAGAAGAGGCAAAGGAUUUAAAUUCUAUGUCCAUUGAAUCUCUUGUGAAUUCCCUAACCUCUUAUGAAUUAAAGGUGAAAUUCAAAGUGCAAGAGGAAGAAAAUGCAAGAAUGUAUAAGAGAGGCAUAGCUUUUAAAGUAUCUCAAGUGGGGAUAACCCAUCCUUCAUGGGUAAUGAAAUCAUGGAAGUGGACAAUGAUAUAACUCCUCACAUCAAAAGUUUCAAGAAGAUUUUCAACAAGAAAUGUUCAAGAGGAGAUUGCAAAAUUACGUGGGAUGAAUGCAAUUCAAAAAGAGAAAAAGAAGAGUUGGCCCAAAUGGCACUAAUGGCCGUUGGAGAAGAUGAGGUAAAUUCUUAUCACUCUUCUAGUGAUGAAGAUAAUGAAAAUGAUGAUAUGCAAAUUCUUAUGAUUAAAAUGCAUAAAAGUUUGAAAGAAUCUUAUGCUAGAAAUAAGGAGUUAAAACAGAAAAUUAGUUUUUUGCUUCGAGAUAAUGCAAAUCUUUUUCAACAAAAUAAAACAUUGAAAGUUGAAAAUGAUUAUUUCAAGAAGAGUGAGACUGCUUUAUAUUUUGAACUUGAUAGAAAAACAAAACUUUGUGAUUUGUUCAAAAAGGAACAAGGUGAUUUGAAAAGAAGAAUGGAUGGUCUAAAUGAAUUGCUUAAACACAAGAAACAAGUCUGUUUUUCAAAAGAAUAGGUUGAAUUCUAAUUCCAACGAAUUUGCUAUCCAUAGGAGAAGACAAGUAAGAUUUAUUAAACCUGUUCAUGUAGAUAACUCUUUGGUUAUGUGUAAUUUUUGUUGUCAAAAAAGUCACAUGAAAAGUGAUUGUUAUGUGAGAAAAAAAUAUGAGAAGAGGCAUGAAAUGCAUGUGAAUAGUUAAACAUGAUGCUAACUUUAACAAAUAGGAGUUUUUGUUAAUCAUUGCAGUGAUUCUUGUUCACAAUUUUUUUUGAUAUUUCUGAUACUUUGAUCUGAGUUUUCGCUGAUAUUUUUGAAUACUACUGAAUUUGUAUUAUGACAAACGGGGGAGAAAUGGAUGCUAUGUGUUAGGGGGAGUUAUUCUGAAAUUAUAAGUUUGGUUGCAAUGAGUGAGGGGGAGUCUAUGCUCAUAUGCUCAAUCUUUCUCCUUCAUUCCAUCCAUUGUUUUGUCAUCAUCAAAAAAGGGGAGAAUGUUGAUCUUGAUCCCUAUCUUUUGAUGUUUACAAAACAAAUGGAUGAUACUAAUAUUUCUUCAAGAUAUACUUUCAGUUUUGAAGUUGUUUGAUUCCAUGAACAAGUGCAAUUGAAAGGCAAAGUUUGCUGAAGCUGUCGGACGUUCAAGAAGUCAGGAUCGGACGUCCGAAAGAAUGAAGAACAUCAAGAAGGAAACUCUGUCGGACGAUCGUGAGGAGCAUCGGACGUCCAGAAGGAUCGGACGCACGCCUCGGACGCACAUCGAUCGCAUCGGACGUCCGAGAAAUGUCGUAAAGAUUUGAUGACUCUCUGACGACGUUCGGACGCAGGGUUCGGACGUCCGAUAGGCCAACGGCUAGUUUUGACAGCAUUUAAUAUUUGACCGUUGGAGAGCCUUUUGGAGCCAUUUCUCACCUUCUAUAAACACCCCAAGCACAAGAAGAUACAAGACUUUUGCCAACACAAAAUACAAGCUUACAAGUGAGAUUUUUGAGUAGAAAGAUUCUUUGUUGGUUGUAUAAGGGGUUGGGGAAGUUGGGUUGUGAGGUUUCUCAAGUGAAGGUUACUCUCUAGGAGGAGUAAAACCUUGGUGAAGGUGAACCUAUCACUUGAAGUGGUAAAACCUUGGUGAAGGUUGUCUCAUUUGUAUAAAAUAGUUCUUAAUUGGGUGAGUGAUCUUUCAAGUGUAGGUUGUUGAGGGUUAACUAGAAUAGUUGUAAAACUCCUUGGCUCAACCAAAGAGUGUUUGGGGUGAGGAAGGAGUGAACCUUCACUUGUACAUCUUGGUUAGCAUCGCCAUCUAUUGAAGAGACUAUCGGAUUGAUAUUUGGUUUGCAUUUCUUAUCUUUUCUCUUUAAUUAAGUUUUCUUUAUUGUACUUAAAUUUGAUAUAUCGUUGUGCAUCAUUGUGAUAUUGUUUGUACUCAUUGGGUUGCACCAGGCCUUACAAUCUCCUCGACACUCGAACAUGCUUGGGGGAUGCCCACAUUUCAUUGGCGAACAUUGGACUCGAGCCGGCAUGGGUUUGGUCGGGUUCCUUGGUAAACCAUGAGAAAAAUUGAAAAGUUUGAUCUAGUGAGAGAUCUCGCUUGGCAUACUCGAGUAGUAUUGCCUUAAACAAAUGGCAGGCGGGUCCGAAACAGGGGUAUGUAAGGUGAAAGGGGAACAGGUUAAGUGGAGUUCUACGGACUAAACCUAUCCGAUUGACGGAGUGUCAACUCGUGGAGGUUAUUGAUCGUGCAAGUGGAACAUAGCUCUUGAGAGCUCCAGUAUCCUUGAAUUGUUUAUGGUUACUUUCCUCGUAAAUUGUUAAUCAUGGAUAUAUUAUUGCUCGACUUGUCAAUUUGGGAUUGUUACUUGAACAAUGUGCUUGCAUGUGUGUUCUUGACCUCACGAGCGUUUUGCUCACCCUGUAGAUUUGUUUUCCUUAACAGGUUUGGGUUUGGAAUGAGACUCAGAGGAAAUUUCUAUUUUUGAGUGUUUUUGUGGGCUUUUGUAAUAGGGUUAACAAUUCUAUUAACUAGACAUUUUGGCUAUUGUAUAUUUUGGGAUGUAUUUGGAAACCCGUUAUAUGGAUUUGGAAUUGUAAAUAUUGUUAUGUUUGAACGCUUCCGCACUAAUUGCAUUUAUAUUAUUUGGAUGUGAUGUCUAGUACCGUUAUAAGCUUGAAUGUAAAUCGCUUGAGUCCUGGCGAGAGUUGGGCAGGCGUCCCGCGGAUACCCUUUGGUUCACCUUAGGAGAAGUGGGGGCGUCACAAUCUAUAUAAAUGAAAACAAAAUAUAACUUAAAAAAUUAGUAUUUUGGGUUAAAACUUAAAAAGUAUAUAUACAUUAACUAAAACGAGACAUAAUACAAAUAGUCGAAUGGAGCUUGUCCCAUACUGUCUCAAAAUUACAUUACAUUAAGAGGUUCUGCCCAGAGACCGUAAAUAUUUAAAAUAGUGAGUUAAUGUUUGCUUGUAUAAAAUAGAAUUCUAACAAUAUGUUGGUGAACAAGUUUAGAUCAAUUUAAACAUAACAAAUUGUUGUCUAUGCAAGUUUGUUAUAGUUAUCACUAGCCAAAGAAGCAUUUCUAAUGCCAUUAAGAUAUUGAGAUAAUACAAAUAAGUUAUUAGGAAUGAGAGUGAGAUCAUUAUUUAUUGUGCAAAUCAGUUUAUCAUGAGAUUUAUGAAAAAAUACAAAAGCAUGGAUCAAGUUAGAGAGAUGAUUCAAGUUUGGUCAAUACCAAACUCAAAAUUGAACAAGAAUAUUGGUUUCCUAUUUUAAUUAAACUUCUCAUUUAUAGCUACAUUAUAUUCUAUAAUAGAAAAUUUAUAUUUAUUUUACAUCCAAAUUUAUAGUUUUUAGUUUAUAUUUUCAUGAUUGUGUUGCAUAUAGGUAUAGGAUAAUUUUCUUUUGACCUCUAUCAACAUCACUAAACCCUUUUAACUAUUCAGUAUAGAGUUCUAGUUUUAAAUUAUAAUUCAAACAUGAAUUUAUCAUGAAAAAAUUAGUCAAAGAGAAAGAAUUUUUUAAUGACAUUAAUUAUGUCAAUUAUUAAAUUGGUUGAUAAAGGUGUGUGUGUGUAUAUAUAGUUUGAAUUAUUAUUUUAUUUUCAAAUUAUUCUUUUGAAAGUAUGUAUGCAUUGAUUUAUUAGCAAGUAUGUAUGCAUAGAUUUAUAGAUCAAAUUAAUGACAAAUAUUAAACCAUUUGGCAUCUUGAUUAAUUAAAUAUGUUUGGAUUAGCUACUUUUGGGUGUGUUUUUAAAUAUUUUACUAUAACAAUGUAUAUGCAAAACUUUUUUUUGAGAUUUUUUAAGUUGUUUUUGUUUAUGUCGUAUUGUAGCACUGUAUUUAAAAAACUUAUUUUUGAAAAAUAGGCCAAUCCAAAUGGAAAGUUUUUUAAAUUUAGUAAUAAGAGAUGUGAUUUAAUCAAGUGGAACUAUGAUAGAUCGCCUAAUUAAUAUUUUAAAUAGUAUCAAAUUAUAUGUUUUUUGAAUGUAUAGGCUCAAGUAAAAUUCUUUUUUUUUCUUUAAAACCAAUUCUCUCCUCACUCUCUCUAAAACAUUUCUCCAACCAAAACUUCUUUCAACUCUCUCACAAGAUCAAUGUUUUUUGUUAGUCUUUCCCCAUGAGAGGAGCAAUCUCUCAUUUUUUUUGUUUGAAUAAAGUCUCUAUUAGAGUUUUCUAGUGACAGUUUCUUCUAUUCGAAAUUGUUCUUGUAUAGUUUUACUCUCUCCUAAAAUUUUUUUGUAAGAGUUUUGUUAUUUUUUUACCAUUUUUCUAUUAGAACUAAGAUUUUAUAGAUCUGUAAUUUCUCACAUCGAUUAGGUUAGAUCUAUUUUUCUCUUUGGAUUAGAAAAUAUUUUAAUCAUAUAUAACUGUUAGAAGGCAUGCACAAGUUUGUUGGGUUGGAACAAUUCAUAUGGAUUGAAUAUGUUUUGGAGGUUACAAUAUUAUUUUUAUGGUUUUUAUUUUUUUUCAAAAUUGUUGUAUGAUUUUCUAACCUUUAUGUAUUUUUAGUCAUUAAUGCGUAUUCAUGGCAAUAAAAUUAUGUUUAUUAUUAAAAAAAUAAAAAAGAAAUACCCUUCCUCUAAACUAGUUGGAUGGUGUUAGAGUGUUUAUAAGUACAGAAUUAAAUUCUAACAAUGAAUGAGUUAUAUCUCCACUCAAAAAAAUUACUAUAAAUUAGGAUAAAGGAGUUGCCCUAAAAUCCAUAUGGACUUGAUGGUUGAGUAGAUUUCAAGAGAAAAUGCUUUAAUUAUGUCUUAUGGGUCUUAUACAAUUAAAGUACAUAACCGAUGGAGUAAUUUAGAUUUCCUCUAUGUUGUUCCAUGUUACAUCACCAUGCAAAAUAUUUUUGGUCUCAAUAUAUGAUAUGCUAGAGGAAAAAUUGAUUGGGUUGAAAGCAAUUGACAGGAGUAAGAUGCCAAUCCUAAAGUUCCAGUUAGAUGGUGUAUUCACAAAGAUUCCAUAUGGUCAUGUUAUCCAUAACAAAUUGAUACUUUACAAGAUUAAUAGGGAGGGCAUAGACACCAUAAAUGGUCCACGAGAUAUUGAUGCUAUUUAGAAGAUUGUCAAUGAUGGUGAUGAACAUUUUGGACUAUAUUUGAAUGAGAUUAGGUUGAUAGUAAUUGAUACACAUGCUGGAGAAGAAUUUCAAAUUAAAGUUGACAUCCAUAAAUUUGGGGAUUCAUAAAGCAUGCAACUUUUGAAUGAAUAAUCAAGUAGCAUUCCUAUCAGAACUACUACAAAAUUCUUGAAAAAUAACGUGGCAUUUAGAUUUUGGAAAUAGGAAUGGGAAUGGGAAAAAGCGGAGAGGACAGUGGAAAUUGAAAUAACAAAUCAAUCAAUGCUUUGAUUUUUGUGUAAGAAAUUGAAAUUGGAAGCAAGGUAUUGUUCUAGAUAAGUCCACAUGGAAGGCUUUAUUUAAACCCAUGUCAUUAUGUGUAAAUUGACUUUAUUGUGGAAUAAACACUUGCAAUCCUAUAAAGUAUUGUGCCUAUCUAAUAUAAGGUACUCAAUAAUAUUGAUGGACCAAAACAAUAGAGAACUGUACUGCAUUACAAAUCCUUGCCAUUAUAGUAGUACAAAAUGAAAUAGCCCAUAUUGUUUGUUAUGUAUUGGUUUAUUGAAAAUAUUGGACAAGAAUAUGCAGCCAAUAAGGUACUUUCAAAUGAAGGAAAGUGAUAUUAAUGCACAAUUUAUCAAGUCCAAAAACAGAGUCAGUACAGAAUUGGUAAAGGGAUAGCAAAUUUUUCUACGCUCAGUUUGUAGGGAUAAGAUUCCUCCUAAUCAAGCAAAAUAUUGAGAAAUUAAAGAAUUGGUGCAGACAUAGAAUAUAUUAUGAUAUUCAAUACUAGUUUUGGUUGAGAUUUUUGAUUAAAAAAAGCAGCUAGAUACUCAUUUAUUAUCGUCACACCAAAUACUGGUCCAAACCAUAUCAAUUGUCCACUUAUAUAGUGCAAAUAAGUUCUCAGUAGCUAGUAAUAAUUUAUCUCAAAGGAUCACAAUUUUCUUCAUCUAAUAACUAGGUAGCACAUUCUUUGCUUCUCGUAACUUUUAGUCUUAAAAUACUUUGACUAGGUAUAUUGUAAAUAAAUAUAUAAAAAUCCAUUACAAUUUUUGUUGUUCCUAAAAUUCAUUUAGAUGAGAUAAGUUGAAAUUGUGUUUUUUAACCUAUGUAGCACCUUAUCACUAUUAAAAAAAUGGUAAGUUAUGCUUUGGCCAUAUAAGUCAAAAUUCUAUUAUAAAAAUUUACCAAACAAUAGUUUGUGAAACUACAUUGAUUACAAUUUAUAUGUGAAAAGGAAUCUUAUAAAUUAAAAGUAAUAAUGAAUCAUAUAAUAAAUAUACAUAAAAUUUGGUAUUAAUGUUUUCUAUUAAUUUUGAUUCAAUCAUGAAUUUCAUGCUUUCAAAAGAAAAGGAAUUCUAAGUAGAUUUAUCUUAUAUAUUAAAUUCGCAUAAUUAUAUGAUACAAAAAUUUUGAAUCAGAAGAUGGAAUCAAUUUUAAAGAAUAACUUGAACAAAUCAUGACAUUUUGAUUACAUUAGAAAUAUAUUCUCAAAAAAUCUUUCCUUGCUAAGAAAAUUAUCCAAUGCAAUCAACUAAUACUAGUUUUCUAUCUAUACUACGAGUCAAGCCACACUCUAUGGGUGUGCUAAUAAGAAAAAUUAUAGUUAGAAAACAAAAUAUAUAUACAUAUAUAGCUAUUUAUAGAAAAAUUUCUAGAAAUUGGUAUUAUAUUUCAAAACUUAAGUUUCGAAGAGUUUUGAAAAUGAUAAUGUUUAAAUUGUUAGUAUUUUGAUAGCAAUGAACAAUUUUUGGUAAUUAUCUAAAAAGAGAUAAUUUUAUUGACAAGAUGACAAAGAUUUUUAGAAUAUAAGAUUUUCUCAAGUUAUGUAUAUAGUAAGACAUAGUCUAAACCAUCAUUUUUCUUAUAUUUUCUAUCCUAUUAUAUUGCAAGGAAAAUUUAUAACAAUAGUUUGUUGUCUUUAUCAAAUUGUAAUACUACUGUAAACUGGCAAAAUCUAUUUAAAUUCUACCUUUAGAGAACUACUAAAGUCUAUUCUUAAUACUAUCUUGAACUUUGCCAAAAAUUGGUUUGUAAUAUUUGAAAACACAAUCUAGCACUUAUUCACGGAUUACUCAAGUACUUGAGAUGGAGGAAUUUCCUUGGCCAUAUGUCCUUUAUUUCAAUAUACUUGCAAUGAAGUCAUUAGACUGUUGAAGGAAGAUAAUGCAUUUUCUAAAUACUGAUAUCCAUAACUUAAUUUUAUAGAUUGAUCAAUAGUUUAUAGGACUUCAAAAACAACUUCCCUUGUAACAACCAAGUAAAAAAAAGGCAUACUCUAGAAAACUUGUAAAAUUUUAAACUAUCUAAUAUUUUCCAAUCUAAAGCAACUAUGGUUAUUUUAAUUUAUUCAAUUAAAAACAAAAAUAAAUCUAUUAGCACUUUAAAAUAUUGAUUGCUGUUUAAUUAGUUUGCUAUUAUGUUGGAGUAUUUUUUUUGUUGCUACAAGUUGCUCCAAAUAUAUGGAUUCAAUCAAAUUCCAUGACAGUGGUAUUAGAGGAGCUACAUUCAACUUGGAAUAUAGUUAAUUAAAACUGAUAUAUUCUUCUCCUAAACUUUCCUUCAUUCUAAAACUUUAUUUUUUCUAUCACCAUCAUCUUAUUUUUUUAUCACAAAUAUUAUUUUUAAAAAUCAGUAUGAAAACCCUAAAAGAAAUUUCUAUAAUGAUGAACUAUAUAUUGAUAGAAUACAAAAGGUCUAAACAAAUAAUUUCAAUAACAAAGUACUUUAAAAAUAUAUGGUAAUCGGAGGUCUAAGAUGCUAGCUUUAAAACCAGAAGUAAUGUAUUAAUAACUUUGCUUUUGGCCUUGAUUUAAAGAUCCAGAUGAAACUAAUGGAAUUUAGGAACCUAUCUCGGAUUUUAUAUGAAACUUAUCUCUAUGCAAAAAUAAUGAAGCUGUAAUGGAAAAGUUCAACUCUACAAUGGCUAGUACUAUGGAACGUGGAUAUGUAGUUGAUAGUGGAGAAAUUAAGGAAUCAUUGAAGAAGCAAAUCACAAAUUAGCUUCAAUUAGAGGUGAAUUGAUGGAAGAUAAAUUUAUCUUAACUACAGACGACUAACAAAACAGGAAAUAGCUAAGGUUUUUGAUAAAUUAUCUCAACAAAAUUCUAUCAUAUUGGAGUUGGGAACUGAUUUUGUUAUCAGAUGUAUCCUUGGAAAGAUAAUUUUUAGCAAUAAGAAAACUAAUGAAUUAUUGAUCAUUCAGAAAUUGAUUUUGCUCUUCUUAUACUAAUUAAAGAAUAAAUAAAGUAGAAAGAUACAGGUAUAAAAGUUGAAUUUAGGGAUAUAGAUAUUGGCUUAGAGGAUCAAACUAAAGGUAGUCAUAUGUUUGAUAAAAUGUCUCAAAGUAAUUUAGGCUGGAGAGGAGACAUAAUUAAAAUGUUGGAAAUUUACUAUAUGCCUACUAACCAAGUAAUUUUACUUGUUACUCUAAUGGAUUUGACAUUAAGAGAAAAGUUUCAAUAUUUGCAUUUGUAUAUAUUAUCUAAACUUAUAUGCUAUUAAAGAAAAAAUUAUGUUGGCCAUAUGACAAAAGUAGGUAAUAAAGGAAACUGCUACACAAAUAUGAAUGAUGGGAUAAUUACCACUAUGAUAUUUCAUCCAAGUGACUCUAAGUAGGGAUAAAGAAGAGCUCUAAAGAUUUUGAAUAUGGAAUCAUUCUACGAAAUUGUGAGUAUAAAAUUAAGAAGCAACAUAUUAUUGAGAUUCUUAUGUCGAGCAUUGUUGGAAUUUUAGAUAUUGUUGCAGUACUAAAAUUUGGGAAAAGACUGAAUGUUAGAAAAUCCAAUAUUUGCCUUCAAUUUAGAUAGAAAAAAUAUAGCAGUUAUUUUUAAUAUAGAGAGACAACUAUAAUUGAUUUGUUUCUAAAGUUUGAGGUGGUCUAGAUUUUAAAAUUAAUUUGUUUACCAGAUGGUCACAAUUUUACACAAAAAAGAAAACUAGUAUUAGUCUUCAAUUUGAGGAAGAAUUAAAUAACAAUCAAUGUAGAAUAUGAGAUAUUGUAGAAAUUUUGUGAGGACCCGAAAUUUUUUAUUUUAUUUUAUCGAAUAUUAGUAGUUUGUUUAAAUAUUUAUUUACUCAUUUUUCUCCAAAUUAUUUAUUUCGAUCAUUUAAAAUCCAUUUAUAUGGAACGACGCCUCUUUAUAUUUUAAAAGCGUUUUGUUGGAAAAAUUCACUCUUCGAAAACUCGUUUAGUUCGGAACAACGAGUGCACGUUUUUUCGAGACUAUAUUUGAAUCGAGAGUGUAUUAAUAUUGGAGAAUUAAGAACGAUCAAUAAUAGAUUAAGAAAGGAUAAUUGAGGAAUUAAUACUCAAUUCACGUGAGGACUCGUAAAAUUAUUAUUUUUAAACCCUUAAUUUUGGCUCAAUUAAUUAUCUAUUUGGAUUUUUGCCCGAAUAUUAUUUUCUAUCCUUAUUAGACCUAAAUAUAUGGUUUUAUAGUUUCGUUAUAUUUUUAAAGUGUCUCGUUUCAAAAAAUUAUUUUUCUUAGAAGCUUGUUUAGUGAAAAAGUGAAAACGUGUCUGAAAACUUUAGCCAAUUAGGAGUACAAUAAGCUCAAAAAUUUAAGACAUAUACAAUGGUCCUAAAAUAGGCAAUUUUAGGUUUAAAGAUUGAAGUGAUAGUUAGUGGUACGAUCGUUAUAAGAAUUUCUCAAAGGUUUCAAUUUUAUUGCGCCUAAAUUAGAAAUACGUGUUUGCACGUGCGCGCUUAAUUGAGGGACUUUGGACCAUUAUUUUGGGACAAUUAAGAAUGAAUAAUAUUUAUAUGAAUGUAAGUGCCCUAGAGGUUUAGUGCACUAGUGCAACAAACGUAAGAGAAAUCGAACACAAAACGCGCGCGUAGGGCACUAGUUGUAAUUGAUUUGACGUAUUUAAUAUAUUAGACGUCAAGCGUCUUAUGUACGCAAAGGAACCAACAAUCUCAUUUCAUUUCUGCAAAGCUUCAUGGCCGGAUAGCAGCAGCAAAAGGGACAACCGAAACCUUCAACAUUUCUUCUUCCAAAACUCAUGCAAAUCACCACCAAAUCUUCUAAAAAUUUAGCACCACUUAGCCUAAGUCUUGGACAACAUAUUUAGCUGGAAAAGGGAGGAGCUUUCACGGUUCUUCAAGCUUCAAAGGGGCCGAAACUUCUGUCCUAACCAGCCAUCAAAGUAGAUAGUAAUCAAUCACCUUAAACUUGUCUUUUGGAGUUUGAUUUAUGCAUUUGAGCUAGAAUCGUCACUUUACUAGCUUGUAUUGUUGGGAAAAUUGUUAAACGUGGGCUCUAUGAACUCCCACUUUGGUUUGAUGGCUGUGAUGAUGUUUGAUGAUGGUUUUGUUGCUAAAUUAGAGCUUAAGGAAGUAGAUUAAAGGUGCUUUGUUACCAGAAACGUUAUUGAACUCUUGAAACAAAAAGUUCCAUUUUACCCCUGCUCUGUUCGGUCAUUUUAAUGCAGAAACUGAGGAUUUAAUGGCCUGAUUAUGUUGUUUACAUGUUGUAGCAGUUGUGUACAAAUUUUCGUUGAAAAAUAUUGAGUUUUGGUGGGUCAAACGAAUUUAUUUCCAAAGCUAGUAAUCUGGGAAAACGGUUGCCGUCGUAACCAGACCAGUGUUCGUGUUUCGUCCAUAACUCCGUACUCCGAUGUCGAAAUCAAGUGCCGUUAGAGCAUUUGAAACUUGACGUUCCCAUGUUCCAACGGUGUAUAGUGCACAUUCUGGUUUCAUGUGUGUGAGCCACACCAUUCAUCUGAAGUCGCCUGUCCUGUUUCUCCGUUCUGCCGAAAUGAUUUGAUGAUGCUGCAAGUUUAGGCUUAAUUUCGAACACAGUUGCAUGCUGAAACUUGAAAUGAUUUCUUCUGUGUAAUUUUAGCCCUAUGAAUGUAUUUUCUAACACUAUCAACCAUUCCUAAUUCCGAGUUAAAUUGAGGGAGUUAUGAUCAAAAUACGGCGACUGCCUCGUUUUUGAAACCUUAGAUUUGGACAGAUUGCCUUAAGGAUUUUUCCAAACUUUGGUUGAUUGAUUAACCACCUUUCCGAGGGUAUUUUUCCAUGAAAUUUUAUAGAGAGAUACCCUUCAUAUGGGAGUAUUAUACUGCAAAAUUUGUGUCAAUUCAAGUCCGUUUCGACACUUAACAAAAGGUCCAAAGUCGGAACCAAAUCUGGAAAUUUGUUAACAGUCUUGAAAUUUACCCAACUUUGAGCUACCAUAUCUUUGUGCUCGAAACUCCAAUUCUCGAUCCGCUUGUUCUGACCCAAACCUUACUUGCACCUCUAAUUGAGCUACAAAUUUCAAGGGCCGAUUUGCAACGAGUGAAUUCUGCUGAAUUUUCAAAGUUAGCGAAAAACCAACCCCGGCUCAAUCCUGGGUGAUUUGGAACAGCAACUUUAAACUCAUUUUUGAACACCUUCCACUUAGAUUCAUGGAAAAGUGUCUUCUAAGAACUUUUAGUACUUUGGAAAAGGUUUCCAACGGUACCAAGUUUUCCAAUUUUUGACAUGUGGAAUCUGAGAUACGAUUUUUUCAAAAUAUCAUAUCAAAACUGAAAUUUCUAAAUUUCAAGGAAAUGGAGUUUUUCAAGUAUUCCUUAUUCCUUCGAUAAUACUUGAACGUUUAUGCUUGAUUUCCAAGAUAACAAAACUCGAUUGCUCUUGUACAUUAAGAAACUCCACUUGAACCUCGAUUUACUAGUAAUUGAGGUUCAUUUUCAUGAAAUUUCCCCAGAUUGUACUAGUGCACAAUCUUCCUUGAUAAUUGGGAUGUGUGAAUGAUAAUUCACUAUUAAAUGCUCAGGCGCUCAAGAGGACCUUCCAGAGGAUCUCACGGGAGACGCCUAAACCAUCAUUUGAACUCGCUACUUGAAUCACUGUGAGUGUCAAGUGCAUGAACUUGUUGUUAAGUGGUUAUCUGUUUCUUAUCCGUUAUGUAAAUUUGAAAUUUUGAGACGAGGGUGUACUUUAUCGCACUCGUUCUCUUUCAAAUGAAAUUAUAUUCGAAUUUUGCUAUGUGAAUUCGUAUCCAACUUGUACAUGGUAAUGUGGAUGUGAUUUGUACUUGUGAUUCGUAUAUGUGAUCCGUAUUUGUGAUUCCUAUUUGGAAUCGUCGAUUUGAGCGUUGCUCAUCGACUUAUAUUCGUAUUCGUAUUCAUAUUCGGGGGACACCCAAAACUCGUUGGCUAACUUUGCGAAUCGAGCCAGCAUGGGCUUGGUCGAUAAGCUUAGCAAACCAUGAGAUAUUCGUAGAGCAUGAUCUAUUGGAGAGAUCUUGCUCGGCAUUACUCGUGCAGUAUUGCCAUGAUAUACUCGAGUAUUAUCAAAAACUUUGAUGAGCGGGCCCGGUAAGGGGGUGUAACGGUGACGGGAUUCGAAGAAAAGUGGUGUAUCUACGGAUUUGAUACUUAUGUGGUUGACGGAGUGUCAACGUGAGAUGUGAUCAAGACUUCGACUCGACUACGUGGAAUUUAGCUCCUGAGAGCUACAGUAUCCUUGAAUUGUUUCUGUUUAUUUUUCCUAUUCGAAAUGUGAAUUAUUCGAAUUUGAUAGCCUUACCUACAAUGUAAUUGUUGUCGCUACUUGGAUUAUGUGUUUGCAUGUGUGUUUUCUUGGCCUCACUGAGUAUUGGCUCAUCCUAUUAGUUUGUUUUCCUUAACAGGUUGGAUUGGAAGAUUUUGGUAAAGCCGACUAGAUUAUACUUUUGAUUGGAAUCGGGGCUGUAAAUGUGUAGUCGACUUUUAAUGGUUGCAUUUUGGAACUUGAUGUAUCUUUUGUGAAC